Molecule: long non-coding RNA, 384947 nt
Filed under: Prunus persica (peach)
Lineage: Eukaryota; Viridiplantae; Streptophyta; Magnoliopsida; Rosales; Rosaceae
Description: long non-coding RNA (PPER_LNC005133)
Source: RNAcentral
UUCUUUUUACCAAUAAGUAUUAUGAAAAAUAAAUUUGACUGCGGUAAGAAGAUGGGUUAUAUUAUAAAUACAACGAAUGUAAAAAAGCCAAAGGCAAGCUAUCCGAGUCUGUAUCAAUUGAAACAGAUCGAAUGCUAUAAUUGCAUUAGUUCAUAAAUGGACAUGCAAUAUUGAUCGUCCAUAUUAAUAUGGAUAUGAAAAUUGCUUUUCUCAAUGAGAUUUUAGUCUUUGUAGAAUAACUUUAAAAAGGCUAGGAUAAGACCUCAGCAUUGCUCAAGUCCAGAAGAUUAUGUCAUUGCUUAAGUCCAGAAGAUUAUGUAUGAAAUUUUAUAACAAGAAGCAUGGAGAGCAAAUUCAUAUUACAUCAGAAAAUCUUGGGAGAAUACACACUUGCCAAACAAAAGUUGAUUAAUUUGAUAGCUUGACUCAAGUGAAAACAAAUAAAACCCAUGGCCAAGUUACUCCCCCAAGGAGUUAUUGCAUCUCUAUAUAAGCUCAUCAGCCUCUCCUCUUCUGCCAAUAUCUUUCUUUGUUUCUGCAUUCCUUCCCUUGUUGAUCAAGAUCAUGGCACGUCCUUCCGAUCUUGAUCCUCGGGGUCUUGAUGAAGAUCUUGUGCUCGUUUCUUAAGAAUUCCCUUCAAGUGGUCACAGAUCAUCAGCUGCGGAGUCGGUAGCAAAGAGGCCGGUGACUCUCCAACGGCGCUGUCACUAUCUAUCAUGGGCCGUCCCUUUAUCAUAUCAACUUCCCCCUCUUCGUUCAUCAUCACCAUGUUACAUGGAAGCUUCCCGGCGUAAAAUUUUCUAUCAUUCUUUUGAUGCCUGUACAGAGAGAUCCCAUUAAAGUACUAGCUAAAAUUUGACAAAUAGUAUAUACUGACCAAAGUUUCAUUUUGAUUAACUAUCUUAUCAGUCGUUUUGAUUCUCAUACUUUGAGAUGUAUGCCUAGCAAGGACGUAACCUAACUUGUAUUAAGAUUUUUUGUUACAAUUGGUUCUUUAUGGACGAAAAUUUGUCUAAAUAACAAAGUAGUCUUUCCGGUAAAAGUGUGUCCGAAGGAAAACCCUAGCUUUUGUUAAUCCUAACCCAUCACCUUCUAUGAAAAUCUUAACAGAAGUUAGGCUCCAUCCUUAUUGGACAUACUUCUCAAAAUCUGAAGAACUAAAUAACUGAAUAAUGUCGAAAUCUUUCACUGUAAUGCAUGGUAUACCUAUCGAAGACCACCCAUGUCGCAUGAAGGGUUGUAAUUUGCUCAACAACCAGCAGCCGUGAGGGAUAACCCAUUAUAACUUUCUUCUGGGGAAAAACCUGCAAUUAACAUUCCAUACACAUGCAGAAUGUUAGACGAGCAUAAGUAUAUAUAUAUAUAUAUAUAGAGCUCCAUCGUUAACUAUACCCCAUAUUUGUUGCAAAGGUCCACCACUUUUUGAAGCUUUAGAUAUUUGAGGUCGCUUUUCCACUCAUUUUUCUCUUUGACAAAUGACAAUUCUUCUAGUCCCACCGGCCAAACAUCCAGCCAUGUCUUGGAAGAGACUGCACAUUUACAAUCACCACCCAAGUAUUCCAUUUUAUAUACGAAGCAAAACCUUGUUUGGAUUAAAGUAAAUAGCCAGCUAUAGAAGCAUGACAUGUAAAUAAAAUCAAGGAAAAUUCUAGAGAACUUCGUCUUUUUAUGUCAUUUGUGUGUAAUUCCAUGAAAUAUUGAAUAAUCAAUUGUAAAUUAACACAUCAACACCUACACUAUGUGGUCUAAUUAAAAAUCCAAUACCCUUAAGCUUUUGGGGUGGCCGAAGUACUAGAGAGGGUGAGUAGGGAAAUGAGUUAGGAUUAGGCUAGGUCAAUGGUUCGAUUUCCUUCCACUAUAUAGCGUUAGGCGAUUUUUGUGGUGCAGGCUUGUUUUAUUACGUACUCAACUAGAAUUAAAAGCUCAAGAUUGCCAUGCAUUUAGAUCACUCAUAUGCAUAUACUAAAGAUUAAUGGAUUGAGGAUACUAGAAUCACAGUACUCACGGGGAAUAUUAAGCCAUGGCAUGACACCAAGAAGAGUGACAGUAGAGCCAGCGUUGAUUACAUUCUCAAGGGCCCAUUCAAGCGGCUCCGUCGUGAACUCUUUCAUCCCAUCCAUGACGAUGAGCACAUGUUUUGUAAUGUUCAUCGACUCUGAUGACCCGUUCGGCAUACGAUAUGUUGCCAGUGCUCUGUUGUUCCAGCUGACAACCGAUUGUCGCAUUAUUAUUUUCUUCUUCUUCCCUCCUCUUUUGAAGAAAACAACCAUAUUAUGUAAAAGUUAACAAUUUUUUUAAAACUUUACUAAGCCGGCUUAGUUCUUGUGCCAAUCUUCAACAUAGAGAGAAGAAAAAAAAAAAUUGAUCAAGUACCGAAAUCGGAAUUGUUACAAGGGCUCAACAUUUCUUAAAUAGAUCCCAACUUUGUCAUGAGGGAAAAACUAAACUCAGGGAUUGAUCAAACCGAGGAGUGUACAUAGUUAUAGUACUUUGACACAAACAAAGAUACGUUGGCAAUCUACUGUCAUGCCUAGGAGUAUAGGAUUUCACAAAUUUUGGUUUUCCCUAGAUUAAUAUAAGAUGCUCAUUCCUAAAUCUUAUCUCCAACCUCUAACCUAAUUGACUAAUUGAUGAGCCGGGGCCUAUUGUUACUAGGAAGUUGUAGGCUCACCAACAAUUAUUAUAGUGAUCAUGUCAAAGUCUUUGUCCUGUUCUUUUUCAUGUUUCGAGCAUACGCAUGUGUCUUCUCCUUUGUGGAUUUUAUGUUGGAUACCGAUGACAACUUUCAUUGGUUGGCCAAAGCACCAAUAGUUUUCUUUUCUUAUCCAAAUUGCAACAUUACUCCAAGAGAAGUAACGUCAAGCCCAGUUAUCUAGUUUUUUUCUUCUUCUUGUUUUGCAUACUCAACCUAAGCAUUUUGUAUUAGUAAUAAUGCUACAAAGCACUAUAUUUUGUUUUAGAAAUUGCACCCGAAUUAACGAGUGCAGAUGACAACUUUUUUGGUGUGUUAAUAACAGCUCCCUAGUUUAAAGGGUUAGUAUUAAGGCUUUAUGGGUGAAACAAGAAAUCAAUAUAAUCGAUGCUAAGAAGCUAGAACUGGUGUGUAUGAUUGGCAUGAAAAUGGGUAUGUAACACAAGCAGAUUCAUUUCACAUGCUGGUGGUAUAUGACUACAAAAGUGUUUUCUGCUUCUUUUAUUAGAAAACUUGAGCACAUAUCGAGAGUUGUUUUUGACCUUCUUUAAACAACAAUAAUAAGAGUGCUAGUAUAAUACUGCAAUAGCAAAAUUAGUUACGUUUACAUUCUCUAAGACCAAACCUUUGUGUGUAAGCAUUAAAGUGGUUUGGAGUCCAAUAAUGGUGAGUGUCGAGUUCACAUGCCGUUCAAGAAUGAACAAGUUACCUUAUGGAAAAUCAUUCCCUCCUUCCCUCCUUCCCUCCUUCCCUUGUAAGUAGAAACUCCUACAUUCCUACCAAUAACAAUAUGAUAUGUGUAGAAGUUUUUCUUUUUGUGUUUGUAGACAUAGAAAUUUUAGUGAAUUAAAAAUUCACUAAUUUACUUUCAAUAGUCAAAAUUCAAAAUUUGGCUAGUCAAAGAUAACUAGAAAAUAUGUGGAUCCCACACAAAUACACGUGGCACAUGACUCACGCAGACAAAGGUGUGCACCGGAGAUGACACAUGUUAGCAUCUAAGAGCUUCAUCAAUCCAAUGAAAUCAUAUGCCAAAAAGGAAUAAAUUAUCCUUAUUUGGUCAUCUUCCUAAAUCACGAGUUAAUUUCCCUAAAUGAAAGAUUUUGACGUAAUUAACAUCUAAAGUAAAUCAAUUAGCUCAAAUUAAAUCAAAUUAGAAAUCAAUCCCACAAAUCAAGGGAUUCAGAUUGGGGAUUCCAAACCAAGACCCAAUUCUUUUCCUAUAAAUACUAGGCUCAUAUUCGCGAGAAAGGACCUUCACCUCACUUUGUUUCAUUUUGGCUCAAUUUGGGAGUUUUUGUUUGAUUUGGGUUUAAUCGAGCCCAGUCAACCGGCCCACUCUGAUACCAUGUUAAAACUUCAGAGGGACGAACUUUUGGCCCAUCACUAACAAUAUUGAUAUUGUCCCCAACUUAACCACCUGUUUAGCAGGUGUAUGGUUUGUACAAAAAUUCUCAAUGUUAUUAGAAGUGAAACCAUUUAUUAUAUGGAACUUUCUAUUUUGUUAAGUUUCCGAUGCGGGACUCGUGUUCUUGUCUCAUUUGUCGCAAGAUUUUCGUUUUUACAGUGUUCUUGAUGAAUUAUUUUUGCACAUGUGUCAAACUGUGAUUUGCAAGCCCGAUGUCAAAGUUUCAAUGGCUAUCCAAGUCAUGAUUGCCUUUAGGAAAGGUAAGUGGUUAGUUCCAUACAUGUUACUUAUGUCAUCCCUCUUAUUCUUUGAGAUUUCUUGUGAGAUUUCUAUGCGUUUGAAUCUGUAUCUCCUCCAUACACUUAGGGUUCCGUUUGAAUAUAUUCAAUUCUCCAAACCUCCAAUCAUAUUCACAUUGUGACUUGGAAACAAGUGGUUGGUGAACUUCUGCCUCAAGGCUAUUGAUAAACAUGGCUUAGUUUCGUGCCGCCAUUGAGAAGAUGAGGGGAUCAAGUCUGCAGGUGGAUAAGUAGCAAGAGUGUGGACUAGGUCCUGCAAUAUUUUGAUUGAUUGAUUUCUAGUUUUUUGAAACCCAAUAUGAAACUUGUGAUUAGUUGGUAAAUUGAUGAAAUUAGAGGUCAAUAUAAUUGUUUAUUUGAUAGAUAGUAGAUAGCUUUUGGCCCCUUUUAAGGAAAUCCUCUCACUGAAUAAAACAAAAGAAAAUUGGAUUGCUAGCUUUCUAUUCAUGUGACCCAAGAAUUUCGCUAUUUUGAUUUUGCUAGUGCUUGGUAUGGCAUGGCAACAGAUAAUUCAGAAUCUAAAUAGGUCCAGUCCAGGGGCAAAUCAAUAGGAAAUGCUAUUUGCUUUGUAAGAAUAAGAAUAAACUUCAAUGAAAUGAAAGAGUUUCGUAGGGAUUGUCUUAAUCAUCAGAUAUCAUUGAGAAAUAACAAGUGUUAUCGAACGAUUUCUUACAAUUCUUCCCAGUAUGGAACCGAUAACAGAAAAUGUUGCAAGGUCACUCGUGCAAGCAAAACCAUAUAUACUCCAAAAGAGGUUGUCGCAAUUGAAACAGUAAUUCAUUCCACAAGUAAGCAGAAAAAUUUUUGGCAAAAGAAAUAAAAAGAUGCCAGAUAAAAUAUAUGAACAAACUCCUCUUCUAUUUUUCUGUUCAAAUGAAAUAUUUGAACAAGCUCAUCUUUUACAUUUGCGGCUGAGCUAGAGAAAGCUUUAGCAAGCAGAAACCUGGAACAGCUCACCGUAAUGCCGCCGCCACAGGACGCAUAGAUUUAUGACUACCACCAGGAGGGCUGACCUUUUUGCAUGGUGAUGAUCCCACUCUCUUCCUUCUCUUGUUCGAAGAACCUUCACUUUGAGGCCCGACCAUGGCAGCAAGAAGUUGGCUUCCCCUGUCCCUUGUCAAACUCUUUUUUGAAAGAUAUCUGAAAGCUUCAAUUCUCUUUGAAUCAUCUACAUCAUUGUUGGAAGGUCUUUUACAGAGCGCAUUGUCUGCUGACUUCAAAUGAUCACUUCGAAUAAUAUUGUUCAAUGAUCUUUUGCAGGCCACAUUGUCCACUGACUUGGAAUGAUCGCGCGGAAGACAAUAUAUUGGCUCUGAAAAAUUCAAUUCGACCUCAUUAAGUUAGUUGCAUUCAUAAAUUUCAAGGGAAAGGUAAUAAAAUCUUUUGAUCAGAGUGUAUUUGCUUACCUGGAGACUCAAAAGAAGGCAGAUCAGGACUAGGAGAUCUGGGUGGUGUCAUAGGAUGGAGAUAAACUUUAGGAGACCUUUUAUGGCACCUAUUUCCACCAAGAGACGAUGUACUACAUAUAUUCUCAUUGUUGUGUGAUUUUCCAUCAAAGGAGUUACUUGCCCUCCCUGGAGUUGAAGCAUCAAUCACAGCAGCACUAUCUUUAGUCUCCUUGGAACAACCAUCGGCUGCAUCUCUAGUGUCAAUGACCUCAACCUCUUCACAUCUUGCUCGAGGCAACGAAAGAGUAAUUCUCUCAUGAGCAUCUCCGGGUUCAUUGGCAACACAACAAUCAACAUUGUUUACACUAGGAGAUAAAAUACUGACACUCUCGACAUUCUCUAGGACUGACUUAGGUGAUGUAUUCGUCAUAGCUGGAUCCAAGCAUGGCUUUAGUGAUUCCACUAUGCUAGAAAACCAAGGAGUACCCUGCCUUGCAUAGAACAGAAUGUAGGCCUCCUGUGACAGAACAAAUUCUUCUUGAACCCUAGUGACCUACAAAAAUAACAGUGGAACUUUUAGUGUAAAUCUUAAUACUACUAUAUUUGAGGGUAAAACCUGAUGGAAACAAUCCAAUUACCAUAGAUCAUCAUUACCGUUUAUUGCAUGUAAACAUACAACAAGAACAAAGAUCAUAUCAUAAAGAUCGUUUAUACAAAAACAAAUGAAAGAAGCCAUGAAUGGCAAGACAAUCACUUCCACACACCAGCUUCACAAGAAUUACAAAGUCAUGCAGAUAAAACAGUUACAAUGAAUUGUUUAUUACGGAAUGCAUAAAGAAAAUAAUUACCUUUGAGUCAUCCAACCUAUGCCAUGUAUCUGGAGAUGACCGAAUGAAGCAAAAGUAAUGUCCAGAAGUAGAUGAGAACCCAACAUGCUCCACAAUUGCAUAAAGUUCAUACUUCAAUUCCACCUAUUGCCAAGAAACAGGAAAUUAGAACUAGAGAGACCACACCAUUCUUUUUCUUGAUUAAAAUUGGAGGGAAUCGAAUCUUGGAUCUACCCUAAUCCUAACCCAUUACCCCACCAUUUACAGAUAACCCCCAAGGGCUUGAGAAACAACAGCCAUUUAAACAUAGCUAAAACACAAACAUGACAUUCAGCUAACCUUCAUUUUUAGAUCAUUUAACCAUUAUCAUGUGUUAAAAAAACCUUGCAUUUCUUAUAAGUUAUAACUGAUACCAAUUUGAUUAUGAAGAAACUAAAGGCAGCAAUCACAUUACUGUUGGUCCCACUGGUUGACUAAUAGUCCAAAUCCGAAGGAAAAUCAACAUAUUCUGUGUAAAAAAUAAUUAUAAUAAUAAUAAGCAGCAACUCACAUUAUUGUCACUGCCACUGGUGUAGGGCUUCAAGUCCAACUCCAAAGGAAAUUCUACAUGUUUUUCAAUCUUCUCAACAUGAGAUCCAUCAGUCUUAAAUCUCUUCAGAUGAAAUGCAGCAACUGGAGGGGCCUGGUCCACCACAAGCUGCUUCUCCACUGAUACUUCUUCCUUGCAGUUCUCACAUGUAAACUUUGUCUCCAAGUCAUUGAUAGUUUCUAUCUUAGUGAAGGACUCCAGGGCCCUUUGGAGAGUCUCUGCAUCUUCAAUCUCCAAACUCAGAUCAAUCAGAGGUUCGUAAGUGUCAGAACAGUGACCACAAUUGCAACAUCGAAGCUGAAAGUAAUUCAUACACACAAAAAUCAAUAAGAAUUAUAAUAAAAUAUUGAUUUUCCAUCAAAUUUAACCAUAGCAGAAUGAAUCAUGGCAAUCAGAUAUGGAGUCAUACUUUGCUUAGGAGACGACCACCAAAAACCCUUUCCACAAGAUUAUGGUCUUGGGCAGAUGGACUCUCCUUUUCCAACGAAUCCAAACAAGAUUUCUCAAGUUUGUCUAAGAAGCAUUGCAAGAACUCAUGGGCAUCUUCUUGCUGGUAUCUUUGGAAGAAAGAUGAGAAAUCUAGUAGCAUGAGGGUUAAGAAUCACAUUCGGAUGUAAACUUCUCAGGGUAAAACUACAGAAUUUUCAAAGCUUCAGGUAGAAUUACAUAUUUCACAACAAAAAUUAGUGCAACUGCUCAAUCAAAAUCAAUCACUUGUAGGGGCUUCAUAAGUUACUCUCUUUUUUUCAUUCAAAACAAAGAAAAGAACAAUCACAAUCACAAUUUUAUGCCCAGAAAUCUCAACACGUAUGAUCAAAAGGAUACGAUUCAAAUUGUCGACAAGUUUCCAUGGUGAAAUAACUCUUCCUGAAGAGGCUACUGAAAGAUCAACAUGGUCGUGAAGAGCACAAAGAACACAGAAUCCUUCACUACCACCUACACAAUCCCAAUUUCAGAUUUUAAAUUAGUACAUUUAUUAAGAAAUCAGCAAAACUAACUAGCUGCAUAAAGCUUCCAACAAUUAAGAAAAAUAUCAGAUAAGAACAUAAAGCAAACGCAAUAGAAACCAAGGCCUUACGAUCACAGGGCAUGGAAUGACUGCAAGAAUGAAGACCCUCCACGAGUGGCACAGUGUGCGUGAAGCAUUGCAGAAUUGCAUUCAUAAAGCAUGUGUUGCCUAGAUUUGCAAGCCCUGCACCCUGCAACACCAAAACGACAACAAAACUUAACAUCCCAAAAUUACUUAGACUAAAAUUAAACGCAAAAUGAAUAAUAAUUAUAAUUUUUAAUGUAAAAUAAAUGCAAAGUUUCAAACAGGUUCAAAGCAAAGGGGCAUACCACCAUAGAGGGCUUUGUUUCACAUAUUGAAAACUGGGAAUCCGAGGAAAUCACUGAUUCCUUGGUAGAAUUCGACGACCACCGAGAAGACCAAGAAGGUGCGGAAGACGACCACCGCGAUAGUCCUGAAGACUCCGAAUGUGGAUCCGAUUCAUAAUUUGAUAAAUCGUUACCAACAAUUUUGAGAGGCGAAGGCGGUGAUGGUUCAUCUUCUUGGCCUUCUUCAACAGAUGGUGAAGACCCAGUUGGGUUUGGCAAAGAAGAAUCCGAAGCCAUAUCGUCUAGGGCUUUGAGAGGUGAAGAUGGCGAAGACCCAUUUGCAUUUUCUGCGAUAGAAACCAAAGCAUGGUCAUCUACGGCUUCCUUUUGUGAAAAUGGCGAAGACCCAUCUAGGGUUUCUGCAAGAGCAGGCAUUAAAGCUGGAGAGGUUGAAUUUCCCACUUGGGUCUUCGUGAGAAGUGAGUCUGGAGGCAAAAGGUUGGCUUCUGAGAGAUGAAUUUUCCACUGAAGCUCUUGAGAUUCUAGAAAUGGGCUUUUCAACGAACUGAAAAUUGAAUCUGAAAUUGGAAUUUGGGGUUGGCUCCACGAAUUAGGAGGGAAAUGGGGAUUUGGGUUUUGAGAAUUUUGCUUUUAAAAUAUUUUUGGGGGUUUCGGGAAGUUGAAGCUGUCGGUUGAAAGGAGGGAAAGGCGAAAAAAAGUGUUUCGAAAAUUUUUGGGUUUUGGAAAAGGAGGGAAAACUCCAAAGUCUCCUCCAAUUUGGUACCAAAGUUCAGAAAAGAGAGGGAAGAGAGAGACGGGAAAGAUGUCGUUUUUCUUUAUUUUCAGAAGUUUCAUGUGUUUUUUUUUUCUUGGUUGAAAAAAGAAGUUGCAUGUUAUGUUAGUGUAGUGAAAUAUGGGUGAGGAAAAUUACAAUUAAUUGGUAACAAAGGGGCUCAUUUGUAGGAUUUCGUAAGUUUUGAUAUCCGUUUGUAGGGUCUUACAAGUUCAUGUAUGAAUUUGAAAUGAUACCCAAAAUUUGGUGUUUUAUGUAAUUGAUCUUAGAAUAUAUUAGGAAAUAAAGAUAUUUAUUAAAUGAGAGUAAUAUAGUAAAUUAAUAGUUUUUAAUAUUAAAAAGAUAUAUAAAAUAAAAUAAAAAAGGAGAACAUGGGUCCUAUUUUCAUGGACACAAAUAGACCCAUUUUCUCUUUUUUAAUUUUAAAUUAAAACAAUAAGAAUAAAUAAUAAAUAAACGCAAUUGGCACUCUUGAGCAUGUGCUCAAGAGCUAGUAUGUGUAUUAUUUUUUAUUAUUUUUAGAAUAGCUAGAAUGUGUAUUAAACAUGGCGAUUUUAAAAUAUAUAUAUAUAUAUGUCGCCAUAUUUUUUUGAAGUGCAUGGAAAAAUGAAGUAUUUUUUUAGCAAUACAUACAUCUAUCUAUCUAUCUAUCUAUAUAUAUAAAGCAAAAGGCAGAGAAUGGUGAAACAUUCAAAAUACCAAAAAAUGCCCUUGGUUAAUGCAAACAUUAAGAAUUGAAAUUAUUAAUUAAAUGAGGAUAAUAUGGUAAAUUCACAAUUUUUUGUAUUAAAAAAUUAAAAUUAAAAGAAAAUUCAGAUAAUGGGUCCUAUUUUUAUGGAACACAAAUAUCCAUUAUUUUUUUUAAUUCUAAAAUAAAUUAAAAUUUUUAUAAAAAAAAACCUCUCGCAUGCGCGGAAGCGCGUGCAAAGAAGCUAGUACGUUUAUAAUACAUGAAUUCACUAAAUACCUUUUCCGAAAGAUGGAAAAAAUCUCUAGGCAUGUUUGGGAAUGUUUCUACAGAAAAUGUUAUAGUCAUAACCACUUUUAUUUUCUUUUCUUUUUUUUUGGUUUGGCACUUUUACUAUAAGCAUAUCCUUUAUUAAAAUAAAAAAUCUAAGCUCUUCUUUUUUUAAUUUUUUGGUCCGAAAAAAUCCAAGCUCUUCUAUAACUUACUUGAAGUUUACAUUCCCGAAGAUGAAAAUGCAGAAAUUUGUUGUGACCCCCAUUGUGGAUUGACAAUCACAUAUGCAUCUCUAAAAAUUAUUGCAAAAGCUGGCCUAAGGAAUUUUGAGAAUCAAUGUUAAUUGACUAUAUCUAUCAAAUUGUAUUGGAUUGAAUGAUUUUAACAACAUGAAAAUGAACAAGUGAUCAAAAUCUCAAGGACAAAUCAAAGUUUUAACAGAAUACAGUAUCCUUUGCCUUGCUCUCUUGACACAAAGCAGUAAUGUUAUGGUGGUUUACAGAAACAAGAACGCAUAUGAUCAAAUCUCAGAACAGUACCUGUGCUACAAAAUAAAACACCAGCCACUCUUCUUAAGCCUGGAGAAUUUUGAUAAGUCUUAUUUGUCUUUAAAAAAAAUUUAUGAACUCUUCUUUACAAUCACUACAUAUGAUAAUGGCUGGUGUACUUUAACAAAUAAAGACAACGCAUAUCAACAUUAGAGGAUUCUGUCCUGAAGAUCCGUCAUUAAAUUGGAUGCCAAGGAGCUAAGCUUCUUCCCGGUCUCUCCAGCAAUGUUUUUUAGGGAAGAGAUAUCCUGUUGUGCCUGGAAAGGAGAAUACACAAAGAUUAAACCGAAAUUAGUUAAACAAAAGGCUGGAAACUCAAAAAGGAAAAGAAGACUAAUUUCUGAUCAGACAUGGCCAAAAUAUGAUAAACAUAUGACAAAAAAAUUGAAUUCCAAUGACUCAAAAACAACUGGAAAUUUCUUAUAUGCAAGGCAUACCUGAAAAGACAGUCGGUUGAUAAGGUCACUUGCCGUAAGAUCAAGGGGCAAAUUAUCAUCCCUGUCGCCAAAUAGAUCAGCACUUGAGAUGGCAGCGGAACCCUGGAAGUAGCAAGAAAUUUGUGUUAGUUUUUUUUUUUUUUUUUUUUUUUUUUGGUGUGGGGUCAAAGUUUCACAUUUGAGUCUAAUAACUUCAAGCACCCACCACGCUUCAGCUGAGAUAGUUUAAUGAAAGUGAAAGAAAAAAAACGAAGCAGCUGAGAUAGUUUAAUGACAGUCGAAGAAAAAAAACGAAGCAGCAUUCGUGUUCCCAAGUUAUCAUGGUAAUGUCCGGAAUCAGAAAACUACAAACACAAUUGUAUGAACUGAUUUGUAUGCCAAAGAUGUGUUGAUGUUGCAAAAGACAAUUAUCUUUGAUUUUAAUUAUUUCCUCGGCAUAUACUCCGACAAAUAUGAGGUCUAGCUGAAUGAAAGCUACAGGGCAGGACUUCAAUAAAUAAAAAAUACUAAAGACAAAAGGGAAUUCAAAUUCAAAAGAAAUUCCCAGUUGAACUGGGUUUAGUUGAUUAUGAUAGUAAUGAUACAUACCGAGAACUUCUGCAAGGAGGCUUGAGCAUCAACAUCAGCAGAUUUGUUCUGAUCACCAAAAAAUUGUGCGGAAGAGAUAGAUUUUGCAUUUGUGAAUUUCUUCCUUGCUUCAUCAGUUUCCUGAAUCUGAAAAACAAUAAAACAUCAAUAUAAAGAAACACACACAAAAUAACAUGAACAGAAAUGCAAACUGGUUAUCAGUGUGCUGAACCAUGACAUAAAGCAACUCUGUUAUAUGUCACAAGUUGGUGUCUCCAUCAGCCAAUAUGCAAGUGCAAAAAGACAAUUGCAAAAAUAACCAAAAGAGCAAACACUAUAAGACAGAUUUUUUAGAUUGAGGAAACCACCAGCAGCAUACGUCUUCCGAAAACGGGCUAAACAUUCCCACAGUAUCCAUCAGGACUGGAUAUCAUGCAUGAGAAGGAUAGUACAUUCCCAUUGUCAUAAUGAUUCUUUAAAUAACGCUACCAUUUGAUAAAAUAAGGCCCCACUAUUUGAUAAAACAAGGCCUUACCAUUUGAGGCAUAUGGUCAUUGCCACUUAAAAACAACAUAAAAUUGGAAUGGAGCAAACGAAAGUACUCCUCGCCAAGCAUACAUGAACCAUUUAAAGGAUAAUGUAACUCACUCAACAAUCUCAUGUUCUUUUGUUUAUUUUUUAAGACAAUAAUCUGCCUAUUAGAUUACGAUUAUAAAAACUUCAAAUUGUAGUGACUGCCUGAAAAGGAAUGUUUUUACUCCAGAACUUAGAUAACCAAAUACAUGUAAUACGUUAGGAUGCUUUCUCACCCAUGGGGGAAAAUUUGCCUACUCGUUUACUUCUGAGUAGAAUUUCUGGACCUUACAGAUUUUAGGAAUAUGAAAACUGUUACACAAUACAAAAACUCCAUUUGGUUGCUUCCCAUAUUACUAAUAUCAAGCAAACGGACUUGAGCCUCUUUAGGAUAAACAUAAAGCAUUUCAAUUAAUUAGUGGUGACCUUAAAAACAAUGAAUGGCCGGAAAAUAAAGAAAAAGAACAAACACUCAGAAACUACAAAUGUGUAAAUUACUCCUUUUAAUGAACAUACAGGAAGCAAAAACAUCACUUCAAUUAAUUAGUGGUGACCUUAAAAGUUGAAUUUCACUGAACAAUGUUGAAUUAAAUGCUGGAGUAAUAACUAUCCAGACAGUUCAGGGGCAAGUUUGAAAAGUUCAGAGGCAAGUAUUAACAAAUUUCUUUAAAAAAUAUUUUCUAUGAUAUACGAGCAGAUUUGUUAUAGACACAGCCCCAAUUUCACAAAGUUUUGGUAAAUGAUUCCUUCCUCAUCCAUAUCAACCUGCAGUAUAACUACAGAGAAGAACGAUAUAUUCAUCCUCAUCUAGGAAUUGAGGUGUUCUGAGUUUGAUUAGAAACUUAAAAAUGCAUUACCCUUGUGACAUCAAUGGAGGCUUUUGCAAAUACAAUUAAAACAUUAAUAGUAAAAUAAAACUAAACAGUAAAACUAUGAAAAACAAACAAGUAGACAGUUUUCACCCCACCAUUAUUUAAACUGUAGCAGCUUUUUAUUUCCUUCUAAACUCAGUUUUGUACUUUACUAUGUUCCCCUCUUUAGAUAAAUUUGUUUGUUUGAACCGUUUCUUAUAGCAAAAGGGAUUUCAGGGUCUUCAAAACUUAAACAAAAACCUGAAGCUUGUCCCUUUUAUGAUACAAUAGAUUUCAUGUCUGACCAUUGUUUCUCAUCAUAGUAAUACAGUGUCUAUUUUCUUCUUUCUUCUUUCUUCCUUGACCAGAUGAUAGGAAAAGCUUAGCCUUUUUGGUUCUCUUAAAUUUGUCACCCUAACACUUCUAAAUCAUGUCAAGCCUUAAAUCCUGGUGUGAAAAGUGCAAUAUAGAUUAGGGAAUUGGAGCCUUAAUUUUUUUCACAUUGUAGCAGGUCCUAAAUUAACGAUUUAUUUCUAAAGAACUAAUAUUUAUUAGUGGGCAAGUAACAAGAAACAUAAAAAACAAAUUAGUUCCCUUGGGAAAACUACUUAUAUGUGAAUGUCAUUGGUCGAAUAUAACUUACUUGAACUUUGGAGGAAUUUGAACUAGUUCUCUUGGGAAAAUUACUGUCCAUUCCAAAAUCCGCAAAGAAAUUUGACGACUUUGGUGGAGCAAUAUGACUAAUUACAUGAGCGCCAUUGGGAUUCGUCUCAGGAUUUUGGAUAAUUUCUACAUACUCAAAACGAGACACAAAGGACGAGCCAGCUGUUGUUGGAGUGCUGUUAGUUGAGGAAGGCACUGGUAUAACAGGUUCUUCAGGUUUCUGAUCGUACAGGCUUUCACUUGACUGCAUUUGAUAAAAGUUAUCUCGCUAAGAAAAAGGCAUUUUCCCUAAAAAUAUAAUAAAAUAGGAAACAGAACUCAAAGAUACCAUUGCUGAUAAAUAAUUUAUUCUAAGCGAUAAUAAGAAAUCACAACCUUUGUAGUAAGUUUGCGAGCACCAAGCCCCCCAGUCUUCCCAGUUUUCUUAGCACCAAGAGGCUUCUUGACAGUACUGGUAACAAAUGUAUGGGGGGCUUUCGGGGGAGCAGAGACUUCAGGGGUUUCUUUCCUUGCUAAAGAUGUUUCUUUUGGAGCUUCACUGGUCUUGACAUCAGGAAGCCCGUUAGAUGCUUGUCCUGACUGAGAUGCAACAGGUGAUGACGGAAGACCUGCCUCUUCUGCCAUACUUUUGGCAACUUCUUUAGAAAGCAUCUGCCUGUAUAAAUCGGCAGCUCUUGAUGUAUAUUUUGCCUCAAUUUUGCCUCCAUCCGUCCAUCCAUGCUGCUUAAAGAAAACCUGUGCGCGGUUGUUUCCACCGAAGCUCAUCGUUUUAAGCUGUUCAGGAGUCCAUGAGUCUAAAUUUGUGGAUCUGCACAAAUUAAACAAAUCAAUUAUAAGAUUGUCAUUGUCGCGAUUUUGCUUUUGCAGUUAUUUCUAAAGAUUAAACCCAAAUGUGAAUUUCAAAUAGGAUGCAUUAUUAAAUCUAAAUGAUCUGACAAUCAUAUUCAACUCAACCUUUGAAAAAUACACAUGAUUUUACUUGUACAAUCCAUUAAAAAACAAAUUAUUUAUCAAGAAAGUAUCUUUUAUGUAAACUUAGAAUCAUUACAUGGAGAAUAAAUCUAGGUCCAAUUUCAUUACAUGGAGAAGUGAAAUCUGAAUUCAAACUAUCAUAUCCACCCCUGAUGCUAAAAUAAUCUCAACAAUCGAAGGUGGGGAAAGAUGACGGGGGAUGGAGGGGAGGGCCAAGGGGUGUGGAGACAGGAAGAUUCUGAGUGAGCGGGGGAUUGGGGUAGGGAGGGGGGAGAGUGGAUUGUUUGGGAAGACCACAUUGAGGAGGGGAAAUGGUUGGUAGGCAAGAUCGGGCAGGAGGGGGGUGGGGGAAGGUCGUCAUCUGGAGGAAAGGGAUGUGCUCUGAGAACAUCCUUGGAAAGGGCUCGUCUAGGAAGAUCGGGGAAGGACGAGGGGAAAGUAACAGGAAAGCUUUUCCAUUAAGUGGAAAGUAACAACGAAUAAACGCAUAAGUCAUUAUGGAAAGAACUGCUAAUAAUUUUGAAUCACAUAAAACUAAUGGCUUCAUUGCAGUCGUAUGGGUGCGUGUGUGUGCAACUUCUUAUCUACCUUUGAAGUCUUCCUAAGAAUGCAUGCAACAGUUCCCUUGUUUGCCUUAUAGUUUCAGUUGUACUUCAGAUAUUAAGUUUGGGUCAAAUUGUAGGACUUAUACUCCAUCUAGCUCAAACAGAUACAAAGAACCACAAGAGGUGCUUUCCACAAAUCUCCUUUCUAUUAAAAGAACAAAACAGAUCACGGUUCCUAAAAUAAAGCAUAACCUUUCGCACUUCUGGCCCAAGUUUCUUGCUGCACCCUCCAUCCAAUCCCAUCAAACGUCUAUCUAAUUACCAAAUUCCUAAGAUUUAAUUAAUGAUACAAACUAUGACUCCGAUCCCCAACAUGUAACGUGAUUUCAGUUCCCUCUUAUUUAAAAACAUAACUUUGAGUUCUCGUAACAUAAAUUAGAUUACAUCACAAAAUGCACCAAUAGUUAAAGCAAUAAACAUUCAAUCAUAUGUACUCAAAACAGCUACUCCAACACCCAAAAUAUAACAAAAUACGGAUUGAGAGAAUUAAGGAUCCUUACUGCCACAUGAAACAUACCUAACAAAGCUGAUGUGAACGCCGAGACUGCGGUGAGCGGCCGAGCAAUCGAUGCAGAGAAAGAUCCCAUAUGUAACCGAGGCCCAAGUUGGGUUCUUUGCAUUGCAAUCGAAACACAUCUGGAGCAAAAACCCACAAAACGAAAAUCAAAACUCAAGAUCCAAGCACAGAACACAGAUCUGAAUCAGAUCUAACAGACCCAUAUCGAAUUUUGCAUCAAAAUCAAAAACCCAUAUAAAAGUUUUAAGAAUAACCCAAACAAAAAAGGCAAAAUGAUAUUAAAAAAACAAAAGAACCUUGUUUUCUGACUUUGCUUUCAGUUUUCUGAAAACAGCGUUCUUGUCAUUGAAGAUUUCGGACGCCAUUGGAGAGACAAAUCCUAGAGAAAUUAGCGAGAACAAAUGAAUCCGAAGAGGUGCUUGAACACCUCCUCAGGCAAAAGAGAGAGGUAGAGAUGUGUGGAAAUGAAACCCCAAAUUGAUUUCAGGUUCUGUUUUUUGGUUUUGGUUUUUCGUUUUGUGAAAUUUUAAACGGAACCAUUUUAUUAGCAGUGGGUAUGAUACAAUGUUGUUCAAAUGACGAAACUACCCUUGAGGUUUUAAGGGUAGUUUCGUUGUUGUCCAGUAGUGUAAUUAUUUAUCUGAAUGAAGGGCAAACGUAAUUUGUCAUGUUACGUCCAUGCCUUUUUGGUGGCAACUGGCGGUUUACCAACCGUUAACGGCUGGGCUUAUAUAGAUUGGUCAAUCUGAACCACCCAGUUCCACAUUUCUUCAACCUUGAACUUUUUAUUUUUUUAAUCAUGCUUAAUUUAGUUCAAUCUUUCUAAUUUUAAAAGCCAGAAAAAGAAAAGAGAGAAAAAUCUAUCUUUUAUCUGUUUAUACUGUUUUAUCAAAUACAUAAUCGACAAUCCAUCAGAAAAUAAAAGAGAAACCUUAAUUAUCAGGAAUGGGUGUUGGAAUGAUUAUGAUUUCUUCUUCUCCUGUGUUUACUAAUUAUGAUUUCUUCUUCUCCUGUGUUUACUAACACAUAGGUAUUGGAAUGAUUAUAAUCAUGACUUCCCAUGUGUUUAUGUUACAUAAAGAACUAAAAUUUAUGUGGAUUCCAUGCCAAAAUUUGCAAUCGAAUACCGUCAAAUUAGGAAUAGGAUCAACUAGGAGUGGUUGAUUUGAUUUUUUUUUUUUUUUUUUUUGGUAUGAGUUGAUUUGAUUCUCAUUCCUUGAUUCUGCUAUAUAAGUUCCUAGUGUCAUGACUUCUCUCAUUCCUUAUAAAUAAAUUGGAAAAUAUGAAUAAUAACCUUAAAAGCAUAGUGAAAUUUUGUUAACACCCCUUUAAGCAUAAUAAACCUUAAAAUAUCAAUAUGUUGGAACCAACCCUUUAAUUUUUCCCCUCAAUAUUCCACUUUCACCCCUCAUAAAUAAAAAAUAUUAGAAAAUAAAUAGCUAGCAACCCUCACCGUUUCAAUCCCUACGUAAGCUAUUGACAACCCCUCCACACGGACGGCAUCUAUUCCCUCUUCACACUUCCCAACUAGCAAUAUGAAGGGCAUGUUUACGUAUCAGUAAUAAAGAAAGUAAGGAAUCGGAGAAUUUAGGAAUCGGAAAACUAUUGAAUCAGUAUGGGAAGAAUCAUUCUCAUUAAGCUAUUUACUAAAUAUAUGGAAUUAGUAAAGGAAUAGGGUUGAUUCUCAUUGUUAUUGUUUACUAACUUUAAUGAAUCAGAAUCCAAAUUAAUUUGAUUACUAAAAUGCCCAGCACAUUUUCACCACAACACAUAUAUAAUUCUCAAAUUGGUUAAGGAGACCAAACUAAUCUUGCAGCAAACCAGUGAGGCGGUGUAAACAUGAGGAAUCAAUAUGCUAAACAAGAUAAACAACAGGAGCCCAGUUCAAUGAUAAAGUUAAUAACACCUUUGUCCAGAGCCAAUUUCAAACGAAAAAAUAAACUCCAAUAAAUAUAUAUCUUUCACCUACGUAACUAGUAAACAAUCAAAUAAUAAUACCUGCAUAAUCUUCAUACGAUUAAAUAUAUGGAACUUCUUGGAACUGAGUUUUUAUUUUUUUUAGGGUAGAGCGUCUUGGAACUUUUUGGCGUGAGUUUUUUUUAUUUUUUAUUUUUUAGGGUUUGGGGUGUUUUGGAAUUAUGGUAAGGUUGUAAGGGUAUUUUUGAAAGUUAUUAAGAGAAAACAGGAAUGGGAAUCAAAUCAACUACUCCCCUUAGUUGAUCUAAUACCUUGUUUUGAGAAGAUAUGAUUACGGAUUUUGAGGUGGGGUCCACUUAUUUUUUCAUUCCUGAUUGCAAGUAAACGUAGGGGAAGUUAGGAAUGGAAAUCAUUCUCUUUCCUCCCAUACCCAUUACUGAUAUGUAAACAUGCCCUAAGAGUGAGUUUUUGAUUUAAUACUUUGUACUAGAGAUGGAAAAAAUGUACAUAAUUCUUUUUUCUUUAUAUUGAGCGUGUGUUUAGUUAGGCGUGGGCGGAACUUGGGGUGUGUAAUGUGAGCAAUUGCACAGAGGUCUAAUUUUAGAAGGGCCCCAAAUUAUAAUAUUGUUCAACAUAUAUAUAUAUAUAUUAUAUCAUAUAUUUGCUUUUAGUUAAUAUAUUCACAUCCAAAUAAAAACGUAUACUCGCUAUAUCAAUUCAUUUAUCUUAUAUUCCCAUAUAAUAUGUAACGACUCAUUCUAAUUUUUUUAUUGAUUUACUUAAAUCCCUAUUCAACCCUUAGGGACGAAACGUGACUAAGUAGGGCCUCGGUUAACCCUUCACCCAACCCUCCCCAUUUUACAAGCUUUCAAAUGUCAUGGUUUCGCUUUUUCAAUCUCAUAUUGUUGCUAUAUGAUGUACUGUGAACAAAUAAAGGGUGUAUUUUAGUUUAGUACUACGAAUAGUACACGUAUUUUGAGUUUUAAUAAUUUGGUACCUUAACAUUUUCAAAUUUUGCUUCAAUUCAACUUGUUAUACUCAAAAUGUCAAUAAGGCACACCCUCAAAAGCCCAAAGCAGACUAGGCCUAGCUCACUUAGGAAGUGACUGGCCCUCUCCAAAAACCCUAAAUCGGCUUCCCCUAAGAUUGCCUAGGCUCGAUUGAGACAAGGCAAGGUCACCCAAGCCCAUGCAACGACCAGGCACUAAGGCCUCACGCACCAAUCCUGAAGGGAAUAUGGUGGGAAUGGUGUUGUGUAGAAAUUUCUAAAAACUCUACAACCAAACUUUGAGAGUAUAAAUCACCUAGCAAGCCAUAUCUAAUAUGAAAUCAAAGUAAGAGCAGAAGCAUUAAAUAAACUAGGGAUUCAUGCAAGUCUCAUUUGGUCCCAAUCUUUAUAAGUAUAUGAAAGUGUGCACGAAAGACUCUCUAAAUCCUAUUUGAAAGAAAGAAAAGAUGUUCAUACCCUUGGAGUGAAUCUUGAAACCAAGAAUGGUGUUCAAUUAGAAGGAGUGAUCCCUUUAUUGUUGGCUCUCCCUUUGAUGUUGAUUCUCCACCUUGUAGCUCUCCAAAUAGGUACAAAGAUAUGCACCUCCCUAAAGCUCUUCACCAAUGAUUGAAUGGGAUGAGAGAAUGUGUAGAUAACAAGUGAAGAGUGGUGCUAGCACCCUCACUUGAUGUGAUAGAUUGAAGGGGUUAGGGAGAGAGAGCUUGAUGUUUUCUUUCUCCCAAUUUCACCAACUUGAAAAACCCUAGGAUGAUAGAAUUUCAUAUCUACACAUUUAUAGGAUAAAAAAUGUCACAAGAGUGACAAAAAUGCCCCUAAACCCUAGUGUAGCCACAUCCCCCUCCCCCAAAGCCCAUUUUCUCUUUUUUGUGUGUCAUCUUUUGCUAUCUUGGUCUAACACAUUAAUCCUAUAAUGUGUCACAUGUGUGCCUAAAUCCAUAUGGUCAAAUCCCUUUUGAAUUUCCAAGUCAUAUGGGACCUUUAAUUAAAGUUUCAUAACUUUAAUUGAAUAAUUAAAUUAAUCUAAUUUUUUUUUAUUUCUCUAGUGACUUGACUAAUUUCAUCACUCACUUGUCUAACGAGUGUUAGUCCCAGUCAUCCUUAGUUGACCGUGUCAAGUGUCGAGUCAACCGUAUGACCUUUGACUUUUGACUUUAACCUUUGAAUUUCACAUUGACUUUGACCAAGUCACAAAAUCAUUCAUUCUCUUCAUAAUUUUCCAAUCGAUUCCUUUUCUGUGUGCGAUCUUAUGGGUUCUAAUUAGCGAGGCAGUGGGUAUGAAUUAUUUACUCUGAAUCUAGUGUAAAUUGUAUCCCUCCUUAUAAUUCUCCCUAUUGGCAAAGGCUAAUUAUAAUUAGUCCUUAUAAGGCUUUCACAAGCCAUGAGUGACACCUAGCAGUAUGUCAUGGCUACCCAAGCUAAAAAGAAUUCAUUUAGAGAACCUAGUCAUUUUGCGAUUACAAUGCAAUUCGAUCCUUCUCUAAUUCAAUACUCUAUGUCAUAUUCUCGGGAUAUGGUAAACUUGUGUCAAAAUCCCUAAUAUAACAUCUCUAGAUUAUAUGAUUCAAUUUGAUGAAAUUGCAAACGUUCUUAUUUCAAUUUCCAUCCAAUACUUUGGCCAAAGAUUCACGAAUCAUAUCUUUAGAGUAUUCUCUCUUCUUACUAAGAGCAGAGGAUUCUUGUUGUAUAUUCACCUGUCGCUGCGUACAUGCUAAGAAUCCUGAGGAACACCUUUAGGUCAAAUAAUUUUGAUACGACCGUAUAGUGUUAUUAAAGAGGAACAACAUAUAUACAAGACAACUGUGAUGUCUCAGGUCUAAGGAUUAAUUUGCAUUAUCACAACUUAGAAUUCUUUGUUUGACACUUGUGAGUAAGACUUCCAUACAAGAAUUCUAUAGUUGAUCACAUUCAGCAGACUCCAUCUUCUAUAGAGCACCUACACAUCUGUCUCAGUGUCUUUACACGAAUGACAUACUCUCUUACUGCAUCUCCAAAGAUUUAUCAUUAUAAAAAAAAUUAAAAAAAAAUUUGCCACUCAAUUACUGUUAUCAUACAGAUUUUGAUCUAAUUAAAUUAGCAUGAAAGGGAUUCAUCCCAGUGAGAUUCUGGAUCGACAAGGGAAUCCUAAACACAAGAAAUGUUAUGCAGUUGUCAUGUAAACACGCCCAACACUGUGUUGUUGGGAGAAAGGGGGAAAAUGAAGGAAUAAAUAUCAAUUACUCACGAAUUUGUUUUUAAAGGUAAUGCCUCUCUCCAUUUUUUGGUCGUGAGAGGUAAUGCCUCUCUUUGGUGCACAGAGGAAUGCGUUAUAUACAUGGGCUUGCAGCCCGGGCUUCUAUGGGCAGGCCGGGUUAGGUUUUAUGGACUCAAACAAGGCAGGUCAAGCUUUAAACACCCUAAUUCAAGCCGGCCAUUAAAUAACAGGUUGGGCUUUUUCUCAAUGGGUCGGGUGGGCCUCUAUUGGCCCAUGAGCUCGAGGGCUAAAUGGUAAUCCCAAAUUUAAUAUACAUAAGACAUGUGAUUUGAACUCUCCAACUUACUGCAAUGCUUUUUUAAAAUAAAAAUAAAAUAUUUCCACAUGUCUGGUACACCAGCUGGUGUACCCGGAACAUACAAAAAUUUCUCCUAUUUUUUAAGUCUUUAUUCAUAGAUUAUCUUUGCAAAAAAUUAGACAAAUUGAAAACCAUUAAGUGAUCUAAUUGUGACCAACGAAAUAGACUAAUAAUACCGUGCUCCAAGAAAAUACUAAAAUAACAGUCAUCUUUUUGAGAUUCAAGUGAUUUUUUUUUCCAGAGUUAACUUUAAAGAAAUAUCUAAAAACUAGACGAUUCUUAUCACUGAAAAACAAUACAUGUAAAUAGUGCAAUCCACUCACUAAUUUAAGAAGUUGGGCUUGUGCUUGAAUUCUACAUGCUUUAGCUACUCCCGCCACUCCCGCAAGUCACGAAUUUGGGUGAUUCUUAGGCCCACGUUUGAGUCCACACUCUCUUGUCAUGUUGACCAUAAAUAAUUGUUGUUUUCAUAAUAGAACUAGCUGUAAGCAAACAGAUCACGUCACCACUUUUAGAUUUCAAAAGUAUGUUGGGCAAACGUUGAUUCAUUCAUGGUUGAUGUUCCUGAUUUGUCAUUUAUAUUAGUUUUGCGGCUAAAAAUGGAGAAGGGUACAGAAGAGAUGUUGGUAUAUCAUUGGCCUGGACCAACAUUUGCAUAAUUGAACUCAACCCACCUUUAUAUAUGUUCAAAAUUUAAAACUUUUUCUUUUCGAAGUUAGGAUAGGGGAGAGAAUUUCUCUCACACACUGCCAAAGUAUCAUGAAAGUUCAAAUAUAAGACCACUAGUCGGCAAGUAAAAACUUUUUUCUACUGGACUAGACCCCGUUGACAUUCAAAGCCUUUUUAUAGCAUCCUACAAAAUGGCUAUGGUUAAACUCGAAUGUGUAACCCUAACUAACACAACUAGUAAAAGAAGCAUGAUCCUUAAAAAUAUGUAUUAUAAUGGGUGAAGCAAUGAAGGGCCCAGCCAAAAGAGGAUCUGGUUCCUCACUAUUUGUCGUGGAAGAGGCAAAAGGGCCUGUUAGAAUCUGGACCACAGAAAUGAAGUCCAUCUCAAGCAUAUCAAACUCAAUGAAAAAAUACAUAAGAUUAGAUUAGAUUUUUCUUCUGAACAAAAAGAACAGAUUUUCUCAAUUCUCCAAAGUAAAAAGGUUCAAAAAGAAACUAUGAACCCAAAUAACUUUUCAUGAGCUAUAUACAUUUCCUCAAAGAAUUUCUUUCCGCAAUAAUAUGCCUCAAAUCUUCCCCUCUGAUUUAUGGGGUCCAUUAUAUUUUAGACAUGCAUUGGAUCUAAUGAAUUAAGGUCUAGUCAGUGAAAUCAUUGAAAGGGAAUAAAACAUUAGUUGCUCUACAGCCUACUUGAUUCCCUAGUAUUUCUUUUCUUUUUUCAUUGAUACAAGAAAGGUCAAAUGGGAGCUUAGGGUUUAAGUAAAUGUACUCAACUACUGGAUUUGCGAGUAUUUAUCGGUCACUUUUUCUUUAAAUAAAUAAUGAACCCGAAUCAUCAUCUUCUUAUUUAUAAACUUUUUUUUAUAGUCAAAAUGAUCUCAAUUGGUUAAGCUUUUUACCUCUACCUAUGUGGACAGAGAUUACGCUAACAAAACCAUAAGAAAUUUACAAUUCUAUAAGAAUUUAUACAAUUUCAUUUAAAAAUUGAAAAAAGUUGUUCAAGUUGCGAAAGCUAAGUUAUUCAUUUUUUUAUAUAUUAGUGGUCUCAAAUAAUGAUGAACCUAAUGCUUAAUGUGGAGUUAAUUAAAUUCGAAUAAGGUUAAAUUUUCACCACUAUUAGGUGGGAAAAUGAUUUAAGAAUUAUGAAGAAUUCAUAUUUUUAUUAUUUCUUAUAUCUUUAAAAAAAAAAAUCCACCCUUUACUGCAAAAUUACAAGUGAUGGGUCCUGAAUCAAGGCAUUUGGUAUCAUAUGUCAACGUACCCAUAAUUCAAUAGUAAAAGUAUUUGCAUGCAGGUUAGUGGUCCCAACCCCAAGACACAUCUCCUUCUCCCUCAAAUUUUGGAAAAUAUUUUGCUCACAAUUUUAACUCAAGAUGUAUUUUCAUCAUCCUUCUUAAUACUUGACACGUGUCCAUAUAUAUAACUAUGGUCCUCUUUCUUUUGUAUUUGUGGAAUCAUGGUUAUACCUAUAAACACGUGUCAAGUAUUCAGAAGGGUAAUGAUAGUACAUCUCUGAUUAAAGAUGUGAACAAAAAUACUCCCAAACUUUGACAACAACAAAAAAAACAUUUGGUAUCAUGUGGAUAAGAUUUUGUUCCUUUUUUUUUUUCCUUGGACGGGUCUAUUUUGACAACUCUUUUUUCUUUGAUGGAAUGGAAUAAUUAUAAUGUCAUAUCUGCAAAAGAAAAAUAAUUACUCAUUGGACCAAAAAAAAACACUAACACUAAAAUAAAGUCUAAUCUUAUGGAAAACCUUUUUAAAACCACUAAAAUAAAACCUAGGUAAACAGAAAGAAAAAAAAAAUGCACCAAGUUAGACAAUGCCACCUGUCCAACCACCCACCCACUAAACUAAUGAAAGCAAUCAAUCACUGUUAAUGUCCCAUGAACAAUGCAUCCCCCACUUAAAGAAUAAAGCAAGUAAUGCUAAACGACAUGUCGGAUGAGUGGCAAAAUGUGCAAAAGGUUGAAAACCGCGUGACGUGAUAUGAAUGAAUCACGUGCUUCCUUGAAUUUCAAGAGAUACGACACAACAAGACCCACACUCAGACCAAAAAAAAAAAAACAAGACCCACACCUAAAAAUAAAAACCUGAUUGGUGCUGCUCAGUGCUCCACACACUAUGCUUUCAACCCUCUAAAAUCAGUUAUAGGGCCCUCGGGUCUCUCUCCACUCGCUCUUGCGCGCAGCUCACGUGCUCGUAAGUUUGGGGCUACGAUGCCGUAGGCAUUUCCGGUUUGGUUUGAUAGUACAGUUUUAUACGCAAGGUCUCUUUUGUUUUAGUUUAUUUCACCCGAGCGUUGGGGGAUCCAAACACGUUGUUUGUGCUGAGAAAAACUUACAUACUACCGGUUAUAUACACUUUAGUUUCUAUAUUAUAAAUUACGUGAUUUUAUGCUAUAGAAACUUGUUAAAAAUGUUUGUUGCACAUUGAUAAGUUAAGGGAUCUAACUUGAGUUUAUAAGAAAUUGGGCUACUCUUCCCAUUAGGCAUUUUCUAACACAUUUAGUUCUAAACUCAAAUUUCCCCCCUUCAAGAAGUAACUAUUUGGGUUUUGCCCAGACUUAAACCGUUUUUUCCCCAACCCUGCAUACUCAAAUUUUAAGUCCGCAAUUUUAUUAAAUAAUUUAAGUCUAAUUUUUCUUCAUUUAAUCUUUUUAAAUAACUUCAUAAUUUAUUUUUUAAACAAUUUGACCCAAAAAAUUAAAAUUCCAUAAAUAUAAUUUUAUUUGAGAAAUAGGUGGGCAUUUAUAGAGUUUAGAGUGAGUUUUGGGAUUAGAUAAUUUUUUUGAAGGACCUUUCUUAUUGAGAUGAGCGAUAGUAUACUAAACUCACACACACUACACGGAUGGUAGGACUGUCCGUGAGGAUCCCACCGGAGCGCCUUCUACUUCUAAUAGGCCAUGAACUACUCGAACCCAAGACCUUACCUAGGGAAGUAAUUACUCCAAACCACUACACUAACCCUAAACUUAUGUGCAAUAAGAUAAGUUAAAUUGAGUUGUUUGAAAAUGGAUUUCGUGCCUCUAUGUUUAAAGGUUGUGCAUUUACAUGCAUUUUGCAACAUCUAGUCCAUUCAAAUAAUCUAACGGUUUAAAACAUGACAUCAUCAACAUAAAUGUUUAACAUUAUAUAAUAGUAGCCUCUCUGCACGCGCUUCUGCGCCUGUGAGAGGCUUUUUUUGAAAAAAAUUAAAAUUUAUUUAGAAUUAAAAAAGAUAAUGGGUAGUUGUGUUCCAUAAAAAUAGGAUCCAUUAUCUGAUUUUUCUUUUAAUUUUAAUUUUUUUAAAUAUGAAAAAGUAUGAAUUUACCAUAUUAUCCUCAUUUAAUUAAUAACUAGCCUCUCCGCACACGUGUGAAUUUACCAUAUUAUCAUCAUUUAAUUAAUAAUUUUAAUUCUUAAUGCUUGGAUUAACUAAGGGCAUUUUAUGGUAUUUUGAAUGUUUCACCAUUCUCUGCCUUUUGCUUUACGAGUAAUGCUACACUUACCACAUUUGUAUAUCACAUUCUCAUACCACCUUAUGUGGCAGAUGAAGUGGACAACCACAUCAAUUAAAAAGUGUCAAUAAAUCAUAAAAGAAAAGAAAAUGUUAAAUUAAUUUAAUUGAUGUGGUUGUCCACCUCAUCUGCCAUAUAAGGUGGUAUGAGAAUGUGGUAUACAAAAUGUGGUAAGAGUAGCAUUAUUCUUUGCGCUUUAUAUAUAUAUAUAUAUAUAUAUUUCAAUUCUUAAUGUUUGCAUUAACCAAAGGCAUUUUCUGGUAUUUUGAAUGUUUUACCAUUCUCUGCCUUUUACUUUAUAUAUAUAGAUGUUUUAAAUUAAAAACUGUUUAAAAUUAACACUUGUUUAAUUGUUAAAGUAAAAAUAAUAAAUACUAAAAACCCAUUGUUUUCCGGCAAAACGUGAAGCAAGGGGUAGGGGGCUGUGAGGUAUCGGGUAGGAGGAAGUCAGUCAACAAAACAUUUUACAUAUCAUCACAGCCAUUGAUGUGGUGAAAUUGCUUGAAUUUUCCUUCAUAUCUAUAUAUGCAAAUGGGCUUGAGAAGCCAUUAAUUGAACUCAUGAUUUUCCUCCAACUUUGUUUAUGCAGAAGCAUAUCCUCCACAAUAUAAUUUAGGUGAAAAAUGGCACAAUUUUGGAAGGCGUUGGGGUGGGAAGGGAUGGAGUGAGAUAGAGAGAUGGCAUUGAGAUGGCAUUUGAUAUGGCGGCUUAGGUGGUGUUGGGGUGGUUAAGGAUGGUCAUGGCGGGGAUGGGGUGGGGCAGGGGAGUCCACUUCCUGGAAUUUUUCACUCUGGAUUUUUUUGAUUUUUUAAAUCUCAUUUUUUUAAUUUUAAAUUCUAUUUUCUAUUUUUGAAGUUAUUAAAUUUUAUUUUAAAUUUUGUUAAAAUUUAUUAAUAUGUCAUAUCGUAAACCGUUAAAUUAUUCAAAUAGACUAGAUGUUACGAAAUUACGAAUAAAUGCAUAACCUCUAAAUAUAGAGGCUUGGAAUCUGUUCUAAGACCAGGACUGCAAGUUUGCAACCACCACCCUACUUAUCAUAGUCCCAUAACUUCAUGCAUGCAUGCAUUAUGGUAACUUAUGACCCAAAUCAGCAAGAAAGUGAGCUGCAAAGUCAGCUUUACAAAAUACACGACCAAAGCAGCAUGCUCCUUACUUGCUUACAACUUGAAUUUUUUGUUUUGUAAUCCAAAACAAAGCAGCAUGCUAACUCUUUUUUUUUUUUUUUUUUUCUUUUCUUAGUGAUUAAGCUCAAUUACCGUAUAAAGUUAUCAUAUCAAUCUUUUUAGGAUUAUAUUUUGAGAUAUUUAGUGAUAUACCCAUUUCUAGCACUAAUAUUAUAAAUAAACCCUACACAAUUGAAUUCCUAUAAACAAACCCAAAAAAAACCCAAAAAAUGAUAGCUGGCCUUAUUGAAUUUAAUAUUAAUUAUUAAAUUACUUUGAUGCCCUAUUGAGUGCUUUGGGUAUUUUUAUGAGAUUUUGGGGUUGGGCUUGUUUUAAGAAAUUGAUGGCAGUUUUGUAAUUUAUAAGAAGUUAAAAGCUUUUUUGUUAUGUUGUAAAUGGACUUUGGGUGUGUUUCUAAAGUCCAUUUUAUAUAGGGUAUUUUUAUAAUUUUGGCCCCCAUAUUGGGUAUAAUAGUGAAUCUCCCUUAUAUUUUCCGUAACUUGCUUUGGCUUACUUUUCAAAUGUAACAUAGUCAUGUGAAAUGAAAUACAACAAUUUUAUUAUUGAAAGCUAAAACGAAUACAUAGGGCUGGCCAUAAAAAACCGAAGACAUUGAUUUUUUUUUUUAAUUUGAUCGAAAAUAAUUAAAUUUCAUUAACCAAAAUCAUUGGUUACAAUAAGGUCAUCAAGAAUACAAUUCAUUAGCAACAUAGGGUCUUCUUCUAGCCAAUAAUAAGGACCUUAUUCAUGUAAAGCAAAACGAGAAAUAGCAUAAAUCACUUUGUUACACUCCCUAGGACGAAAUUGGACUUCCUUUAAAGAAAACCGCAUGAGCAAGUCUCUCACAUCAUCCACAAUGUUGCAGAUAGUAGCCCAAACAGUCUCCCAUGAAUUAAUCAUCAUAACAGUCUUAAAAGAGUCAGUUUCUAUGAGGAAAGGGAAAAAAACCAGCAACUGCAGCAAAUAAAACUCCUCUAUAGAUAAAUUACAAUUUUGUAGCUAGAAUGGAAACCCUACGAGGGCUUUGCAUGGCUAGGGCACCCAUAAAAACUCCAGAAUCAUUACGAACAACUGCACCUACACUACGCAAGCCUGUUGCAUUGUCAGUAGCUCCAUCAACAUUGAGCUUAUAGAAACCUUCAGGGGGACAACUCCAAAUCUCAUUCUAAUUAACCCUACAAGCACGAACAACGCCUCUAUCAAUAUAUUUCUUACUUAUAAUAUUAUGAAGCGAAAGCCCAUAAAUAUAUGAAGCCGAAGUAUCAACCUAAUAUAAAGCCAACAUUGCAAUCACCAUUCUAAUUUCUAAAUUGCUGACAUGAGCAUCUACAAUAGUCUUUUUAAAGGCUUUUAAAUAAUAGAUAUUUAGUUAUAUACUAAUUCUUAGCACUAAUGAUAUAGGUAAAUCCUACACCAUUUAAUUUAUAUAAACAACCCAAAAAAAAAACUCAAAAAAUGACAGAUAACCCUAUUGAAUUUAAUUUUAAUUAUUAAAUUACUUUGAUGCUCUAUUGAGUGUUUUGGUUUUAUUUUUUUUAAUGAGGUUUUGAGGUUGGACUUGUAAUUUAUAGGAAGUUCGAAGCCUCUUUGUUAUGUUGUAAAUGAGCUUUGGGUGUGUUUCUAAAAUUACAUUUCAUGUAUAAUUUUUUUAUUAUAUAAUUUGGGCCUCUAUAUUAAAUAUAAUAAUGAAUCUUCAUUUGAAUAAUUGAUUUGGUGAGUCACCUAGGCAAAAAAAAGUUUCGAUAGAAGUUCAAGUCUAUGACCACCUUCUCAGUCUACAAAUUUUUGGUCACCACUUUCUAACUCUUCAACUUAGCUUUCUAUAUUAAAAAAAUUAAACAUAUUGUUAUGGGAGAAGAUAGAGAACUAUGAAGAGUUCUUUGGAAGGCAAACUUUUUAAAGUAAUUAACGAACUUUAUUCUUCAAAUUUCCACAUAAAUCAAUAAAAUACAAUUUUGAAAAAUGAAAUUUGUUUCUUCUCUUGAUGCUACAUUCAACAUUCAUAUAAAUAACAAACUAAUAAUCAGAUUAUAUUAAAAGUUAAUGUGUGUGAUAAAGAAUAAUAAUAAAUGGUGAUAACCAAUAAUAAAAUAUCAAGUAGAAAAAAAUAAUGAAAUUAAUAUAGGUCGUUUGAUUCGGGUUUUUUUUUUAAAUAAACCAAACCAAACCACACCACUCAAAUAAAUCUAAUUUGACCUAUUUAUAAAGUUAGCAAAUAAAUUAAGAAAAAAGUUAAAAUGAAGACAUUCACCAAAUAAUAUGAAAGAAUACUUGUAUAAAAUUAGAUAUUUUAUUCUUUUAUAUUAUUUGGUGAAAUUGGGCCCAAGCCCAAUUGUUCUUUUAUUUAUUUUUAUAGAAAUUUUGAGAUUACAUUCAUAAUGUUGGGAUUAAAAUUUUGAUAUAAAUAAAUAAAUAUAUAUAUUUUACUUUAACGUUUGCUUCCAAUUUAUUAUAACUUAUAAUUAUAGUUUUCUUAGAGAUUCUUUUAUUUUUAUAUAACCAGUGUGAAAUUAUUAUUAUGUAAACGUGUUGUCAUUUGUCUUUAUUGAAUUUUUUCAUGCGUUUGACAGCAAAAUAAUAAUAACAAUAGUAAUGUAAAGGACUCACUAGUGUAGUAGUUUGGGGCAAUUGUUUUCCCAAGAAAGGUCCUGGAUUUUAGUCCUAUCUUGUGUGUGAGCAGUGGUGGAGCCAGGAUUUCACAUUAGAGGGGCCCCUUCACAAAAUUUUAAAAAGUAAUCCAAAUAGGAGAGUUCAAGCGCUAACCGAUUAAUAAGUUAAUGCGAUACUAACUACUCGGUUUAGCCCGCAUCAUAAUAUCAUUUCAUAUUGGUUAAUAAUUUAUCGAUUCAUUACAAUCAUAAUUGUCUUGAAUUUCAUAUUUUAACAUUGUUGAAUAUUAAUCUCAUCGUCUACACUAUUAAAGGUUCAAAAGUUAAUAAUUUAUAUUCCAACAGAGAGAAGAAGUACAAAAAAAGUUCAUAAAUCCCAAUAUUACGGUACCCUACUUAGACAUAUAAAAAAGGAGGGAAAAAAAUUCACAAAGCUUAAGUUAAACAAAAGCGGAAAAGAAAGAGAAAAAAGAAUUAGGAGUUUUUAGUGCAAAUAUCAUAACUCUAACCUAGAAGUUUUAAGGGAAAGUAGAAGAGUGAUUAGUAACUUUUAUGGUUAAUUUGUAGACAAAAAUAACAUAAUAUUUUAUUUAUUUUAGAGUAAAUAUCCCAAAAAUAAUCUAAUAUAUUAUAAUAUUAUAUAUCAUAUAUAAGGAAACUUUUUUGAACCAUUGGAUGUUACAUCCAACGGUGGGUGACCACAGUCUCUUGGACCCCUGUGGUCCAAGAGAUCGGGGAUGUCUGUAUAUAUAAAGCAAAAGGCAAAGAAUGGUAAAACAUUCAAAAUAUCAGAAAAUGUUCUUGGUUAAUACAAACAUUAAUAAUUGAAAUUAUUAAUUAAAUGAGAAUAAUAUGGUAAAUUAGCACAUUUUCAUAUUAAAAAUUAAAAUUAAAAGAAAACUUAAAUAAUAAAUACUAUUUUUAUGAAACACAACAACCAUUAUCUUUUUUUAUAGUCGUGCAAGUUUACUUAAGAUUUAUAAACAACAUUAUCCUAGUAGAAGCGCUCUUGCCAACAAGUGAUCCAAUAUUUUGAGAAACGUAAAUAGAGAUUAUUAUAAAUUAAAUUAAGAGAAAAUGACUAAGUUGAUCCUUCUAUCUUGGGUAUUUUUCCGCUAGGUCCCAUAACUAGAGAGGUGGCAUAAGGGCGGAUAUACACUUGAGUUAGUGGGCUUCAGAUUUUUGUGUGUGUGUAGUUUUAGUUGUUUAAGCUAAAUAUAGGUAAAGUAAAUAAUAGUCUAGCCCUUUAUUUAAAAUAAGCUAAGCUCUUUAUGUAGAAAUAAGCCCACUCUGGAAGCAUAUAGGAAAUAGUAAACAUGCAAUCCAUAACCUAUAUAAAUUUGAUUAGAAGCAAACAUCAGAAUUUUUCUUCUAGCCACCCAAAACAUCAUAUUUGAACCUUCAGAGCCUAGAAUAAAUAGCUCUCUCCCUCUGAAAAAUUGUACCAACCUAUUUUAAGUGGGUUCGCCAAUCUUGAUAAGUUUUUCUUUUUAUUUAUUUAUUCAAUUUCCAAUUUGAAUUGUUGUUGUUAAGUUUUUAUGAUUUAGGGUUUAUGUGAAAAUUUUUGGGGAUUGUUAUAUAUGUUUUAUUUUUGCAACUUAAAUUAUUAAUUAGUAUAUAUGAUUUUUGGUGUCUAGUAUUUCUUGUUAGGAUAUCAUGUCACAUGAUUAUAAUAGACCAACAAAGAGAGGAAAAACUAUUCUUCAAAAAAAGGGGUAACGAUAACAAGGAUAUACAUACACCUUCUGCAUAUAAUGUUGAUACUUCAAUUCCUGAGAAACUUUCUCAACUCGGAUCUCAAGUAGUUGAACAAUGUGUUUGAUUUGAUAUUUGUUUAUAUUUGGUAUUUCUUUGUGUGAUAUUUGCUCGUAAUGUGACCUUCUUUGAUUUAUAAAAUUUAUUCACAUUUUUGUUUCAAGAGGAAAAAUAAAAAAAGGCUUAUAAUAUAUCUCCUGUAAAAAUAAAAAUAAAAAAUAGCUUAGUCCUAUAAAAAUUCCUGGAUUCGCCAUUGGUAGCACAUCAAACCAAAAACCAAGAUCCUCCUAACUAAGACCAUAACAUGCAAUACGAUCGACAACUCCAUUAGCAGUCCGAGAAACAUGGUGAACAGAAUAAGACGACACUGAGUUGAAAAGACGACGAAUAUCCUUCACUAAACCCCCUUUUGCAGCAAAACAAACAUCGUACUUACUUCUAGUUGUAGAUUAAGUAAACUAAAAAUCUCUAAUUAUCAAAAUUGAAACUAUAUAUAGGUCUUCAAGUGAAAAAUCAAGCAAAUUCUAAGGACCCGAAAUGUAAGUUGGACCUAUUUUAAUGUUUUAAUGUACAUUGUACGAAGUUGUGUACAUCAUCGUUGUCGUGUACGCUAUACACGGCUGCUAUAGAACGAGGCGGAUGAAAUGAAAGUAGGCGUGACAAAUGUGACGACAAUUAUUAGAGGCAUGAACGAAUCUGCCGUCCACAAAUAAUCGAAAUACAAUAAAAUAAAAUAGUAAGAGCAAGACACGAUUGGCUUGUUUAAGGCUGAACAAAAGCAAACCCUACAGCUUUCCCCACUUGCUUAAAUUGUUUUCACGUUUAUUUCCUGCGACUUUUUUGUCCUCCUCCUCAUGGGACCCUGAAAAACUGACAUCCCAUUAUGUGCAUGAACAUUUCUAUUUUUAUUUUUAUUUUUAAAUUGGUGAAAGCGAUUUUGGUCAUAGAGCAUUAAAAAUCUUUACAUGGAUUGGAGAUUGUAAAGGUUCAAUAUCUUUAAUGUACCGAAAAGAAAGUCGACAUAGUAGAAAAUAAUAAUAACUGAUUAUAAAUAAAAUUAGAAAUUACGAUGUCAAGUGUUGAAAAAAAAGAUAGCGAUUUUUAUGCUCUAAGUUUAGUAUGUGUACGUAGAAAAAUGACAAAAUAUUUAGUUUGGAGUGCAAAGGUUAAGCUGAUAGUGCCAAAAUCGUUACCCGAAAAAUCACUUUGGCUUGGUCAUAUUCAUACUAGUCUGCUAACACAAAGAAUGAGAAUUCUUACUUGAAUUUUCUUUGGCUCAUUGAUGGCUUGACUAUUCCCUUGAAUUUUCUUUUACCCCAAAAAUGAAAUAUGAAGUAAUUAUUCUUAUUAUUAUUAUUAUUAUUAUUAUUUUGAGGUUAUUUCCUAUUGAAAGGGGCGAUAGACUAAGAUUCGAACCCAGGACUUUGCCUGAGGGAGUAAAAUUCCAAAUCACUACACUAAUGGGUCAUUUGCAAUAUGAAGUAAUUUUUAUAGAGGAAGAAGGAGGGGUUUUUCUGAAAAGGGUGGUGGUGGUGACUCUGGAUUGAAGGAAGGGGUGUGGCUGGAGAUGGUGCUUAAGGGUAUGGGCCGAGGAAGGGGUGCAACUGGGGAUGGUUGCUAGAUAGGGGUCGGAUUCCUCAUGGACUGGUAGCUUUCAAAGAAGAUGAUAGGGGCAUCGUCAUCGUGGUUGGUGAUGUCGCUCGAUAGGGUCUUGAAGAUGUGUUGGGUUGAAGCUGAAACGAGGUUAUUGUUUUGUCUCUUUAAUUGUGUUUCUUCCUUCUCAUUAUUUGGUGUUUCAAAUUUUUAAUUAAGAUUUUUAAUCUUAUCUCUUAAUUUUGAAUGUAAUUUUUAACUUUAUCGUAACAACGAAAUCAUAUCAUCACUAGCCACCAGGUUCAUAUGUCACAUCAUCUUUUGAUGAUCAUUUUUAACAAUAAAUUAUCACUAUUUCGUAAACGUGCCGACACUAAAAUAUUCAAAUUGAAAAACACGAUUUAACCAUGCUAUUUGAUGAAAGAUUCAAUGUACUAAGCUGAAAUUAACCUUGUAAUAUAUUACUUCUUUUUUCACUUUCCUCUUUCUGCUGAAUAUUGAAAGAUAUACAAGACCAGCCUUGGUGGAAAACCAUGUCCUCAUUCAUGGACCCUCAUAGAAAUCAUUAUCUUUUCGUAAAGUGUGGUGCAAGCGAUAGUGACAACAUCCACAUUCGCACCAUGUGAUUAUCUAACGAAUCUAUUUUUCUAACAGGAGUGAGUGAAAUCAGUUGGUCAAAUUAGUGUGUUGAUUUUUUGCAUUUUAGUUCGAUUCUGCGUUCUGUACGUUAGACUAAAAUAUCACUUUAUAAAAAAUAAAAAUAAAACCCACCAAGUGAAGAAGCAAAGCUACGCACCUGAGGGUUCUUUUUUCCUCUUUUGUUUGGUUCAACCUGAGGGUCACCUUCUGGAAGCAGGACAAGCUUUUGUUUACAACUAUUAGCUUCUGUACUUUGUGAUUUUUGUUUUGCAAUUGAUUCUUGCUCAAUAAAAUAUUUGUAUUAUUAAAAAAAAUGCAAAAAGAAAAGAAAAAGAAAAAGAUUCCUGAACAAAAAAAAACAAAACAAUCUCUUAGCAGAAGAAACAAAAAGGGGAUAAAAUAAUAAUGGAUUCAAAAAUUAGACGACAAAAGAACAAACAAAUUUGAGAGAUUAAAACAGAUUAGCUUGUAUUGCAAUGGGAAGAGAACGACGUCGUAGUGGACUCUCAGUGGACCCCGUUGAAAAUGUUGGCGUUCGUGACGAUAAGGUUCAUGGGUUUUAACGAAAAAAAAAAACAAAGGAUAAGAUAAGUAUUUUUUUUUUUUUAAAGAUGGGGAGGAUUUUUCACAUGGGAAGGAGGAAUGUUACACGUGCCUAACAAAACAAAAAUAAAAAAGAAAAAAAAGAAAAAAAAGAAGGGAAACGUGCUUUUACGACACGCAUCAAGCAAAACGUGUUUUUAAAUAUUUAAACCGUGUAUUAUUAUACGCGAGCAAAUUGUAAUAAAUUAAUGAUUAUCUGGUGUGGGAAUUUUGAAAACGAGGGAAAGGACGAAUGGGGGGCGACCAGAUCAAGGGCCAGGAUUCGAUCUGUGAAGCCAACGCGUCCCCACCCUUUUUGUCUUUUAUGUUUUAUAUUCCGUCGUUGAGUCGUUGAGUCGUUGUCCGCUACUCGAUUCAAAGUAAUUAACCUGAGAGGAAAACAGGAGCUUCAGAUGGAUUGCCGAUUAGUUCGAUGGCGUGCGCCGAGGAUUUGGAUUUUCACUGCUGCUGCCGAGAGGCGGCUACUUCGUGGAAGCUAACUGUAGAAAGGUGAUGAUUAAACUCCCGAACAAUGGAUUUUAGAACAGUUUUUGCAUCUCAACUGUUGUUUACUAAUCUUCGUAUUGGAAAUGUCACCAUUGCGACAGCUCAUUGCUUAAGUCACAAUUUAGAAGUAAUAUCUUUAGAAAAAUAAUUAGAGAUCGUUUAAUAAUGCAUGUGUGUGGAACAAAUUUUAUGAUUUUAGUAACAUUAAGAUCCUUAUGAUGAAUUGAGUAUUUAUUUGAUACAUAUGGAUAACUAAACGAUCUCCAACUAAUUUUUUUAUAUAGAUGAACAGUUUCAAUUAUGACAUAUUCACAAGGAGGAUUUGUUAAUCAUAAGAACUAUAGUGGCCGAGGAAGUGCACCCGGAAGAUCCUUCGUUAAAAUAGCAAAUAAUAGCAUUGCAUUUGUACAUUGUGUUUGAUAAUCAUUUUACUUUUCAUUUUUACCAUAUUGAAAACAAAAAACUUGUAUUGCAACCAAUUUUAGUUUUAGUUUUUUUUUAAAAAACCAAAAACUGUUUAAAAGUUGUUUUAAACUAUUUUCAAUUUUUUGCGGAACUUGGAUAUUGAAUUUUGUUGGGGUCAAAUUAUGAAUUUGAGAUCAUAGAAUGAAAGUACAUGUUAUAAAGGGUCUGUAGUAUUUUUCGAUGAAUUUUUUGGAAGUUAGGAUGAUUUUAUUUAUUUAUUUAUUGUAAUUUUGGAUAUGGAGGUCCCAAGGAUUGGAUUGGGUAUGCGACCAAAUGCAAGUGUCGAGCGCAUGGGUCCAAGUCCGGAGGUCCUAACCGCUAUGCAUUACAUUUUUGGUGAUGUAAAAUUGGUGAAUGAGAAAGGAGCGAAAAAAGAAAAAGAAAAAAGGAAAACUGAAAACACUUUCAAGUUGUUUUAACAAAUAGGGGAGGUUUUGAAAACAAGCCACCACUUCAUUUUUACCCUUUCUCCUCCACUAAACUAUUUACUUAGACGCUUUGAAGCUCUAAGGAACUCUCUCUAUAAAAAAAAAACCCUUAGGAACCAACUCUAGCCACCGCUGCCCUUUUGGGGGUGGUGGCAUCCUUCUCCACCCAUCUCCACCUCUCUCCCCUCCUCUCCUUCUCUACCCUACCAUUCCCUCCCAUCCCCUCCCCUCCCUUCUUCGCCCAUCCCCUCCCCAAUUUUUGGUGAGGAUGAAGUAGUAGUGUAUUGGUAGUUUUGUUGGUGAAUUUGAUGACAAACGAGGUGGUUGUGUGGGUUUUACUCACUUGUUGUGUGUUUACAAUGUCUUGAACUGUAAUAAUUGCAUCAACUGUUUGUUUGUAGUCUAUUCUCUACUUGUGAGAGUUGUAAUUGUAUUGGUAGUUUUAGACAACAAACCACUGCCGCUUUGUGUUAUCGUUGAACACAAUCUUAUAUUUAUUUCUUUUAGAUAUGAUAGUUAUUCAAGGAGAUAAUAUUCUCAUACUAUAAAGAUCAAUACCAAUAUCUGCAGCAAAUAAAUAAUUUUGGUAUUUAUGUGAUGACUUUAAGACUUAAAUAUGAGGGAGAUAGCGAAAAGAUUGAGCAUUAUUGGAAUUACUCAUGUAACUUGCCAUGGAAUGUAUAAAAUAUAAAAUAUGAUAGUAAAUCAUUAUAAAUAUAGAAAAGAUUAGAGUGUAUUUUAACACUCUUUCAUUCUAAAGUUCCUUAUUUUCUUUUUCUUUUUUUUAUAAUUAAUUUAUUUUAAUUUAUAAAUUUUUUUUAUACAAUUGCCGUAGUUUUAUAAAAAUUUUACUGACAACGAUAAUUUGUCGAUGUUUCCAUGUUUUUGGACUACUGAUAUUUCCAAAACCAUCAAUAUUUAAGACCACACGCAUAUCCCCCACGCUCUCCUUCACACACAUAUCUUCUUAAUAGGUAUGUAAGAUAAAUUUAACCCACCGCAUUUUGAAAUUUUGGAUCCGUUCCUAGCUUGUGUGGCUUAUGGUCUUUAUGCCAAAUUUAUGACUACAAAUUACAAUUAUCAUUUUCUCUCUAGAAAGGGUGAUUUUGAAAAUUAAAUUUCAUUUUUUAAAAAACAGAAAACAAAAUAUGUAUCAAACAUGUUUUUAGUUUUUUUUUAAAAAAAGUAAAAAUGAAAUUGUUAUCAAAUAUCGGUAAGACCCUAAGAAAAUGAAUCUAGUAAUAUACUUAUCAAUGCGACUAAUUUAACUGCAUAUGCUCUAAUUAGUAUUGGCCAAGUCUUCUUUUUUCCAUCUUUAGUGGCCAGUUAGUUUUUUUGAAAUUCUUCUUUUCUCAUCUACCUAUAGUGAAGUUGUUGCUCAUGAGAUUGCUCACCAAAUCUUAUAUUUUUUUUUAUUGGGUUUUACAUGAAAAUUUAAUUUGGCAACUAAGAAAAAAAUCUAGCCAAAUUGGUCACUGUGUUUUCCUAAGUGUACAAUUUAUAGACAUAUAUUUUAUAAGUUAAGUGCAUUUUUUUUAUAGGAAGUACUUUCAAUCUUCUUCCUUUAACUCAACGAGUUAGGGUAUAUUGUGCUAUUAGGGUUUAACAAAUUGGGGGAAGAUUAAAUGUGCUUUACAACAAUCUGUUAGAGGGCAUCACAAGUAGAGGAAGAACAUUAAACGUGCUUUGUAAAAAAAUAAAAAAUAAAAACUGCACUUAACGGAAGAUAAUAGAAUGUCUAUAAAUUGUAAACUUUGGAAAACACAGUGACUAAUUUGGCUUAUUUUUUGCUCAGUGACCAAAUUGAAUUUUCGUGCAAAACCUAGUGACCAAAAAGGUAUUUAACCAAUAAAAAAUAGGUUUAAGUGCUACAGUGCACCUUGAAACAUUAGUCAAAUCCUCUUUUACCCCCUUAAAGUCAAAGUGACACACUUUGCCCAUUGACCAAGGUUUGAUGUUUCACAUUGCCCCUACCGUAACUCCAUCAAAAUGUCCGUUAAGUUUGAUGAUGUGGCAGGGGUGUGUUAGUAAUUUUGAAGGAAAAUGACUUCCUAUGUCAUUUCUCAAUGGAUGGGAAAUGAAGAUUCUUUUCCUAUGUUUGGUAAUUCUGGGAAAGUAAUCAAGAAAUACCACUUUAUUUCCUUUCACAUGUUUGGUUUAUGUAGGAAUAUAAAACAAAGUUGGUUUAAUUUUUCAUGUAUACCCAUAUGAAAUCAAAUAAAAAAAAUGCAUUUAAUGCUAUAUUAUAAUUCUAAAUUGUUAAUGAGGACAAUAUGAUCAUGAAAAAUGUGUAUUUAAUUUUGGCUCAUAACUUUCCCGUGAGGAGGAAAACAAAACCCAAGUGGGUUGGAGGGCUUCACUUUCCCCCUACUUUUCCAUGUGCAAGACAACGAUUUCCCAUGUUUGGAAUUACCAAACAUGGGAAAAUAAUUGAUUUCCCCAUCCCCAAGCCUCUUUUUCCAUGAACCAAACAAGAGUAAAAUGGGAUUUGACUUUUCAGAAUGAAUUAAGCCUAAAAAAUUAUACUAAUUUUAUCAUUUAUGUGCAGCAUUCCACAUAUAAGAAGUCGACUAAUAAUUUUAAUUGUUCAUAUAAAUAUCUAAUUAUUAAUCAUCUGAUGUUUGAAGUAAUUAAUUCAAUACAAAAGAUUAUGCCGUUAUAAGUUUUUGAAUAGAUUCAGCUUUUUAUCCCAGGAUAACUAAUUCUAAAAAAAAAAAAAGUUUCCGAAUAGAUUCAGCCUUUAUUCUAGUGGAAAAAUAAAUUCAACCUUUUAUUCCAGUCAAAAGAUUAUGCAGUCAAACUUUUACUCCAUUACUCAUGUGAAAUAAAGAUCUUGGAAAAUCACCUUAUCCCAAAAACGCACAUUUCUAUUGUUAUCAUCAUUUUCCAGUUAAACUUACGUUUUUGUAAUAAAUAAGCCACGCCUCCGCACGUGAUUAUGGUGUUAGUGUUGCAACUUGCAGUGUCGGAAGUCCAAACUCCAAAGCCCAUUUCCGAAUGGUCAAAAGUCAAAGUGUUUCCAGCUGUGACACUUGUAACGCACGUGACGCACGUCCAAGCUUUAGAUAGAUGUAUGUACAUACGCCGGCUUUUGGAUGAUCUACGCUGGCGAUUAAAUCGGCCAACCCGAUUUUCCCCGAAACUCCCCCUUCCUUUUUACUCGGCUUGCGCUAGUAAACUUUUUGUCCGCUCACUCUCUCCUCCACCCUCCACCCACUUUCCUCCCCAACCAAAAUUCAGCUCAAAUGCUCUCCAAAUAAAUCCCCAAACACAAAUUCAGAACUCCCCAAAUCAAAAUUAUCUCUCUCUACCUUCUCAUUUUCUCUCCGCACCCUAUCCUCUCUUUGUCGUCCACACCUACUCUUACGUCACUAAGACGGUAUCGCUCACAUGACGGACUAUCGGAUACCGCCGACGAUGAAUCUUUGGACGGACGACAACGCGUCGCUGAUGGAGGCCUUUAUGAGCUCAUCCGAUCUGACGUCGUUUUGGGCGGCGCCAUCGGCCCAGCCCACGCCUCAACCCGCUCACCCCCAAGCCCAGCCUCAGUCGUCAGCCUCCACUUCAGACUACCCGAAGGCGGCUGCUGUCGCGCCAUCUCAGCCGUCCAUCACGCCCUUCAACCAGGAGACCCUCAUGCAGCGCCUCCAGGCCCUCAUCGAAGGCGCUCGUGAGAGCUGGACCUACGCCAUCUUCUGGCAGUCCUCGUACGACUACUCCGGCGGCACCGUUCUCGGGUGGGGUGAAGGGUUUUACAAGGACGAGAGGGACAAAGGCAAGGCUAAGGCCAAAACGACGACGUCCGCCGCCGACCAGGAGUACAGGAAAAAAGUCCUCCGCGAGCUCAACUCCUUGAUUUCCGGCGCCGACACGUCAGCAGACGACGCAGUAGUGGAUCAGGAGGUGACCGAUACCGAGUGGUUCUUCCUGGUCUCGAUGACUCAGUCGUUCGUCCCCGGCGGCGGGCUUCCGGGUCAGGCCUUCUUUCACUCGACCCCGGUCUGGGUUGCUGGAGACCGGCUGGCUGCGUCCCCGUGCGAGCGGGCGAGACAGGGCCAGUUGUUUGGGCUGCAGACUAUGGUUUGCGUUCCGACGGCAAAUGGGGUGGUUGAGCUGGGCUCGACGGAGCUCAUCUACCAGAGCUCGGAUCUGACAAACAAAGUCCGGGUUUUGUUCAAUUUCAACAAUUUGGAAGUGGGUUCGUGGCCUAUGGGCGGCGGCGGUGCCGAUCAGGGAGAAAAUGACCCGUCGUCGCUCUGGAUUAACGAUCCGUCGUCCACCACCAUCGAAGUCAAGGACCCGGUGAACAUGGCUCCCGUUACUUCGGCACCCACCAGCACCAGCACACAGCCCGUCUCGAAGCCAAUUCAGUUCGAAAGCCACCAGCCGAGUUCCAGUAGCUUAUCGGAGAACCCGAGCGCGAUUCAAUUACAACAAUCGCAGCAGCAGCAGCAAGUACAGCAGCAGACGCAAAGCUUCUUCACCAGGGAGCUCAAUUUUUCCGAUUAUGGUUACGACGGGAGCAGCGGGAAGAACUCCAAUUCCAAUUCCCAUUCGUUGAAGCCUGAAUCGGGGGAGAUUUUGAGUUUCGGUGAGAGCAAGAGGAGCUCUUACAGCGCCAACGGAAAAUUGUUUUCAGGGCACUCCCAAAUUGCCGCCGCCGAGGAUAACAACAGCAAGAAGAAGAGGUCGCCGACCUCUCGCGGCAGCAACGACGAGGGGAUCUUGUCGUUUAGCUCGGGGGUGAUUUUGCCGUCCAGUGGUGUCGUGAAAUCGGGCGGCGGUGGGGCCGCCGAUUCGGACCACUCCGACCUUGAAGCCUCGGUGGUUCGGGAGACUGAUAGUAGCCGGGUUGUGGACCCCGAAAAACGACCGAGAAAACGGGGUCGUAAACCGGCCAACGGGAGAGAAGAGCCCCUGAACCACGUUGAAGCAGAGAGGCAAAGAAGAGAGAAGCUUAACCAGAGAUUCUAUGCUCUCCGAGCGGUGGUACCAAACGUGUCGAAAAUGGACAAGGCAUCGCUUCUGGGCGAUGCCAUAUCGUAUAUCAACGAGCUGAAGGCGAAGCUGCAGACAACCGAGAGCGAUAAGGAGGACUUGCAGAAGCAAUUGGAGUCGAUGAACCAGGACUUGGGUUGUAAAGACUCGAGUUCUCUGUCAGACGACCUCAAAAUGUCUAAACACCAAGCUAGUAGUAAAUUAAUAGACUUGGAUAUUGAUGUGAAGAUAAUCGGAUGGGACGCCAUGAUUCGAAUUCAGUGUUGCAAGAAGAACCACCCUGCAGCCAGAUUAAUGGCUUCUCUCAAAGAGCUUGAUUUGGAUGUACACCAUGCCAGCAUUUCUGUAGUCAAUGAUUUGAUGAUACAACAAGCCACUGUCAAAAUGGGCAGCCGAAUUUACACUCAGGAUCAGCUCAGGUUAGCUCUUUUAUCGAAAAUCGGCGACUCCCGGUAAGAAAAAUGGGAACCAGAGGAGAGGAGAAACAGAGAGUUUGUUUUGGAUUUCAAUGGUGGUUCAGGGCUUUUGGGACAUUUUGAGGCUCCCGACAAAGCAGCGAGCUCUGUUAGAUACUGGUUCCACGCGUUUCUCAUGUCUUCUUGGGUAGCAUUUUGUUUUAGUAUAGAUUGAGUUUGAGGAGCUGAAACAAUUUUCUUAGGUCCAAAACUACAUGGCUUCCUCCCCUUCAGUGAAAAUAGCUAUAUUUUUUUGUUCUGUUUUUGGGUGUCAAUUUUCUGUCUUUCUUCUUUGUAUAUAUAAGUGUUAUAAAUUUGAACCCCAUGGGAGUUCUGGUUAGUGAUGUAGAAGUACGUAUUUCAGAAUGUAACAUUUGUAAUCUGUUAUAUCCACUACUGAAUUCAGCAUUCAAACAAGUUGAACUUUCUUCAACUUUUAAUCUUCCCCUGUUAUCGUUGGAUUUCCUCAAUUUUUCUAUGCACAAGUUUUCAUCAAUUUGCUUGGUUUUUUUUUGGGGUAAAGACCUGGGCUUGCAGAUUUCAGGUGCAUGAAUUUGUUUGUGGCAAGUGGUUUUAUUUUAGUGCCAUGAAUUCAGCAUAUACCAGAAGGGUGAAAUUCUAGCUAUUAUACAAACGAUAAUUUACUUUAAAUUAAUUUAAAUUACGAGGAAGCGGAUUCGAAAUAUAUCUGCAUGGCAAAAGCCUUUUUAUGUUCCUACAGGUUAUCUAAAAAAUGCCCCAAAAUCCAAAAGGGCACACUUCGUGAAAGCCCUGGGGUCUAUUUUUGUUGCUGAAAAUGCACCGACACUAAUGGAUAAAAAAAGGAUGCAGCACACUUCGCCAUAUUUAGUAAUUGCAGUUACCAUUCUGUAAAUGGAGCAAAUAUUAUGCAUCAUGGAAGCAAGCGGUAAACAUAAAGGAACACCAAAAGAAGUUGGUUUCUCACUUUUUCUGAUUGUUUCUCUUUUACCUUGGCAUCCACAUUUCUCCUAAUAUAACCAAUGCUUUUUGCCUCAAUGCGGGUUUAAAAAGGGCUUGAAGAACAGCUCAUACGUGGUAAAUUUCCAGAACAUUGAGUAUCUCAUGAUUUUUUUUUUCUCCCCCACCUUUAUAGUAUAGGCAUUUUGGUACAGCACAGUAGAUACAUGUGUUUUUCAUUUCUGGAGUAGGAGAAGCAAUGAAUCAGAAUUCAGAAGAGGAGGAGAGAGAGAGUAAAAAAAAGAGCCUCAAAUGUUUAUUUUUGUUGUUCAUGUUCUAUUCAGUUCUGUUGGGUUCUUCUGGUGUGGCCCAGAAAGUGACCCUUCAUGCCUUGCAUUGCAUGACUCGAAUAUAAAGGGAUUUACUACCUAAUCAGAGACCAUUUUUAAUAAAAAAAUUUGUUUAGAAAUUAAUUCUUUUUGCUCAACUUGUGGUGUGGGUGUCUAUAUCAAUCAAUCAGCCUAUUUUUAAUUUUAAAGAAAUAUCAGCUGGCUAAUUUUGGGGUUGGGUUAAUUAUUUUAUUAGUCCCUGAAUUUAGAUUCGAUUUACAUUUGAGUCCUUCAAUUUUCAAAAUCAUUCCCGUGGUCCUUUAACUUCACUUUCAUUAGGACAAAUGGUCAUGCAGUCAAUUUUGUUAACUUUUUCUGUUAAAUGCAGUGGCAAAAUGGUAUUUUUAUAUUAAAACCAAAAAAAUGAAUGAAAAAUCAUAUCUUGAAAAUAACAAUAUAAAAAAAUCAAAUAAAAAACCAAAAAAGAAAAAAAAAAGUUUGGGGGAGUAGAAAUCGGGAUUUUUUUUUGGGGGGGGGGGGGGGGGGGGGUUUCCGGGCGUUAUAUUAAUUUUAUUUUCCUCUUUUAAUCAAUUUAAUACAAAAAUACCAUUUUGCCCUUGCAUUUAACAGAAAAGUUAACAAAAUUGAUGGCAGGACCAUUUGUCCUAACGAAACUAAAGUUGAAAUACCACGGGAAUGAUUUUGGAAAUUGAGGGACUCAAAUGCAAAUUGGGUUUGAGCUCAGGGACUAAUAAAACUAUUAACCCUUUUGGGGUUUAAACCCCUUCAUAUGUCUUCUUUUAUUUAUGUUUAUAUUAAUCGGGAUAGGAGUUUGAACUUGCAAUCUCUUUCAAUAUUGUGAAAAGAAUACCACUAGAACAAGAUUUAGUUGUAGAUAGUGUGAAAAAAACCUUUACACUUAAUAAAAAAGCACAAAUAAACUAUAUAGAUUGUGAGACUAUGUGUAUUUUUUAAAAAGUGUGUGAUUAGGCGAAUCAAUUUUUCACGGUAGCAUAUGAGGAUUUAAGGCAAGAUGUGAAGAGGAUUUAAAAUCAAGGAUUAGAUUCACUAGGAACUUGUUAAGUGUAGAAACCUAUACUAUUAUUACUAUUUGUGUUUAAUUAGUUGUUUUGUUAAAGUUUAUUAGUAAUUUUUUUUAUUGCUUAUGUUAUUGUAGGGUUUUAUUCUCUUUAAGUUUCGGUUCAUAUUUUAAUCUGGAUUUGAAAAAAAAAAAAAGGUUUCUUCAUCACAUUUAGCAUGACAUUUUCAAACGAUGAAUAGGGAGACUAAACUUUACCAGACACAACUUUGCUUUGGUUCAAACUUCUGAUCACCCUCAUCUCUAUGUCCCGGAAAAUGGAUGAUUUCAUGGAAUUUCGUUCAAGCUAUGUGAAUGAACAGCCCGGUUUUGGUAGGAAAUGCUGUAUGAUUUAGUGAUCGGGAUAGUUGAGGCUUAGGUUCUUCUUAAGCUGAAAAUUUAGGCAUACGUUCCAAAGAGGAAGAAACUAAAAUGAAAGUUUCUGUCUAAUCAGUUUCAUAUGAAUACAUACCAAUAGUUUCUCGACUUUCAGAUCAGAAAUGUUGCUAUCUAGCUAUACCUAGGAAAUAACUCAACUCUAAAAUUAAAUUUAACUAAAACAUAUAUCUAUCUAUCUAACAACAUUCUAAGAUAACACAGAUAACAAUAUAUCAGGCGCUCGGAUCAGGUGAGAACAGCUAUGUGAGAACCUUAUAUGAAAAUCAAUCGCAGCCGUUGAAAUGCAUAUGAACGGUUUAGGAGAAAAAGCAAGCUUACGGUACAAACGGGUAAGCUGCAAUUUCUCCUUAGCCCAUGUGUCAAGUCGAGCCUGUUUCGGAAAAAAACUAGCCUUUGUUCUUCUUGACAGUUGUGCCUUUCUUCUCAAUGAAUUUAUGAAUGAACCCUAAUCAUAACAUCCAAAAUUUCACAUACCAGACAUAAAUUUGUAUAUUCCUUUUCUCUUGUCGCAGAAACUCCCUAGUCUACUCUUUUUCUUUCACUUUCUCUUCUGUUGUCGCAAAACCUCCCUAUUCUAGUCUUUCUCAUAUAAAUGUCUAAAUCGGUAUGUUUCUCUUGAAUUCCCUCUCUCUUUCAUAUUAAGAUUUGCAUGUUAUAUUGCAUUCACUUAAUGUUUAAAUUUUGUUUAGGAUUUUAGGGCUUUGAUUUUUUGGGUAAGAGUACUCUUUCUCCGUAGUAGUUGUGUUUGCAAAAAUAUAAAUUGGAAAUUGGCUUCAGUUGCUUUUUUGUGUUGUGUUUUCUAGUUUCUAUUAAUUUGUUGAAGCAUAGUAACUCUUUUUUUAAAGUUUUGCUGCAAUUUAAAUUCUUUCAUUUUUCCAAAAUUAGGGAUUUUUUUUGCAAUUCUUUGUAGUAAUUUGUUGAAGUGUAGAUUCACAGCUGUUGCUUCUUCCAUUUUUUUUUUUUUGGCAUUCUACAUGUUAGUUGUCUUUUCUUAAAAUUCCAGGAACCUUUAUCUGUUUGCUUUGACCCUUAUUGUAAUCCUACUUUGCCCAUCUAGUGGUGUGAGUGUAUGACAUCAUUUUAGUGAUUUAAUGGGGCUUGGAAAACAAAUAAUAAGUACCAUUAGAAGUAGAACACAGAAGAGAAAAUUGAAGAUCUUAAUUGUGAAUAUGAGAUGAUUUGGGAUGCAUAAGGAUCAAUGCAUCUUGUAGUAGGUAUCAAUUCUAUAUCUUAAUGUGUUGAAAAUAGUGUUGUUACGUAUCAGUUCUGUAUCUUAAUGUGUUGAAAUAGUGUGCAAGUGAAAAUUAUGUAUCAUUUUUGCAUCUUAAUGUUUGGAAAAUAGUUUAAUUAUGUAUCAAUUUUGUAUCUUAAUGUGUUGAAAAUAGUGUUUGUAGGUAUUAAUUAUGUAAAUGUGAUGAAAAUAUGUUGAGAAUAUUGUGACUAGGUAUCACGUCUGUAUCUUAGUGUGUUCAUAAUAUUGUGAGUUGGUAUCACUUCUCUUUCUUAAGCAAAAUGUUGCAGGUAUAAAAUGGAAUCUGAGUUUGAGCUUUGUUUCCCGAAGUCAGAGGUCUAUUCUACACUGGUGAAUAAUAUGUGUGUGGCGACUACAGGCCUGUGUAAUUUUGGGCAGUGAUGAGCACAUAAAUUAUCACGUUUAUUCCUUAAAUAUAUUUGUUAGUAAUUGAUUUUCUUACAAUUUUAGUUAAUUAGGUGUGUUUUCACUUAUUUACUUGCUUACAUACUUUUUACAUAAAUAAUGAUAAUCUCUUUAUUUUAUCUUAAGGUUAUAUACGUGUAUAUACAUUUAUAAUUUCUUCAACCUUCCUAAGUAGAUAAAUAUGCUUGCUUACUAUUUUCUGUACCACUUUUUAGUUUGUAAUAUUGCACUUUGAUGUUUACAGUGGGGAGAGCCAUGCAUUGCAAGUGAUGACAAUUGAAGCAAUCCAAUUAAUUGUGGCAGCCGACACUACAGAAGAAUUGAGGCAGCUUCCAUAAGCCAAGAAGAAUUAUAAAAUGAAGAAUGUGGUUACAGCAUAAAAGCCAAUUGAAUUGAUUACAUAUGUUGAUGUGUAUUCCAAUAAAAGAGAUGAAAUUGCUUAAACAAAAGAAAUUGGAUUGGCUUGCGCCCAGGUGGAUGAAUAAAUUUAUUCAAAUGAAGUUGGAAUUGUCCAUGAGGGCUGCUCUCAUUCUCCUAUAAAUACGAGGAGCUACGGCAUUGUACAAACACACCAAGCUCCACAACUCUUGAGCUUUCUCUCUUUCCUCCAUCUUUAUAGGUCUAAAUUUCUGUUUUAGUUUUAUUUUAUUUUAUGGGGAACUAACUCCCUAGCUAAGGCUAAGGAGAAAGCUUUUAAUAUGAGUGUGUAAUUUUAUUAGUUUGAUCCAAACUUAAGCCUUAAUAUGAAUUUGUAGUAUUCUUUUUAAUUAAUUGAUGAAUGUUUGAUAAUCUAUUUCAUGGGUUAAAUCAUGUUUUUCCCUUUGUGUAGUAAAAACUUUCAUGCUUUUAAAAGAGGAGAGAAUUACUAAAGAUUAAUAGAAUUUCAAUGAAGAUUAUUUUUUGAUAGUUUGUUGCCAAUGGUACAAGUUAUGCUUAGAAUACUUCUAAAGGAAAUUAAAAAGAGCUUUAAUUAUUUUGAACAACUACAAUGAAAAAUAUUUUGUGGAUCAAAUUAUUAAGAGUUGCAUGCUUAUGUUAAAAGUGGAAUCCCAAUGCCUUAGUGUUUUAAUCAAUUGAAUUUUCUUUAAAUCAAAUCUUGCAUAAAUCUAUUUCUCAAUCAUAAUUGUUCUUUUUUAGCUAUGUUAUUUUCUAUACACCGUUCUCUAUAGAUACGGUACUCGGACUUCCGAGCUACACUACUAUACGACACCUUCCUUUAGGUUUUGCAAAGUGAUUUGGGCUUAAUUUGGCACACCCAGCCCAAGGUCACAAAGCCCAUAGCAAUUUGUAAACCAGCCACCAAUGUUCCAUUGAAUUGGGUCAAGAUUAUACACUCCGCCCAAACACUACAGGCCCAGACUCGAGCUUUGCAAAAUAAACAGGAAAUCCAAAAGAACCCAGCCCAGGAUUUAUUAAAAGGUGGCAAAACAAAAACGUGAGCUUUGAAAAGAAAAAAAAAGCAAACCAGCCCUUGGUUUGAUUCCAGAAAAAACAGAGCAGGCCCAACAUGAUUAAAGAAAGGAGAAAAUAAAAACAGACCCAUGUGAAAUCUCUUUUCUCUGACAUUUGAAAAGUCAACAUUUUCAACUAAUUUGAUAAAGUGUGUUAAUCAAAAGCAGGCGAACUAGGAGAAGACCUCUCUAAAAAUCUCUGCCAUCAGAAGAUCAAACCCUUAUAUUUUUUGUAUAAAAUAUUUAGAGAUAUUUUCCUCUACUCCAACAAAAGGGUGAUUCUCCCAAAAGAUAAACAGGUCAUACUUUCAAAAAGAGAUAAGCAGGAAGGAGCUGUUCAAACUGAGAAUCAAACUAACCAUCACGGUUUGAGCUCUUAUAGGGGGGCAGUUGGAAAUUAAAAAAGGGGUUAGGUUCUCUUUCAGGAAAAACAGGGAAGUGAUCUUGAGAACAGACUAUUGAGAGCUUAUCUGCCAGAAUUGAUUAAAACUUUUCUUUUUCUUUGCAUUUAAAAAUAAAAAGAUCUUUUGAGAAAUCUUUGCCGCCCAUUGUUAGAAGAAUGAAACCCUAAUCCAAAGCAUUUCCUUAUAAAUACUAGAGAGGGUGAACAGAAUAAGACACUCAAUUUUCAUCAAUCAAACAAACAACCAAAAAAAUCAACCAAAAGCUCACUUGAACCACAAGGAAAAAAAAAAAAGUUUAGAUCAGAGUUCCCAAAGUUCAGACUUAAAGAAAUAAGUCAUUCAAAACGAGAUCCUUCUUGUUACGAAUUUGGUUCAGCAAAAGCCAAGACAACCAGAGUUUGAGUUUUCUCAAAUAUGAAAACCUCAACAAAUUUCACAGUGCAGUUUCCAGCUCAUUAAGUUCUUAAGAACGGCCACUUCUGUCCCAAAGCUUGGAGUAGAUUAAAGCUCUGCCAAAAUUGAACUUUGGUAUCGACCUACAGCUGAAACUGAGCAGUUGAAGUUGUUAAAAGUCCAGUCUAGCCUAGACUUACCCAGUCCAGCCCGGAUCAGAAGCUUCUAUCCAUACAUGAAUGGAGUUCUAGCUUUCCUUUUGCUUUUCUAGAGUUGAUUUCUUCCUUUGUAGCUCUGAAAAGAACAGUUCUGUCUAAAAACAGUCUACUUUAUUAUUCAUUACUCUGGCUAGAAUUACCAAUUUUAUACUGGGAUAAAUUGUGAAGUCCUCACCAGUCUGAGGCAAGAAAAAGAACUUACUUGGGAGAUAUUCCCCACCCAAAUUCAUAAUCGUUUGUUUAGAAAUCAGUAACUUGGGGCGCAAGUUAUCGGUUUUAAAGAAGUCUGCUAGAAUCUUUAUUGCUAGUGGUGGCACGCUCAUACACCAAAGAAAGCUGACUUGUUGACCAAUCAAUGGUUUCCAAGGCAGUGGGGAACUUUGCCCUUCCAUCUCAGGAAUAAACACAAAAAAGGGUGAACAGUGGUACUAACAGGCAGCAUUUCAGUGACUCAUAAGAAAAGAUUUAGAGAGAGCUAUUUUGGGCACCUGUUGGGCCUCUAUAAAAUUGCAUUUAGCGGUCAAAUUGUGCAUGCUUUAGCACUCCGGCAAGUUAGAGGACUUGAUGUGAAGGACAUGCUGAGCCUUAGUUAUGCAAUAGGGUCCAACGUUGCUCAAUUUACUGUAAAGGACUUUCGUUUGAUAAGUGGUCUGAAAUGUGGAACAGAGCCUUACAUAACGUCCGCAGGGGAUGCUCCUAAUCGAUUUAUGAAAAAGCAUUUUACCAACAGGAGUCAUAUUAUUUUUCCAUGACUUAGAAAAUGCAUUCCUAAAGUCCGAAAGAGGAAGCAAGAACUUGUUCAAAUUGAGACUGUUGUAUUUUGUGGAGUUUGUGAUAAUGGGUAAACCCCAAAAUGUAAAGAUAAACGAGGACUACUUACAUUUGGUUCAUAAAAUAGAUGAAUUCAACAAACAUCAGGGGGAUCUAUAUCGUUUGAGUGUUUGCAAGAUUCUCUGUUGUUUUCUCUCAGGAAGAAAGAGAGUGAUAAAGACAAUGAUGGGAAGGGGAAAGGACAGAAAAAAUGAAAAAAGGUGGUGCAGAGUUCAAUGAGAAAAGGGAAGGAAAACAUGGAGGAUGACAAGUGUAAAAGAAUUAACAAACCUACAUGGAAUAUAAAGGGAUUGAGCUAUGCUUUCCAAGUAUGAUUUAGUUCAAAAUUGGUGUUGGUAAAAUUUAAGUUCGUAAUUAAGUACUGACUUUGAUAAUCUAUUUGGUGUAGAUUUGGGCGUAUGAAUUAAUUGCUAAAUUAGGAAUUCCCCCUAGAUAUUGUAAGAGGAUCGAGGAACCUGCAUUAGUCCCUCAAAUUUGCAUGUGGGAAUCCAUAGAUAAAGUGCCUGAGUUUAGAAAGCUGAACGCUUAUAUAUUUCAAAGUAAAUAGGUGUGUAGUUAAUAAUUUAUUUCAAUAGUAUGUUGGUUUCAUAAGGAAAGCUGUUUAGUAUUGUAUAUGACCUGUUAACUCUAUAUUUUUGACAGCCUGUUAUACUGCGCCUUUUACGACCAAGUGCAUCGAAGAUGAGCCAACCAUAUUGGAGUUGGGGAUUAGAUGUUCUUGAAUGUGAUGCACCUAGUGUAACCCCACGGAUAUGUAAGGACCUUGACGAGGUAAACUUUGUUGGGCAAAAAUUCAAGAAUGAGGUUGCAAUAUGCACCGUGAGAAGGGUGAGCUAGAGGAGAGAGUUUUGCGCUUGGAAAAAUGUACUAGUCAUGCAGACGCAAGGAAGACUAAGGAUGCUGGAGAGGAGAGCCAUAAGACUGAGGAUGCUGGAAAGAAGAGUCAUAAGACUGAGGAUACUGGAGAGGAGAAUCAUAAAACUGAGAAUGAUGGAGUAGCCGAAUUGAGAGAAGAGUCUGUAUGAAAUGAGAAAGAAGAGGUGCAAUAUACACCCCGAUAUAAAUUGGGAUGAUCCAGAUGUGGUAUGUGUCACCCUUGUUAAAUUUCUUUCGAAAGUGGAAGGAAGCCUACACCCUCCAAUUUUUUCACGCUUCCGCAUUUCUUUUCAGACUCCAUCCUCCUCUCAAACCCUCUCAUAAUUUCUGUGGUCAGAAUCGAUACCUUCCUCAAACUCCCUCUCUCUUUCUCUGCCCUCUCAGUUUCUCUCCUCUCAAACUCCAUCUCUUCUUGCUCUCUCAGUUUCUCUGCAUCGAUAUCCCUUCCCGCCGUCAUCUCUCUCUUUCCUUUCCCUAUCAAAAAUCGAGGUCCAAAAGCAUUAUUUACUGCUCUCAUUUGGUAUAUGUUUCAUUUUCCUAUUCGUUGUUGCCUUCUACCUGUGUUGUCCCUCCUGCCGUUCUCUCAGUUGGAAACGCCGAAAACCCCCAUGUGGCUAGAACACCCACCCUAAUAUCUGAGAUCUCGUUGAGAGGGUAAUAAAUUUUCGAACUUUCAUAAGAUGUUUUGCAUUUUCUAUUGCAUUCACUUAAUGUUUUUACUUUUUGGAUUUUAGGGCUUUGAUUUUCUGGAUUUCCACUUAUGGACUUAUUUGUUUAAGAACAUGAUUGUGUCUCUGUGAGAUUGAGAGAUUGAGUGAAUUUUUCUUUUAACGUUUUGUGAUGUGAAUCAGUGCAGUGAGGUCAGUGAUGAUGACGAUGAUGAAGAAGCCAGAAAGGCAGAGGCUCUGCUUCAUCAGUUCAAUGUAAGCUUGUCUUUUCUUUCAUUAACUAAACAUUUUGUCCGUAAUGAUUUUGAGUUUUUCUAUUUAAACUCCACACUUCUCUUUGUUCACCCCAUGCUCUAAGUUCAACCCAACUUCUAAUUCAAACUUUCACAUUCUAAUAAAAACCCACUAUCUUCCCAAACCACCUUCAAAUACACACUCAGCAGAAAAAAUAAAAUAAAAUAAAACUCAUCAACCACACACCCCACACCCCGUUGUCUUGCGCCUCACCACUCUAAGUUCACCUCAAUCUCACAUUACUUAAAGAGAUAAAAACAUUGUUGUCAAAUGUGUAGCCGUAUUAUUUUAUUAUUAUUUAAACAAAAUUUGAGAAUGAACUAGGAGGUUUUGAUAGAGAAAUGUUGACAUUUAAAUUGAUAUGUAAGUUACCAUCAUCAAACAUGAAGAGUGGUGGGGUGUGUAUAGAUGUACUAGGGUUAAGUAUUAAGUUGGAUGACUUUUUUUGUCUUUUUACACAAUAAUAAAACUUAAGAGUUUAAUAAUUUAAUAUUAGGGUGAACAAAAAGAAGUAUGAGGUUUAAAUAGAAAAACUCAUGAUUUUUAUGCUCAACAAUUUCUUGGUGUGUGUUUUGAUGGAGUUAUUUAUUCAUUUGUUAUUUGAUGUAUUUUUGGGGCUGUUUAAUAAAUAAUGGUGAUGUAAAAUGUAAAUUUUCCUUUUUGUCUUCUUUUUUAAAUUAAUAAGAUAGAAAAAAAGAUUAGCGUUGGGAACUUUUAAAAUUAAAUAAAUAAAUAAGUCUCUGUAUGGUUGUUCAGAUAGACAACAUGGAUAAGUCUCUGUGUGGUUGUUCAAAUAAGUCUCUGCACAUCAAUUCCCAAUUUCAGUUUAGCUGCUAGAAUGAGGUUUUUUUUAGUUUAGGUAAGGUCGCUUUGUGUAGUCUCUCUAAUUUUUGUUCAUCCGUUUUAUAAUUGUUCCUCUGAUAGUAGGGUAAAGUUUCCUAUUGUCUUGAAAACCAUUGACUGGUCAACAAGUCAACUUUUUUUUGUGUGCGAGCGUGCCACUGCUAGCAAUGAAAAUCCUAGCAGACUUCUUAAAAAUAGAUAACUUGCGUCCCAAGUUACUGAUUUCUAAACAAGCGAUUGUGAAUUUGGGGGAGUAAUAUCUCCCAAGUAAGUUCUUUUCUUGCCUCAGACUGGUGAUGACUUCACAAUUUUUCAUAGUACAAAAACUGGUAGUUUUGGCCAGAAUAAAUGAUAAGAAAGUGACUGUUUUCACACAGAACUGCCUUUUUACAAAGUUCAAAAAGGAAAGGCCAACUCUAAAAGGACAAAAAGAGUGUUGGACUUUAAUUUUUGCCUGGAUAGAUGCUUCUAAUCCGGGUUGGACUGGAUAUGUCUGUGCUUGAUUGAACUAUCAACACCUUCAGCUGUCAAGUUUCGGCUAUAAAUCGAUACCAACGUUCAAGUGUGGUAGAGCUUUAAUCUAUUUCAAGCCCUGAAAGGCUUUUUGAAAGGGCAAAAUUGGGACUUCUUCAGUCUGAAACGGGUAGAAGUGACUGGUUUUGAUGAUUACUGAGCUGGAACUGCACUGUGGUACCUGUUCUGCUUGAUCAGGGCUCCCCAUAAAUUUGUUGAGGUGUUAAUAUUUGUAAAACCCAAACUCUGCUUGAUUUGGCUUAUGCUGAACCAAAUUUGUAACGAGAGAAAUCUCGCUUUGAAUGACUAUUUCUUUGAAACUGAACUGAGGUUUAAGAUUCUGGAUUAUAGCUGACUUGUUUCUUGUAGCUCGAUGAGUUUUUAGUUGCUUCAGUGUUUUGAAGGCUUUUGAGAUCAAGUGAUCAUUUUGAGUUUUUUUAUUUUUGAUUGAUUUUUUGGCUGUGCUUCAUCUGUUCACCCGCUCUCUUAUUUUAUAGGAAAUGCUGGAGUGGGGUUUAAUCUUUGAAUAAUGGGUGGUAGAUCUUUUCAAAAAUAUCUUUUCUCUUUUCAAAACCAAAAAGGAAGAAAGUCAUUGUUUUUGGCAGAUAAGAACCAUCAACAAUCAGCUUUCAUAGAGGUCUUUUUUUGCUUUUUCUGAAAGAAAACCAACUCUCUUUGUUCACUGUUUGUUCUUUGUAAAGAGAAAAACUCAAUCUGCCAUGAUGGUCAGUUUGCUUUCCCUGUUUGAACAACUCCCUUGCUCCCUACUUAUCUCUUGAAAUCGUAGUCUGCUUAUCUCUUGGAAAGGCCACCUGCUUUGGUGCAGAGUUUCUAUAUAUAUAUAUAUAUAAGGGAUCUUGAUCAUCUUCCUUUGGCUGUAAAAAUGGAGAAGUCCUCCUAUAAGACCUGCCUUUAUUAACUCGCUAUUAGCUCAUCUUGAGAUUUUUGACUUUUUCAAAGUCAGGUAGUCACGUGGGCUUCUUUGAGAAUAGACCUUCAAAAAAGAUCUGUUGAGUUGUACUAUGGGUUUUUGAGAUAAAUGGUGAGAAUUUAGAAGCUGAGCCCAAUCCAAUUCUUCUUUAGAAAUUUAUCGAUCUGCUUUGGUGAUGAAUUGCCAUUUUUAAUUGGCAAUUUUAUUGACUUAUUUUGUGUUUCUUACACCUCUACCACUUUGUAGAAGAUACGGGCCUCUUUGGUUUGGUUUGGUUUGGGCUGCUUUUCUGGAAUCAAGGCCCAUUCUUUUUCUCUUUUGUGGGCUUUUUAUUUUGGACUGGGCGUGUCAAUUCCCAAACAAUUUUACAUUCGUAUUGUUAUGAAUUUCUGAUUUUAGUUUUGGAAUAGAUUUAUAUAUUUAUUACCAUUUAUUAUUUCUUAUGAAAGGGUCUUAUGCCAAUGUAAAAGUUUAUAACAAUAGGUUUCGAAGUUCACAUUCCAUCAAUAGCUAAUGCAGAUGGAGUUAUGAAUUUAAUUUUUGGGAUGAUUUGUGUAGCCUGUAAUCUUUGAGAAUGUUUUGUUUAAAUGGGUUUUAUUUUUGGUUUGGUAGAAUGCAUUUUAUUGUGGUUUGGGUGUUUUUAUUUAUUUAUGAUAGAGUGGUAGAGAUGCAGAAUGAGGUGUGGGUAUUUUGGUCAUGUAAAAGGGAAAUUGCAGGUUUAUGGUUUGGUUUAAACAAUUGUGUGGCUAUGUGUUCACUUUAGGUGUAGGUGUUGUGAUGCACAGGAGACUCUGUUUCUAGGUUUAAAUUAUGUGUUUCUAUGUACGUAGUUGGGUGAUUUCUUAAUGUUUCUAUUAGGUUAUUUCAGUUUGUUUUCAGUUUGAUUUCGACAGCUGCGCUUCGUGUGAUUUUGCUUUUUUUUAUUUUUUUAUUAUUUUAUAACUUUGUAGAUUUAGGUUUGGCCAAAAUAUGCUGGCAAUGGCUACAACUACAUAUCCACCACCACCACCACCGCCACCGCCGUAUAUAAGCUCUACAAAAAUCACUUGCAAAACUCCAAAAGGAACAUAAUUUGCGAUGGUGGCAAUUAUACUGUGAGCUUUUCUCAUUCUUCCUGUCAAACUUUGUAUAAACUAUGUAAUUUGAGUUCUGAAAAAUGCUUUUGUCACUAAUGAUAUUUAUAUGGAUGCUUUUGUUUGCAUUUCUAAUUAUCUCUGUCUCUAAUUUGAAUGUUUUGCUUGACUUAUGAAUUAAAGUCUUUGGAAUUUUAUCUCAAUAGAUGGAAUUGUCUCUCACCUUUUUGACAUAUAAGGGUUCCGUUCCAUACCCGAAGCAAAAGAAGUAGAGGAAACUAUAUUUCAUGUUUUCCAGGUUAGUUGGAAACUAUUUUGUAUUUUAAAGUUUCCAAUCAUGAUACAUCAGUAUGAUUAUGUUUCAGGUUAGACACCCAAAUAUUAUAUCCUUAUUUCAUAGUACUUAAGCUGAUGAAAUUUUGGGUGCUUCUACCACCAAGUGUACCAUCUUUGUUGUCACCGAACCUGUCAUGCCAAUCUUUGAACAAGUCAAGGAACUCAGUUUACAACUGUAGUUCUAUUUUUUUUUCCCUUUAAUUUUAUGUUUGAUUUGUGUAUAUUUCUUUUUUCUUCCCUAAAAUUGGGCCAGUUGCUCUAAUUUGGAUAUUGUUGUUUGCCUUUUUUGUAUAUAGAAAGAAAGUUCUUGUGUACUCUGAUGUUGGCUUCAUUUAUGCAGGUCAUUUCUUUACUAAGCUAGACUACCAAUAGGCUACAAUUGCUACAAGGGGAGAGGCCAUCCAUGGUUGAAGAAGGGCAAUGGAUAUACCAUACACUUACCUAAAUGAGGUCAGUUUCUUGACUUGCUGCUUAACAAUAAUAACCAAUGUUAACACAAGUGUCAUCUCAACAGUAGAUAUAUCCUAAAAUUAUCAGUUGCAAAAUAAUGUAUACAUUGUAUGAACUCUUUCUAUUCUGAACAAAAGCAACGUAGAGAUUUUCUUAAUUUGAUUUUGCUUUUUCCAUUUGCCUUCAUUUGGAAUGGAUGAAGAAGUACAAGAUUGCAUUCAUUUUUCGUAGUGAAUUGUAUUCUUUUAUUAUACAGAAUAUUGUUUCAAAUGCAUGCUGCACCCCGAGUCUAGAAACCAAAUAUCUUCUCUUUUUGCUCCAUGUAGCUCCACAUAUGACAUCAGUAGCACUGCUUCUUCCUUUUCAUCAAGCUCAGCAAAAUUGGCUUCUUUGCCCCAACUUGGACACUCAUAUUGAAAGUGUCCGAGCUUGUGGCAAUUAUAACACUCAACAAGUGAUUUGUCGAAUGUUUGACCUCUGCCUCUGCCUCUUCCUCUAUAUGACCCUCUGCCACGUCCUCUUCCUCCUGACCUGUCUUCAUGAGUUACCUUUAAGGCCUGUUCUUCCCCAUCAUGCUUGUGAAAUUUCUGCUCAUGAACAAUCAGUGAGCUUUGUAAUUCAUCAAUGGACAGCUGGUCAAUAUCUUUCGACUCUUCAAUAGAACAAACUAUGUAAUUAAAUUUGUCUGUUAAGGAACGAAGUAUUUUCUCCACAAUUGUAACGUCUACCAUACGUUCACCAUGCACCCUCAUCUUAUUUGCAAGAGACAUUACACGAGAAAAAUAAUCACAGACUUUCUCACCAGUUUUCAUCUCUAAGGUUUCAAACUCUUUACGAAGAGCUUGUAGGAUCGAUCGCUUCACCCUUGCAUUCCCUUCAUAUUUCUUUCUCAUCGAGUCCCAUAUUUGCUUUGAAGAAUCCUUCUGAAGUAUGGUCUCCAAGAUGUCUCUAUCGAUUGCCUGGAACAAGUAAUUCUUCACUUUCAAAUCCUUCAAUUUCAACUCAUCGAGCUUCUUUUGCUGUGCCUCAGUCACAGCUGCUCCAGCUUCUGUUUCUGCAUAACCAGUCUCCACCAGGUUCCAAUAUUCCUUAGACCUCAAAAAAUUUUCCAUGAGCAUGCUCCAAUGGUCAUAAUGACCAUCGAAGCGGGGAAUUGCUGGCUGCACGAAAUUCACUUCACUCGUCAUAUCUCUCUCUCUGUGUUUGCAAGUCACUCAAAAGUCUGCGGCUUUCUUUUUUUCUCAGGCCCAGUGGAGGCUCUAAUAUCAGAUUGUUGUGACACAAAGAACUUAAACAAAGCAACACACUUAAUCUGGGAGAGACUUCUUAUUGACUUCAGCAAACACUGGCUAUUAUAUAGCCUUACAACUUCCUAAAUAAAAACAAAGAUUACAGUCCACGUUUACUCUAACAGAAACAUGGUUAUCAACAAAGGGAAAUAGUCAAAACAAACAACCUACUCCCUAGUUAACAGGGAUUAUUCAAAACAACCCAACAGAAACACCUAUAAACUCGACAUAUUCUUCAUUCGGAGGACAAUAUUUGUAUUUGAUUUUAAAAAAAAUUUCUAUUAUGUUUGGUUGUAACUUUUUUAUUUCGACAUAAAAAAGAAGAAAAAUUGGGAAUUGAAUUUUUUUUUUUAUAGAGUUCCACUACACUGGAAAUUCGCUUAUUUUAAAGCGAUAUGUGUGAUAAUUAUCUUAUGUAUUUGAUUUGUGAUAUAAUUCCUUUUCCUUGGUGCCCAAGUAGGCAGUGAAUCUGUUCUGUAACAAAAACAAGCGUAUUCAUUUCCUUGGAAGCCUAAAGAUCAAUCAGUCAAGCCUCUCCACACUGAGAGAGAGAGAAAUAGAGAGAGAGACCAAUUUGAACUAAGAGGGUUCAAUUUCACGAGGAAUUACAGAUGAAGAAAGCAGUAACGCUUCAAAUGUGUUUCAAUUUCACGAGGGUUCUGAAAGUAAUGUAUCCUCCUGCUGCUACUCCUAAAAUUCCAACUUCAACAACCCUUGUUGCCCGUCAUCCUCAACUGCUCACAAGAAGGUUAAUGUCUUCCAACUCUAACCUUGACAUGGCCGAGGCCGACAAGAUCUCCACCUCCCCUAUUUCGUUCUCCUCGUGGUAUUCCUUCGGUGAUCCCUGCCUUGAUCUGUUUUUUCAUGUGAAAAGUCGAGAUCAAGAUCACAUCGGUAACGACGACGAAGAUGACGACAUCAAGCAGGAGAGGCAGAAACAGACCUCCCAUUAUAACCAUCAUAGACUUAACUAUCUGAAGCAACUGCUGCCGGUGGCCUGGUCCCACAAUCCCCUGACCACCCUCAAGCUUAUCUUCAAUCUCCAUUCUGGGAUUUCUAGUAAGGGAAGAGAUUAUCCGGAAGCCUUUCACACAGCCGUGUUUUGGCUCCACCAGAACCACCCCAAGACGCUAUUAUGCAACCUCCCCGCCUUCGCCGGUUGGAAAUGGGGUUUCAAUGACCUUCUCGACAUUCUCUACGGCCUUCUAGAACAAGGCCAAGACCCUACUGCAGGGGAGAGGCUCCACCGCGACCCUGACUAUAAGUUGUUACACGACCAGAUUAUGGAUCUCUUGGCGGAGCGGUGGAAGUCUGAUGUUGAAAAAUUUAAGCAGCACAAGCUGGAACUAAAGUCAUUCCAAGACUGGGACCAACUUGAUGAGGCUGAUCAUCUUUUGGUAUCUGGGACUGCAGUGGUUUGCAGCCUCCCCGACCAUCACACCAGCUCCAUUUUGCUUCGCGAAAGCAUUGCGAGGAGGCUUUUCCCACCAGAAUCGGAUCAAUCCGAAGAGUGGGAACGGCUAACCGACGCUUUGGAGCCCUUUUUAAAUUACUACAUGCAUCGGGCCUCACUUUGGAACCACACACUAGAGCGCUCUGAGGUUAAAAAGUGUUUGGAGGAGGUGAAAGCAGCAGCUGCAGCAGGAGGCAAUUUAGGAGGCGGCAUAAUAAAGCCGGAUGCUUUGCUUCCAAAUGAGAUCAUAAAAUAUGCAGAAGAUGAGGAUUUCGGGGAAGCGGCUAACCUUCAGUGGAAGGCAAUGGUGGAGGACAUGUACCUAAAGCAGCAGCAAAAGAAGGGGGAAGAAGGUUUGGGCAAAUUUACAAACUGUUUGGCAGUGUGUAACAUCACCGAGGACACGGCCAAAUUACAAAGAGAACUGGGGGUGAGUUUGGGACUUUUGGUUUCGGAACUGAAUGAAGAUCCGGCAUGGAAAGGAAAGGUGAUCAGUUUCGGUGAUUUGCCCGACGGUCAGCCUCAGCCUCAGCCUCUGCUGCAUUCCAUACAAGGCGAUGAUUUAAAGUCCAAGUGCGAGUUUAUGAUGAGGACAUGUCGCAUGAAGUCCAACGAGAGUGUCGAUUAUCGGAAGGUGUGUGAUCUGAUUCUGGAAGUGGUUGAGAAUGAGAACUUGAAGGCAGAGCAGAUGAUCAAGAAAGUGUUUGUGCUCACCGACUUCACAGGAUUCUUUAGCUGCACCUCGAAGACUCUGCAUGAAGCAAACCAGAGCAAGCUUGAGGAGCUCGAGGCUUCCGGAUAUGAUGCGAGGCCAUUGCCACACAUUUUGCUUUGGAAUAUUAGUGACUGGAAGUAUCCUCAUUCAGAAGAACAUCAUCCAGGGGUGACGCUGAUGAGUGGCGUCAACGACAAUUUGAUCAAGUCCUUCAUGGACAAUGGUGGGGAAAUUGGCCCGCGACAGGUCAUGGAAGCAGCCAUCGCUGACAAAGAGUUUCAAACUUUCUCUGUCGUCGACUGAACUUUAAUUUUAGAGUUGAGUAUAGCUAGAUAGCAACAUUUCUGCUCUGAAAGUGGAGAAACUAUUGGUUUGGUAUGUAUUAAUUGAAACUGAUUUCAUUUUAAUCAUCUGCUUAUACUAUGUUCAUAUGAAACUGAUUACACACAAACUAAAUUUUCAGCUUAAGAAGAACCUAAGCCUCAACUACCCCGAUCACUAAAUCAUACAGCAUUUUCCCAUCAAAACCAGCUGUUCAUUCACAUAGAUUGAACGUAAUUCCAUGAAAUCAUCCAUUUUCCCGGACAUAGAGAUGAGGGUGAUCAGAAGUUUAAACCGAAGCAAUGUUUGUGUCCGGUAAAGUUUAGUCUCCCUAUUCGUCGUUUGAAAAUGCCAUGCUAAAUGUGAUGAAGAAACUUUAGUUUUGUGAUCAUUCCUCCAACAAUAACAUAAGCAAUAAAAAAAUUACUAAUAAACUUUAACCAAACAGCUAAUUAAGCACAAAUAUAUAGUAAUAAUAGUAUAGGUUUCCGCACUUAACAAGUCCCUGGUGAAUCUAAUCCUUGAUUUUAAAUCCUCUUCACAUCUUCCCACCUCAAGUUCAUCUUCGAGUCCUCAUAUGCAACUGCGAAAAAUUUAUUCGUCUAAUCACGCACUUCAAAAAAAUAGACAUAGUCUCACAAUCUAUAUGGUUUCCGAACACUCUUUUAUGUGACAUGUUAUUGGUGCUUUUUUAAUUAACUAAAAACUUUUUAAAACACUUUCUACAACUAGAUCUUGUUCUAGUGGUAUUUCUCUUCACAAUAUUGGAAGAGAUUGCAAGUUCGAAUCCCCCAUUCCGGUUAAUAUAAAGAUAAAUAAAAGAAGACAUAUGAAGGGGUUUAAAUCCCAAAAUUAGCCAGCUGAUAUUUCUUUAAAAUUAAAGAUGUGAGUUUUCUUAAGGCUGAUUGACAUAGACAUCCACACCACAUGUUGGGCAAAAAGAAUUAAUUUCAGAGCAAUCUUUCUUUAAUAAAAGUGGUCUCUCAUUAUAGGCAGUAUAUCCCUUUAUAUUUGAGUCAUGCAAUGCAAGGCAUGAAGGGUCACUUUCUAGGCCACACCAGAAGAACCCAACAGGACUGAAUAGAACAUGAUCAACAAAAAUCAACAUUUGAGGCGCUUUUUUUUAGUGUCACGUGUGAUUAGAGUUUCAAUUUUUAUUAUUAUUUUUUUUUGUUAACCUUAAAACUUUAUAAGAAAUUAAUACAAAUACAAAAAUAUAUUGAAAUUUUUUUUUUUUUUUCCAAACUCCUUGCAACAUUAUCCAAGACUAUGACGUAUGAAAACAAAAUUUUUACCUUGGGAAAUUUGAAGUAAUAAACAAAUGAAACAUACGAUCAAUUAUUAAGAAAAGAUAGAAUGAUGUGUCUAGCAGUAAAACAAUUCACAAAGCAAUUCAUGACACAAAACUAAAGGAACUCAUAUCAUGCAUUUAUGGAUGUGUAUUUUCAGAUGAUAAAAAAAGCUUUCAACCUACUCCGUGGAUAUACCUUUCCACAAUGCUUAUUUUAUUUGAGCCUCUGAAAUUACCAAUUCUAAACAGAUUGGCACGAACCUUAACAUAUGCAAAGUAGUUCCUUAUUUCCGGUACAUCACCAAGAUAAUAGGAAUGAGGACGACUCCAUCCACCGCAUGGAAUUUGCACAAACUGCAACAAAAUAUGGGUCCCUCCUUGGGCAUCAAAAUAAAUAACACAAACAGCUUACAAAUCAUUUCAGUAAGCAGUCUGAGGUACAGCAAAAGACUCUACUUUGGUCUCGGUAAUUAAGUUCCAAAUAAUAAAAUCCACUGAUGCAAAACCAGCAGCACAAUGGCUGCUUGACAACUCAUUGACAGAGCUAUUAUCAGUGGAGACGGAUUGAAUAAGACUCAACUCCUUCACUUGCUUCAUCGCUAUAAACUCUAAUGUCUAUUGCUUUAUCCCUGACGACUGGUCAUUUUGAAGUAGGGUCUCUGUAGUUGAAGAACUAAGGGGAGGCAUUGGUGACAGGUACUCGGCGAGGCAUUGGUGUCAGGUUACUUUGAUGCAGAGUAAUGUCCUGGGGAAAAAAAUCGAGAAUUGGAGCAGGGGUGGAUUCUCGAUUCUCCUCCUGGACUGUUGAAUAAUAUAAGUCAUGUUCCCGAAACACAACAUCUAUGGAGGUAAAGACCUUCUGACUAGGUGGAUGAUAACACCGGUAUCGUUUUUGAUGAGGUGCAUAGCCAAUAAAAACACACUUUUUUGCUCGGGGAUCCAAUUUGCUUCGUUGGUGAUCAUGUAAGUGGACAAAUACAACACAGCUGAAAAUUCGGGGUUCCAGGUUUGGGGUGGGAGGUGUUUGGAUAUGGUGGUGAAGUGUUUGAAGUGGUGUUUGGGAAUUUAGGAUACUAGAGGGAAUCCGAUUGAUAAGGUAUCACUACAAGAAAAAUACCGUAUAACAACAUGAAUAUAACAACGUGCGUUUAAUGGGUGUUGUAAAAUAUACUUUUAACAACAUGCUUUUAAAUGCGCGUUGCCUAAAUUUUUUUUUUGACAACAUGCAAAAACUGUGUGUUGUUAAACGGCUAUUUUACAACACACACAAGCGCGUUGCAAGUUUCACUGAAAUCUACAACGUGGCUAGUACGUUGGGAAAUUAUUAUUUUUUUUUUUGGUAAGAGAAAACAUAUAUGAAGUGACAACAAAGUUUAUGAGGGAAAUUUUUUCGCGAACUCCCUCCAUUUUUUUUGGACUGAGCAAACUCCCCAUGAGUAUACUUGGUUUUUUUUUUUUUUUUUUUCUCUUUUAUGAAAACCAAGUUCAAAUUGAGAAACUCAUUCAGCCUUAAGCCCUCUCGCUGUCUCCUCCUCUUCCACCCCUCUCCCCUUCUCUCACCUCCCCCCUUUAUCGCUACUUUGGUUUUCAGCCUAUCCCUCUCAAACACCCUUUUCUCUCCCUUAUUUUAUUGCUAUUUCAUAUGUUCUGGGAAGCCCAAGCAAAUGAAGCAUAUGUAAGGCCCCGUCCUUCUUUUCUAUGGCUAACGAAAAUUAUAAUUAACUUUAAAUUUAAAAUUUUUGGUUAUUCUCUUUUGAUUUUCAAUUUCCUAGGUUAUUUUUGGGGUCCAAUUUUGGUUUUGAUUGUUAUGAAGGAUUUAGGGUUUGGAUUGGGUUUCCAAAAGCUAUUCUUAGCUAUUCUUUGAAUUGCUCUGUGUAAUAUUUGUCAAUUCAUAGGAUUUCAGUUUAGGAUUUGGGCAUUCACAGUUCCUUCCAUUCGAUUUAAGGCUGAAAGUGUUUUUUUUCCCUUCCUUAUGCAUCUCUGAUUCUAUUAGGUGGGCGGAAGACACCACUCUAGCAAGUCGCUCUACUCGUGAAGGAAUCUGCUUCAAAUUCUGUUACAUAUAUGGUAUUCCUUUUCUUCUUUAAGUCUAUUUUCUUCAUUUUCUUUAAAGUAUUGGCAUGUGCUGCUGUUUCUUUUCAACCUAAAUCCAAUCUUUCUAUGAAUUUCUCUACAAUCUCUUUCUAAUUUGUUCUUUUUAUUGUUACAGUUUCCUUUUUUGGGGCUUUCUCUUGUAGGGACUUGUCCAUUCUCGAGUGAUUAUUUCUUGCUCCAUUCUGAAUGUUAGCUUGUUGCUCAUUCUUUGCUCUGUUAUUUGGAUGUUAGUUUGAAUCUCUCUAUUUUUAGUUGGUACUUCACAUUCUUAUUUGAAUCUCAUUGGAAACUCUAAUGGAACCACUAGUUUUAAAUCUCCCUAUGUGUUCAUUUGGUUAUGAACUUUCAUUUUGUUUUUAGUUUUGGAUUCAUUCUUUAUUUUGUUUGGAAUUUGGAACACUGAUUUCUAAUUAUGAAACAUCUCUCUAUUAAAAUAACUUCAUUAAAUACAUGUAAUCUGAUUUGGGGCUGGGGCAUAAGGUCUUGUUUGUAGGUGCUGUUUUGAAGGAGAUGAAAAGAGAAGAGGAAAUUGAGCUUUAGUUUCCAAUCUUUGUUAAUAAUUUGUGCAGGCUUAUAGUUUCCAUUUCUAUGUAGAUGGAUUUAUAGGCAAGGUGAGGAUUCUAAAUUAGGUUCCAUUCUUUUUUCUUUUUUCCUACAAUUUUGUUUCUUGAAGAUUUGUUGGCUUUGUGCAAAUGGAGAACACGUUUAAUUUUGAAACCCCACACAUCAAUUGAUUAAGCUAGUCUCUCUCCCACUUUGACACAUGCAAACAAGCACAUUUUGUUUUUGUUGAGUUUCUUUGUUCUAGGGAAAUUUUUUUGUUCGUGAAAAUUACAAUGGAUGACUGCUAAAAUGAGUUUUCUAACAAAAAUGCAGGGGAUUUUGAUAAAUGGCCAAGGCCACAUAUCAAAUGCAAGUUUGAUUCUUGUUAGCUUGUGUCUGCUAUUACUAGGAGGUUUUUGCAUAGGUUGCAUGUGGUUUGGUGUGUUAGAGAUUGAUUUUUGUUGUUAUAUUCAUGACUACGGGUUGGAGGCCAGUGUCAAUUUGUUUCAGGCUUCAAUAGGAGUGCUGGUCAGUUUUUUUCUUUUUCUGUUAUUUUUUAGGAUGAUGCUGUUUGAAUUUUAUUAGUUUUAAAGUGAAUUUUUGAAGAAUAUUGUCAUACUGAAUUGUGUUUGGGUAGGUGGGUUCCAUUAGCAGCUUCAUCCCGAAUUGUAAGCAUUAUUCAUAUUUUCUAUUCAAUUUGAAACUUAUAUAUGCAAUUUUUUUUUCUUUCUCAAUGCACAUAGUUUAUGAUUAGAAGAUCAUUCUCCCUGUUUUUUCUUGUCCAAACCUUUUCAGAAGAUAUUUAAGAUGGUGAAAAAAGCUCGGAAGCAUGGUAAGGGGGAGCUUGGUGGAUUAUGUGGAGUUUGUUGAUAUUGUAAAAGUCAAAGAACUACAAAGGAGAAGCUUGAGUGUAACUUAGUUGGUGAUGAUGAAGUUAUACAUAUGUAUAGAUAUGUUAGAACUUGACUUGUAGGAUAAUCAUGUGUAUAAAUUUGGUUUAGGUUUAUUCGUGUAAUUAGGCAUGCAGUUAGCAGCCCUAGAAUACUUUCAUUUUUUAUAGAUUUUAUUUUGUUUUAUUGUACCUCUCAUAUUGUAUGCUUUUGAAUAAUAUUAAUAAGCAAUUGAUACGGUUUUUUGUAGAUGGAAUGGCAAAAAAAAAACAAAAACAAAACAAAACGGAUUAUGUGUAUAAGAUUUGAGGGUAUGUGUUUAGGGAUUUUGAUAAGAGGAUUUGGGGACUUUAGAUUUGAGGGAUUUGGAUUUGGGGAAAAAUAUGAGGAAUUUGAUUUAGGGUUUUGGAUUUGAAUAUGAGAAAUUUGAGAUAAGGGUUUAGAGACAACCUAGGAUCGAUUGCUCUGAUACCAUGUUAAAAUACGAAUAUGGUUUGAAUGUAUUAGGUUGAGUUUUAUUCUUCUCUAUAAGAAGGUAUAUAUAGGAGUUUACAUGAGGGUUUUACAAGGAAUUAGAUAUAGUAAAGAAUUAUAAAAGUAUCUCCUAAUUGUACAAUGAUUUAUCACUUAUAUAAAAUUAGGAAAGCAAAUUCCUUAAUUAAUCAAGGAAGUAAAUCUCCUUGAUUAAUUAGGAGACUCACGUCAACAAAUUUGACAUGUAAAAUUCAAAUAAUUUCUCAACGUCAAGUUUGUUUUGAUGCUAACAAUAAUAUUAUGUUGAAAAUCAUUACUCUCCUUGACAACAACUCUUCCUCCAAUUAUUACUUUCAAAUUUUCCAAGGCCAAAAUUUUAUUAUCACACAUCGUAGUCGAAGAUAAUGUCGCAAGGAGUUUUUGUAGAAAUUUUCGGUGCCUUUUUUUCAUUUUUUAUUCAUUGUUUGUGAAUUUUUUAAGUUAUAGAUACAAAAAUGAACACACAUGGCGCCACGCGAUACUAACACCUGUUGGAAACUCUGACGACGCACAAUUCAAGUGUCACCACUUGUCAUUCUCUUACGUUUAUUUCUAUUUUUGUAUACUUUAACUUCCAAAAAUAAGAAUAAUUCAUUAAAUAACAUGAAAAUACACAAAUUGCUUGUGAGCCUAUGUACAUCUUUUGAGUUCAUCUGAAAAAUUCAUAAAAUAGUAAUGAAAACUUCUUAGUAAAAAAAAAUUAUUUAUGAAGCUUUAGUUAAUAAUAGGGAAGGAUGCGAUGUUGAAGCUGUAGAAAAUUCUUUUGGAUAAUGGGUGGAACUCAAUGAGUUGGCAAUAUGACAGUAAAAAUGUCAUCGGCAUACAUCUGUAAGUACAUGAAAAAACUGUUAUAAUCCAUGGCAUACUGCUACAUUAUAGGCAGCAGCCUUCACGCCACACCUGCAGAGAUAGUUUGCAAUGCCCAAUGUUCCUUUUCUAGUAGGAACAUAUGUGAUGGUUGACCCAUUCUCUAAAGGCUCCUGCUGCAAAAGUGUUGGUCUUUCUUUCGGUUUAUUUGGCAGAUCAAUAAUAUCAGAUAUAGUUUCUUUUCUAGUAUUAUGUUGACAAGUGUGAACUGAUGCUUGAUCGAGGGAUGAUAUUGGGGUGAAAACUAAAAGCAACUGCUCUUCUCUCACGAUAUGGCCGAGUUUUGUGAAUUUGUAUUUUUUUCCUUUUUAUUUUAUUGCGUGUUUGCGAAACUUCACAUCCGAACUCUAAAACAUAAAUUUCUCAUAAGCUAUUGGUUUUUUUUGUUUCAGGGGUUUUUCUGUCCAAGUUUUUUUGGUAUUUCUUGAGCACGUUUUCAUCUUAUUUCCUUUCCAUUUUUUUUUCAAAAUUAAAAUUUCAACACGUUUAUUUUACCACUUUACCCCUUUUUAAUUAAAUUUUUUUUCUGAUUUCUUAUCAAGUUUUGGUGGACUUAGUCUUUGUGAUUUCAUCUCCUUUUAAAAGAAAAGAAAUUGAUAUUGGAUUUCAAUAUUACUUUCUGAAUAGUUAAGACGUAAACUUCUUUUUUUUUUUUUUUUUUUUUUUUUUUUUUUCUAGUUUUUGAGUACACAACAUGUAUAAGGGGUGGCCUCGUUAAAACCUUCCCGAAGAAAACUACGGAGUAGGAAAGAGUACCACACCACACAUGCCGCCUUAUUUAAAAAGCAUACAUAUAAUAAAAGCACGAAUUUAAAAAGCAUUGAUAGUCAAGGCCAUGAUGUACUACCGUAAGUACUGGAGCCCUCAUCUCCCUUGGAAGACUUCCUGUCAAUAAAUAAAAAGAAAGAAAAGAAAAUUUGAAUAAGCCAAAAUUAUAAAAUACUAGAAACUUUUAAAAAAAAUAUAUAAUUAAAACCAAAAAUACAUAAAAAAAUUUCUUACUUGUUUUGCUUAAGUUCGUAGUCGAUGUCGUACGGCAUGAUUUUCAAGUCAUGCUCUUCAGCAAUUUUUUCAAUCUCAUUGUACUCUGUUGAUGAAGGAUCUACAGAGUACGGAUCAAUGGAAAUUUGAUUUCCUUUCCAUUGAUCGUUAGUUUUGACUUGUAUGAUUUCUUGCAUGUCUUUGAUGCUAGCUACAGAUAGUUGUUCUAAAUUUUUCAAAUUUUUUAUAGCCCUAUCUCUUUGUUUUUCGAGUGUUUUAAUCAUCUCGGCUAUCUCUUUAGCUUCGGAUGAUGUGCUGUUCUUGGGUGAAAUGCUUCGUAGGUGCAUUAUUCUACUAAUUUUUGAUAAUACAAUUUUAAACGCAGCGUUAGUGAUGAAAGACAUAUCUAACCUAAUUACAAAAGAAAACAAUACUGGCUUUUUAUAACCGGAUGGGAAUGGAAAUGAAUGUAAAACAAAUGCUUUUCUUGCUGAAAGAACUCGCUCAACUGUCAACUCAUGCAAGUCAUCCUUUAUUUUUGAGUAGUUUGCAUGUGGUGUGUGUGUCUAACGUUUUUGUCAUGAAAAUGUUUUUAUCAUAUUUCUUUUUGGGCUUCUAGUCCCAUAUUUCAUGAAUAUGGCACAUUAAAAUAUGGGCUGUUAUCUGGUGGGGAGUUCUAUUUGAGAAUCUCUACGUGAGAACACCCUCGGAUCUAAUCUAACGGAUGAGAAAAAGCAAUCCUAAGUGAAACUGUUGCAGUGGAAGCCAGCCUACACCCUCCAAUUUUUUCACGCUCCCGCACUUCAUUUCAGACUCCAUCCUCCUCUCAAACCAUCUCCUAUUUUCUUUGGUCAGAAUCGAUACCUUUCUCAAACUCCCUCUCUCUUUCUCUGCCCUCUCAGUUUCUCUCCUCUCAAACUCCAUCUCUGUCUUGCUCUCUCAGUUUCUCUGCGUCGAUAUCCCUCCCCGACGUCAUCUCUCUCUUUCCUUUCCCUAUCAAAAAUCGAGGUCCAAAAGCCCUAUUUACUGCUCUCAUUUGGCAUCUGUUUCAUUUUCCUAUUCGUUGUUGUCCUCUACCUGUGUUGUCCAUCCUGCCGUUCUCUCAGUUGGAAACGCCCAAAACCCCCAUGUGGUUAGAGCACCCACCCUAAUAUCUGAGAUCUCGUUGAGAGGGUAAUAAAUUUUCAAACUUUCAUAAGAUGUUUUGCAUUUUCCGUUGCAUUCACUUAAUGUUUUUGCUUGUUGGAUUUUAGGGCUUUGAUUUUCUGGGUUUCCACUUAUGUUCUUAUUUCUUUAAGAACAUGAUUGUGUCUCUGUGAGAUUGAGAGAUUGAGUGAAUUUUUCUUUUAACGUUUUGUGAUGUGAAUCAGUGCAGUGAGGUCGGUGAUGAUGACGAUGGUGAAGAAGCCAGAAAGGCAGAGGCUCUGCUUCGUCAGUUCAACGUAAGCUUGUCUUUUCUUUAAUUAACUAAACAUUUUGUCCGUAAUGAUUUUUAUGCUCAACAAUUUCUUGGUGUGUGUUUUGAUGGAGUUAUUUAUUCAUUUGUUAUUUGAUGUAUUUUUGGGGAUAUUUAAUAAAUAAUGGUGAUGUAAAAUGUAAAUUUUCCUUUUUGUCUUCUUUUUUUAAAUUAAUAAGAUCAGCGUUGGGAUUUUUAAAAAUUAAAUAAAUAAAUAAGUCGCUGUGUGGUUGUUCAUGGAUAUUUUUGGGUUGGUUUAUCUAAAUAGAAAAGAGAAGGAAAGAAAACAAAAGAUUUUACUUUAGGGUUGGCAGAAAAAUUAAAAAGAAAAGACCAACUUGAUGUCGGAGACGGAAUCGCAAUUUUUUUAAGACGAAAGAAAUGUAAUUUAUCAUUAGCUUUGCUUUCAUAUUAUAAAGUUGACAUAUGAUCUGUCAUCAUUUUAACACGGUUGCUUAUAAUUAUUAGAUUUUCUUUAAUAUUUAAGUAGUUGUUCUCUGCUUGUUAAAUUUUAUAGGAAUCGGAAAUCAUGUUUUUGAUGGCUGAGUAGCGGAAUAGAAUGGAUAUUACCAAUCCAAAUAUCCAGAUGGCUGAGUGUGAACUAGGUUAUUUAGCUUCUUAAGAUUAUAUUGUAUCUGCUUUCCAUUGACGUUUGCUGUUCAAACUGCAGCAUCUCACUUAUUCAAUUUAUUGGUUUGCCUUCUAAUUCUUUGAGUAUAUGUCGUGAUUUUUUUUUGGGACUUUUGUCAUCUGCUUGUAUCAUUGUGCUUUCUUCACUUGUUUAGAUCAAGUAUUAUGUUGACGAGUGUGAGAUCUUUUCAAUAUGUUGAGAAAUGUGAGAUAAACUUUUUUAUAUUCCUGUUUGCUCGAUGAGACGCACAGCUUGUGCAGCCAUUGAGUCAUCUAAGCUUAUGCAAGAGAAGCACAGGGAAAUACCAUCUUAUUCGAGGUAAGCAAUCCGAAUCCUUGUUGGAAUGUCAUUGAAACGAGUUUUUUUUUUGUUGCUUUUAUUUCUAAAUACUAAAGCUUUGUGAUUUCGCUUCUGUUUUUAAUGUUUUGUCUCCAACCCCAUUGAAAAUAGGGUCUGCUUAUGGAUAAAGAAUUUGGUUUGUCUCAAAUUAUGGAGAAGAUUUUUCUUCUGCUCUUUGGGAUUGUAUUGUUACAGCUUGUGGUUCAUUGCUCUGGUACUGAUUUAAAGGUAAAACAUGAUAGAGGUUUGUUAAUUAUAGUAAAAUUUAUUGUUUUGAAGAUAAUCAAAUAUAGAAAGCAAAAAAAGAGAGUAUUCCUCUGAAUAUUGCUUAAACGCGUUUAUAUCUACAAUUUGCUUAAACUUUGUCUAAUUAUAGUAAAAUUUAUUGUUUUGAUAUUCGUUAUUCUUUUCAUUUUUUAAUUGAUAAAGCAGAUACAAUUUGUUGCAGGAGAAAGCAGCGCAAGAGAGACUCAGCAGAUAGAGGGAUGGGGAAGCAUCAUGGUGAGUCAACAUAAGCAUUGAUCAUGACUUCUUCGAGCAGUGAAUCAAAGUCCCUCUUUUUCGUGGACAAGUCCAAAGGUACCUCUUGUGACCUUCAUACCUUUGUUUUUUUGUUUUUGUUUUUGUUUUUGGUUUCGAGUGACAUAAUUGUCUUUUUUCGCUUUCAGUAAUUCAAUUGCUUCUGUACAUCAAUCCCGAAUUUCAGUUCAGCUGCCAGAGUUAGGUUUUUUUUUAGUUUAGGUAAAGUCGCUUUGUGCAGUCUCUCUAACUUUACGUUUGUAUUGUUAUGAAUUUCUGAUUUUAGUUUUGGAAUAGAUUUAUAUAUUUAUUACCAUUUAUUAUUUCUCAUGAAAGGGUCUUAUGCCAAUGUAAAAGUUUAUAACAAUACGUUUCGAAUUUCACAUUCCAUCAACAGCUAAUGCAGAUGGAGUUAUGAAUUUAAUUUUUUGGGAUGAUUUGUGUGGCCGUCUUGGAGAACGUUUUGUUUAAAUGGGUUUUAUUUUUGGUUUGGUAGAAUGCAUUUUAUUGUGGUUUGGGUGUUUUUUUUAUGAUAGAGUGGUAGAGAUGCAGAAGGAGGUGUGGGUAUUUUGGCCCUGUUAAAAGGAAAUUGCAGGUUUAUGGUUUGGUUUAAACAAUUGUGUGGGUAUGUGUUCGCUUUAGGUGUAGGUGUUGUGAUGCACAGGAGACUCUGUUUCUAGGUUUAAAUUAUGUGUUUCUAUGUACAUAGUUGGGUGAUUUCUUAAUGUUUCUAUUCGGUUGUUUCAGUUUGUUUUCUGUUAGAUUUCGACAGCUGCGCUUCGUGUGAUUGCUUUCUCUAACUUUGUAGAUUUAGGUUUGGCCAAAAGGUGCUAGCAAUGGGUACAACGACAUAGCCACCACCACCACCACCGUAUAUAAGCUCUACAAAGAUUACUUGCAAAACCCCAAAAGGGACAUAAUUUGCGAUGGUGGCAAUUACGCUGUGAGCUUUUCUAGUUCUUCCUGUCAAAAUUUGUAUUAAACUAUGUAAUUUGAUUUCUGAAAAAUGCUUUUGUCACUAAUGAUAUUUAUGUGGGUGCUUUUGUUUGCAUUUCUAAUUAUCUCUCUCUAAUUUGAAUGUUUUGCUUGACUUAUGAAAUUAAAGUCCUUGGAAUUUUAUCUUAAUAGAUGGAAUCGUCUCUCACCUUUCUGACGUAUAAGGGUUCCGUUCCAUACCCGAAGCAAAAGAAGUAGAGGAAACUAUAUUUCAUGUUUUCCUGGUUAGUUGGAAACUAUUUUGUAUUUUAAAGUUUCCAAUCAUGAUACAUUAGUUGGAAUGUGAUUUUGUUUCAGCUUAGACACCCAAAUAUUAUAUCCUUAUUCCAUAGUACUUAAGCUGAUAAACUUUGGGUGGUUCUACCACCAAGCGUACCAUCUUUGUUGUUGCCGAACCUGUCAUGCCACUCUUUGAACAAGUCAAGGAACUCAGUUUACAAUUGUAGUUCUAUUUUUCUUUUGCCUUUAAUUUUAUGUUUGGUUUUUGUAUUUUAUUUUAUUUUAUUUUUCCUAAAAUUGGGCCAGUUGCUCUAAUUUGGAUAUUGUUGUUUGCCUUUUCUGUAUAUAGAAAGAAAGUUCUUAUGUACUCUGAUGUUGGCUUCAUUUAUGCGGGUCAUUUCUUUACUGAGCCAGACUACAAUGGGCUACAAUUGCUACAAGGGGAGAGGCCAUCCAUGGUUGAAGAAGGGCAAUGGAUAUACCACACACCUACCUAAAUGAGGUCAGUUUUUUGACUUGCUGCUUAACAAUAAUAACCAAUGUUAACACAAGUGUCAUCUAAACAAUAGAUGUAUCCUAAAAUUAUCAGUUGCAAAAUAUGUAUACAUUGUAUGAACCCUUUCUAUUCUGAAAAAAAGCAACGCAGAAAUUUUCUUAAUUUGAUUUUGCUUUUUCCAUUUGCCUUCAUUUGGAAUGGAUGAAGAAGUACAAGAUUGCAUUCAUUUUUCGUAGUGAAUUGUAUUCUUUUAUUAUGCAGAAUAUUGUUUCAAAUGCAUGCUCGCCCUUAAAUCCAUAUUCUCUUUGUGGUUUUCAUUAAAUUCCUACAUUUCUUUGGGCACUUCUGUGUCUCUGUGGUUCUUAUUCUUCGUUGUCAAGUAAACAUUUGAUGUAUGAUUAUCUUGGUAGUGGCCUAUUGUUUCUUCGUUUAGCGUUUUGAACUAUAUGAGAAUUUUAACUAUGUUUAUAUGAAGAUGCUGAUGCUUCCUUACAAUCAUGUGACAUAUCAAUAAUAGGCUUUAAUUUUCUGAAAUUGAUUCAAUGGCAGCAAAGGAAGAUUGAUGUAACAAUUAGCAGGGAGCUGCUAUAGGAUUCUAUACAAUGAAGUGCUUCCACUACUUCAACAACAAAAUAAAGGAGGUGGGAACAACGAUUGCUACAGAACCGAGGAAAUCUGAUUAUUCAGGAGCUGAAUAUGGUCAUUAAGUCUUCAUGCUCAACAAAAUCACCCAACUCUGUAAGCCAGAAUUGUAGGAAGAGAUGGUUUCAAAUAUGUUAAUGAGAUAUGAGUACAUUUGCUGUUUUAUGUAGGAUCUUGGUAUUUGUAGGUAUUUGUAUAUUUUUUUAAAUUCAUUUUUUGUGAUAUUUUUACGUUUUAAGACACAAAAAUGAACCUCCGAUGGCAUGUGUCGCCGCGCACCACUGAUACUUGUUUGAAACUCUGAUCGCACACCAAUUUGGGGCUGUUAUGUGUCGUUCUCUUCCAUUUAGUAGUAUUUUCCCAUGCUUUGACUUCCAAAAAUCAUAAUAAAUUCAUACAAAAUAUGAAAAAUUCACCAAAAAAGCCCACAAACUCCUUAUCGCAUUUCCUUCCUCCUUUAAGCUUUAAAAUAUGAGUAAUGUUUUUUGGACACACAAGAUCGACCACAUUAGCCGACCACUUUAUAUGACAACUGAUGUGGUUAUGUCAUGUCAAUUAAUGAACUCUUCCAUAUGGAUUAUAUUUGUAUUUAUUUUACAAAUCAAUAAUCUUCAAAAACUAAAACAAUAAAAUUAACCCUAGCGUCCCUUAGAUUGUAGCCUCUCGUUCUUUCAGUACUUCCUCACGUCUCCUGCCCUCCAUUCCUCCAUCAAAAGGAGUUGCCAUUUCCAAUCGUCUUUGUAUUUAUAAUGGGAAAAUAGAAGGCUUUGAAAUUGCUAAUUGUCUUUGUGAUUCCUCCUACGAUGUCUUUGUGAGCCCUCCAGUCCUCCACCAAGACUGACUCAUUCAAAUGCGGUUUAGGGGUGGGCAUCAGAACCGAAGAACCGAUCAACCAAACCAAACCGGACUGGAAAAAAUCGAAAAAAAUUGCAUUGACCAAAAAGUCAAACCCAAUUCAAAAAACCGAACCGAACCUGUUCUAAUCGGAUCCCAUUCGGGUUCUAUACCUCAACAAACCGAACCGGUCAAACUAGAAAAUAUAUUUUAUAUUUAUUUAUAUCCAAUACUAUAUUUUUAAUCUCAUAACUAAUAUUUACCCAAGUUCAAUUUCAAAACAUCUCUCUUUUCUAGCCUUAAUAUUUCUUUUUGUAUGAAAUUGAAUAAUUUGUUAGUUUUCAAGUCAAAAAAAUAAAAUUUCAGUUGAAAUUUAUAUCAAAAUAAUAAUUUGAAAAAAUAGUAAUAAUAAUUCAAUUCAAAACCGAACCAAACCGGAACCGAUUCAACUCAAACCAAACAGUUUUUUAAUUUUUUUUGUUAAAACUGGACCGAAUUGAACCGGUUAAAUAGUACCGAAUUCAAUUCCAAUUUGAGGCAAAAAACAGGUCCAAACCAAACCGAAUCAGGCCCACCCCUAAUGGGUUUGUCUAUUCCCCUUGGAGAAGGAGGGGUGGUGUUGAAAUUGUGUGCGAAUGAUUCCAUCAAAUGGGUUUGUACCUCUAGAAUUAAUUGUCAGUAUACCUAUAUCGAAUGAGUUCCUUUUUUAAUAGUUAAUUUCUUAUUUUCUUAACUUCAAUGGAAGAGGGGAGAUAUGAGUAGAUUUGAUUAAGGAAGGGUUGGAGACGUGAGAAAGAGUUCAGAACCAACGAGGCUACGUACAUGCCCAGGACACUAGGGUUAAUUUUAAUUUUAUUGUUUUGUUUUUUUUUUUUCCAGAUUAUUGAUAAGAGAAAUAAUAAAUAAAGAAUAAUUUGAGUUUACAUGGCAAUAUUCAUUAAUUGACAUGGCAUGACCACAUCAGCUGCCACAUUAAGUGGUCGGCUAAUGUAGUCAAUCUUGUGUGUCUAAAUAGAGCAUUACUCUAAUAGUUACAUAUACAAAUUUCAAAAAUAUUUGUCAAUAAUGGAAGUUUGUUUAUAUACUAACAAUAAUACUAUGUUGAACAUCAUUACUCUCCCUUACAACAACUCUUCCUCCAAUUACCACUUCAAAUUUUCCAAAGUUAAAAUUUUGUUUUCACAAAUUAUAGUCGAAGAGAAUGUCUUAAUGAGUUUUUAGAAAUUUUGGAUGGAUUUUUCUCAUUUUUUCAAAAAAAUUUUACGUUUAAUAUACAAAAAAUGAACCUCUGUUGACACGUGUCCCUGUGCGCAACCGACACUUGUCAGAAACUCUAAUGACACACCAAUCUGGAGCUGCCAUGUGUCAUUCUCUUCAAUUUAUUAGUAAUUUUCACUGCUUUAACUUCAAAAAAAUUAUAAUAAAUUCAUACCAAAUCUGAAAAAUUCACCAAAAAAUUCUUAUGGAUACUUAGCCAUAAGACAAUUAGUAUAUAGAGUGACAGCGAUUAAAGUUUGUAGUUUUGCAAUAGUCAUAUUUAAAAAAGAAAAAAAGAAAAAAAGAGGAAGUUUCAACUGGGUUAGCUAUGUCAUGUGUUUCGGUUGCCCACCCCUCAAGGCUUUGUUACGAAAUUUUGAGGUGCAUUAGCUAUGUCAUGUGUUUGGUGGGGUUGCAUAUGAUUUAGAUGAUAUUCUUCAUUCGAAGGACAAUAUUUGUAUUUGAUUUUAAAAAAAAAUUUUAUUAUGUUUGAUUGUAAGUUUUUUAUUUCGACAUAAAAAAGAAGAAAAAUUGGGAAUUGAAUUUUUUUUUUUAUAGAGUUCCACUCCACUGGAAAUUCUCUUAUUUUAAAGCGAUAUGUGUGAUAAUUAUCUUAUGUAUUUGAUUUGUGAUAUAAUUCCUUUUCCUUGGUGCCCAAGCAGGCAGUGAAUCUGUUCUGUAACAAAAACAAGCGUAUUCAUUUCCUUGGAAGCCUAAAGAUCGAUCAGUCAAGCCUCUCCACACUCAGAGAGAGAGAUAGAGAGAGAGUCCAAUUUGAACUAAGAGGGUUCAAUUUCACGAGGAAUUACAGAUGAAGAAAGCAGUAACGCUUCAAAUGUGUUUCAAUUUCACGAGGGUUCUGAAAGUAAUGGCUCCUCCUGCUGCUACUCCUAAAAUUCCGACUUCAACAACCCUUGUUGCCCGUCAUCCUCAACUGCUCACAAGAAGGUUAAUGUCUUCCAACUCUAACCUUGACAUGGCCGAGGCCGACAAGAUCUCCACCUCCCCUAUUUCGUUCUCCUCGUGGUAUUCCUUCGGUGAUCCCUGCCUUGAUCUGUUUUUUCAUGUGAAAAGUCGAGAUCAAGAUCACAUCGGUAACGACGACGAAGACGACGACAUCAAGCAGGAGAGGCAGAAACAGACCUCCCAUUAUAACCAUCAUAGACUUAACUAUCUGAAGCAACUGCUGCCGGUGGCCUGGUCCCACAAUCCCCUGACCACCCUCAAGCUUAUCUUCAAUCUCCAUUCUGGGAUUUCUAGUAAGGGAAGAGAUUAUCCGGAAGCCUUUCACACAGCCGUGUUUUGGCUCCACCAGAACCACCCCAAGACGCUAUUAUGCAACCUCCCCGCCUUCGCCGGUUGGAAAUGGGGUUUCAAUGACCUUCUCGACAUUCUCUACGGCCUUCUAGAACAAGGCCAAGACGCUACUGCAGGGGAGAGGCUCCACCGCGACCCUGACUAUAAGUUGUUACACGACCAGAUUAUGGAUCUCUUGGCGGAGCGGUGGAAGUCUGAUGUUGAAAAAUUUAAGCAGCACAAGCUGGAACUAAAGUCAUUCCAAGACUGGGACCAACUUGAUGAGGCUGAUCAUCUUUUGGUAUCUGGGACUGCAGUGGUUUGCAGCCUCCCCGACCAUCACACCAGCUCCAUUUUGCUUCGCGAAAGCAUUGCGAGGAGGCUUUUCCCACCAGAAUCGGAUCAAUCCGAAGAGUGGGAACGGCUAACCGACGCUUUGGAGCCCUUUUUAAAUUACUACAUGCAUCGGGCCUCACUUUGGAACCACACACUAGAGCGCUCUGAGGUUAAAAAGUGUUUGGAGGAGGUGAAAGCAGCAGCUGCAGCAGGAGGCAAUUUAGGAGGCGGCAUAAUAAAGCCGGAUGCUUUGCUGCCAAAUGAGAUCAUAAAAUAUGCAGAAGAUGAGGAUUUCGGGGAAGCGGCUAACCUUCAGUGGAAGGCAAUGGUGGAGGACAUGUACCUAAAGCAGCAGCAAAAGAAGGGGGAAGAAGGUUUGGGCAAAUUUACAAACUGUUUGGCAGUGUGUAACAUCACCGAGGACACGGCCAAAUUACAAAGAGAACUGGGGGUGAGUUUGGGACUUUUGGUUUCGGAACUGAAUGAAGAUCCGGCAUGGAAAGGAAAGGUGAUCAGUUUCGGUGAUUUGCCCGACGGUCAGCCUCAGCCUCAGCCUCUGCUGCAUUCCAUACAAGGCGAUGAUUUAAAGUCCAAGUGCGAGUUUAUGAUGAGGACAUGUCGCAUGAAGUCCAACGAGAGUGUCGAUUAUCGGAAGGUGUGUGAUCUGAUUCUGGAAGUGGUUGAGAAUGAGAACUUGAAGGCAGAGCAGAUGAUCAAGAAAGUGUUUGUGCUCACCGACUUCACAGGAUUCUUUAGCUGCACCUCGAAGACUCUGCAUGAAGCAAACCAGAGCAAGCUUGAGGAGCUCGAGGCUUCCGGAUAUGAUGCGAGGCCAUUGCCACACAUUUUGCUUUGGAAUAUUAGUGACUGGAAGUAUCCUCAUUCAGAAGAACAUCAUCCAGGGGUGACGCUGAUGAGUGGCGUCAACGACAAUUUGAUCAAGUCCUUCAUGGACAAUGGUGGGGAAAUUGGCCCGCGACAGGUCAUGGAAGCAGCCAUCGCUGACAAAGAGUUUCAAACUUUCUCUGUCGUCGACUGAACUUUAAUUUUAGAGUUGAGUUAUUUCCUAGGUAUAGCUAGAUAGCAACAUUUCUGCUCUGAAAAUGGAGAAACUAUUGGUUUGGUAUGUAUUAAUUGAAACUGAUUUCAUUUUAAUCAUCUGCUUAUACUAUGUUCAUAUGAAACUGAUUACACACAAACUAAAUUUUCAGCUUAAGAAGAACCUAAGCCUCAACUACCCCGAUCACUAAAUCAUACAGCAUUUUCCCAUCAAAACCAGCUGUUCAUUCACAUAGAUUGAACGUAAUUCCAUGAAAUCAUCCAUUUUCCCGGACAUAGAGAUGAGGGUGAUCAGAAGUUUAAACCGAAGCAAUGUUUGUGUCCGGUAAAGUUUAGUCACCCUAUUCGUCGUUUGAAAAUGCCAUGCUAAAUGUGAUGAAGAAACUUUAGUUUUGUGAUCAUUCCUCCAACAAUAACAUAAGCAAUAAAAAAAUUACUAAUAAACUUUAACCAAACAGCUAAUUAAGCACAAAUAUAUAGUAAUAAUAGUAUAGGUUUCCGCACUUAACAAGUACCUGGUGAAUCUAAUCCUUGAUUUUAAAUCCUCUUCACAUCUUCCCACCUCAAGUUCAUCUUCGAGUCCUCAUAUGCAACUGCGAAAAAUUUAUUCGUCUAAUCACGCACUUCAAAAAAAUAGACAUAGUCUCACAAUCUAUAUGGUUUCCGAACACUCUUUUAUGUGACAUGUUAUUGGUGCUUUUUUAAUUAACUAAAAACUUUUUAAAACACUUUCUACAACUAGAUCUUGUUCUAGUGGUAUUUCUCUUCACAAUAUUGGAAGAGAUUGCAAGUUCGAAUCCCCCAUUCCGGUUAAUAUAAAGAUAAAUAAAAGAAGACAUAUGAAGAGGUUUAAAUCCCAAAAUUAGCCAGCUGAUAUUUCUUUAAAAUUAAAGAUGUGAGUUUUCUUAAGGCUGAUUGACAUAGACAUCCACACCACAUGUUGGGCAAAAAGAAUUAAUUUCAGAGCAAUCUUUCUUUAAUAAAAGUGGUCUCUCAUUAUAGGCAGUAUAUCCCUUUAUAUUUGAGUCAUGCAAUGCAAGGCAUGAAGGGUCACUUUCUAGGCCACACCAGAAGAACCCAACAGGACUGAAUAGAACAUGAUCAACAAAAAUCAACAUUUGAGGCGCUUUUUUUUAGUGUCACGUGUGAUUAGAGUUUCAAUUUUUAUUAUUAUUUUUUUUUGUUAACCUUAAAACUUUAUAAGAAAUUAAUACAAAUACAAAAAUAUAUUGAAAUUUUUUUUUUUUUUUUCCAAACUCCUUGCAACAUUAUCCUCGACUAUGACGUAUGAAAACAAAAUUUUUACCUUGGGAAAUUUGAAGUAAUAAACAAAUGAAACAUACGAUCAAUUAUUAAGAAAAGAUAGAAUGAUGUGUCUAGCAGUAAAACAAUUCACAAAGCAAUUCAUGACACAAAACUAAAGGAACUCAUAUCAUGCAUUUAUGGAUGUGUAUUUUCAGAUGAUAAAAAAAGCUUUCAACCUACUCCGUGGAUAUACCUUUCCACAAUGCUUAUUUUAUUUGAGCCUCUGAAAUUACCAAUUCUAAACAGAUUGGCACGAACCUUAACAUAUGCAAAGUAGUUCCUUAUUUCCGGUACAUCACCAAGAUAAUAGGAAUGAGGACGACUCCAUCCACCGCAUGGAAUUUGCACAAACUGCAACAAAAUAUGGGUCCCUCCUUGGGCAUCAAAAUAAAUAACACAAACAACUUACAAAUCAUUUCAGUAAGCAGUCUGAGGUACAGCAAAAGACUCUACUUUGGUCUCGGUAAUUAAGUUGCAAAUAAUAAAAUCCACUGAUGCAAAACCAGCAGCACAAUGGCAGCUUGACAACUCAUUGACAGAGCUAUUAUCAGUGGAGACGGAUUGAAUAAGACUCAACUCCUUAAGCCCUCUCGCUGUCUCCUCCUCUUCCACCCCUCUCCCCUUCUCUCACCUCUCCCCUUUAUCGCUACUUUGGUUUUCAGCCUAUCCCUCUCAAACACCCUUUUCUCUCCCUUAUUUUAUUGCUAUUUCAUAUGUUCUGGGAAGCCCAAGCAAAGGAAGCAUAUGUAAGGCCCCGUCCUUCUUUUCUAUGGCUAACGAAAAUUAUAAUUAACUUUAAAUUUAAAUUUUUUGGUUAUUCUCUUUUGAUUUUCAAUUUCCUAGGUUAUUUUUGGGGUCCAAUUUUGGUUUUGAUUGUUAUGAAGGAUUUAGGGUUUGGAUUGGGUUUCCAAAAGCUAUUCUUAGCUAUUCUUUGAAUUGCUCUGUGUAAUAUUUGUCAAUUCAUAGGAUUUCGGUUUAGGAUUUGGGCAUUCACAAUUCCUUCCAUUCGAUUUAAGGCUGAAAGUGUUUUUUUUCCCUUCCUUAUGCAUCUCUGAUUCUAUUAGGUGGGCGGAAGACACCACUCUAGCAAGUCGCUCUACUCGUGAAGGAAUCUGCUUCAAAUUCUGUUACAUAUAUGGUAUUCCUUUUCUUCUUUAAGUCUAUUUUCUUCAUUUUCUUUAAAGUAUUGGCAUGUGCUGCUGUUUCUUUUCAACCUAAACCCAAUCUUUCUAUGAAUUUCUCCACAAUCUCUUUCUAAUUUGUUCUUUUUAUUGUUACAGUUUCCUUUUUUGGGGCUUUCUCUUGUAGGGACUUGUCCAUUCUCGAGUGAUUAUUUCUUGCUCCAUUCUGAAUGUUAGCUUGUUGCUCAUUCUUUGCUCUGUUAUUUGGAUGUUAGUUUGAAUCUCUCUAUUUUUAGUUGGUACUUCACAUUCUUACUUGAAUCUCAUUGGAAACUCUAAUGGAACCACUAGUUUUAAAUUUCCCUAUGUGUUCAUUUGGUUAUGAACUUUCAUUUUGUUUUUAGUUUUGGAUUCAUUCUUUAUUUUGUUUGGAAUUUGGAACACUGAUUUCUAAUUAUGAAACAUCUCUCUAUUAAAAUAACUUCAUUAAAUACAUGUAAUCUGAUUUGGGGCUGGGGCAUAAGGUCUUGUUUGUAGGUGCUGUUUUGAAGGAGAUGAAAGAGAAGAGGAAAUUGAGCUUUAGUUUCCAAUCUUUAUUAAUAAUUUGUGCAGGCUUAUAGUUUCCAUUUCUAUGUAGAUGGAUUUAUAGGCAAGGUGAGGAUUCUAAAUUAGGUUCCAUUCUUUUUUCUUUUUUCCUACAAUUUUGUUUCUUGAAGAUUUGUUGGCUUUGUGCAAAUGGAGAACACGUUUAAUUUUGAAACCCCACACAUCAAUUGAUUAAGCUAGUCUCUCUCCCACUUUGACACAUGCAAACAAGCACAUUUUGUUUUUGUUGAGUUUCUUUGUUCUAGGGAAAUUUUUUUGUUCGUGAAAAUUACAAUGGAUGACUGCUAAAAUGAGUUUUCUAACAAAAAUGUAGGGGAUUUUGAUAAAUGGCCAAGGCCACAUAUCAAAUGCAAGUUUGAUUCUUGUUAGCUUGUGUCUGCUAUUACGAGGAGGUUUUUGCAUAGGUUGCAUGUGGUUUGGUGUGUUAGAGAUUGAUUUUUGUUGUUAUAUUCAUGAGUAUGGGUUGGAGGCCAGUGUCAAUUUGUUUCAGGCUUCAAUAGGAGUGCUGGUCAGUUUUUUUAUUUUUCUGUUAUUUUUUAGGAUGAUGCUGUUUGAAUUUUAUUAGUUUUAAAGUGAAUUUUUGAAGAAUAUUGUCAUACUGAAUUGUGUUUGGGUAGGUGGGUUCCAUUAGCACUUCAUCCCGAAUUGUAAGCAUUAUUCAUAUUUUCUAUUCAAUUUGAAACUUAUAUAUGCAAUUUUUUUUUCUUUCUCAAUGCACAUAGUUUAUGAUUAGAAGAUCAUUCUCCCUGUUUUUUCUUGUCCAAACUUAUAUCAGUGGAGACGGAUUGAGUAAGACUCAUCGCUAUAAACUCUAAUGUCUAUUGCUUCAUCCUUGUAAACUCUAAAGUCUACUGCAGCUAAGCUUUAAAAUAUACUUUGACAUGUAAAAUUCAAAUAAUUUCUCAAUGUCAAGUUUGUUUUGAUGCUAACAAUAAUAUUAUGUUGAAAAUCAUUACUCUCCUUUACAACAACUCUUCCUCCAAUUAUUACUUCAAAUUUUCCAAGUCCAAAAUUUAAUUAUCACUCAUCGUAGUCGAAGAUAAUGUCGCAAGGAGUUUUUGUAGAAAUUUUCGGUGCCUUUUUUUCUUUUUUUAUUCAUUAUUUAUGAAUUUUUUAAGUUAAAAAUACAAAAAUGAACAUAAUGAACCACGCACAAUUCAAGUGGCGUAAACUGCUCUCUGAAUCCCCUUGAGAAUGAAGUUUGAUGAUACAUAAUUUUCUAAUAUCCAGAAAAUUGCCCAAAAAGUAAGAAAGUAUCAACUGCUACUCAAUGCCCUCUCAUUUUCUUAUACAAGUCUAAGACAUAAGAUCACAGUACCCUAUAGAUCAGGCAAAACUCAGAAGAAAAAUGCCUUACAAAAAAUAAAGAUAUAAUCUAUAGUUAACUCAAUACUUUAGUCUGGAGUCUUGGACUAGGUAUUAAUAAUAAACUAUACAAACAAAUAGAAAAAUCUUUUCAGGGGCAUAAAGAAUCAGAAUGAAGCUAAGUUUUGUAGCCAUUAUCAUCCAGACAAAGAUUGAAAAAGUUAAUAUGGACUUACUAGCAUUCUGUGCAUGAAUUUAAGAUCCAAAAUAGCCAAAUUGUUCAACACUUUCAAUGCUCCAGCUGCCACGUUUUCAAAAUUAGAGGGAAGGACAUCAGAGGUUUGAAAUAGAAUAGGAACAUUCACUACAAUUAUGUCAUGAUCAAAGAUACCACUAGUACAACAAAGCGUUACAAACACACUAAUGGAUGCACGAUUCAUCUAAUGGUCUAGAUUUUCCCAAGGACUGAGUUAUGGGAAGAUCUUCAGUAUUAUCACCCUCUGCAAAUUUAGCCUCUUCAUUUGACGUAUGAGAAGCAGGUAGGGCAGAAGCUAUGAAAUCAAGCAAACCAGCUUUGCAGGAAGCUAGUAGUUCAGACUCCUUUUUUUCUAAAUACUACAUCCAUAACAGAGUGAAAAAGAAAAGGUCAAAAUCAGUGUUUGCAAGUCAACAUAACCAUCUCAAAGGCCCCGUUGUUUCACGGAAUGAAUUUGAUGGGAAAUCAUUUCCCAUGUCAUUUCCCAAGGGAUGAGAAAUGGAAGAUUCUUUUCCCACGUUUGGUAAUGCUGGGAAACUAACCAGGAGAUAUCACUUUAUUUCAUUUCCCACGUUUGUUUUGAGUAGGAAUGGAAAACAAAGUUUGUAUAAAUUUUCAAUUAUACCUAUAUUAAAUCAAAUAAAAAAAUGCAUUUAAUGAUAUAUUGUAAUUCUAAAUUGUUAAUGAGGACAAAAUAGUCAUGAAAAAUGUUUAUUUAAUAUUGGCUCAUUUUCCCAAACUUUUCCAUGACGAGGGAAAACAAAACCCAAGUUGGGAGGAUGGCUUCACUUUCCCCCUUACUUUUUCAUGGACCAGACAACGGUUUCCCAUGCCUGGACUUACCAAACAUGGGAAAGCAAUUGAUCUCCCAUUCCCAAGUCUCCUUUCCCAUGAACCAAACGGGGCCAAAGAGUAAACUUCAAAGUUGGUUUUUUUUCUCACAUAACCAUACUUGGAGCAUCUAAUAAGGCAAUUCCAAGCACACGAGAUUUAUAAAAAUGCACAACUAAUUAAGUAAGCAAACUUUUUCAGUUAAAAAAAGCACUCACUGAUUCAGAAACUCAUUGGAAUCUUGGGGACAAGGUGGUAGGAGAUACUUUCCACUAGAAAUCUCUGACCUACAAUUUGGCAUACCAAAUUACACCCAUGCUAAUUGCAAAGCACCCAAAUUCAGGACAAGCGCAUCCCCAAUCUGCUUACACUACAUAAAAAACUUGAUCAUUUCAGCAAUUAUUAACCCAACACUUGUGGGCCCCAAAAUCCUUAGAAGCUCGCUCUUGUAUCUGCACCUGGUAAAACUCGUGGUUGCUUACUUUCACCAAGUCUCUCGGCAAAUUUCUGGGCCAGAAGUUCAGCCCCCUCCUGCUGGGCUUUGGCUCUUUCCUCCUUCCUACAAAGUUGUUCCAUGGCCUUUGUUUCACGCUUUGCACUUGUCAUCUAUUCUUCUCGUCUCUCAUUUCUUCCAUUUAUUUUCCCUCCAUGAUUUUUUAAAAUAAUAGUCUAGAGUGGUUUAAGAGUUCUUAAACACCUUUUGUUACAAGCCAAUGUUUAGGGGAAGGUUCUACCCAUAGGCUCUUAAAAUUUUUGUAUCAGAUCCCAAUUUCACCAUGUAACUUGCCCGACUUCAUGAAAAAGGUGAUCUAUAGCUUAAAUUAAGAGUUAUUGAAUACAUGAAGAUGAGUGAAAAUGUCUUAAAGGAGAUUAGGACUCACGAUCUUAGACAGGGACGGGUCCAGGAAUUGCAAAUUAGAUGAGCUAAAUUUACUUUACGUACAAACCUAUUAAGAAAAUUUGAUGGCUUUUGGUGGGUUUUUAGGCUUGGACAAUAGAUUGUAGGAACUAAAAACCAUAAAUAACAUUUAGCUCAGCCCAAGCCCACACUCAACCCCUUCACUCAUAGGUGAAAACCCCAUUAUUUAAGAUCCUUAAACGUUAUAGCCAGGUUAGUAAGAAAAUUCAUGUUGGGCUAAAUGUUAUUUUAGGCUGAGAAAAAAUAAAAGCCCCCCGGGCUGUAACCUAGGUUAGGUUGUACUAAAGUCCGUGCCUGAUCCUAAAUUGGAAAAAUUACAUAUCUCUCUUAAUCUAUCUGUCUCUCCAGGUGCUGGAAUUUUUUUAAAACUUUCGUUUAUUAAAAUCGAAAAGAUGUGACCAUCCAAGUUUGAAAUUAUGCAUCUUUUAGGUGAAUAAAUGCAUCGCUUGCCUCUUCAGAUAAAGUCACAUACUUUGGUACAUAAUGUCAAUGUCUAUAGAUAUGCAAGUCUCACACAUGUUAAAAGUAACUUUUAACACUUGCAUAUUCAUUCAGAUAGUGCACUAUUCUUAGAGAUCAAUGUAGGGUCUCAUUGAGUUUGUAGUUGAGAGAGUUCAAAGAAUCAUGGUUCGCUAGGAACUUGUGAUUUGGAGUGCUACAAUCAUAAGAUCAUGUUCGUUGUAUGCUAGGAGACUGUUGGAAAAACAAUCUAUCAUCUACUAAUCAAAUAAUACAUAUUUAACAAAAAUUUAAAUAUACCAAACAAAUUUAGUAAUGUAAGAAUACUAGUAUUAUAUUAAUAGACAAAUGUAAAAUACAUAAAAGAGUGAAUUGAAAUCGAAUUCACUGACUUGUAUGUGAGAUAGGGGCUUGCAGAUUCAUGUUAUGACCUAAAGGCAAUAUUUUACCCAUUCUCGGUGCUUGAAGUUCUACACAUGUGAUGUGACUGUCUCCUAGAAUUCAAUUAUGUGUAUUCUAAUCCUAGGACUUAUGUGCGUCUUAGUGCUUAUGUGAAAAACUUUGGGGGCUAUUCUAAUUUAAGUAGGCCUCUAAUACUUGCGGCCCUUGAAAUCCUUAGAAGCUCGCUUUGGUGAAACUCGUAUGCUUGCUCACUUUCACUAAGUCUCUCAGUUAAUUUCUGGGCCAGAAGUUCAGCCUCCUUCUAGGCUUUGGUUCUUUCCUCCUAACUACGAAAUUGUUCCAUGGUCUUUGUUUCACGCGCUACACUAGUCGUCUACCCUCUCGUCUCUCAUUUCUUCCAUGUAUUUUCCCUCCACGAUCUUUUAAAUAAAAAUAAGGCUUUUUAUCACAAAACAUCUAUGGGGUUUUAAGUUUUCAUGUGUUAUUAGUAGUCCUUAAGGUUAACAACCAUGCUCAAAAGUAUUAUAUGUUGUUAUGUUCUAUUCCAUCCAAAAUUCCAUCUAAUGAUAUCACGUCAUGUGAAUUGAAUAAAAAUACAUAUUUUAAAAUAAAAAAUUUAUAAUAAAAAAAACCUCCAAUUUCACCUUCCAUGUCCCUCCCCCUCCACGGCUCCCGCUCCCGCUCUCUCUAUUCUCCCUGUAUCUCUCUGUCCUCUCUCUCUCUUCUUCCUAACCCAACCCCCAAAUAGUUUCAAAUCAAGCACACAAGAUGCACAAGAUAUCAUUUUUAAAAUAUUUUAAAAUAAAAAAUAAAAUAAAAACUAUUUAAUCCACAUGGUGUGAUAUCACUAGAUAUGUGAGCCCUAUCUGUGUUUGGGGGUGGUGAAAAUCCACCUAACCUGAGCACUUGAUGGAGACAAAGGGCUUGGGGCAUUGAAACUUGGCAAUCGGGUUUUGGCGGCCAGGUUUGGAGCUGGAAGGAGUGUUGCGGCCGAUAUCCAAGGAUGUUGCGAGCGGGUUACGUGGCUAGGAGGAUGGACCGGGCUACGUGGUUGAAAGAAUGGGCCGAGCUGUGUUCAAGCUUGGCUGGAGAGGUGCGGCUAGACUAUGUGCAACUGGGUUUUCAAUCGCGGAGCUGGGCAGCCAGGGCUUGCAAGAUAGAUAGGCACGGUCGUAUUAAAGGAAUGACGGUCGAGAGUUGGGUUUUGGGAGAUACGGCUGGGCACCGCUGGAAAAACAGGAGCUUGCGAGACAGCUGGGCGUGGCCGGAAGAGCUAAGGGAUUUGGAAAAUUGCGGCCGCGUCCGGAAUGGAUGUGUUGCUGCAGGAUUUGAAGUUGUGGAGUUGUGGCCGAGAAUUGGAGCACGAGUUGAAGGAAUAUUGAGGCUGGAGUUUGUAGGUAUUUUGCAAGUCAGGUUGAAGGGUUUGGAGGUUAAAGUCUAAUAUUGUCUAUAUAUAUAUGGGGGCGGAUCCGUGGCACUACGUUUUUGACACAAUUUUUGGGCCAUUAGAUUACUUCACUUUUAAUGGUUGAGAUUAAAUAUUACAUGGCAAGUAGUUUUAAUUUUUUUUAAAUAGACAAUCAUUAAUUUUAUUCUCUCUCAUAAAAAUAAAAGGAAAUUUUUCUCUCUCCAACCUUUUUGCUGGAAGACGUAAUCUCUCCUGCCUCUUUAAUCUCAAAUAUUUAUUAGGAUCUAAUAAAUAAAGAAUCUCACCAAAAACUAAAUACCCAAACCCCACAUUUGCACGCCUCUCUCUCUCUCUCUCUCUCUCUCUCUCUCUCUCUCUCUCUCUCUCUCUCUCUCUCUCUCUCUCUUUCUCCUCUUUAAUCUCAAAUAUUUAUUAAGGUCUAAUAAGGACUGUUUUCAGUUUAUCCUUCUUCAUCCUCCUUCUUCAUCCUUCUUCAUGCACAGCAUAUACGCAACCCUGAAUUCAUCUUCAGUAUAGUUCUUUUAUGUCAAAGCAAUUUCUCAUAUCUGAAUACAAUAUUGCCUCAUCAAAAUGUUGGAGCGCACACAAGAUAUUUCCUCCAACUCUCAGUGCAUAUCUUUGGUAUGUUACCUUCAUCUGAGAUUUUAUUUUUCUAUUUUUUUUAUUUUUUUUAAUCUUUGUUGUAGCUCUUCCUGUAGACAAUUAGAAUUGCUGAAUUUUUUAUAUUUUAUUUUUUAUAAAUACGAUGUUAUAUGAAAGUUUAUACGAUCUUAGGAUUGCUGAAUUAUUGGGCCAUUAAGAAUUCUUAUGUUAAAAAAUAUUUCGUAGUGCCAUUAAUGAUUGUUUUUAACAUAAGAAUUAUUUUUUAAAAUCAGUAUGAAAGUUUAUUCCAUUAUAUUUCAUCUUGUGUCAAUAUGAAAGUUUAACAUAUGUAUAAUAUUUUUCUAAGUUGCAUCGUUAAGAAUGAUUAAUAUAUGUUCAAUAGGUAGAGGAGAUAAUUCAAGUGAAGAAUGGUGAAACAAGUACUCCAAAAAAGAAAGUGACACAAUUAAAAGCGCCUUAUUCAGGGAUGGUAUUUGACACAAUGGAAGAAGCAAGAAACUAUUAUGAAGAGUAUGGCCGACAAGAGGGAUUCUGGAUUAGAACUCGAUCUUCCUCCAAGACAAGAAGGCGUUUAGAUGAGGUAACGAGUAGACAAUUUGUUUGUGCACAUGAAGGAAAAUACGUGCCCAAAAAUACAUCACAGAAGGCUUCAGAAGAGAAUGAUGAGAAAAACAUAAGUGAGAUUGAGAAUAUGAAGAGAACGGGUAAAAAUUGUUCUACAGUGAAAUGUGGAUGCAAAGCAAGUAUGAGAAUUAAGCUUGAUAGAUGGUCAAACAAAUGGAAAGUUUCAAGUUUCCAAGACUCUCACAAUCACAAGCCAGUUACACCGGAAAGAAGAAUGAAAAUGAAGUCAAAUAGGGUUAUGCCGAAAGCAGCUAAAAUUCUGACUGAAACAUUUCAUGAAGAAAAUUUGCCAAUUGCAAAAGUUCCUUCAAUCUUUGGUGGCCCGCAUAUUGGUUUUAACAAUAGAGAUUGUUAUAACCACUUGAGAAAUGUCCGGCAUAGACAACUGGAUGGAGGUGAUGCACAGUCAGUCCUUACUUACUUUAGGAAGAAGCAAGCUGAGAAUCCUCAAUUUUUUUAUGCCAUUCAAUGUGAUGAAAACGGAAGGGCAGCUAAUUUCUUUUGGGUGGAUGCUCGAUCACGCAUGGCGUACAACUAUUUUGGAGAUGUAGUCACAUUUGACACAACCUAUAGGACAAACAAGUAUGAUAUGCCAUUUGCACAAUUCACAGGAGUAAACCACCAUUUGCAAUCAAUACAAUUUGGAUGUGCACUUUUACAAGAUGAGACAGAGGUGACAUUUUUGUGGUUGUUUGAGACAUGGCUUGAAGCAAUGGGAGGACGUCAUCCAGUUUCCAUUAUUACUGAUCAAGACUUAGCAAUGAAAGGAGCAAUUGCCAAGAUUUUUCCUAACACUCGCCAUCGGUUAUGCCUCUGGCAUAUUAAAAAGAAGUUUGCAGAAAAAUUGUCACAUGUGUACUUCAAGAAGUCCAAAUUCAAAAUUCAGAUGAAGAAAUGUAUUCGGUCAACAUACAAGAUAGAGGAAUUUGAAGAAAAGUGGAAGGAAUUGAUGAAAGAAUGUGAAUUGGCUAAUGAUGACUGGUUGAAUAGUUUAUAUGAUAUACGUUCUUCUUGGGUUCCUGUUUAUAAUCGUGGCAUAUUUUUUGCAGGAAUGAACACUACUGGACGUAGUGAGGGUAUUAAUUCUUUUUUUGAUGGAUUCGUCACACCGACAACAAAUCUUAGAGAGUUUGUUGUCAAAUAUGAGCAAGCACUAAAGAGGAUCAUGGAUAGAGAAAGUGAUGAAGAUUUUGAAUCAGAACACAAGUAUCGCAUUGUGAAUGAAGGAGAAUUCCUUUUGAAACAUGCAGCAAAGUUUUACACUAGAAAUGUUUUCAACAAGUUUAAGGAUGAAUGGAGUAAAGUUACUCUCUACAAAGUUGAAGAAAUUCCAUGUGACGACGAAUAUCAUGCAUAUCUAGUGAAAACAAAACUUGGAGAGCAUGAAGAGUUUGUGGUGAAGUUAAAUUUGCAAACAUACAAAGGUAUGUGUGAAUGCCAAAAUUUUGAGUUUGUUGGAAUACUUUGUCGACAUUUGUUGAAAGUAUUUGUUCGCCUUGAUAUAGAUACACUACCUGACCAUUUUAUUCUUCCAAGAUGGAGACAAGAAGCAAACAAAUUUAGGAUAAUGGAUUUUAAAAGUUUGGUGACAAAUGAUGGUAAAGAAGAAUCAGACACUACUACAAAAAGUGAAAAAGACGACCAGAAAACAACGACGGUCUAAGUGAAAACCGUCGUGGUUUAUAAAAAGACGACGGUUCUAAAAACACCGUCGUGUAAUACAACCUUAGACAACUAAAAAAUGGAGUUUCAAAUGGCUGUUCAAAAACAACGACGUACAUAAUUAAACAACCGACGUCUAUUUGAAACAGAUUUCCUCAGUGUAAAAUCAAUGCCAAUAAAGAACGGCAGAAGUUAUGAAUCGACCGACGUAGAAAGUAAAGACGACGAUUUCAAUAAAAACUGCCGUUUUUACUCAUAAAAUAACACGACGAGGUUUUCGUAUAAGACGCCGUAUAAUUACAAACAAAUCCACGGCUUUAAAAUACAAAAUAUCGCCGUAUUAAAUUAAUUUACAACGACGGAAAAUAUAAAUAUAUCGACGUCAUUCUCGUAUAGUUCUACUACGUUAUCUUUAAAUCGUACAAUAAAAUUUAUCGUCGUAUUUAUUCAUUUUAUACGUCGUACCUUUAAUUUUAACGGUCGUCUUAAUAAGAAUUUUUGUUAACAAUUUUUUUCUUUGAUUUUCUUAUCCUACGUCGGUAGAUCUACUUAAUGACAAGAAUUGAAAUAACCACGACGGUUUAUAUAGAACACCGCCGACAUAAUCAGUUUUGUCUGAGAUCCCAAGGGUUACGAAAUCUUACCAGAUGGAACUCUGUUCCACAUCAUAAUCUUAACAGAUGACACAGAUUUGCAAAUAUUGCGUCGUGUUAGUUUACAAAUUCUAGAACAUUAAUUUCCCUCAUUUUAAAUUUCCUCGGGAAAGAAAAAUCUAUUUAUCACGCUUUGGAAUUGAAAACUAAAACUGAAAGAAUACGGGAAAAAAAACUCCAUUUAUAAUUUAAAAUUAAAAUCCACGUCGGUUGUAGUACACUUAACGACGUUUAACAAAAUAAUCUACGUCGGUAAUUAUAAAUCUACCGCCAUCGUAACUUAAUAUAGACGACGAGAAAAGACGACGGUAGAACAGAAAACCGCCGUUGUUUCAGUUUCUUUAACAUAUCUUUCUGCAGGACUUGUGUAGUUCAAAGCAUUGACAAUGUCUUCAUCAUAUCUCCCAGAAACUACUGAUUCAAUUGCUCAUGCUUUAGAGGCCAUCUGAAGCCAUUUCUAUUCUUUAUCGCAUUCUUGAAACCCAUCUUCUUCUUCUGAAGCUCUACGGAUAAAGGAAGAGGCUAUCACAAUAAAUCCGACGGAUCUUCUUAGGCAAGAAAAUCAAGCAGAGGAUCAGGCACAUCUGAUCUUCAGAUUUCCCUGAGAAGCGAACUUUCCUUCGACAGCGAGUGGAGGCCAGGCUUGCAUCUCUUUUGAUGGAAAGCAAGGAGUAUCAGAAGACGANNNNNNNNNNNNNNNNNNNNNNNNNNNNNNNNNNNNNNNNNNNNNNNNNNNNNNNNNNNNNNNNNNNNNNNNNNNNNNNNNNNNNNNNNNNNNNNNNNNNNNNNNNNNNNNNNNNNNNNNNNNNNNNNNNNNNNNNNNNNNNNNNNNNNNNNNNNNNNNNNNNNNNNNNNNNNNNNNNNNNNNNNNNNNNNNNNNNNNNNNNNNNNNNNNNNNNNNNNNNNNNNNNNNNNNNNNNNNNNNNNNNNNNNNNNNNNNNNNNNNNNNNNNNNNNNNNNNNNNNNNNNNNNNNNNNNNNNNNNNNNNNNNNNNNNNNNNNNNNNNNNNNNNNNNNNNNNNNNNNNNNNNNNNNNNNNNNNNNNNNNNNNNNNNNNNNNNNNNNNNNNNNNNNNNNNNNNNNNNNNNNNNNNNNNNNNNNNNNNNNNNNNNNNNNNNNNNNNNNNNNNNNNNNNNNNNNNNNNNNNNNNNNNNNNNNNNNNNNNNNNNNNNNNNNNNNNNNNNNNNNNNNNNNNNNNNNNNNNNNNNNNNNNNNNNNNNNNNNNNNNNNNNNNNNNNNNNNNNNNNNNNNNNNNNNNNNNNNNNNNNNNNNNNNNNNNNNNNNNNNNNNNNNNNNNNNNNNNNNNNNNNNNNNNNNNNNNNNNNNNNNNNNNNNNNNNNNNNNNNNNNNNNNNNNNNNNNNNNNNNNNNNNNNNNNNNNNNNNNNNNNNNNNNNNNNNNNNNNNNNNNNNNNNNNNNNNNNNNNNNNNNNNNNNNNNNNNNNNNNNNNNNNNNNNNNNNNNNNNNNNNNNNNNNNNNNNNNNNNNNNNNNNNNNNNNNNNNNNNNNNNNNNNNNNNNNNNNNNNNNNNNNNNNNNNNNNNNNNNNNNNNNNNNNNNNNNNNNNNNNNNNNNNNNNNNNNNNNNNNNNNNNNNNNNNNNNNNNNNNNNNNNNNNNNNNNNNNNNNNNNNNNNNNNNNNNNNNNNNNNNNNNNNNNNNNNNNNNNNNNNNNNNNNNNNNNNNNNNNNNNNNNNNNNNNNNNNNNNNNNNNNNNNNNNNNNNNNNNNNNNNNNNNNNNNNNNNNNNNNNNNNNNNNNNNNNNNNNNNNNNNNNNNNNNNNNNNNNNNNNNNNNNNNNNNNNNNNNNNNNNNNNNNNNNNNNNNNNNNNNNNNNNNNNNNNNNNNNNNNNNNNNNNNNNNNNNNNNNNNNNNNNNNNNNNNNNNNNNNNNNNNNNNNNNNNNNNNNNNNNNNNNNNNNNNNNNNNNNNNNNNNNNNNNNNNNNNNNNNNNNNNNNNNNNNNNNNNNNNNNNNNNNNNNNNNNNNNNNNNNNNNNNNNNNNNNNNNNNNNNNNNNNNNNNNNNNNNNNNNNNNNNNNNNNNNNNNNNNNNNNNNNNNNNNNNNNNNNNNNNNNNNNNNNNNNNNNNNNNNNNNNNNNNNNNNNNNNNNNNNNNNNNNNNNNNNNNNNNNNNNNNNNNNNNNNNNNNNNNNNNNNNNNNNNNNNNNNNNNNNNNNNNNNNNNNNNNNNNNNNNNNNNNNNNNNNNNNNNNNNNNNNNNNNNNNNNNNNNNNNNNNNNNNNNNNNNNNNNNNNNNNNNNNNNNNNNNNNNNNNNNNNNNNNNNNNNNNNNNNNNNNNNNNNNNNNNNNNNNNNNNNNNNNNNNNNNNNNNNNNNNNNNNNNNNNNNNNNNNNNNNNNNNNNNNNNNNNNNNNNNNNNNNNNNNNNNNNNNNNNNNNNNNNNNNNNNNNNNNNNNNNNNNNNNNNNNNNNNNNNNNNNNNNNNNNNNNNNNNNNNNNNNNNNNNNNNNNNNNNNNNNNNNNNNNNNNNNNNNNNNNNNNNNNNNNNNNNNNNNNNNNNNNNNNNNNNNNNNNNNNNNNNNNNNNNNNNNNNNNNNNNNNNNNNNNNNNNNNNNNNNNNNNNNNNNNNNNNNNNNNNNNNNNNNNNNNNNNNNNNNNNNNNNNNNNNNNNNNNNNNNNNNNNNNNNNNNNNNNNNNNNNNNNNNNNNNNNNNNNNNNNNNNNNNNNNNNNNNNNNNNNNNNNNNNNNNNNNNNNNNNNNNNNNNNNNNNNNNNNNNNNNNNNNNNNNNNNNNNNNNNNNNNNNNNNNNNNNNNNNNNNNNNNNNNNNNNNNNNNNNNNNNNNNNNNNNNNNNNNNNNNNNNNNNNNNNNNNNNNNNNNNNNNNNNNNNNNNNNNNNNNNNNNNNNNNNNNNNNNNNNNNNNNNNNNNNNNNNNNNNNNNNNNNNNNNNNNNNNNNNNNNNNNNNNNNNNNNNNNNNNNNNNNNNNNNNNNNNNNNNNNNNNNNNNNNNNNNNNNNNNNNNNNNNNNNNNNNNNNNNNNNNNNNNNNNNNNNNNNNNNNNNNNNNNNNNNNNNNNNNNNNNNNNNNNNNNNNNNNNNNNNNNNNNNNNNNNNNNNNNNNNNNNNNNNNNNNNNNNNNNNNNNNNNNNNNNNNNNNNNNNNNNNNNNNNNNNNNNNNNNNNNNNNNNNNNNNNNNNNNNNNNNNNNNNNNNNNNNNNNNNNNNNNNNNNNNNNNNNNNNNNNNNNNNNNNNNNNNNNNNNNNNNNNNNNNNNNNNNNNNNNNNNNNNNNNNNNNNNNNNNNNNNNNNNNNNNNNNNNNNNNNNNNNNNNNNNNNNNNNNNNNNNNNNNNNNNNNNNNNNNNNNNNNNNNNNNNNNNNNNNNNNNNNNNNNNNNNNNNNNNNNNNNNNNNNNNNNNNNNNNNNNNNNNNNNNNNNNNNNNNNNNNNNNNNNNNNNNNNNNNNNNNNNNNNNNNNNNNNNNNNNNNNNNNNNNNNNNNNNNNNNNNNNNNNNNNNNNNNNNNNNNNNNNNNNNNNNNNNNNNNNNNNNNNNNNNNNNNNNNNNNNNNNNNNNNNNNNNNNNNNNNNNNNNNNNNNNNNNNNNNNNNNNNNNNNNNNNNNNNNNNNNNNNNNNNNNNNNNNNNNNNNNNNNNNNNNNNNNNNNNNNNNNNNNNNNNNNNNNNNNNNNNNNNNNNNNNNNNNNNNNNNNNNNNNNNNNNNNNNNNNNNNNNNNNNNNNNNNNNNNNNNNNNNNNNNNNNNNNNNNNNNNNNNNNNNNNNNNNNNNNNNNNNNNNNNNNNNNNNNNNNNNNNNNNNNNNNNNNNNNNNNNNNNNNNNNNNNNNNNNNNNNNNNNNNNNNNNNNNNNNNNNNNNNNNNNNNNNNNNNNNNNNNNNNNNNNNNNNNNNNNNNNNNNNNNNNNNNNNNNNNNNNNNNNNNNNNNNNNNNNNNNNNNNNNNNNNNNNNNNNNNNNNNNNNNNNNNNNNNNNNNNNNNNNNNNNNNNNNNNNNNNNNNNNNNNNNNNNNNNNNNNNNNNNNNNNNNNNNNNNNNNNNNNNNNNNNNNNNNNNNNNNNNNNNNNNNNNNNNNNNNNNNNNNNNNNNNNNNNNNNNNNNNNNNNNNNNNNNNNNNNNNNNNNNNNNNNNNNNNNNNNNNNNNNNNNNNNNNNNNNNNNNNNNNNNNNNNNNNNNNNNNNNNNNNNNNNNNNNNNNNNNNNNNNNNNNNNNNNNNNNNNNNNNNNNNNNNNNNNNNNNNNNNNNNNNNNNNNNNNNNNNNNNNNNNNNNNNNNNNNNNNNNNNNNNNNNNNNNNNNNNNNNNNNNNNNNNNNNNNNNNNNNNNNNNNNNNNNNNNNNNNNNNNNNNNNNNNNNNNNNNNNNNNNNNNNNNNNNNNNNNNNNNNNNNNNNNNNNNNNNNNNNNNNNNNNNNNNNNNNNNNNNNNNNNNNNNNNNNNNNNNNNNNNNNNNNNNNNNNNNNNNNNNNNNNNNNNNNNNNNNNNNNNNNNNNNNNNNNNNNNNNNNNNNNNNNNNNNNNNNNNNNNNNNNNNNNNNNNNNNNNNNNNNNNNNNNNNNNNNNNNNNNNNNNNNNNNNNNNNNNNNNNNNNNNNNNNNNNNNNNNNNNNNNNNNNNNNNNNNNNNNNNNNNNNNNNNNNNNNNNNNNNNNNNNNNNNNNNNNNNNNNNNNNNNNNNNNNNNNNNNNNNNNNNNNNNNNNNNNNNNNNNNNNNNNNNNNNNNNNNNNNNNNNNNNNNNNNNNNNNNNNNNNNNNNNNNNNNNNNNNNNNNNNNNNNNNNNNNNNNNNNNNNNNNNNNNNNNNNNNNNNNNNNNNNNNNNNNNNNNNNNNNNNNNNNNNNNNNNNNNNNNNNNNNNNNNNNNNNNNNNNNNNNNNNNNNNNNNNNNNNNNNNNNNNNNNNNNNNNNNNNNNNNNNNNNNNNNNNNNNNNNNNNNNNNNNNNNNNNNNNNNNNNNNNNNNNNNNNNNNNNNNNNNNNNNNNNNNNNNNNNNNNNNNNNNNNNNNNNNNNNNNNNNNNNNNNNNNNNNNNNNNNNNNNNNNNNNNNNNNNNNNNNNNNNNNNNNNNNNNNNNNNNNNNNNNNNNNNNNNNNNNNNNNNNNNNNNNNNNNNNNNNNNNNNNNNNNNNNNNNNNNNNNNNNNNNNNNNNNNNNNNNNNNNNNNNNNNNNNNNNNNNNNNNNNNNNNNNNNNNNNNNNNNNNNNNNNNNNNNNNNNNNNNNNNNNNNNNNNNNNNNNNNNNNNNNNNNNNNNNNNNNNNNNNNNNNNNNNNNNNNNNNNNNNNNNNNNNNNNNNNNNNNNNNNNNNNNNNNNNNNNNNNNNNNNNNNNNNNNNNNNNNNNNNNNNNNNNNNNNNNNNNNNNNNNNNNNNNNNNNNNNNNNNNNNNNNNNNNNNNNNNNNNNNNNNNNNNNNNNNNNNNNNNNNNNNNNNNNNNNNNNNNNNNNNNNNNNNNNNNNNNNNNNNNNNNNNNNNNNNNNNNNNNNNNNNNNNNNNNNNNNNNNNNNNNNNNNNNNNNNNNNNNNNNNNNNNNNNNNNNNNNNNNNNNNNNNNNNNNNNNNNNNNNNNNNNNNNNNNNNNNNNNNNNNNNNNNNNNNNNNNNNNNNNNNNNNNNNNNNNNNNNNNNNNNNNNNNNNNNNNNNNNNNNNNNNNNNNNNNNNNNNNNNNNNNNNNNNNNNNNNNNNNNNNNNNNNNNNNNNNNNNNNNNNNNNNNNNNNNNNNNNNNNNNNNNNNNNNNNNNNNNNNNNNNNNNNNNNNNNNNNNNNNNNNNNNNNNNNNNNNNNNNNNNNNNNNNNNNNNNNNNNNNNNNNNNNNNNNNNNNNNNNNNNNNNNNNNNNNNNNNNNNNNNNNNNNNNNNNNNNNNNNNNNNNNNNNNNNNNNNNNNNNNNNNNNNNNNNNNNNNNNNNNNNNNNNNNNNNNNNNNNNNNNNNNNNNNNNNNNNNNNNNNNNNNNNNNNNNNNNNNNNNNNNNNNNNNNNNNNNNNNNNNNNNNNNNNNNNNNNNNNNNNNNNNNNNNNNNNNNNNNNNNNNNNNNNNNNNNNNNNNNNNNNNNNNNNNNNNNNNNNNNNNNNNNNNNNNNNNNNNNNNNNNNNNNNNNNNNNNNNNNNNNNNNNNNNNNNNNNNNNNNNNNNNNNNNNNNNNNNNNNNNNNNNNNNNNNNNNNNNNNNNNNNNNNNNNNNNNNNNNNNNNNNNNNNNNNNNNNNNNNNNNNNNNNNNNNNNNNNNNNNNNNNNNNNNNNNNNNNNNNNNNNNNNNNNNNNNNNNNNNNNNNNNNNNNNNNNNNNNNNNNNNNNNNNNNNNNNNNNNNNNNNNNNNNNNNNNNNNNNNNNNNNNNNNNNNNNNNNNNNNNNNNNNNNNNNNNNNNNNNNNNNNNNNNNNNNNNNNNNNNNNNNNNNNNNNNNNNNNNNNNNNNNNNNNNNNNNNNNNNNNNNNNNNNNNNNNNNNNNNNNNNNNNNNNNNNNNNNNNNNNNNNNNNNNNNNNNNNNNNNNNNNNNNNNNNNNNNNNNNNNNNNNNNNNNNNNNNNNNNNNNNNNNNNNNNNNNNNNNNNNNNNNNNNNNNNNNNNNNNNNNNNNNNNNNNNNNNNNNNNNNNNNNNNNNNNNNNNNNNNNNNNNNNNNNNNNNNNNNNNNNNNNNNNNNNNNNNNNNNNNNNNNNNNNNNNNNNNNNNNNNNNNNNNNNNNNNNNNNNNNNNNNNNNNNNNNNNNNNNNNNNNNNNNNNNNNNNNNNNNNNNNNNNNNNNNNNNNNNNNNNNNNNNNNNNNNNNNNNNNNNNNNNNNNNNNNNNNNNNNNNNNNNNNNNNNNNNNNNNNNNNNNNNNNNNNNNNNNNNNNNNNNNNNNNNNNNNNNNNNNNNNNNNNNNNNNNNNNNNNNNNNNNNNNNNNNNNNNNNNNNNNNNNNNNNNNNNNNNNNNNNNNNNNNNNNNNNNNNNNNNNNNNNNNNNNNNNNNNNNNNNNNNNNNNNNNNNNNNNNNNNNNNNNNNNNNNNNNNNNNNNNNNNNNNNNNNNNNNNNNNNNNNNNNNNNNNNNNNNNNNNNNNNNNNNNNNNNNNNNNNNNNNNNNNNNNNNNNNNNNNNNNNNNNNNNNNNNNNNNNNNNNNNNNNNNNNNNNNNNNNNNNNNNNNNNNNNNNNNNNNNNNNNNNNNNNNNNNNNNNNNNNNNNNNNNNNNNNNNNNNNNNNNNNNNNNNNNNNNNNNNNNNNNNNNNNNNNNNNNNNNNNNNNNNNNNNNNNNNNNNNNNNNNNNNNNNNNNNNNNNNNNNNNNNNNNNNNNNNNNNNNNNNNNNNNNNNNNNNNNNNNNNNNNNNNNNNNNNNNNNNNNNNNNNNNNNNNNNNNNNNNNNNNNNNNNNNNNNNNNNNNNNNNNNNNNNNNNNNNNNNNNNNNNNNNNNNNNNNNNNNNNNNNNNNNNNNNNNNNNNNNNNNNNNNNNNNNNNNNNNNNNNNNNNNNNNNNNNNNNNNNNNNNNNNNNNNNNNNNNNNNNNNNNNNNNNNNNNNNNNNNNNNNNNNNNNNNNNNNNNNNNNNNNNNNNNNNNNNNNNNNNNNNNNNNNNNNNNNNNNNNNNNNNNNNNNNNNNNNNNNNNNNNNNNNNNNNNNNNNNNNNNNNNNNNNNNNNNNNNNNNNNNNNNNNNNNNNNNNNNNNNNNNNNNNNNNNNNNNNNNNNNNNNNNNNNNNNNNNNNNNNNNNNNNNNNNNNNNNNNNNNNNNNNNNNNNNNNNNNNNNNNNNNNNNNNNNNNNNNNNNNNNNNNNNNNNNNNNNNNNNNNNNNNNNNNNNNNNNNNNNNNNNNNNNNNNNNNNNNNNNNNNNNNNNNNNNNNNNNNNNNNNNNNNNNNNNNNNNNNNNNNNNNNNNNNNNNNNNNNNNNNNNNNNNNNNNNNNNNNNNNNNNNNNNNNNNNNNNNNNNNNNNNNNNNNNNNNNNNNNNNNNNNNNNNNNNNNNNNNNNNNNNNNNNNNNNNNNNNNNNNNNNNNNNNNNNNNNNNNNNNNNNNNNNNNNNNNNNNNNNNNNNNNNNNNNNNNNNNNNNNNNNNNNNNNNNNNNNNNNNNNNNNNNNNNNNNNNNNNNNNNNNNNNNNNNNNNNNNNNNNNNNNNNNNNNNNNNNNNNNNNNNNNNNNNNNNNNNNNNNNNNNNNNNNNNNNNNNNNNNNNNNNNNNNNNNNNNNNNNNNNNNNNNNNNNNNNNNNNNNNNNNNNNNNNNNNNNNNNNNNNNNNNNNNNNNNNNNNNNNNNNNNNNNNNNNNNNNNNNNNNNNNNNNNNNNNNNNNNNNNNNNNNNNNNNNNNNNNNNNNNNNNNNNNNNNNNNNNNNNNNNNNNNNNNNNNNNNNNNNNNNNNNNNNNNNNNNNNNNNNNNNNNNNNNNNNNNNNNNNNNNNNNNNNNNNNNNNNNNNNNNNNNNNNNNNNNNNNNNNNNNNNNNNNNNNNNNNNNNNNNNNNNNNNNNNNNNNNNNNNNNNNNNNNNNNNNNNNNNNNNNNNNNNNNNNNNNNNNNNNNNNNNNNNNNNNNNNNNNNNNNNNNNNNNNNNNNNNNNNNNNNNNNNNNNNNNNNNNNNNNNNNNNNNNNNNNNNNNNNNNNNNNNNNNNNNNNNNNNNNNNNNNNNNNNNNNNNNNNNNNNNNNNNNNNNNNNNNNNNNNNNNNNNNNNNNNNNNNNNNNNNNNNNNNNNNNNNNNNNNNNNNNNNNNNNNNNNNNNNNNNNNNNNNNNNNNNNNNNNNNNNNNNNNNNNNNNNNNNNNNNNNNNNNNNNNNNNNNNNNNNNNNNNNNNNNNNNNNNNNNNNNNNNNNNNNNNNNNNNNNNNNNNNNNNNNNNNNNNNNNNNNNNNNNNNNNNNNNNNNNNNNNNNNNNNNNNNNNNNNNNNNNNNNNNNNNNNNNNNNNNNNNNNNNNNNNNNNNNNNNNNNNNNNNNNNNNNNNNNNNNNNNNNNNNNNNNNNNNNNNNNNNNNNNNNNNNNNNNNNNNNNNNNNNNNNNNNNNNNNNNNNNNNNNNNNNNNNNNNNNNNNNNNNNNNNNNNNNNNNNNNNNNNNNNNNNNNNNNNNNNNNNNNNNNNNNNNNNNNNNNNNNNNNNNNNNNNNNNNNNNNNNNNNNNNNNNNNNNNNNNNNNNNNNNNNNNNNNNNNNNNNNNNNNNNNNNNNNNNNNNNNNNNNNNNNNNNNNNNNNNNNNNNNNNNNNNNNNNNNNNNNNNNNNNNNNNNNNNNNNNNNNNNNNNNNNNNNNNNNNNNNNNNNNNNNNNNNNNNNNNNNNNNNNNNNNNNNNNNNNNNNNNNNNNNNNNNNNNNNNNNNNNNNNNNNNNNNNNNNNNNNNNNNNNNNNNNNNNNNNNNNNNNNNNNNNNNNNNNNNNNNNNNNNNNNNNNNNNNNNNNNNNNNNNNNNNNNNNNNNNNNNNNNNNNNNNNNNNNNNNNNNNNNNNNNNNNNNNNNNNNNNNNNNNNNNNNNNNNNNNNNNNNNNNNNNNNNNNNNNNNNNNNNNNNNNNNNNNNNNNNNNNNNNNNNNNNNNNNNNNNNNNNNNNNNNNNNNNNNNNNNNNNNNNNNNNNNNNNNNNNNNNNNNNNNNNNNNNNNNNNNNNNNNNNNNNNNNNNNNNNNNNNNNNNNNNNNNNNNNNNNNNNNNNNNNNNNNNNNNNNNNNNNNNNNNNNNNNNNNNNNNNNNNNNNNNNNNNNNNNNNNNNNNNNNNNNNNNNNNNNNNNNNNNNNNNNNNNNNNNNNNNNNNNNNNNNNNNNNNNNNNNNNNNNNNNNNNNNNNNNNNNNNNNNNNNNNNNNNNNNNNNNNNNNNNNNNNNNNNNNNNNNNNNNNNNNNNNNNNNNNNNNNNNNNNNNNNNNNNNNNNNNNNNNNNNNNNNNNNNNNNNNNNNNNNNNNNNNNNNNNNNNNNNNNNNNNNNNNNNNNNNNNNNNNNNNNNNNNNNNNNNNNNNNNNNNNNNNNNNNNNNNNNNNNNNNNNNNNNNNNNNNNNNNNNNNNNNNNNNNNNNNNNNNNNNNNNNNNNNNNNNNNNNNNNNNNNNNNNNNNNNNNNNNNNNNNNNNNNNNNNNNNNNNNNNNNNNNNNNNNNNNNNNNNNNNNNNNNNNNNNNNNNNNNNNNNNNNNNNNNNNNNNNNNNNNNNNNNNNNNNNNNNNNNNNNNNNNNNNNNNNNNNNNNNNNNNNNNNNNNNNNNNNNNNNNNNNNNNNNNNNNNNNNNNNNNNNNNNNNNNNNNNNNNNNNNNNNNNNNNNNNNNNNNNNNNNNNNNNNNNNNNNNNNNNNNNNNNNNNNNNNNNNNNNNNNNNNNNNNNNNNNNNNNNNNNNNNNNNNNNNNNNNNNNNNNNNNNNNNNNNNNNNNNNNNNNNNNNNNNNNNNNNNNNNNNNNNNNNNNNNNNNNNNNNNNNNNNNNNNNNNNNNNNNNNNNNNNNNNNNNNNNNNNNNNNNNNNNNNNNNNNNNNNNNNNNNNNNNNNNNNNNNNNNNNNNNAGUGCUGCAUAUGAGUUGAAAUGGUGACAGAGUUUGUUGGAAGAAGAAAUCAAUAUUCUUUGAUCUCGAGUAUUGGAAAUACCUUCUUGUGAGGCAUGCCCUAGAUGUUAUGCACAUUGAGAAGAAUGUUUGCGAUAGUAUCAUUGGUACAUUGCUGGAGAUCCCUGGAAAAAAUAAAGAUGGGAUUGCUGCUCGAUUAGAUUUAUUGAACAUGGGGGUCAAAACUGAUUUGCAACCCGAGUAUGGAGAAAGACGUACUCGUUUGCCUCCUGGGCCUUGGAAUUUGUCAAGAGCAGAGAAGAGAGAGGUUUGCAAUUCUUUCUAUGGUAUGAAGGUCCCUGAAGGUUAUUCUUCAAAUAUUAAAAAUCUUGUAUCUGUACAAGAUUCAAGACUUCUUGGCCUUAAAUCACAUGAUUGUCAUACCUUAAUGCAACAAUUGCUCCCUGUGGCAAUUCGUUCUGUUUUGGAGAAGCCUGCAAGGUAUGCAAUAACUCGUUUGUGCUUCUUCUUCAAUGCUAUAUGUGCAAAGACUGUUGAUGUUUCCAAGCUAGAUAAGUUGGAAGAAGAUGUAGUAGUUACUCUGUGUUUGCUUGAGAAGUACUUUCCCCCUUCAUUCUUUGAUAUCAUGGUUCAUCUAGUAGUACAUCUUGUCAGAGAAGUUCGUCUAUGUGGGCCAGUAUAUUUUAGGUGGAUGUAUCCGUUUGAAAGAUAUAUGAAAGUGCUGAAGGGGUAUGUUCAGAAUCGUACUCGUCCCGAAGGUUGCAUUGCUGAGCGGUAUAUAGCUGAAGAAGCGGUAGAGUUUUGUACUCAGCAUUUAUCUGAUGUUAGUACAGUUGGAGUGCCUUCAAGCCAAAAGAUGGGAGUUUCAAAGCCAUUAUUAGGUUGCACAGUGAGCGUAGUUGAUCAGGACCUGUUGAAUCAAGCACAUCUAUAUGUCUUGGAGAAUACGGAGGAAGUCCUACCUUAUAUCGAGUACGUAUGAGUUUUAUUCUUUAAGUUUCCAUUUAAAAUUAUUUCUUAUGUUUAUCUUAUAUAUUUGGGACCGUAAUGCUUGAAUUUUUCGUGUCAUGUAGGCAACAUAUGAUCCACAUCAAGACUGCUUAUCCAAAAUUUAGAAAGAGAACAAAGUGGCUGCAGGAUAAGCACAAUAGCACUUUCAUUCAAUGGCUACGCUUCAAGGUAUAUGUUGUUGAAUAACGUAUUUCUCUUUUAAUUUUCUUCUUAUUUAUAUGUUAGGAUGAAUUAAGAUAUGAUUAAUUUGCAGGUUCAAAGUGAAGUUGAGGAAGACAAUCAUGGCGUAUCAGAAAAUUUAAGGUGGCUAGCAGCUGGUCCAAACAUGUCAGUGCCAUUAUAUAGGAGCUAUCUUAUUAAAGGUAUUAAAUUCAAUAUCAAGGCACAAGAUGAUGUGCGGACAACUCAAAAUAGUGGAGUUUAUUUACUUGCACAUACCAUGCAAGUUGCUAGUGCCAAGGAUAAAAACCCAAUUCUCUCAAAUAUGGGUUUCUAUGGUGUCAUUCAAGAAAUUUGGGACCUUGACUACCAAAAGUUUACAAUCCCAGUCUUUAGGUGUGAUUGGAUAGAUAGUUCUGGUCUUGUAGUCGACGAACUUGGAUUUACCCUUGUAGAUUUGAGUAAAAUUGGACAUAGGAAUGACCAAUUUGUUUUGGCUUCUCAAGUCAAACAAAUAUUUUUUGUUGACGACCCGAUGCAUCGUGGUUGGUCGGUAGUGUUAUCAAUGCCUAGUAGAGAAUAUAAUGAUGUUAUUGGUGAUGAAGUAUUAGGUGAUGUGAUAAUUGAGUGUGAGCCAUUUACUAGAGGGAUGCCAAAUGUUGACACAUUUGAUGAACUGGUAGGUGAGUUAGGCGGUCAAAAUAUUCGAGAUGGGUGUGAAGAUAUAUGGAUUGAAUGAUGCUUAUGUAAUUGGCAGUGUAUGACAUUAAUUUUGUAAUAUAUUGUAAUGUGAUUUCUUCACUUUCUACGUUCAAAUAAAACACGACGUUAUUGUGAAUCAGUUAUUCAGCAUAUUUACCGACGUCUUAAAGCAACGUAACAAUGAAGAACCACGACGCUAUUGUGAAGCAAUUAUUCAGGAUAUCACGUCGGUGAAGGAUAAAGAACCGCCAUGUAAUUCAAAAUAACACGACUCCAAUCCCAUAAUACCGACGUCUAAAAAACGAGAUAUGUAAUCUGAACGUUAAAAAAUACGACGUCAUCAUACAUUUUCCACGUCGCAAGUUCUUUUAUAAACGAAGAGGAACGAAAUUAAUUCCGACGGAAAUUCAUUAUAACCGCCGUCUAAUAACAAUUAAACGACGUUAUUUGUAAUACGGCUCCCAUCAUAAUCUACGCCGUCUAUAUGUUCUGUAAUACGGCUCUCAUUUAUUUGGAACCGACGUUGUUUAGACGUUCAACGUCGUCUAUAUUAUUAAGUGCGUCGUGAGUAAUGAAUACAUAUAAAUACAACGUCGACUAUAUAAAUGUAUACGUCGUAAAUAAUGACACUGACAACUAUUUCCACGUCAUCUUUUUUAGAUAAAAUCGAAGUGGAAAGUUUAUUUCACGACGGUUUUUUGUAAAUAAGAGACGUUGUAGAACUUUAGCAGACUAAACACGUCUGUUUUUAUUGUUUUCCGACGUUGUUGUAUUUAACAACGUCUAAUAUUUAUGGUCGUUGUUUGUUUCUGAAAAUAGGACGUAUAAAUUUUUUAAUACGACUCUCAUAUAUUUGUAACUGACGUUGUUUAGUUUUUCAACGUCUACUAUAGAAACACAUACGUCGUAAAUAAUGACACUGACAACUAUUUCCACGUCAUCUUUUAUCAAAAAAUCGAAGUGGAAAAUUAAUUGUACGACGGUUGUGUUUAUAUGUGCGACGUAGUAGGUAUCAAUAACGUCGUCUUCUAAUGUAUUUAAAGACGUCAUAUUUUUUAUUGUCGUGAAAAUUAUAUUUAACGUCGGCGUAUUUUUAUUGUCGUCGUUGUAUGUCUAUCUUGCGGCCUUGUUCUCUUAAUAUGUGUCAUAUUUUCCCUUUUUAACGACGGUCUUUUUAGAGAAUUGGUCGUCUAUUAUCAUCAUCGAUUGCUUUUUUUAGAUCUUUUUGCAGUACAAAGACGUCGUUUUGUAUUUUUUGAUGACGUUGUAUUGUUUAACAACGACGGUUAUUUAGCGUCGUGGUUUAUGAGGGAAAAGAUGACGGUGGAUUCCACGACCAUUGAAAAACCAAAUACACGACGGUGAUUUACCGUCGUCUUUUUGCUUUUUUGUAGUAGUGAGAGGCUUUGCGACUUAGCCAUAUGUGUCAUCAAGCAACAAAGUUGGCUUGCAUUGCAGCAUCUUCAAAUGAGGCAUACACAACUUUUAUCGAAGCUCUAAAUGAAUUGUCCAAGAAACUGUCAGACAAUUCUACUCAGCAUGCAACAAUUCCUUCCUCAACAACAGGUGAUCCAUGUAGUACUAAUAUUGAUUCCUCUCAAUUGUUGCUUUUGGACCCUAAUAUCUCACAAACUAAGGGUAGAAAGAAGGACAAUAUUAGCGGUUCAAAAAGGCUAAAAAGUGGUAUUGAGUUGGCUCAAAACAAGAAGAAAAGAAAGUGUGCAUUAUGCAAAAAGAUAGCCCAACAUGACAAAAGAAAUUGUCCUUCAAAUCUGAAAAGAAGAAAGAAUGAAUCAACAAAUCUAUGUAAGUUGGUUCACUUUGUUUUUUUAUUUUUUUAUAUUCUAAUAGUAAGGUCAAAAGCUUAUGUUUAAUUUAAUUAUUAUGAAUCUAAAUUUAGGCAAUGAAGAGUCAGAAGAUUUGUGCCAAGAUAUGGAGAGUGAUGACCAAGAAUAUUGUUAAUGGUGAGUUUUUUUUUUUUUAAAGUUGUGAUCAAUUUUCUUUUCUUUUACUUUAAUUUAUGCUCAUUUGUGUAUUUUGAUCUUGUCUUGCAUCAGGAAUAGUCUAUUAUGUUCAUCAGGGGGAAGCUCUUGUUGCAAUGGUGAUCAUUGGUCUUGUUAUCUCCGUAUAUGUGGCAUUACUUAGACAAAUUAUAUGAAUAUAUGCUUUUUGGAUUAUGAUAUCUUGUAUCAGGAAUGUUUACGUACUAUUUGAUACACAAUGUGUUCCAAAAUUGUUCUUAAUCCGUUGUUUAUGGGUGUUUCAUGAUAGUAAAAUCUUGUAGGUGCCCACUUAAAUCAAUGGAUGAACUUUGCAAUGAACUUGUGUAAAACUUGUUAUUCUAAGGAAAUUAAUCACUUUACUACGGUGAAUAAACAAUUUUUGUUUUUCAUACACAUAUAACACUUAGACGAAUGAAAUCUUCCUCAUCAAAUAAUCUUCUACAGCAGAUCACCUUCCAUAGGUGAAAUCAUAGUAAUAAAAAAGGUUGGGCUGUAAACUCAAGCAGCUCUUUCUUCCCAGUGACAACCACAUCAAAAUCAGAAAAAUGAACUUUCAUAAAAGCCACCCGUGGGCAAAAACCCAAAACUAACAACCAAACAUACAUAGGACCACAUGGGAGCAGAGUACAACCAGGGUGUUGAGGCCAUUUGAAGAAACACUCAUUUUGGACAGCCCAGCAAAGACAAUUCAUAAACUGUAAUUCCAUAUGUCAAUGCAUAGGUAAUCCAUCAAUUUCUAGAACCAACCCCAAAGAGGGAGGAGGUUGAAGCAAGUUGGUGUGGCAUCAAAUUUUCUCCUUGUAUUCUGUCCCUAUUAAUCGGGACCAAAAAAAAAAAAGUAGUAGUCAAAAUUUUCAUAUAUGAGAAGAUUAAAAUCCCUAAAUCAAACCCUCAAAAUAAGAAAUCCUACCAACAAUUUGAAACAAAUUGAAAUGAAUAGCUUAAUCAUAGAUACCUAAGAAAUAAACUUAAUCCCCUUGGAAACUAUUAAUUCCUUAAAUUCCUAAUCUAGAGAUUCUAGUUUAAUUCCAACAAAAAUAAAAUUAAAAUAAACCAAAUCUGAUCAAGAAAAUCGAAAAUUGAAAUAUGUACCUGGAGCAAAGCUUUUCUCCCAACGAAGAAGGCAAAAACUGAGAGAGAGAGAGAGAGAGAGAGAGAGAGAGAGAGAGAGAGAGAGAGAGAGAGAGAGAGAGAGAGAGAGAGACGUGCAAAUGUGGGGUUUGGGUAUUUAGUUUUUGGUGAGAUUGAGAGAGAGAGAGAGAGAGAGAGAGAGAGAGAGAGAGAGAGAGAGAGAGAGAGAGAGAGAGAGAGAGAGAGAGAGAGAGAGAGAGAGACGUGCAAGUGUGGGGUUUGGGUAUUUAGUUUUUGGUGAGAUUGAGAGAGAGAGAGAGAGAGAGAGAGAGAGAGAGAGAGAGAGAGAGAGAGAGAGAGAGAGAGAGAGAGAGAGAGAGAGAGAGAGAGAGAGAGAGAGAGAGAGAGAGAGAGACGUGCAAAUGUGGGGUUUGGGUAUUUAGUUUUUGGUGAGAUUCUUUAUUUAUUAGACCAUAAUAAAUAUUUGAGAUUAAAGAGGCAGGAGAGAUUACGUCUUCCAGCAAAAAAGUUGGAGAGAGAAAAAUUUCCUUUUAUUUUUAUGAGAGAGAAUAAAAUUAAUGAUUGUCUAUUUAAAAAAAAUUAAAACUACUUGCCAUGUAAUAUUUAAUCUCAACCAUUAAAAGUGGAGUAAUCUAAUGGCCUAAAAAUUGUGUCAAAACUUGUGUCAAAAACGUAGUGCCACGGAUCCGCCCCCUAUAUAUAUAUAUACGAAUUUAAUUUAAAUUACAAAGCCCAAGUAGCUAGCCCCGGCCACAUAUAUAUAAAGAUUCAUAUUUUGUGCAUGUAAAAAUUCAUGUUUUGUGCGGCCGACUUCAAUAAUCGAAGGGCCCGCACACGUUAUAUAUAUAUAUAUAUAUAUAUAUAAAGAUUGAAUUAGGUUCCUCAGCGGACCAAUUUUAGAGCUCUAUAUAUAUUGUGGGAACCUAAUUAAAUCAAAACCCUAGGUCAAUUAAUUAGGCCAAUCAAUUUGGGAAUUAUUUGACCUAAUUAGGAGUUACCUAACCUAAUUGGGAAUUACCUAAUCAAAUUGGGGGUUACUUGAUUCCCAAUUUAAUUAGGGAUUCGGUUCAUCCAUAAUCCCUAAAUGCACCAACCCCACCAACCACACCAACCACACCAACUACACCAACCACGCCAACCACACCAACUACACCAACCCCACCUACCUCUCCAAAGGCCACUAUAAAUACAUGGUUACGCACAAGGAUGAGGUACGUCUAAAUUCCUACUCAAACUCUGCAUAAAUUAUUUCUCAGAGACCCUAGCCACCUCCUCUCUUUCUCUCUCUCACACAAGGCUCCGGCCACCACACACGGCUCCGGCCACCCGGUUUUCCUUGAAUUCCCUUACCUAACUUAGGCAUCGGAGGGCCUUUGGCCAACACCCCCCGGGUGUGGUCCUUUUACUCCGAUCUGUUUUGCAGGGAGAAAGAGAGGCGGAGAAGACGAAGGAAUCUUGGGCGAAUAUUCUCCCGUGAGAUUAUUUGCACAAACAAAUUGGUGCUUUCAUUGAGAGCACGAGAUAUAUUCAAAGCGUGCUCCAAAUCCAUCUUUCACACAUUUUUUCAAACAACCAUGGUUGAUACAAGACGUACGAAGAGUAACGCCACCACGAUGGGCCCAUCUCAUGGUUUCGUGGUGGAAACCUCAAUGCAACGUCACGGAAUCGUGGCUGCCAACGCCUUGCAGUCGUUCUCUAGUGCUUUGCAGCCGCCCUCAGCUGCUGGAAUUGCAGAACAGCCACCACAUGACCCUGGGACCUCCACAGCCUUGCAGUUGCCAGCGCCGAUUACCAGAGCUGCUCUGCCUCGCUGUCCUACCGUAGGAGCACAGCAGCAGCCACACCACUCAACUACCGGAUUUGCUGCUCAGCCCCAUGGCUACUCCGACGUCGUCCCAGUCUUGGAGCAGAUCCAUUCUCUCCCUCCUCUGCAAUCACACUUGACAUAUGCACCUGUGUAUGCGUCUAAUGGAGCCCUAGCCCAUAUGCCGUUAGGCCUGAUGCACAACGCUCUACUUGACCCGCGCAGCCAGGUGGACCUUAACUCACGGGUCGAUCAACUCACACAGAAGGUCGAUGAUCAGAACAACCUGAUUGGCCAGCUACUCAGGCAGAUCAACUUGAAUCAAGGCCCUAACCUUGGACCUCGUGACGAGGAGAUGAGGGCACACCAGCAUGUCGGCGAGCAGUUCGAGAGGUCCCAAACUGGUCAGACAAGGGCAAACCGGCAGAGGAGAGAUCGAGAUCGAGAUCGAGUAGAUGAGACGCAGACAGCCGCGAGCCAUACUCUUAGCCGUUCGGGGCUAGAACCAAGGACCAAUGUGCUCGAGAGGCUAGGCCCACAGACUAAUGUCCACGCCCGCUUAGGCCCACAAUCCAAUGUCCACGCCCGCUUGGGCCCACAAGGAGCUCGAAUUCGUGAGCAGUCGCGUGACGAGCGCAACGACCGACGCCUACCAACCCGCUCGAGGGCCAACACGCGGCGACAAGCUGUAGAGGGAUCCUCACAAGCCCAAUCUCCUAAUCUGCCCCACGGGCAGAACACCCAAGGGGAUCGACCCUUGGGAACCGAAGAAGGAGUUAGCCAGUCACGCUCGAGACACCAAAGACGUCGACCUGAGCGACCCUCCUUGCGGGCAGAAAAUGAUGAUCGACGCCCACCAACCUGCUCGAGGACCAACACGUGGCGACAAGAUGUAGAGGAAUCCUCACAAGCUCAAUCUUCUAAUCUGCCCCACGGGCAGAACACCCAAGGGGAUCGACCCUUGGGAACUGAGGAAGAAGUUAGCCGGUCACGCUCGAGGCACCGAAGACGCCGGCCCGAGACUCCAGUCCUGCGAGCAGAGGACGUCGAGAAGCUAGUAAAUGACCGACUCCAAGCUCUCCAACUUAAAGGAAGCGCGGAGGAGGCCCUGCAUAAGGAAAUUGAUCGAGUUGACUGCUCGCCCUUUACCGACAAAGUGGAACGAGCUCCUCCACCGAAGCGGUUCACAACGCCAUCCAUCACUCCAUUCAAGGGGGACUCUGACCCUGAGAGCCAUUUGAGGCACUUCAAGAGCGCCAUGAUCCUGUACAAGGCAGAUGAUGCCCUGAUGUGCAAAGUGUUCGCGAUGACCCUGCGAGGAGCAGCUCAAGACUGGUUCCACACUCUACCGUCCGCGUCGAUAGGAAACUUCAAGGAGUUGGCCUUCAUCUUCACAAAGGAGUACACCUCCUACAAGACGGUCAGAAAGCAUGCAGACCAUCUGUUCAACCUGCGCAAGAAGCCAGACGAGUCUCUACGAGACUACCUGAGACGGUUUAAGGCUGAAAAGGCUAACAUCAUAGGAUGCAAUGACCAAGUUGCAUCCUCAGCUUUCAAGAAGGGCUUGCCAACCGAGCACGAGCUAUACCGGGAACUGGCCAUAACACCAAGUCAAACCUUGGCAGAAGUGUUCGCGACGGCAGAACGCUACGCACUUUGGGACGAUGAUCGAAUCGCCGCAAAGAAAGCCAGCAAGCAAGUUGAUCACCCGACGAAGCAGGCAAGCCAAAAGAGCAACCAGUUCGAGCAAAAAGCCCGAGAUAAGCGCAGAUCGCGGCCCCGAGAGGGAAGCUCAGAAACAGGGACCUUCACUGAGUUCGCUAUCCCAAUUCAUCAGAUCCUGGCUCAAGUGAAGGACAAGCCGUGGGUGAGGAGACCGCCACCCAUGAAGGGAGACCCCUCUAAGAGGGACACCAAUAAAUACUGCGCAUUCCACGGGGAGCACGGACAUUACACCAACAACUGCAAUGCUUGGAAAAGGCAUCUUGAGGAGCUGGUCAGAGAAGGUCAUUGCACAGAAUUCGUCGCAAAGAAGGCCAUUUUGCAGAUCGAGGAUCGUGAUGCGGCUGCCAAGGAGCCUCCCCAAAAGGUCAUUCGAAUCAACACCAUUCUAGCUGACUCCCGGGAGUCUGGGCUGACCACCAAGGAGCGCAAGAGGAAGAUCGCGCAGGCGGCUUAUGUCUCCCAAGUCACAACAGGAGUACCAGUCAUUGUGGAUACACCCAUCAUUGGUUUCCAGAAGAAGGACUUGAUCGGGCUUGACCUACCGCAUAAUGAUGCGCUAGUCAUCUGCAUUCAAAUUGAACAAGCUGUGAUCGAGCGAAUUCAUGUGGAUGAGGGCAGCGCAGCUAACAUCCUGCAACUAUCUGUCAUCCAACAGAUGGGAUUGGAGCCCAAGAUUAGCAAACUUGCCAGGUCGCUUACCGGCUUCAAUGGGGCCACAUCAAUCACUAUUGGAACGAUCGACCUUGACGUCCACUCACCCCCAGUGCUCUGCUCGCAAAUCUUCAUGGUCAUCAACGAGAUCUCCCCCUACAAUGGAAUAUUGGGCCGACCGUGGAUCAGCAAGAUCGAGGCCAUCACAUCUGCUCUGCACCAGAAGAUUCGAUACCCCAUCCCUAGAGGCGGAAUCGGGCAGAUCAAUAGUGACCAAGACAUGGCAAGAAGAUGCACAGCCCAAGGGCUCAAGAAGAGCAAGCAGUUGCAGUUCACACCAGUAAUGCAAGCUGCUAACGAGGCACGAAGCGUUCCCAGCAAACAAGCAAGCUCGAGCGAGAAGGGAGCUGUUACCCCACAAUAGCAAUUAAUGAGCUAGGAUCAAGGCGAGGGAAUCCGCCCGGAAGACUCCCCUGAAAAGGGUUGGAAGCCUGAGGAUGACGUCGAGUUAGUACCCCCUGAUCUUGGCCAGCCAGACAAAGAAGCGCAGAUCGGCUCGUGCCAGAAUCCAAACAAGAAGGAUCGAGAGGAGGGAAUCCGGCCAGAAGGCUCCCUUGAAAAAGGUUGGAAGCCUGAGGAAGACGUUGAGUUAGUACCCCUCGAUCCUAACCAGCCAGACAAGAAAGCGAGGAUCGGCUCGCGCCUAAGCCCAGAUGAGAAGAUGGAGUUGACCAUCUUCCUCCAAAACAACAAAGACAUGUUCGCGUGGUCACCAUCUGACAUGCCCGGCAUCGACCCAGACAUCAUCUGCCACCGCCUCCAUGUCAACCCUGCCAGCAAGCCCGUGGUGCAGAAGAGACGCAACUUCGCUCCCGAGCGAGUCGCGAUCAUUGAGGCCGAGAUCGACAAGCUUCUAGCAGCCGGAUUUAUUGAAGAAGUCUCAUACUCAGAAUGGCUGGCCAACGUCGUUUUGGUGGCAAAACAAGAAAAGGGCAAAUGGAGAGUGUGCGUCGAUUAUACCGACCUCAACAAAGCAUGCCCUAAAGACAACUUCCCAUUGCCGAGGAUCGACCAGCUCGUGGAUUCAACUUCCGGCAACCAGCUGCUCAGCUUCAUAGAUGCCUACUCAGGCUAUAAUCAAAUUAUGAUGUACGACGAUGACAAGGCGAAGACCUCUUUCAUCAUCGAGAGAGGGACCUACUGCUACAAGGUCAUGCCCUUCGGGUUGAAGAACGCCGGAGCAACAUACCAAAGGCUCGUGAAUAAGAUUUUCAAAGAGCAGAUCGGCAGAACCAUGGAAGUCUACGUGGAUGAUAUGCUGGUCAAAGCCCCCAAGCGUGGAGACCACCUCAAAAACCUCACCGAGGCAUUCAGCCUACUCCGCCAAUACCGCAUGAAGCUGAAUCCAAGUAAAUGCACGUUCGGUGUAUCAUCCGGUCGAUUCCUGGGGUACUUAGUCACACAACGAGGUAUCGAGGCACACCCACGCCAAAUUAAAGCCAUCCUCGAGAUGAAGUCACCUUCCACGGUGAAAGAAAUACAAAGUCUGACGGGCAGAGCAGCAGCUCUCAACCGAUUCCUCUCGAAGUCUACCGACAAGUGCAGACCAUUCUUCAAAGCUUUGAAGAAGGGGCAAAAAGACAAGUGGGACAAGGAGUGCGAAGUAGCUUUCCAGAGUCUAAAGACCUACCUUACUUCACCUCCCCUGCUCUCGAAGCCAGCUCCUGGUGAAGACUUGUUCGUGUACCUGGCAGUGUCCGACUCAGCCAUCAGCUCAACUCUCAUCCGAGAAGAACUUGGGGCCCAACAUCCGAUAUUCUAUACGUCAAAAGCUCUCCUCGAUGCAGAGACUCGCUACCCAAAAUUGGAGAAGCUCAUUUUGGCCCUUGUCGUUUCCGCGCGAAAGCUGCGGCCUUAUUACCAAGCUCACCGAGUCAUCGUUAUGACUGACUUUCCUUUGAGAUCAAUCCUCCACAGCCCUGAUGCUUCUCAGCGGCUUAUGAAGUGGGCAAUAGAACUAAGCCAAUACGACCUCCUCUACCGGCCAAAGACUGCUAUAAAAGCCCAGGCCUUAGCAGACUUUGUUGCAGAGUACACACCAUCAGCCGAAGAAGAGAAGCUGGUCAGUAAAAAGAAGGAAAGUUCGAGAGCAGACAAGACCUCCGCGGAACCUGACCAACCCAGAGACAUGUGGCAGCUACGCGUAGAUGGAGCGUCGAACCAGAAAGGAGCUGGAGCAGGCGUCGUCAUCGUCACUCCAGAUGGAACCCUGUUAGAGCAAGCUAUCACACUUGGCUUCCCAGCUUCAAAUAACGAGGCAGAGUACGAGGCAUUGCUCGCUGGCUUGCGCCUGGCAAAGGAGCUAUCAAUCAAGAAGCUGGCCAUCUACUCAGAUUCCCAGCUGAUCACAAGUCAAGCCUCAGGAGAAUACAUGGCGAAGCACCCAAGGAUGAUCUUGUACCUUGACAAAGUCCAAGAGCUGUUGAAGGCAUUUCCCACCUUCACCAUCUAGCAGGUGCCCCGAGCAGAGAACGCGCACGCAGAUGCACUGGCAAGCUUAGGAUCAGCACUGGAUACCCAAUUCAGAGGCUCCAUCCCGGUCGAGCACCUUGAUCAGCCUAGCAUAGAAGAGGCAGAACAACCAGACCUGAUGCAAAUCGACGAGGAUCCUAGCUGGCAAGAACCCAUCAUCGACUACCUAGUGAAUGAAAACUUGCCCCAAGACAAGUUCGACGCCAGAGAAAUCAAGCAGAAGGCUGCAAGAUAUUACAUGAAAGGCGACACGCUUAUCCGCAGAUCAUACUACGGGCCUCAUCUCACUUGCAUCAAGUACCCGCAAACGCUCGAGGUUCUCUGCAAAAUACACGACGGCGAAUGUGGAAAUCACGCUGGAGGCAGGUCGCUUGCUCAGAAGGCUCUCAGCAUCGGCUAUUUCUGGCCUACCAUGCGUAAAGAUUCCACGGAGUAUGCUCGAAGAUUUGAUCGAUGCCAACGGUACAAGCCAGUCCCUGGCUUGCCAGCUGAGGAAUACCAUCCGCAGAACAGCCCAUGGCCGUUCAUGCAGUGGGCCAUUGACUUGGUGGGACCUAUGCCGACAGCACCUGCCAAUAAAGAGAUGAUGAUCGUUGCCACUGAUUACUUCACUAAAUGGAUCGUGGCCGAGGCUUUGUCUUCUACCAAGGAAGCUGACGUUGAACGUUUCAUCUGGAAGAACAUCAUCUGCAGAUUCGGUUGCCCGCAAUCGAUAGUUACUGACAAUGGUACACAGUUCGUGGGCAGGCAAAUCACUGCAUUUUUUGCGAAGUAUGGCAUCAAGCAGCACCUGUCAACUCCCAGAUACCUGCAAGGCAAUGGUCAAGCAGAGGCAUCCAACAAAAUCGUGCUGGACUGCCUAAAGAAAAGACUGGAAGGCGCAGAAGGAAAAUGGGUCGACGAGCUGCCAGGAGUUCUAUGGGCUUAUCGCACAACCAAAAGGAGAUCGACCGGAGAAACACCAUUUUCCUUGGCCUAUGGGACGGAGGCAAUCAUUCCCCCACACAUCACAGUCCCUUCCAUGAGCAUUGAAGUGGGCAGUCUUGACCAAAACUGCAGGCAUAUGAGAAUUAACCUUGACCUGCUCGAAGAAGAACGAGAAAAGGCCAUUGUUCGAGUUGCCGCCUACCAGCAGCAGUUGACAUCCUACUACAAUAAGAAGGCCAAGAUCAGACAGUUUCGGCCUGGAGACCUUGUGCUCAGAAAGACUUUUAUCACAUCACCAAGGCAAGGAUCAAAGAAGAUGAAGCCAAAUUGGGAAGGCCCCUACAUGAUCAGCCGGUCUGGGGGCAGAGGAAGUUACACCCUCGACACUCUAGAAGGGAAGGAAAUUCCAAGACAGUGGAAUGCCCACCACCUUCGGAGAUACUAUCCAUGAAGCUCUUCGCUUACCAGCUCGACUCCUAGCAGACAACGAGCCUCUCAUACUUCUAUUAAAGGCAAAUUGCUUUUGAUGUUACCUAUGUUAUUAAUUUCCUUUAUUCAAUAAAGCGAUGUAUUCACACCAACAUCAAUACAAAAGCAAGCUUUUCAAUGAAGUACUUUUUUCGAGCUUUAUGUCCCACAAACAUAUACACAAAGGCGACAAGCCUUACCUCCAUUGCAGACAAGCUGCUCUCCGGAGCACGAACUCAAUGGAGUCUUUUUUAAGAGCUAUGUCCCCGACAUACGCUCACAGGCGACAAGCCUUACCUCCAUUGCAGACAAGCUGCUCUCCGGAGCACGAACUCAAUGGAGUCCUUUUUAAGAGCUAUGUCCCCGACAUACGCUCACAGGCGACAAGCCUUACCUCCAUCGCAGACAAGCUGCUCUCCGGAGCAUGAACUCAAUGGAGUCCUUUUUAAGAGCUAUGUCCCCGACAUACGCUCACAGGCGACAAGCCUUACCUCCAUCGUAGACAAGCUGCUCCCCGGAGCACGAACUCAAUGGAGUCUUUUUUUAAGAGCUAUGUCCCCGACAUAUGCUCACAGGCGACAAGCCUUACCUCCAUUGCAGACAAGCUGCUCCCCGGAGCACGAACUCAAUGGAGUCUUUUUUAAGAGCUAUGUCCCCGACAUACGCUCACAGGCGACAAGCCUUACCUCCAUUGCAGACGAGCUGCUCCUCGGAGCACAAACUCAAUGGAGUCUUUUUUCAAGUGCUAUGUCUUUCAAGUGCUAUGUCUCCGGACGCACACUUACAAGAUACAAAGAGAAUUGAAAAUUCAAUAACAAAGCGGCCAAUCAGCCAAGUUCAACAAGAAGUAAGAUGGUCAACCAAAGACCACUUAUUGAAAGAAAAAUAACAAAGUUCAAAAAUAGCAAAAAUGGACUACAACUGCUAAGGAACUUCAGCAGGUGACCCUCAGCCGAUCACAUCCUCAACUGAGCUGGCAACAGCCUCAUUCUACCCAACUGGCACAACUGGCUCAACCGCCUCGGCUGCCUGCUCCUUCGCAUCCGCCUUAGCCUCAUCAGUUGACCCACCUUGGCAUUUAUCUUCCUCAAUUACCGCUGCUUAUGCAUCCACAACAUCCACCUGCUCACUCUGAGCGGGGGGCAGGUCAAGACCAGUCUGCUCACCGUCAUCAUCUUCGAGAGAGCAGUAAGGAGAAACACCAUUCUGGCAAUCCAGGUAUCCCAGCUUGUACGCGUUAGCAGCAAUCUCCAGUUUGGAUGCCUCCGUGGCUUCCACAAGGGUGUCCAACUUGACCAGCAGUUUGUCACGAUCCUGGGCCAAAGCAGCAUGCUUGUGUUCAAGGCAGAAGUAGGCUUCCUUACGUUCGAGCAGGGUAGCAGCAAGAGACUUGAGUUCACCAUCCUUUUGGCCAACAGAACUCUUGAGCACGGACAAACUCUCCUUCAUCUCGGAAAUCAUCGCAUCAUGGCGAAUCCGCUCGCUCGAGAGCUUGCCAGUCAAGUCGGCAUUCUUCUUCACCAGCUCGUCAAGCAGGGCAGAAGAGGGGGCAACAUCACGCGAGUUCCGCAUGGCCCCAACAGCAAAAACCAUUCCUUUUUGAAGAUGAUACAUAGCAGCUUCUUCUUGCUUAUCCAAAGGAAGGUUCGAAAAAGCACAAAGGUCGCCGGCUCGAUACACGUGAUCAGCCAGCUUAGCGCAAGCAGACGGACUUGACAGAAAGCCUGUUUUCAGCAGAUCAGACACGGGCUCCCCCCCAGCAGAGCUAUCACCAAUUCCCGGACCAGCAGUUUGCGCGAUUGGAGGACUCUUCGCUCGAGCAGACGACUCUUUAGCUCUUUUGACUGCAGCUUGCAACAUUGAGUCAGCCCCGCGCUUGACUGCUCGUGGCCCCACAGAUGAGUCAUGGUUGCAAGGCAGAGGUACGGUCCUCUCAGCUUGAUUCCCAGAUCGGCACGGACGACCCAAACCUUGCUUCCCAGCAGUUUCCUUGCAUGGCAGAUCACGGGUCUUAGGCGGUACGGGCAAGGACUUGAGCAGAAUUUCCCGAACCUCCUGCAUGCCAUUGGCCUUCUUGCUGAUCCCGGCAGAUGGAGUAGGAACAAUUCCCAUAUGGGCUUUCUGAGCAGGCGAGACCUCCCUUGUGGAAGACUUGUUCGUGGCAAGAGAAAAUCUCGGCUGCUGUCGCUGUGGAGAUGUAUCUACUGAUCGUGAAACUGCAACUUUAUCCCGAGCAGAGCUGCUGCACGUUUUCCCACCCUCGGGGGACUCAGUCGAUGACUUCUGCUCAACUGGCAAGUCACUUAGUUUCAAGCAGCGCGACUUCCACCUUUCAAUAUCUUCAGCAGGGGGCAGGCCACUGACUUUCUUCUGGUGUUCGCUCAGCAGCCAGCGCCAUUCACGGAACUUAGCAGGGAUGCUCAAAGCUUGUCGAACCUUCGUCAUGUCCGAGUCGAGAACAAGCUUCUUUCGAAUGGCAUCAUCUGCAAGCAUAAGACAAAAGUUAGUCAGACACACUAAAGAAUCCCAUGGAAAAUAGUAGCAGAUCAGAGGGAUGCAACUUACCAUCACAGUAGGUGAGAGGAACGAGCGGACCGUCGCCAACCUCUCCUUCCCAUCUGCCACUAACCUCUAGCACGUCCUUGCUCCACACAUGAUCGCCCUGACUCAGACUAUCAAACAACUUGGGUUCGCAUGCGCGGAGUUGGGCAUAUUUCUCGAAGCGUCUCACCUCAAAGAAGUAGAAGAACUCCUUCACGGUCAAAUCCAACUUGAAGAAGCAGCUCAAAUUUUCAAAGCAGAUGACCGCCCGAUAAACAUUCGGAGUACACUGACUCGGGGCACAUUCCAUGGCGCAGAACACCUCCCUGAAAAAUUUCGACAACGGAAACGUGAAACCCAGCGAGAAAUAGAAUGGGCGGAACGUGAUAAUCCUGGCGCCUGGAUUGUUCGGGUCCACACGAGGUAUACUGUCAGAUGAGGGCUCUGCCAACUUGACAUGCACAUCCUUGGGUAUAGCAGAGUCGAAAAGGGCACGCCACGUUUUGAACUGGGCCUCGUUGGUGACACGGUGCAAAUUGGCCACAAACUUCUCUUUGGGAACUUGAGAACCGCCCCACAGGUACAAAGGCACUCUUGAGUUUGGUGAUCGGCUCUUUCCUUCAGAAGACAUGGUCGUUGAGCAGCUGCAAAAAGAAAAAAAAUUUCUACAUGUUAGAAUGCCAAAAAAAAUAAUAAUAAUAAAAAAUAAAUAAAUAAAAAACAGAAAGCAGCCCAGCUCGCAGCCCAGCACGGACGCCCAGAUGACUAGCUCCAGCUCGCAGCCCAGCACGCGUGGCCCAUCACCUUCAGCCCAGAUGACCAGCUCCAGCUCGCAGCCCAGCACGCGUGGCCCAUCGUCUCCAGCCCAGAUCGCGCAGGCCAGCUCCAGCUCUCACCUUGGCCCAAUUCGGACGAAGCCCAGCGCAGGUGGCCCGUCGCCUCCUGCCCAGCAGCGCCUUGGGCUUUCCGCGCGCAGCCCAACCGUGAGCCAGGCCUAACCCUUCCUUGCCUCAGCUGCAGCCAGUUUGCUCCAGCAAGAACCCAUAGCCCUUGGACCUCCAUGCUCGAGCCCAAAAUGUACAGUCCCAAGCCUGCUGACCUCCCUUUCAGCUCCCCACAUCAGCUAGAAGCAUGAGCCAAGCUGCGGGAAAUUGGAACAAAGAAAAAAAAUAUAUAUAUGUAUAUAUAUAACUCAAGUCUAAAUUACCUUGGGUGUGCGAUGAAGACAAGAGCUCAAGAAGAAGAAAAAAAUUCUCCAAAGUUUACUCUCUCUCACUAAUAAAAUCAGAAUGGAUUUUGGAUGUGAAGAAUAAAUUGGAGGAGCCCUACAUUUAUAAGAAUGAAAAUUCCUUGAGCUACAAGGAAUCACAAAUUCUUUCCAACCUGGGAGUUCAUAAAAUUGGCAAGUCAAGCACCUCCUCUACGCGGGAGCCCAAGUCCACGAAGGAAGCCCAGUUACAGCUGGACAGCCCAACGGAUAAUUUACAUCUCCUACAUGCCACCACGCGUCAUGCAGAAGCUGGGGGGCAUUUGUGGGAACCUAAUUAAAUCAAAACCCUAGGUCAAUUAAUUAGGCCAAUCAAUUUGGGAAUUAUUUGACCUAAUUAGGAGUUACCUAACCUAAUUGGGAAUUACCUAAUCAAAUUGGGGGUUACUUGAUCCCCAAUUUAAUUAGGGAUUCGGUUCAUCCAUAAUCCCUAAAUGCACCAACCCCACCAACCACACCAACCACACCAACUACACCAACCACGCCAACCACACCAACUAUACCAACCCCACCUACCUCUCCAAAGGCCACUAUAAAUACAUGGUUACGCACAAGGAUGAGGUACGUCUAAAUUCCUACUCAAACUCUGCAUAAAUUAUUUCUCAGAGACCCUAGCCACCUCCUCUCUUUCUCUCUCUCACACAAGGCUCCGGCCACCACACACGGCUCCGGCCACCCGGUUUUCCUUGAAUUCCCUUACCUAACUUAGGCAUCGGAGGGCCUUUGGCCAACACCCCCCGGGUGUGGUCCUUUUACUCCGAUCUGUUUUGCAGGGAGAAAGAGAGGCGGAGAAGACGAAGGAAUCUUGGGCGAAUAUUCUCCCGUGAGAUUAUUUGCACAAACAUAUAUAUAUAUAUAUAAAGAUUGAAUUAGGUUCCUCAGUGGACCAAUUUUAGAGCUUUAGGAAUUCAAAGGUCAUGAAGGGCACCCUCAUGUCAUGUCAAUAGAUCAAAGGUUUAAGCCUAGGCUACCAAUUCGAGCCAGGAUUUCCAGAGGAUUACAGGCAUGUGACGGAGGCCUCACAAGGAAAGUAAUCAAGAAGUUUGAUGAUGACUUCGAAUGUUCCAAAGUAAGGAAGAAUCAAGCAUGGCAGAAUAUUUCAAUCAAUGCAAUCCCACAAAUUUAGAGGGGCUUCGCAAGGAAAGAUUUUUAAAAGAGUUGACAUUCGACCAUUCAAUGGCCAGCCCUGACGAGUGCCCUAUAUAAACCUUGCUCAACAAAGGCAAAGGACACACAACAUCAGACAGACAAACCUAACUUUCGUAUCGCACUUUACUUUUCUUAGACUGAGGAUUUUAUUUUUCAAGCACCUAGUGUAGCGAGUUCUUCAUUUUUCUAGUGUAAGUUUCAAUUCUUGUUCAAUUUAUAAUUUCUUAUAAUUUAGAUUCAAGUUUAUUUCCAUUGCUUUGCUUUUCAUUGUUAUCGCACUUCAAUUAAGUUUAAUUUCAAGUUUAUUUUAUUUUAUCGUUCUUAUUGUUCUUAUCGCUUUUAUUUCUGUUCUUGCUUUAUUUAUCGUUUUGAUUUAUUUUAUUGCACUUUAAUUCUCGUCUUUACGUUUAUAUGCACGUUUAAUUUUAUUGCACUAUUUUUACUUAAAAACCUAAAAAUCACAAAAACAUUCGUAUAAAGCCUAACCAUCCUCGAGUUCGAGGAAGUGAAAGAACCUAGGCCAAGAAAAGGUUCCUUGCUUGGCCGAUCAAUCGUUUGAUCAAAAGUUAGAAGCACAACAGAUCCAUCUACUCACAUUCAAUUCAAGCCCAAAUUCGGGGCUUAGGGGUAGCGUGCCCCGCAUUCAAAAGAAGAAGGACCAAACUCCUUCAAUCGGCCUACCCGGCAGAAAAGAGGGAAACAUAAUUUGGCAUGCCCUGUGGCACCACUAGGUUUUGUAUGGUCAUAAACACUAGGGAGAAUCCUAGAAGAGAUCAAGAAUUUGAAGAAUCUAGAUUUCAGUCGGAAUAAGAGACAAGUAUGGCUGGUUCACUCCCUAUCAAUACUCAACCACAAAAUGUUAUGACCGCUCAACAAGAGCCAAAUGACCCCGACCGAGCCACUAUUGUCACCACGACAGCGUGUUAGUUAAAGAUGUUACAGAAGUCGCUGGGGGACCAGUCUUAAGGCCUAAUCCGGCCACUUCAUUGGACGUCCAACAAUUCAUUCGGGCUAUGGAAACUAUUUCCCAGACAAUAGCCACUCAAAAUGCUCUGAUCAAUGAUAGGUUUUAUCGAUUGCUAGGCCAACCAAAUGGCCAAAAUGGGAACCAAGUAGCUCCUAAUGGAGUGCCAGCGUCGGGGCCUCAAGCGGAGAGCCAACCAAAUGUCUUUGGAGUGAAUCCGCCCCUACCGAAUCCAUCAGCUAGGGCCAACCCAGCCCCAGCAGUUAAUGUUCCGCCGACGGGCAACAACCCAUAUACGGCGGCCAACUAAUUCCAAGUGUUCUCGCCAUAUAAUCAAUUCCGCCCGCAAGCUCACCAAGGGGCCGGAGCCAAUUUGACUGGGCCUCAUAUCAACCAAUUUGUUGGAGUCGGUGGUUGGAAUAAUCUCAGCGGGAAUGCAAACAACUCGUUGCUAGGGAAUCAAGCAAUCGAUUGAGGUGUGGUUAAACAAAUUAUUCAAGAUAUGGUGCCCCAUGCUAGGAGUAUUGGUAGGCCAGUCUACCGGAGGCCAUAUUCGGAGCACUUUGAUCAAGAGGAAUUUCCAAAGGGUUUCAAGGUUCCGGAUUUUGCACCAUUUUCGGGAGAUGGGCUCUAGUUGACCAUUGAACACAUUGGCUGAUUCACAACCUAAUGUGCAGAGAUUGGGCAUCGCGAGGCCUUGAAACUAAGGCUAUUUUCGAGAACCCUUACGGGGCAGCUUUCUCAUGGUAUGUUAAGCUUCAGCAGAACUCCAUCCCGAAUUGGCAAGUUUUGGAGCAAGUCUUCCACGAGCAAUUCUAUCGACCAGAGCUGAAAGUCUCAAUGGCCGACUUAUCUAAGAUAAGCCAGAAGCUAAGUGAGUCGGUCCAAGAAUAUUUGGGGCAAUUUAGAGAGGUAAGGGCUAGGUGUACGGUCAAUAUGCUGGAGCACGAGUUGGCAAAGUUGGCCUAAGGAGGAUUGUUGCUUGACCUCAGAAAGAAAUUCGGAGAAAUUGAGUUACGCGACAUUUGUGAUCUCCUACUUCGGGUGGACCGAUACGAAGCUCUCCUAAAAUAGGAGCAACAGGAAGGGCGGUCGUCACCUUGGCCGACCUUUUAUAGGGAUUCAACCAAACCUUCUAGGCCUAGAACUACGGUGGUCCACGCGGUGGACAUUGAAGAUAUAGACCUAGAAGAAAGAGGUUUACUUAGAAGAGGAAGAAGAGUCGGCCGGGGUAAACUUGGCAGAGAUUGUGGCCAAAGGGCUAUAUGUGUGCAAGGCUUUGUCUAAAGCCUCUAAGGAUCAAAGGCCGACAACGGCCUAAGUUUCAAAGUUUAGUGGAACCUCCCAAAAGGCGGUCGUGACAAAGUCCUACACGUUUGAUAUUUCUAAAGCCGUUUCGACCAACUUUUGAAAGAAAAGAUCAUAAAAUUGUCUAAUGAUCAUGAUAUUAAGUCAACUAAUGAACUUAGAAAUAAAACUUAUUGCAAGUUUCACAAUGCGUGGUCUCAUACGACUAACAGUUGCCUUGUUUUUCAAAAUGCCGUGUAGGAUCUCAUCGAUCGAAAGAUUUUGAAAUUUUCGGAGAAAUCUACAAUGGGGGUCAACCAGAAUCCUUUCCCAAAUGCUCAAGUCAACAUGGUGAACACCAACAUCCCAAGGCCAGACCAACCUAGGCCAAGGUUGGACUUGGGUGGCUCGGCUAAGGUCGCGGUCGAAAGAAGGGCAAGGGAGAGUCCGACGGACCCUAAGGCAAAGGGCAAGGCCAAAAUGUACCCUGAAUGAGCCAAGGUUCCAAAGACAAAAGUUUCAACCAAGGAAAAACCUCAGAAGGCGAUUGUACUAUGCAGUCAAUGCCAAUACGAGGUAACUCUCGAGGUGGUUCAUCCAAAACCCAAGGAGCUAACCAAGGAACCUGCCAAAGAACCUACCAAGGGACUGAUUAAGGAGCAAACCAAGAACUAAGUCCUAGUGGGCAAACCUAGGAGUUUCGAAAAGAGUAUGAUAAUAAGUUCGGCUAAGAAUUACUGCCCACACAGCCCAAGGGGAGAGAUGGAGGAGAGGCCGAACAAACGGCUAUUACAUGAGUGCCAAGAUAGGUAUGAGAGGCCUCAAUACUAGCCUCAGAGGAGAAGCCAACAUGCCCCUCUAAGGUAUGAAGACAUUGAUUCACCAAGCCAAAAUCGAAGCAUGUGGAUCUCAGUGGCGAGGGCAAAAGCUGAGAUGUGGCAUAUGUAUCAAGACCCUGCCCAGCGGACAGAAGUGGUGUUCCAACUUUCAAGGUACCAAACACUAAGGCGGGCCAAUGGUAUAAAAGCAGGAGUCCAAAACUCCCCCCAGUAGCUUUGAGCAAGACUCAAACGAGAAAGGCCGAAAGGCAAUAUGCCACAACCUGCAAGGCAGAGUUAGAAUGGGUGGACAAGAGGCAAGCUCAACUUGAUCAAUUGAUUGAGCUUCGAGAAAAGCUUCGACUGGAGGAAUUGGAGCUGGCCAAGGCUGAUGCCGUGGCUUCCUUGGAGGCAGCAAUGGCCAAGGAAAUAAAAAUACAACAAGAAUGGGUGAAUGGCCGAGUCGUAGUAACGGCCCCAGAAUAGCCAAUUUUGAAAUUUGAGGCACAUUUGACUGGGGCUUUUGAGGCAAGUAACUCCAAGGUUGAAGCUAGUGAUCCAACCAAGAUGAGAGGAGAUAAAAAUUUAAAGGCUGAAAAGGCAAGGGCGGCUUAAACCAAAAGCAAGCCUUCGGUCGCCAAGGCCCCGGCCGUGAUUAAAGUGGCUCAACCCACCAAGGUUGAGAAGACAGAAGAGUUAAAGGACCAAAACAUGGUCCAAGAAGCUGGGGAUGAGCCCCAUAAGAUAUUAUGCGAGCCUAGGGUGGAAGAAGACCAAGUCAUGAUCGACGCCGAAACCAAUAUAGUAGAAACAAAGGCCGAGCACAUGAGCCAUUGGAAAAUCUCGAAAGUUCGGCGGCCGAAGAUGAAGAUCUCUGCGGGGAUGAUGAGGAGUAUGCUGAUGACGAGUACCUAGAGGAUUUGCCAGAGGAGGUUAUGAAACAUUUAGAGAAAGAAUACAAGGAAGAGAUGGUCAAGUUUGAGAAUGAACUAAAAGUGGGCAAGGCCAAAGUGAAGUUUGGAGAUUUUGAUGAGGUGAACGUCAUGGUGGUCACACUCCCACUAUUUUUCGAGGCUCGCCCGGAUCAACCCAACUAUAUGAAGGGAGAUGUUUUCGACAAGGUUGGGUCCAUGGUCCAGAUGAAUGAGGCCAAAGAAAUUGAGGUGGCCCAAGAAAUUCCAAAGGAAGGGAAUGCCCAACCUUGCAUUGUGGAGCCUAAAGCGGAGGAGAAAUUGCCGGAGAAAGUGUGCUAUGAGAUGCUCAUUAAGAAAAUAUCCUCCUGCCUUAAGCCUUUGUAUGUGGGAGCUCAUUUUGAUGGUGUUCCGGUAAGCAAAGUCCUUUUAGAUAUGGGGGCUACUGUUAACAUCCUCCCGGCCUCAAUCAUGAGAAAAUUGAAAAAAGGCUCAGAUGAACUAAUUCCGAUCGAGACAGCGGUCAGUGAGUUUGUUGGAGACACCACGACUUCAAAGGAGAUUAUCCAUAAAAGCUAAAUUAUGUAAUUGAGCUUGUAGUUGUAAUUCAUAGGCCCAACCCAACCCAAAAGUAGUUUGUUUUGGUUCAUGGAAAACAAGUGGCAGCAUUGUUUAAAAAUGCAGUUUGAUUUCUAUUAAUCUAAUUAGGAAACACAACUACAAGCUCAAUUCCGUCAUUUAGCUUUUAUGAACAAAUCGAAGCCCACAUGAAAUUGGGCUGGGCUGGGCUGGGCCUACGCAUUACGAAGCUAGAGUUAUGCAAAUAUCAUCAGGAUGGACUGGGCACCAGUAGCAGCAGUAAACAAGGAACAAAACGAGGACAAGAUGAGGAAGUUUGUAAACAAGGUCUUUUGGUUAAGACCAACCAAAAGUGGGUAAUCUUCUACCAUGUAUGAAUGAUUGUAGGAAAAGAAAAAGAGUGCUAGUGUAUUUUUAAAAUAUUUGAUUAUCUACACAAGGCUACAACUACAACGAUGCAUUUUCCCUCUCACUUUUAACAGCAAAGUUUGCUUCAAACUCUGAAAGUUCCAUUCAGCUGUCCAUAAAUACCAAGAUAACUCUCCACCUCAAUGAAAAAUCACUCAAAACACAACCAAAAAUAAAAUACUCAAGAUAGGCAUUAGUCCAGCACAUAGAUCUCCGAGAGGCAAUAUCUUGGACCAACCAAUCAAAUCCCUCGAGCAGUCCAUCUCCCGUGUAUGCACUGCAGCGAACAAUUUCAUAAUGGCGAGUUUUAUCCAUCGCCUCCAAGUUCAAAACCUAGACGGAAGUAUAAUAGAUAACUGUUUCAGAAACUCUGAAUUUUAAAGGAAUGCUCAUCUUUAUCUGUAUAUAAAUUGUUUCGAACAUGUACCAAAACUCCUUGAAAGAUUUCACAUAACAUUGUUGCAUAUAAACUCCACGGACAUGACAAGUAAAACCCAUGCCGUUGUUGCAUUUGUCAUCCAGACAAUAAGACAAGUGAAUAAACAAUCUAAAGCAACAGAACAAGACAACGAAUAAAGCUGUCUAUGGGCAAUGGGUAAUCAAAUCAUGCAAAACAAAACCAGGGCCCCAUUCACAAAUUAAUCCUUCGUGUAUAUACAAGCUGACCCAGAGCCUUACCUUAGCAAUUUCUUCUGGAGUAAGGGCACCUUUUAUGUCCUGUUUAUUUGCUAGUAUCAAGGAUGAUCCAGAUAGCCUCUGUCAUAUCAUCAAAACAAGUCAGCUUCUUUAGAACAUUUGACCAAAAUAAUGGUCAUAACUCACAAGCACAACGAUUACUCCUCAAAGCAUUUCCUAGGUCUUAUCAUGUCGAUAUUCGUUUCAGGAUUCCAGACCAGCAACAUUAUAAGUUAUUUAAGAGGAUGUGAUUGCUUAUCCAAAAUUUCAAGUGAUGCAUCUCAAUUACAUAAUUAAUCAGUUCACAGCCAGCAAAAGUUAAAACAGUUAUACACUCAUACAAGACUCGAGAAAAUGCAGCAUGAGUUGAUACACUCAGAACAUGCUCGCAUACUAGAUAUCCUAAUAGUUGGAACUGCAUAUGAGCAUAUAAAUCGUAUCGUACAUUAAAAGAGGUAUAUGAAUAACGAGAAAUCCAAAUGGGUUAUUUUACACUAGGUACAAAAACAAAAAGAGCGAGUAUAUAAUGAAGUAAUAAGCGAAAAUACCUCUUCCUUCAAAAGAUUAUCAAGUUCCAUUUUGCAGUCAUCUAACCUUCUAAGAUCUGAACUGUCAACUACCCAUACUAGGCCAUCAGUUUGCUCAAAAUAGUUUCUCCAGUAAGAUCUUAUUGUUUUCUGUCCCCCGACAUCCCAUAUAUUAAGGGUAUACCUGCCAAGAUCAAAUUACAAGCAUUUAAAGUUUCCAUAUCAUAAUAAACAAAGUAUGAAACUUCAAAACCACAUUGGUGCCAGAGUUUUUUAUGGUCUAUAAACGAAUCAAUGAAAUAAACAGUUGUCAAUAAUCUGGGACAACAAUCCCCAAAUUGAGAAAAUAAACACCCAAUCUCCUUAAUAGGAGCCCCAAGCAUUCCAACUACCUCUAUAUAUGAUUAACCCACAAACUAUUUUCAUAACACUUUGGUACAAACAAUUACAAAUGUAAAAAAAAUAUCAUGAUUUGGGGUUAAGCGUAGUUCACUUACUUUUGGUAAGUGAUGGUCUUGAUGUUGAAGCCAAGUGUGGGACUGACAACACUGGUGUCCUCUCCAUUAAUCCUGAGCACAAUGGUAGUCUUGCCGGAAUUGUCAAGCCCACUUCACAAACAAAACAAAACAAACAAACGAACAAACGAUUACUUAAUUCUCAUAUCAUACGAGUGAACAAAAGGCAAGAGAGGGAGAGAUGAAGUUUCACUUACACCAUGAGUAUACGAAUUUCUUUUUCCUUCCUUUCAAUUUUUCAAAUGAAGCUGAGAAGCCCCAUUUGUUCCCUCCCAAAAAUAAUCAGAUUGAGCUUCUCCCCAAUAGAGCUUCAGAUGAUUCGAUGAAAGUCGGGAUUGAGGAUUGUAAUUUGUAAAUCAGGGCUAUUAAUUUUAAAGAAAAUUGAAUUGACAACCAGGGUAAUAUGGCAGUACAAAUUUAUGGCCUGUCUUCUUGUUUUGCUGGCGGCUUUUGCGCCUUUUAAUGAAGUAUUUUCAGACCAAAAAAUAAAACAAAACAAACUACGAGUUAGCUCAGCUCAGGGCAUACUCAUCUUCUAAUCUAAAAGACUCCAGGAUCCAAAGCAGCCCGGUUUUCCUCAAGGGACUAAAUGCAACUCCAGCGGUUGCCUUUGCCUGGGCAGAGGGGCCCAAGCCCUGUUUUUCCCUUCCAGCGGGCCUAAGCUGCCCCGGCAGAAGCUGGGUCGCACAAAACUAGAUCAGCUCAAAGGCAAAACGAUCUCGCGCUCUAGUUUAGGUUUGCUAACGUCAGUAAUAAUAAAAAAUUUAUUUAAAAAAAAAACUAAAAAUUUCAGAAUUUUUUUUAGUCAUAUUCUUCACUUCCUACACAAAAACUUUAUACAAAUUCAUCUCCUCAUAUCUAAUGUGAAUAAUGAUUGUCAUGGUAAUAGGUGGAAACACCACAAGUCUUUUGCAAAUGCUGCUACUAUUCACGUAAAUAGUAAUAACCGUUGCCUUUUACUAUAACAAAUGAGUGGAAGUGCUUUGAGACAUCCACGAAUUGGGCCUAGCCCUCACUUGGUUAUUUCUUUAACUUCUCUUCUCUUUAAAUAGCUGUUUUUUUUAAAAAUAAAAUAAAACACCGUUUCGCAGUUGGAUACUUAACUUUGUCCAGUAAAUGAGGUGCUUGAUUGAAUUGAAAUAGAUUGUAAUCAUGCCACAAAACAAAACAAAAUCUUCAACAUUAAUACUAAUUUCAUGCUAAUUUAAAUAUGAUAUUAACUAAAAACAAUACCUCAAUUAAAAAAAUUAAAAACUUAAACAUUAUACAAUCGAACUAAACAAAACAAAACACUUUAAGUAAAAAAAAAAACUAUGUACAUAUUUAUAUUUACUUUCAUUUCCCAAUUAGGUCCUUAAACAUAAUAAAGCUCAUAAUAUGAGAGUGAGACAUGUAUUAUAAUUAGGUCCUUACACAUGUAUUAAACAUAAUACAGCUUAAUAAAUUGUUGUCAAUAUUCUCUUCAACUUGUACUCUUCUAAAUUAUAAGAACAAAACAGUCUAUGAGUUAAAAGCUGUAUAUAUACAUCCUCAAGUGGCAGAACCCAAAUUCGUAAUUCUCUACAGAUUAAAAUAGAGCAUCCCUCUGUAUAGUUCCUUUUCAUGAUUUGUUUUGGUUCAUGGAAACACAAGUGGCAGCAUUGUUUAAAAAGGCAGUUUGAUUUGUAUUAAUCUAAUUAGGAAAUUAAAGUUUUCUAAGGAAAAAAAAUCGGAGCUUUCAUCUAAUAUAUUCAAUAUGAUAAGUGAUGGGUUUGUUCAGCACUUCAGCUUAGCCAAUUGAAUGGAGAUAGAGACUAAAGAAAGCUUAUUCACAACACAAGGCAAAUAUUAGCAAAUGAAGACCCUGAAAUCUGACCAGAAGUGUAUACAAACAAGAACUUUUCAUUAGAACAUGAAUUUGGCAGAUGAAAACAAUUAAAAACAGAGAAAAUUUAUCCACAAAAAACAAUUAAAAAAUCUGCAGAAUUUCUGCAUAACAUCAAAAUCAGAGAGAGUGAGUGAGAGAGAGAGAGAGAGAGAGAGAGAGAGAGAGAAAGAUGAAGAAUACCUCAGAGAGUGGCAGAACUGCUACUGGAAGCUGCAACCUGCUCCAUAAAUUUCCUGCUGAUCUGCACGAACUGCUGCUAAUCAAACCUAAAUCAAUUUGAUAAAUUUCUAGGGCUGUCAUUUUAUUUUAAUCAAACCUCAAUCAAUUUGAAUCAAUUUGAUAAAUUUCUAGGGCUGCCAUUUUAUUUUAAUCAAACCUAAAUCAAUUUGAAAAACACCCUAAAUCAAUUUGAACCCCAACCCUAAAUCAAUUUGAAAAACACCCUGUGCAAACAACAGACAAUAACAAAGCUAAGAACCACAAGCCAGCUAGGUGGAGAAAUAAUCUAAACUUGAUAGCAUAACAAAGAAACUCAAAUUCUCAAAUAGUUUAUGGAGAAUCAUAUCUGACAGAGAGAGAGAGAGAGCUAAAUAAAAUGAAGAGGUGGCUGCGAACUGCUGAGCUGAAUCUGCGAAUUGCAGACAGAUAGAGUUAGCCAGAGAUUCGAAGGGGGAAAAGAAAAAAGAGAGGAAAAAAAAAAAGAAGAAGAGACAAUCUCGCGAUUGAGAGAGGUGGCGGCUUAGAGAGAAGCGGAGGCUGAGAGAGACGAUGGCUGACAGAGGCGUGGUUGACAGAGAGGUUUGCCUGAGGAGGUUUUGAGCAGAGAGGAUUGGCCCCAGUGCCGGCCCUGAGGGCGGGCAAGGAGGGCAAUGGCCAUGGGCCUCGCAUUUGUAGGGCCCAAUUUAUAUAUAUAUAUAUUAUAUAUGUAACAAAUUGAAGAAUAUGAUUUUAGAGGAGAAUAAUUUCAAUAGUUUGGCAUUUGGAGGCCCUAAAUAUGAUUACAAGUGUUUCUAAAGAGUCCAAAUGAAAAUUAUAUAAUAUACAAACAUCAAUUGCAUGUAUUUAAGUAUUUAAUUGCCAAAAAGUAUUUAAUUGCUAAAAGUAGUAAUCAAUGAAAGAAAGCCAAUAGGGACUAGAAAUUUCUUUUCUUUAUCCAAAAAUUCUUGUUAUUAGAUUAUUUAGUGAGGAAAUAUGAAAGAGUGCAAAUUAUUUGUAUCCUCAUUCUUAUUUAUUUUCAGAUUGGGGCAAUGAUUAUAUGACCAAUACUAGAGCCGUGUUUAUUUAUCCAUAUUGUAUUUAAUUGCAUAAUUUUUUUUCCAUGUUAGUUUAUUAUAUUCCGGAGAAUGAAGGAGAAAUGGGCCUCGUUUUCAUUUCUAGCCUAUAGCCACCCAAAAGUCAGGGCCGGCCCUGAUUGGCGCAGACAGAGCCUCUAUUAGAGAGGAUGAGAGAGAGGAAGGCUGAGCGAGAGGUUUGGCUGAGAGAGAUGAUGGCUAAGAGAGGUUUGGCACAGACAAAGCCUCUAUCAAAGAGGUUUCGGCGGCUAAGGAGAGACGAACGAAAUUGGAGGAGGAAAGAAGAAAGGAAAACCUAAUUGGGUUAUAAGUUUUGUGUUGAUCGUGUGCAUGCACGCCUAUAGUAACGUCAUAUACAACCAAUAAAAACAGCCAUGUGUAAAAUAUAUAUAAUAUAAAAAUUAAUUAUAUUUGGACUGGUUCUGUGUGUUGGAAAAUUGAGACCGAAACCGAUCUAAACUGGUUCGGUUUGGAUUUUUUUUCGAUUUCUGACUUUUUCAGUCAACACGGUUUUUCUCGGAUUUUUUCGAUUUGAUUUUGCAGUUUUGCAGUUCCAAUGCCCACCCCUAGUGAGGGGCUUUAGAUAAGGCCCUAUCCCUAACUCUUUGUUCAAACUAACCAAUUUGAGCCAACGGCUAGUCAAUUUGAUCAAACAGUUAGGGUUUAGAGCCUUCCAAAAAUCCUAAUAAACUCCUUGAGAUGUUAUCUUCCUCUUUUAAGCUUUAAAAUAUAAUUUUGAAUUAUAUAAAAAUUCAAAUAAUUUAUCAAACUCGAUAUAUGUUUAAGAUCAUUACUCUUCCUCCAAUUUUUACUUCAAAUUUUCUAAGGUAAAAUUUGAAUUUUUAAGCAUCGUAGUCGAAGAUAAUGUCGCAAAGAAUCUAUAUAAAUUUUCAGUGUAUUUUUAUAAUUCUUAAUUAUUUUUUAUGAUUUUUUAAAUCAAACACACAAAAAUAAGAUUUUAAUGACACGUGACGCUAUAGGAUACAAAACUUUGACGACGCAAUAUUCAAACGUUGCCCAUCAUUGGGUUUGGAUGUUUAACAAAAAAAAAAAAGACUCAUUGGGUUUGGGUAAAUAAAAAAUUUGUUGUAAGUGCGAAAUGUGGGAGAAUGGAAGAUGCCUUCACGUGGGCUCGUGUCUUCUUAUUUUUUUCUUUUCUCUUUCUUGCAGGGCCUGCUCUCUUGGGUGCUAGUUUCUUCACAUGAGAUAUUUCCUUUUUAAUAUGAAAAGAUUUAAAAUCAUUUACCCAAAAAAAUUACACUAAAAAAUAUAAUUUGGAAAUUAUUAUAGAUUUUUAAAUUAAUUUUGAAGUAAAAAGAAAUCAAUAAUUGCCAAAGUUGCCAGGUGUCUGUGUCCCUAGGUGACCCUUGGAGCUAGAAUCGUAGCUAGGCUCUCACGUAAGGACACAUGUCACAAUUAGCGGCUCAUCCCUAAAUUGCAAUUAUAUUCCGAAAUUUUUGCAAAUUUGUUAUAAUUAAUAUGAACAAGGAGUAUACAAAUUUGUACGUACUAUUAAGGAUGAAUACUUCGUAUCUGAAGUGAAAUGGCUGGCUGGCUUGUCUCAACUAUAUCAAUAGAAGAUUGGGGAAAUAAAAUAAACUAAUUUUUCAUAUAAACAUUAUAAAAUAAUAAAAUAAAAAUAAAAAACAAUAAAAGAGUGUAGCACAGCUUCCUGCCAAAAUUUGGUUGUUAUCGGGUCAUGGUGCACAUAAGUGUUGAUUGGAAAAACAAAUUAAUCAUGAAAGCGCUUCCUAAUGCAUCCAGACGUUGUCUGACGUUUUACUAGUGGUCAGUUCAUCUUUGGGGUUGAUCAACACAUCUUUACAAACAUUGCAUAUAAAAAGACUCAUGUUUGAAGUUUAAUUUGUUGUUGCGUUUUAAUUUGGUUGAGUUUAAUCUGUUAUUCAUAUUCUUUUAUGUUGUUGCUUUUGUGUUGUGUUGUGUUAUAGACGGGGUCUAGCCACUCUAACACACCUAAUGCCUCUAAUCGGAGAGCCUUCGGCAAUCACCACACCAGUGUCCGAAGUUUGACGACUGCUUCUCAUUCCUUGUCUUCUGCUGGUUCUUCCAACCCCGAAGGUCCUCACCCUUUUCCCUGCUGAAGACUCUACACUUCUCUCUAAGUUGACCAUCCGAAAAAGAACAUCAACAUGAUCAUUUUUUAGAGCCCAUGGGUAGAACCUUCCCCUAAACAUCAACUUGUAACAAAAGGUGUCCAAGAACUCUUAAACCACUCUAGGAGGGAAAAUACAUGGAAGAAAUGAGAGACGAAAGAAUAGACGACAAGUGCAGUGCGUGAAACAGAGACGAAAGAACAACUUCGUAAGAAGGAGGAAAGAACCAAAGCCCAGCAGGAGGAGGCUGAACUUCUGGCCUAGAAAUUGGCCGAGAGACUUAGUGAAAGUGAGCAACUGCGCGAGUUUUACCUGGAGCAGAUAUGAGAGCGAGCUUCUAAGGAUUUCAGGAGCCGCAAGUAUUGGGUUAAUAAUUGCUGAAAUGAUCAAGUUUUUUAUUGAGUGUGGCUAGAUAGGGGAUGCUGAUGUCCUAAAUUUGGGUACUUUGCAAUUAGUAUGGGUGUAAAUUGGUAUGCCAAACUGUAGGUCAGAGAUUUCUAGUGGAAAGUAUCUCCUACCCCCUUGUCCCCAAAAUUGGUAUACCACACACGGCUCCGCUCACCCGGUUUUCCUUGAAUUACCCUACCUAACUUAGGCAUCGGAGGGCCUUUGGCCCACACCCCUCGGGUGUGGUCCUUUUACUCCGAUCUGUUUUGCAGGGAGAAAGAGAGGCGGAGAAGACGAAGGAAUCUUGGGCGAAUAUUCGCGUGGGGAAAUUUGCUCCCACAAAUUGGUGCUUUCAUUGAGAGCGCGAGAUAUAUUCAAAGCGUGCUCCAAAUCCAUCUUUCACACAUUUUUUCAAACAACCAUGGUUGAUACAAGAUGUACGAAGAGUAACGCCACCACGAUGGGCCCAUCUCAUGGUUUCGUGGUGGAAACCUCAAUGCAACAGCACGGAAUCGUGGCUGCCAACGCCUUGCAAUCGUCCUCUAGUGCUUUGCAGCCGCCUUCAGCUGCUGGAAUUGCAGAACAGCCGCCACAUGACCCUGGGACCUCCACAGCCUUGCAGUUGCCUGCGCCGAUUACCGGAGCUGCUCUGCCUUACUGUCCUACUGUCGGAGCACAGCAGCAGCCACACCACUCAACUACCGGAUUUGCUGCGCAGCCCCAUGGCUACUUCGACGUCGUCCUAGUCUUGGAACAGAUCCAUUCUCUCCCUCCUCUGCGAUCACACUUGACAUAUGCACAUGUGUAUGCGUCUAAUGGAGCCCUAGCCCAUGUGCCGUUGGGCCCGAUGCACAACACUCUACUUGACCCGCGCAAUCAGGUGGACCUUAACUCACGGGUCGAUCAACUCACACAGAAGGUCGAUGAUCAGAACAACCUGAUCGGCCAGCUACUCAGGCAGAUCAACUUGAAUCAAGGCCCAAACCUUGGACCCAGUGACGAGGAGAGGAGCGCACCCCAGCACGUCGGCGAGCAGUUCGAGAGGUCCCAGGCUGGUCAAACAAGGGCAAACAGGCAGAGGAGAGGUCGAGAUCGAGCAGAUGAGAUACAGACAGCCGCGAGCCGUACUCUGAGCCGUUCGAGGCUCGGACCAAGGACCAAUGUGCUCGAGAGGCUAGGCCCACAGUCUAAUGUCCACGCCCGCUUCGGCCCACAAGGAGCUCGAGUUCGUGAGCAGUUGCGUGACGAGCGCAACGACCGACGCCCACCGACCCGCUCGAGGGCCAACGCGCGGUGGCAAGCUGUAGAAGAAUCCUCACAAGCUCAAUCUCCUAAUCUGCCCCACGGGCAGGGCACCCAAGGGGAUCGACCCUUGGGAACCGAGGAAGGAGUUAGCUAGACACGCUCGAGACACCAAAGACGUCGACCUGAGCGACCCUCCUUGCGGGCAGAAGAUGAUGAUCGACGCCCACUAACCUGCUCGAGGACCAACACGCGGCGACAAGAUGUAGAGGAAUCCUCACAAGCUCAAUCUCCUAAUCUGCCCUACGGGCAGAACGCCCAAGGGGAUCGACCCUUGGGAACCGAGGAAGAAGUUAGCCAGUCGCGCUCGAGGCGCCGAAGACGUCGGCCCGAGACUCCAAUCCUGCGAGCAGAGGACGUCGAUAAGCUAGUGAAUGACCGACUCCAAGCUCUCCAACUUAAAGGAAGCACGAAAGAAGCCCUGCACAAGGAAAUUGAUCGAGUUGACUGCUCGCCCUUUACCGACAAAGUGGAACGAGCUCCUUCACCGAAGCGGUUCACAACGCCAUCCAUCACUCCAUUCAAGGGAGACUCUGACCCUGAAAGCCAUUUGAGGCACUUCAAGAGCGCCAUGAUCCUGUACAAGGCAGACGAUGCCCUGAUGUGCAAAGUGUUCGCGAUGACCCUGCGAGGAGCAGCUCAAGACUCGUUCCACACUCUACCGUCCGCGUCGAUAGGAAACUUCAAGGAGUUGGCCCUCAUCUUCACAAAGGAGUACACCUCCUACAAGACUGUCAGAAAGCAUGCAGACCAUCUGUUCAACCUGCGCAAGAAGCCAGAUGAGUCUCUACGAGACUACCUAAGACGGUUUAAGGCUGAGAAGGCAAACAUCAUAGGAUGCAAUGACCAAGUUGCAUCCUCAGCUUUCAAGAAGGGCUUGCCAAUCGAGCACGAGUUAUACCGGGAGCUGGCCAUAACACCAAGUCAAACCUUGGCAGAAGUGUUCGCGACGGCAGAACGCUACGCACUUUGGGACGAUGAUCGAAUCGCCGCAAAGAAAGCCAGCAAGCAAGUUGAUCAACCGACGAAGCAGGCAAGCCAAAAGAGCAACCAGUUCGAGCAAAAAGCCCGAGAUAAGCGCAGAUCGCGGCCCCGAGAGGGAAGCUCAGAAAUGGGGACCUUCACUGAGUUCGCUAUCCCAACUCAUCAGAUCCUGGCUCAAGUGAAGGACAAGCCGUGGGUGAGGAGACCACCACCCAUGAAGGGAGACCCCUCCAAGAGGGACACCAGUAAAUACUGCGCAUUCCACGGGGAGCACAGACAUUACACCAACAACUGCAAUGCUUGGAAAAGGCAUCUUGAGGAGCUAGUCAGAGAAGGUCAUUGCACAGAAUUCGUCGCAAAGAAGGUCAUCCAACAGAUCAAGGAUCGUGAUGCGGCUGCCAAGGAACCUCCCCAAAAGGUCAUUCGAAUCAACACCAUUUUAGCUGACUCUCGGGAGUCCGGGCUGACCACCAAGGAGUGCAAGAGGAAGAUCGCGCAGGCGACUUAUGUCUCCCAAGUCACAACAGGAGUACCAGUCAUUGUGGAUACACCCAUCAUUGGUUUCCAGAAGAAGGACUUGAUCGGGCUUGACCUACCGCAUAAUGACGCGCUAAUCAUCUGCAUUCAGAUUGAACAAGCUGUGAUCGAGCGAAUUCAUGUGGAUGAGGGCAGCGCAGCUAACAUCCUGCAACUAUCUGUCAUCCAACAGAUGGGAUUGGAGCCCAAGAUUAGCAAACUUGCCAAGUCGCUUACCGGCUUCAAUGGGGCCACAUCAAUCACUGUUGGAACGAUCGACCUGGACGUCCACUCACCCCCAGUGCUCUGUUCGCAAACCUUCAUGGUCAUCAACGAGAUCUCCCCCUACAAUGGAAUCUUAGGCCAACCAUGGAUCAGCAAGAUCGAGGCCAUCACAUCUGCUCUACACCAGAAGAUUCGAUACCCCAUCCCUAGAGGCGGAGUCGAGCAGAUCAAUAGUGACCAAGCCAUGGCAAGAAGAUGCACAGCUCAAGGGCUCAAGAAGAGCAAGCAGUUGCAGUUCACACCAGUAAUGCAAGCUGCUAACGAGGCACGGAGCUCUCCCAGCAAACAAGCAAGCUCGAGCGAGAAGGGAGCUGUUACCCCACAAUAGCAAUUAAUGAGUCAGGAUCAAGGCGAGGGAAUCCGCCCGGAAGACUCCCCUGAAAAGGGUUUGAAGCCUGAGGAUGACGUCGAGUUAGUACCCCCUGAUCUUGGCCAGCCAGACAAAGAAGCGCAGAUCGGCUCGUGCCAGAAUCCAAACAAGAAGGAUCGAGAGGAGGGAAUCCGCCCGGAAGGCUCCCUUGAAGAAAGUUGGAAGCCUGAGGAAGACGUUGAGUUAGUACCCCUCGAUCCUAAUCAACCAGACAAGAAAGCGAGGAUCGGCUCACGCCUAAGCCCAGACGAGAAGGUGGAGCUGACCAUCUUCCUCCAAAACAACAAAGACAUGUUCGCGUGGUCACCAUCUGACAUGCCCGGCAUCGACCCAAACAUCAUCUGCCACCGCCUCUAUGUUAACCCUGCCAGCAAGCCCGUGGUGCAGAAGAGACGCAACUUCGCUCCCGAGCGAGUCGUGAUCAUUGAAGCUGAGAUUGACAAGCUCCUAGCCGCCGGAUUUAUUGAAGAAGUCUCCUACUCAGAAUGGCUGGCCAACGUCGUUUUGGUGGCAAAACAAGAAAAGGGCAAAUGGAGAGUGUGCGUCGAUUAUACCGACCUCAACAAAGCAUGCCCUAAAGACAACUUCCCAUUGCCGAGGAUCGACCAGCUCGUGGAUUCAACUUCCGACAACCAGCUGCUCAGCUUCAUGGAUGCCUACUCCGGCUAUAAUCAAAUUAUGAUGUACGACGAUGACAAGGCGAAGACCUCUUUCAUCAUCGAGAGAGGGACCUACUGCUACAAGGUCAUGCCCUUUGGGUUGAAGAACGCUGGAGCAACCUACCAAAGGCUCGUGAAUAAGAUUUUCAAAGAGCAGAUCGGCAGAACCAUGGAAGUCUACGUGGAUGAUAUGUUGGUCAAAGCCCCCAAGCGCGGAGACCACCUCAAAAACCUCACCGAGGCAUUCAGCCUGCUCUGCCAAUAUCGCAUGAAGUUGAAUCCAAGUAAAUGCACGUUCGGUGUAUCAUCCGGCCGAUUUUUGGGGUACUUGGUCACACAACGAGGUAUCGAGGCACACCCACGCCAAAUUAAAGCCAUUCUCGAGAUGAAGUCACCUUCCACAGUGAAGGAAAUACAAAGUCUGACAGGCAGAGCAACAGCCCUUAACCGAUUCCUCUCGAAGUCUACCGACAAGUGCAGACCAUUCUUCAAAGCUUUGAAGAAGGGGCAAAAAGACAAGUGGGACGAGGAGUGCGAAGUAGCUUUUCAGAAUCUAAAGACCUACCUCACUUCACCUCCCCUGCUCUCGAAACCAGUUCCUGGUGAAGACUUGUUCAUGUACCUGGCAGUAUCCAACUCGGCCAUCAGCUCAGCUCUCAUACGAGAAGAACUUGGGGGCAGAGGAAGUUGCCCGCAAUCGAUAGUUACCGACAAUGGUACACAGUUCGUGGGCAGGCAGAUCACUGCAUUCUUUGCGAAGUAUGGCAUCAAGCAACACCUGUCAACUCCCAGAUACCCGCAAGGCAAUGGCCAAGUAGAGGCAUCCAACAAGAUCGUGCUGGACUGCCUAAAGAAAAGACUGGAAGGUGCAGAAGGAAAAUGGGUCGACGAGCUGCCAGGAGUCCUAUGGGCUUAUCGCACAACCAAAAGGCGAUCGACCGGAGAGACACCGUUUUCCCUGGCCUAUGGGAUGGAGGCAAUCAUUCUCCCACACAUCACAGUCCCUUCCAUGAGCAUUGAGGUGGGCAGUCUUGACCAAAACCGCAGGCAAAUGAGAAUCAACCUUGACCUGCUCGAAGAAGAACGAGAAAAGGCCAUUGUUCGAGUUGCCGCCUACCAACAGCAGUUGACAUCCUACUACAAUAAGAAGGCCAAGAUCAGAAAGUUUCGGCUUGGAGACCUUGUGCUCAGAAAAACUUUCAUCACAUCACCAAGGCAAGGGUCAAAGAAGAUGAAGCCAAAUUGGGAAGGCCCCUACAUGAUCAGCUGAUCUGGGGGCAGAGGAAGUUACACCCUCGACACUCUAGAAGGGAAGGAAAUUCCAAGACAAUGGAAUGCCCACCACCUUCGGAGAUACUAUCUGUGAAGCUCUUCGCUUACCAGCUCGACUCCUAGCAGACGACGAGCCUCCCGUACUUCCAUUGAAGGCAAACUGCUUUCGAUGUUACCUAUGUUAUUAAUUUCCUUUAUUCAAUAAAGCGAUGUAUUCACACCAACAUCAAUACAAGAGCAAGCUUUUCAAUGAAGUACUUUUUUCGAGCUUUAUGUCCCACAAACAUAUACAUGCAGGCGACCAGCCUCACCUCCAUUGCAGACAAGCUGCUCACGGAGCACAAACUCAAUGGAGUAUUUUUUAAGAGCAAUGUCCCCGACAUACGCUCACAGGCGACAAGCCUUACCUCCAUUGCAGACAAGCUGCUCCCAGGAGCACAAACUCAAUGGAGUCUUUUUUAAGAGCUAUGUCCCAAACAUACGCUCACAGGCGACAAGCCUCACCUCCAUUGCAGACAACCUGCUUCUCGGAGCACAAACUCAAUGGAGUCUUUUUCAAGAGCUAUGUCCCCGACAUACGCUCACAGGCGACAAGCCUUACCUCCAUUACAGACAAGCUGCUCCCCGGAGCACAAACUUAAUGGAGUCUUUUUCAAGAGCUAUGUCCCCGACAUACGCUCACAGGCGACAAGCCUUACCUCUAUUGCAGACAAGCUGCUCCCCGGAGCACAAACUCAAUGGAGUCUUUUUCAAGAGCUAUGUCCCCGACAUACGCUCACUGGCGACAAGCCUUCUCUCCAUUGCAGGCAAGCUGUUUCACAAGUACAAACUCAAUGGAGUUUCCUUCAAGUGCUAUAUCCCAACCGGCACAACUUGCUCAACCACCUCGGCUGCCUGCUCCUUCGCAUCCUCCUUAGCCUCAUCAGUUGACCCACCUUGGCGUUUGUCUUCCUCAAUUGCCGCUUCAUUUGCUAUCUGCUCGUCAACUGCUUCUGCAUCCACAACAUCCACCUGCUCACUCUGAGGGGGGGCAGGUCAAGACCAGACUGCUCACCGUCAUCAUCUUCGAGAGGGCAGCAAGGAGAAGCACAUUCUGGCAAUCCAGGUAUCCUAGCUUGUACACAUUAGCAGCAAUCUCUUGCUUGGAUGCCUCCAUGGCUUCCACAUGGGUGUCAAACUUGACCAGCAGUUUGUCACGAUCCUGGGCCAAAGCAGCAUGCUUACGUUCGAGGCAGAAGUAGGCUUCCUUGCGUUCGAGCAGGGUAGCCAUAAGAGACUUGAGUUCACCAUCCUUUUGGCCAACAGAACUCUUGAGCACGAACAUACUCUUCUUUAUCUUGGAAAUCCUCGUGUCAUGGAGAAUCCGCUCAUUCGAGAGCUUGUCAGUUAGGUCGGCAUUCUUCUUCACCAGCUCGUCAAGCAAGGCAGAAGAGGGGGCAACAUCACGCGAGUUCCGCAUGGCCCCAACAGCAAAAACCAUUCCUUUUUGAAGAUGAUACAUGGCAGCUUCUUCUUGCUUAUCCAAGGGAAUGCUCGAGAAAGCACAAAGGUCACCAGCUCGAUACACGUGAUCAACUAGCUUAGCGCAAGCAGACAGACUUGACAUAAAGCCUGUUUUCAAUAGAUCAGACACGGGCUCGCCCUCAGCAGAGCUAUCACCAAUUCCCGGACCGGCAAUUCGUACAUUGGAGGACUCUUCGCUCGAGCAUACGACUCUUUAGCUCUUUUGGCUGCAACAUGCAACAUUGAGUCAGCCUCGCGCUUGACUGUUCAUGGCCCAGCAGAUGAGUCAUGGUUGCUAGGCAGAGGUACAGUCCUCUCAGCUUGAUUCCCAGAUCGGCACAGACGACCUAAAUCUUGCUUUCCAGUGACUUCCUUACAUGGCAGAUCACGGGUCUUAGGCAAUUCGGGCAGAGACUUGAGCAGAAUAUCCCAGACCUUAUGCAUGCUAUUGACUUUCUUGUUGUUCGCGUUGACGAGGCGCUUGAUCUCGACAGAUGAAAAAGGAGCAACUCCCAUGGGGAUCUUCUCAGCACAUUAGACCCCCCUUAAAGAAGACUUGCUCAUGGCAGAAAGAGGAAGUUCAGUUGAGGACUCCACCUGCUCAGCUAGCAGAUCAUCUAGGCCCCUAGCCAUACAGCUUCCAUAUUCCAAUAUCUCGGGCAAGGGGCAGACCACCAACCUCCUUAUGAUAUUUGCUCAGCAACCAACGCCAUUCAAGGAACCUGGUAGGGAUGUUCAGAGCUUGCUGAACCUUGGUCAUGUUCGGGCCGAGAUCGAGUUUCUUGCAUAUGUCAUUCUCUGCAAGCAGAAGAUAGAAGUUAGUCAGAUACAUAACAAAGAAUUCCAUGGCAACUGUAGCAGAUCAAAAGGAUGCAACUUAUCAUCACAGUAGGUGAGAAGAACGAGCGGACCGUCGCCAACCUCCUCUUCCUAUCUGUCGCUGACUUUCAGCACGUUCGUGCUCCGCACAUGAUCACCUUAACUCAUCCUGAUCCUAGUUCGUGGCACAAAAAGAAGAAGGAAUUGAAGCAAUUUGGAUCAGCCACAAAAAAGAUGACCAAACUGCCACAUGCUCCAGCAGCAGAUGGCGCACCUUCAGCCCAGUUACAGCUGGACAGCCCGAGUAGAAAGCCUCCUCCAUGCAGGAGCCCAAACCAAAGAAGAAAGCCCAGUUGCAAUUGGAUGGCCCAAUGGUUAAUCCACAUCUCCUACAUGCCGUCACACGCCAGGCAGGAGCUGGGGGGCAUUUGUGGGAACCUAAUUAAAUCAAAAUCCUGGGUCAAAUAAUUAGGCCAACCAAUUUGGGAAUUAUUUGACCUAAUUAGGAGUUACCUAACCUAAUUGGGAAUUACCUAAUCAAAUUGGGGGUUACUUGAUCCUCGCCUUAAUUAGGGAUUCGGUUAAAUCCAUAAUCCCUAAAUACACCAACCUCACCAACUACACCAACCCCACCAACCUCUCCAAGGCCAAUAUAAAUACUGGGCCACACACAAAGGUUAAGGUACGCCUAAAUUCCUACUAAAACUCUGCAGAAAUUAUUUCUCAACAACCCUAGACACCCCCUCUCUUUCUCUCUCUCACACAAGGCUCCGGCCACCACACACGGCUCCGGCCACCCGGUUUUCCUUGAAUUACCCUACCUAACUUAGGCAUCAGAGGGCCUUUGGCCAACACCCCCCGGGUGUGGUCCUUUUACUCAGAUCUGUUUUGCAGGGAGAAAGAGAGGCGGAGAAGACGAAGGAAUCUUGGGCAAAUAUUCUCGUGGGGAAAUUUGCUCCCACAGUGUGGAUACUGUAGGGAGAGAAGGGGUCGAUUUGAGUAAUGUAGGUUUUUGGGAAAGGGAUGUUGGUAGCACAACACUUUUUAAACUAUGUUAUCAAAAAUAGGAAAAAUUGCAUGGCUAAACUUAUAACAAAAAACCAAAAAUCUGCAAAGGCAUCUCCAUUGAUCUUGUGUAUUAUGUUGAAGACACAUUUGGAGAGAAGGAUAUUUGGCCUCUCCAAAUUUUUGUUCUUGGUUACAAAAAGGUUUUAUAGCCUGCAAUUUUUACCAUUUCUUGACAACCAAGUUUUAAAAACAUUGUUAGUUAUAAAUAAAAAAACCAACAUAUCUAACCUGCUUACAAUAGAAGACAAUACAUGCUUUUUAUAGCCGAAUAUGGGGAUGGAAAUGAAUGUUGCACUUCCACCUACCAUUCAUGAUUCAACUCAUACUUGUUUUGCUGUAGAACUCGACUCAUGAUUUUUUGCUCUAUAACUCAACUCAUGUUUUUUUGCUGUAUAACUCAUGAAGUUAUCCUUUAUUGCGGAGAAGACGAAGGAAUCUUGGGCAAAUAUUCUCGUGGGGAAAUUUUCUCCCACACUGUGGAUAAUGUAGGGAGAGAAGGGGUCGAUUUGAGUAAUGGAGGUUUUUGGGAAAGGGAUGUUGGUAGCACAACACUUUUAAAACUAUGUUAUCAAAAAUAGGAAAAAUUGCAUGGCUAAACUUAUAACAAAGAACCAAAAAUCUGCAAAGGCAUCUCCGUUGAUCCUGUAUAUUAUGUUGAAGACACAUUUGGAGAGAAGGAUAUUUGGCCUCUCCAAAUUUUUGUUCUUGGUUACAAAAAGGUUUUAUAGCCUGCAAUUUUUACCAUUUCUUGACAACCAAGUUUUAAAAACAUUGUUAGUUAUAAAUAAAAAAAACCGACAUAUCUAACCUGCUUACAAUAGAAGACAAUACAUGCUUUUUAUAGCCGAAUAUGGGGAUGGAAAUGAAUGUUGCACUUCCACCUACCAUUCAUGAUUCAACUCAUACUUGUUUUGCUGUAGAACUCGACUCAUGAUUUUUUGCUCUAUAACUCAACUCGUGCUUUUUUGCUGUAUAACUCAUGAAGUUAUCCUUUAUUGCGGAGAAGACGAAGGAAUCUUGGGCAAAUAUUCUCGUGGGGAAAUUUUCUCCCACACUGUCGAUACUGUAGGGAGAGAAGGGGUCGAUUUGAGUAAUGGAGGUUUUUGGGAAAGGGAUGUUGGUAGCACAACACUUUUAAAACUAUGUUAUCAAAAAUAGGAAAAAUUGCAUGGCUAAACUUAUAACAAAGAACCAAAAAUCUGCAAAGGCAUCUCCGUUGAUCCUGUGUAUUAUGUUGAAGACACAUUUGGAGAGAAGGAUAUUUGGCCUCUCCAAAUUUUUGUUCUUGGUUACAAAAAGGUUUUAUAGCCUGCAAUUUUUACCAUUUCUUGACAACCAAGUUUUAAAAACAUUGUUAGUUAUAAAUAAAAAAACCGACAUAUCUAACCUGCUUACAAUAGAAGACAAUACAUGCUUUUUAUAGCCGAAUAUGGGGAUGGAAAUGAAUGUUGCACUUCCACCUACCAUUCAUGAUUCAACUCAUACUUGUUUUGCUGUAGAACUCGACUCAUGAUUUUUUGCUCUAUAACUCAACUCAUGCUUUUUUGCUGUAUAACUCAUGAAGUUAUCCUUUAUUGCGGAGAAGACGAAGGAAUCUUGGGCAAUUAUGCUCGUGGGGAAAUUUGCUCCCACAGUGUGGAUACUAUAGUGAGAGAAGGGGUCGAUUUGAGUAAUGGAGGUUUUUGGGAAAGGGAUGUUGGUAGCACAACACUUAUAAAACUAUGUUAUCAAAAAUAGGAAAAAUUGCAUGGCUAAACUUAUAACAAAGAACCAAAAAUCUGCAAAGGCAUCUCCGUUGAUCCUGUGUAUUAUGUUGAAGACACAUUUGGAGGGCAGGAUAUUUGGCCUCUCCAAAUUUUUGUUCUUGGUUACAAAAAGGUUUUAUAGCCUGCAAUUUUUACCAUUUCUUGACAACCAAGUUUUAAAAACAUUGUUAGUUAUAAAUAAAAAAACCGACAUAUCUAACCUGCUUACAAUAGAAGACAAUACAUGCUUUUUAUAGCCGAAUAUGGGGAUGGAAAUGAAUGUUGCACUUCCACCUACCAUUCAUGAUUCAACUCAUACUUGUUUUGCUGUAGAACUCGACUCAUGAUUUUUUGCUCUAUAACUCAACUCAUGCUUUUUUGCUGUAUAACUCAUGAAGUUAUCCUUUAUUGCGGAGAAGACGAAGGAAUCUUGGGCAAUUAUGCUCGUGGGGAAAUUUGCUCCCACAGUGUGGAUACUAUAGUGAGAGAAGGGGUCGAUUUGAGUAAUGGAGGUUUUUGGGAAAGGGAUGUUGGUAGCACAACACUUAUAAAACUAUGUUAUCAAAAAUAGGAAAAAUUGCAUGGCUAAACUUAUAACAAAGAACCAAAAAUCUGCAAAGGCAUCUCCGUUGAUCCUGUGUAUUAUGUUGAAGACACAUUUGGAGAGAAGGAUAUUUGGCCUCUCCAAAUUUUUGUUCUUGGUUACAAAAAGGUUUUAUAGCCUGCAAUUUUUACCAUUUCUUGACAACCAAGUUUUAAAAACAUUGUUAGUUAUAAAUAAAAAAACCGACAUAUCUAACCUGCUUACAAUAGAAGACAAUACAUGCUUUUUAUAGCCGAAUAUGGGGAUGGAAAUGAAUGUUGCACUUCCACCUACCAUUCAUGAUUCAACUCAUACUUGUUUUGCUGUAGAACUCGACUCAUGAUUUUUUGCUCUAUAACUCAACUCAUGCUUUUUUGCUGUAUAACUCAUGAAGUUAUCCUUUAUUGCGGAGAAGACGAAGGAAUCUUGGGCAAAUAUGCUCGUGGGGAAAUUUGCUCCCACAGUGUGGAUACUAUAGGGAGAGAAGGGGUCGAUUUGAGUAAUGGAGGUUUUUGGGAAAGGGAUGUUGGUAGCACAACACUUUUAAAACUAUGUUAUCAAAAAUAGGAAAAAUUGCAUGGCUAAACUUAUAACAAAGAACCAAAAAUCUGCAAAGGCAUCUCCGUUGAUCCUGUGUAUUAUGUUGAAGACACAUUUGGAGAAAAGGAUAUUUGGCCUCUCCAAAUUUUUGUUCUUGGUUACAAAAAGGUUUUAUAGCCUGCAAUUUUUACCAUUUCUUGAUAACCAAGUUUUAAAAACAUUGUUAGUUAUAAAUAAAAAAACCGACAUAUCUAACCUACUUACAAUAGAAGACAAUACAGGCUUUUUAUAGCCGAAUAUGGGGAUGGAAAUGAAUGUUGCACUUCCACCUACCAUUCAUGAUUCAACUCAUACUUGUUUUGUUGUAGAACUCGACUCAUGAUUUUUUGCUCUAUAACUCAACUCAUGCUUUUUUGCUGGAUAACUCAUGAAGUUAUCCUUUAUUGCGGAGAAGACGAAGGAAUCUUGGGCAAAUAUUCUCGGGGGGAAAUUUGCUCCCACACUGUGGAUACUAUAGGGAGAAAAGGGGUCGAUUUGAGUAAUGGAGGUUUUUGGGAAAGGGAUGUUGGUAGCACAACACUUUUAAAACUAUGUUAUUAAAAAUAGGAAAAAUUGCAUGGCUAAACUUAUAACAAAGAACCAAAAAUCUGCAAAGGCAUCUCCGUUGAUCCUGUGUAUUAUGGUGAAGACACAUUUGGGGGAGAAGGAUAUUUGGCCUCUCCAAAUUUUUGUUCUUGGGUACAAAAAGGUUUUAUAGCCUGGAAUUUUUGCCAGUUCUUGACAACCAAGUUUUGAAAACAUUGUUAGUUAUAAAUAAAAAAAACCGACAUAUCUAACCCUGCUUACAAUAGAAAGACAAUACAUGCUUUUUUAUAGCCGAAUAUGGGGAUGGAAAUGAAUGUUGCACUUCCACCUACCAUUCAUGAUUCAACUCAUACUUGUUUUGCUGUAGAACUCGACUCAUGAUUUUUUGCUCUAUAACUCAACUCGUGCUUUUUUGCUGUAUAACUCAUGAAGUUAUCCUUUAUUGCGGAGAAGACGAAGGAAUCUUGGGCAAAUAUUCUCGUGGGGAAAUUUUCUCCCACACUGUCGAUACUGUAGGGAGAGAAGGGGUCGAUUUGAGUAAUGGAGGUUUUGGGAAAGGGAUGUUGGUAGCACAACACUUUUAAAACUGUGUUAUCAAAAAUAGGAAAAAUUGCAUGGCUAAACUUAUAACAAAGAACCAAAAAUCUGCAAAGGCAUCUCCGUUGAUCCUGUGUAUUAUGUUGAAGACACAUUUGGAGAGAAGGAUAUUUGGCCUCUCCAAAUUUUUGUUCUUGGUUACAAAAAGGUUUUAUAGCCUGCAAUUUUUACCAUUUCUUGACAACCAAGUUUUAAAAACAUUGUUAGUUAUAAAUAAAAAAACCGACAUAUCUAACCUGCUUACAAUAGAAGACAAUACAUGCUUUUUAUAGCCGAAUAUGGGGAUGGAAAUGAAUGUUGCACUUCCACCUACCAUUCAUGAUUCAACUCAUACUUGUUUUGCUGUAGAACUCGACUCAUGAUUUUUUGCUCUAUAACUCAACUCAUGCUUUUUUGCUGUAUAACUCAUGAAGUUAUCCUUUAUUGCGGAGAAGACGAAGGAAUCUUGGGCAAAUAUGCUCGUGGGGAAAUUUGCUCCCACAGUGUGGAUACUAUAGGGAGAGAAGGGGUCGAUUUGAGUAAUGGAGGUUUUUGGGAAAGGGAUGUUGGUAGCACAACACUUUUAAAACUAUGUUAUCAAAAAUAGGAAAAAUUGCAUGGCUAAACUUAUAACAAAGAACCAAAAAUCUGCAAAGGCAUCUCCGUUGAUCCUGUGUAUUAUGUUGAAGACACAUUUGGAGAGAAGGAUAUUUGGCCUCUCCAAAUUUUUGUUCUUGGUUACAAAAAGGUUUUAUAGCCUGCAAUUUUUACCAUUUCUUGACAACCAAGUUUUAAAAACAUUGUUAGUUAUAAAUAAAAAAACCGACAUAUCUAACCUACUUACAAUAGAAGACAAUACAGGCUUUUUAUAGCCGAAUAUGGGGAUGGAAAUGAAUGUUGCACUUCCACCUACCAUUCUUGAUUCAACUCAUGCUUGUUUUGUUGUAGAACUCGACUCAUGAUUUUUUGCUCUAUAACUCAACUCAUGCUUUUUUGCUGGAUAACUCAUGAAGUUAUCCUUUGUUGCGGAGAAGACGAAGGAAUCUUGGGCAAAUAUUCUAGUGGGGAAAUUUGCUCCCACACUGUGGAUACUGUAGGGAGAGAAGGGGUCGAUUUGAGUAAUGGAGGUUUUUGGGAAAGGGAUGUUGGUAGCACAACACUUUUAAAACUAUGUUAUCAAAAAUAGGAAAAAUUGCAUGGCUAAACUUAUAACAAAGAACCAAAAAUCUGCAAAGGCAUCUCCGUUGAUCCUGUGUAUUAUGUUGAAGACACAUUUGGAGAGAAGGAUAUUUGGCCUCUCCAAAUUUUUGUUCUUGGUUACAAAAAGGUUUUAUAGCCUGCAAUUUUUACCAUUUCUUGACAACCAAGUUUUAAAAACAUUGUUAGUUAUAAAUAAAAAAACCGACAUAUCUAACCUGCUUACAAUAGAAGACAAUACAUGCUUUUUAUAGCCGAAUAUGGGGAUGGAAAUGAAUGUUGCACUUCCACCUACCAUUCAUGAUUCAACUCAUACUUGUUUUGCUGUAGAACUCGACUCAUGAUUUUUUGCUCUAUAACUCAACUCAUGCUUUUUUGCUGUAUAACUCAUGAAGUUAUCCUUUAUUUUUGAUUGGUUUGCAUGUCGUGUGUAUGUGUCUAACGGUUUUUUGUAUCCUUCCUUUUUGGGCUUCUAGUGCCAUGAUAGCUUUAUGGCCCUGGCCUCAUCUUAAUUUGUUUCUUGUUUUAUUUUGGCUAUGCUCUCUUUCCUGGCAUGGCAUACCAUAUGUACACGAAGAAAAAAAAAAAAAAAGGCUUACUACAAGUAAGAGUUAAGGGGAUAACCAAUUACUUCAUAUCCUAGUUAGCAUUUUUCCUGUUUAAUACUCGUAUUAUACACGCAUGUAUGUUUUAAAGAUUUGAUAAAGUACAUAUUAAGGAUGAGCAUCCUUUUAGAGUUGUUGAGGGCUCGGGUUUAAGGAAAUGAUGAACAAGGUGCAACCUCGCUUCAAGGUACCAAGUAGGAAGAAGGUUGCCGAUGGGGUGUGGGAGUUAUUCAUGGUUGAAAAGGCAAAGAUAAUAAGUGAGAUUGGUGAGCAAAGAGUUAGUAUCACAACUGAUACUUGGACAUCGAUUCGAAACAUAAAUUACAUGGUUGUGACGAUCCACUUCAUGGAUAGUGAUUGGAACUUGCACAAAAGAAUAAUUAUCUUCACAAAGAUCACUAGUCAUAAGGGCAUUAACAUAGGAAAAACCCUAGAUGCAUGUUUGACGGAUUGGGGCAUACAUAAAGUGUUCACAAUUACCGUUGAUAAUGCUUCGGCCAAUGAUGGGGCGGUUGAGCACAUGGCACAAAGCUUAAAGGCAAUGAACACCUUAAUGUUGGAUGGGAAGUACUUGCAUUUGAGGUGUGCUUGUCACAUUCUUAAUUUAAUUGUUAAGGAUGGGUUGAAGGUGCUUAGUGCCUUAAUUGAGGGUAUAAGAAAUUGUGUGAAGUUUAUUCACUCUUCUCCGGCGAGGUUGGAUAAGUUUAGAGAGUUUGCAUCUAUUUAAGACACAAAAUCUGUUAAGGAAUAAAAGUGGAAAGUUUUUAUUUGAUUGGCCGGAUACUUGGAGGUGAAGAAGGAAUAAAACAAGAUGAGAUAUCUAUCCUAUUCUGUCAUGGAUUCUAGAGGUGAUUAAGGCAUGAUUUAGGAAAUCUUUUAUGGGCAAAAAACCUAGGUCAAAUCACCUAUAAAAACAAGGUUUAGGUCCCCGAUCUUAUACACAUUCAUGCAUACGAAUCCUACCCCAUAUUAGGAGUUCAUAAGGCGUGUAGAAAGAUUGGAAGACAUUUGCUUGUUGCUCAAGAUCUUUUCUGUCCAGUUCUCAUGGCUUCUCAAGGUUAGUACUUAUAGCUUGUUUGAUCUUAAAGUCUAACAUGUGGUAUCAAAGCCUAGGUCAUGCAGCUGUAAGUCUAAAUCAAGAUAAAACAUAAACUCCAUAUUGUUUUUCCAAUUUUGCAUUUUGUGCUGUGCUACAAUGAUUGUUUGACAAACUCAAGAAUUAAAAUUUGUAUUCUGGGACUGCUGUGCGUGUUUUUAAAUAUUAAACCAAUUUAUAGUGUUUAGCAUAUCUAUCUACAGACGCAUAUAGAAUCAUGACUAGGGUUAAAACCACUUAAGCAUGAACAUAAUGAAAUUCCGCAUCAAGUAAACAUAUCAAGGAAGUCAUAUUUUGAUUCAAAAUCAUUGUCUGAUGUUCAGUCCACAGAUGAGCAUGAGGCAAUUGUUUUAAAUCAUCUCCAGGUUUUUGAUGACAAAAUUGCAUCACAAGACACAUCGACCGAGGUUUUCUGCUUACAAGUGUGAACCUCAUUCGAUUAUGCCCUACGAUGGAACAAGAUGGCACAUCAACUACUAUGAAGAUCAAGAUCUUCUCUGUCCACAAAUGUGAAGAUCUUGACAACAGCUUAUCAUAGACAGUUUACGACGUUAGACUUGUGAAAGAAACUCAAGCAUAUUUGAUAUUCUGUCCAUAGAUGUGUAUCACAUAUGUAUAAAGAUUUUUGUCCAAACCGCAAACCGACCGACUAUUUGCGGUAUGGUGAUUUUUGAAACCGCAAACCGACCGCUUUUUGUGGUUUACCGCAUUGCGGUAAAACCGCAAGUUCAGUUGGUUAUCGUGAAUUAGCGGUUUAAAACCGCAAGUUCCUUUUGUGUCAUAAAAAUCCAAUCUUCCACAUUUUAGGCCUAGUUUUGAUGCUUCUUUUGAAGCCUUUUGAGUUCAAGCAUACUUUAACCCAAAAAUAUAAAUUCACAACCUCAACUUCUCAACCAUAUAUAAAUUCACAACCUCCUCAACUUCUCAAGCAUUCACAACCUAAAGAAAAUUAAAGUUACAAUUCCAAGCAUUCCAAUUAAAGUUAAACUUCUCAAGCAUUCACAACCUCAACUUCUCAAGCAUUCCAAAUCCAAAUUCUUUAAAGUUACAAACCAAAAGGAAAAUGCAAUGCAAAAUGAAUUAAAGUUACAAUCCAAAGGAAAAAUCCAAUUCAAAGUUAAUCAAAGUUACAAACCAAAAGAAAAAUGCAAUGCACCAAUGUUACAAACUCAAGUGUUGGUGGUGGUGAGUGGAUUUGAAGGACCCCGUUGUGUUGUUUGAGCACCAAUGCUAUCUACAAAUAAAACAAUAUAAGUUUAGUACAUUUUAUUAUAAGAAGAAGCAUAAAUAAUAUGAGCAUAAAUAAACUAAUUACUUACAAGUUGUCAUAUGUUCCAUUUCCUUGUAGAAUUCAACCUCAUCAUCCGUUGGUUCCUUGUAAAAGAAAAAUUCGUCCACUCUAAGCCAAUCACUAGUACACACUAAUGCCUCUACCAUUUUAGGAUGCAAAGAGCUUCUAAAAGGAUCCACAAUCCUCUUGCCUAGGCUAAAAGCAUUUUCACUAGCAACCGUAGAACUUGGAAUUGCAAAGAUAUCCUUGGCAACUUGUGAAAGAAUAGGAUAUCUUGUUUGGUUCCCUUUCCACCAAUUCAAGAGAUUGAAUUGUUUGCUCAAGGGGCUCUCAAAAGGAUCUGUCAAGUGCUUAUCCACUUCAUUGGAUAUCUCAACGGAUUGCUCAAACUUCCUCUUUUGCACAAGUUGUUGCAUUAGUUGAAAUGUGGCAUCAACAUCAUCACCAAUUAGUGCAACCUCAUCAUCAAUCUCAUCCACAUCAAUUUGUCUCACAACACCCCCAACCCAUUUAUACUCAUUAUACAAUUCAUUCAAACACUUUACAACCCCUUUCACAAUCUCAUUUUGAUUUCUAGCAUCUGCCCCAAGAUUGCCAAAGCUUAUUUGGAGCAUUUGAAGCUUCAUCAUUGGAUCUAGCACAUUGCCCAAAAAUAUAAGCUUAUUCACAACAUCAAAGCUCCCCCAAUAUUUGUCAAAUUUCAACUUCAUUAAAGAUGCUACCCGUUGUAUAGUAGGAUUUCUAGGAUCCUUCAUUUUCGCUUCUAUUUGAACUUGUAAAGCAACCAAUUCUAGGGAAAUUAUUGGGGAUGUACAAGUUUUGGUUGCAUUAAGCUUCAAUGUAGCAUCAUAAAUUUUGUUGAGAAAAUGCACAAAAGCUAAUGCCUUCUCCCAAUCAUCAUCUUUUGGAGGUCCCACUCUCUUAACCAUCACUUUCUUAACUUUUUCUUCCUCUAGAAAGUAAGCUUGAAACACCUCACAAUAAUAUGCCAUCUUCUCAAAGACUUGCCUAUAUUUGAAUGCACCUUCAAGCAUUUUAUAGGUUGCAUUCCACCUUGUAGGCACAUCCAUUGGCACAUUUGCCAUCUUGUCCAUCCUACAUGCAAUGGCAAACUCUCUAAACUUAUCCAACCUCGCCGGAGAAGAGUGAAUAAACUUCACACAAUUUCUUAUACCCUCAAUUGAGGCACUAAGCACCUUCAACCCAUCCUUAACAAUUAAAUUAAGAAUGUGACAAGCACACCUCAAAUGCAAGUACAUCUCAUCAACAUUAAGGUGUUCAUUGCCUUUAGGCUUUGUGCCAUGUACUCAACCGCCCUAUCAUUGGCCGAAGCAUUAUCAACGGUAAUUGUGAACACUUUAUGUAUGCCCCAAUCCGUCAAACAUGCAUCUAGGGUUUUUCCUAUGUUAAUGCCCUUAUGACUAGUGAUCUUUGUGAAGAUAAUUAUUCUUUUGUGCAAGUUCCAAUCACUAUCCAUGAAGUGGAUCGUCACAACCAUGUAAUUUAUGUUUCAAAUCGAUGUCCAAGUAUCAGUUGUGAUACUAACUCUUUGCUCACCAAUCUCACUUAUUAUCUUUGCCUUUUCAACCAUGAAUAACUCCCACACCCCAUCGGCAACCUUCUUCCUACUUGGUACCUUGAAGCGAGGUUGCACCUUGUUCAUCAUUUCCUUAAACCCGAGCCCUCAACAACUCUAAAAGGAUGCUCAUCCUUAAUAUGUACUUUAUCAAAUCUUUAAAACAUACAUGCGUGUAUAAUACGAGUAUUAAACAGGAAAAAUGCUAACUAGGAUAUGAAGUAAUUGGUUAUCCCCUUAACUCUUACUUGUAGUAAGCCUUUUUUUUUUUUUUUCUUCGUGUACAUAUGGUAUGCCAUGCCAGGAAAGAGAGCAUAGCUGAAAUAAAACAAGAAACAAAUUAAGAUUAGGCUAGGGCCAUAAAGCCAUCAUGGACCUAGAAGCCCAAAAAGGAAGGAUACAAAAACCGUUAGACACACACACACGACAUGCACACUAGUAAAAACUAAAGAAUAACUUCAUGAGUUAUACAGCAAAAAAAACAUGAGUUGAGUUAUAAAGCAAAAAGUCAUGAGUUAGGUUCUACAGCAAAACAAAUAUGAGUUGAAUAAUAGUAGGUGGAAGUGCAACAUUCAUUUCCAUCCCCAUAUCCAGCUAUAAAAACCCUGUAUUGUCUUCUAUUGUAAGUAGGUUAGAUAUGUCAUUUUUUUUUAUAACUAACAAUGCUUUUAAAACUUGGUUGUCAAAAAAUGGUAAAAAUUGCAGGCUAUAAAACCUUUUUGUAACCAAGAACAAAAAUAUGGAGAGGCCAAAUAUCCAUCUCUCUAAAUGUGUCUUCAACAGAAUAUACAGGAUCAAUGGAGAUGCCUUUGCAGAUUUUUGGUUCUUUGUUAUAAGGUUAGUUAUGCAAUUUUUCCUAUUUUUGAUAACACAGUUUUAAAAGUGUUGUGCUACCAACAUCCCUUUCCCAAAAACCUCUAUUACUCAAAUCGGCCCCUUCUCUCCCUACAAUAUCCACACCAAAGCAAAAACAAUUGUGUACCCUAAACCCAACUAAACACAAUCACUUUCUUCCAUGUCUAAUUCCAAAGUGCCCAAUAACCAGCUCACUAACGGAGGCGGCGGAGGGAUGUUCAAGCAACAGGCGUCGCAGAGGCCAUCCAGCAACAGCAUUAAAGAUAUAAUCUAUAGACUCAAUGCCUUAAAAAGAUAAAUGUUUUCAGGGACAUUAAGAAUCAGAAUGAAGCUAAAAUUUGUAGCCAUUAAGAAUCAUCCAGACGAAGGUUGAAAAAGUUAAUAUGGACUUACUAACAUUCUCUGCAUGAAUUGAAGAUCCAAAAUAGCCGAAUUGUUCAACACCUUCAAUGCUCCAGCUGCCACGUUUUCAAAAUUAGAGAGAAGGACAUUAGAGGUCUGAAAUAGAAUAGGAACAUUGGCUACAAUUAUGUCAUGAUCAAAGAUACCAUCAGUACCAAGCGUUACAAACACACAAAUGGAUGCACGAUUCAUCUAAAGGUCUAGAUUUUCCCAAGGACUGAGUUAUGGAAAGAUCUUCAGUACUAUCACCCUCUGCAAAUUUAGCCUCUUCAUUUGACGUAUGAGAAGCAGGUAGGGCAAAAGCUAUGAAAUCAAGCAAACCAGCUUUGCAGGAAGCCAGCAGUUCAUGAUCAGUGUUUACAAGUCAACAUAACCACCUCGAAGUGUAAACUUCAAAGCUGGUUUUUUUCUCACAAAACCAUACUUAUAGCAUCAAAUAAGGCAAUUCCAAGCACACAAGAUUUAUAAAAAUGUACAACUAAUUAAGUAAGCAACUUUUUCAAUUAAAAAAAACACUCACUGAUUCAGAAACCAAUUGGAAUCUUGGGGACAAGGGGUUAGGAGAUACUUUCCACUAGAAAUAUCUAACCUACAGUUUGGCAUACCAAUUUGCACCCAUGCGAAUUGCAAAGUACCCAAAUUCAGGACAUCAGCAUCCCUUAUCUGGCCACACUCUAUAAAAAACUUGAUCAUUUCAGCAAUUAUUAACCCAAUACUUGUGACCCCUGAAAUCCUUAGAAGCUCGCUCUCGUAUCUGCUCUAGGUAAAACUUGCGCGGUUGCUCACUUUCACUAAUUCUCUCGGCCAAUUCUAGGCCAGAAGUUCAACCUCCUCUUGCUGGGCUUUGGUUCUUUCCUUCUUCCUACGAAAUUGUUCCAUGGCCUUUGUUUCACACACUGCACUUGUCGUCUAUUCUCUCGUCUCUCAUUUCUUCCAUGUAUUUUCCCUCCUAGAGUGGUUUAAGAGUUCUUGGACACCUUCUGUUACAAGCCGAUUUGUAGGGGAAGGUUCUACCCAUGGGCUCUCAAAAAUUUGUAUCAAAUCCUGUUGAUGCUCUUUUUCGGAAGGUCAACUUAAAGAGACGUGUAGAGUCUUCAACAGGGAAGAAGGUGAGGAUCUUCGAGGUUGGAAGAACCUCCAGAAGACAAGGAGGGAGAAGCUGUCGUUAAACUUCGGACACCGGUGUGGUGCUUGCCGAAGGCUCUUCGAUGCUUAAGUCAGCUUUAAGUGGUAAUUUUAGCAGAGUAACAGUAAAUAUGAGAAAGUAGUUACCCUUUUUACUUGGUUACUGUUCCCUAUUUAUAAGGAAGUGAAAAUGGGAGUUUUGCACAAAGUUUCGAUGUGGGACUUUGUGCAAGUUACUGUGGUGGUGACACGUGUCUUGGAGAUUAGGUUCGGCAGUCGUGAGCUUCGACAGUGGGGAGCUUCGGCAGGUGUUUGCCACUUCAGAAGAGUGUCUUCCUUCAGCAGGGAAGAAUGCGUGUCUGCCAUGGUGUUAGUCGUUUUGAUGCUGGAUAUGCUUGGUUGAUUAUCGUGAAAAAUAGUAGUCUCCCAAGUUCGUGGUCAAGAAGUAACUUCUGGGUUGGGAACUUGUGAGAUUUUUGUGUAAUCAUGAUCGAGCAUUCUAUAUUCAGUGGGAGCCGUAGGGCAUUCCCUAGUCCUUCACAUUGGCAAGCCAGAAGUUGCAUCAACCCUUGAAAGGUAUGGUAAAAGCUGUGUGAGCCUCCAGAAGCGUUGGUAGCUAGGUACUUUUGUUGUUCGGAAAGAGGGCGGGUCUGGGCUAUGUGGAGCUAGGCUGCAAGGGGUUAGACAAGAAAAUUUUGCCGUGAUGUAAGCCAUGGCCUAAACAUGGGCCUUGCCGUUUGGCAAGGUCUAGUGGGAAUGAUUUUCUCUAGUGCCUAAGUAUCGUCGGCAAUGGUGAAGUUGCGCCGCCUGGGGCUGGGCCCUUGAAGCUUCGGUAAGGGUGCUUUGGGGAGCAUUUUGUGAGCCCCUUUAUUCCUUCUGCACAAUGCCUGUCGUUAGGCAGGGAUUUUUUUUUUUUUUCCCUUUUUUGCCUUGCGCCUUGGGCCUAUGGUAGUUUCGUCAUGGUCCUUGCCGUUUCGGCAAGGGACCAAGAUGGCUUGGGGGUUUUGGUGAGGCUUGUCAGCAAGGGGGGCCAAGACUGUGCAAGUUGGGCUUCGGUAAGAUACUUUGGGUUAAAAGGCUGGGCCUUUAUUUUGUGGGCUUGGGUAAGUGAAGCGCUAAGGUUUGGGUUGAAGGGGAGCGAGUGUCCACCUACAUAAGACUUGCCGUUUGGCAAGGUAUAUGCGGAAGAAGGUAUUCUUCCAUCGAGAAGGCAUUCAGCAAGAAUUUUCUUAGGUUCGACACGGGUGGAGGCUUGAGCUUGGUAUAAUCCUUCAGUAGGGGUCAAGAUCCAGCAUCGUGGAAAGAAACAAAGUGUGUUAUAGUUUCAGUAGGUUGCGCCAUUUGGGUUAAUUUUAGUGGAGUUCUCUUGAGCCAGCACGUCCUCUCGUGUACCUUCGGUAGCAUUCUAGUUUGUGGUUAGUUCAGCUCCGUGCGCCAUUCGUGUCUUCUGCACAGCCCUUGCCGUUCGGUAAGGGUGUGUUGUGAAAAAUUUUGAGGCAUCUUGAGCUGUCGGCAAGGGUUUGGGGUUGAGCCUUCAUUACGCUUCGGUGAGGUACCCAAGGCUUGGGCAAACCAAUUCGGAUCUGAUUUCGUGGGGUUACAACUUCGGAUGCAAAUGCUUGUACUUUCGGAACUUUGAUUUUGGAAUGAGCCAUCUUGUGAGCCUGCUACCUUUCUAGCAGAUCUUACCGUUCCGUGAGGCAAGGGUAGUUCGAAUUGUAGGGUUGCCGUCUUGUGAGUCCCCAUUGCUUCUACUCAACCCUUGUCAUUCGGCAAUGGUGGUUUGAAAAAAAAUUUGGGAGCUUGUUUUGUGUUUGGCAAAGGUCCCAUGUAGUUUUGGCAGUGAUUUGGAAGCAUCUCCUUCCACCGUUCGGCAAGCGUGAUCUUAAAAAUGGGUUAAAAUCUCUGCAUAGCCCUUAUCUUCAGCAAGAAGUGGGUCUGGCAGGUGGGUUUGCUUCGGCAGCUUAGGUGUGCUUUUUGGCAAGGCUGAGGUGAGUAAUUUUUGUGAGCCCAUUUUUUCUCUGCUCAACCCUUGCCGUUCGGCAAGGGUGAUUCGGCAUGAGAUUUAGAUCCUCUUUUUUUUUUUCUUUUUCUUUUUUUCGGCAGGGUUCAUUAGGAAGAUCUCGUGGUCUGGGCUACGAGUGUGGAUUCGAAAGGAGGCUUCACAUCGACAGCACGUGACAGCCGUUCGGCAGUUUUGCCUUAUUGCCUGAGCCUUUCAAUUUUAGCGAAAUAGGUUCGAUGGUGGAUCAUACCCAGAUUUUUGGCAUGCCCUCCUUGCCUAAUCUCGGUCCUUUUUGCUUAGGGCUGUGCAUUCAACAUUCGACAGGUGGGCCUUGGCAACGAGGAAAUUUUGUGAGUCCCCCUUUUCUUCUUUUUGAAUUCCUCUCCAUUUUUUGUUUUUUUGGAUUUUGAAAUUUUGAAUUUCAAAUUGUUUGGAGUAGGUACAAGAAAUUUGGGAGGGAAGGUGAAAGGGUGCUAGGGUUUUUCCAUGAACCGAGGCGUCGGUACCCUUGAGUCUUUAUAAAUAGGGACUUGAGGUGAAAAAGGUAUCACACUUAAGUCUUUGAGAAAAAAUUUCUAGAAAGUGAGAAGGAGAGAAGGAGAUUUCUGGCGAGAUACCUCGUGGUCGUGAUGUGGCCAAGGUGAUUUUCGGCUUCUUUUCGUGGUGGUGCAAACAAGGUUAGACCCCAUUUCCUUUGAAUUUUCCAAUUGAAAUGUUCUUUUUGCAUGAACAUGUUGAAUACUAGGAUAAACACCUUGAAUAUUGGUAUGAACUUGAUGAACACCUUGAAUAUGAGUAUGAACUUGUUAGAUGUUGUUUGUAGAUCGAAGAGCAUGUAGGUUUGUCAUCCUUUUUGUGUUUUUGUGUUUUUGUGUUUUCGAUCCUCCUUGCAUGUGCAUUAGUUCCUUUUUCUUGUUUCUGCAUAUUGUAGAUGUCUGAAAGUUCUAGUAGAGAAAUUCAUGACCCCUUUGCCUUUGGUGGGGAUGAUACUGAAAGUGAGGAGCCCAGCCUAUAUGUUUGUUCUGAGGAUGAAAGUACCCAAUCAGGGCAUGUGGUAGAAGGUGUUAUAAAGAGUAGGAUGGUAGUGCAUGAGGGUGAGAGGGGUGAGCCAUCAGUAGAUUCCCGGGAGGCUGAGUACAGAGAAAUGCAGAGGAAUUACAGAGUGUUAGAGGUUGUGGCUGAUCGAGUUCUAGCCUUGCCUCAUACACCAGAUGUGGGCUCGAGCAAUCAGGCAUCACCGUCUAGGUCUGUAGGUGUAGCCGUUGCUUCAGCUUUAGAGGGAGUGGAUAUACGGGUUAGUGUCCCUUUGGCAAGGCGGAAUACACUUACUGAGGUAAAGCUGGUCGAGCUUCGAAUAGAGUUUAGUGUCCCAUCCUCGGUGGGCUUGAGGCUACCCACUGCUGCUGAUGUGGGUUAGAUAUCCUCCGGAGGGAUGUGUGCUGAUAUUUACAUAUAUGUACCAGCAUGGCUUUAGACUACCGUUUCAUCCUUGGGUGCAUAUGAUGUUGGCCAAGCUAGGGUAUGCACCGGGGCAAUAUAAUCCCAACUUCUGGAUUCUUCUUCAUGAGGUGUAUAUUGCCUGGUGGUUGGCUGGGUUAGGGGAGCCGAUAUUUGAGCAGUUCAUGUAUUUAUACUCGAUUUCGAAGCAACAGAGAAAUUUUGGCUGGGUACAAGCCAAUUGCUGAAAGGCAAAAGAGAUGGGUUAUUUUAUUAGUCGCAUGCCUUCUACUCAGAAAUCCUAGAGAAACAGGUGGUGCCUGGCUUAUGGUGACUAGGAGUGUCUACCUGGGAAGACCUUCUCCAAACAUGUUCCUACCCACUUCCAGUCUAUAGGUCCUUGGUCCCAUCCGUUAAGAUUGUUUGUUGUUUUGUUGUGUUAUACCUGCCUUCAUUCUUGGUUCUCCAUUGAUGUUUGCUUUUGCAAGUGUAGAUGUUUGAGUGGUAUCUAAACUUUGUUGCAGUUUCACCAUGUAACUUGGCCCGACUUCACAAAAGAGGUGAUCUAUAGCCUAAAUUAAGAGUCAUUGAAUACGGGAAGAUGAGUGAAACUGUCUCAAAGAAGGAGAUUAGGACUCACAAUCCUAGAUUGGAAAAAUAGCAUAUCUCUCUUUAUCUAUCUAUCUCUCCAGGUGCUGGAAAUUUUUUUGAACUUUCUUUUAUUAAAAUUGAAAAGAUGUGACCAUCCAAGUUUGAAAUUAUGCAUCUUUUAAGUGAACAAACGCAUCUCUUGCCUCUUCAGAUAAAGUCACAUACUUUGGUAAAUAACGUCAAUGUCAGGGGUGAAACUACCUACAAGGCUAUCCCGGGAUGUAGUCCAGCCUAGGUAGCUUUUUUAAGAUAUUUUUUUUAACCUAUUGUAGUCCAUGUUUAAAGAAAAACAAAAUUAAACAUAUACAGCCCAUCAACUUGUCGUUCCCACUUAUGGUUGGGGCCCUCAUUUUGUGGCCUUUUGGCAAUUUCCCCACUAUUUCUAUGAAUAUGGAAAUAUGGAAAUAUUAUUUUUCCAAAGUCUGUUUUGUGGUCUUCUUGACAGUUUUCCCAUUGUUAUCAUGUUAACCCUUUUGUUGCAUUUAAUUUGUAUUUUUUUAUACUAAACUUAUUGGAAAUUAGUUAAUAGGGCUAUGAACUAGGAUUAAAUGAUUUAAUGUUCUAGAAAAAAAAUAUAGAAAUUGUAAGUUAAAAAAUAUCAUUAGGUUUUAAGCUAAAAAUUUUAGUUAGCCCACUCUUCAAAAAAUUCCUAGUUCCGCCCUUAGUCAAUGUCUAUGGAUAUGCAAGUCUCACACAUGUUAGAACUAACUUUUAACACUUGCAUAUUCAUUCAGAUAGCACUAUUCUUAGAGAUCAAUGUAGGGUCUCAUUGAGUUUGUAGUUGAGAGAGUUCAGAGAAUCAUGGUUGGCUAGGACCUUGUAAUUUGGAGUGCUACAAUUGUAAGGUCAUGGUCAUUUCAUGAUAGGAGACUGUUGGAAAAACAAUCUAUCAGCGACUAAUCAAUAAAUAUAAUAUAUAUUUCACAAAAAUUUAAAUAUACCAAACAAAUUUAGUAAUGUACCAAUACUAGUAUUAUAUUAACAGACAAAUGUAAAAUACAUAAAAGAAUGAAAUCGAAUUGACUAAUUUCUAUAUGAGAUAGAGGCUUGCAGAUUCAUGUUAUGUCCUAAAGACAAUAUUUUAUCCCUUUUUGGUGUUUGAAGUUCUACACAUGUGACUAUCUCCCAGAAUUCAAUUAUCGGUAUUCUAAGUCCUAGGACUUAUGUGCAUCUUAGUGCUUAUGUAUAAAACGUUGGGGGCUAUUCUAAUUUAAAUAGACCUCUCAUACAUAUGGCCCCUGAAAUCCUUAGAAGCUCGCUCUCGUAACUGCUCCUAGUAAAACUCGUGUGGUUGCUCACUUUCACUAAGUCUCUCGGCCAAUUUCUAGGCCAGAAGUUCAACCUUCUUCAGGGCUUUGGCUCUUUCCUCCUAACUACGAAGUUGUUCCAUGGCCCUUGUUUCACGCGCUACACUUGUCGUCUACUCUCUUGUCUCUCAUUUAUUCCAUGUAUUUUCCCUCCACAAUCUUUUAAAUAAAAAUAAGACUUUUUAUCACAAAACGUCCAUGAGGUUUUAAGUUUUCAUGUGUCAUUAGUGGUCCUGAAGGUUAACAAUCAUGCUCAUAAGAAUUAUAUGUCGCCAUUCCAUCCAAAAUUCUGCUAAAAUGAGUGACAUGGCACACAUAUGGUGCUCACAUAUCUAAAGAUACCACAUCAUGUGAAUUAAAUAAAAAUACAUAUUUUAAAAUAUAAACUUUAUGAAAAAAAACCUCCAAUUUCACCCUCCAUCUCCCUCCCCCUCCACGGCUCCGUCUCCCCCUCUCUCCAUCACAUAUCUAAAGAUACCACAUCAUGUGAAUUAAAUAAAAAUACAUAUUUUAAAAUAUAAACUUUAUGAAAAAAAACCUCCAAUUUCACCCUCCAUCUCCCUCCCCCUCCACGGCUCCGUCUCCCCCUCUCUCCAUUCUCUUUGCGUAUCUCUAUCCUCUCUCUCUCCUUCCCGACCCAACCCCCAAAUAGUCUCAAAUCAAGCACACAGGAUGAACAAGAUACCAUUUUAAAAAAAUGUGAUAUCACUAGAUAUGUGAGCCCCACCUAUGUGCCACGCCACCAAUUGAACAUAUUUGUAGACAGAUGUUGACGGCACCUGACCACCUAAUUAUAAUUAAUAAUUAAGUUUUAAUUAGCUUGGGGAAUUGGGUAAAUAUAUAUCAUAUUUCAUAAUCAAUUGCUUAUAUUUACUUUUACAUUUUUUGGGUUUGCUUCUUUUCUGUAUCAGUCAAUUGGUUGCCUAGUUUGUAGAAACAGAAAAUUUUGGUAUUUUGUACUUCAACAAAGGUGAGGUUGCCCGCCCACUUUUACAUUGCGUCAGUUGACAGCUGAAAUCUUUUAAACCAGAUUGUAGCACAACAAAAUGACAGCAUAUAAACCUAAAGCUAGCAACCUUUUUCCAUGAAAACCAAUUGGAUAAAGAUGGCCCAAAUUAGAACUGGUCAAGCUGUAUUUCCGGUUGGCAUUUACCCUAAUCCAAAUACCAAGUUAACAAAAAUAACAUUUGGUUGUUAUUUUUCCAACCAAAAAACUAACCCCCCAAAACAUUGUAUAUUUCAAUCUCCUCUCUCUCUCUCUUUCUCCCUAAUCCAUCACCGUCAUGAAAUGGUAGAACCCUUUGCAUCUCCAACCCUACCCAUUCCUCUCUCGUAUGCAAGCUUAGCCUGAAGGCUUUCAACCUCUCUUUGUUGAAGAGCUUUCUUGCUAGCCAAGGCACACACACACAUAUUGUAACCAUGACCCUUAAUUGCCUAACUUGCCAGGUCCUCAACAGGACAAACUCCUCUGGCUCUGAUAAGGAUAAUGUAUGCAAGGACAAGGCUUAUAGGAAAAUUUGUUGUGUAAACAUCAAUAUGGAGAGAAGCUGGUCUGGCAACCUAACUCCGCCGUCUUACGAGCAAAUCCAGGAAUCUUCUAUGUUCAUGCCGGAUAAGAAGAAGGUGAAGAUGUCCAUGGGGCAUCGCCGGCUUAUGAGUACAGGUGGGGUUGCAUAUGAAGGAAGCACCGAACCACGCUUGGUGAGGAGCUCUGGAAUGAGAAGGGAUUGGAGCUUUGAGAAUUUGGCUCUCCUCAGAAACGAGAAGAAAGGGAGAAACUCUUAAGAUAUAAUUGACACGAGUUUAAUCUUUUCAUGCUCAAUUCUUUUUCUUCUUCUUCUUUAUUUCUUUCUUUUUCACUUUUUUUAUUUUAUUUUCAUUUGUUUGUUUACUUUUCUGAGCUUUUGUGUCGUUAUCUUUUGAGACGGAGAGAAAUGCAAAUGUGUCAAUUGAAGUUUGAUCGUUGUGGAGGAGCUUUGAACAUAUAUAGUGUCGAAAAUUGAAAUUCCUUAUUCAAAUGUACAUGUUGGUUUUUCCUAUAGUAAAAAAAAAAAAAAAAAAAAAAAUUGAAGGAUUAUUUUCACUCUUGGGAUUAUUCAUACUAUUUUCUAUAUUUUAAAAGAGAUAAACCAAAAAUGAGUUCGGAUUAGAAUAGGUAAGGAUUCUAUUCCAUUUAAUGUCCUUCAGGAAAUUCCGUACUCCAUUGCUAUUUGCUAUUGUCUUCUGAAUGUUAUCCUCUCUAAUCUAAUGUAAUCCAAUUCGAUCUAAUUCUACAGUUUGGGAUUGCUAUCACUUUUUUAAAAAGUUGCUUAUGUUGUGCUUUAAAAAUAAUUAAUUGUAAAGUAAAGCAGCUCCAUGUUUGGCAAACAAUAUUUUUAAAGUGGUGUUACGACAAAAAACAGUGUUAAAACCAUUUGGUAAAUUUUAAUAUAAAAUUGUUGUAACUGUGAAUAAUGACUCAACUAGACAUGAUGUUGAAAGUGUUAUGAGCUAAUCAUGUGGUGGUAGUGGUGGUGGUGAAAGAGAUGGAGGUGAAGGUGAUGGUGAAAGAGGUGGCAUUGGAGGUGGUGGUGGGGAUGGCAGUUGAGGAGGUGGAGGGGGAGGUGGUGGUGGUGGAGGUUAAGGAGGAGGUGGUGGUUGCGGUGGAGGUGUGGGGGUGGUGGAGGUGGUGGAGGAUGUGGUUGUGGCGAUGGUGGAGUGGUGGUGGUGGUGGUGUUGGUUGUGGAGGUGGAGGUGGAGGUUGAGGAGGAGGUGGUUGUGGCGAUGGUGGAGUGGUGGUGGUGGUGUUGGUAGUGGAGGUGGAGCAGGAGGUGGUGGUGGUGGUGGCGGUGGCGGUGGCGGUGGCGGUGGAGGUAAUGAAGGUGGUGGUGGAGGUGGAGGUGGUGUCAUUUUUAAAAAUUAAUGAUGGUAUUUUAGGAAUUUAAAAUUUUUAUUUAAGACUCAUCUCUACUUCUUUUGAAAGCAGCUUUAAAAAAACAACCUAAAAUCUGCUUUUAAAAACUGCUGUAAAAAGGCCAUUACUUUUAAAAUAAUCAAGAUAUUUUAUUUUUACCACCAGUGCAGCAUAUGCAUAACAAAUUGCUACCACAUUAUUAAAUAUUUACAGUUCUUUAAAAUAUUAGCAGAUCAUAUAGAUCGAAGGUACGCCAUCAUUAGGAUGAACCUGCACAGCACUUCAAAAGAUGAUUCUUCCUGCUGCCUCAUCAUAAUGAUGGCAUAUAAAUGAUGUCUAUGAUGGCAUACAUUAAAAAUCUCUUUUCCAUUUAAGCAUCUUAAAGCCAUAUUCUACAAUUUCACAUCAAGUUUACUAUAAAUACUCAAUAUGAACACACGCAUAGAUAAGAGUCAUGUCAAACAAAUUUCAGUUGCAAUCCAGAAUACAUUGCUUUUUUAAAAGCACACAUUCAAAACCCAUCACUCCUUACAGAUGAAACAUCCUGCGUCAGUCUUUAUAUACUUCGUGGACAGUAAUCAUACAUUACAACAAGUUCGACCACUUACCUGAUUUUCUAACUACAACAGUAUCAGUGUCCAAGAUUCCUUUCCCGUCAUUGUUAGACUUCCGCAUAUGCAAUCCAAUACUUAACCAACUUAGAACUUAUCUGCAUAUUUCCUCAUCCCUUAUACAUCAGUAAAGAGCACAAGUUGAAAAUGUAGACAGACAAUACCAACUCCAUACUAUCAAAAGAGAAUAGUUAGGAGUCAUCUGCCCAAUAUUCAUAAAGUUACCAUCCCAUCAAAAUGGAACAGUUAAGGAGUUGUCUUCCAUCUGCUUUAGUUUUUCUUCUUCCUUGCAUCGGCUUUCCAAUCUCUUCGACACAGUUUGGGUCUAUGCAUUUCAAAGUUAUUCUGGUUCACAGAUAUCUCGGAAUGGGUUUCACUAUCUAAUAGUGGCUCUGCCGUAGUUCCAGAUAAUAACACAGUUUGACUCUCACUGGUUGACAUAGGAGUAAGGACAGCACAACCAUUAGGUGUAACUUCAGGAUACUCAGAAACACGAGCCCUCCUUGCAUCCUUUUUCCAAUCUCGUUUACAGUGCACACGGGGUACAUAAUUGCUAACAAAUCCAUUCAUUUGCACUUCCACUUGUGGUGGAGGUGAUUGCUUUAUGAUGCUAGGCUUCUUCAUAUCUGCUUCAAGGCGCUUCCGGGCCCUAUACCUACGUUGUCGUUCUCGGUUCUUCAGGCGACGAGUCAGAACAUCAUUACGACUUCUGGUGCGCUCUCUUUGAUCAAUAGGCUUCAUUAUAAAACUAUCUUGUGUUUGAGCAGCAUUCAUAUCUUUGCCUGCCUGACAUUCAGACCAAGUCUAGCAUAAGCAUGAAUAAAGGAGGAAUGCAAACAAUAACACUACAAACAAUGGUUCUCUAUUUGACAGUAAACUUCUUACCACUAAAAAUUCGCUCACAACUAGGAGAUGAUAGCUCGCUUCAAUUACGCAACCACUUGAAUGGCGAACAAAGGGAACAUGACUUGCUACAUCUAUAAACGCAGCAAUGCAUCUCUCUAAGUGGUCUAACAAAAACAAAAAUUAGCAAAAAAAACAUUACAUGCACAACAUCCUUCACAAGCCCAUAAAGAAAACAUGAUCAGGUAUUCAUUUGGUCGGACGUACCAGCUAAGUAAAUUUCCUCACACAGCACAUUUAAUGAGACAUAAAUGUGCAGUUUUGUAUGAUUGAGGAUUACACGCGUUCAAGUAUACAUCACGAGCUAACAAUCAAAUUCUGCAAUUUUGCUUUAGAAUGGGAAAGACUGAUACUCAAUUAGUUUUAAUCCAGUAAUAUCUACUGUAGGACCUUUUGUACAUUUACAUGGCUAUGAAGUUAUAAAGUAGAAAUUUUACAUUCUACUAUCUCAAUAAGUGACUCUCCUCAGGUACUUCUCCUAUUGGAUGGAGCACGAUCUACAAAAUUGUUUGUCCAAAAAAAAAAUAUGGACUCUUACACCCAAGCCAACCACAAAUGCAAAACAAGCCUAAAUGUUUGUCCACACACACAGAUCUUUCUCAAAAGGGAUCCCGCACAUUUCUGACCUUUCUGCACGUGGCUGUCAUCCGUUUGAUCUCAUUAAUCUGUCAAUCUCAUUUAUAUAAAAUGUCGCAUAAAGAUCUUAGUAAUUUGUGGUCUGGUUAAAACUUCAAUGAAUCUUUCAAUACUUUUGGUAGAUUAUAUAUCAUGAGCACCUACCCCUGAUUUGGAAAUAAAACAUCAAUUCUUAAAGGUAAAUCCAUGACCUUUGAAAAUUAUUAAUCAGCCACAACCAGAGAGUAUUUAUCAAUCGGCCAAGCAGGGAAUAUGAUUAGAAUCUAAAAGUUGCCCCUCAAAAGGGGGAAAAAAUAAGGAUGUAAAUCUUGGUUCUUUACCAUCAAACAAGGAUUGAAUUACCUUUAAAUCCAAUGUUGGCAGCUCCAUUCCAUUCUUAGCCUCUUAAGCUUUCAAUCCAAUGUUGGCAGAUAUGAACGUGAAACGACUACAAAGUGUCCACAACAGUCUCUCUUGCACACGUUUCAGGCCAAAAGCAGUCCUUCAUGUAUGUUCUGUAUAAUUUUUUAGUCCGGAACUCCUGAAACAAUGAAACUUCAGUUAAGAAAUUUGGUUCCAUAAUUGACAUAACUGGAACACAAAACACUAGUACAACAGUAAAAAAAAUUAUCAUGAACAUAUUGCUAUUAGUUGCAACCUGCCACAAAUAGAUGAAAGUUUUUAAAUAAACAAUGACAUUGUAACUAUUAUAGAAACAAAAUUUCAACCCAUGAAGCUACCAAUUAACUAAAGAAUUGGUUGGAGCAUAUAUAUAUACCAGGAGGCUUUAAGAAGGCUGGCCACUAAUAGCCAUAGCCAGAGACUAUUAUGCAAUUAAAUAUAUUCUAUAUGCAAGUGUGCCGUCGCACACCACAUAUAGGCACCUAUUAUUAUGCAAUUGCAAAAUUUGCAGUUAAUCAUGUCCAAUUAAUAUAAGCGGCAGGUUAGAAGAAUAUCAAAAUGCAGGUUUCAAGAGGCCAAAUCAAUGCAUGUCUUCAUUUUCUAGGAAGAAAAACCAUAGUUGCCUAAUUCGCUCACCCCCUACGAAUUUCGAUCUGGAUCGAGCGUACCCAAUGGCGGUACGGUAUCGAUCUGGAACGAAAAGAUUUAACGACGCACUUCCAGAGGAGAGAACAGUACCUGAUAGAAGACGUCGCUGCUACAGAACAGUUCCUGACCGCCGACAGCAGACGAGCAAUCGAGGGCACAUGAGGGAGAGUGCUAUAGCUAAUGAGCCCACGUUUGAUUCUUGGUCCCCUGGAAGAUAUUGGAUUCGGAAAGGAUUUUUUUGGACGAAUAGAUUCCAAGGGGUGGGAUGGGCGAUAAAUGGAGGGCGCGAUAAAGCAGUUCCAGCGGACAGCCCAGCCCAGGAGAAAGGCCCCUACAUCCAGCCCGGCAAGGCCCAAGGCAAGAUAGGCACUGACAUCAGCAAAGAAAAAAUAUUUUAAUCCCAUGUGAAAGUAGUUGUCCUUGGAUUAUCAUGGUAAUGGGUAAAAAAGUACAAAAAAAAUUGUAGAAGAAUCUACUAUUCAAGUGAACAAUAACCGCCCUUACUUGGCCUUGCUCCUUGCCAUGACAAAUUGGUAGAAGUACGAGGGGAACGUACUAUAGAUUGGGUGGUUGGGUUUGUCAAUAUAAUAAAAGUACUAUUUCCAAUAAACGUACUACCCUUGGACCUAAUGUAAGGGUUGAGAAAAAAUUGGUUUAAAUAUCAAUAUGUCAUCUCUUAUUUUACUUUUACAGUAAAAUACUAUUUUGGUUAUGAAAACUACAGUCCCGUUCUCUUGGAUCCCUAUAGUCCAAGAACUUGUGAUCACCCACCCUCAGAUUAGAUCUAAAGGUUCACAAAAAUAUAUUUAAAAAUAAAUUUUAUUUUACUCUUACUGCAUAAGAUAUUAAUUUAACUUAACCAAAAACUAAAAGUUCAAAAAGAAAUAGUAACACUUCAAUCAAACAACACGUUCAGGGCAGAAAAAAAAAAAUCAGAAACGGGUUCUUCCUUCCAUCGCCGCCACAGCAACUCCGACGCCAUCGCCUCCACAGUAACCCCGACUCUGGCGUCCCAUACAAAAAUCCAAAUCAACCCAUCCCCUUGCAAAUUAAUGCGAUCAAUAUGUAGUAAACAAAGAGAAAACUAGAAUUAAAGAAACAAAUGAAUGAAGGUCUGCAAAAAAAAAAAUUCAGAUGAUGUAAUUGCAGGAUGCCCACCCAAGACCUCUUCCUAUUCACAUGUUAACCGCUCCUUGAUAGUAUAAGAUUCAUAAAAUCAUGUUAACCAGUAAAAGAGGAGGAAACCCAAUUGGAAAACUUCAUCUACAUGGCUGCCAAGAGGCCAAAGCCUCCCAACUGCUACCUUCUCUCUUAUCUCCCUUUGAGAUUCUCAACUAUCCCUCUUGUGUACAAUGUAAUGAAAGGAAUUUAAGAAUGAUGAAUUAUCAAUGAAUGAGUCUCAACUCUUUGGGGACUCUCUAUUUAUAGACCCAGGCAGUGGCGGACCCACAGAGGUGCAAGGAGGUGCAGCUGCACCUCCCUUCGCCCGGAAAAGCCUUAAAGGUACCAUAUUUGCCUCUCUGCUCUGGUGCCCACUAAUUGCUUGAGAAAAUGCCUGAAAGAUGUUCUUGUUUUGCUCGAGAGAUUGUCUUCUGUUUUGUUUCUGCUUGUUUGCUCGCGUGCAAGCUCACUUUGGGGAGAGGCGGAGGUGUUUUGCCUGAACCUAUCAUUAUCAUUGUUUUGCAAAUUUCAGGUAUUGAGGAAGUGUCUAACAGAGGUGGUGCACGAGGUGAAGAAGACGACCUUCCUUUUUCUCAAAUAAUUUGACACAAACGGUGUCCUUUGCAUUAUUGUUGUGAUUCUUUUUCAUCAAUGAAACAAUAUGUUUUGGCUUUGUGUUGUAAAAUCAAACAGUGCAUUUUCAAUUGUUUUUUAAUGAAACGGUGCGGUUACGUUUAAAAAGGAAUAACCACUUUUUUAUUUUAAAAUAAGACAGCACACCUUUUUGAAAUAAACCAUGCUUGCUAGUAACAACUUUUUUUUUUUUUGGCAACAAAACAUUUAGAUAUAAGUUAUUACCUACAUGUAAGUGGCUUUAACCCUUUUGAAUAUUUGCCCCUUUCUAGAAAAAUUUCUGGAUUUGCCACUAGGCCUAGGGGUUAGCUAAAAUCAGAUUAUACAAUUGAGUCCACCAACCACACCUACUUGACCUAACACACAAUUGCAUUUGAAAUUAGUUUCUCUUCUCGUUAGGCUUAGUGUUGUAGCUCCCACUUCAUCUUCUUUUAUUUCUUUUGACAGCUAGAAAGCUCCACUCCAAUUAUAAGUAAUGAAUCUGCUUCACAUAACUUCCCCACCAUCAGCAACACCUCAUGCUUAGGUCAGAAUUACCAAGCAACAAUUAGCUCAUGCUUAGGUCAGAAUGACCAACAAUUUCAUGGGCUCAUAACUUGGGCUUCGCUUUAGCAAAUGACGACUUUAAGCCCUCCAACUUGAAGUCCAAAAUGUCAUCUUUCCAACCACAUGUCAUUUGGGUCAAUCCAAGGUCGGAUGAAGAUGUUAAGCCCAAAACAAGUUGCUAACUAAGUCUUCAAGUUUGCACCUUUUUUGCACCAUUUUGCAUCUUCUUCUAUCCAAUGCCUCCAAUGAUACUUAGAGCUCAAUGAACUGAAUGACAAAGACAAAAGAGAUUAAAGGCACAAGGUUAACUAAAAAACAUAACCAAAUCAUAUGUUAUAAGGGUACAAAAUGAUAACAAUUAUGCAGUGAUCACUUACUCACUUUUGAUUAGGAUAAUUUUAAUUUUAUGAGAGGAUUAUUUAAUUAUGGUAUGUAAAGUCUUAUUUUCUAACCGUAUUGGAGUCAUGUUCAUUCCUAAUCUGAUCUUGGAUGAGGGUCUUUUAUAAAUGGAUAAUGCUUCCCUCGUUGCCCAUAAUGAGGAUUAUUGCUGGUCUCCUCGGCUUUGUAACCUUGCUGAGAUUCGAACUGAAUCAACUUCAUUAGCUUAGGAGAAUGAUUGGCAAAGAGAAUUUGUUUGAAUUAAUAAUUAAAUAGUAUUUUUGGAAUAAUGGUGGGUGGAAAGAUAAGAUUAUAUUAUUUUUUUUAAAUUUACAUGGUGGAUGGGAAGAUAAGGUGGGUUGGAAAAUAGGACAUUUGGUGGAAAUAGCAGCACUCUGAAUUAAUUAUGAUUUGAAAUUUUUUUUUUUGGGCCGAAAAUUAUGAUUAAUUUAAUAUUCAUAUAAAAAUAAAUUAAUAUUAAUUAUGGUUGUAUUUAAUUAAUUGUGAUUUUAUUUAAUUUAUUAUUAGUGCCCCUUUUUAUAGGGCUAUAUAGGCUCCAUCUAUGAUCAUGAACAUUCUUAACCCUUGGGUAGGGUUUGGGCUUAGCCUAUUCAAGAUAUGGCGAAUUCGACUUGGCCCAUUCAAUCUUUAGGGCUAGAAAAGUCUAUAACUGAGUAGGGCCUGGACUAACCGAGCCCGACCCCGUUUUCUUAUAAUACAUUUAGGCAUAUGUGGGUUAGAAUAGUUGAGCAUAGAGAGUGUCUCUAAAUAUAAGAAAAAUGAAAGAACAAAAAAUAAAAAUAAAAAUUUCACUCAAGUUCGAGUCCCUUUCUUUAUAGAUUAAAUUAAUUUAUAAUAAUUUAGACUAUCCCUUAUAUAAAUAUAUAUAUAUAUAUAUAUAUUUCACUUCUAAUUUUCUUAUAUUUGUAUUAACAUUGAUAUUUAGUACCUUAACUAUCAGCUGCAAAUCACAGCAAAAUUUUAAUCAAGGUGGAAAAUAACCCCUUUUGUUUUCAUUUUAUAAAGUCACAAAAGACUUAUAAUAAGAGCAUCACCAAGGGUAUACCGUAUAGACAAAUAAAUAAGCAAACCAUGUUUGAACUUGAUUGCGAGUGAGCACACUGCCUUACCCAACUGGACUAACCUAUAUAUGCAUUCUCUUUUUGUUUUUAUGUAGUAGUAAAAGAUAAUGUAAAAGAUGAAAGUAAAUAAUAUCAUAAUAGUUAAUACAAUUACAUUAUUUAAUCUAUUAGAAUGAUCAAUUUUUUCAUAUGACAAAUGAAUACGCAACGUGACAUAUAAGUUCGUAAAGCACAGGUUUGUCUAUUUCAUUCACAUCUCCCUUGGACGAUAUUGGCAUAUUGCUGUAAAUUGUUUUGACAAAAUGAAAACUGGGUAUUAAAUCCGCUGCUUAUGAUUACGACACCCACAUAGAUUUUUGUAGUUAGGGGAAGGUCAGUCAAGACCUACAGAAUGGAGAGGUAGCAGUAUCAAAUCAGCGUCAAUUCCGUUUAAUUUUGACUUGGCUCUCUCUCUUCUGAAAUCGGAAAAUAAAGACUUUCAUUUGUAGUAGAAAAUGUAAAAUGAAUACAAUAAUCAACGCAAGCCCGUCGUCACGCUUUUGGCUUUUGGCUUUUGGCUUUUUGGACCCCAAUGCGUCCUCACCCAAACACGCCCUUUCUUUCUUUUAUUUUCUUUGUUUUCCAUCUAAUAAAUUUCUCUCAUUCAUUCAUUCCUUUCCUUCCAUAUUUGACCCACUUGCUCAACUCAUUCUGCAAAUUGCUAAUUUACUAAAUUGCUAGGGCUUCUUCCCGCACCACCUUUCUCCUUGUUUAUCUUGUUUCUUUUUCUGCUGAUAGAAAGCUCAAGAGGAAAAAAGAUCCAGGUUGACUCUUCUUUGCCGUAUCACUUCCUCAAGUCAAGGCGUAAUUUUCUAUUCCCUCUCUUCUUACUUUUCUAUGUUUCUUUGCGUUUACUCUUUGUCUUGUGAACCAUUUGAAGAAUUUUUUAGGUGGGUUUUCUUCUUUACCCAAAAUUUGUAGGUGGGUUUUGGAGUUUCUGAAAUUGGGUUAUCUUUGUGGAAUGCUUGUGGUUCAAUUAUAGUAAGAUAUUUGUUCUGUUUGCUUGAAUUGUUUUUUUGGGGUUUUUUUUUGGGGUUAAUACAGGGAGAUUUAUGAUUUGUGGUUUUGGUAUUACAGGAAUCUGUCUGAGCUUGGAACUUUUGCUGGUUUCUGAAGCUAAUUGUAUCUGCGGCUUUUGUGUUGGACUGUGAGGGCAGCUUUUGUGCUUUUCGAUUUGUUUGAAUUGGUUGCAUUUUCUAAGAUUGUUGCCUUCAAUACUUAUCACUGAACAAAACUGGGGUUGUUUUGAGCUUGGUUUGUGAGUUUUUGGGUAUCCUUUGAAGCUUUGGAAUGGUUUGACUUUGUGGGUAUUUAGCAGAAGUACAUAUAUUUCGUUUGGUGAAGUUGUAUUUGAGAUUCAAGGAGUUGGAAAGUUGUACUCGAGCCUUCUUUUGAAGUUCUGGGCAAUUGUUUUGAAGCUAAUGCGAAUGGCUUGACUUUGUGGGACAUUGGCGAAAGUUAAUUGGUUGGUGGUGUGAGUUUGUUUGUGUUUUCCUCAAAAUGGAUAACUCCGCAAACAGGCAUAAUGAUCAUUUGGGUGUGAACAAAAUUGGGAAAAAUAUAAGGAAGAGUCCAUUGCACCAACCCAAUUUUGCUAAUAAUGCCGCUAGGCAACAGCCUCAGCCUCAGGUAUACAACAUAAGCAAGAAUGAUUUCCGCAACAUUGUUCAGCAGCUUACUGGUUCGCCAUCACAAGAACCUUUGCCUAGACCUCCUCAGAAUCCGCCAAAACCCCAAAGUAUGCGGUUGCAGAGAAUUCGGCCUCCUCCAUUAACACCUAUCAAUAAUAGACCAGUAAUACCGCCUCCGGCUCCUCAUCCUUCAGCUCCACCGCUGGUUCCAUACAAUAAUAACUUCAUGAGGACUCAGUUUGGACAACCAUCACCUACACCGAUGCCGCCAUUUCCACAUGGAGACUCAAUGUGGGCAAAUACAGCUGAGUCUCCUAUCUCAGCAUAUAUGAGGUACCUUCAAAGUUCGAUGCUGGAUCCAACUCCAAGGGGUAACCAAGCUCAGCCACAACCACAAGGUCCAGGUCAAAGUCAGUCUCAGGCACCAUCGACUGGUUUACUUCCUAACCCAUCCAUGCCUGCUCACCCGCCCCCCAGAAUGAAUGGUCCUGUACCACCUGCGCCUAAUCUACCACACCCACCAGUGAAUGGUCCUGCCCUCUUACCCUCACCAACUUCACAGUUCUUAUUGCCAUCCCCAACAGGUUUCAUGAACCUGUUGUCCCCAAGGUCACCUUAUCCAUUGCUUUCACCUGGGAUGCAGUUUCCUCCACCACUGACCCCCAAUUUUCAGUUUUCACCCAUGGCCCAAUCAGGGAUAUUAGGUCCAGGGCCUCAACCUCCACCCUCUCCGGGUUAUUUGUUUCCAUUAUCUCCUUCGGGGUUUUUCCCCAUUUCAAGUCCAAGAUGGAGGGAACAAUAGUUGUCAAACCAUUGUUAUGUAUGUCAGUUCCAUGCUUUCUCCUGAGGUCUGUCUUUAUGUGGACUCUCUCAUCUACUUCUUCAUUUGUGAAAACAGUGUUGUAUACUGGUAGUGUAAGUGGCCCUUUGGGCCACCUCUAGUGUUCAUCUCUCAUUUUUUUAUCUUUCUUUCGUUGAUACUCACUCUACAUCUUUUUUUAUUCUGGACUCCUGUAUCAGCUGCUAUCUUUUUUAUUUAAUUUUGUUUUCAACAAGUUUAAUUUAGGCAAUAUAGUGAAGAUCAACAAUGCAAUGGGAAGAUUGGACAGGAGCUGUAAUUUGGAAGACUGGAAAGAUGGAGCUAUAACAUGAAAGGAGGUAGGACACUUGAAAAUUAAUAUGUAGGGUCUUUAGUGGAAGGUCUAUAGUGGAAGAGUUCUUGUAAUUUUGUGAUAUUUGAAUUAAACUGUAGUUUGAUGAUGUUAAUUCUUCUUAAGUUAGCUGGCAUGCGAAAUGAAUUUUCGUAUUAAUGAUUAUAGUUUUGUUGUACCUAGAUUUGUUCAAUGAAGAAUUUCUUGUUUGACCAACUCAUAAUUUGAAUAAUGCUACUAGUUCGUUGUUUUUCUGCUUUAAAUUUAAACAUUGUAAUGAUGUGUUGGGAUGAAGUAAUUCUAGUUUCUCAUGUUUGUGAAAGAAAAUGAAAUUGAGAAACUACAACCCAGAUUUCUAUAUAUAAUGCUAAGAUUAUUUACCUAGAUAAUGAAUUUCUGACGCAUGUGACUUGCUAAUUUCCUUUUAUGAAAGAAAUAGUACGAGAAAGAAGAAAUAUAAUGUAAUUCUUAUGAGAUUCAUGUAUGUUGAGGGAAUGCAUUUAACAUCUACCAGCAUUCUUCUCUUCAACUAUCUUCAUCUUAGCAUUUUUCCUUUUGUUUAAGCAUUAGACUUCCUAGCAUUAUUAUUGUACUUACUGGUAAAAAUGACUCUUCUCCUCACAAGUGGCGUUGGGGGCAGGGAAGUAUUUUUAUGUACAUUCCAACUUAGUGGUGCUACUGUAUUUGCAGCCAUUCAAUGUCUUUCAACUCUUGCUCCAUUUUUCUUUCGCUUUUACACUUGGAUGUGGAUAGGAUAGGGUUUCAGCUAUUUUUCAUUGCAAGAUUGGGUGCCUGUGUUCCCUAUUUCUUAUGAUCUGGCUGUUGGGUGAUCAGACGAAGUUUUUAGUGGUGGACCUUAUUUACACCUUUAGUUAUGGUAAGAACAACAUGACCGCGCAUUUUUUGAAUUGUGCAUAGAGUUCUUGUAAUUAUUAGAAUUGAGUAUGUUAUAGUAAAAGGAGGACCUUUCUAGCAAUUGUGUCUUAUUAGCAUGAUCAAAACCAAGGGUGAGAUGUGGGUUAGAGAUAUGAGAUUGACUAUCAAUCCUCACAUCCUGUUUCUAUACUGCUUGACGUUCCUAACCUUUAGGGUUUUGCCCAUUGAGGAAAUUUAUAGAGCAGAUCAAGUCAGAAUGGUUAUAGUAUUGUUUAGAAGGGAAAGAUGAGUUGCUGCACUUAGAAUCGAUCUAGGCUGAUUAAAUGAUUUAGGGCCCGGGGUGUAACCUUUGAUACUUUUAUUUUACAUAGGACAUCCGUAUGAAGAUUGUUCUAGAUAGUAGAAGAUGAAAUAUGAAUGAAUUCUUGUAGAAAGGAAACUGGCUAUGCCCCAUCAAGCAUAGGGCACAGCCAUUUUCCUUGCUAUGCCCUAUCAAGCAUUUGUUGGAUUUGUACUUAUGAUCCUAUUACAUAAUGAAGAUGAGGGAUGGCAUAGGAAAGGAUGCCCUGGCAUUUGUGGCUUAUCGGUGACCUGAUCAUGACCCAAAAGCCAUAUCUCCUUAGGGUUAAGGGUAAGAUGUGAGAUUUAAUCGCUUGAGCUAUAGAUUGUCUUGUUUUUUUGUUUUUUUGUUUUGUUUUUGUUUUUGGUGCAAACAAUAUUACGGGAGGAUGAAUAGAACACAGAACCUCAUAUUCAUAGGCAAAUACUUUUAAUUGCUUGAGCUACAGAUUGUCUUGUUUUUAACCUUUAGGCUUUGCUCUUUGAGGAAAGAGCAGAUUUGAGACUAGGUGGUUUUGGACUAAAUUUAACUUGGGUUAUAGGAAAUUCAAGCUUUUUUUAAAUAUAAAAAAAAAAUUAUUUAUUUUUAUUUUUAUACAAGCAAUAUUGGGGGAAUAAAGUUUUUUCACACGCUGUCAAGAUGUCAUAGGGAUUUUCUCACCACUAGUCUACAAGUUAAGCCUCUUUCCACCGAGCCAAACCCUGUUGGCAAGGUUUUUUCUUACUCAUGGGAAAAAGGGGGAUUGGAGGAGAAGCUAAAUAUAGCAGAUAUAUGCAUUUCUUACUAAUUUGUCCAUCCCUGGGUAUUGCUUUAGCAUAGAAAAUAUAACAAUAAUUGUUCAAUACUCCCUUGCCCAUGUCUUCUCAACACGCUAAAGUGAGAAAAAGAAUACAUAAAAUAGUUCAAAAAAAAUAAAAACUGAAACUGAUUGCCUAAUGGUUUGUUAUUUUCUAUACACAAUCUUUAUUAUUUCCUAUCAUAAAUUCAUUCAUCAUCUCUCUCCCUUUAUUUUAAAUUAUAAAAAUAAAAAAUGAAGAAAUGUUGUCAAAUAUCAUUACUUGGAUGAUUUUAUACUUGUUAAUAUUCUCAUGUAUUUAUCUAAGAUAAUAACUUUGUGCAAUUGGAGACUUAUGAGCUUAUAUCUAAUCAAUACAUGAGAAUAUUAAUAUUAACUGGAUACUUGAGAAUAUUUAUUGGAUAUUAAUUGGAUCAAUACUGCCAUUAUCUAGUUUAUUGUUAUUUAUUUAAGAUAAUAUCUUGGUGUAUUGGAUAUCAAUUUUUUUUUAUACGAACGAUAUUAUAUUUUAAUCUAAUCUAAAUUACAGAAAGGGAAUUCGAACUUAAGUUCUGAGUAGAAAACAUAUCUACCCUAGUCAACUUAACUAAUCCACUACCAGCUCAACAAUUUAGACUAACAUAAUAACAACAAUAAUUCAGCCACAUGGCCGUUGCUGUUUCGUUGGUCCUCAUCACAUCAUAUACCAUAAUGUAUUUUUUUCCCUGGUAGCAUCAUCAUAGUGUAUAUAGUAUUGUACGAUUCACCUAACAUAUCCAUCAAUUCGGAUACGUUCCAGUCCCAUGCCUCAGCCUGACAUGGGGACCGUUGACUCUGUCUAUAAAUUGCCAGUAAUAAUCUCAAUCUCCUUUUCUUAAAUUUAUUUUUAAUUUGAUGAAGUUCAGUGUGAAAGGGUCUGCAUAAUCUGCAAGGGCACGCACCCCACCACCACCACCAACCAAGAUACCAAAUUACACGAUACAUCAUUGACUCUCACAAUAAACGUAUGGGUUUUCAUGAUUUUGUGUUCAGAUUUGUACAGUUUUCAUGUCCGGAGUCAGUGUGAGCGUUAUGAUCUCAAAAUGUACAAGUGUUGUCUACUAGCAGCUGAUUUCUGGGUAGUCGUUUCUUUCUAAUGUUAGAACAGGUUCGUUCGUGUAUUUUUGUUCUUAUUUAUUAAAAACCGAAAAGAAAAAAAAGAAAAAAGGGAGGGGGGGGGGGGCCUAGACUUAUGUUACUCCCAAUAGUUGAAUGCCCUUUUUCGAACUUAAGCUGAAAAGGGGAAAAGGUCCUACUAUAAAUGGACCUCUCCUUUCAACAGUAUUGUUAAUCUUCCAUUAUCUGGACCCUACUGCUCUCUCUGUGUGGAAAAAUCCUAUCUAACCUCACUCUCUACUUAAGAAGGUUUCCUAGGAAGAUUUUAAAGAGGGCGCUGUUAUCGUGGGGCUCUACUGCAUUGUGCCGCUCUAUGUAUACGUCUAUCAAUCAAAUCUUUUUUUCAAAAAACAAUACAUAUACAUUUGAGAAUUUCAAAGGGGUUUGUUUUAAUGAAAAGGAAAUAAAAUGGCAAAUUUUAGAGAUUUUAGAGUGAGGUUAAAAUAGAAUUUCAAUUCCAUUUUUCUUUACUGUUUGAAAUAAAAAAGAGAAAAAGAAAAAGAAAUGGGUUUCUUUUUCUUCGCAUGUAUCAUUAUUAUUAUUAUUAUUAUCAUCAUUAUAUUUGAAAUAAAAAAUAAAAAAGAAAAGAAUUGUAUUUCUCAAACUCAAUCACAAGUGACAAUGACUGGAGUCCAAUGGUCAGCGAAGUAAGUAAUGCUUUCAACUGCCAACAUGCAAAUUGCUAGCUCUCAUCAAUGAAUACUUUUGCCAUCAACAAUGACCAGUACAAUGAACCUUUCACCUCCUGCUGCUGCUGUACUCUCUCUUUCUUUUUUGUUUGGUAAAAGUAGAAAUAAUUAAUUACUAUUUAGUUACAUUUUGAUAAAUUUACUGUGCUAUCAUGGGGGUUGAUAUAGAUACAUUGAAUCUGAUAAAUUGCUAAGAACUACAAAUUAUAUAGACAGUCACCUUGUGGAAUUCCCCAACCAAUCUCAUUUGAGGUACAUCUUAUGUGAUUCACAAUAAAUAAAUAAAAAUAAAAUCUCAACAGAUAGGACGAGAGCGCCGCGAUCUAUCAAAACUUGGGCUCUCCAAAUCCAACGCUGCAUCUCCUCCUUGUGGGAGAGGAGGUCUCUACCCCUCCCCCCAUCUCUCUUCCCUGGUUUUUGAUUUUCUUUCACGGUUCAUGCUCGAGCUUUCCUGCUCGUUUUUGAGGCUUCAUGCUUCAAGGCUUCUUGCCUCUUUGGUGGGGCUUCUUGCCUUUCUAUUGGGGCUUCAUGCCUCCUAUCUUUAUUGUUCCCCCAAAUCUCUGUCAUUCCAUUCCACUCAGUGUUUUCCCUUUGUUGUCCUCCAAUCGGUUCCUACUUUCCUUCAUGUCUCCUAUUUAAUUCAUUGUAAAAAUUAGAUACAUUGGAAACCACUAAGACAUCUACUUGUGAAUGACAAAAUUAAUUAAUACAAUGUUUCAUAUAAAAAAAAUAAAAAUGAUAACUAUUUAAUUGAGUGGUCAAAUAGUUUUGAAUUGAGUGAUCUUUGUUUUGUUUUUGCAAAGAUGAUAUUCAAAAGAAUACUUCAAAAAAUUAGACGAUUUAGAUCAUUAGAAUACAAUGUAGAACAAACCCUAUAAGGGUGUCCCUAAAAUAAAAUGCAUCAACUAUUUGUACAAAGAUUAAAUACAUAUCUUGGGGGAACAAAAAACCCUAAGAAAAGAAACCUUUGAAUUCAAAUUUAACCAGUAUGACACUAUGAGUUUAGCCGAUAUGGUGCUAUGAGUCUCUUCGAAUUUGCCUCGAGAGGAUGUGGAGUGAUAGUAACACUUCUUUGUUCAUGUUCAAUACUUUUCAAAAUCGAUACAGAUUAAUGAAUCGAGAAUUUUAGUCACUUUGUAAAUCGAUUCAACUUGUUAUUGCAUUUAGUCAUUGGAGAAAAUUUAUCUAUAGUUCUUUGUACUCCGUGUUUUCUCAUCAACAAUUAUUAUGUUUAUUCUUAAAACAUAUUAACACAUUCAAUUGGAACAAAGUACGAUGGUGCAUUGUGAUUUGUGAUGAGAAGUCGAAGGACAAAAAGCCCCAUUAAUCGCGAUUAGAUUCUUACAUAAAGUCAAAAGCAGAGAUUCCAUUUUCUUUAAUUCUCAUUUAUAGGGUGGGAUUAAAUUAGGCACUAGGAUAUGACCCACUCAUCCCUUGCCCUUUCUUUGCUCCUUGCCCUUUGGUUGGUCCUAACUUCUAAACUUGCACUCAACAAAAUGCAGAGAUUACAAUAUCAAAGAGAUAUGGAGAGAGAGAGAGAGAGAGAGAGAGAGAGAGAGGAAAUAAAUUGAAAAGCACACUUGAGUUGCAAACCCAAAUGCCCAAAUCAAAAUAUUCACAUUGGAAUUUGGCAGCAAGAAAGAAAGAAAGAAGACAUGACAUCACUGUCCCUCAGCUUUGACAUUUCUGUACAAAUGCAUUGACUGAAAUGCCCUUACCUUCUCCUCACAAUUUCAACUUACUCAUGCAUGGCAUCCCGGUCAAUCCAUUAAAACCAAGGACAUUUUGGUGAUUCCAAAUUUAAAAAACAGAGAGAUAAGGAACAGAGGCGGCGUACUUACAAAAUUCAGAAAUUAAAAAAACCCAAAACAAAGCCCCAGAAAAAGAUUUUUUUUUUUUUCUUUUCUUUUCUUCUUUUAAAAAUCGGUGUGAAUUUUUUUCUCACAUCACCUGCGGUUUAGCGUCACCGUCACCCGCCAGCCCUUCGGUGACCGACGCCAGCUUCUGGAGAUUCAACUUGACAACUGUAUCCGCGAAGAGACGCGUGUCCUCCUCGGAAUUCCCCUCGGGCACAUCGACAACGUACGAUUCCAAAACGACAGUCCAGAUCCUCCCGUCGCGCUCGAACCCAUGCACGGUCGUCACCGACCGGUAAUUCUUGAGCCGGUGCUCGCCGCCGGUAAUACUGAAACCGGUGACGUGGCGGUCGUCAUCGAGAAAGUCGAGCCGCUCCGUGCUGGUGGCCGCCGGUAGCCCGGAGAUGACAUUGACGUCCCUCGUGCACCCGACGGUCAUUUUAAACCCCUCCUUGACCGUACAGCUCCGGAUGAAGUGCUUGUAGGUCUGGGGCUUGUCGAAGCGGCGCACCACCGACCACACCUUGUCGGGCGGAGCGUACACGCGCUGCGCGAGUAGGGAAGAGCAUUUUCCGGGACCCACCGGGUACUUGUGGAACUCGGCCACGAUCCGCUUCAAGUCGUCGAACUCGUCCUGAGUCAACCCGGCGGGAAUCCUGAGGUGGUGCUGGGUGGUCUCCUCCGCGUCUUGCUCGGCCGCUGAGCCCUCGCCUUUCUCCAUUACGAGUCUCCGAGAGAGAAAAGAAAGAGCUGAUGAGGGGAUGCACUUUGGUUUAUUUGGGAUACGGAUUUUGUAGGAUGGCAGGGGUGAAAUGGUAAAUGUAUUUGUUUAUUAAAUUGAAGGGGUUGAUUUGGGAAUUUUUUUUUAAAAAAAAGGGUUUUUAAAAAGGUGUAUGGGAAAGGUGUCAACUUGUUGAUGCGGACAGAUGGGUUCUUCUUGGUUGCUUGACAGUUCUACCUGGCUAAGCUCUGCAAGCCGAGCUAAUUGCACGUCUUAAUUUUUUUUCUGUAAAAUAAUUUCAUAAAGAAAAAAAUAAUAAAAAUAAUAUAAAAACUAUACAUAAUACGACAAGAUUCAGAUAUGGAUUUACCCAAAGAAGAAAGAAAAGACAAUGCUGCCGCAAAUUAUUAUAUAUAAUAAAGUGACAGGUCAGAGUAAUUAUUGUACAAGGGUUAUAUAGAGCAGGGGUUGGGUCAGUUUGUUUAAAUAUUUGAACCCCUAGAAGAUACUAAUGGAAAUUCAUUAAUGCUUUCCUUUCACAACAAGUAGAGUGGAAGUAUAAUGAAUCGUACAUUAUGGGCAUUGUAUAAGUUAGUUUAUAUAGGUUUCAAAAAAAGGGAAAUACAGUCACUCUUUAUCCUUGUAGUUUCCCCGAGUUUUUAAUCUAUGAAUUCAAUUUUGACACUUUAACCUCUAGUUUGAUACAUAUUGCAAUUUGAAGACACGUUUAAUUUCAUGAUUAAGUAAACGUGUGCCCUUCAAGUGGAGGGGUAUUUUUUGUCUGCCACAACUACAACUGGAUGAGCCACUUCUUCAACCUCUGAAUCGAAAUUUUUGCACUCUAUACUUGUCCUCACUCUGAAUCUUAUAUAAAUUGAUUGAAAAAAUCAAAACUUUUGAGGAGCACGAAGGUAGAUGGCACAAGUAGACAAAAAUACAUGAGUGCUUACAACGUCAUGGAAUUGGACAUCAAACUAGAUGGGUGUUAUAGUUUAAAUUACAGGGACCAAAAUGGAAGAUUUGGUAAGAUAUAGGGACAAAAAGUGACUUUUCUCCAAAGAAUGAGAGUGACUUAAAAGAUCAAGACAUGUAAAAAGGAAAAAAGAGUGAGUUAAUUGGGAAAUCAAAUUUAGUGUUCGACGCUGCCUUUUCAAAUGGUUGUGUAAACUCAAUUUUUCAAAAACAAUCAAACAAGAAUACGUGCACAAAAUAAAUUUGUAUUAAUUUAUUAAGUGUGUCAGUUAAACGCUCUAUGGUUUAUUAUUUACUUGGAUAUCACUUUGAUUCAAUCUAUCUGAUGAGUUUCAUCCAAGUGUUGCGAGUACUUGUCAUUGAACGGGAUGAUUGAGUCUUCAGAUCUCCUUGAGUCAUCAGAUUUGCAGAAGUGGUUUGGUCAAGAGCCAUCAAGGCUUCAUUCUUGAACAAACUGGAACAAUGAGGAUUGUCACGCAGUGGAUAAUCUUCGGUUUUGGUAGUGGCAGAAUCAACACAUCUUUUUUAUGCUUUGUGAUUCUUCCAAUGCUUAAUGAAGUUGCACUAACAACUAUUAUAGCCCACAUCACCACAUUAAGCAUAAUCCCAAAAAAAAAAAAAAAAAAAGUCUAUGAAACCCAACAUAACCGAAACCAUAAGCAAUAGAGAAGCUCAAAUGAACACUACUGCCACCACCUAAAGAAGCGGCGUAGUGGUCCCAUCAACCACCUCAUAUAGUCUAUAAAUGAGAAAACAUGUGAUAGAUGUGGGGCCUUCCAGCAAUCUAAUUGCGCAUAAGAGCGAACAAAUAUGCCAAAACAACAACCAUGACAAAGAGCAAUUGAGUGAUUUCUAGUAAACUCCGUUAAAUACGAAGUAGAGCUAAAUUCAAAGAAAAUGAGCAUUGUUAGAGAGCAAGUUUUAAGAAAAUGUUUUGAUUGAAGAUAUAGCCCAAAAUGAUAUGAGCAUCUGAUUCAAAAUGCCUAGUGCACUUAUUUACUAACCCAAAUAGAAAAAGGAAAGAAAAGAUGAGGGAGAUGAGGGACAUGAUGCUUCUUCCUCCACUCCUUAUGUUGAGUUUUUCUAUGGCACCCACAGAGAGUUAUUUCAUUAUUCUUCUUUCUCAUUAGUUGGUUAUUAGCAUAGUCAAAAAUAUCGAUAAUAUCGACAAAACGUAUUCAUACACAUAGCGUAUAAAUAUCAGAAAUAUCGAUGUCAAUAAUUUCGCUCACACUUCAGCAAUAUUUUGUCAAAAUAUGGCUAUAAUAUCGAAAAUAUUUAUGAAAUGGAGAAAAAAAAAAACACACACACACACACACACACAAAGGGGAUUCAAACCCUUGUAAUUUCACUCAUCCAACACCUUAACCACCAUGUUGCUUGUGUUUUUGUGAUAAUAUGCUAAAAUAUGUAUAUUUAUAUUGUUUUGAACAAUUACAUGCAAAACUAUUUUUGGGGUUUAUCAUUUGAUGACUACAUUUCACAAUAUACUUGCUCUACACAUAGAAAUGAGGAAGAUAGUGAAAAUUUUGAACUUCAUUAGAACUCUGUGUGGUACAAAGUCACUCUUGUAUCUUACCAUGCAAUGUAUAAAGUAUAAAAUAUUGUAGUAAAUCAUUAUAUAUAAAUGAUUAUGGUGUGUUUAAUCUUCUUUCAUUAAUUACUACAUAUUUUCUAUACUCACAGUGUUUGUCAGCUCGCUAUAUAAUCAACUUAAAUCAGUUACCCAUCAUGCAAUGCAUUUCCUUCCAAUUUUUUGUGAUAAACUAAUAGAUAAUUGACUGAAUCAACAUCCUCCAAAGUUUCAAUAAAAAUUUCCAAGUUUUUCUUACAAUUCUGUGGUUUUUUUUUCAAUUUUUAUCGAUAUUGAUAAUAUCUCAAUAUUUCCAUCGAAAUUUUCAUGUUUUUAGAAUACCAAUAUUUUCGAUACUAUCAAUAUUUUAGACUUUAGUUAUUAGACACAUAAAAUCUCGAGUUCUUAUUACUUUGAAUCUCCACCUUGACAGUGAUUCAAGGUCUUCAGAUUUAGUGAAGAAAAAAAAAUUCAACAUCAAGCUAGUUCUUGAUUCAUAAUUGAUUGGUCUGAAAUCAGAUUCUUUGACACAUAUGAUUCAUUCGUUCUACAAGUCUAGUAGCUCAACACAAAAAGAGGUAAGAUUAACUCUAAUAUAAAUGAAGAAGAAAAAAGUCCAUAACUCAAGUCGAAGCUGAGGAAAGAAGCUAUAAGGUUUUUGUUUUUUGUUCAGGUCAGCUGAACUUGACAUGUUCUUUCCUUUGUCUUCGGAGAAUUUAAUACUCUUAGGUAGUGUUGGAGCUUGCGUGGUUCCCUCUUUGGGAAAGUAAACGUCCAUCUCACUUUCCCAGCUAAUCCAGCUAAGCAAACCCAUCCCCUUCUAGUUCCUCUAGUAUAAAUAUAUUUUAAGCAGAUAUAAAUUAGAUUAGUUGAUAAUGACAAUAAAUCCUUUUCUUUACAUUCAAAUUCGAAUAUUUUUAUAUAUGCAUGCAUAUUUAUAUAAGCGAUAGUUUAAUUUACUUAGAGGGAAAUUUGAACUUAAAUAGAAGAAGACGGAUUCAUUAUCAUGAUCAACUGACCUAACUAACGUCUACAAAAUAAAUAAAUGUAUUUGAACAAAUCCUAGGACAAACUAUUCAUAUAUUCGCCAAAACAAGACAAGAGGCAAAUGACUUUCUUAUCGACAUGAAGAAUCCAAGUCUUUGGUAGCAACCCACGACUUCUUGCGCCCUCAUAUAUUUAAUUUCCCCCACUUUUGGUUUUGUGGUUCUUGUUUAUUCCUUUUGCUCUAAACCAUGUAAGGGAUUGCAAAGAAGAUAUUUGAUUGGUGCAAUUUGUUUAGGCCAUGUCCCAUUUUGAAGUCAUGAUGUUGGCUUUUUUGGCUCUUUUUUUUGGUUAGUCCUGGAUUAAUGGUGUCAUUAUUACCACCAAAUACUCCAUUGUACAUAGGCUUCAAUGGCUUAGAUAUGAGUCGAGCCAUUCGAGAGGCUAAUUAUUCUGCAAUAGCUGUGUUGACAAUAAUUGUCAUUUUAAAAUUCUCGUAUUCGAAUAUAUUGAAGCCUGAAUUUCCCAAUGCAUUAGAUUAUACAACUAUUUGGAGAGGAGCCUAGAAGAUUUCAAAGUUUUAUAAUGUUUUUGUUUUGUAGCAGCUGAUUAUUGAUAACAAGCAUAAGUUUCCAAGGAAGAUAUUUAUAAAAAAUAAAAUAUUUAAAACAGGUGAAAAUAGGGUAAAGAAAUAGUAGUGGGACUAGCAGCCUAAUAAUUUCAAGUAUGGCCAAUUGGAAGAGGUUUUCUUCUUCCCAUUUGGGCAAGGAUUUUCAUCUUUGCUGGUCUGGUUCUUCUUCUUCUUCUUAAUAAGUUGGGUUUGAGCAGAACAAGUAGUUGGAGGCUUCUGGUCUGGGUGCUCUCCAUCAGGUUGUUCCUGCACAGAAGAAAAUAACCAGACAUUAUUCCAAGGUCCCAUGGGCACUGAAUAAGUCUAUGUUGUGCUUUGAAUGGAACUGAAAAGAAGUCAGUUGGGAAGUAGAAUAUGUGUAAGAUUGAGAUGAUCACCUGAAACAAAAGUGAAAGUGUUUUUAAAGAGAAUAUUUUGAUGUGACAAAAAGGAAAGUUCAUUCAUGAACCAUUGCACAAAAGACAUGGAUAUGCACAGGCUUUAUGCAUGAUAUAAAAUUGUCAGCAUCCACAAUAAGCCAAGCGCGCGCGCGCGCAAACACACACAUACAUAUAUAUAUAUAUAUAUAUUAUAUCAGCUUAGUAAACUGCUAAAAGAAGAAACAAAAAAAGCAAAAUAAAAUAAAAUAAAGUUUGGAAAUUCACAAACUCCAUUCAACAAAAGGAGUUUGAAGCAAGAACAAGUUAGAUGACAUAAGGCAAAACUUUCUGAAGAGAGCAUAUGCUUUUAGUAUGAUACUGCCCUGCUGUAGUUUAUUAUUAUUUUUUUAUAUGCGAUAUUUGGGGAGGGAGAAAUCAAGUUUAGGACAUCGAAUGCAGAGAUAAAAAAUUUCUCAAUGUGAUGUUGAUCCCCAGCAUUAUUAUGAUAAGUUUAUAUAUAUGUAACUGAUUGAGAUAUAAAUUAAUUACCUCAAUUUCAAGCCUGGUGGCAUGGACUUGGGAUAUUCUUUUAUUGUGACCUUGAUAGGGAUUGGAGGUGAAAGUUGGGAAUGAGCAAGAUGAUUCCCCCUUGGAUCCAUGGCUCCAAUAGGUAUUCCCUGAUGCUUGUGUAGAAGUGCAUGAUGAGCUGCUGCUUGAAUCCAUCUCUAAGCACAACUGAAGCACCACAGGUUGAAGGAAAAUAAAAGCAGGAAAUUAAUUGUGUUCUUUAUUGAUAUAGAACUGCAUCCACUGAAAAGAGAAACCCAUUUUUGUUUUCUUUUUGGCCAUCAAAUCCUUUUUUUUUUUUGUUUUGUUUUGUUAGGUCACUCCUUUGUUCCAAAUGAUGAUAGUUGUCUAGUUUCAUAAUCACAGAGGUUAGACACAUUGACACAAUUUUUUUUUUUCUUAAAACUAAAAUAAAAUUACAUAGAGGCUUCUUGAAGAAGCCCGAAAUUCUGAAUAUCAUACAUAAUUUUUACAAAAAACAGAGGAAGGAGAGUUACAAAACCAAAUAUGAUGAUUCUCAGACUUGUGACCAAAUAAAUUGACCAGAGCAUCAGCUACCAUAUUAGCUUCCCUAUCAUAACUAGGUCUAUUACGUGUAUAUUAUUGCCUUCGUAUAAACACAAUUUAUAGUUGGUUUGUAGAUGUCUUGGUUGUAUCGUUAUAAUUUUUCGGGUAAAAUUCUCUAUAUUCCAAAAAAAAAUAAAAAAAUCACAUUGCUACUUCCUCUAGAUUCUAGAAGUAGUAAGCUGCAAUUUGAUAAUUAAACUCCAGCAAACAAGCAAUUAUAUAACAUUGAGAUGGAAUUAACCAUAAUUCACCUCAUAAAUUCAAAUUAAACAACAAAAAUUCACCUGAAAAAGCCUAUGUUCAAGAGCUGCCACUCGAUCCAAGAGUGAGCCUUUGAAGUAAGUCUCCUUCAAUGCCAAAUCCAUUGGCAGGCAUUGCCCCUUCAAUUUUGCACCACUCGAACCAUUGCUACCCAAUUUUGCAAACUUUUGUUUUCUUUCCAGAUACUUCAUCUUUAGGUCACACCCCAAAUAUUCCAAAAAUAAAAAAUAAAAUAACAAAAUAAUUAAUUAAAAGGGUGAGUAGCAAAGGAUAAUAAUUUCCAUGAUAUUGCUAAUAAAAUAUAGAAAAUUUUAAAUAAUAAUGAGUGCAGAGAAAUUGAUUAAACUUACAAUGAAAUCCAAAUGAUCCAACCUGGACACUAGAGGCAUGGAUGAAUUGUGAGACUGGAUUCUGCCAUCCAUUAUAGUUUUUAAUAUAGACCAAAAUAAUAAAUAAUAAAAAAGAAGAAAUAAAUGGCAAGUAAAAGAGCUUUGGAGUUGUUAAGGAAGGGUGGCUUUGAUGAAGGAUGAUGAUAAGGGAGAUGAGCAAUGUGUUUCUGCUCCCUCUGUAGAAGUCUUCUACGCAAAGCCGUUAUGCAUUCCCUCCUUUUUUGGUUGACCUAUUGAGGGAACGUCACAAAUCAUCUGCAGUUUGUUGCAUCACGUGGCGAAGAAUUGGAUAUGCUCAUUGAUGGCCAAAUUGACAUGGUGUCCAGCUUCCUGAUAAAGCGUAGCAGGCUUGGAAACCAGAAACUCUCUUGGUGGCUGCCUUAGGAGAAAAACUCGGUUAUAAUGGGAAUAACAUUGUUUUAUUAUUUUUAGGUUAGUAAUAUUAUGAUAUGCGUGAUAAUUUUUUUAUAUGGUAUAAUUUGAUUGGUUGAAAAUGACAAAAUAAUGCUAUCCUCGUCUCAUAUAAUUUUUUCUCCUGCCGUAGGGGCUUUUGCCUAUAGCUUUGUGUUUUGUUAUUUUCCAUCAACAAGAAAAGGAAAAAAGACAUGGUGUCCAUCAUCUAACUUUGAGGCUCAAGUGCGUGUUGGAGUUCGAAAGCAAAUGCAAUGGCUUUUGUCCCACAUCGACAAACCCCAUCUUUUUCAUAGGCUUCAUAACCAAAGCUCCUUUACCCCUUUGCAAGCGUGCCUUGGAUAAAAGUGGUGGGCUGGUGGUUGUUUUCGAACAGCAGCAGAAUUCAAAUUAAAAAGAUGAAAAUUAGGGUGGGCAUUCAAAUUAGAAAAUUGGGUUGGAAAAAAUUGAGUUGACAAAAACUCAGACUGAACUGGUUUGGUUUGAAUUUCAAUUCUUGAAAAAAACAAAAAUUGAACUGAGCUGAACCGAAACAGCUCUGUAAUUUUUAUUAUUAUUAUUUUUCCUAAAUAUUCAAUCCAGCAACCUUCCUAGUCCAAUUAAUUAACCCAAAAUCCGAAAUACAGCAGGCCCAAAACUAAUUCCCAAAUGCCAAACCUUAUCCCCCAACCCCAACUUCUAUUUUAUUGACCAAAACAAAAAGUCCAACUUCUAUUUUCCUUUUCCUCCUUCCCCGUCCCCACUUUCUUUCUUUUCUUCUUCUCCCAUUUGUUUUUUCUCCAUUCUUUCCCCAUCGAGUAAUAUUUGGGUGUUCUGGGUACACCACGUGAUUAGUGUAUCAUUCAAUAAAAGAAAGACAUGUAAAAUAUUUCCAAUGCAACCAACCACAUGUCAUAAAAAACAAUGCAAUAAGUUGGAGAAUAAUUCUACAUGUCCUAUGUGUAUUGGAUGGUACACCAGCCACGCGGUGUACACGAAACAUAUAAAAGUUUCUCAUCUCUGUCCCUUUUUCUUAUCUCUCCCUCUUUUCUUUUCUUCCUCCUUUUUUUUUCCCCUCAUUUCCGUCCAUUCUUCCUUUUUCUUUCCCUCCUUUUUUUCUUUAUUUUAUUACUUCUCUAUUUCUCCCCUCUUAUUCCUCAUCCUUCUAUCUUUUCUUUCUCUUUCUUUUUUCCUUUCUUUUUCCUCUUUUAUUUCAAUGACUUUCUCAAUGUUGCACUGAGACUUUCACACCACCACCACCGUCACACCGCCGCCACCAUUGCACAUCUAAACAAGCAUGUAGAUCUAGGGUUAGAUCUAUAACAUCUGAUGUUAUAUCUUGUAGAUCAAACUCAUGUGUUUUUUGUUGUUACAGACUUGAUUAAAGUUUGGUCAAAAUUUGGGUUCUUCAUUGUAUCUUUUUUGUUGUUGUAAAUUUGAAUUAGAUUUUUUUCUUUUUAGGGUUUUUGAUGUUCAUGGGAGAGGAUGCUUCGUUGACUAACAAAAAAGAGAGAGUUGGGCUUAAUAGCCUGUCCAAACUGGGAAAAUCGAAACCAAAUCGAAUCAAAACCAGUCCUGAUUGGUUAGGUUUAGUUAUUAAUUUUUCAUGAGAACCAGAUUGAAUCGAAUUGGAUGAACAAUGCUAGUUUCGAUUUCAUAUUUGGGUGAAAACAGGGCCAAACUGGAUUGUGCCCAGGCCUAAUCAAAACACAUCCAAGUUCUUUUAUAACCGCAGCAUAAUUUGAAUUAUAAGGCAAAUAGUUAAAUCAUGUGAGAUAGAUGUCCAUUGAACUUCAAGCAUUGAGGAGGGUGAAGCCUUUAUCCAUAUAAUAAGUGCCCAUUUGAUUUUCUGAAGAUAUGAAAAUUCAUUAUCUCUUUCUUCAAUGAACUAAGGAGCGCCACUGUGGAAACUAUCUCCUCUGACCCAGACUCAUUGUCGUCAACAUCCAUUGUUGACCCUGAGUUCAGGUGGAAUGUGCUACUUGAUUAUAUUGAUAGUGUAACUUUGAAAUCAUUGUCAACUACACGCUGGGAAAGUCACAUAGAAAGUGUUAAAGUAAUAAAAUCUCAAGCUUUUAAAAUCAGAGAAGCUUUAUUUAAAUUAGCUGAAAUUAGUGAAGAUGCUAAAUUGAGUAGGAAUGCUGAAAGUUUAGCAUCAGGAGAACUUUCUCAAGUUUCGAGUUUAUAUUAAGCUUGGUUAUUUGGUAUGACAUUUUGCACAAGAUUAACUUAGUUAGUAAAAAAUUACAAUCUGAAGACAUGCUUCUUGAUGUUGCUGUAAGACAAUUAGAAAGGCUUGUUUCAUUUUUUGAAAACUAUAGGAUAAAUGGGUUUACUUCUACCAUGAUUGAUGCUAAAGUAAUUGCAUUAGAUAUGGAAAUUGAGCCUGCAUUUCUUAAAAAAUGUCAAACUUGUAGAAAGAGACAUUUUGUUGAGAUUUCCAAUAAUGAAAGGGAGCAACAAUCAUCUGAAGAAUCCUUUAGAACUGAUUACUUUCUUGUCAUAGUGGAUAUUGGAAAGUACGUUAAUUAAAAAGUAGGUUUGAACAAUUGUAUAUCUUUGAAUCUAUUUUUGGGUUCUUAUUUGAUGCUGCAAAAUUGACUUCUUUGGAUGAAAAUGAAUUGAAAAGCUCUUGUGUGAAUCUUAAAAAUGCUUUAAAAAAUGACAAUGAUACUGAUAUUGAUGCAAGAGAUUUAGAGUCAGAAUUAAAGGUGUUGCAAGUGAUGUUACCAAGUGAAGCAAUUGAAACAAAUAAACCAUGGACAUCCAUUAAAAUUCUAGAAUUUGUGAAGAGUGUGGAUAUGUUUCCAAAUGUACUGGUUGCUUAUAGGAUAUUACUGACUAUACCUGUGACUGUGGCAUAUGCUGAAAGAAGUUUUUCUAAAUUAAAAUUAUUAAAAUCUUAUUUGCGGACCACCAUGGCUCAAGAUAGGCUAAAUGGACUAGCUAUAUUAUGCAUUGAAAGAGAUAUGUUGGAAAACAUUUAAUAUGAUAGUAUAAUUGAUGAUUUUGCUUUUAAAAUUGUAACAAGAAGACAUUUUAAAUGAUCUUUUGUGAUUAGGAUUUCAUUUCUAUUUUUAUCUUGUAGGUGCAUAUGAAGGUGAAGCAUAGGGACAUGCAAGUUAAUUUGAUGUUUUCAGUCGGGUACUCCUUUUCCUUCGUUUGAGGUUUUGUUCCCAUUGGGUUAUCCUUAAACAAGGUUUUAAUGAGGCCCAAAGUGUUCUAUAUUAUCGGUUGUAAACUCUUAUAAUUUUAAUAACAUUUAUUAUUUGAUAAAAAAUUGUAAUUAUAUUUAUUUAUUUGUUUAUAAAGGGCACAUUCUUAAACUUUGGCCCUAAGCCUUAAAUCACCUAGGGGCGCCCUUGAAAAGAGAGGAGAGGAGGAAGAAAGAAAAAAAACUAAAAAAGUGGCCUGAGAAGGAAGAAGAAAGAGAAAGGAAAGAAGAGGAAGAAAGAAAGAAAAGGGAGAAAAAGGAAAAAAGAAAGUAGAUAAGAUCAAAUUAGUAGAAUUAGUGAGCUCCAUUAUUUCUAAUUAUAGGUAGGAAGUACGUAUUGGUUGACUAUGUAAUAACUAUUGAAUCUUCAAGUUUUAUGAAAGAAAUAAUUUUUGAGUGUAUAUAUUCGUUAAUAAAGCAUUAUAAUUGGUUUUCUAGUUAAAAUCGUUGUAUAAAAUCAUAGGAAACAAAAAACUAAAAUAUAACAGCUUGAGAACUUAAUAGACGACAGAUUUAAAGAUAAUAAACGAUGGUUUUAUAAAAAAAAUCGCCGUCAGCACAUAUAAUCACUAACCAUUUUUAACACAAUACCGUUGUCUUUAUAUACAAUCAACGACACUUUUUAACACAAUACCAACGUCUUUACCCAUAAAUGAUGACGGUUUUAACAAAAUAUCGUUGUCUUUUAAAUGAAAACUAUCGUCUUUACCCAUAAAUUUCAGCUUUACACAUACACAAUAACAGUUUUUAACAAAAGACUGUCAUCUUUACAUCAGAACAACAACGGUUUUACUAAAAACUGUUAUCUUUACAAAUAAAAAACAACGGUGAAAAGCCAUUGUAGUUUAAUACUCUAAAAGAUGGUGGUUGAUUUAAUGAUGAUUUUUAAAUCAUCACAACGACGAUGGAUCACUGUCGUCUAUUUUGUUUUUUGUAGUAGUACUUUACUGAUAUUAACAAUGCUUUUAUUAUAAACCGAUGUCUUUGGAUAUAAUAAACUACUGUUCUAUUAGACAAACUGUCGUCUUUACAUCUAAUAGAUGACGGUCGAAGGUUUGGAGUAAAAGCGUCGUCUUUACAAUUAAUAGACGACGGUGAAUCAUUGUCAUAGUUUUACAUUCAAAAGAUGACGGUCGAUUUAACGACGGUUUUUUCCAGUCGUCUAUUUCAAUUUUUGUAGUAGAAUAAUGUCACAUGAACUUAUACAUCAGUUUCAAUUUGUCACCUUAAAGAAAAAUUUAAGAGAAAUGUCACUUUAAUUUUUUAAAAUCCAUGACUUUUCAUCUGACUUUUAACACCAUGCAAUUUUCCAUCCAUUUUAAGGGUAUUUUAGUCUUUCAAUUUUCAAGGGUAUUUUAAAAAUGAAAAAAUCAUUAUAUAAAUUUUUUUAUAUCUUUUAAACAAUUAAAAUUAAAAAAAAAAAUCAUUUCUCGCCUUCCCCCAUCCCUUGUGUGCCACCAGCAGCUCCAACCAACUCCUCUCACCUUGAAAUCCAUUCCCCUUCCUUCUUCUCCUUCCUACUUCUCUCUCUACCAUGGAACAUCUACCUUCCACCCAAACCGAGUCCACCUUCUUCUUCUUCUUUUUUCUUUUUGAAAAUUUUAGACAUGCUCAAUGAACACCAUAACAAAAUUUUAUACAUCCUCAAAGACAGAGAGACAAGAGGAAGGGGGGGAGGGGGGGAGGGUGUUGUUCCUAUGCAAUGUGUUUUGGGGGCGGGUGGGGUUGGGUUCAGGUGACAUUUCUACAAAAAAUCUAUUUCUUUAAUAUUGGCUCAGAUAUUCAAUUAAUAUUAAGGCCCAAGCCAUGAUUUGGCUUCACCUAAAGGCCAUAUAUAAGGCUUUGAGUCAUUAUAUAGAGAGGGUCUUAUAUAUGGCCCUUAAAUGAUGUCUUAUCUCUUAACCAUUGAUUGAAGCUAACAAAGUUGAUCCAACAUGUAACCAAUUUGAUUCAACGAUUAAGAUAUAUGGCUUCACCUAAGGGCUAUAUAUAAGACCCUCACUAUAGAAUUCUUGAACAUUAGUUAUGUAAGAUCGGGCCUAAACAGAGCCUUAGACUACCGUGCCUUGGAGAUUCUUGGGCCUCCGACUGGAUUGCAACUAGGUGCAAUCAAUUUAUUUGGCAAAACCUCUUUCAAACUUCUGAUUUUGAUGUUUGGUUAGGAUAACUUGUUUCAUUGUUUGCAGCCACUAAAAGUCUUGUUAUGAGAGAAGCCUAAUUCGUUGAGGUUCUCUUUUCUUUUUCUUUGAAUUCAAUGUCUAGAGUUCUAUAUUGAAUAAAAAAGUUGUUUAGUAGAACUAGAAGUUUGGUAGGCCUUCCAUUUUGACUGCGGAUAUCUGUGGGGUAGGUCGGCCCAAAGGUAAUUGCCUUAAUCUUGCUUUGUUCUUUUGGGCUUCCAUCCCCAACUCUAAAAAAAGAAAAAAGAAAAGAAAAGAAGGUGUUUCAUUAGUUCUCUAAUUCCCUGCCACGUAGCAACCGUAAAAUAGAUCCGCAACAGCGGCCAUGGGCAUAAAUUAGCGAAACUCCUUUUAUUAUAAGAGCCCUAAUAAUAUACUAAAACCCUAAAAAAUCUAAACCCUACUUUAAAAUCAAACGCUUUUUCUCCGCUAGAUUUUUAAUUCCAUCUCUCUCUCUCUCUCUCUCUCUCACUCUCUCUCUCUCUGUGUGUGAAACAAAGUAGGUCUCAACUCUCUCAGUACGUUUUCCCGGAAUCCAAACACCCCAUUACGCGAAAUCAGUUCUCUCCUUCUUGAUCCCCCGCACAUGGAUUCGCGGGAAGUUCCGCAGCAGCAGCAGCCGCCGCCGCCUCCUCAGCAGCAGAGCAUGAUGGUGGGUCCGCCUUCCUACCAAACGUCCAUGCCCAACAGCAACCUAAACCCCAAUUCGGGUCCCAUGAUGGGCGGCCCUAAUCCGGCCCGGUUCCCGUUCAAUGCCGUGCCUCAGCCGCAGCAGCAGCAGCAGCAGCCCACAUCGAAGCCGCAGAUGGAUUCUCUGAGCCCCAGUCCGUACGACGGGUCGCUGAGGCCCUGCGGCAGCGGCGGAGGGUUCAGCAUCGACUCUUCUUCGGCUUCCGCGGCGAAGAAGAAGCGCGGGCGGCCCAGAAAGUACUCACCCGACGGCAACAUUGCGUUGGGAUUGGCUCCCACACAGAUGCCCUCGACGGCUUCGACAGCCGCGGCCGGGCCCCAUGGGGAGUCGAGUGGCACAAUGUCUUCGGACCCCCCGGCCAAGAAGAACCGAGGGAGGCCCCCCGGUUCGGGCAAGAAGCAGUUGGACGCUUUGGGUAAUUGAUAUGCUCAGUGCCACAACAAAAUUUGGUGUGAAUUUGUAGUUUGUUGAUGUACAUUCUGGUGAUUGGUGUUUUGCUUGUGUGCUGUGCAGGAGCUGGUGGGGUUGGGUUCACGCCUCAUGUUAUUAUGGUGCAAGCCGGCGAGGUAUGUGACUUUCUUUAUGUUAAAGAGUAAAUUGUAGUUAAUGAAGUGAGUCUAAUUGCAGUUCUUGCAAGGAACUUCUCAUUGUUAUUAGGAGAUUCCUUAAUAAGGAAUGUUAUUUAGUGCAAUAAAGGAUGGCCUUUAAUUUUAUUUAAAGUUGUGUGAACCAGAACUGCAAUUCUGAUGUUAUGACUUUGAGGGUGUGAAAAUAAUGCAUCUGUAGUUUAACAAUGGUGUAAAUACUUGUAUUGGUGUUCUGAUUCCAAGAUGAAGAUAUAUGAAAUAUAUUAAUUAAUUUCUUUUAAGAAUGUUUGUGUAUUUCCCUUAUUUUGGUACGACGUUCGGCAAUCAUGUCAAUUCUUUAGUUUUUGUGAUCAUCAUAAAAUAAAAAUUUAUUCAUAAAAAGCAUAUAUCAGCCAAAAUAAAGGGUGCCCUAAUAUUUAAAAUGCACUUUUGCUGUUUUUUUCCCAUCUUUGUGUGAUGUCUGAUAUACCAGAUCUUUCAACUUUUUGUUAUAAGGAAUGAAACUUAUUUGACGGGUUUGUUGUAAAUGGUUGUGUCACAUUAUCCUGUUUGUUGUUUACCAAAUGAAGAUACCACUUGUCUAGUUAGUAGAUUUUUUUGUUACCUUUGAGUAUUAUAAGGAAUAUUUUAUUUUCUUGAAUUUCUUCUGGUUGUUAUCAUUGGGGGUCUUAAGUAUUGAUAUUUUUGGUAUUUCGCCGGAAAUACAUUAUGUUUGCUUUCAUUGGAUAAUUAUUCCUCCAAAUACACUUCUCCAUUGAUCUGCGUCAUUGGAAUAUGUAGGAUUACUUGUAGAUGUUAGAUAUCGAUCAAUUGCGAAUUUAGAAUAAUAUAUAUAGCAGAAUACUAAGAGAAGAGAAGAAAUUAUUUGCAUCCUUUUGUCAAUAACUUCUUAUUUAUUUGUUUCUGUGUGACGGGUGGGGCUUUAUCCACUAGAACAGUAGCGUAGUUGACCAUGGUGAUUAAUUGAAAUUGAAAAAUAGCAUUUCUUUAUUUGCAUUGUUUUAUGUUAUAUAAGUGUCCGGGACUAUGUUCUCAUUUUCAGUUCUUGUGCAUCUUUUAUCCCAAUUUCAAUUUAAUGCAUAGAUAAUAAUGAUAUUCGAUAUUUUCAUCCAAUUAUGGUCUGCCUUCUUAUUUGUGUGCCCUUGUGGUUUGCAGGAUAUUGCAGCAAAGGUUAUGUCCUUCUCACAACAAGGACCGCGUACGGUUUGUAUUCUCUCUGCAAAUGGGGCCAUCUGCAAUGUUACCCUUCGCCAGCCAGCAAUGUCCGGUGGUACUGUCACAUAUGAGGUACUUUGAUAUUUUUAUAACAAAUAUGUUGGUAUGGACAUUGGAACAUGGAUGUGGUUCUAUAUGUACUUACUGCAAUAUUACAGAACCAGAAAUGUGUUUGAUGAGGACUCAGGAUAAUAGAUGCAAAAAACCUACAAACUUGUGUUUAAUUAUGAUAUUACCUUCCUCUUCUCAAUUUUACAAAUACAAUUUUUUUUUUGUACCAUAUAGAAACGCUGUUGUUUGUCCAUAUAAAAAUGGGACAUGCUGUAAGAAAAUGUCAUUCAUUUUGAAUUUAUUACUGUGGAGUAAUGAAAACCCAAAUUUACAACCUUUUCCCCUCUACAUUGAGUACUUUGUAGUCAAAUUUAGCGACCUUCCCUCUAGAUUGAGUACUUUGCAUUCAAAGUUAUAAGAAAUUUUCUGUGGGGUCCCUUAAUGUAUAAUGAGUUAAAUAUUCUAUUUUUCUAGUAAGUAAAUUUUAUUCAAGGUGGUAUCAAGGCACAUGGAAACAAUGUUCCAGAUGUUUGCACUACCAUAAGUACUGGUUUUGAAAGGUUAGAAAUUGUCCACGAAUAGGGAUCCCACAGUUACCACUGCCAGCUUUCUCUCUUAAGCUUUUAUAUGUGACAUUUUUUGGUAAUUAUGGUGGAUAUGCAUGUUUCACAAGACACACAAAAUAUGGAACAAUUUACUCAAACCCAAAUCUGGCAAAUUGUCCCUGAAACUGACUGACAUGGUUGGUUCAUAUUGAGCUCUAGCUCGGUGAUUCCAGCUACAUGUGUGGCAUUAUUUUGCGAGAAGCACAAGUCUGUUUGUAUCUUACAAUUUCUUUUUGUUAAUAAAGUCUUGUUUCCUAUCAAAAUAAUAUUAAGUGCUAUGUGGGUUUUAAGUAAUCAGUUCUAAAUGUCUGGCCCAGAAGCAAUAAAAUUCCUUAAUUAUAGAAGUAUCUUGGGAGCAGAAAUUUAUAUCAGAAGCAUGGUGCACAAAGUUUUCUCACCUUGAAAAUACUUCUUAUUUCUCUGUUGUUUCCUCUUAAGUAUGCUAUGUUUUCAUCAUUUGAAGUUUGUAGUGCUAUCCCACCCCUACAUUAGCUUGCACUGGAUUUCCUCAUUUUGCAGAAAUUGAGGAUUACAGAUAUAACACUUUCAAUUUCAGUCAGCAUCUAUAUAAUCUGAUUUGUGUUUUGUGAAAAUAUUCUUUUGUUUUGUUUCUGCAAAUGAUUUUCUUGGAGAACAUUAGUAUGGCUGCUGUUUAUUGUCUCGAUACUAUGAUUUUGUUUUGUUUAGUCUUACCAUAUAGAUUAUAUUACUCCACAAUGGAAUUUCCAUGCCGUUUAGCAUAAUUUAUUAUGCUAUUUGGAUUCUCAAAUAACAUUUUAUUCAAUUAUGUAGCAUUAAAGACCUGACAGUCUGCUACAGCACUUAAGUUUGAUCUGUUUUUUACAUAUGAGAUGAGAUUCCUUAUAUGGACCAAUAUUAUUCCAGGAAUCUCAAUUUUAUUGGUUUUUUUAAUGGUAUGAUAAUUGAACUGGAAGAGCAUCCAUAAUAAAUAAGUUUCAAUUUUGCAUGCAGUCAGUAAAUUUAACUUUUUACAUGAACUCAAUUGAAUUAGGAAACUUGAGGCCAUGAAAUCAUGAGGUAAGGAAACAUUGUAGAGUUUUCUGUUGAUGACUAACAAGGCUGAUGAAACAAAUGCAUAUGGAAUAACCAUCCAAGCAAUUGAAAAAGUAGAAACAAAUGAAUAGAUGUGGCAUGCGGCAAAGCAAUCUCACAAUUUGAAGGUUAAGCAUAUGCAACCGAAUCUCAGCACCUUCAAACCUUCUUCUAUACAUCCAAAAUAUGUUCUUUUAAUAUAAUAAGUAGUUCUAAUUUGUAAAAUUGGAGCUACUGUAAAUUUAAAUAGUCUUCGUUAUUGAGCGAUGACAUUCUUAUUGAAGUUUGCUUAAGCAAUUCUCUCUCUCUCUCUCUCUCUCUCUCUCUCUCUCUCUCUCUCUCUCUUACACACACUCACGUGCACAUCGGUCCCCCUCUCCUUUCUCACAUGCACAAUCACUCACUCACUUUCAUGCCCGCUCCACUUACACAUUGACUGAGGCAUUGGUAAUGUGUUCUACUCUUUCAAGUGUUGAUCUUUGUCCAACGAAUGCACAAAUUUGUUUGAGCACUCAAUGUUACAUAGUCAUGUGAUUCAUUUCUGGUGUUAUUUGACAAACUUAUUUAAACCUGGAUGAUCUUUUUCAUGUUUAGUUAUUUAUUUCUAUUGUCGAUAUCUUUUGUGCUUCAGGGUCGAUUUGAGAUUAUUUCGCUCUCAGGUUCCUACUUGUUUUCUGAAAAUAAUGGGAACCGCAGUAGAAGUGGUGGUUUGAGUGUAUCCUUGGCAGGGUCUGAUGGCCAAGUUUUGGGUGGUGGAGUUGCGGGCAUGCUGGUGGCAGCAUCACCGGUACAGGUAUCACUCUGCUACUAUUUGCUCAGAUCAGUUAUGAAAUUAUGACCAUGUUCAUCUUCUGCAGUUGUAAAAGGAUAUCCAGGGCAAUAAACAUAUCCUGUUGACUGUUUGACAGCUGAAAAUUCAUUAAAUGCAUGUAUAGUCUUUGCAUUUAACUCAAUUUUAAUGCACUGCCAGGUCAUUGUGGGUAGUUUUAUUGCUGAUGGGAAAAAAUCCAACUCCAACUUCCUAAAAUCCGGGCCUUCUUCUCCACCGCCAUCUCAAAUGUUGAAUUUUGGUGCACCGAUGACAGCGGCCAGCCCCUCCUCUCAAGGAGCCUCAAGUGAGUCAUCUGAUGAGAAUGGUAGUAGCCCUCUCAACAGGGGACCUGUGCUCUACAAUAAUGCUAGUCAACCCAUUCAUAAUAUGCAGAUGUACCAACUAUGGGGUCAAGCUCAACAGUGAAGUAGAAAAUGCUUCCGGGUUACCAGUACAGUGCAUUCGGGUAUUGACUGCAUUAUUCUGCCUAGUGGAUAGGGAGAAGGGGGGUGUGGGGGGACAACUCACAGGGGAUUAUUUUAGUUCUAGGUUGAGUUUUUGUUUUAUUUUUUGCUUUCAAGGUAGUUCACACUUUCCCUUUCUCUCUCUAAAUAUGAUUAAAACAUGGGCUAUUGUUGAUAGCUGAGAAUAUGCCGCCUGUCCCUUAGGUUCUCAUGAGUUAAAUUGCAUUUAAAAUAUUUUCUCGUUCUUUCUAUUUUUCAUUUUUCUUUGUUCCCCUGCUAGGAGUAUCUGACUUAAUAUGUAAACUUGUGUUACGAAUAUAAAAUUUCAUUGCAGUCUUGAAUAGGCUUGAGUGGAAUCUUAUUACAGGUUCGCUCUCGCACAGUUUCAGUUGGCACAUUGUAUUUUCUUGUGUUUCAUAUCCUGGAAUCUCUGCCCCCAGUAUUUUCAUCCAGUUCAGGACCGGAUGUAAAUUGUUACCUGAAAUGUUUUUAAUUUACGUAAGGAUUUGAUCUGUUAGAGCAUGUGUGGUGGUGAGGCAAGCGGCUGGACCCUUGAUGCCGUUUUUGCCUCCCAGAAUUUUUGUCGUUCAGGGAGCGAGGGUUUAGAGGGUUAGAAUUCAAACUUUAUUAUUAAUUUUGUAGUUAUUUUUGUAGUGACGAGGAGAUUUUAGGUGUGAGAAGUGAUUACCAAAUUGUCAGUGCUUAUUGAAUUAUGAAAAAACAAAUUUGGCCCUUAAGGAAUUGUAAGUAUCCUAAUGCAACUUUGAGUGGAGCAAAAAAUGGUAUUUGCACAUCGUUUAUUAGAACAAUUGCUAUCAGGAAGGCCAAUACAACAAGGCAAAAAUCUCAGGAAGAAGAAUGGAAAGUACGCUCAUAAGUUCAUAUUAGUUUACUACUUCAAUAAACUGAUGGUUAAUCAUGGAGGAUGGAAUAUAAUAGCCAUUGCUAGUUUGAAAAAUCAUGGACUGUUCCUUGAAAAGCAAAUUGAAGCAAUGUGCUAACUUAGUUAAAACAAUUCAUUGGAAUGUGCUAGCCUAAUUCUAUCUAUCCAAAAGGUUGCAAAUGAUUCACACAUGAUCUUUCUGAAUGGUAUUGCGACGUUUGAAAUAUCAACACAUGCAACUUUUUAGAUACACAAAUUGAUGAAGUUAGUUAUAGAUAGCACAUUGCUUUAUUAUUAUUAUUAUUUUUUUAAUUUCUAGUGACAUUCAAGAUUAUUUAUGUUUUGUAAGGCGUUAAAUUUAGUCAAUUUGAUAAUGACAUUAUGAUUGUUUAUUGUGAGCAUUUAGAUACUUUGGUUUUCACAUAGGGGCCUACAUACUUCCAAGGAGCGGUGCUACCAAACAACAGAGAAGUUGCCGUGAACCUUUUGUUUUGUUUUUUUAUUUAUUUACGAGGGAAAUUAACCUUAAGAUUUAAUCAUCAUCUCAAUUUAUUUCUAUGGAGUGCAAUGCUACAUGUAUAACAUUUAUGCACCAUAAGUUCUAGUUUUGUUAAAGAUAUGUUUGGAAGUGAUUGUAGAUUGACUAACAAUGUCUUUAAUUAAAUUAAGGCGGUCGAGACAUGUACUGUAAAUAUUCUAAUUAUAUAAUAAAAGAGCAAUGUAGAACACCAAAUCUUAAUUAAAAAGACAAAUAAUGACGUAAGCACCUAAAGACCAGAACGAGACGGGCCCCUUCUCAUAGUUUUUAUUCUUUCAAAUUUUUACUUAGAUAUGUAUAUAUAUAUGUUGCUUAUGGAAUGAGUCGGCCAGUGAGAUCAUUAGUCGACCGUAGAUGUUCUAAAGCUUGUUGUAUAUAUUUUGUUUAGUUAUUUACCUUUUCCUAUGUGUUGAUGCUUGUUUAAUGGAAAACUAAACAUACUUCUAUCCAAAUUAACAGAACAAAAUCAUCAAUUUAUCUCCUAUUAUUCCGAUUUGAUAUUAAGUAUAUUUGUUUCAUGGUCUAAUAUAUCCCUCCCGACAUGACUUCUAGCAUACUCUGUCUCGGUGAGAGAAUUGGAGCUCAAAGUUCAAGUUCAUUCAACCACCUCAUGCAUUUGUUCAACGGACCCACUGGCCACGGUCUCUAAGAUCCCUUUGAUGACAAUCAGGAACGCGCCAACAGCCAGCAGGCGGGGUGGGCCCACUGCCGCCUCGUCGGCGGUCACACUCCCUUUCCUAAUUUCCUACUACCCAGCGAUGCUUCCAACGGCUCUUUUGCCAGCAAAGCUACACACUAAAACCAUAUAAUACAAAUAUAAAUACAAAAUAACUCUUUCUUAAUCCCAAAAAUAAAUAUAAAAAUAAAUAAAAGCUAUCUCUUUCUCUCUCUAGCCGCUGGGUGGCCUAUUCAUUCAUGCUCGUCUGUCGACGUCUUUCCCCAUAAAUGCCUUUGCCUUAACUCCCAAAUUAAUAACCACAUCCUAGUUCUCAUUGUCCUCAAACCCAAAACAAACACAUACCCAAAAUCCACAAGCAAAUUGUAAAUUUGAAAAUUUGCAAAUAAACACAUACAUACUCUCAUACCCCAAAUAUUGCAAGGCUCAUUUUCGUGUGAAUUCUUUUUCCAAUGGCCUGCUUGGUCUUGCCAAUUGCAAUGCUGAAAAAGAGGUGCAUGGGGUCACGGAUAGGCGGCUACCGGCAUUUAACCGAAGAGGGCUUCGGAGGGUUGGAGAAUCCGGUGACAGUGGUGGUCGGGAAGGAGAGGAGGGAGUUCUUGGUAGACCCUUUUGUGCUAGAAGAGAACCCAUUUCGGGUUUUGAUCGAGAUGAUGAAUAAGGACAAGAAGAUGGUGGAUUUUAUUGAUCAUGAGAAUGGCAAGGGGAGGAUGGUUUUUGUGGAUGUUGAUGCUAUUCUUUUCGAGCAUAUGCUUUGGUUGAUGUAUAAUGAUUGUUCUUCUUUGUUCAAGCUCAAUCUUAAGGAGAUCAUCGACUUCUAUGCUCAAGAUAAUUAGGCAGAUUCCAGAGGAAAAUACACAGAGGUACUCCAAAUGAAACAGAGGUACCAUGCUGCUCACUGAUACGAGUCUAUAGAAUUCUUCUUGUAAAGAAAUAUUUUAUAAUCUAAUAACUCACAUAUAAAUAUACAUAUUGCAAUGAAUAAUUAAUUAUUCAUCUCUCUAUGACUAGAUGUUCAACCCUUUUUUUUUUGGCUUUAUUUUAAUUAUUCAUCAUCACCAUCAGACCCCAAUUCUCAGUUUCUGUAUGUUAUGGUUAAGGUUGCAUGAGUAAUUGAAAUAACUUGCUGGGUUUUUCUCAGAUUGAUCAAUUUGGUAAUAUUUCUUUCAAAUUUUUGUUUUUAAAUUAAAGAGAAAGCGGGAGUCAGAGGAGAUAACAGAGAUCAGAAAAAAAAAAAAAAAAAAAAAAACUCAAGUGCUUGCGUUCUGCUCAAAUGAGAAUCAAAACCUGUUCCAAUUAAAUCAUUCUGUACAUUCAGCAAAGAAAGACAAAAGUCUUCAAUUCUAAUUUAUGUUGACAAAAGUCAAGAAAGAUGUUGCUUAGGAUUGUGGUAAACAAGGAGAAACUCAGCAAACAGAUCAUGAGUUACAUUUCAAACUGAAAAGAACCAAUGCUUCAAAUUAAUAACUUCCACAUUACUUUUUAGCUUUCAAAAGUCUGGAUAGUAAUUGGAAACCUUAAUUUCUUUCUUUUUCUAAGUUUAGAUUUGACCGAAGAUUAUUGUAACGCGUAAUGAUCACUGUAGUCUUAAUCUUCCAAAAGGGGUUUAAGGAUGACUGGCACAAUAUAUUAAUGAACAAAACACAAAUCCAAUGCUGAAUUAUUAUUACUGUUACUAUUCUGCUGGUGUUUCAUGAACACAAAACUUAUUAAAACCUUCCAUCUUCAACAAUUCUCUGGAGAAAACGACAACCUCAGCGCAGCGACAUCGAACAAGAACCUAUAGUUGACCUGCUGAGCCGCGCCCAGAAUGUUUAGACCAUCACUUUGGUCCAUUGACAAUAUGGUCAUGCAAAACUCAUUGUGAUGUUCAAAGGCCUGGAAGAGUGGGUUUAUGCAGCACAAAGUCAGCUCCUUCGAAAUGAAGCGUCACCGAUGGUGAAGUAAAGACAGUAGGGAUAUUCUGGUGGCAAAGAUCGAAACCAGUCUUGCUUUUCUGCGUCAUGAGUUGCCAUCCAUACAUGUUAUGGAAGUAAUCCACCACAGCUUGUUUCAAGACCUUGAAUGCCUCUGCCACGAUAUGGCUAUAUGGAGAUCCUGAAUCAACUGCCAUUCCUUUUCCACCUGCCAUGAACAAACUUGGAUCGAUUUGGAGACGUUGUCCAUUCAAACUUAUAGCAUCCAGUUUCGUGAAAUAAUAGUCAUCUGGACCGCCCAAAAUGGGUGUGCUACCAACACUAGGACCUCCAAUUUGUGCACCCUCACCAAAAUGUAGCAAUGAUUGGGCCUCAAAUUGUGGUGGAAGGCAAUACGAAAAUCUUCGAAGGGUGAUUUGGUUUAGUUGUUGUAGAAUACCAGUGGGGUGACCCCUGCCUAACCCCAAAAUCCCUCCUAUUGGAUUAUCAUGACCAUGAAAAUAGUCAUUGAAGUUCACCUUAUUGAAGAGUCCCCACCCAAAUGCCACAUUAGGGAUAGCUAGUUGCCUUCGCUCAGAUAAAAAUGUGAACGUAUCAAAUCCAAAGGGGCCGUAAGUGGAACUGCGAUCAUAGUAGAACAACCCAUAAACACAAUUUUGGCCCUUAGUACCAGGGCCAAGGUUUGGAGGAACACAAAGUGGGUGAUCAUCAGCAUGGGCCGGGAAGUGGUUGAUCUCCUGAUGUUGAAGUUAGGCAUUGACAAUUUGAAGCACGACUUGCAUCCUUCGCAUUGAACCCACGUUAGAGUGCUACCGGUGUCCAAGGCCAAGUUGGUUUUCUGAGGAGGUGUGCCAAUGUACAUCUCUGUGUAAUAGAAAUCACUGUAUGCAUGUUUAACCGGUGAACUUAUGGCGUUUGGGACUAAGGUUUCUAAUGAGUUGGUGGUCAUGAUAAGGUCGAGGGCUCGAGCUUUGGAUAUUUCGGUCAGUUUUUGGUGUUUUUAAAAAAGGGUGAGGUUUUGGAGGAAGAUGGAAGAGUUAGGUGAAAGCAUGGUGAACAUCUUAAUGCUCAAUCCUUGGGCUAUGCCUCCCAUGGUUGCCGGAAACAUGAGAAAGACCAUUAGAACGAAAAAGAAAACUGGAAUUAUUUUAGACAUGUUUCUCAGGCUCAUGUUUGAAUUUUGAUUAUCUGAUUUGAUCCAGCCUCACAAGAAAUAUAAUAUUUAUAAGGUGUGAUAAUUAACUUUUGCAUACCAUAAGGUGAAUGCAAUUGAGGAAAUAUUAGUCAUGCCAUCUUGGAAUAUGUCAACAAAGUUUGAAGAGGUUUUCCAUUUCAAUUUUCAUAAACACAAUCGUUCUUCUUUGAGAUCACUUGCAGCAUCUCCUAUACUAUAAACGGAGAUGGAUCCCUUUAGAGAUUGGAAGAUAGUGCUUGUCAAUUUUCAAUCAAACAGAUGAAGGUGGUUGAACUAGGAAGUUUCUGAAGUGACUAUAUAUAUAUAUCCACUACAGCUAGGCUAGGUAUGAUACACAACCGAACGACUCAUCUCUAUUUUCUUUGGAUGAUUUUCUAAUUAAUUACGGGAAACUUCAAAGUGUCUUUUAAUUUAUAGAUGGGCUGCCAAACAAACAUGUACACACAAACAAAACCAAGUAUUUUGAACUUGCUUGGGAUGUAUACCAUGAUAAAUUAUAGGUUAUAUACUUAAAUGGUCUUACAUAAAAGGAAAAGUUUCGGAAAAAGGUUUUUAGGAGCUAUUGCCUGACCCGGAUUAAUAUUUAGACCAUGCCACGCUAGCUGGAAGUUGCAACAGGGCAUGCGAACGCUGCCGAGAGCUGCUGACAGAUGCAGACAGUUUCAAUGCGGCAUUUUGUCGAGCACCUGGUGUGCACGCAUGGGUCGCCCAGCAGCCUUCUACAGGAUCGCCGGAGGAGUUGCCCAGACAUAUUUCUUGCCUCCACGGAGGAGCCCGACCCCAUUUGUCCCUUUUAAAUUAAUCCACCACUGCAGUAUGAAACUUACAUUGUUGACUCGUUAGCCUUAUGACAAAUUUCAUGAUAGAAGUUUAACAUGGUAUUAUUGGAAAUAAGGAACCAGAUAUCUCUAGUACUGAUGAUCAAACUUCACCAAUUUGAAGGCUGAAUUCUUUCUGAAAUCUUUUGGAUUCUUAUGUUCUAAAAUAGAAAAAACAAAAUUGAUUAUAAAUCGGUGCAGGGUUCUAUGCCCUCCUCUUCAAUAAAAAUUCAAAGAAAAAAAAAAAGGUGUGUUUCAUUUGGCAGUCACCUAAUGGUCACAUUCUUUUCCUUUCAAUUACAAAUAGGUCAAUUAUUUUGUAAUCCUUUAUUUUUUUUGGAAUAAAUUUCAAGCUAAACUCAGAUCCAUGCAUAUAACAUGUACAUCUGUAAGAAAAAAAUUAAGAACAUAUGGCAACGAAAAAGAGUUACUAUUUUGAUGGAGUUUGAUGGGCACAAUAUAUGAACCAUUUCAUGAUCCUAGAGAGUAGAGGUAAGCUAGUACUUAUUCCAAUCUUCCACAAUUUUCCUGACCAAAACACAAUCUCCUCGCACCAACAUCAAACAAGAACCUGUAAUUAACCUGCUGAGCCGCACCUACAAGGUUUGGACCAUUAUUGUCCCCCGUGACAAUAUCGUCAUGGAAAACUCAUUUUUACUUUCUAUGCACUUCGAGUUCUCCUCCUUCCAAGUGAAGCAUCACAGAUGGGGCCGUAAAAAUUGUAGGGGUGUUCUGGUAGCAGAGGUCGAACUCAUCCCUCGUACCUUUCGGAAUUGGUUGCCAUCCGUACAUGUUGUGAAAGUAGUCCACCCCUUGUUGGCUCAAGAUAUUGAAUGCAUCAUCCACAAUAAGAGUGUACGGAGAUCCUGAAUGUUUAUGAUCCCACUUCCGCCUCUCGAGAACAAGUUUGAGUCGAUUUGGAGACGUUUUCCAUUGAAACUUGUAGCGUUUAAUCUCACAUAAUAAUGGUCAUUUGGAGCGCCUCGAAUUUCAGCAUCGUUACCGAAAUGUAACAAGGAUGGCUGGGACUCAAAUUGUGGUGGAAGGCAUUAGGAGAAUCUUUGAAGGGUGAUUUGGUUUAGUUGUUGUGGAAUAUUGGUGGGGUGACUCCUCCCUAACCCCAUAGACCCUGAUAUUGGAUUAGGCUUGCCAUGGUAACGGUCAUUGAAGUUUACAUGGUUGUUAAGUCCUAACCCAUAUGGCACAUUUGGGAUCGCUUGUUGCCCUUGCUCAGAUAAGAAAGUAAAUUUCUCAAGUCCAAAUAGACCCUCAGUGGUAGAGCCAUCAGCAUACUCCAAGAAAUAGGAGCAAGCCCCGUGGCUGGAAGAACACAGAGUGGGUUAUUAGCAAGCAUGGCUCGGCAUGUGGUCGAUUGCUUGCCGUCGAAGUUAGGUAUUGACACCGGAAAACAUGUUUGGCAUUCUUUCCCUUGAACCCAUGUGAUAGAGCUACCGGUGUCGAUGUGCAAGUUGGCUUUCUGAGGAGGUGUGCAAAUGUAGAUCUGUGUGUAAAAGAAAUCACUGAAUGCAUGUCUAACAGGAUAUCUUAUAGUGUUUGGGAGACUAGUGGUUCUGAUGAAUUAGUGGACAUGGUGGCUAGAAGGUGAAGGGCUCGAGCUUUGGAUAUUUGGGUAAGUGUUUGGUAUUUUUCAGCAAGGGUGAGGUUUGCUGAGUAUGGCAAGGGUGGAAAUAUGAAUUUUUCGACGGGUGGGUUAGUUAAAAUUUUUGGCUAAAACAAAAGUAUAUAUUGAAUCAUUUAAACCAUGCAAUUCAUAGCUACAUUGACUAAUUUCCAAUAAGAUUUAAAAUAAAACAAAUACAUAUUAGAUGCAAUAAAAAUAUACAUAUUAUCAAAAUGAAUACAUGUUUAACAAUAUAAUUGAAAGUGUACUUAUUGAAGUUGUGCCUUGAGAUUCUCGAGAGAAUUGAAAUAUUUUGUUAUUGUCAUAUGAAUCCAUCUUGUUGCGAAUCAACCUAUCUAUCAAAUGAUAUCUUUGUGACAUUUUCGUUUCAUCUUAUUUGUAAAAGGGUGAAUUUCAUUGAGACAAAUCUUUCUCUUAUAGAGACAAAUCAAUGAAAAUAUUAAAAUUGGAGAGUUAUAGGGAUAAACCAAUGAGACUUUCGUAACAAAGAAUACAAAAAAGAGCAUGUAUUUUUUUGGGACCGCUAGGCUAAGUUUCACAUGUAUAUUUUUUAUUUUGACAUAGUUUAUUAUAAUCAAGGAUACUUCAUUAUGUGGGACCAAUUAGUAUACUAGGAUAUUUAUUUCUUUAUAUGAUACUUCAAACUUGCAUACUUCUUUACGUGAGAAACUGCCAAGAAGCCACAAGAUGAUAGAUUUAGUCAAUGGGCUAUAUAGGUUUAAUAUUUUAUUUUCCAAAAAGCUACGUUGACUAAAGUCCAAUAUAGCCCACUAGGUAGUUCCGCCCGUGAGUACGGAGAACAUUUUAGUGCUGAAACCUUGUGCCGUAACUCCCAUGGUUGCAGCAAACAUGAAAAGGGCUACUAGAACCCAAAAAAAAAAAAAAAACUUGAAGAUUAUGAGACAUUAUUUUCAUUAGGCUUUGAUGAUCUGAUGUGCGCAUUUGUGAUUUUAAGUAUGGACUCAUAAGAGAGUACUUAUAUACUGCAACGUGUGAUAAUUUUUGCAAUAGUUUUUUUUUUUUUUUCAUUAUCUCUUUAUAAAUUUAAGUAGUGGUGUUAGUUGUAACCAUUUGUGCAAUUGGCUCAUCAUUUGUACUAGUUAUUAGACAUGUAUGUAUGAUGAAAUAUAUUAGUCAUAUUAUGCAGGAAAAAAGUUGCAUGAUGACUUUUUAUUAUGUGAACAAGUAUGUUAAGGCUUUGAGAUGGCGAGAUUGAGACUACACAAUAUCCACAUGAAAAUUAGAAUAUUUAGGCUUCAAGGUUUUCCAUAUUUGGUAUAUCUAGCUGCCACUACAGGAAAAACGGGCAUAAAUUUUCUUAGUCACGUAAUUUUGUAUUUAAUUCGUGACCAACAUUUUUAAUCACGAAUAGUCUGUAAUUAAUAUGAAUUAUAAUGAGGUUUUCUAGUAGUAGUGUGCAUACGAAAUAGUGGAGGUAGCUAUGCCUCCAAUUUACAUGAAUGUGCAUACAAUGAUGAAAACGUCGACAGUCAUAGUAUCGGUCCUCCAAUUUACGGAUAUUUCCUUAAACAAGAUGGAAGGGAAAAAAUAAGUGUAAGCAAGCUUGAGGGGUGAACUGUCAACUGAUGUUCAUGCAGAUCGGGCCAGCGAUCCUAAUACAAGGCCCAAUUGGAAUGAAUUACUACAAUGUAGCCCGAUAGCUUCUUCCCAUGCUCCAAUGUCCUUUUUUUUUUCUUUCUUUAAUGAUAUUGUAUUCCCAUCCCUAUUGCAUAUAUAUAAUUUUCCUUCUCCUUUGGAAAAUUUUUUUGAACACCAAAAAAUAAGCUUUGUGUGCCACCCUCGGCCAAAUUGAAGAAUCCUUUUCAGAAGUCGUCAUUAAACGACUCAUCAAAAGCAAUAAGAAUAUGGUAACCAACCAUUCCUCAACGACAAAGUUGCUUACUAAUCCUUUGCCUUGACACAACUGACACAGCUGCGUUCAUCAAAGAAAAGAUGAUGUUCUUGAUGAAGGUCUUUGAAAAACCAGAGAAGUGAAAGAGGACAUGCCCUUUUCGAAUAUCAUUCAUCGAAUUGAUUUUGUGGCGAUGUCGGGAACGGGCUAAUUUGGUUAAGAAUAAGCUUAGAGUUAUACAGUGACUUAAUCCAGAUUACUUAAUUCUUAACAAUCAAUUGUGUUCAAAGUUACUUUCUAUAUUAUUGAUUGUAACAUGUUUCCGCACUUUUGGAUUCACACACCUUGUCACCAUCACACUACAUUCCAAUUAUUACAAUCACGUCCAUGCUUGCUUGACAAGGCAUUAGGGGGAGAGAGAGAGAGAGAGAGAGAGAGGACUCUUAGGUUAUGACCAGUUUGUCGGCCUUACAAUCUCUCAGAGAAAUCUAAGUCAGAAAACACACUGAUUAGCCUUGCAAAUGCAUUCUUUUUCGAGGCUUCGAAGGAGUGUGAAAAAUGAAAAGCAUGAGUUUAUAAAGUACCUGCAGCCACUUUUAAAGCAGGAAAACCAGCAUGACAGUAGACACCAUGGUAAUUUGGAAAAUCAUGAUUGCUGUCUGUACCCAUUAGUUUUCGUUUGCUUAAUGUUGUUUUAUUAAUUUAAUACGUUCAUGGAAAUGCGCACACAAAAAUUAUGUUUUCCUGUGGGGACUGGGGGCCUAAUAUUCAACUGCUCUUGAUCAUUAGUAUCUCUAAAGGUGGAGAUGACAGCUUAAAUUAACAUGGUAAGCAUGGAUAUUAUAUUGUUCAGAUGACCUGGUCAUCUCAUAUUUUAGAUCAAAGUUCUUUUUGUUAUUUUAUUAUCUGAGAACACUUGCUCUAAUAUAUAUAUAUAUAUAUUUGCUUUGGUGAUCAGCCGAGAUGCUUAAUGUUCUAACUACCUUCCAUUUUUUUCAAACUCUUUUCACCCAUUUUUUUCAAGCUCUUUUCUCCACAUGAUAAUUAAGCAUUUCACAUUCCAACCUAAAAGCAAAUAAAAUAUUUACAAGAAAUCGAAUAGGUUGAACGGAUUUUUUUUAUUUUUUUAUUUUUUAAAUUUAUAAACAGCGACGCAUUCCACAAAAAGUAAGGUUACAAAAGAUCUUCUGGUUGCAAUGCCUAGAAAUUGAAUGCUCUAAGAUUAAAUCAUUCAUGAAAUAAAUGAAGGUCAGAGAAGAAAAGUGGUAUUAAUAUCAAAUACAAAAACAAUAAGCAGCAACUUCAGUACAUGGAUUAUGCAGGGUUGCCCUCGUAACUUCUCGAGGUUAUAUAUCCCCAAAGUUGGGGAAGACAAUCUUACUAGGUUUUAUAGUCAUGUUAUGAUAAGUUUCUAAACAAGUGGAAAAGCUUUGACUUGAAGAUUAGAUGUCUCAGGUUCGAACCUUCUAUGGCAUCUUGGUUGUGUGUGUGUGUGAGAGAAACCAUCAUCCCUUGUAGUUUAGACUCUCGCUUGUACUAAAAAACAAAUCAUAUCUUAAUCCAAAUAAGAUAAAUGUAGCUUGAGAAUCCACUUAGAGGAGUAUUCCAAGCAUAUUCGUGAGCAAAAGUGCUUUAAGGAGUCAAAUGAAAUAUAUAUUCUCCUAAUUAAAAUGACCACUAGUACUAUGAUACUGAUAGGUGUGGAGGAGCAUCUAUAGAUUUCACCCAGAAAACAAAACAACCACAUUAAUUCUUCAUCAACAUCUUGCAUAAACAUUCCAAAUGGAGAAUUAAGAAUUGAAGUCCACAUACACAUGAAAGAAACCAAACACGAUCGAAAGAUUAUUAAUGAUCGCCAACUUUGUUUCAUAGCGGAUGACUUGGAAGAAACAUAUAAUGCAUGGUGGUGUGGGUGAGUGGAUGUGGAAGUGGUUUCCUCAAGUUCAAGUGUGUGAUUAUUUAGUACUGUUGACUUAUAUAUAAUAGAAUUGAAUGCGUGCAUUGUAAAGCUCUAGCUAGGAGUAUAAAUAACUCAUAAAACAGCUCAUAAAACACACAAACCAUGAAGGGCUAGAUUAUUUAUAUUAUCUCUCCUGCAAAUUGUAUUUUAGUAUGAGAGAAAACUGCAGCGUUUUGCACUUAAAGACUUGAAGCAUUGUAUUAACCAUGCAUGACGACUAUGGUUCAUUUCCUCUAUAGCUUCUGGUUUUCAAGUUAGCAGCUUGCAACUUUCAAGCUUGCUCCCAAAUGGGUUUCCAGAAACUUCAACAAAGAAGUCCUGGAAUCGGAGUAGGUCGCCAAAUGAUAUGAAAGACUCCUUGUUUAGUUGAAAAGUAAACUGGCCAUCAGCUAGCUAGAAAAUUAUAACGUGCCUAUAAGUAGGUAGCUCUUGGAAGCAUCGAGUCUUUUUCCUUCAUGUUCCUAAAUUGACCGGGGAUCAUGAUGUACUGACUAACCAAUCCAAAUUUACAUAGAAUCUUGUAACUAGCUUUAUUAGGUUUUGAAUCUGUAGGUGAAAAUGAUGCAGCAUGUAAUUAACCUAGCAAAAAUUUCUUGAAAAUAAGUGAGCUGAACAUUUCUAAUGUAACUUGAGCAUAGUAAAUAAAUCCAAACGUUGAGCCAAUAAACAAAGAAGAAAGAGCAAGGGUUUUAUCAACGGGCAUUCUACUUUUCUUUCGUAGCUAUUAGUAUUUCAUGAAAACAACGCAAAUUGAAGGGAAACAGAUGGCAAGCGACAGACCCUACAAGAUUUACUUGAGACCAUGCCAAGUAUAUGUUUAUCGAUACUGCUCCGAAGAUAGAUUUAAUCAUGUUAUUAAAACAAAAGAAGCAUAAAUUAAGCAAAAGGCAAGUGAAACAAUUGGUAGCAGUACCCCCUAAAUUUCAGGGACUGUGCCACUUUCUAAACGUAAUAAAAAUAAUUGCUAUCUGUUUAAAGCUGAAACCUCAAACCAUUCCUUAUAAAGAACAAAAGCCACUAUUUCCAUAAAUCCAAGAGACCCAAAAGAAGAAACAACAAGAAGAAGAAGAAGUGGUAACUUCAAAUUUAACAGAAAAAGAAAGAAGAAGAAGAAAAAAAAAUUAAACAUGAGGAUGAUGACUAGCUAGUCCAUGAAAUUUGCUGACCUUUUAUCUCCAAGAAAGCUCAUCUCAUCCAAUGCACAACCCAGCUUCAAAUCUGAAAUCCCCAUCUAAAAUAUUCUAAUUAAACACAUCAAACUCUUAGCAUCAUCUCACUUCAAUUAAUUUGCUCUACUCUCUCUCUCUCAAAAUGGUGGACGACCUCCUGAGUUAUUUCCAGCCCACCCAUCAAUCGGCAGCUGAACAUUCUGCAUAUUCAAUGGAAGAUUAAAGAAAGGAAGCCCCGAAGACGGGUCGGGGAAAGGGUUGUUGCCGACACCCACACCGCCGCCGCCGCUACCUCCGGAACCCUGGGGGACCUGCACCUGCAACUGCUCCUCUUCAUCCAAAGGCAGCCUCUCAUAAGCAACAUUAGUAAACGAGGAGGCGAUCACAAUAACGGGGCCUGCGGCGGUCAACUCACCGACCACGCUGCCCCCGACCACCUGCCCUUGCACGCCGGCCAAGAAUAUGGUCAAGCUCGUGGCGCCGGGAGGGGCCGGCGGGGGCAAAAAUGAGCCUGAAAGGGACAAAAUCUCGAACCUUCCAUGAAGGGUUACUACGGAGCCUGCUGCGGCCGGCUGCCGCAGGCUUACAUUGGUGACCGUUCCGCUGCCGCUCAAAAUACAGAUCCCACGCUGUCGGCGCCGCGCGUACGUGGCGACGCAGUCGAAUACAUCGCAGCCGUUGCCUACCUCGAGAAUAUGUGCUCGGAGAGUGUUGGCGCUUUCUCUUGUGAUGAUGACUGGGGGCUUAGGCUUGUUUUUGGAUCCAGGAGGACGACCUCGGGGCCGUCGGGCCACGAUGUCUCCUGACCCGGGGUUGAUGCCCCCGAGGUCAAGGCCCUGGUGAUGAUCUUCCGCGGAGAACUGGCCGGUUGACCUGUUGACUACUGCAUCGUCUUCAGAGUCGGUUUGUUGUUGUUGUUGGAGGUGCAAGUCUUGCCUGUGAAGCUGGUGAACGUAGCGAGGAGCUGAGCCUAAAUCCAAACCAGCCAUGGACACAUCAAAAAGAAAAACAGAAAACAAGGGGAGAAAAUUAUUAAAAAUGAUUUUUUAUAUAAAAUUAGUUUAUGGAACUGGGAAUAGCAAAUUAAAAACUGUUUGUGUUUUUCUGCUUUUGUUUAUUUUAUGGAAGUGGGAAAAAUUAAUAUAUAGAGAAAAUAAGAAGAGAAUGGAAAAAGAAGAGAGAGAUGGAGAGAGAGGGAGGGAGAGAGAGAGAGGGUGUGCUCCGGUACUCGAAGUUUUAAGAGUAGUUGAAUUAUCUAUGAGAGAGAGAGAGAGAUUUAAAGAAAAGAAAAAUAACAACGACAAGAAGAACAAGGAGGAUCGAGUGCAGAGAAAGGGAAGGAGAAGAAGAAGAGGAGGGAUGAGAGGAGGUGGUGUGGGGGUAGGGGCGACAAAGGACUCAAAACGCAGUCAUUUCUCUCACACCAAAAGUUUAAAUAUAUCACUAAAUUAAUAUUUUGUUCAAAGUUUAAUAUUGCUUUCUUAUUCUGAGGAAGAAGGGCAUGGUUGCAAGCAUGACUCUCAAUCUUAGAGCGUGAAGUAAACGUCAUCUUCAAUAUAAUAGGGGUGGAAUUAUAUUUAUUAUUCUAUGUUUUUUUAAUCUACUUAUCAGUUAUUUUGCUUAAGAGUUCAAUGAUAAGUUAUUUGAAUUUAGUAAAUAGUAGCUCAACUCAUUAAAAAUAUUUAUCUAUGCAUAUGAGGGUUGCGUUUGAUUUUUCAUCUCUCAAUAUCAUUUGUAUAAAUACAAAUUAUAAACUAAAAUUAUAAUUUAAUCAAGGUUGAUAAUUUGAUGAAAGCCUAAAACUAUGUAGCUUCUUCGGGACAUAAGAAUUAGUUAACACGAUAGAAAUGUUAAGAUGGGAUGUGAACUUGUAAAACUAUAGCAUGUCGGUUACAUUUACAGCAAAUACUAAUAAAAUUUUACAAUUUCAAUUAUAUAUGCAAGCACAAAACUCAAAAUAAAAUAAAAAAGUGACUAAUUCAUUUAACAAGACAAAUGAGUGGCAACCAUUCUCUAAUGCGGUGCUUAUUUUUAAAAUAGUAUGAUAUUAGGGUUUAUGGUAAGAUUUAUUGAUCAUUUUGUUGACCACCUCUUUAAUAUGAGUGGGCCACACUAAUGUACAUGAGAUCUACCUGUAUUAAAAAGGUGGUCAGCAAUAUAGUCAGUAAAUGUGACAUAAAUAACAACACUAUUUUAUAUAACAAAUAAAAAAGACGAAAUGGGAAAUAAAAUAUUGUUUCAACUUUAAAUGCAAUAUCAACAUUAUGAUCAUAUUAUUAGUUGGCUUUCAAAAUUUAAAUCACUAGCUUGGACAAAAAUAUAAGAGAUUAAUAAUGUAAAUGAAGAUGGACCAAUAUAUAGAAUAAUCUAAAAAUGGAAAAAAAAAUUUGUUGACUUAUGAUGAGUGAGUUAGUAUAAGGUGAAGAAGUUAUUUGAUAAGAGAAACCAUAUGAAACAACUCUUUAUAAUAUUGUUUUGAAUGAAGAAAAAACAAACCUAAAUACUUUAGCUUUGUGAUAUUUGAAUGAGAUGUGGUACCAAGAAAUUAUAUUUAAAUUGGAUGGGCGAGUUUGAUGACAAAUUAAGGAUCAAAGGAGAGCGUGGGGAAGUUGCAUUUCAAAAGUUUGUGUGAUCUAAUAUACAUAAAGAUUUGAGGAAAAGAACCUUAGAAGAGAGAGAGAGAGAGAGAGAGAGAGAGAGAAUUGUGUGGGUGGGGUUAGAUGAUGGAUCGCAGAUGUAUUGGUCAUGGGGUUUUGGCCUUGGGUGUAAUAAGUAACCAUGCGUUUGGACUUGGGUGUAAUAAGUAAUUAACCAUGGUUCAAAACCACUUGGAAUAGUUGACCAGUUGGGUUAGCUUCAAACGUGACGGGGGAGACAAAUUUGCAUUAUAAAAUUACAAAAACGAGGGAUGAAUGGGGCAAGUGGGAGAUGGUGCUACGGCGGAUGGGCCCCACUUUUGUCUUCUUCCCCCAUCCUGGACGGUCCCCUCUACUCCUCCUCUCUUUAGCCAGCCAUCCCUGCUUGACUGGCUCGGCCUCAGCUUUCAUUAGCAAUAAUUAAUUAUAACAAGGACCAAUUAUAUCAUUGAAUCCAUCGAAUAUUUUGAUUUUCUAUGAUCAAGUUUUCACUUAAGUACAGGGUUAUACAUUUCUUUUAGGGCUGUGUAAAUAAACCGGAGGACCGGAGAAUUGGUCCAAACCAGCUGGAUGGGGCUGGAUUUUCAACAAAAAUAAAGUUAAACGGUCCACAAUUGAAUUGAACAGGCUUAAUUCGGUUUAUAACUUUAAUCUUUUUAAAAUUCCAAUCGAAUCAAACCGGAUUUGGAGUUUUUUUUUUUUAAUUUUAAUUUUAUAUUUGUAGCACCCAAUCCCCUCAUUUCUUUAACUUAAGAGCUAAACAUAACCCUCGUUUCUCUCAUAUUCUUUGACGUUUGCACAUGUCAUCAAAUUUUUUCACUUGUCGACUCUCAUCUCUUUCAAGAUCUCACACCCCCUACGCCUCUCGAUCUCCAUUGAUUGAUCCAUGGCAACACAGACUAGUCCCUAAUGGAAAAUUGGCCUCUACCUUUUUCCAUCUCAAUUGUUGCAACUCACCAAUUCACUAACUCUCUCAUCACUCGGAUUUUUCUUCCUCUCAUACCAACCAACAAAACUAAUCAAAAUAGAAUGAAUAGAACCAACUAGGUUUGGUCUGGUUUGGACACUAAUAGUUUUUAGUUGAAACAGAUUCAAUAUAAGCUGUAUAGGUUUGAUCGAUCCGUUUGACAUGUGUGGGGUAGAACCGGGAUUGAAUUAACCCGUGUGUACUCAUAUUUUUUGUCAUAUGAGGAAGAGAGAAUUUGAAACUUGAAACCUCUUCUAAUUUUCAAAAGACAAAUACCAAUAAAUCAAAAGCUACUUAGUAAUAUAGGUAGUAAGUUGACCAAAAAAAGAAGUAAUAUAUGUAGUAUGAGAAAACAUCAGUCCAAAAUUUUCAAAUUUUGGAAAAUUUUAUAAGUUAUGAGGAUUUUGUGAAGAAAAAGUUGAGGAAUUACGUAUAACGAACCAUUUAAAUUCUAUAUGAAUAGUAAAGUUGCAAAUCACACACUCUUAACUCAUUAUACAUUUCCAUCAUCCAUAUAUUUGAUUUGUCAGUGGUAUGUCACAUAUAUGGUCAUUAGAAUUUGUGGCAUGUUAUAAGUUUUACAUAAUACAUCAACAUAUUUAGCCAAGUUCAAUUCACCAAUAACUUCUGAUAAAUCUAUAAGAGCAUUUACAAUCAUACUCUUUAUUUUUUAGUUAAAAUUUAGUUAAAAACACAAAAAAGUUAUUUUAAGAGCUCUCUAUAAAAUUUAAACUUCAAUCAUUCUUCCUAAUUUAGGGAGUCAUAAAUAUUAUAGUUAUUUUUUAAUUCAAUAUGAUUGGUCAAUCUCUACAAAAAAAAAAAAAGAUAUCAUUAAUUAAAAGUUUAAAUUAUGCAUAAAAUAAAGUAACAUUAAAUUAUAGGGAGCCACUAAAAGUCAUUUCUUUCUCCUCAAGUUUAGGAGCUCUUAGGCUCCGUUUGGUUCAUGGGAAAGGAGACUAGGGGAUUGGACAUCAAUUGCUUUCCCAUGUUUCUUAAGUCCAGGCAUGAGAAAUCGUUGUCUGGCCUAUAGGAAAGUAGGGGGAAAGUGAAGUCAUCCUCCCAACUUGAGUUUUGUUUUUCCUCCUCAUGGGAAAGUUUGGGAAAAUGAGCUAAUAUUAAAUAAAUAUUUUUCUUGACUAUUUUGUCCCCAUUAACAAUUUAGAAUUACACUAUAUUAUUAAAUGCAUUAUUUUUUUAUUUGAUUUAAUAUGGGUAUAAUUGAAAAUUUAUACAAACUUUGUUUUCCAUUCAUACUCAAAACAAACAUAAGAAAGGAAAUAAAAUGAUAUCUUCUGGUUACUUUUCCAGCAUCACCAAACGUGGAAAAUGAAUAUUCUAUUUCCCAUCUCUUAGAAAAUGACAUGGGAAAUGAUUUCCCCUCAAAUUCGUUCUGUGAACCAAGCGGGGCCCUAGAGGUCUCCCUAUAUUUAGGAGGUGAAUAGGGGGCAUGGUUGGAAUUGUAUUUUUCGAAUUUUUCUAAUUCCUUGCUAAAAUUUGUCUAAAGAGGUAGUUUAAAGAGUCCAUUGUGGAUGCUCUAAGAUCGCUAAUUUUAUAAUAAGAAUGAAAUAUUUGAUUAUUAAUUAAUAUGAUGAGUUGACAUAGUUCUCAACUUUGGUUAAUUUGAUGUUAAAGCGAUAAGGUCAUAAUAAAAUGCUAUAAAGUAUAGAAUGCCACGUUGAGAUCAUUUUUCAUAUUAGUACAACAAACUAUAUAGUUUUGAAUUAUGUUGGAAGAUAUUUUAAAUUUAAACCCGUCUUCACGUGAAUUUUUAUUUCUCUAAAACCUAAAUCCAAAAUACUAAAACCUUCUUCGUGUUUUUCUUUUUUCAAAUUUUGUAAAAUUCAAAUUUUUUAAAACCUUAAAUCCAAGGCUAAAACUAACUAAUGAACAGCUUUACUAGAAGGCUUGUGUUCGAAUUCCAAGUAGGAAAUGCUUCAUUUUCAUACGUGAGGAGCUAAAUUACCUAACUCAUUAACAAAUUAUAAAAGCAAAGUAAACGAUGCAAAUGAAAAUAAUUUAAUAACUGGAAAGGUUCUUUCUCCACCAAUACAAAUUUAUUACUUGAUGAAAUUAAGAAAUCUAAUUUGUUGUACGAUUGGGUAAAAGUAAUCCAUGACCCGAAUUUUUCAAACCAAAUGCGGCCAUUUGGAGGCGUUGAAAUUUACCAAUGCGGAAGACUAAAAAGUACGUAAUACUAAUACUAUAAUCCCUAUACAGUUGUAAUGUGAAUCAUGCUUUAGUGGCUAAACACAUGAUCAUAUAUGUACACAAACCAUAAUUAAGAGAAAAUAUGGGUCGUUGUCUUUGAAACAGUUAUUAAAAAGGAAAAGACUAAUCCAAUUAGAAUACUUAUUGAGAGGGGUACUUAUUUUUAACAAAACCCAAUAGGGAUUGCAUGUUCGAAGAUCCAAACUGUUUAAUUAUUAGGUCUCGUAUAUGGAUUAUUUAGUUAUUUAACGAAGAUGAAGUAAAUAGACGAACACAAUGAUUUCGAUAGUUACUAAAAUGAUCGUAAUGAUAAUCCAGUAGUCUAGUCAAGCAAUGGCUCUUAAAAGUUGCUUAGAUUCAACUAGCUCAAAAUGUAACUCAAUUAAUAUUAUGUAUUGUUUAUGUAUGUCUGUCAUCGUCUUGUGUCUUAUGGUCGUAUCUCUAGAGACAAUGUUUUGAUAAUUUCUUCAUCUUCGUAGGCUUCAUUUGUAAUAAUUUGCAUCGCAAAACAUGCACGUUAUAGUUAAUGUAUGUACUUAUUUAUUACCGUAGAAGCAAUUAACUUGCCUUUCUUAUAUUAUAUAUACUUUUCAAUAAAUAAUUCCCAACCCUAAAUAGCUUAUAUUAACUAUCAGAAGCGGUUGAGCAAAGGCAUAUGAAAGGGGUUGUAUAAAUUAUCCUUUUCAUAAUCAUAUCAUUGCUUGACUGUUACAGUUUACCAUUAAUUGUAAAAGUCUGGUACUUUUUUUUUCUUCACAAAGUGAUAUUUUAAAAUAUAUGUAUAAGGAGAGGGUCGAAUUUGGGUGCAAGGAAGUGGGUACUACAUAUAUAUAGUAUGUCAAUCCCUCGCAAAAGAAUCAAGAGAUUUAUGUCAAAAUUUCGUGCACUAAAUCAAAGAAAAUGUUUAUUACCAAUUGUUAAGAACUCAUGGGUAGAACUUGUCCUUAAAAACUACCUUGUAAAGUAAGGGUGCCCAAGAGUUCUUAAACCACUUUAGGAUAUGCUAUUUUUUUCAAUGUGGGAUCUUGAGUCCUAACAUUCCACCACGCUUCCGUACUCUAUCGACACUGGUCCACUUAGUUUGAGGCGGCUUCACUCAACUAGCAAUAUUCAAUUGUUGAAGAAUAUAAGUCUCACAUCGGAAACUUGACUAAAUAAAAUACAAUAUAUAAUGAAUGGUUCCACUACUAAUAUUACCGAUGUCUUUUGUGAUAAAACUCUACACCUACUAGGCUUGGUAAAUGGUUAAGUUGGGGACAAUAUCGGUGUUGUUAGUAGUGAACCGUUGGCCCGUCUCUCUGAAUUUAGCAUGACUCUAUAUUAUGCUAUACAUAACACCAAUCAUCUUAAUUGAGCCUAUAGGUAGCCCUUUUCCAUAGAAGUGGGUCCAGUUGCAUAGUGAAUCCUAGUUUUGAUACUAAUUGUUAAGAACCCAAGGGUAGAACUUGCCCUUAAAAACCGGCUUGUAACGAAAAAGUGCCCAAUAGCUCUUAAAUCACUUUAGGAUACGUUUUUUCUAUUACUCUCACCAUCUGGACUUAAAAGCGAAGUGGUUUUGAUGUGAGCCAAAGUUACUAGUAAGGUUUAUUUAAUAUAAUCAUAUUUUUGGUAAUUAUAGUUUUUAGAUUUUCAGCCUUUCUCACUAUUAAUUUUAGUAGAAUAUGCUUUUUAUUUUAUUAAAGGAGGCUAUUACUAGCACUCUAAAUUGGCUAUUUUGUAUUACUCGCUAGUCUAUAAGAUAAGAGAGAAAAGAUGCAUCAUGAUUAUCUUGGAGAUCCAAUAACAACUUUUGACCAUAUGAAAGGAAAAAAUAAGGCUUAAUUUGAGCAACGGUCCAUAAACUUAAUUAUACACACUUUAGGAUGGCCAAAACUUAAUUAUACACACUUUAGAUUUUGGCCAUCCAACUUGAAUUCUAGUUCUUGCAGUUCUUCAGCUCAACUUUGUCUCGCACAUUUGGUCAUUUAUGUUAACUGGUGCUCAUUUUUCGGUUUUGAUCAUGUGACAUGCCCAUAAUUUACUUUUUAGAGUAAAAAAGGACUUUAUAAUCCCAAAAAGAGACCUAAGAAAUUGCUAUGACGAUAUAUAGACUUUGGAAAGUACAAAUUGAAUAUGGUCUCAAAUGUUUUGGUUUGAAAGUUGAAUUUGUGGUUGAACAUAUAAGAUUCGGUUAGUGUUAAAUUUAUUAAUUAAGACAGAAUUUAUAGUAUGCAUCGACUAUUGAAGGUUUGAAUCGGGGUUAAUUUGACUAAUUAGGGCUUGAAUUUGGUGGUAUUAGCAACAAAUUUUUGGAGGAAAGUAUAAGCCAGAACGAUAUACCAAAUGAAAUCAAGUUGAAGAAUUACAUGAACAAAAAACCAAGUUAGAAGACUAAAAUAUACAUCAUGUACAAAUUCAAAGAACAUUGCUCUAAUAAAACCAAAACAAGAGUUGGUGGAUAUCCAAUUUUGACUUGUGACAUAGUCAAUAAAUCCGAUUGUCGGGGUUAGCCAAAUAAGAAAAAAAAAAAAAAACUAAUGUUUACGAAUUAACAUCAUGAUUGCCAGCAGUACUUUGUUGAGUCCUUUUUCCAUUUCUACGCAUCAACAUCCUUUGUUGUGGUUAUCUUUCUUCAUGGGCUUUACCCAAUCCGAUUGCAUGGAGCUUAGUGCAACUGGGAGUUUGCACAGAGAGAUAGAAAGGGAGGGAGAUCACGUGCAGUGUCCAUAUCAAAAUCGCAGGAGAAGUUAAGGAGCACCGAAUAGCUGUCGGCCACGAGGCCUCUCUCUCUCUCUCUCUCUCUUUAAUAUCUUCUCUCUGUGACUUAAUUUUUUUUCCAUUGGGAAUUGGUCUCUUUUCAAUCUCCAUCUCCUUGGUCACAUUUUCACCCCUUAAAUCCCGGGGGCCUCUUUAAGAUAGCCCUCCUGCACCAAUUCUGCUAUUACCUAACCCCAAUACGACUUUCCCCUCAGCUACUUCCAGCUUCCUUAAUUCCACUCUCUCUCCUCACGAGUUUUUCCACCAAUGGUAGAACGAGUUGAUGUAACAAUUAUAUUUACUUCAUGUUACAAACGUUACAAUCACACUUGUUACAUAAAUCCAUUACACACAAGUUUUUUUCUUUUUCCUUUUGCUAGAAAAUUGAUUUAUAGUUGUUGAUCAAUAUAUAAGUUAUCGUGCAUCCACAUAUGACUUACGUAACAAAAAUCCACAAAAAUAUAUAUUUAUUGAGUCUCUUAACAAACUUAGAAGAUUAAGUAAGGAAAAUACUUCUUUCCUUAUCAAUUAAGUAGAAGCUCUUACAUUCCUGUCAAUAGCAGUAUGAUAUGUGUGCAGAAGUUCUUAUUUUUAUAUUUUUAAUGAAUUAUUUUUGUAUAUAUGUCAAAUUAUGAUUUAUAAAAAAGAAGAGUAUCUCUUUACAGAUAAAAAGACAAAUAAUAUGUUAAACAGAUAUCACCUCAAAUGAAUCACAAUUACACAUGGUUUUAUAGCUAAACCCACAAGCACAAUAUUUCCAAGUCACAUUUUUAAUUUAACCAAUUGUUUUUUUUUCCCCCCUAACUAAUUGGGUUUUGUUACACACGUACAUUUACCUGCGCGUUGGUCUACGAUUGGAUUAGCUUGCUUGGUGAAGGAAUGCAAGUUUAAUAUUCCUGUGAAAUAACAGGUGGAAGCAGAUUGGGUUCAGAAAGAAAGAAAGGCUCCUGCUUUGCUUGGCUUUGCGUAUAUAUAUAGAGCUUGGGGCAGGAAGAUCGAUAAAGCUAUUGCUAGGCAACAACCCUGUCCUUCUCUCCCUCAGUCCAGUCCUAGGAAAAGCCCCCCGAAUUUUAGGCCACGCAUGCACAGAAGAGAGAGAGAGAGAGAGAGAGAGAGAGAGAGAGAGAUCCUUGAGUGUUGAAAGGUUUCUGAAAAUGCUCAGGUCUCAAAGAUUUUUAACCUAGUUCUAGUUGUACGGUCUAUAACCACUACUAGAAAAUACAGUGAGAGAGAGAGAGAGAUGAGAUGAGAUUAAAAGGGUCACAUGCUUGGAUUUGAUAAAAAGACAAACCCACGAGGGGUGGCCUUCAAGACAAAGAAAGAGGCACACAAGAGAGAAAAGAUCAAAAGGACCAAGUCCUUUGACUUUGUGAUAAGAAUAAGACCACCCAACCUCUCUCUCUCCAUCACAAUAUUGUCCUUGGGAAGAUCCACCAACUCCUAAUCUAUAUCCCCUCAGGUCUUUUUCACACGUCAACACCUCUCUCUCUCUCUCUCUCUCUCUCUCUCUCUCAAGAGUUCGGGAAGCACGUCUUCUCCAUUCUUUCACAAGCCAUUCUUGUACGAUUAUCAUGUGACAUAUAGACACAUUGCGAAUGUUUUUAGUUUCCGAGACAAUUUGAUUCAAAGUGUGCUUUUAUUAUUUAAGUUAAACCCUAAAUCAUAACAAUAUUUGUGUUUUAUAUUAAUUAUGCUUCAAAUAACAUCUCUAUCCGUCUGGAAAACUUAAUCUUUUUAAUAUGCCAUCAGCAAGUCUGCAAGAAUCAUUAGCACCCAGUCUUCUAAAAUGAUCUAUUAUAUUCAUAUUUUUGGUGUUGACUUUUUGCUUGUAGCCAAAACGAUGUCGUAUUAGGGUUUAAGGAUUAAACAAUUUUAGUUUUAGAAUUUAGACUAUAAAAAUAAUUAAAUGAAAUUUAAAACAAUAUAGUUUAUACGCAAGCAUGAGAACUGAACUUUAUCCCAUUAGAUUAAUCUAAUGGUUAACAUUCUCUUAAAUUUAUGUAGAUAUAUGAAUGCUAAAUACAAAGAUUUGAAAUUCGAACUUUAUCCAGCACUAAUUUAAACAUCAAAGUUCUACUUUAUUAGGGUAAAAACGAAGAUGGUACAUAGAUUUCUUCAAUUGACCAUCUCAAAUAAUUGAGAGCAAUAGUCUCCCAAUUAUGUUUGUUCCAAGCAAGUGCUCCCAUGUCUUCCAUGCUCCAACUUGUCGUGUUUCAUUACACACAUUUGACAAUGCAUAUAUCAUUUUGAUAAUCUCGAUUAUAAUUAACAUCAUCGUCAAUCUCAAUCAACUAAUAAUACAAAAUCUUCGGAUGCCAAAGAGGUGAUUAACUUGCCCUAAUAUAUGCUUAAAUCCGAGGUCCCCACAAGCUUUUGAUUUAAUCAUUUUUCUUUCUUAUUUACCUUUUAAUUUUAAUAUUAAUAUUUAUUCUGUGCACUUGCCCACUUGAUUUGCGAUAAAGCUAGCUACCAAUGGUAUUGCUAUGCUUAAUUCUCAACUGCGAGAGCAUUAGUUCCUAUGCGUCACCCCACAGGACAAAACCACUUUGUAAUCACCACACACCAAAAUCCAAUAGUACUGCUUGAUAAUUCAUCUUUUACUCACUGAUUUCAAACCUUAACUUCGAUAAUUCUAAAUGAUGCUAUACCAUCUUAACAAAGACACUUAGAAAUACAAUAUAGCAAUAUACAAAGAGUUUCAGUUUAAAGAUAUACUUUUGUAUUGUAUUUUAAUAAUUUAAAUCGUCUAUUUUUAUGUAUUUUAAGUAUGAAUAGUUCAAUUUUGUUUAUCACAACUAAAUGCCUUAAUGGUUCCAAUUUAUUUUUUUACAAGAGUGAUCUUUGAAUGAAGACUUAAAACGUAGAUAAUUUAGAUCGUUAAAGUAGAACUGCAAUAAUAUUGAAGACUGGUUUCUAAAUUCUAAGAUUUGUUUGUAUAUACUAGUAACCCGUGUUCAUGAAUUUAAAAAUAACUACUUUUUAUUUUGUUUUUUCGUUCUAUGUAUCUUGAAUAUUAUUAAAAGUUGGGAUAAUGGAAUUGCCAAGACCUAGGAUUAAUUUCUAUUUUCUUUUUGGACCAAUGAUUAUAUGAUGAGAACUUAGGAAUUGUACAGUUAGAUUAUCCAUAUAUUAAUAUUUAGCAAGAAAAACUGCAUUCAGGUCUAUAAUUAUUUAUCAAAAAGUACCAACCAACACGUAUCUUUUUCUUAUUAUAAGUUAAUCCAUAAUUUAGUUUACUAUGUUUAUAAUUAUUUAUCUUUCAUUACAAAAAUAUAUGACUUUAGCAAUCAUAUCCGAGUUUAUUUAUUAGGUGACAAAGAGAAGUAUGCAUGGAUCGAAGAUGAUGAAGUUAUUGGUCAAAUGCUAAAUAAAUAGUAAACUAUGUCAUAGGAAUUUGUAAAAAGUGGUAUGAUUAAUGAUUUUAAACUCAAAAUAUGGAUGAUCGAUGUUGAAACUUGGAGUACAAUUGUAAAUAAACAUUUACAAAAAAUUAAUAUAUAUUGUUUAUAAAAUUAAUAUUUUCUCUAGAUAUUAAACACUAACCUCCAUGCAUGGUUUCGAAAAACUAUAUAUUAUCAUUAAAAUCUUAGCCAUUCUAUUAAUAUAUGCAUAUUACAAUGAAGAAUAAAAAGGAGUUUCAAAAAAUUUCACCAUUUGUUUGUAUUAUAAUAUAUAUAUAUACAGCCCCUUCUAUUAAGGUAUCCGUCAAAUAAUAAUUGAGAGACACCUUGUAGGGUUUAAUAUGAAUUUUACUUCAAUAAUCUAAAUCGUUUAUUUUUAAAGUUUACGUCAUAGAUCAUUAUUGCAAAAAUUAGAUAAAUUGAAAAUUAGCAAGACAUCUAGUUGUGACCAACAAAAUAAAUGAACACUAACACUAAAAUGACAACCAUUUAAUCGAGUCAUUAAUUGAUUUCAUAUUUAAGUAUUUUUUGUAGAAAUGAUUUUUGAGGCAAUACCUAUAAAAUAUACUGGUUGGAUCAUUGAAAUACAAUGAAGAGUGGGUCCUUAAAAGAGUGUCCCUCAUAUAAGGUUAUUUGGUAUAGAUCCCUCAUAAGCUCUCUAUACAUUAAUCAUGUUCUAUUGAGGGAUCCAUUUGGAUACCUCACUGUGAAUUCUACCUCAAUGGUCCAAACCGUAUGUAUUUGAAGUCUUCAUUCAAAAAUCAUCACUGCAAAAAAUUACACAAAUUGAAAACCAUUAAGACAUUUGUGAUCAGUUAAAUCGACCAACAUGAUAUUUCAAGAAAACACUAAAAUGACAACCAUUUAAUUGAAGGGUUUAAAUGGUUUCGUAUUUGAGUAAUUUUUUUUUUUUUGCAAGAAUAAGAAUACCUAAAAAAAAUAGACAGUUCGGAUGAUUAAAAUAUAAUGCAAAUUGGAACCUACAAGAGUAUCCCUCAAAUAACCUUAUUUGAGGAAUCCCUCAACUGUGAGUGUAGGUUAACGUAAAAUUAAUUCAACUUCAUUAAUUCUUAUAAUCAGUACUAUUAAGUUCUUCAAUCCAUAACUUAAAACCUCCCAAACCAAAUAUGACUAGACUUAAUAGUCAUCCACAAUAUUACAUAAAAUUUAGAUGAAGUUGAACUUAGGAACCUCAUUAUAAUAUUCUCAUACCUGACAUGUAAUGAUAUCCACGCUGUUAAUUUGGUAUACGCUUAAAAGAAGAAAAAAAAAAAUCAAUUUAACUAAUGAUUCAAAUUGAUAGUGUGAUAAUAUACAUGUUCAAUUGUUGGCAUAAGGGACGUGAAGGUCAAGUGAUGAAGAGUAUUUAUUCAUGCACCCGAGGUCCUACAUUUGAUUCUCCACUUCCACAAUAUCACUUUGUAUAUAAAAAUAAUUGUCGGUAUAAUAACGGUUGAAAUACAAAAUCUUAGUACAUUCAACUCUAAUGAUUUCUCUACGGUACUAACACAUACUCCAUACAAACAGGGACAAAUCACCAUACAGAUACGGAUGGUGUAUUCGAUCGUAAAAGGGGUGCUACAUCACUCAAGGGAACACUCAACGAACUAUGAUGACCUAAAAUAUAGACCAAAAAUAGAUGCAUAUACAGUUUUGGUAGUUCACUGUCUCUACACACCAAAACAGCAUCAUGAAGGGCGCGUGUAAGUUUGCAAAUUUGAUUGCUUAAUUAUGAACCAAAACGCAAAAUUUAGGUAAAUCACAUGACUAGCUGUAUAGCCUUUGAAACAACUCCAAGUCCAAACCCAUCAGCCUCCCAUUGACAAAACAAAACACAUCCAAACCAUCUUUUUCGAAAACUGUUUACAUUAAAGCCAACUUGCAAAGUACACCACACCAUUUAUAAUGUUCCUUGUCGCUUUCCAAGUGGCCCUACCCCUAUAACAAUUUAUAAACACACCCUUUACCCAAUUGAUUCCUUCCUUGGUGCUUAGAUUAAUUAAUCUUAAUUAACCAUUAAAAAAAAUAUGGGUACUAAUUAAACCACGAUUAUGAGCGGCCCAUCUGGCUGAUUAAGAUCUCAUUGUCGUUUUAUUACCAUAUGGUGUGGGCUUUCUUCUCUCAAGUUGCAGAUCAGUUAAACAAAUUGGUCAUCGGUUUGUAUGUACAUCCAAAAUUCUUGAGCCUUUUCUGGUUGCAAAUUUGUAGGAAAUUACGAAUAUCAAGGAUAUGAGAAAAAUAAAAUGCUGAUCUCCAGAAGAUAAAAAAAACAUAUUGCUUAGAUAAGUAUAAAUUAGUCUUAAUUGUUUUGUUUUUUCUUUAGAUUUUCAGAACAUCUUACUUGUAGUUUAAGUGAUGAAGAACAUUUAUCCUACAUCCGAGGUUCUGUAAUGUUCGAUUCUCCCCUCCCUCCGUAGCACUUGUAUAAAAUAAAAAAUAAAAAAUAAAAAAAGAUAUGCAUGGGGACAAGAUUGGGUAAGUUGGAUAAACUGUCUCUCCCUCUUGAAGGAACAGAACAUGGUAUAAAUAAAGACAUACUAACAAAGAGAUUGAGUAAACGAGGGUCUAAAGUUGGGGUUUAGAAUUGGAAAUGUUGGGUGAACCUGCUUGUUGGGCUUCACAUGGUGCCAAUUGUUAUACUUUUAUCUAUUGCAAUGCAACGAAUUAAUAAAUGAAGCAACUUCAUUUAAUUAGUUGUGUUGAACUUCACAUCCCAUGCACAUUUGUAUGAUCAUUAACGAUUCGAGGAUAAUUAUUGAAGCCCGUAUCGGAUCUUCAAAGUCCAAUUGAGGAAAAUCGUAGCCCAUAUCAUGGAAGCCUAUACAUGUGUUACAAAGAUGUCCUCAAGCCUGCAUCGCAUUACCGUUUCAAAAUAAUUAUAAAAUAAAAAAAAAUUAUACACGUGAUAGUAUAAAUUAUUCUAAAUUGAUCUGAUCUAUAAGAGGAGGAUUCAAAUUUGGAUGCAAAAGGACGAGUUCUGACCUAACCCACAUGUUUAUCCGAAUCAAAGAAGUUAAUCUUGACCUUCAAUUUUUAAGCCUCACUAUAGCAAAUCUCCAAAUCUAACAUAAAAUGUCUGGUAACAAAAUAGGGGUUUACAAUGUACAAUGGUUUGUUGACAAUGAAACUAAAAUCGGUGGUUUUCUUUUGGUCAUUCUGCGUUACUGUCUGUGGGAGUUGAUAGUUGUUAUGCAUAAACUCAUAUUCAAUGGAUUCUGGAUGUGGCAAAAUAACUCAUUACUUUAUUCCUGAUAAACCAAGAUACACUACAAGAAAGCUCACAUAUAUGUUUGAAGGAAAAACAUAAACAAAACUUCUUAAAUUUGACAAUUCAAGAUUAAAGAAAGAUAAAAUCCCAAAAGCAGAUUACAAUAGUAGAUGAACUCUCAAUGGAGCCUAAAGAAGGAAAGUAGAGGAUCAUACACAACUUGAUUGGCAUUCAUAGCCAUAAUAAAAUCCAUAUGGGCAUAAUCCUCUCUGAACUGUACCACAAGCUUGUCCUUGUCAUGAUCUUUGAGGUUGUCCAGCAAAAGGUUCACAUCAAACACGUUCGAAAGCAGAUCCCUCCCUCCAUAGCUGAGGAAUAGAGGAACAUCUUUCGGAAUGUUUGCCAUGUUGUACACAGGAGGAGUAGGCUGCCUGUAGUGCUGCAUGUUUGUGAUUGGCAGACCGUAAUCAUACAUUUCUAUGGUGCCCUUUCUGACCACUUUCGAAAAUCAACAAGAAGCAAAAAUUGAAAUUAGAUUAAGUAUUGAAUGUAAUUAGGGUGGAUUUUCAAACAAAUACUUCAGUUUUGUAGUGGACUUUAGACCUUUAGUGUUAGGUGACCAUAACUAAACUUGGAAAUGAAAGAGACUUACUCUGAAAGAGAUGUAGAGCAUUCUUUGUCGAAGUGGUCUGUGGCGUAUGCUUAAAAAGAGCAUCAAUGCUUGAAGAACUGAGGCAGCAAUUUGGGCCUAUAGAUUGCAAAAACCAAGUCAAUCAACAGAGGAGGAAAAAAGGAAAUUCAAGUUAAAAAGGAUGAAUGGGAAAGCUUAACAUUGUAGUCACCUGUUGUAACUGAUAGAAAGUUGGAGCAGUCAAUGCCUGGUCUUGUGCAGAUAAAAUCCAAAAGUCGGUUCACCUGCCUGUUGGGAUUUUGGGAAGAACAGGAAAAUUGUUAGUAUCAUGUCAAUUUUCUCAAAUGAGUGACCAAGAAUCAGAUAGAUUAACAUUCAACCUCUUAUUUUAUUUUUUUUGCUAUCAAAAAUCCUUAUAAAUUUUACUUGAGUUUUCUACGUAAUCGUUAAUGUAAAAAGCGUCCUUGUCAACUCCUUUGAAACAAUGCAACAAAUUAUAAGACAUAGUUGAGAAACUUCUCAUGCUCUAGGCUAGCAUUGUUGGCCUCAGAGCCAGAAGAAAUUUGUGAAGUACGUAUAGGAAUUAAACUUAUGAUAUUGUCUGCAUUUGCCUUUGCUACUUAAGCAAAAUAGGUUAAGUUGCUAGUCUCACUCGUUUGGAAAUGCCUGGGAACCCAACAACGCCAGUCCCUGUUAAAUAAAACAGAUUACACUUUGGUCAGUUAAUCUAGUUCAUAAUGAAUGAACUAAGAAUCCCAUAAUUUCAAAAUAAAAUAAAAGUUCAUCGAGUUGUGUUACUUGAGCUAAAAAUAUGUCGGCAGCAGUUCUUCCAAACGGCGAUAUCUGACCAAGAUAAGCAAUUGGACUAAGCAAAGCAGCUGAUCUUAGCAGGUUUAACAGCUUUUCUUGGGAGAAGGCGGCAAGGGCAGUCAAAGUUCCCUAUAAUUUCAAUACUUUCCAAGUCUCAGUCAUACUUGUUUGUUAAUUAUAUGUGUCACAAAAAAGAAAAAAAGAAAAGAAAAAAAACCUGGAUCCAGCAAAUAUUUACCAAGGAAUGACCAACAUAGUGUAAUUUCUGUCCUGUUUGAUUGUUCACAUACUGGAAUGCAGCAGGAAGAUCAUAAGCAGUCAAUUCAUCCCAUGACCAGUCCCAGUAUGCCUACAUAUAUAAACAUGUAUCAUUAGAACGUAUAAGCUUAAUUACGAUGCAGAUUAUGAUGUGAUUAAAAUAAAAGCAAAGUGAUCGUACCGGAUCAUUAGGGCUAAGUGAUGUGUGUCCGCGGCUAGAUUCUGUCCCGCGAGCGUUGGCAAGCCAUACAUCAAAACCCUUAUCUGCCAAGAUGAAUGCCAAAGCCUUAUCCGGCUCAUUGAGCAGCCAAGCUGAAGCAUCCUGUUAUCACACAUAAAUUGUUUCUUAAUUGCUUGUUAUGCCAUGUACUGUGUACAUUUAGGGUUCAGGUAUAUGGUGGCUUAAUUAGGUACAAACCAUAAGGAGUCCAUGUUGUAACAAAACAGGCAGCUUAGCUGCUGUCUUGUUACCGGACCGACCAGCUGGAAUCCUUUGCAAGCCAAGGACAUAACCAUCUGCUGUUGUUACCUUAAACCCACCAAAAGUUACAUGAAAAAAGAUACAACAAAGUUUAAUUAGUCAAUGCCAAAAAAAGAGUGACAUAUAUAAACUGAUGAAAAAAAGAUAAAACUAAGGCUGGCAUCUUAUAAAAUUUAGUUACUUUAUGUUCUUCGCAAGCAUAGCCUUGUGUCUCCACCAAUGAUUUGCAAAUGCCACCAUCCACAUUGUUGGUUGGUUGCAGCUUAGUUCUUGUUGCUGCAGCAGCUGAAAGAGAAAGUAGAGCCACAAGAAGUAGAGUGCUCAAAGGGUUGGCCAUUUGGAGCUUAGUUUGAUUUUGAUAAGCGAUAUUGGUGGAGGGGGGGAAUCGAACCUAGGAUCUGAGGUGUAAGGGUAAAUGCUUUUAACCACUUGAGCCACAAGCCCCUUGAUGGAGCUUAGUUUGAUUCAUUGUCUUUGAGUGUUUCAGAGUGUUUUGCUUUUUAUAGUAAAUAAAUCCGAAACAAAUCGGAUCGAGCCAAACACAAGAGUUACCUUAUUUGUUGGGUGAACUAGUUAGUAAUGAAAAUAAAUGUCAUAUAGAAACCCCCCAAGACUUUGACCUCCCAAACUUUGAAUUAUUAUGAGAUUAAUGGGGAAAUUAUCAUGACACUAUAUGAGUAAAUUGUGUAAAUUCUCAUGAAUGACCCUUUGUACGUUUUGUGUAAAUUCUCAUGAAUGACCCUUUGUACGUUAAAUUGUACAUCUUAAUAUUGAAUUUCUGAAAAUUUGUAUUGAAUAAUAACGCUAGAGCAUAAAUAGAUUAGAUCCGUGGUCUAUUUUGAUAAAAACGUUUACAGACCAAUCAAUUUAUUUAUUUAUUUUUUGUAGUGGUUGACUGAAGUAGACAAAUUUGCCCGAAUUGAAGAAACACAUAAAUUGAAACGUCAACGUUUCUAGACCUGGGUGAGAGUCAAAAGAUCUACUUUGUCCCAAAUUAUAUGUUUAGCUUGAUGUCCAAGUUAUAAGUUAAUCUCAAUUUUCAUUCGACAUUUAGCUUGACCAUCUUGUGGCCUCCUUUUCCACAAUGGGUCAGCAAUGCCAGGUAAAAGGCCUUCAAGUCGUGAACUUUUACCAGAGAAGAAGCAAUGACAGUAUUUGAGGAAUAAACAUCGGCUAACUUCGUGCCAGCAGCCGCAGUAAUACAGAAGAUGCAAGCGAUGUUCCAAUUGGGUUUCUCAUGUUCAUGUCUUCUAUGGGCAAGGCCUGUUGUCAGGUUUUUGCAUGUUUUUUAUGCAAUGCAUUUUGUCAUUCUUUCCACAACCCCAAAAAAAAAAAAAAAAAGCACAAGGAGGGGAAAAUCUCAGUCAUUUUACUUAGAGCUGAAUAAUUCUUAUUACGUACUAAAGAACAAAAACUUGAAAUAACUCAAGGUUUAAGGCUGCAUGACCAUGAAUUUAAAACUCAAUUUCAACCUAGAGGUAAAUGGCCGCAUCAAAGAAUCUCCCUUCCACCGAGAAAUAAAAUAGAAAAGGCCAAGGAAGCUACUUUGAACUUAUAAUUAGUAUAUGUUGUUGGUCCUAGAUUAUCAACACCAGAGUAAACAAAAAUUCCAAUUGGCCAAUCAGCUCAAUCUCCCCCUUUAAGCUGUUUCUUCCGUUUUCUUCGUUGAUCUCUCAAACCUGGAAGGAAUAACAAUAUCAAUACAAAAACCAAAGGAGCCAACCUCCCUUCGACCCCGAAAGACAGAUAUACACAAAAAGAAAAGAAAAAGGAAAGAAAAUUUACGUGUUUUCUCCUCUUUUCUUUUCCUCCUCAAAUCCACUAUGUUUCUUCGUUUUUGUGCCAUCUCUUUCCCAUCUAUGUGCACCUGAGAGAGAGAGAGAGAGAGAGAGAGAGAGAGAGAGAGAGAGAGAGAGAGUAUGAAAUACUGGAACUCAAAGUAAUGGUUAUGGACAUAAAAAUAAAGAGAAAACAAAAGAUUUUAACUCUGCAUGCUUAUUAUUCACCCAAAUAAGAAGUCAAAUGAAAGCAAAUUUCUGUUAUGUUGACUUCAAUAUCGCUUUCGCACACAUCAGCUGCUAAUCUUAUUGUAAUUAUAGUUUACCAUGCAUCUGUUCACUUAUGAUGGCAUGCAUUCUCUCUAAUCAACAAAUGUAUCCAUAUUUUUAAAUUUUGAAAAAUCCAUGGAAAUUCAAAAAAUUUGAAGGCUUGACAAAGUAGAUAAAUGUACUUAAGUGCAAGUUUGACCAUACAUAAGUUUCAACCAUAACAAAAAAAUAUCAAUAUUAUCUGGACAUCAUGUGAUCCUCUCAUAUUGGGAACUAUUUCAGUGUGCACAACAUGAGAAGAGAAAAAGAGUAAUGAAAUCAUGCAACAAAACUUUAAUCAGAUCGUAGGAAAUAGGUAAAAUCUAUGACUUUAGCCUUUAGGUACUACCUCAUGCCCAGCACUCCGAAGUGCCUGGAGUGGUUCCACACAAUCCUGACCGAUAACUACCAAUUUACUUUUUUUCUUAUCUCCUGAGUCACUAUUGUCACCAAGUUUUUUCUUAGCCAAUUCUUCAAAUUGAUGUUGCAUGAGAGGCGAGACACCAGCCUGAAAAUAUAAAAACAAAAAAGGAUCAGUGCCGUUACUUGAAAAACACAACAGUGCAGGAGCCCCUUAUAAAGGUUGUGCAACAACCAAUAUACUCCUUAGUGGAGAUCAUAAUCAUAUUAAUCAUAAGUUUGACCUCAACUCUCCAGAAAACACCAUAAAGGGGAGAGAAGAUAGUAAUUCAGGAAUGUCAGGUUAUAAACAUAAGUGGUUAAGUAGCAAAGGAAAGGGGAAAAAACUGUACAGCAUUGUUCUGCCAUAGAAUGCUAGACAGAACAUGCAAAAGAACACCCAAUUGCCAUGAAAUGUAUAUUCUUUGAGAGAGCCUGUGAAAAUAAAGAAUCUAAAAAUGUGAAAGCCAUAAUUUAGUAAACCUACAAGGAGUUAUCCAAACAUUCCAGAUGUAAUGCUAGCAGUACAUGAAGACUUGAUUCUCAAUUCCCUUAGUUCCCUUGUGAUUAGUUACUACAUGACAUUCCUUAGUUUUAUACUUAAUCCACAUCGGGCACAUGUGACCGUAUAAAAGAAAAGGGUUAUACAUUUAUGUUAAACGAUUGACAUAUAAACGUGCAUCGAAUAAUCUGGUAUACAGCUACAAACUAUAUAAUACACGACAAUUUUGUUUCUUGGUAAACAAUAACUAAAGAUAAUAUGACAAAAUAUUCUCAAACCAGUUCUAUAAUAUUUUUCUACUCCUAUUCAAUUUUACUAAUUUUCUUUUCACUCUUCCAACAACCUGGUCACAAUUACAGGAGGGGAGUUACCCAAGUGUUAGGCAGAUAGCCUGUGCUCUUUGACCCACAAUUUUGGAAUCCAACUCUUACCAACAACUAGACCAAAAUCAUGAGGAGUUAAGUGUUGAACAGACAGCCUUGGUUGGGGUAGUAUCUACCUGCCGUUUGGGAUUCCAACAGUUUUAGGUUGGGUCCUUUACCAUUCAGGCCUAUGUGGCUGCAUAAAGGGCAUAAAGGGAUAAAUGCAAGCAAGGUAAUAGUGUCAAUUGAGAGACGGGAAGGUUCAGGUUUAUUAAAUUAGAGUUAAAAAGGAAGCCGAGACUGGAACGAAAGAAUUUUUAUGUUUUCGACAAACAGUGCCUAGAUAAAGAAAUUUAUGAGUUGGAAGGGGAGAAGAGUUUUGCGACUCAAGGAGAGACAUCAGCUUAGAGAUGGAAGUUCUUGGUGAUUAACAUAUAAAAAUGAAAUCAUUUUCGGUAUUGGUGUAUAACGAUUGGUUUUAUUUGCAUUAGAAUCAUCACCAGGUUGCUUGGAUAUUUAGAUUGAUAAAAUGGCUGGGUUAGUAGAUGGGUAUUCAAUUAAGGUUUAAUUUGGUUCAUAUUUGACUUCAUUAGAGGUUUUAAACAAUAAUGAUCAGAGAUUCUUUUGGUUUGAAUUUGCAUCUUCUUCCUUCUUACCUUCAAAAAUCACAAAAAAUUUCUAGGUUUUAAUGCUGAUAUCGGGAAAUGUCAGAACUGUCAACAAAUAUCAGGGAAAUCAACGAAAUAUCGGUGAUAUGGGGGGAAGAAAGGGGGUCGACACUCUGAAAAUCCAAUCCGUAGGUAUAUUGGCAGAUAUUUUCGUCCUUGAUUAAGCGUUUGUCUUGGUCUGCAUUGAUGUUGAGGAAAGGAAAAUGAUGGGCUACCUAAUUCAGGCUUUGGGAAAUGGUUAUGCAGAAUAAUUAAAUGAUGGGCUACCUAACUCAGGGUUUGGGAAAUGGUUAUGCAGAAUAGGCUACAAUUAUUGUUUUAAUUUAGGGUUUUUGAAGUUAGGUUGAUUUAAUUAAUUACGUUACCGAGGGUUUCUCAUAGGGUUUUAGGUCUAUAUAAAUUAAGGGUUUUGUAGUUCUCUAGAGCCAGACUUGGUUGAUGAAUAAAGUUUAUCCUUCUUGAAUCCCUGAGUAUCUCUUUCCCCAGUCCAUAAACUAAUGUCUCUCUCAUCUCAUCUUUCUAGCUCCUUCUUCCUCUACUUUCUGAAAAUUCUAAUCUCAUUUUUCUCCCUUAUUCUACCCAAAGUUCUAAAACCCCUUCUGGUACUACAUGAAUCAAGUCUACCUCUACAGAAAUACAAAGACCUAAUUUAUUGACCUAAAAUCCUAUUAGAAACCCUCAGGAACUAAAUUACUGAGAUAACCAUAUACAAGAAUAAUAAUCCUAGUCUAUUCUACAAGAAAUGGACUUUCAUUUAGUGUCAUUGCUUGGCCCUUCCUUUGGUCUAAGAAUUUCAAUGGUACUCCAUUUAAUUUAAUUAAUCUCAAUGGGUGAGAAAUAAAUUUAAAUGUCAUGCUCUAGCUAGGAAUGCUUAGACUGAUUCUUGUCUAUCUUUCCCUGAACAUCUUUCUUUUCAUGGAUAGAAGUUUCUCAUUCCGCCAAAAAAUAAAGUGAUAGUAUGAAAAUUUAAAGAAUGCAUCAGCGUAAAAACUACUUUUGCCAAGAUUAACAGCAAUUAACUAACAGCUUCUAGAAAAGAAUGUCACGUCUUAUAAAAGAUUUUUUUCAAAAAGGGAAAUACGAUGGUGAGAUAGUUACCCCUGCAAAAUAACGAUGUGAAAAUGACUUCGGUUGUAAUGGGCGCGAAAGUAAUAUCUUGAGCUCCUGUUUUCCAGACAAAAAUAGGUCAAAUGAUAUUGCCCUAGACUUUAGAAUAUGCAAUACUUGACAAACAGACGAGGUACUGCAUUAUGAAAAACAGGAAAGCUCAUAGUAUUACGCAACCUGCUGCAACUUGUUUAAAUUCAUGGAGCUGGCUUUCCUUUUCUUAUGAUUUUUCACCCUUUCUUCCUCGCUGUCAUCGUUGUCCACAACUAAUUCAAUCGAUUUUGCAUUUCUUUCAAACCAGCUUUUCUUUGAUUUCUCCUGAAAAAGAAAAAGAAACUAAACAAUUAGUAAAAUAAGGUCAUGAACAAACAAAAGAAUGUCAAACAUAUUAUAGCAAAUUAUGAGAAAAUUUUGAAAUAGACAUGAAAGGGAAUCACCAAAAUUGGUACUAGUAUGCACGUAUGACUAGAAAAUAUGCAGAUCAGCUGUAACUUAGAGAAAAGAAAAACUAGAGUAACAUACAAAAUCAUGAUUACAUACAAAGUAAGUAAGGGUCGCAUCCCAAGUUUUGGGAUGAUGCAUCGAGCUGGGCCGAUGGCACACACAAGCAGGGACAGUCCAUAUCACCUUGGUUGGGAUUGGGUCAUCUUUCAUUGAAAAGGCCAGCCAAUCAUUACAAGGCCUACUGAGCUUGGCCUUCUGUUUUGCCUAGUGGGCUUACUCUUAAACAGAUAAUAUAUGUUAUAUUUUGAUUUAGGUUCUAAGAUUUAAUUUUUUCAAAGAAAAUAUUGUUGUUUGGUGAUAAUUUAUGUCAGUUGUUUGGUGAAUAAAUAAUUAGUAACUUGAUUUUAGACCACGUGCAAUGCAAUGGAAGGUACAUAACAGAUAUUAUAUGUUAUAUUUUGAUUUAGGUUAUAAGGUUUAUUUACCAUAUUAGCCUUCAUUUUUAAAUAACAUUAAUGUACAAAUGAUAUAUAACUGACAUUUUCUGUAUUUAGGUUGACAAAGGGAGUUUCAUAAUAAUUUAAAUCAUUUAAAUUAUAUAAACCACAAAAACCCCUGUUUAAAAGUCGUGGUCAAUUCUAGGCCUGUCCCUAUGGGCCAUUCAAUCGUUUGGACUAAGGGAUAGGCCUAGGCGUAGCUUUUCCUCAUCUGGAUGGGAAAGCUCAGCCUGAACAGGAAGUUUGAGUCUUAUUAAACAGGCUGGGUAAGACCUAGCCUUUCAUACCAAAGGCCAAGUCACACUCGCCUUGCCCUUUUUGCGGCCCUAGGGAGCACUAGGCAUAGGCCUUGAGCGGCUUGGCCCACAAUGCCCACCAAUAGAAUUGCACAGUAAAAUUCUAAAUAUAUGAAUAUACCUGGGAAUCCUUCCGGAGAAUUUUGUCCAUUUGACGCGCAAGAGAUAAUCGUUUGAUGACCUCAGGCAAGUAUGCGUUGUCCAUGGGAAAUCGCUGAAAACUUUCCUGAGUACAGAAAAAAAAAACAUAUUAAGGAUAAAUUGGGGGAAGUCACAGAACUGAAAACAACAAGUGCUGUGAUUGAUAUAUUCAAUGUAUGACUACAUACUCAAUAUUUAAACCACCAUCAAUUAGCACUUAAUUUUUCCUUGAUGUAAAAUUCAAAAUAAAGCCUUCUUUUGAAAAGUGCUACCUUAGAAAAUGAUUUGCACAACAAAGCGAAUUUGGAUGUCUCAUUUGGUGCAAUUAGUGCAAUACUGCACCCAUCAGCAGAAGCUCUAGCAGUUCUACCACUUCUGUGAACAUAAACCUAGUAAUAAAUAAAUAAAACACAUUCUCCUGUCAGAAACUGUAAGAACCCCAACAAACAUGGUGAAAAGCAUCCAAAUGUUUACUUCUGCUGAAUGUGGAAGCUGGUAGUGAACAACAGUUCGAACACCAGGAAUAUCUAGGCCUCUUGCUGCAACGUCAGUGGCCACAAGUAAACCAUGUUCAUCUCCUCGAAAACGAUCGAUUGCCUGCAUUUAGCACGAUGAAGAGCAGAACGGUGUUAAAAAAGAAAUUAAAGAAUCGUGUAAAUACAACCAAGUCUUGGGAAGAGCAAAUGUGACUAUAAAAAUUAUAAAAAAGGCAUCAGAUCCGUCCCAAUUCCAGUUUGUCAGGACCCAGAUUAUAUACAUUUAAGAACGAGCUCUAGGACACAAACAUAAAAGAUUAUUUUUUUCAAAAAGUACCCAAAAAGAAAAAACCUUUGCCAUUUCAUAGUCUACUUCAUAGGAAUAUGAUGAUCAUAUUUAUUUUUAAAUAGGUAUCUGUCUCAUUAUAUAACUGCUCUGUUUAAACUACACCUACCGCCCUCAGCUCCUUGAAUCUAAAAAGGUUGAACUUCAAACUUUCUUUCCUAAAUAACCAUUGAUUGAAUAUAUCUGAAUAGUAAAGAAUUUUUGUCAAUCAUUCACAUGACCAAAUUUUACACAGAAAAUCAUAAAAUGUCAAGGCCCACCAUAUCGAAUGAAAAUUUUAAUUAAACUUUUUGUUUGCAAUAUAUUUUUGUUACAACCUUGUUUGACUUAUUUGGAAAACGAAAAAACGCACCUUCAAGCGAGCUCGCUGCUGCAUCUGAGCAUGAAGCGUCCAUACAUUUGUUCCAAGAAUGCGCAAGAGUGAUGAUACAUGUCGCAACGCUGCAACUGACGUACAGAACACAAGUGUGCGACCUUGUCCAUGAACACUUAAAAUAUAAUACAAAUAGGCGUCUUUAUCUUCUUCUGUGCAUCUGCAAACCUAAGAUGAUUAAGUAGCAUUCCACUGGAAAAACUCAUGCAAUAAAAUGGGAGAGAAUAAAAUAAAAUGACUAAACAACUUAUUCAAAAAACUGAUCCCAAUUUUUUAUUUUAGUUUUAAAGGCUUGAAUGGGUUGAGGUUAGGAUGAAUGAAAAGUGCAGACGUGUUUAAAUUAAGGCAGAGAAUUUACUCCAAGUCCAAGGCAGAUUUUAAUCUAAAACGUAAAUUGUCCCCACCAUCUAACAAUAAGAUAUGGAAGUACAAGAAAUAAAAAAUAUAUAUUCUUUUCCCACUUUUAUUUAUAAGAAAUAAAAUGAUUGAUUAAAAGAAACGCAUGCAGAAACAGAGGACAAGAAAUCCACUGCACUAAGCUAGAAUCACAAAACAAUACCAUAAGACAUCCAGAACAACAAAAUAAGGCACUAGAGAACAGCAGCUCUCCAAUCUGAAAAGACAGCUAAGAAAGAACUGCUCCUAAACUCUGAAGAAACUGAAGCCUAAUGAUCCCAAAAAUCGAACCCUCUCCCAUAAGUACUCCCCCUACCCUCCCCCUACCCACCCCUAACCACCCAAAAGAAAUAUUACACUUCCAUCAAUUCCGCUCCAUAAAAAUUACCCAGAAAACCUCCAUUACUGCACAUUUUCCCAAAACCACACCCCUCUUAAUCACGCUCCAAUAUUUGAUGAAUUUCAACCACAAUAAGGUACAGAAGUAAUAGCAUACAGUUCAAAGCUGUGAGAGAAAAUUUCACCUGAAUCACAUAACAAAAGCAGAGACAAUCCAAAAUUUUGCAAUAUGAUACUAAAGAAAACGAGUUUAAAGAUUCUUCAUUGCCAUUCAAAUAUUAGCUCCACAAAAGAUGGCAAAAUCAAAAUUACAUUUAACAUGCUAAACUAAAUCCAAAGUACCUUCGAUUACUUAAACACAAGAAUGCAAUAAAAUAAAAAUCAUUUACAGACUUUGUAAUUUACACGAACCAAGGACAUAUCUAAACAUCUAAAAUCUCCCAUGACACUCUGCUCAGUUACCAUAUCUCUUCUCCUGUUAUGUGGAGAUCUAACAAUUUCGAACAAAGAAAAGAAUCUUUAAUAGAUUUCCUACUCACAGCUAUUAUGUAAAUGUGAAAGAAAAUUAUUUAUGGAUAAUAGGUAACUAAGAAAUUUAGGCAUAAUAUCGAGCCAAGAGCAGAUUGAAGUUACAAACCACUGGCUUUUGGAGAUGCCAUUGUUUGUUAUCAGGCCUUCUCUCAGCCAAAAAAGAGAUAUCAUUACAAGGUCUGCAUUAGAGAAACAGCAACAGUGUCUUAAGGGAACCUCUUUACUAUUUAAAGCUAUUAAGUAACCUAGGUGUGACAUACUUUUCUUUAUUUGCUAAAAUUGGAAAACAUGAAGAGGUAUAGGCAUCAUAGUGAGCCAAGAGCAGAUUGAAAGUACUGAGCACUGGCUUCCUGAGAUGACAUUUUUUGCUACCAGGUCCUCUCUUCGCCAAAAGAGGAAACACUCUUCCAAGGUCUGCAUUAGAGGAAACAGUACUUGGUGUCUUAUGAGGACCUCUUUACUACUUGAAUUAUGCAACCAGUGAAAGAAAAUUUUACUUGUUUUAUAGAUAAUAGGAAACUAUGAAAGAAUGUAGGCAUCAUUGCGAGCCAAGAGCAGAUUGAAGGUACAAAGCACUGGCUUUCUGAGAUGCCAUUGUUUCUUAUCAGGUCCUCUCUUAGCUGAAGAAAAAGGAGACAAUAUGAGGUCCGCAUAGCACUACAUGUCCUAAGAGGACCUCUUUACAUAACUCUGGAAGAAAUUUUCUUUAUUUUAUAAACAAUAGGAAAUAUGACGGAUGUAGGCAUCAUAGCGAGCCAAGAGUACAUUGGAAGUAGAGAGCACUGGUUUUUCUGUGAGAUGUCAUUGUUUGCAAUCAGGUCCUCUUUUGGCCAAAAUGGGAAACACAUUUCCGAGGCAUGCAUUAGAAGAAAAAGCAGUGCUAGUCUUAUGAGGACCGUUUUAGGGAUUCACUUUCUUUCAACUUAAUGUAGAGAUAUCAACUAAUGACAUGAAGGCCUCUCCCAUAUGCAUAGGCGUAAACAGGAAGAGGAACUCAAUUGUUUGAGCAUCUAUGUAUGAUCAUUGAAAUACUUAUUGCCCAUCUUUCUUUUUGAAAAAAUAAAGUUUACAGGUUCCUAUCAUAAUAUAAGAAUGAUGCAGGAAAAGGAGAGAAUUGAGAAAGAGAGAAAGAUACGAGAAGGAGAAAAUAGAAAAGCAGUUACUCAGAGCGAGAUAAGGAAAACAAGGGGACAGAAAAACUGGGAUAAGCUAUUUGAUCAAUGUACCAAAAUCACCCAUCCUAGUACAAUGAGGCAUAUUUAUACAAGCAGUACUAAAAUAGUAAGAUACCAAAAAUACCCAAUAUGACAAGUGAUCCCUAACAGAAAUAAGUACAUAACCUUAAAUUUAAAUUUUAAUAACUAAAAAUAUAUCUAAUUUUAUACUAUGCAUCCGUCAUUAAGGCAUAGGACCACAAAUGGUGCUAGACACCAGGCAUACACCAGUUAAAGGUAUGAAGACCUGGAAUUGAUUUACACUAUAUUUUAUGAACAAUUGGUUCCCUCAUCCCAAAUGAAGGCCUCAAAAGUACAAUCACAUUUUUUUUCUGGAAGGAGUUAAAACUGGGGCUACCAAUUUCAGUACAAAUAUAUCAGGAAGGGUAAAAAGAAAACACAAACAUAUUAACAUUCACAUAAUUCAAUGGACAAAUAGAAAGUUCAACAAACUAUUUUCCCCCUUUAAUGACUAAGUACAUGUUAUUAGACAGGGAUUUGUAGCUCCAACAGGAGUGAGCACUUACCCCUGCACCCAAGGUCAAAUUUCGAAUUCCCUGUCCCCCUUUGACCUCCUUUGUACCAUUAAAAAAAAGUACAAUGUAUUACUUAAGAUGCAGUGGAUCAAGUGCAUUAACCUCCAUAUUGGAUCUAAGGUAUAAGAUGCCAUGCUCUUACUUAGCUAUUCACUAAAUCACCACUUCGCACAUGUGUGUACGUGUAUGUGUGUAUGAAAGAAAGUGUAUAAAUAUAAAUAUAUAUAUAUAUAUAUAGAGAGAGAGAGAGAGAGAGAGAGAGAGAGAGAGAGUUGAGUUCACCCAAUUCAAUGGAGAAACAGAAAUUCAGGAUAUUAUACUCAAAAUGACUAAGUUCUUAAGAUGAAUUGAAAUCUCAUGAGAAAGAGAUCCACAUGCCAGACAAUAGAUGAAUAGAUGAGAGGCACAUACUCAAUAAAUGACUCCACAAGCUUAUUUGCCAAAAUGGAUGCAUUUGUCAGAUCAAUGAUGGCAACAUUGUCUCUCAUUCCUGCUCGCUCACUUAGAGCUUCUAUAGAAUUCACCCCAUCAGACAUUGAUUGCUUUGAUUUUAGUGAACUACGCUUUAGCUUCUUACGAAAAUCAGUAGAUAGUGCUAUAGUAGCAGAGAAAACAAAUGUUUGUCUUUUCUUCGUCUGAAAGUUGGACAUCUCCACAGAAUUUUGUGCAUUUUCACAAUGGGAUUCAGUUAAUCCAUUCCUCACUGGAAGCAUGUCAAUUAUUGACUGCAAUUCGCGGAAAUGACCAUUUUCUAUCAUUCGAUCAGCCUCGUCCAGCACAAAGAAAGACAAUGAAUGUAACUGCAAAAGCAGAAAAUAAGAGUCACAAAAUUGAUUUAAACUAUACCACAUGUCAAGGGUGUAGUACAUGUGUGCAGCUCAUUUAUGCACACGAGAACAAGCAUUGCAUGACACCACAACUGCGACUAUGGUCCCCUUAUUUCUUCAUACGUUUGGAGUCACAAAGCUAGAACAGGGAUAGCCCUCCUCCAAUGAAGGCAACUGCAUAAAUACAUAAUAUUAUCAGUACUAACCUCAACUAGAUGCUUUUCUCCACCAGACAUAAGUUCCCAUAAUCUUCCAGGAGUCCCAACAAUAAUCUCAGGCCUUGCUUUUAGAAGUCUCUCCUGCUUUUCCAUUGACAUCCCUCCAACUAUUGGAACCACUCUAACAUUUGUAUCCUUGGCAACUGCCUUAAGAUGAUCAGAGACCUGGAAAAUGAAAAAUGAAAAUUCCCCACAUGCAGAUUCCAAAUCAAACACGGUUCACAAAAAUUAUAAAACCCAUAUGUUCCAAUUAUUCAAAAAGUAGUUCCGCUAUUUAUGUUGAAAAACAAUCUGGAAAGGGAUGAGUAAGCUCUUGCUUCCCAGAGAAUGCAAAAAUAAACAUCGGAUAACUUUUCAGAAAUGGAAAAUUCUGCUGCGUCCCAGCUUGUAAAAAAUUGAAAUUUCUGCUGCAUCCACUAGGAAUGAACCUUCUUUUACUAUAAAAACCAAAGGCUUAUUUUAGAAAAGUUACAAAACAUAAGGCAGGAAAACUGUUGUUUUCCAGCUAUCUUCACCAACUCCUAGACUCGAUCAUAACAAGAGAUGCAGCAGCAGGCAUCAAACUAUACAAAAUGUCAACAUAUGCACUCAUGCAACUGAGAAUUACAUGAAGAAAAUCAACUGGCAAUGCAACUGUAUUACCUGAAUUGCAAGUUCUCUUGUGGGAGUAAUAAUAAGGGCCCGUAAAAGACCUUUUGGAGCAAACUUUUCUGUUUCCUCCCCCUUUUCAUCAAACAUCUUCACAGCUUUUUCUCUUUCCUCCAACAACCGUUGCAAAAUGGGCAAACCAAAAGCUAGAGUCUUCCCGGAACCUGUUUCCGCAGCACCAAUAACGUCCUGCCAUAUAAAUCAAUUAUAAUGACCAUCAAACCAGAUAUAAUCACAACCUAUCCAAGAUCUUACACAAUAACCUUAACCAACCUUUCCUUGAUGAGCAGCAGCAGGAAUACAAGCUUUCUGUAUUGGCGUUGGUUCCUUGAACCCAAGCCGAUAUAUUGAUUUCAUAAUCAGAUGAUGGAGUCUCAACUCAUUCCAUGCAUAAUAUUCAUUUUCAUCAAAAGGCUCUUCUUCAAUUUCUUCCUUGCCAUUGCUACUGUCAUCUGGAAUCACAACACCAAUGCAUAAAAUAAAAAAGAAUAUAAAAAAAGAAACAGCACAACACAACACCAAUAAAAAGAAAUAAAAUAAAAUAAAAUAAAUUAGCAUUGGAAAAUCCCAAAAGUAUAAAUACAACACUAACCAACUGUGUUCUCCUCAGUUUCCAAGGUCUCCCCGGCCUUCUUCUUCUUCUUCUUGUGCUUUUUCUUUUUCUUCUUAAUAUUCACAUCUUCAUCCUUGUCUUUAUUUUUAACCUCAUUGCCACCAUUUCCAGCAACAUUCUCACUUCCCUGAGCUUCCUCCGGCUUCUUUUUCUUUUUCUUCUCUUUAUUCAUCUCAUUAUCAUCCUUGUCAAAUAUCUCUUCACCCUUAGCCUCAGCUCCAUCGCCAGCAGAGCCAUCGACCCCACCACGCUUCCGUUUCUUGGACUUUUUACUUUGCUUAGACUUUUCCUUCUUAUUCCUAUUUGCUAAUUGUGGUUCAGGAAUUUGUAAACCAUAUUCAGCUUCAUCAAUCUCUUCAAGCAUAAGAAAACCUGCAUUCACUCAAAUUAACAAUAUCAAAUGUAAACACCCAGCUUCUUUGAAACAAAAAACAAAAUUAAGAAAGCAAAUGCACUAACCUCCUUCGAGCUCGUUGUUGCCGACGACAUUAGAGAAGGCUUUGUCUUCGUCAAUGGGAAGAGAUGGGUUCCAUGGGAGCGACUCGAAUCGCUCGAGUUCUGCAUCUUGUUGUUGAAUUUGUUUCCUUUUAGCUUUUUUCUUCAAUCCACGCAAGAGAGGUGUUGGCAGCAUGGUAAUCUGGGAAUGUCUAGGUUUUCAAAUCAAUGAGAUUAUUGAUCCUAGAAAGUGAAAAAAGUAACAACAUUAAGUAAAAAAGAGGCUUGCACACAGAAUGCAUAUUGGGGAAAAAGGCUUUCAAUGAAGCACAUGGCUUGCGCGCAGUCAACUAUGAAAAGAAAAAAGAGGUCUUGUUUGUCCUAUUGAAAUAUCCGAAGACAAGGUAUAUAUACCUAAUAGAAUAUUCACUUUACAAUUUGACAUCCAAUUCAAAGCAGGUCAUUGUAUUUUACUGAAAUUUCUUCAAAGAAUGGGUUUCAAAAAGAGGGCAAUUUCUACAGCAAUAACCUCAGUUUACAUAGACCAAAAAGCCUACGCAUAUCAAUAACACAACAUAAAUGAGUCUUAGGUUUACUUGCAGUGGAUUCAGGAGCCGGAGAAACCACUCUGAAAUCCCAAAUAUUUAGAGAUGAGGUGAGCCAGAGACUGAAAGCAGAGAGAUGAGUUGAGCGAGACUGAGUCUUAGGCUGGCCACUAAUAGCCCUAGCCACAGACUAUUAUGCAAUUAAAUAUAUUCUAUAUGCAAGUGUGCCGUCGCACACCACAUACAGGCACCUAUUAUUAUGCAAUUACAAAAUUUGCAGUUAAUCAUGUCCAAUUAAUAUAUGCGGCAGGUUGGAAGGAUAUCAAAAUGCAGGUUUCAAGAGGCCAAAUCAAUGCAUGUCUUCAUUUUCUAAGAAGAAAAACCAUAGUUGCUAAGCCGUCAUCCCAACGAAUUUCGAUCUAUCGAGCGUACUCAGUCGCGGUACGGUAUCGAUCUGGAACGAAAAAAUCUAACGACUCAGUUCCAGAGGAGAGAACAGUACCUGAUAGAAGACGUCGCUGCUACAAAACAGUACCUGACCGCCGAGAGCAGACGAGCAAUCAAGGGCACAUGAGGGAGAGUGCUACAGCUGAUGAGCCCACGUUUGAUUCUUGGUCUCUUGAAGAUAUUGGGUUCUGAGAGGAUGUUUUUGGACGAAUAGACUCCAAGAGGUGGGAUGUAUGAUAAAGGAUAGAGGUAAGAGCAGUUUAGCGGACAGCCCAGCCCAGGCAAAAGGCCCUGGUCUCCAAAAAUCAGCUCCAGCGGUGACAUCCAGCCCGGCAAGGCCCAAGGCAAGAUAGGCAUUGACAUCAGCAAAGAAAAAAAUGUUUUAAAAAAUUGAAAACAAUUACCAAGAAAUUCGAAAAAAAAUUAUACAGCCAAAUUUUAUUUAUUAAUCUCAUAUAUAUAAAUAAAAUUAAUCCCAUGUGAAUUGUAAUUGCCCUUGAAUUACCAUGGUAAUGAGUAGAAAAGUACCCAAAAAAAAUAAAUUCUAGAGAAUAUACAAUUCAAGUAAACAAUAACUGCCCUUACUUGUCUUUGCUCUUUGCCAUGAUAAAUGGAUGGAAGUACUCUAAAGAGGAACGUACUAGAGAUUGGGUGGGUGGGUGAGUGUGUCAAUAUAAUAAAAGUACGCAUUCUGAUUUCAAGAAUUCAAUCAUGUUCUCUUGGACACUAUGGUCCAAGAAAAUUGGGUGGGUGGGUGUGUCAAUAUAUUAAAACUAAUAUAUAUAUAUAUGUUUUUAAGUUCAAUAUUAGAGAUGAAAAACAUUAACAAAAAACUCAUCCGCAUCUAAUACCGUCGUCUCCGACGCCAGUCAUCUUUCUACUUCACGCCUAGUGAACAAGAAAACACGAACCUUUCAUAAAAAUACAACAUAGUUGCAAAAACCCAAGUUUGGGUGGGUGGGUGUGUCAAUAUAUUAAAACUAAUAUAUAUAUAUAUAUAUGUUUUUAAGUUCAAUAUUAGAGAUGAAAAACAUUAACAAAAAACUCAUCCGCAUCUAAUACCGUCGUCUUCGAUGCCAGUCAUCUUUCUACUUCACGCCUAGUGAACAAGAAAACAACCUUUCAUGAAAAUACAACAUAGUUGCAAAAACCCAAGUUUGGGUUCAUGAACUGAAGAAAAAAAAAAACCAAAAUUUGUUUGUAAAAAAUUGAAGUUUUCCCAAACUGGAUUCAUGAAUCAUUCAAAUCUAACAUUUAUAAAUAGAAAAUUGAUCACAAAGGCAGAAAACAGUAGGAAAGUGACUUGGUUGUGGGCCCUCGAAAUUCAAUCGCGUUAAAGUGAGAAGGGAUAGCUUGAUGGCUCCGAAUUUGGAUCAAUAAAUUUUCUUUUGUUUUUGAAAAAAUUGAAUAUUUGAAACUAAAUCAAGAGAUGAAAUAGAUAACCAAUAAGAAUUAGAGUGAAUCUUAAACGACACAUGUUCUUGAUUUUUGUCUGCAAUGCUGAAGUUGAAGGUAGCUAUGAACGACAAUGGAGGAAGAACAUGUUCUUGGUUUUCUAAGAGAGAGUGUGUUUUGGUUGGAGUGAUUUUUAGUUUUUUUUUUAUAAGUUAAAUUAAUAUUUUGUACACUAAAAGUAAUAAAUUAUAAACAUAUUGAUAUUUAAAUCAGUUUUUUCUCAACCUUUAGAUUAGAUCCAAGAAUGAGUGACCAAACUUUCCUUGGACCUUAAGGAAAGAUCAGCACAAUCACUGGUUUUUCUUUAUUUUCUUCCAUUUCACAAACACAAACCAGAAAACCUUGUGCUUGAAAAGAGAGACAAAGACAAUGUUUCAUGAAAUAUAUUGCAUGUCGGUACAAGUUUAGAUGGAAAAUCACCAGUUAACUCAUUAAAAUAAAAUUAAAAAAUUUAUUUAAUAAUUGAAUAAAGAAGGGCCCAACCGGGUUCGAACCAAUGACCUCAAGAUUUGCAAUCAAACAUGCAGCUCAAAUGCUCUACCACUGAGCUAUGGACCCAUGGAUGAGUAAUAGUUUUAUAUUACAAUUACUUAUCUCAUUGCACUAACUUUUCAUCUCAUACAUACGCAUUUUAUAAUUUUUCUUCAAACUUCGUAAGUGAAAAAGAUCAACAAAAUCACUGGUUUUUCUUUAUUUUCUUCCAUUUCACAAACACAAACCAGAAAAUCUUGUACUUGAAAAGAGAGAUAAAGACUAUGUUUCAUGAAAUAUAUUACAUGUAUGUACAAAUUCAAGGGAAAAAUCACCAGUUAACCCAUUAAAAUGAAAUAAAAAAAAUUUAAUAAUUGAAGAAAGAAGGGCCCAACCGGGUUCGAACCGAUGACCUCAAGAUUUGCAAUCAAACAUGCAACUCAAAUGCUCUCCCACUGAGCUAUGGACCCGUGAAUGAGUAAUAGUUUUAUAUUAAAAUUACUUAUCUCAUUACACCAACUUUUCAUCUCAUACAUACGCAUUUUAUUAUUCUUCUUCAAAUUUCAAAAGUGAAAAAGAUCAGCACAAUCAUUGGUUUUUCUUUAUUUUCUUCCAUUUCACAAACACAAACCAGAAAACAUUGUACUUUGAAAGAGAGACAAAGACUAUGUUUCACGAAAUAUAUUGCAUGUAGGUACAAGUUCAGGGGAAAAAUCACCAGUUAACCCAUUAAAAUAAAAUAAAAAAAUGUUUAAUAAUUGAAUAAAGAAGGGCCCAACCGGGUUCGAACCGGUGACCUCAAGAUUUGCAAUCAAACAUGCAGCUCAAAUGCUCUACCACUGAGCUAUGGACCCGUGAAUGAGUAAUAGUUUUAUAUUCAAAUUACUUAUCUCAUUACACUAACUUUUCAUCUGAUAUAUACGCAUUUCAUUAUUCUUCUUCAAAUUUUAAAUGUGGAAAUGAUCAGCACCAUCACUGGUUUUUCUUUAUUUUCUUCCAUUUCACAAAAACAAACCAGAAAAACUUGUACUUGAAAAGAGGGACAAAGACUAUGUUUCUUUAAACAUAUUGCAUGUAGGUACAAGUUCAGUGGGCAAAUCACAAGUUAACCCAUUAAAAUAAAAUAAAAAAAUUAUUAGAUAAAUGAAUAAAGAAGGGCCCAACUGGGUUCGAACCGGUGACCUCAAGAUUUGCAAUCAAACAUACAGCUCAAAUGCUCUCCAACUGAGCUAUGGACCCAUGAAUGAGUAGUAGUCUUAUAUUAAAAUUACAUAUCUCAUUACACCAACUUUUUAUCUCAUAUUUACACAUUUUAUUAUUCUUCUGCAAAUUUCAAAUGUGGAAAUGAUUAGCACAAUCACUAAUUUUUUUUUAUUUUCUUCUAUUUCACAAACACACACCAGAAAACCUUGUACUUGAAAAGAGAGACAAAGAUAAUGUUUCACUAGCCUCUCUGCACGCGCUUCCGCGCAUGCGAGAGGUUUUUUUUUAAAAAAAUUUAAUUUAUUUUAGAAUUAAAAAAGAUAAUGGAUAUUUGUGUUCCAUAAAAAUAGGACUCAUUAUCUGAAUUUUCUUUUAAUUUUAAUUUUUUUAAUACGAAAAAUUGUGAAUUUACCAUAUUAUCCUCAUUUAAUUAAUAAUUUCAAUUCUUAAUGUUUGCAUUAACCAAGGGCAUUUUUUGGUAUUUUGAAUGUUUCACCAUUCUCUGCCUUUUGCUUUAUAUAUAUAGAUGAAAUAUAUUGCAUGUAGGUGCAAGUUUUGGUGGAAAAUCACCAUUUAACUCAUUAAAAUAAAAUUAAAAAAAUUAUUUAAUAAUUGAAUAAAGAAGGGCCCAACCGGGUUCGAACCAGUGACCUUAAGAUUUGCAAUCAAACAUGCAGCUCAAAUGCUCUACAACUAAGCUAUGGACCCAUGGAUGAGUAAUAGUUUUAUAUUACAAUUACUUAUCUCAUUGCACUAACUUUUCAUCUCAUACAUAAGCAUUUUAUGAUUCUUCUUCAAACUGAAAAAGUGAAAAAGAUCAGCACAAUCACUGGUCUUUCUUUAUUUUCUUCCAUUUCACAAACACAAACCAGAAAACCUUGUACAAAUGCUCUACCACUAAGCUAUGGACCCGUGAAUGAGUAAUAGUUUUAUAUUAAAAUUGCUUAUCUCAUUACACCAACUUUUCAUCUCAUACAUACGCAUUUUAUUAUUCUUCUUAAAAUUUCAAAAGUGAAAAAGAUCAGCACAAUCACUUGUUUUUCUUUAUUUUCUUCCAUUUCAUAGACACAAACCAGAAAACCUUGUACUUGGAAAGAGAGACAAAGACUAUGUUUCACGAAAUAUAUUGCAUGUAGGUACAAGUUCAGGGGGAAAAUCACCAGUCAACUCAUUAAAACAAAAUAUAUUGAACAAAUAAAAUCUAUAACUUAUUGAAUAAAUAAAAAAACCACUUUUUCAUAAAAGAAAUAAGUUCAUAAUUAAAAUUUGUAUGCAUAAACAUAAAUUAAAGUUUGUUGUUGAAACUUCAAACCAAACGAAACGGAAAUUGAAAAUACUGAAAAUUAAAAAUAGCCAACUUAAAAUUUCGAGUACAAUGAACACUUGAAAUAAAUGUUAAACUUAAUUAGAUGGAUUUGUUAUCUUUCUUUUUUCUUUUUAGCAAAUUGGUUGAAGCGUUUUGGAAGGGACACACAUGAGUUGACAAAGUUUGCUCUUCAGGUCCUUAGCCUUACUUGUAGUGCAUCUGGGUGUGAGAAGAAUUGGAGCACAUUUGAGCAAGUGAAGUUCUUCGGUUAAUUUAUUGUUCAAAUUUUGAUGCUUCUAAAUCUAAUUUUGUAUGUUUAUGUUCAUAUACAAAGAAAAGAAAUAGAUUUGAACAUCAAAUGCUCAAUGCUCUAGUAUAUGUGAAGUAUUAUACGACGAUAAGAGAGAGAAGUAUUAGAACGAAGUCAAAGAAUGAUCCAAUAUUGGUGAAUGAAAUUGAGUCUAAUGAUGAAUGAAUAGCUGAGGUUGAAGAACCAAUUCUACAAACUGAUCUUACGUGGCUUAAUUCUCAAGAAUUAUAUGAUGUUGAUGUUGUGAUAACCCGAUCCUAAAUUAAUAUUUAAUUAUUAAAAUAUUCAAGUAAAAAAUAAUUUUAUCCCGGGAAUAUUUUAAUGGGUUUAAAGUUGGCUUUUGGUCUGGAAAGAAUUUGGGGAUUUGAGUGAUGUCGUUGCGUAGAUUGCAUUGAGGUUUGUGAAUAUUUUUGGGUCUUUAUGAACUUGAUGCUUGAGAAAGGAUUUCGGCUACCCAUUUAAGAACUGAUUUUUAGAAAGUUGAGAAAAUAUUUGGAAAGUAGAUUUGUGGAACAAGGGAAAUUUUAUGAUAAGUUUCGGAAUAAUAGAUUAAACAGCCCAUUUUGGGCUUCACUUUGGCUCGAAUUUUUGGUUUAAUAAUAUCUUGGAAUCAAGGCUUGAUAUGGGUAUGUAUGGAAAGAGGAGAGAGAGAUGAAGAGUUUGCAUGUUGUGGCACCAGUUUUGAUGGCCGGAUGGCAGAGAUAUCUUUAUCUGAAGUUGGCUGGUUGUGAAGGAGGAAAGAUAAAGAAGAAAAAUAUGAGUUUUGAAAAAACUGAACGAAAUAUUUACGAUUAUGCCACUAGGCUUCCGUAGCUCGUAACUUCUUCGUUACAACUCCGAUUUGAGCCCAUUACGUGUCUACGGACUCAUCUCAAUGCAAUCUACGCAACGACACCACUCAAAUCCCCAAAUUCUUUCCCAAACAAAGCCAACGUUAAACUCAUUAAAAUAUUCAUGGGAUAAAAUUGUCUUUUACUUGAAUAUUUUAAUAAUUAAAUAUUAAUUUAGGAUCGGGUUAUCACAUCAACAUCAUAUAAUUUUUGAGAAUUAAGCCACGUAAGAUCAGUUGGUAGAAUUGGUUCUUCAACCUCAGCUAUUCAUUCAUCAUUAGACUCAAUUUCAUUCACCAAUAUUGGAUCAAUCUUUGACUUCGUUCUAAUACUCUCUUAGCGUCGCAUUAUACUUCACAUAUACUAGAGCAUUGAGCUUUUGAUGUUCAAAUCUUUUUUUUUUCUUUGUAUGAAUCUAAAAUGAACAUAAACAUACAAAAUUAGAUUUAGAAGCAUCAAAAUUUGAACAAUAAGUUAACCGAAGAACUUUACCUGCUCAAAUGUGCUCCAAUUCCUCUUACACCUAGAUGCACUACAAAUAAGGCUAAGGACCCGAAUAGCAAACUUCGUCAACUCAGGUGUGUCCCUUGUGGGAACCAAAUUAAACCUGAACCCUAGGUCAAAUAAUUAGGCCAAUCAAUUUGGGAAUUAUUUGACCUAAUUGGGAGUUACCUAACCUAAUUGAGAAUUACCUAAUCAAAUUGGGGGUUACUUGAAUUAAUUGGGAAAUUACCUAAUUCAAGUUGGAUGUAUUUGAUCCUCGCCUUAAUUAGGGAUCGGUUAAAUCCAUAAUCCCUAAAUACAUCAACCUCACCAACCUCACCAACUACACCAAUCCCACAAAUGACAGGACCCGACCCAAAUUCCACUUUGGAAUUCGAGCCGAACCCUGUGAGCAUAUGACACCUGGCUAAUGCCAGGCAUAAAGACCAAACUGCCCUUCUAACUAAAAAUCCACUUUUAAAAUAAUAUUAUCUUCUGCCGAAAAAAUUUGAGAGUUUUCUCUGUAAUUUACUCAUUCCCCAAAAUUUUCACCUGUCAUCAAACAUUUAUAUAACUCAAUCGUUCAGUAAGCAUUCAAUCAUAUCUAAACAAAUUAAGCAUCAUAAUAUUCUGGUUUCAGAUUGCAAGAAAUCAAAUAAAUCAAUCUGCUAAUAAAAUUCAUCUCAACUUUCAGAACAACAAUACUGCGUUGGUAAUCUCAAACAUUCUAACUCGUGGCUGCAACUUAUAACCAUAGGCUGCCUACGUACCCUUACUGAGGGAUCAAGCCACAUGGAGUUAUUUAAUUGCAAAACCACUCUAGUUCUCAAAUUUUAUCUCAGCUUUCUAUUUCAAGUUUCCUGGCAUUUCUCACAUGGCAAUAUAUAAUUAAACGAAGAAAUAAAAGCAUUUAUAUCAAGUAAUCGUGCUUGGGAAGCCAUAACCAUCAAUUCCUCGUGACACCAAUGGUGACACGUCCUGACCUGUGAUCCUCGCUGGACUCAGGAGACAUCUGGUCAACCUGGUACUCAAUCCUCGCUCCCACGGUCCGCAUAACUCUAAGACUCGUAGGGCAAAACAUGCUAAAAAACUCAAGAUAUUUAAUACUAUAUAAAAUAAUGCAAGAUAAAGAUAAAUGAACAUAAUAAAAUAAAAUAACAUAAGUUAAAGAUUAUAAGUUCCGAACACCCUUGCAUCGAACUCACGUAAAGUUCAUAAAUAAAUAAAUAAAUAAAUAAACUUAUAUAUAUAUCAACAACUUAAUGUGACGCUUGUAAAACAAAUGUAUAUGUAUAUUUCCAUCUAACACUUGUAAAACAAAUGUGACGCUUAAGAAAAUAAUGGUAACCGUAUAAAAUCCUCAAUUUAAUUUAGAAGCAUCUCGGGACUUAAAUUCUCUCCACCUAGGCGUACCCUCAUUUCUGAUCCGUCAAUUCCUUUAAUACAGUCAAUUCCAUAUAUGUCAUCAAUUCCAUAUAUCCGUCAAUUCCAAUAAUAAUCCGUUAAUUCCAAUAUUAGUCCGUCAAUUCCAUCCUCGCAGGUCUCGGAACCAUAAAGUUAACCGAGCUACAUUCCUCGCAGGUCUCAGAGAUAACACUUCAAUCUAAGCCGUAAUCCUCGCAGGUCUCAGAGAUAACCCUUCAAUCUGAGUUGCAAUCCUCGCACCACACGGUUCAGGCGUCCCCAAAACUCGUGGGGCAUCAUCAACAUAACAAAUUGUCUCAAGGCAACUGGGGGGGUACCCUCGCGGUGGGUUUGAAAACCAUAACUCGUCAUUUAUAUAAACUUUAAAUAGAUUGGUUCUCAACUAAACUUGAAAUAUAUAUAUCAUAAUCUGAUAAAAGCCAAAAGCCAAGAUUCAUCCUUUUCAACUACUGAAUAUAUAUAUAUAUAUAUAUAUAUAUAUAUACUAAACACUUGGCUAGUUUGUUAUCUAUCUCAAUCUCUGCUUAGCAUACCAUUCUAAAAUAUAUCAUUCCAAUAUUAUAUUUAUACUCCUACCACACAAUUAACCAUAUGAACAUAUAUAAACAGGUGAUAAAUAAACAGAUUAUUAAAUACUCAACUCGAAAUAACAUAAAAUCAUAAAAUUAGAACUACAACUAAACCAAGUGAAUACUCACACGCACAUGAGCUUUCUAAAGGCUCAAACAUAUCUCAUAGAGCUCAUCCUCGUUAUUUAAUCCAAAGUCCGGGCCCUGAGCUCCUAGAAGUGCGUGCAUUGUAUUUGAAGUCAUUCUCAAGCCUAUGUAAGCAUUUUCAAUUAUUAGAACGGUCUAGAAGUGUUUUGGGACUCAAAAAGCGAUAAGUCCCAAAAAGUCAACACGGGACCCCGUGGGGUCCACGGCCUCAAAAUUCCAAUCCGAGAGUUCCUAGAGAUCUUAACAUGCCUAGGACACAUGUCCUGAGAGUUUGUUCUCGAUCGGACAGUCGAACUACUCACGAUCGCACGAUUGGACGGUUACUAUAAACCUAGCCCUAUGGCUGGCCUUUUCGGAGUAUCGGGGCUCCGAUUCCCGAUCCGUUGAAUCCUACACGAUCCAGGAAUUGUCUAGCUUGACAUAUACAAGAAUAACUACGAUCCAAUGGUUCAAAUAUAUCAAACCAGGAAAUCACACAAUAUGCGAGAUCCGAUCGGGGCUCAAACAUUGUCUGAAUUGAGAUUCGCGAAUUCCUAUGCUCUCGUGAAAACACAAUGAUCAUUCUAGGACUGAGAGUGACCUCACUAUGCAGCCUACGCGCCGCCACAAGCGCUGGCAGUUAUGAUAUUAAAUAAUAUUUUAAUUUCUCAAAACCCUUAAUUAAUUCAAAUCAAUUUAUUUCCUCUUUUAAAUUUAUUCUCUCUUACUUUAAAUAUUUUAACACUUUUUCGGGCCGGAAUGUAACAAUUUCACCAAAGUCUCCCCGGUCAGCAAGUUAAGAUGUAAAUCUAUUAAAAUAUUCCGGGGUAACAUUGUCUUUUUCUUUAAUAAUUUAGUAUUUAAUUAGUAGUUUAGGACCGGGUCGUUACAACCAACCUCCCCAAGGCCACUAUAAAUACUUGGCUACGCACAAGGAUGAGGUACGUCAGAACUACUACUAAAACCUUUGUAGAGAUCUUCUCUCAUAGACCCUAGCUACCUCCUCCUCUCUCUCUCUCUCUCUCUCUCUCUCUUUUACAUAAGGCUCCGGCCGCCCGAUUUAUAUUAUAAACAUAUCUCUGUACCCUAUUAGCUAUUGUUUUCUAUACGAUUCAAUUGAACUAAUUUAGGCAUCGGAGGGCCUUUGGCCAACACCCCCCCGGGUGUGGUCAUCUUAUUUGUUCCAUUUUUGCAGGGAGAAAGAGGCGGCGAAGAAAAAAGGUGGAUCUUUCCAAUCGAAUAUUCUCAUGGAGAAAUUUGCUCCUACAAAUUGGUGCUUUCAUUGAGAGCACGAGUCAUACUCAACGCGUGCUCAAGGAAUCCGUUCCUCUUAUUUUCCAAUCAACCAAAGCCAUUCCACCAACGAUCCCGUGAUCGACAUGGUGGCGCCACCACCUCUCACCACCAUGCCAUCUACCGGACUUCCAGUUGAGACCAUCGCAUCAGCCACCGCUGCCGAAUAUGAUGGAACCUCCCAUCAAGGUGGGCUCGUUACCAACGCUGACUUAUGAUAGGACCCAACCCAAAUUCCACUUUGAAAUCUGAGGCGAACCCUGUGAGUAUCUAAUACCUGGCCAAUGCCGGGCACAAAGACCAAACUGCCCUUCUAACUAAAAAUUCACUUUAAAAAUAAUAUUAUCUUCUGCCGAAAAAUUCGGCAGAGUUUCCCCUGUAAUUUACUCAUUCCCCAAAAUUUUCACCUAUCAUCAAACAUUUAUAUAACUUAAUCAUUUAGCAUGCAUUCAAUUAUAUCUAAACAAAUUAAGCAUCAUAAUAUUCUAGUCUCAGGUUGUCAUAAAUCAAAUGAAUCAAUCUGCUAAUAAAAUUCAUCUCAACUUUCAAAACAACACUAUUGCAUUGGUAAUCUCAAGCAUUCUAACUCGUGGUUGCACCUUAUAACCAUAGGCUGCCUACGUACCUUUACUGAGGGAUCAAGCCACACGUAGUUCUUUAAUUGCAAAACCACUUUAGUUCUCAAAUUUCAUCUCAUCUUUCUGUUUCAAGCUUCCUGACAUUUCUCACAUGGCAAUAUAUAAUCAAACAAAGAAAUAAAAACAUUUAUAUCAAGUAAGCAUGCUAGGAAAGCCAAAACCAUCAAUUCCUCGUGACACCAAUGGUGACACGUCCUGACCUGUAAUCCUCGCUGGACUCAUGAGAUAUCUGGUCAACCUGGUCCGCAAUCCUCGCUCCCACGGUCUGGAUAACUCUAAUACUCGUGGGGCUAAAUAUGCUAGAAAAACUUAAGAUAUUUAAUACUAUAUAAAAUAAUAAAAGAUAAAGAUAAAUAAACACACUAAAAUAAAAUAAAAUCAAAUCAAAUAAGUUAAAGAUUUAUAAGCUUUGAAGACCCUUGUAUCCUUGUAUUGAAAUUCCUGUAAGGUUCAUAAAUAAAUAAAUAAAUAAAUAUAUCUUUAUAUAUAAACAUAUCAACAACUUAAUUAGAAUCUAUAUGUAUAUUUCCAUCUAACACUUGUAAAACAAAUGUGAUGCUUAAGAAAAUAAUGGUAGCCGUAUAAAAUCCUCAAUUUAAUUUAAAAGCAUCUCAAGAUUUAAAUUCUCUCCACCUAGGCGUACCUCCAUUUCUUAUCCGUCAAUUUCUUUAAUACCGUCAAUUCCAUAUAUGCCAUCAAUUUCAUAUAUCCGUCAAUUCCAAUAAUAAUCCGUCAAUUCCAAUGUUAGUCCAUCAAUUUCAUCCUCGUAGGUCUCGGAACCAUAAAGUUAACCAAGCCGCAAUCCUCGCAGGUCUCAAAGAUAACACUUCAAUCUGAGCUGCAAUCCUCAUACCACACGGUUCAAGCGUUCCCAAAACUCAUGGGGCAUCAUCAAAAUAACAAACUGUCUCAAGGCAACUGGGGGUACCCUCGCGGUGGUUUGAAAACCAUAACUUGUCAUUUAUAUAAACUUUAAAUAGAUUGGUUCUCAACUAAACUUAAAAUAUAUAUAUAUAUAUAUACAGUCCCCUUCAGUUGACGGAUCCCUCAAAUAGUGUUAUUUGAGGGAUGGGGUGCUUAACCGUUGGAUCUGUUUUAAUGACCUUGUGUGGCCGAGAUUGAAUUACAUCUUUUAACCCGUUUUCACACUCCUGACCCGCCACAAACUCCACUUACGCUUGGGAACGACGUACGUUAGGAAACCAAGCGUCUUUCUUCUUCCUCCAAUGCUUGGAGACCUUUCACGCAGACUAAACGACUUGAAGAAGAAGACUCACCAUCAUUAGUUGAAGAAGAAGACCCACCAUCUAUGCGACAGAGGUACGCUAUCAUGUGUAUGAAGUACAAAAAUUUUUGGAUGAGUUCUGAUAUGGUUUUAAUGGGUUUGAAGAUCAGUCCUCCAGAUUUUUAAUGGUUUUUUAAAUUUUAGAAUAUCAUGUGUAUGAAGUACAAAAAAACACAAUUUGAUUAAUGGAAUUUCGAUUUUGGGUUUCUGUGUGAUGAGUUUCGAUUUGGGUUCCCGCAGACUAAACGACUUGAAGAAGAAGACUCACCAUCAUCAGUUGAAGAAGAAGACCCGCCAUCUAUGUGACAGAGGUAUGCUAUCAUGUGUAUGAAGUACAAAAAAAAUUGGAUGAGUUCUGAUAUGGUUUUAAUGGGUUUGAAGAUCACUCCAGAUUUUUAAUGGUUUUUUAAAAUUUUGGAAUAUCAUGUGUAUGAAGUACGAAAAAGCAUAUUCAUUUAAACAAUAGAUGGUUGUUCUAGCUUGUCCAUCUUAUUUUUUCUGCAGACUUGUGCUCGAUGUAUAUAAUUAAGGUCAUUCUUCGUUCUCGGGCUUUUGCUAUGGGUGGCUUGCUGUUCAAUAGUUAGAGAAAGCAUAUUGAUUAGAUGCUGUCUGAUAAAUCAAUUAUACCAUGGUUCUUCGAUUUGGAGUUUUGUAUCCUGAGUUUUGAUAUGGAUUUUAAGAACUCAUCAACAAUUCUACAACUUUUUUUUAUUGAGUACUGUAGUUAUGUAAUUUUCCAUCAAACUUGUGCUUUCAAUUCUCCAUUCAACAUGGUUUGUGUUUCUUGUGACUCUAGGCUACUUAUUUUUUAUUUUUUUGGAGUACUGUAGUUUUGUAGUUUACAAUUAAACUCUUGCUUUCAAUGCUCCAUUCAACAUGGUUUGUGUUUCUUGUGUUUCUUGGUUAUUGAUUAAUCUACCUGGGGUUUCCCAUAAGGUAAUUGAUCUUCACUUACAUAAUAUAUUUGCAGUAGAGUGGGUUUUCCUGUUUUUUUUUUUUUUUUUCCUCUUUUCUUAAUCUAGUCUUUUGGAUUAAGGAAAAAAAAGAAGACAAGAAAACAGAAUUUCAUAUACAUAUAAUAUAUUUUUUAUCUACUCUUAAUUGAUAUUUGAGAAGAAAAAACAGAAUGUCAUAUAUAUGUCCAUGUUUUGUGAUUAAAGUGUAUCUGUGCAUGUUCUAUGGUUAAACAGAUUUGCUCACCUGUUGUUCAACUAUGGAAGCUAAUAAUGGAAUAUUAGUUCACAUGGAAACUGAUUCGGAAACAAAUCCUUCUGUAUCAAUUUUCUAUUCUCAAGUAAUUGGUGAGCUCACUCCCUUCCAAGGUCAACAAUUUGAAACAUUAGAAGAAGUGUAUGACUUUUACAAUCAGUAUGCAAGGGAAGCUGGGUUUAGUGUUCGAUCAUACUCUAGUAAGAAGAGUAAAGACGGAGAGGUCAUACGAAAAGAGUACGUUUGCAAUAAAGAGGGAAGUUGGUCAAGGGUCAUGAUGGAGAAAUGUUGUUUGAUCAUUUCAUGAAUGAGCAAGAAAAAAGUCCAGGGUUCAUAUUCAAGGUUGAGACAAAUAUUGAACACAAGAUUACUCGAUGUUUUUGGGCUGAUGCAAUCUCUAGGCAAUCGUACAAGUUUUAUGGUGAUGCGGUUAUCUUCGACACUACCUACAACACCAAUCGAUAUUGUAUGAUUUUUGCACAAAUUAUGGGAGUAAACAACCAUGGUCAGACAAUUAUUUUUUCUGGGGCAUUCUUAAGCGACGAGACUGCAGACUCUUUCAUUUGGUUGUUUAGAGAAUUUUUGAGGGCUAUGCCAGGCAAUGCUCCAAAAAUUAUUAUUACUUAUCAAGAUCUAGCAAUGACAAAAGCCAUUUCAGAAGCUCUUCCAAACACAUUUCACAGGUAUUGUAGCUGGCAUAUUUUGAAUAAAUUCUCUGACAAGCCCGAGUGUACUCUUCACUAUCAACAAUUUAGAGAAUGUGUUUGGGAUUCUGAGAGUAGAGAUGAGUUUGACUUGAGAUGGAAGAGAAUUGUUGAGAACAGCGGGUUAAAUGAAGAUAUAUGGUUGCAAUCAAUAUUUAAUAUUCGAUCUAAAUGGGUGCCAGCUUAUGUGAACCAUAUUUUCUCAUGUGGAAUGUCUAGUAGUCAGCGAGCAGAAAGUGGGCAUGCAUUUUUCAAGAGGUAUGUAUCAAAAAACAAUUCCUUGGUGGACUUUAUGGUUCAGUUUAAUAGAGGACUUUUACACCAACGACACUUGGAAUUGAUGGCAAAUCACACUGAUAUAAAUGAGAAGGCAAAAACUAAGUGUCCUAUAAUGAUGGAUAGACAAAUGGCUAAUAUAUACACACGUACUUACUUCUAUAAAUUUCAAGAUCAGUUGUGGGAGAGUUAUUGCAACAAUGUUGAGCUUACAGAAGAUAAUGUCACUCACUGCACAUAUAAAGUUGUACAUAUGGAUGACAAAAAGAAAAAAAGAAACCGGCUGAUUGUUUAUGACAAAUAUGUAGAUUUUGCAUCAUGUAGCUGUCAUAUGUUUGAGAGUUUGGGAAUCCAUGUAGCCAUACUUUGGCAUAUUUGCACAAAAUACGUCAGCUUCAUGAAUUGCCAGAUCAAUAUAUUUUGAAGAGAUGGACUAGAUCUGCUAGAUCUGAUCUUGUGGUUGACAAUGAUGGUGUUGAGAUAUCUGUUGACAACUCCUUAAUAGGAAAGCGCAGUGCAUUAUUCCAACGAUAUUCAAAUGUGAUUGAUAAAGUCAUCUUAAGUGAUGAGGCUAGUCAAAUCUUCUGUGAGGCAUUGGAUUCAUUGAUUGAGAGGAUUAAACCAUUGCUUCAUGGAGCCGAAGAAGUACUACCUUCUGCAAGGAGAAGUAUUGCUUUUGAAACUAGUAUAAAUGAAUCAGAUCCUGUAAAGCAAAAGGAAGUGGGAAAAGACUUAAGGGCAGAAAGGAGUUGGCGAGAGAAAAAUACAAAGGUCGGCGUUGUAAUGGGUGUGGAAAAUAUGGACAAACACACGACAAAAGGAACUGUCCUAUGCUUCAAAAAUCGUAAGAAUGCAAACUUAUUUGUUUUUUUCCUUUAUUAUUAUUAUGUAUUAACCUCCUGUGUAACUUUGUGAUGUUAUCUUUGACCAUGAUAGAUCUUCAAAUGUUGACAAAGAUGCUUUUCAUGGCAUGGAUAAUAGUUCUUCGUCACAGGUAAUUAUAGUUAUACACAGAACUUAUAUGGAGAAUUUUGUUGAUGACAUGGAUAUAAUCCUUCCACCUAUAUAAUUUGCUUGUUAUUGAGAACGAUAAAUUUUUAUUUCUUUUUUCAUUUACUUUGUCUUGUCAGGAUGAUGAGUUUCUUAGAUGAUGUUUCGAACUCCAGUGAUUCCACCUAUUUCUUGGGUUGUAGAGUUGCACUGACAUACUUGAAGAAAAGACUAUGUUUGCCCAAUCAAGCUUCUUGCAGCUAGCCUCCUAAUGGAAAGAUUGCGUUUGUACUUUUUGUUUUCAUUAGAAUGCCUUUUGAUGCGCAGUGUAUUGAACAAAGAAAACCAUUCAGAAAUCAUUUCAAUUAAAAGGAAACAAAUUUGUUUUGCUGCUAUUCUCUAAUAUCAUAGUUAAGUUUUGGUGUUAUAUGAAUAAAUGUCUUGGAUGAGUUUGCUAUUACUGAAAAAAUGAAACACUGAAGUUCAGAAAAAGUGAAAGAGAAAACAUGGGAAAACUCCCACACUAUGAACUGAAUAAAGUUUUCCUUACUAAGUAAAAUAAACUUAAUAACAUCGAGUAUUCAUUACAGAAGGGAAACACAAUUUUGUACAACAUCCAUUACAGAAAAGAGCUACAAAAUCCAUCCUUAUUACAGAAAAGAGCUACAAAAUCUUUAUUGAGCUUAAACGAACACCAGCAAAGAUUAGAUCCAGAGUACAUCAGAUGUUGGACUUCAAGAGUGAACGAACAAGAUUACUCCACUACAAACCUGCAAUGCAAGAAGAAACAAAAAAAUUAAAGUAAGACCACACUACAGUUAUUAAAAAUAAUAUUGAGUUUGGGACAAAGAGGCUAGCCUUGUAUUCACAAAGCCCUUCAACAAUAGAAUUGCUUGAAAGCAAAGUGGUCCUUAAAUUGAUUAUUAACUUCAAUAAAUUUCACAAGUUGGCAUCCAGCAAGUAUUCAUCUAAACAGAAAGUAGUACAAUCAUUAUCACUUUGAAUGUUUCACAUUGAUAGAAAGCCGGUAACAUUAUUAUUGGGUAGCACAUUAGCAAAAUGCUGUUCUUCUUUUCUUUUUUUCUUUUUUCUUUUUUCUUUUUUCUUUUUUCUUUUUUUCUCCUGAAAGCAGCAAAAUGUCUGAUAUAGUUCUAUACAUAUCAAAACUAUCUGUCAGGGAAAAAAGUGUAUGAAACAUCUGCAUUUCAUUUUCUUUUUACCUUCUAUUCUAUCUGAUGUGCAAAAAACAGAGCCCCAUGAGAUUGAACUAAGAUACUGAAGUAGUAUAGCAAAAUCAACAAUCAUCUUUUACUACUUUGUAACUGAGAAGUACUGUUGUGAAUUACUGGACCCUCAUCCUGAAUUGGGUUGACAUCUUGUUCUAGCAGCACUUCGUCCCUGAAUAAAUAAAUUGGGGUUAACAUUAAAAAAACUAACAAUAAUUAGCAAGAACCCCCAAAUUAAGAAUCACCCAAUGGAACCCAAAUCGAAACUCAUCACACAGAAACCCAAAAUCGAAAUUCCAUUAAUCAAAUUGUGUUUUUUUGUACUUCAUACACAUGAUAUUCCAAAAUUUAAAAAACCAUUAAAAAUCUGGAGGACUGAUCUUCAAACCCAUUAAAACCAUAUCAGAACUCAUCCAAAAAAUUUUGUACUUCAUACACAUGAUAGCAUACCUCUGUCGCAUAGAUGGUGGGUCUUCUUCUUCAACUGAUGAUGGUGAGUCUUCUUCUUCAAGUCGUUUAGUCUGCGUGAAAGGUCUCCAAGCAUUGGAGGAAGAAGAAAGACGCUUGGUUUCCUAACGUACGUCAUUCCCAAGCGUAAGUGGAGUUUGUGGCGGGUCAGGAGUGUGAAAACGGGUUAAAAGAUGUAAUUCAAUCUCAACCACACAAGGUCAUUAAAACAGAUCCAACGGUUAAGCACCCCAUCCCUCAAAUAACACUAUUUGAGGGAUCCCUCAACUGAAGGGGACUGUAUAUAUAUAUAUGUAUAUAUAUAUAUAUUAUAUUUUCGAAGUCAGCUGGGACUGGAAGAGGGAAGUGUGGUGGUUCUAACGGGACUGGUCUUCCUUCGAUUGGUGGCCGGGGUUGAGAGAUAUCACCUUUGGAAGUCAGCUGGUCGAGCUGCCAAACUGUAGAAAAUCCGGGUUUCUUAAAAACUGAACUUCAAAUUAUUUACGAUUAUGCCACUGAACUUCUUUUAAUCUUCAUUUCUUCGUUACAAUCCCGAUUCGAGUCCACUACGUGUCCACUGACUCGUUUCGACAUGCUCUACGUAAUGGUCUAAUCAAAAUUUCUAAAUUCCUUUUCAAACUUAAAAUGACCUUUUUACCCCUUCUUAAUAUUAAGUAAUAUUUUAAUUUCUCAAAAACCUUAAUUAAUUCAAAUCCUUUUAUUUUAAUGUUUAUUUCAAUUUAUUCCUCAUUUAAAUUUAUUCUUACUUUAAUUAUUUUAACACUUUUUUGGACCGAGAUGUAACAAUUUUACCAAAGUCUCCCGGGUCAACAAGUCACCAUUUUCUCUAAUAAUUUAUUAUAGGGGAAAAAUUAUCUUUUCUCAGAAUAAAUUAAUAACUAAAAAUUAAUUUAGGAUCGAGUUGUUACAACUUAGGCCCAGUCUUGGAGCAACUUCAAGCAUUCCCUCCAUUGUUUCCACGCUCCACACACUUCUCUCCUCCUGAUCCACGAAGUCAAGCAGACCUUAGUGUGAGAGUUGACCAGCUAGCUUAGAGAAUGGAGUACCAAAGCAGUAUGAUGAGGCAGCUCCUCAACCAAAUAAGAUUGGUUCAAAACCUUGGCCUUGGACAAUCGGGCGAAGAGAGAAGGAUGGACGAACGCGACGGUAGGUGAGGGACAACAACGUGAUUGGCCUGCCGACAUGUUGCAAGCAUCCGCGAGCCACACUCAGAGCAGACGAAGUCACCCAUCCAGGUUGAGCCUGAGGAACGACGUACGCGAGAGGCUGGGCCCACGACCUGACAUCCGCGCCCGCAUGGGCCUGCAGGAAAAUGUACAUCAAAGGCUAGGUCCCAAGGGAGGUCAGCCAAACAAUCAUCGCAACGAGGAUCGUGAAGAAAGACGCUCAGCUAUUCACUCGCAGAGGAGCAUUCAUGAAAGGCAAGGCCCCAUGGAGGUCAACUGGAUAACCCUCACAAUGAGGAUCAUGAAGAAAGGCGCUUCGCUUCUCACUCUCGAAGAGUCGAUUCUCACCGAUAAGCUACAGAGAAUCCUUCACAAGCACAGUCCACCAACACGCCACCUUGGCAGCGCAGGCGAGAAGGUUGACCCUCGGAGGACAAUGAGUAAGUCAGUCAACAUCGUGAAGGUCGUCAAUGUAGCCGACCAACAAUGUGUGCAGAAGACGUUGAGAAGCUCGUGAAUGAUCGACUUCGAGACUUGAAGAUCGACGGAAAUUUCGAAGAUGCACUACGUAAAAAGAUAAACCAGGCAAACACUGCGCCUUUCACUGCCGAAAUCGAGUAGGCUGCUCCUCUGAAGAGAUUCUCAACGCCUUCGUUUACACACUUCAAAGGGGGAUUCCGAUCUCCAGAGCCACCUAAAACACUUCAAAAGAGUCAUGAUCUUCCAUAAGGCCGAUGACGGGCUGAUGUGCAAGGUGUUUGUGAUGACCUUGCUAGAAGCCGCCCAAGACUGGUUCCACACUCUACCAUCCAAGUUGAUCAAUAGCUUAAAGGAGUUGGCUUACGUCUUCACCAAAGAAUACACCUCUUAUCGGACAAUCAAGAAGAACCCUGACCACCUGUACAACCUGUGCAAGAAGUCCGAUGAAUCCCUUCGCGAUUACAUCAAGAGAUUCAAAGCAGAAAAGGCUAGCAUAGUAGGAUGUGACGACCGAAUCGCGUCAUCUGCUUUCAAGAAAGGCCUUCCAGCUGAGCACAACUUGUACCGCGAGUUGACCAUCACUCCCAGCCAGACUCUGGCAGAGGUCUACGCGACUGCGAAACGCUACACGCUCUGGGAUGACGAUCGAAUCGCCGCAAAGAAAUCUACUAAGCAGGAAGAUUAGCUAACCAAGCGGGCAAGUCAAAGAAGCGACGGGUUUAGCAACAGGAACAAGGACAAGCACAGGUCGCACCCUUGAAAGGAGAUCCGGACAAGAAGGAUACUAGCAAAUAUUGUGCCUUUCAUGGGACCUACAGACACACGACGAACAACUGCUUCGCCUGGAAAGCGCACCUUGAAGAACUGGUGAGACGAGGUCACUGCAGGGAAUUCAUUGCAAAGCAGGCCAUCCAACAGAUUGAGGAUCGUGACACCGCCAAGGUGCCACUUCAGAAGGUCAUAAGGAUUAACACAAUCCUAGCUGACUCGGAGGAAUCCGGGCUGACCAGCAAGGAAAAGAAGAGAAAGAUCAAACAGGUCACUGUGAUCUCCCAAGUCUCGAUCGACCUUCCACCGGCAGAAGAUGAUCCUGUGAUGGGCUUCCAAAAGAAAGAUAUGAUCGGCCUCGACAUGCCACAUAAUGAUGCCCUUGUUAUCAGCAUUUAAAUAGCCCAGGCCAUGGUUGACCGAAUCCACGCAGACGAUGGCAGUGCAGCCAAUAUCCUGCAACUGGCAGUUAUCCGGCAGAUGGGCUUGGAGACAAAGAUCAACAAAUCGGCCAAAUCAAUGACUGGCUUUAAUGGUGCAACAAUAGUUACUGUGGGCACGAUAAACCUCGACGUCUAUUCUUCACCUGUAAUCAACUCGCAAACAUUCAUGGUCAUUGAUGAGGUCUCACCUUACAACGACAUUCUGGGCAGACCAUGGAUCGGCAAGAUCAACGCCAUAUCAGCAGCAGCGAUCAAGCAAUGUCGAGGAAAUGCUCCGCCCAUUGGGUGAAGAAAAGUAAACAAGCGCAGUUCCUCCUUGUGAGCCAAGCAGAUUUGAAGGAGGUUGAACAACUGAAUCUUGCUCCCUUAUAGCAACCAAAGCGUCAGGACCAAUCUAAGGAAAUCUGCCCAAAGGCCUUUCCUGAAGAAGGAUGGAAAUCCGAAGAGGAUGUUGAGUUAAUACCCUUAGAUCCUAACCAGCCAGACAGAAAGGUGCGGGUCGGCUCGCCCUUAAGACUAGACGAGAAGGUAGAGCUACCCACCUUCUUCUUGAACAACAAAGACAUGUUCGCAUGGUCGCCAUUGGACAUACCCGGCGUCGACCCGAACAUCAUUAAACAUCGACUCCACCUCAACCCUGCCAAUAAGCCAGUGGCGCAGAAGAGACGCAACUUUGCUCCUUAGCGAGUCGCUGUCAUCGAAGCCAUGAUUGACAAACUCCUAGCUGUCGGCUUCAUCGAAGAGGUCUCCUACUUAGAAUGGUUACUAAUGUUGUUCUGGUGGCAAACAAGAAAAGGGCAAAUGAAGAGUCUGCAUUGAUUACACUAACCUCAACAAAGCAUGCCCUAGAGACAACUUCCUAUUGCCGAGAAUCGACCAACUCGUGGAUUCCACUUCUGGCAAUCAGCUGCUCAGCUUCAUGGACGCCUACUCUGGCUAUAACCAAAUCCUAAUGCAUGAGGACGACAAGGCGAAAACUUCUUUCAUCAUCGAGAGAGGGACCUACUACUACAAGGUCAUGCCAUUUGGGCUGAAGAACGCCGGAGCAACCUACCAAAGGCUCGUGAAUAAAAUUUUCAAGGAGCAGAUCGGCAAAACUAUGGAAGUCUACGUGGAUGACAUGCUGGUCAAGGCCCCAAAGCGUGCGUAUCACAUCAAAAACCUCACCGAGGCAUUCAGCUUGAUCCGCCAGUAUCGCAUGAAGUUGAAUCCAAGUAAAUUCACUUUUGGUGUAUCCUCUGGCCGAUUCCUGGGAUACCUAGUCACACAACGAGGUAUCGAGGCACACCCUCGACAAAUCAAAGCCAUUCUCGAGAUGAAGUCGCCUUCCACAGUGAAGGAAAUACAAAGUUUGACGGGCAGAGCAGCGCCCUCAACCGAUUCCUCUCGAAAUCUACGAACAAGUGUAGACCAUUCUUCAAAGCUUUGAAGAAAGGACAAAGAGACAAAUGGGAUGAGGAGUGUGAAGUAGCUUUCCAGAAUCUGAACACUUACCUCACUUCACCUCCCUUGCUCUCACAACCAGUUCCUGGUGAAGAUUUAUUUGUGUACCUAGCAUUGUCCAACUCAGCCGUCAGCUUAGCUCUCAUCCGAGAAGAAUUGGGGGCCCAACAUUCGGUAUUCUACACGUCAAAAGCUCUCCUCAAUGUAGAGACUUGCUACCCGAAAUUAGAUAAGCUCAUUUUGGCUUUUGUAGUUUCCGCGAGAAAGCAGUGACCCUACUACCAAGCUCAUCGAGUCAUCGUCAUGAUCGACUUUCUCGAAGAUUUUAAUCAUACACAGCCUUGACGCUUCUCAGCGACUCAUGAAGUGGGCUAUAGAGCUAAGCUAGUAUGACCUCUUUUACCGGCCAAAAACUGCAAUAAAAGCCCAAGCUUUAGCAGACUUCGUAGCAGAAUUCACCCCGUCAGCUGAAGAAGAGAAGCUGGUCGACAAAAAGAAGGAAAGUUAGAAAGCAGAAGGAACAUCCGCUGAACCUAGCCAACUCAAAGACAUGUGACAAUUGCGCAUAAACGGAGUGUGAAACCAAAAGGGAGUUGCAGCAGGUGUCGUCAUCACCAUCACGGAUGGAACCCUGUUGGAACAAGCUAUAACGCUUGGCUUCCCUACCUCGAACAACGAGGUAGAAUAUGAGGUAUUGCUCGUUGGCCUACGCUUGGCAAAGGAACUCGCAAUCAAGAAGCUAGCCGUCUACUCAGAUUCCCAGUUGAUCACGAACCAAGCCUCAAGUGAAUACAUGGCAAAGCACCCAAGAAUGAUCUUGUACCUUGACAAAGUCCAAGAGCUAUUGAAGGUGUUUCAUACCUUCACCAUCCAACAAGUACCCUGGGCAGAGAACGCGCAUGCAGACGCACUGGCUAGCCUAGGGUCAGCGCUGGAUACCAAAUUCAGACACUCCAUCCCGGUCGAACACCUUGACUGACCAAGCAUUGAAAAAAUAGAGCCGAUCGACACAAUGUAGAUUGACGAGGACCCUAGCUGGCAAGACCCCAUCAUCGACUACUUAAUGAAUGGAAACCUGCCGACGGACAAGUUCGAAGCUAGAAAGAUCCAGCAGAAGGUCGCGAGAUACUACAUGCACUGCAACAAGUUCAUCUGCAGAUCAUACUUCGACCCUCAUCUCACCUGCAUAAGUACCCUCAAACAGUUGAGGUCCUAUGCAAAAUUCACGACGGUGAGUGUGGCAACCACUCUGGGGCUAGAUCGCUCCCCUAGAAGGCUCUAAACAUAGGCUACUUCUGGCCUACCAUGUGUCACGACUUUGCUGAAUGUGUAAAGAAAUGUGAUCGUUGCCAGCGAUACAAGCCGAUCCUUAACCCGCCUGCCGAAGUUUACCAUCCGCAAAACAGUCCAUGGCCAUUCAUGCAAUGGACCAUUGACCUAGUGAGUCCCUUGUCACCAGCACCUACCAAGAAGGACAUGAUGAUCGUCGCCACCAACUACUUUACUAAAUGGAUUGAGGUCGAAGCUCUAUCCUUUACUAAAGAAGCCGAUGUGGAGCGAUUCAUUUGAAGAAACAUCAUCUGCCGGUUUGGCUACCCACAGUCGCUGGUUCCCGACAAUGGCUCACAAUUUAUUGGCAAGCAGAUCACCGCAUAACAGUCGCCCAUAAGGAGCGUCCUAAGGGAGAUGCAGGGCGACGAUCAGAAGCGUCCUUCGGUAGAUGCAGCCCACUAAGAAGCGUCCUAAAUGAGACGCAGGGUGCGCCAGGAAUUUCCUAAGGGAGGUAUCCAAGUUCUUAUCCUUUCUCUAAGCGGAACAGGAUAGUCAUACAGUUGCCCAUAAGGAUCGUCCUAAGGGAGACGCAGGGUGGGCCAUGAAUUUCCUGAAAGAAGGUCUCCAUGCUUUAUGAGGGAGGUAUCCAGGUUCCUAUCCGUUUUCUAAUGGAGGCAGGAUAGUCACACAGUUACCCAUAAGAAGCGUCCUAAGGGAGACGCAGGGCGACGACCAAGGCAUCUUAUGGGAUGUGCAUAACACGCUCGGAGUCCCUCAAGGGGGACCCUGGCACUCGCCAACUUCCUAAGGGGAACCAUCUUACUUGAUAUGCAGAGCACGCCCGGAGUCCCUCAAGGGGAAUCCUGACAUCUAUAAAUUUUCUAAGAGAGACACACCGUCAAGAUACUGGCUGAUUACUCAAGCAGUUCACAAGAGAAUAGGCAAAUUGAAGUUGAAAAAAUAACUGAAAUUUCCCUAAGCAAGCUGACCAACGGGCCAAGUUCAACAAAAAGAAGAUGGUCAAACAAGACCAAUUAUCCUAAACGAGAAAGCAGACUACAAAAGCUGAAAAGAAAUAAAGAAGUCUUCAUCUACUCCAAGACGCCAGUAGGAGAUUCCUGAUCUACAGCCUCUUCGGCGUCCGUCUGAUCAAUCACGUUCUCAGUAGCUCUACCUACCUGAUUCGCGAUGUCUGUCAUUACCUCAUUUGCUGCAUCCUCCCCUACUUCAUCUUCUUCAGCUACCGCAUCUUCGACCGUUUACUUUUCAGCUCAUUCCUUGUUCACAACAUUAACAUGCUCACUAUGCAUAGGAAGCAAGUCAAAACAGAGCAUCUCGAUGUCUCCAUCUUCAAUGGCAUAUAAGGCAUCAUUUCCAUUUGAGCAGUCCAAGUAGCCCAGCUUGUACGCAGUCAUGCAUUUUUGCGCUCAAGACAGAAGUAGGCAUCUCUUCGAACCAUGUCAGCAACAGAAGAUGGGGCAACAUUAGACGAGGUUCAGAUAGUUUCAACAGCAAGAACUACUCCAUUUUGAAGCAGAUGAAAUGUUGCUUCCCUUCAUUUUUACAAAGGAAGACUUGAGACUAUCUCAAGAUCACCAACCUGAUGGAUAUGAUCAACCAGCUUGAAGAAAGCAAACGGACUUGACAGAAAGUUCGUCUUGAGCAGAUCAGACACAAUUGCAUCCCCUACAGGGCUGGACUUGUCCACAUUGGGAUUAGUCGCUGACAUUGCAGAAGAGCCUUUUGCCCGGGGAGAUGACUCUCUCAUCUCCUUAGCUGCCGUCAUCCUUACCUCAAACGAAGUCAACUCCACACUUGACUGCUCGUGAUUUAACAGCUGGAUCAUGAGAAGACCUUCCAGUUUAGUCUCCAUCUUUUGACUAAGGCAGACGACCUGAACUUUGAAGAAGAAUGCCUGCAUCUAUUUGCCUCUCAGUAGAUGAGCUAGAUCGAGCACGUGCUAUUCUACAGAGCAGAUUAUGGUUUUCAAACUUGUCAGCAGGAGGCUUGAGUAGAACAUCUUGAGCACUGCGUGUACCACCAACGUUCCUGCUAUCAGCAGAAACAAGAUAUUUGACCUCAGCAGAUGACAAUGGAACAGACCCCACUUGAGUCUUCUCAGCAUAAGGGAGCUUUGGAUUCUUCCUCAAUGGAUACACAUUCUUAGCCUACGAAGAAGUAGCUUCAUCUCUUGAAGACUUGGCAAUAACCUUCUUUUUUGAAGGGGGUUCCGGCAAAACACUCCCCCUGCCCAGCCUACAGAUCAUCAGAGUCUAGACUAUUCUGCUUCCAUCUCUCAACAUCCUGGGCAAGGGGCAGACCACCGACUUCCUCCCGAUACCCGCUCAACUUAUGUGGCUAGCAACGCAUGACGCCAAGCACGCUCCAACCUAGACCUACGACGAUAGGGAGCAGCUGGUCCACCUGCGCGCACCUGCUCCACCACGGCUGCCGCUAACUGCCAGCCAUUGCCAUGACGACAACCAGCCAGGCUUCCCCAAACUGGCUUUUGCAGCAAAAAAAAGAAGAAAAGACGAAGAAAAAGAAACAUACGUGCUCGACUUACCUUGGGAUGCACGGCGACUCCUCUCUUCGACAAGCAGUGCGAAUUCUCCAAGAUCUCUCUCAAGUUAGAAAGUAUAGAAGUUAAGUUUGUAAUGUGAAGAAGAGUGAAGAGAAGCCCUGCGUUUACACAGAUUGGGCAUCCUAGGUCAAGAAGGAAUCGCAAGCCCAUUCCUAUUGAGAACCCAACUCCAAGAACAGUCAAAAGCUCACUCCAAUUAGGAACCCAAUUUGCAAAAGGAAUCCAACUCACUGAAGGAAGCUCAGUUACAGCUAGAUAGCCCAACAUAUAAUUUACAUCUCCUACAUGCAACCACUCGCCAUACAGAAGCUGGGGGGCAUUUGUGGGAACCAAAUUAAACCUGAACCCUAGGUCAAAUAAUUAGGCCAAUCAAUUUGGGAAUUAUUUGACCUAAUUGGGAGUUACCUAACCUAAUUGGGAAUUACCAACCUAAUUGGGAAUUACCUAAUCAAAUUGGGGGUUACUUAAAUUAAUUGGGAAAUUACUUAAUUCAAGUUGAAUGUAUUUGAUCCUCGCCUUAAUUAGGGAUUCGGUUAAAUCCCUAAUCCCUAAGUACACUAACCUCACCAACCUCUCCAAGACUACUAUAAAUACUUGGUUAUACACAAGGAUGAGGUAUGUCAGAACUAUUACUAAAACCUCUGUAGAGAUCUUCCCUCACAAACCCUAGCUACCUCCUCUCUCUCUCUCUCUCUCUCUCUCUCUCUCUCUCUCUCUCUCUCUCUCUCUCUCUCUCUCUCUCUCUUUUACAUAAGGCUCCGGCCGCCCGGUUUAUAUUAUAAACAUAUCUCCGUACCCUAUUAGCUAUUGUUUUCUAUACGAUUCAAUUGAACUACUUUAGGCAUCGGAGUGCCUUUGGCCAACACCUCCGGGGUGUGGUCCUCUUAUUUGUUCUAUUUUGCAGGGAGAAAGAGACGGCGAAGAAAAAGGGGGAUCUUUCCAAUCGAAUAUUCUCGUGGGGAAAUUUGCUCCCACAUCCCUUCCAAAACGCUUCAACCAAUUUGCUAAAAAAAAAUGAAUAACAAAUCCAUCUAAUUAAGUUUAACAUUUAUUUCAAGUGUUCAUUGUACUCGAAAUUUUAAGUUGGCUAAAGUGGGCUAUUUUUAAUUUUCAGUAUUUUCAAUUUCUGUUUUGUUUGGUUUGAAGUUUCAACAACAAACUUUAAUUUAUGUUUAUGCAUACAAAUUUUAAUUAUGAACUUAUUUCUUUUAUGAAAAAGUGGUUCUUUAUUUAUUCAAUAAGUUAUGUAUUUUAUUUGUUCAAUAUAUUGAAAGAACCGUGACUUUCACUCUUCCUUAGCAAUUCUUGAAUAGUCCCUUUCUCUUGGACCCUAAGGUCCAAGGAAAGUUUGGUCACUCACUCUUGGAUCUAAUCUAAAGGUUGAGAAAAAACAGAUUUAAAUAUCAAUAUGUUUAUAUUUUAUUACUUUUAGUGUACAAAAUAUUAAUUUAAUUUAAAAAAACAAAAACUUAAAAAAAUUAAAAAUCACUCCAACCAAAACACACUCUCUCUUAGAAAACCAAGAACAUGUUCUUCCUCCAUUGUCGUUCAUAGCUACCUUCAACUUCAGCAUUGCAGACAAAAAUCAAGAAUAUGUGUCGUUUAAGAUUCACUCUAAUUCUUAUUGGUUAUGUAUUUCAUCUCUUGAUUUAGUUUCAAAUAUUCAAUUUUUUCAGAAAUAAAAGAAAAUUUAUUGACCCAAAUUCGGAGCCAUCAAGCUAUCCCUUCACACUUUAAUGCGAUUGAAUUUCAAGGGCCCACAACCAAGUCACUUUCCUAUUGUUUUCUGCCUUUGUGAUCAAUUUUCUGUUUAUAAAUGUUAGAUUUGAAUGAUUCAUGAAUCCAGUUUGGGAAAACUUCAAUUUUUAACCAACAAAUUUUGGUGUUUUUUUUUUCUUCAGUUCAUGAACCCAGACUUGGGUUUCUGCAACUAUGUUGUAUUUUUAUGAAAGGUUCAUGUUUUCUUAUUCACUAAGCUUGAAGUAGAAAGAUAACUAGCGUCGAAGACGACGGUCUUAGAUGCAGAUGAGUUUUUUGUUCAUGUUUUUCAUCUCCAAUAUUGAACUUUAAAAAAAAAAUAAAAUUAUUAGUUUUAAUAUAUUGACACACCCACCCAACCAAUUUUCCUUGGACUAUAGUGUCCAAGAGAAUAUGAUUGAAUUCUUGAAAUUAGAAUGCGUACUUUUAUUAUAUUGACACACCCAUUCACCUAAUCUCUAGCACGUUCCAACCAUUUGACAUGACAAAGAGCAGAGGUAAGUGAGGGCAGUUACUGCCAUCUUUUGCCUUGGGCCUUCCCGGGCUGGAUGUCACCUCUGGAGCUGAUUUUUGGAGACCAGGGCCUUUCGCGUGGGGCUGGGCUGUCCGCUAAACUGCUCUUGCCUCUAUCCAUUUAUCAUACAUCCCACCUCUUGGAGUCUAUUCGGCCAAAAAACUCCUCUCAGAACCCAUUUAUCUUCCAAGGGACCAAGAAUCAAACGUGGGCUCAUCGCUGUAGCACUCUCCCUCAUGUGCCCUUGAUUGCUCGUCUGCCGUCGGCGGUCAGGUACUGUUUUGUAGCAGCGACGUCUUCUAUCAGGUACUGUUCUCUCCUCUGGAACUGAGUCGUUACAUCUUUUCCUCUGGAACUGAGUCGUUAAAUCUUUUCGUUCCAGAUCGAUACCGUACCGCGAUUGGGUACGCUCGAUCCAGAUCGAAAUUCGUUGGGGAUGAGCGAAUUAGGCAACUACGGUUUUUCUUCUUAGAAAAUGAAGACAUGCAUUGAUUUGGUCUCUUGAAACCUGCAUUUUGAUAUCCUUCCAAGCUGCCGCUUAUAUUAAUUGGACAUGAUUAACUGCAAAUUUUGUAAUUGCAUAAUAAUAGGUGCCUGUAUGUGGUGUGCGACGGCACACUUGCAUAUGUGCGACGGCACACUUGCAUAUAGAAUAUAUUUAAUUGCAUAAUAGUCUGUGGCUAGGGCUAUUAGUGGCCAGCCUUCUUAAAGCUUAUAUAUAUAUAUAUAAUAAGUAAUAUGUUUUUUCAUAUUAUAUGGGUUUUGGGUAUUGAUUUAGUGGCUGGGUUAGUGGAUGUGUGUUCCAAUUAAGGUUUAACUUCCUCUUAAUUUAACUUAAUUGCAUAUUUUAACAAAAAAAUUAUAGAUUUUUUGGUUUGAAUGUGCAUCAAUUGCCUUCAACAUUCCAGGUUAGGUCAUAGGGCACCCAAUGCUUGGUGGGUAUGUCUCAUUCAUGCAUUCGUUCACUUCCAGCUCGGAAGAAGAAGUUUGGUUUAGGCCUCCCCCAUAAUCCACUUAAGAGUAACACUAACUUGGUCCCCAACUUGUACACAGAGAGACACAGACACCCAACUAAAUUUGGUAAGAUUUUUUUUUUUUUUUUUUUUCAUGCUAUCAAUUCUGUAUGUCGUCUCUGUUUAAUUUCCAAGAGUAGAUGCAAAUAUAUGUGCUUGAUGAUUGUUUUCUUUCAGGAUCGUUUACCACUGCCUUUUUAAAUCAGAUUCGCAUACCAUCCUUGGGUUGGGUUCAGUGGAGGUCAAUCUCAAUCUUGCAUCCUUGUAUCCUUCAGGCUACAGGGAAACUUUGCACGCUACCCACUAAUGAACUGUCUGAUUCUGAUUCUUCCAAUGAUGCAAUUGGUCAUUUGGAGGAAUCCCAUGUUGAUUCUGAUGGGGAUGUUACUACCAAGACAAUUAGGAGGGUCUACCAAACACCAGUGGAUUUCACCAAAGUGAACAAGAAUCUGCUUCCAACUGUAGUUCUUAUUGGGCGUCCAAAUGUGGGCAAGUCAGCUUUGUUUAAUCGGUCAGUUUUUCCUCUAGAUGUCGGUUUUUUUUUUUUUUUUUUUUCCUUUUUUCUUUUUCCUUUUCUUUUCUCAUUAUGCUAUUUUUUGAAAUUAGUAUUCUAUGUGUAUUUUCCAAAAUUUGGUUUUACUUAUAUUGGCGUAGAGGUUGUAACUUGUAAUAUUCUCAGCCUUGUUUUCUAAUUUUUUUAAAUUUUAUUGUAGUUUAAUCCGGAGGCGGGAGGCCCUUGUCUACAAUACACCAAAUGAUCAUGUUACUCGUGACAUAAGAGAAGGCAUUGCAAAAUUGGGUGAUCUACGAUUUAAAGUAUUGGACUCAGCUGGCUUAGAAACGGCAGCAUCUUCAGGGUCUAUUCUUGACAGAACAUCAGGAAUGACCGCAAGUGUUCUUGCAAGAUGUCAGUUUGCUGUUUUCCUAAUAGAUGUGAGGUUAGUUAUUAUCAUUACAUGGAGCUAGCAUGUCUUUAAUUAUGUAAAAAUUAAAAGAGUUUUUCUAGCGACACCGUGCAAGUUUUUAAGUUGACCAAACAAAGCUUUUCUAUAUGGGAUUAUUGGCUGUGAAUAAGAAGCCUUAUAUUAUGUGAUCUAAUAGAUAAGUCACAUUUGGUUGACCAGGGGGUUAUAUUUUAUAGCCUUUCUAUUGAAAUUUUGUAGUUCACUGUUGUAAUUUGAAAGAAUUACUUGAGUGCUACCACCCACCACAACACCCCAUCCCUCCAGUUUAUCUUUUCCUUUUGAAAGAAACGUUUAUUUAGUCUUUUGGUGUUAACUUGUGACUAGAGCUGGACUGCACCCCCUUGAUCUGGAGGUUGGAAGGUGGUUGCGCAAACAUGCACCUGGAAUCAAUCUUGUAGUUGCCAUGAAUAAAUCCGAAUCACUUCUUGAUGGUAGUGGCUCUCUUAUGGCAGCUGCUGCUGAAACUUAUAGGUUAGGAUUUGGUGACCCUAUUGCCAUAUCAGCUGAGACUGGACUAGGUAUGCAAGAUCUCUAUGGGAGUCUAAAGCCUAAGCUUGAGGACUAUAUGCUCCAAGUAUUAAACAGUAAGGAAAUUUUUAUGCUUUUUUUUUUUUGUUGCAAUAAAGUAUUUAUUCCAUGCAGUCCAUGAUGUAGAUGAACUUUUUGAAACAUUAUAUAGUCUUCUAAUCUCUAUCGUCACUCUUAGCAAGCUUGCACUGUGCAACCAUAUUUACUCUUCAGAGAAAAUUAAUGAAGAUUAUCAUGCCUCUUUAAAACUUGGAUUGGGAUUGCAAUGGUAGUGUUCACGCAUCUAAGCAUGUCAAAUUAUUGCUCUAUGUAUAGCAACACUGCUUACUUUAUGAUUUUCUUUUUUAGUGAGAAACAACUUUCAUUAAAAAGUGCAAGGGCAAAGAGGAUAGGAACGAUGUUCAUAAAAAACAAAUCUACCAAAAUAUCAUACACAAGAAGAAUACCUUCCUUUAUCUCAAAACUAAUCCCUCCCCCUCCCCAUAUCUAGCAUAAUUACAGUGAAAAGAAUAUCCUUAAAAAUGCUUUCACAUUGAUACCCAACAAUCCAACAAUCUUACUCUGUUUAGUUUGUUGGACCUGAACCUUUGGCUGAUGUUUUAUUUGUCUUUAAAUAUGUUUGAUGGAAUAGUACUGUAAUGAUGACUACUUAGUCCAAUAUCAAUAAACUGCUAUCUCAUAUUUUGGAUACUGUAAGUUUAUACCCUUGUAAAUAUUUUAUGUAUAGUUUUAAACUGCAAACAAGCUGCUCUUUAACGGCAUCAUCAUAUUCUUUUAUUGCUUUCUUGAUGACUUGGUCAAUUUUUAUGCUAACCUAGUUGAUAGCCCCUUUUUUUCCCUUCUUUCCUGAUCCUAGAUGAAGAAGGCACUGAAGAGACUAAUUUCAGUGAGGACGGCAGCUCCUGUGAGCUUGAGGAGAGUAAGUUGCAAUUACAGUUAGCAAUUGUAGGAAGACCCAAUGUUGGGAAGUCAACCUUGCUGAAUACAUUGCUACAAGAAGAACGGGUGCUGGUGGGUCCAGAAGCCGGUUUGACAAGAGAUUCAAUUAGAGCUCAGUUUGAAUUUCAAGGGAGAACGAUAUACCUGGUACAUGUUAUAUUAUUUGUUUCGUGUUGUUUUUCCCCCCCCUUUUUUGCAGUCAUACAAGAUUAUUUGAUUGCACCAUCCCUCUACCACCUUUCCAAUUAUCUAGAGAAGUAUUAUGCUUAUUGAAGUCUAAACUCUCACACUCAGGUUAACUGUUAAUUUAUUGCCUUUGUUUAUAUUCUAAUCGUACAUCUGUAGUUUUCGUUAUUCUCAUGUCAUGCUCUUUAUAACCUUGUCUUAUAUAUGUCAGAGAUUGUAUUCCAUCUGAGCUUCAACUUUAUCAUAUAUAUCAAAAUCGUAUUCUAUUAGAUUUCUUCACAAAUAUAGUUGAUUCCAUUUUGUUAUAGUGUCCUUGAACAAGAUUCGUGGGAGCGCUUCUUUGUUAGUGCAGGGCCUGAGUGAGAUUAUUAAUUUUAUAACUUUCUAAUUCUUGGCUAGAGAAAUCAAUAGGUGCUUUAGGAAUGUGAAAAUUUCAAAGAUAUUUCUUUCAAGCAUUUCCUGGUUUCAAAAAUGAAUGAUGUAGCUUUUUAUGGAUUAGAAGAAAUAUUUUGCAUGGGAAGGGGCAUGGGCAUAACACAUGCAAGAAAUAUGUGCAGAGCCGGAUUAGAGUACUGUUGGUUGUAACAACCACUACCCCUCACUUUUGAUCUCUAUCUUGAGUACAAGAUUUGUAUCCUUCUUGGCAUAUUUAAUGUAUAUUCAUUACCAAACGUGUCACAUCUUGAUAAAGUUUGCCAGUUGCACUUUCUAAAUUUAAUUAUAUCUUUUGUAUUAUGUUUUUUUUUUCAUCUUCUCAAGUUUCAUGUAUAUUGCUUGAUUUAUUUGAUUUUAUUGUGGCUAAAUUCAGGUCGACACUGCAGGUUGGUUGCAGAGAACAAAAAUGGAGAAAGGACCAGCAUCCUUGAGCAUUGUGCAGACAAGAAAGAGUCUAAUGAGAGCUCAUGUAAUCGCUCUGGUCCUUGAUGCAGAAGAGGUGUGUCAUACAAUAUGUUUUCUUUGACGAAAAUUUGAUAGUGUGUGAUAUAUUUAGAUGUCUACUGUGAAAAUGGCAAAAUUAUCUAAGAUGGAAAGAAAAAGGUCUCAAGUGUGUACAGUAGUGUUAAUGAUGAAAUAUGAGGCUUUGCUGGUAAGUGGUUGUAGAGGUUUCAAAAAGAGACAGUCUCCCUAUGAUAUACUGUAAUCCGGAGUAAAUAUGGGCUGCUUGAGAAUGGUUGGGACCCAGCAAAGGGAGUCUGUCUCUGUUUGAUGCUUCAUGCAGUGCAUUGUUUGGAGAGAGGUUUAAUUUAUUCGGAGGAAAGAAAAGCAGAGAAGUUCUGGGAAGAUGUGCUAUGUUGGCAGUUUUUUGGGUAGUGUGGAUGGAAAGGAAUAUGAGAGUUUUUUUUUUAAUAAUGUUAAGGGUGAUGAGAUAGGUCAGUUAUGGGAUCCUUAUGGGCAUCAAUGUCUUCAAAGUUUAGGGAUUAUACCUUUUAUUUAAUAUAUUUGGAUUGGAAAGCAGUAGUAUAUUAGAGAUAGUUUUUCAAGUGAAAUGUGAUAGGGAGGUGUCUUAGUUGCAAGAUUCUGAUUGUUGUAUAUUUGGUGGAUCUCUUGUUCACCGACAUGUACUUUCUUGUUUAAGGUUUAGUGUACUUUCUUGGUUUUUUUAUAAAAAAUUAUGGUUUCUUAUAAAAAUAAAAAUAAAAAGACGAAACAUGACACCUUAUGUGCACAGGUCAACCCAUCGAUAAUUCCUUUCUUAUAUUAUGAUGCUUGAAUGAUUAAAUUCCGUGUGAGAUUUGCUAUUAGAAAAAAGAACUACAAGAAUUUUAUUGUCAUUUGUUGCUUGAUGCAAAUGUUACUUUUGUACUAUGGACUAACUUACUUUGGGCCACAAAGGUAUUGAUCCAAAUCUAUAUUUGUAAAACAAUUUUAGUGUGCGUCAUCUACUUCUUUUCCCAUUUCACGAACUGAUGUGCCUCUUAGGUAAUAUUGCAGUGAAGUUUUAUUAGGUUUAAUGUUAUUGUCUUGCUCAGUGAGAUGAAAAUGAUUAGUGCAUUGGUGGAUCGCAGCAUAUAUGCCCCAUUAAUAUUAUUUGGAAUCUAGGGUGCAAAUACUGUUAAAUUGACUCAAGAGCAUUUUAACCCUAUUAUAAUAGUGAAUCCUUAAUGAAUAUAAAAAAAACUUCUUGACCAUAUUAUAAUAGUGAUAUAUGCACUAGAAAUUUUAUAACCUGCAACAGUGUUUUUGUUUUCUUCUCCAUAUUUAAUGGAUUCCUUUAUUGCAACAUUUUAUGUAAUGACCAGAUUGCAAAUUCUAGAAGAAGUUUGAAGCAUGAUGAAGUAGUUAUAGCAAGACAGGCAGUUGAAGAAGGCCGUGGCUUGGUUGUAGUUGUGAACAAGAUGGAUCUAUUAAGAGGGAAGCAAUUAUAUGACAAGGUUAUGGAAGCUGUGCCCCAAGAAAUUCAGACCAUUAUGCCUCAGGUAUGCCUGUGUACUAUUUUCUUAAAAUAAAUGUAAAGAAUGCUCCUGCUUGCUUGUUAUUAUCUUCACUACUCACGCAUAUUUAACAUACUUUUCAUAAAAAGUACAAAAGGCUGAAGCGUUUUUCAUAUGCUUGUCCUCGGCUACCCAAGUUAAUAUGGGGUUUGUGUUCUGACCAAAAAAAUAAUGAUAUAAGAUACUAUGAGGUCACAAAGUAUGGGUUAAUUAUUUGAUGCCACAAAAGUUUGGGUUAAUUAUUCGAUGCCACAAAGUAUCUUGGUUGAUGAGGUCAUUUUUAUUUCGGGCGGGUAUCUGCAAAAGACAGGAAGGUUGGGGAAGGGGAACUCCAAGCUUUAUCUGCAAUAAUGUGUUUUGAGCAAUGGUAAAAAUGGUAGUUUACUGUUAGCAUGGUUGUUGCAAACAGGUGACUGGGAUACCAAUUGUAUUCAUAUCAGCCUUGGAGGGAAGGGGUCAUGCAGCUGUCAUGCACCAGGUUAUUGAUACAUAUGAAAAAUGGUGUUCAAGAUUGUCAACAGCUCGUCUUAAUCGUUGGUUGCGAAAGGUCAGUUGAUGAUACCUUUUGUGUUUCAACCAUCGACCUCAUAAAAGUCAUUUGGAAGUAACCUUCUCUGUCUUUUCCUGUGUGUGAUCAGGUUAUGAGCAGGCAUUCUUGGAAAGAUCAGGCUGCUCAACCCAAGGUUAAGUAUUUUACACAGGUGAAGGCCCGACCACCCACUUUUGUUGCCUUUGUGAGUGGGAAGAAAGAGCUCUCAGAAACAGACAUCAGGUUCCUAAAAAGGUCUUUGAAAGAAGACUUUGAUUUGGGUGGAAUACCGAUCAGGAUCAUGCCGAGGACCAUCGAAAGGAAAGCUGUGAACGGCACUAGCAAGAGUGGCCAAAUUGCUAAUAGACCGUCUGAAAGGAUGUUCUCUGACAAGAGAAAAGUGUGUCCGGUUGAAUAGCAUUUUUAACUCGACGAGACGGCUAUUGUUGUCCUGCCUCGUUAUGCUGAGACUGUAAUUAUCCAAUAGUUACAAUUUUGACCUUUAUUGCAGGAUGUAAUUUUCUUUAGGAGAAUUAUCUUAGUUGUAGAUUAUAUUUUUUGUAUUUAACGUGAAAUUCUUAGUUGAGUGGUAGCACAGUUGCAGGAGGGAAUGAGGUUAAGUGUGUGUUUAUUUAGGGUUUAGGGAUUUUAUUUUGUGUUUUGACAUAAAAAUGAUAUUUAACACCAUUCCUUUUAUUUUUAUCCUUCUUUGGAACUCGUGCGUUUUUCCCUUAUUAUAUGCUGGAAUCUUCUUACCUCAAAACCAUUGUCUGAAUUAUUUGUUUUGGUAACACUAAUAGGCAAAUGUCUUGCAUCCAAUGCAAAUACUAUUUAUAGAUCAAUUGAUCUUCAUUCAUAUACUAUUUAUUUAUCAUUUUUAAAAAAUUCUAAAAAAAUGUAUUUUUUUAUUAUAAUUAAGUUAGAUUGCAAAUUGGCGGCACUCCUAUCAGACGAUGGUUCAGUUGGCCUAGCUAGCCAGAAGGAGGUCUAGUUCAACAAAAAAAACUUACUCGUAAUUGGAAUAACACUAGUCAAUAACACAAUGACAUCAGGGUCUGUCCUGAAAUUUUAAGGGCCCUGUGACAAUCACAAAUGUAUACAAUCACAUCACUGACUCAAAUCUAGGCCUUGUACGAAGAGAUAUGCACUAUAAACCAACUUCACCAAACACACUUUUGUGUCAAUUUACUGCACGCUAGAGUAUAUAUACAAUUUUUAUAAUAUUAAUAUAAAGUAAAAAAAUAAUCGAGAGCCCUGUGCGGUGGCGCCACUUGCACCAUGCUAGGGCCGCCCUUGAAUGACACAUGAAAAAAUUAUCCCUGUUACAUGAAAGUCUUUUUUUCAAGUUCAGAUAAAAAAUUACAACACCUAAGAGUUAUUCUGGAAUCUCUUAUUCAAUUUGACUUUUAAUGAGAGGUAAGGUCAACAGUCAGUGUUGUUAUAUAACCAAAUGCCAGAUCAUCAACUGUUGCACUUCAUCACAAUACUUACAAGAAAGGGCACACCCAAUUAUGCAUAUAUAACCAUAAAGUUUUCACUAGGUGGGGAAGCCUAACCUUUUGGACAAUUGUCUGCAUCAAGGCAAAUAUUUGAUAGAUUGUUGCUGAAGGCAAAUAUCUUAAGGCCAGCACUGGUGGGACAAAAGAGCUUGAAGCUCAUCUGUGAAUCGCUCUAAAUAAUUCUUGAGGCUCUCAUUACCUAUGUUGAGAAUGUGCACAACCGACAAGCGAGUUGUGCUUUAGUCUAAUCCUGCCAUGUGGCAGUUUGGCGUUAGAUUUUAUUUGCUCCCACAUUGCCCUUUCCUCCUCUUCCCAGCCCACGUUGGUGGGUAGAGGAAAAUAAAUAGAGCAACUUAUAUAUUGCAUAAAAAAUAGAGCAACUUCUUCAUGUCGUGCCACUAAACGGGCUGAUAUGGGCCCACACCAAACUUGACUUAUGCAUUGUACUUUUUUCGUAAAUUUUUUCAACUUCAUUUCAAUCUUUUUUACAAUUAUGUAUAUACUGACAAGAUUUAUUAUUUGUUGGAAAAAAGGUCAAUAAUUUUAUUUGAAGUACAUUUUAAUAUAAAAUGGCCAGAUUAUUGUUAGGUUUUAAAAAUUGAAACUUGAAAAAAAAAAUAUUUUAAUAUAUAUUAUUAGAGAAAAGAAAUAGAGUUGAAGAUAAGAUAUAAAUAUAAUAAUAUUAGGUAUUAUUUUACUCUUAAAAAAAUAUAAUUUAAUAAAUGGGCUUUAAAUGGGCCAGCUUGUUGGGCUUCAGGCCAUCACAGCCCACCCAAAGAUAUGCGUUGUGCUAUGUCAGGUCUUACUUAAUAAGCCCGUGCUUAGCUUGGCCCGAUUCGGUUGAUACCUCUAGUAUAAGGGCAUCAACUCUUGUGAUGUCAAGCAAAUGUCUUCCUCUGACGACAUGUAAUUCAAGUGGUAUUUAAAAAAUUCAGAAAUAAGCAAGUGAAGAGGUGCAUUUAGAAUUUCAUUCUCUUUCAUUGUGAGAUUAAAUAAACAGUCUUCAUCUUUCCAAGGGAGCUGAUUUUCAAGUAGCAACAAGUUAUUUCUAACUGUCGAUAACAUCCAUGGUGUUGAUUACCCACUUUGUUGGUCCCGACUAUAAAAUGCACAAAAGAGUCCUAACUUUCGUUUAAUUGAUAGUCAUAAGUGGGAGAACAUUGGGAAAUUGCUUCAAAGUUGUUUGAUUGAUUGGGGUUACGAGAAGGUACUCAAAAUUAGGGCGAAUAAUGCAGUUGCAUAUACUAAGGUAAUUAAGUAUGGGAGGAAGAAAGUAAAUUGGUGGAAAGAUUCAAAUAGUGUGUUAGAAUGAGGGUUUGAAGAGAUUGGAAAGCUCUAUUGUGGCAAUUCGUAAUGUAGUGAAGUAUGUAAGGUGAGGACCUUCUCGAUUGAGUUACUUCAAAAAGUGUGUUGAAAAAGACAAAAUAUAGUGCACCAGUGGUGAUGGAUAUGCCCACUAGGUGGAACUCCACUUAUUUGAUGCUUGAAGCAGUAUUGAAGUUUCGAAAAGGUUUUGAUAGGAUGGAAGAUGAACCCGAUUCUUCUGACUUAAUGUACUUUAAGGAAAAAGAAGAGGAAGAUGAACUAAAGGAUGAGGGAAAUGAAGAAAUGAAAGAAAAUGGAAAAGAAAGGGCAAGGCUAAGAGGGUGGAGUCACCUAGUGAAGAAGAUUGGGACAAAGUUGUGACAUUUGUGAAGACCUUCUAUGAUGUUAACUUGAAAAUUUCAGCUUCGUUGCAUCCAACAUCAUAUACAAGCUUCCAUGACUUGAUUGCCAUAGAUGGGAAGAUUCUGGACUUAUAUAGAUAGGAUGUUACAACUCCUAUUCAAGCAAGGGCAACCAUGGACACAAUUUUAAAUGAUAUGGCAUCAUCGAUGAAGAAGAAAUAUGAUAAAUAUAAUGGUGAACUUCAUAAAGUGAACCUAUUUUUUAUGAUAGAAGUUGUGAUUGAUCCCUAAUUCAAGCUUCGCAAUAUGAGGCACAUCUUUGAGGAAAUAUUUGUAGGUGAUGAAGACCUGUAUAUUUAAAAUAUAUAUUUUGGGGAUGAAAUAUUUUACUAUUAUUUAGUUUAUAAAAUAGAUUUAUUUUUAAAAAGUAUAUAUCUCAAAGAAAUUCAUCCUUAAGUAUGCAUUCUAGUUAAAGUUGACUUGGAAAGCUAGGAAAGCUAGAGUCUUGUAUUUCUAAAGUGAUUUACAUAUUUAUUAAGGUGCUUGUAAUAAGCACAAUUGCAACCUACAAUUGUCAAAAUGAUUAGAUAAAUGCUAAAGAUAUUUAAGCUUGAGGUGGAUUUCCUUACAAGAGGUGUUUAAUUGAUAUUAUGUCUCACCCAGUCAAUAGCAUGAGGUGCCAUUCAAGUGUUUGUAGCUAGAGGUGACACCACUAUUCUUCCUAGGAGAUUGGAUGUGUAAAGACUCAAGGAUAUGUAACUUUUCCUCAUUAUCCUUAUAGCUAGGUGUCAUUACCUCAAGUUGUUAUUAUCUCCACGUAAAUUUCGUAGCUGUAUAUCUUAUCUUUAAAGUACUUGAAAAUAUUGGUGUUUGGCUUCUAUGGUAUUACUAUAGAAAUUAGUUGAGGGAUUAUCUUGUUAUUUUUUCAAGGGAUUUCAUUAUCGAGGUGAGUGGUUUAUGUAAUGUGUUUAAAAAUUCUUAUUUUGUGAUAAAUAUGAAAACAUGAAUUCUCAUAGAUUUGUUAUAUUUCCAAAUAUCUUUCUAUUUCAAGUCAAGUAUGUCUAAUUUUGUACAAUUUUUAACAUGAUAUAUAUGAGGAAUGCUAAUCAAACUCACUUUAGGAGAGUCUGAAAUAAGAAUCGCUCUAUUUCCGCUCCAUGUGGCUAGUAUGAACUCAAAAUUCAAAGUUCUUAUUUAAAGCCAAUAAAAAUCAUUGAUAUUUCCCGUUGCUAAUAAAUGUAAAUUGUUAUAUACAACAAACGGUGUUGUUUUCUGAAAAUACCCUGUAUUCUCAAAAACAUCCAUAACCAACUAUUUGGACCGAAGCAUUGCAGUGAAACCACAUAUAUUUCUUAUUCUUUUUGUCGAAACAAGAAAAGUAUAUCUUGAAAUCCAAAUGAAAUAAAAUGAUUAAACAACAAAAUAUUGAUAUCAAUAAAUCCUAAUAGGUUGAUUUAAUUGAGUAUUCUUUAUUUGGAGUAUUUCCAUCCUGUAAAGCUCAGCACCAUGCUUGUAAUUGUUCAAUUGAAUGGGGUAAUAGUUUCAUUGUUAUUUCAGCAUUUGUUAAGUGUAUUUGGAUAUGAUUUUUCCUAUUUUAAUGUAUCUUAACUCAAAUUAUUUGAUUUCCUUUUUCCUAUUUUGUAGAAUUGGGAAGUAAAAAGAUUAUGGCAAGUUUGAACAAGACUUUCCCUCCCUAAUAUGAAUGAGGAUUUCGUGGGAGGUUUGAUUUCUUUUCUUCUAUCUUGUUUUUACGAAUAAUGGAUUGAUUUUUUGGCUCAUUUGAAUGGAAUAUGAAUAUUGGUGCAUCUGUAUAUACCUAUAUAGUUAGUGCAUAUGCCAUUAGCAUGAUUUUGGUUGUUUGAUGGAAUUUCAGAUAGAAGGAUAAUCUUUGAGUUAUUGAAUCUUAAUAGCUUGAAGGCAUUACCUUCUCUCUUUGCAACUCAUUUUUAACUUCUACAAGUGUGAUGCAGGCAUUAGAAAAAAGAAUAAUUUCACAAGCAUUACCUUUCUUUCUUCCUUUUUUUAAAGUUUUUUUGAAUGCUUGAGCUAACAAUGUUAAUUUCCCUCCCUAGUAUGAUGUGUUGAUGGAUUGGUGGCUCAAUGAUGGAUUUGUUGCAUUUGUUGCAGGUUGAUGGAUGGAUCUGUUGUUGGUGAUUUUUUUUUUUUUUUUUGGGUGUGUUUUGGACCUUGUUUGUGAUGUGUUUCAUUUGUUUAAACUUUAAAUUGCAGCUCCUUUAUGGGUUGUAAUUAUAAGCAAAAGUAUAAUAUGGUGCUAUAUGUGUAUUUUUUGUUAUGGUUUGUAAAAAUUAUAAUGAUUUUAUGUUCUAUUUCUUUAGCAACUAAUCUGUUUGAUGAUGAUUGUGGUUGACUUAGUUUAGAAACUUAAAAUGUUGAUUUAUACUUGAAUUUACAUUUUUGGGCUUCUAUAUGUACUCUAAAACGAAAUGGGCUUUAUGAUAUUUGAAUUGUGAUUGAUUUAGUCUAGAAACUUCGAAUGUUUAUACUUGAAUUUUGGCUUUUAUACAUACUCAAGCUCAAACUGAUCAAACCUGCAAAAUCGAAUCGAAUCUUGUUCGGGUCGGCCCAUCUUAGUUUUCAGUCGAAAUUUCCCCUACUAUUUGAAUCGCGGAUAGUUGACUUCACUAGUUCGGUCUCUAUUUUAGGCCUUGAGCCGGAUCGAAUCAAAAUGUGCCCAGAGCUAGAGCAAAUAACUUCAUAAGCUCUUUAGUUUAUAUCUCAAUUGAACCGACCAAUUGAACCGACAUGUGGGUUGUCUCUUCCUAACCCAUCAAAAAUGAUUUCCAAAUAGAAAGUAGUUCAACAAAGUCCAAGACCAUAUCUCAUAGUACUUUCCUCUAGCAAAAUUGUUUUGUGCUAGUCCCUUUCUUUUUGUCCUUUUUAAAAGAAAAAAAUUAAUUAAUUAUUUAUUCGAAUGUGUGCUAGAUAUUGUCGUUGGCUCCACAACAAAUUGUCAUUUACCACUUUUCACUUUGAAAAACUUCCUUUUCCUUUUUUCACUUGUCCUUUUUUCCUUUGAAAACUCUUGAUUCUACUACGCAUGGAGUAAAGAAGAGGAAAAAUGAAGCAACAUGCCAAAAAAAAGAGAACUAUCCCUCGAUGAAAGAUAUGUAGAAAAAGCAAGAGAAUGAAGGUGUUUCAAGUAUGCAUUUGUCAAAAUCUUGUUUGAGUCUUCCAUUUUCUUGGUAAGUUUUCCAUAUUGCACUUGUUGUCUAUUGUUACUCUACUGUCUCAAACUUCUUUGUGGGUUGCUCACAUGUUAUGGUAAAUAUGGAACAAACUAGGGAGUAAAAAUGUAGAAACCAAGAAUAAAUAAAGAAAAUAAAUCACUGCACUAUCUUGGUAAAUUUGUGGCUGAUUUGUUAACAAAGUUCCUCAAAAGCCACACAUUUAUAUAUGAAAAUUAUGCGCCUCUCUAACCCAUAUGGUAUGUUGUCCAUUAAUUUUGGUAUAAUUGCAAACACUUUGUUCCUUUGUUUUAAUAAUAAUUUUAACUGAUUUCUAAACUUAUUAAUUUUUUUAACUAAAAAAAAGCACUCAACUGGUCUUCAAACUUAUACCCGAUUUACAUUUUGGUCCCUCAAUUAAAUUAUUCGUUCAAAUGGUCCAUCAACUCUAUAUUAUUCUGUCAAUUGGUCUUACCGUUACAUUAUGUCAAUGUUGCCGUUAAAUGUAAGGAUAAAACCGUCCAUAACUGUCCUAUGUUCCCAAAAUAGGUGAUAAAGUAGUGAUAAAUUGAUGAGAAAGUAGUGAUACAGUGGUGAUACUGUGGUGAUAAAGAGGUGACUGAAAUUGCUGUUUGUGUUUACCUUUGGCUUAUUGUUUUGUUUCCUUGUUCUAUUUUUCUUUACUCAUUUCUAGUAUUCUAAUUGUAUUUUACCAUUGUCCCAUUAAAAUCUCUCUGCAGUCCCGCAGGAUCUCCUAUGCAAAUGCCAGACCCUUUAUAUUUGAAGUGAUGUGGAUGCAGCACGGAAGUUUCAAAGAUUUUGUGAUGCAAAAAUGAGGGCGGACUCCUAGUUCUGCUCUUGAUAAGUCCUAUGGGUUAAUUGCUCCUCUAAAACAGUGGAACCAAAAUAUUUUUGGCCACCUGAAACAAAAGAAAGCUCUUAUUCUAGCUAGAUUGGCUGGUAUUCAAAGAGCCUUAUAUUAAAGACCAAAUAGGUUUUUGUCUCAAUUGGAGGAUUCCUUGGUACUAGAUUUAUAAUGCUUUGCUUGAUGUUGUAUUAAUAAUUGGCAAGCACAAAUUAAUGUGUUAAUCAUCCAAUUAAAAAUACCCUCAAGUGUACGAAUCUAUUGGAGUAUAGAUUUAUAAAUACGAGAUUGUUCCAACGAGGAACUGGAUGCUUAUACAAAGUUAUAGUUUGAGUACGUAAAGAACACUUAUUUAACACAACACAAAGGUAAAACACAAUUAGGAUACUAGAAAUGAGUAAAGAAAAGUAGAAGAUAUGAAUCAAAACAAGAAACCAAAGGUAAACACAAAUAGCAAUUUCUAUCACCCCUUUACCACCACUGUAUCACCUAUGUAUCACCACUUUAUCACCUAUUUGAGGAACAUAGGAUGGUUAUUGAAGGUUUUAUCCUUACAUUUGACGGCAACAUUGACAAGAUGUAACGGUAGGACCAAUUGACCAAAUAAUAUAGAGUUGAUGGACCAAUUGAAUGAAUAAUUUAAUUAAGGGACCAAAAUGUAAAUCGGAUAUAAGUUUGAGGACCAUUUGAGUAAUUAGCAUACUUUUCUAGGAAAACCCUAAAACAUCUCUGAAGGUGAAACUGUGCGCUUGCACUGCAACUGCCACCCUUACGACAACUGAAGGCUUUUGCACUAUCCUUAGGCAUGUGACGUCAUUCUACGUAGCCUUAUUCACACAUAUUGAAAGACUCGUCGUGAGAUUGCAUUGCAACAGGCCCACCACUUAAUUAUGAUAUGCUUGUACUCAGGGACGGACCCAUUCCCAGACUAACCUGGGCUAUAGCCCAGGUGUCUUGAUUUGUUUUAGCCUAUAGUAAUACUCCUAGCCCGCCUAAGAAAACCCCACACCCUCUUGCGCAGUCCCUUAGCUAAUGCACAGAGAAAAAAAAAAAAGAAAAAAAAAAGCCCAAUCAUCCCUGCUACACGCCAAUCAACCAUGCACUUCAAGGCUUAAUUAAAGCAAACCAAAUUUAUCUUCAAUUAUUAAUCUUCUUUGAUUGUCUUAAUUUGUUGAUGUUGAAAUUUGGGGACUUUUUUAGAGUUUAUGAAGUAUCAAUUGGGAAUUUUUUAUUUUUUAUUUAAAAGAAUUCUAUGUAAUUUUUUUUUUUUCUACUUGGUCAAAACAUUUGAUUGUACAGGUUUUGUAAUUAAAAAUAAGCAAAUGAAAGUAGGUCAGCCCUUUAUAGUCCCCUAAAAUUCCAAUAUAUUUUUAAUUAUAAUCAUUCAUGUUUUACACCAUAAAACUUUAAUCCUAAAAAUUUCUUCAUUUUUGGAAACAAAAAAAUAGCUUCUACAUUUGUAAUUGUUUAAUUAGUAUGAGUUUAUUUCUUUUGUUGGUUAGUGUGAGUUUUUAUUUUGGUUAAUUAAUAUAGGUUUUGUGUUUUUAAAAAAUUGGAAAUAUGUACACAUCAAUCCCAUUGAUUAUGUUCUUCCCUUCAAGGCUUGUACGUAAGCUAAAUCUAGCUCACCCUAAUUUGAAAUUAUGGGCCCGUCCCUGCUUAUACUUCAUACUUAAUGAGGAAUGACACUAACCUGUCACAUUGAGGGGCUAUCACCUGUAUUUUGAUAGGGAUAAAGGGGCAUCUUCAUCGACAAUGUAUUACUUGAUGGAGAGGGAACGAGACUCGCUUAAGGAUACAAUGUGCAACCCAGAUUAAGCCAGCAUGCAUAUACUCCUAUGUUGAGAUCAUGCACAACACACACGCGAGUCGUGCUUUAUUCUAAUCCUGCCACGUGGUGGUUGGAGUCAAAUUUUAUUUGUUCCCACAGAACUUCCUUAAUUAAGGGAAGAAUGGUGCCUAGCCCAUACCCUAAUUAAUUAAGGGGAGAUGUGGUGUUUGAGCAUGGCCAAAAGUGCUGAUUGCAGGGGAAACCAACUAGCAAAGGGCAAAUGACAUCUAGCAAGAGUUAGGAAUGCAUGUAAGAUCCAUCCAUGUGUUGACACCUGGCCCUGGCAGUAGUUAAUCCCAAAGUCCUACUCUUUUCCACAUUGGAAAAAUAACAUAUUCUAGAGUUGUGUAAGAGCUCUUGGACACCUUUCCCUUACAAACCUAUUUUUAGAGGCAAGUUCUACCUAUGGGUUCUUAACAGCCCCGGCCCUGACCAGGGGCAGUUAGUGUGACUGCCCUGGGCCCAUUAUUCAAAGGGGCCCCAAAUUUUUUAUUUAUAUAAUAAGUGUUAUAUUAUAUUAUUAUAAAAUGAUAUAAUAUUUUUGAGAGAAAAACAAAAAAUGGCAUUCAGAAUGACGAUCUCUUCUAUUCUUCUUCUUCUUCUUCAUCUCAUCUCAUCUCAUCUCAUCUAAGCCUCUCCUACUAGUUCCAGAAUUAUGAAUCCUUAAAUUAAUUUUUCUAUUGGUAGAUUGGGGAGAUUCCAAAAUCCAAAGUGUGGGCUUUUGUUCAGUGCAAAAUUGGUCCUUGUAGAAAUCAAUUGAAGGUAAUUUUUCAUGAUUUGAUAUAAAAUGAAAAGGAAAAUAUGAUUUUUUUAAUUUAUUUGUUUGUAGAUUUUUCACAUCGUUUCUUAAACAACCUCCCAUCCUAUCUCCUCCCAAUCUGCCAGUGACAUGAACUUUUAUCGAAUUUCUCCUCUGCAAAAAAUAACCAUGUGUGAUUUAUUUAUUUUUCUCUAUCGAUUCCUCUUCUAAGUCAUUUAAAUUAUGGGGCUUUCUUGGAUUUAUUCAUUUGAAUUCGUUGAAUCACUAAUAUAUGUAAUAUUCUUGGGGUUUUCUUUUCAAAUUGAAACCUUGCUUUCCUCUUGGAAUUGUUUCUCUGCGAAAAUAACUUGGGUGAUUUCCUAUUUUUCUUGUAAGAUGAAUCAAAAUUAAAUAGACAUUGUUUUCCAUAAUUUAGGAAUAGGAUAUUGAGAUGAAUUUGAAAUUUUGGAACAAAGGAUCCAUGACGAGAGUUUUAAAAGAAAUUCUUUGAUUUUGGCUUGACUUGCAUUCUUGAAAUUUUUUGACUCACUGAUAUGGUAUCUAUAGUUGGACAUUUGUUUUCAUUAUUUAGGAAUAUGGAAGACAUUGCUCAAAAUCUUAAAAUAUUUUGGAAUAAAUACUUACUCAAAAAAACCAAUGCUUAGUUGAUAAAACAAGAAGUAUACUAGUGUUAGUGAUUAAUGCAUGUAGGGCACACUUUAAAUUUUCGCCCUGGCCCUUUGAAAACUCAGAACUAGCCCUGGUUCUUAAUAAUUGGUAUAAGAGUUAGGUCACUACACAACUAGGGUCAAUUCCAUGGAACGGGUGACUAUAGGAUGAAUUAAAAUGACCGGUGUUAUGUAUGGGCACGAUAUCCAGUCAUUGAAUAUUUGUAGUUGAGUGAAGCCGCCGCAAGUCGAUUUUACUAACAAAAUCUACCCAUGAGUUCUUAACAGAUGACCUCGUACCAACUUUCAGUUGUCUCUGGUUUAGUCGGUAGGAUUAGACCAAGGCGACCAUAUAGGGAAGCUGAGCCGAGUAUGUAGUAUCGCGCCCAUCCAUAGUUGUCAACUUCAUUAAGUGUAGUGGUCGGUCGGGCAAGACAAUUCGAGUCAACCAUGGUCUGUAAGGGGUUACAACCCCUGGUUCUCGAUCGAGGUGGUAGAGUCAGUUGGGUCGUGUUCUACCAAGUGAUGAGGCACUGCUAACUGGGCCGUCCAUGUGGCAUAUCAUUAGUGGUCAAUCAGCUCAAAUGGGAUGAAAUAUAUGCCAACAACUUCUUAGAUUUCUGUAGUGCUAUUACGUUCUUGUUUUGGGACAUCACGGAUUCUUUAUUGUUACACAUUUUUCAUAAAUAAAUAAAUAAUAUAUUUACAUAUUUGUAGUAAUAUCAUUAAUGCUAUAAUUACUUAAGUAGAUUUAUAAUAUAAUUAAUUAAAAUAAAACUAUAAAUUAUACACAUGAAUUUUGAGUAUAUGCAUUUAGAAAUUGUGUAUUCAUCCGUAUUUCACUACGAUAACACAUCACUUAUAUUUUCUCUUCGCCUUUUAUCUUUAGUGAUGUCCCCUAUCUUUGUCUUAAUUGAGGAUUUUAGCCUCAAAACUUACCUUGCAUCACGAAUAUUCUAUUUGAUGAUAAGACCAAUAUUAAUCCGAUGGGUGAACGUGACAGAUACAUAUACUAGCUUAAUAGAAAAACCUCGUUAUUCACUAGAUAAUAAAGAAAAAGAAAUGAUUCAAAAUUAUCACAGAGUUUAAGCACUUGAAGUCAAAGCACUUUAAAAUAUUCUCUUCCACUAAUUACAGUAGGAUAUGGUAAUUACCAAAUAAAAUAAGCAACUAAGAAUGUGUUACAAGUAAAAGAGCUAGCUCAUCCCUGUCGGUCUAAUUAGUGGCAGACUGAAGACGAUGCAAACAAUGUUAUGAAAAAGUAAGUAAGUUUUAUUGGUUUAGUCGUUGGUGGAAAAAGCUAUGUCAAAACACUUGAUCAGCUUUCAGCUUGUUUAAGAGAGAUAUGAUAAUUAAUCAAUUCUUAAUCACAAGAUUAAAAUAAUGUAAUUGGUUUAGCCUUUGUCUUUGUUAAAGAGAGGGAUUUACUUAUGUGACAACAAGAAAAGUAACAAAAAAGAGAAUUUAAGAAGAAGAUGACAAGUGCAGACACUGAAUUAUAAGUUGUAUAUAUGACAGUCCACAUCCAAGUGGAGUACGUUGGACAUACGUUUAUUUGAUUGAUUGAACUUACUUUGGUGAUUAAUUAGGCAAUUUGGCCGCCUCCUUAAAGGAGAGAGAAAAUUUAGAGAGAACAAAAAUAAGUCUUCCAUUUUGGCCUCCUUUGAAUGUAAAAAAAGUUUGCUAUGGCAUCCUUUAUUUUUUUAAUAGGGUUAUUUACUCAAAUGGUCCUCAAAUUUAUACUCGAGUUGCAUUUUGGUCAUUCAACUAAAUUAUUCAUUCAAAUGGUACAUCAACUCUUUAUUAUUCGGCGAAUUGGUACUACCGUUACAUUUUCUAUUAAAUUUAGUCAUGUGAGCAGCACAUGCUACAUUUGUGGAGAUAAAUAAGACUUUUGACAACUAAAAAUAUAAAAAUUUAAUUUAAUUAAAAAAUUUCUUUAUUUUUAAAAUUAAUUAGAAACUAUAAAAGAAUAAAAACAACAAAAAGUAACCCUAAAAAAAAUCCAAUCCAACCAUCCUCUCUCUCUCUCUCUCUUCUCGAACAAACCAAGAGCCUUGCAACCCCAAUAAAUGUUUGAAGAGAGAAAUAUAAGGAGAUAGUGGGAGAGAGGAGGAAGGGACAUGAAGGGAGGGGAAAAGAGUGGGGCUGUGGGAAGACGGGGCGCUGGGGCAAUGGUUAUCGGGCUCGGGGUUGGGGGUUGGGAGGUGGGAGAGGCAGAAUUUUUUUUUUCUUUUGAUUUUUAGUUUUGUAUUUAUUUAAUAUUUUACUUAACUGGACUGUUUUACCCUUAUGUUUGACGGCAAUAUUGACAAAAUGUAACAAUAGGACCAAAGUGCGAUUAAUAAAGAAUUGGUGGACCAUUUGAACGAAUAAUUUAAUUGAAGGACCAAAAUGCAAUCCGGGUAUAAAUUUAAGGACCAUUUGAGUAAAUAACCCUUUUAAAUAUUAUAUGCCCAAUCCUUAAUUAUUUGAGUUUGGUAAAUAAUUAAGAGCCAUAAUAAAGGAUGAUGUGAAGAAAAACAUAAAUAUUGUCACAUGUACUAUCACACAAUGCUUCCGAGAAUCAGAACCUUAUCCUCUAUCUUUUUGGCCUUCUACCAAAACAAAAAAAAAUCGUGUUUAGUUUCCUAGAUUUGUUGGUUUUGAGAUAUUACUAAAGCAUGUCUUAGGUUCGAGGACUGACACCGAUCAGAUCAACAUAGUACCAGAAAAAUGGUGUUUAGUUUGGAUGUAUUCAUUUUCCUCUUUUUUCUACUUAUGGUAUUACAUGAUUGCAUCACCCAUGAUAAAUUGAUUCUAAACAAGUAUAAAGUUGGCGCUUGUACCUCAAAUGAUAAUAAACUUUUACCUUCACAAUUAAUUAACCUUAGAAUCUCUCACAUGUAACUUACUUUACUGCCCAUUUAAUGAGAUGUGUCAUUUUGUUUCCAACCGAGCUAAAACAAUUUUUGGAUGUCUCUGAUUAAACGAAGUCAUUGUAAUUUUGCUUCAGUUUCCCUAAUACAAAUUCAUCACUUAGAUAUCGGAAUUGUCAAUUAGAUUACAAAAUAGGAAUCUUAAUUAAGCAUGUAUCACUUAGGCCUUCCAGUUAACAUAUUUAAAUUAAGCAUGCAACAAAAGACUCACUAGUGUAAUGGUUUGGAAUAAUUGCUCCUCCCAGAAAAGGUCAUGGGUUCGAGUCCUAGCAUUCGUGUAGUGUGUGUGUGUGUGUGUGAGAGAGUUUAGUAUAUUAUCACCCCUCUCAAUAAGAAAGAUCCAUUUUUUUUAUUUUUAGAGAAAAAAGAAAAAAAAGGUUAACAUAUUUAAAUUAAUUCCAAAUAUUUGAACUAGUCACAUAAAAAAGAAUGAACUCUAAAGUGAACCAUACAAAGAACAUAUAUGGCAUGCCUAAUCAAUUAAUGCCCCAAGAAACUUCAUCAGCAUUACCAAUUGUUUAAAUUCCAAGUAGUACUUAAGUUCCUCUUUAUUUCUCAUAAACCCCUGUUGUCUUAUUAGCUCUAUAAACUAUCUUAAAAUCUGACCCACAAGUUGUGCUUGGGAUAUUUGAACCAGUAAACACACAUAUGGAUUGACGUUGAAGCCAAAGUUAACUGUCCUGCUAUACAGAACACAGCUAGUGGAGGUGGCAUAAGUUAUUUUAAUGUCUGUUGUGCUAAAAUACAACUGCUUGUUGCCCAACUUUGGUGAUACACUCGAGUGUUAGGGUUUCCUUUUGUCUCUACUCUCCCCUCUCCUCACCUAUCCCCUUAUUUAACCCAUUUCACAAUUUGGUUCCACAUCAACUCCUCCAUCAAUAUCUCUAUAUCUUAAAUGUUUGUACAAGUACCAUUCUACCAUGGCUGAGCUUGGCCUUCUCUCCUUGACCGAGCUCCAAAAAUUGUCUCUAUCACAACAAAACCAAUCGCAAUUAUUAAACCCUAGCUUGCCCCCAAAAGCCUGGAUGUGGAACCCUAAGCCAGCUCAAGAACCCGAAGAUGACUCGUGGGAAGUGAGAGCCUUUGCGGAGGAUACCGGUAAUGUAAUGGGCACCACUUGGCCUCCAAGGUCUUACACUUGCACAUUUUGUAGAAGGGAAUUCCGGUCCGCCCAAGCCCUAGGAGGCCACAUGAAUGUGCACCGCCGUGACCGCGCCCGGCUCCACCAAUCUCAUCCUCCGAUCAACCCGGCAUCAGCCUCAUCUGCUUCCACUUCCUCAUUCAUAAUCCCAACUCAAGAAUUUGUCAAUGCAAAUGGUGGGUUAUGCCUGGUUUACCAAUUGCCAAGCCCUAGUAGUAUAAAUGGUGCAUCCUUCAACACUGCCACAACUUUGAUGAGCUCAAGUUCACAUGGCGUUGAGCAAUCACCAUCCACUCUGCUUUCAAUCUCACCCAAUAUUCCACCUCAUGACUACUUAGCAUCAGUUGUGCCACCAGGAACCAAUUCCCAAUAUUGUCACUCAAGCAAAUCAGCUGAUGAUCCGGAACCCUCAACACCUGAGACCGAAAAUGGCAAUUUUGAAGAGCUUGAUUUAGAGCUUCGCCUUGGCCAUGGCCGACCAACAGUACCAUCUUGACCAAACAAGAGAUUAAGGAUCAAAAUACAUGGCGUGUGUCUGCAGUUGUUGGAGGAAGAGAUCGUGUGCCAUAUAUUGAUGUGUAAGAUUAUACAGUGCUAGUACUCUAGCCAGCUUUCAUAGAAAUUAUCUGUUUGAGAUUUUUUUGUUUUUUAAUUAUUUUCAUGGUUGGUAUAAUUAGUUUUUGUGUGUGAGAUUGAAGAAAGCUGCAAUAUGGAAGAGAAAGAGAAAGCUAUGAAAGGCAUAUAUCGUAUAAAAUAAAUACAAAGACAAAGAAAUUAUGUAUAUUAUAUAUAUCCAGUUCCGAUCUCUUGGACUACAAGGGUCCAAGAGAUUUGUGGUCACUCAUCGUUGGAUGUAAAUUUAACGGUUCACUCACUCUUGCACUCAUUUUAAGAAACUUUUUUGAACCGUUGGAUGUUACAUCCAACGGUGAGUGACCAUAGUCUCUUGGACCGGGGCAUGUGAAAGAAAAUGAAUAAUUAUUUAGGGUUUUUUAAAAAAAAUAAUAAUUAUUUUUUUUGGAGUAGUGGUGCAGUGAGAUAAAAGCUUGGCAGUGCAGUGUCAUUUUCCGUUACACAGAUUUCUGAGUAAAUUGGGUCUACAGUGCUGUCCCUGGGCAUACAUUUCCGUGGGGAUUAUUUCUAUCUCGUAAUGCUUAUUUGAUUCGCUCCUCUUCUUUCCACAAACCACAAAAAUGCAACUUCAAAAAAUUUAAAAACCCGAAGUUCUGCUUUGAUCCUUUGAUUGGUUGGCCCGCCAUUAAAUCAGAUGGUAAAUAUUCAUUUAUGAUCGAUCAAUUCAUGGAGGAGAAGUAAUUGUUUAUCAGUUAUACGUACGAUCAUCACUUUCACUUUGCACCACAAAAGAAGUUGGGAAAGGAGACGGGUCAAUUGAUUUCAAGUAAUGGGAAUGAAAGAUUCUUUUUUCACGUUUGGUAAUGUCGGGAAAGUAACCGAGAGAUUUCACUUUAUUUCAUUUCCCAUGUUUGUCUUGAGUAGGAAUUUUUUUUUUUUGAGAAACAAAAUUUCAUUCAACACUCCAAAGAGAGUACAUCAGCUUCAAGCACAGGGAGCAACCAACUUGGUGCUUCCUCAAUCCAGGUAACAAAUUCAUUACAAUGAAAAGCAAACUGAGCCAAAGUGUGUGCCACUUUAUUACCGCAUCUUGGAGUCCAGUGACAUACGACUGCUCUAAAAUUAUUAAGUAGAUAGUUCACCUCCUCAAGCAAAGGACCAUCAAUUCCAUUAUACUCCUCUGUUGAGAAAAUACUAUUAAGGCAAUCUUGGGCGUCCAUUUCUAGAAAAAGAAUGCAUUUAAUGAUACAUUGUAAUUCUAAAUUAUUCAUAGGGACAAAAUAGUCAUGAAAAUUGUGCAUUGAAUGUUGGCUCAUUUUCCCAAACUUUCCCAUGAGGAGGAAAAACAAAACCCAAGUUGAGAGGAAGGCUUCACUUUUCCCCUUACUUUUCCAGGUGUCAGACAACCAUUUUCCAUACCUGGACUUACCAAACAUGGGAAAGUAAUUGAAUUCUCAUUCCCAAGCCUCCUUUUCCAUGAACCAAACGGGGCCUCUGGCAACAUCACUUAUGCAACAUCACUCUUGCGGUUGAAAUAAGUCCAUGUUUAGCACAUUCGUGUAAUUAAACAAUUUUAGGGUCUUUCUUUCUUUCUUUCUGGCUUGGUGUACCUUUUUAUUCUAUCGUAAAUAAAUUUUUAUCGUGGCGUAGUUUAAAAAAAAUAAAAUAUAAAAAAUAAAAAAUUUCGGGCUAUUAAAUGAAAAUGUGUUAUGACCAUCAAACAAAUCCAUAUACUUUGAAAAAAAACAACAUAAUAAGUGCUUUUGUUGGAAACCUUGAAUGGUUAUUAGCUACUAAUAACAUCGAUGCCCUUUUGUGGUAUAGUAGUAUUAGAGAUACCAACUUUUUAGAUAUUAACUGACAUUGUUUAUUUGUUUCAUGUCUAGGCGCACCUUAGAGCAUAUUUAUUCACAACAAAUAAAAACUGACACAUCAGUUAUUAAUUAAAUGCGGGUAAGGUACUCUAUCAGUGGUUAGGUUCCUGCUCCUGCUUGCAGUUGAGAGGGUAAGGCUACUCAGUUAGACCGACAACUGAGCCCAUAUGUGUAGAGAAACUCGCCUAAUCCCCGACGACAUUGCCUGGUUUUUUGUACUAGUUACGCUUCCCUUUAAUAAAAUCCUAUCGCUAUUCUCUCAAAAAAAAUGUGAUGCAGUUAUCUAUGUACCUGUGAGGUCCUAUGUUCGAAUCUCCCAUACCCCAAUAUCUCUUGUAUAUAAUAAAAAUGGUUGUCCCACACGAGGGGCGUAUUAAAGAAUGUAAAGCCCCAUAUCAGACAUGUGACAAAACAAAUACAAUACAUAAAUGAAGGGUUCCACUACUACUACCAUUGAUACUUUUUGUGAUAAAACUCAACACCGGGUGAUUAAGUUGGAGAUAAUAUCCAUGUUGGACAUCCAAGUGCCAACACAAACCCUAUUUGUAGACGCAAAUACAAUAUUGGUGUCUCCAAGUGCCAAUGCAAACUCUAUAUAUGGACAUAAAUACCCAUGCUCGUUGACAUUUUUUUAGUGAACCAAUUGAUAGUGGGCCGCUCAUUCGUCUCUCUGCAUCGUGACAAACUACAGUAACCAUCUCCAUUGGAGCCUCUUGAAAACAUAAUAAUUAAUGGGAGUUGAUUUUUCCACUCCCAUUUUGUUAACUUACACUUCUUUUUUGUUAUAAUAAAAGGUAUUAAAAAAAAAAACAAAAGCAAGUGUAAAUGAAUAAAAAAGAAAUGGAAAAAUCAGAACUGAAUAAAAGAGGAAUGGAAAAAUUAGACACCCUAAUUAAUUUCAUUCUCGGACAACCAUUAUGUCGUCAAUUGGGGUUAAGAAUGACGGGUUAAACAAGUGAUAUAUGUUAUAUUUCAGAUACCCACAUGAGGCCCCCGUGUUUGUUUUAAUCUUCCCCCACUCCCCUCUUCCUUUCUUGAUCUGAAGCCCCUCAUUUAUUUGAGGAAUUGCACUUUAUUUUGUUUUCUUAAGUCUUUUUUCUUCUUUUUUUUUCUCCCUGGAAGAGAUCUCUAAGUAUAUAUCUCAAAUAUAGCAAGCGAUUUAUAUACUAAUGUUUUUGCGAAAACGAAAAGAAGAAAAACUAUGUAACAGCUGCUUUUGUAUUGAAAUUGUGUAUAUUCCCACGACCAAAGUCCAAGUAAAAUAUUAAUUCAAAAACAUUUGACUAGAGACACACAAAUAUGCACAUUACAAAUUCUACAGUGAUCUUUUUCCUGCAAGACUACAAUACUCGAACAGUGAUAGUUGGACUAGCUACUAGCCCGCGCUAUAGCCAGGUUCCAACCUAGGCCUGGCGUACUUGUACCCUUACUUCCUUUACAAAAGCUAGCUGGCUGUACCUUUUUCAGAAACUCAGAUUUCCUUAAAGCCAAAAUAAAACAAACAUUCCCCUACGAAUUAUCUGGUAAAUUCUCAAGUUUUCUCAUCAGGUCAUUUUUCUGUAUACAUAUUUAUAUAUAUAUUCUUAACAGUGGCUUCUUUACCAUAUGCAUACCAAGACCUAUACAGCUAUAAGCAUCUUAGGCUUCUCUUUCACUCCAUAAGUAUUCAUUCGCUGCCAACGUAGAGUUAUUGAUGAUGUGGUCCAUCCUUUUUUUUUUUAUAUAUAAAAAAAAUAAAAAACCAAUAGGCGAAACUAGAAGGAGAGGAAAGUUUUUCUCACACACUACCAAAGUGUUAUAGGAGUUCGAACUCGAAGUCACUGAUCUGCAAGUCAAAACUCUUUUCCACUGGAUUAUAUCCCGUUGGCUAUGUGGUCCAUCUUUAGAUUCGACGUAUCAAUACAAUUGUUCAGAAUUCAAAAUGCUAGCAAUUAUUAAGGACUCAUAUGUACCAUAGAGUGAUAUUAGACGGAUAUCUUUAAAAUCACAUAAUUGGCAAAUAGACUUGUAAGAAAAUAGCUAUCAUUUCUUCACAGAUAGGCUUGAAAACCUACGUACAACCACAGAGCUCUCAAAUCUUCUUCACACCAACCUUGAUAUUUUAAAAUAGAUCCAGACUCCUUUCUCUCUCUGUCUCAUACUCCUAAUCCCUAGGAUCCUUCUUUUCUGUUUCAGUUCUUUUUCUAAUAUCGAUGGGUGAUAUAGUAAGGUUUACCUGAAGAUUAAUGAGAUUUAGUUGAGAACUUCAUUGCCAUUAAAAAUCACAGGCAAACAAAGAGGACUAGGAUAACAAAAGGGUGGGUACUGACCAAACAAAAGCACAAUCGUUGGGUGAGAAUUGAGUUGAUGCAAAAUUUUAAGAUGAUAAGGAACAGAAAAUAUAUCCUUAACCCAGUGUUUUGAGGAGAGGUUUGCAAAAGAAGGAAGCUCAAUAAUUGUAAGCUGCACGAUUUUGCAUUUGAAACGUGACACUUUAAUUAUUAUGAAAAGGUUAGCAAGGUUAGGAGAUUAAUUAGGUGGUAGAGAAUCAGCCACAAUGUGAACCCUUUAGAUUCAAUAAAUAUUUUUUCCCAAGGGACUUAUAGCUGCAGUACCCUAGGCGCUUAGAUCCUAUGUUCGAAUCUCCCCUACUUUAAUAUCGUUUGUAUAAAAAUAAAAAAUAAAAAUCAUUUUCCACUAGGAUCCGAGACCCUGCCAAUUUAAUAGCUGGCUUAAUGAUCCUUGAACCUAACUUUUUUAUUAGCUUGCUAUCCCAGAGAGAAAGGUAAUUGCAGUCAGCCUUAUAACAUAGCAUAUUAACUUAGCAUAGUUUCAAUUCAAAUGACCUCAUCAAGAAGAACCUUCAUGCGUAGCCUCACAACUAGCUUAUAAGAUGCACCAGAGACAACCCCACUUAAAGUACUUGAAAACCUUUCGUAACAAUAUAAUUACACAGAAAAAGAAAAAAAGAAAAAAAAACUGUAAUUACUGCGAUUCUGAAGUUCUCAAAAUGCCAAUGGUAAUGGUAAUGGUUGGACCACUCUUGAUUGAUACCCCUUCCACAUAGCAGUGAUAAGGCAUUGGUAUUCGAGGUGAUGUAUGUUAUGUUCCGAUCCAGAAUUAUUCAAAUAUUGUGCUUUGUCAAACCUUUUCGAGCCAAAUAUUAAGAAGAAAUCAAUUCAGAAAUGAUCAAAUAUUAGUUAGGGUUAGGGUUCGAAUAUUUUGUAAGCGCAUACCAUUAUAUCCCUAGUCAGGGUAUCUCUUGAUUGAUACCCUGUUACGGCCCCUAUCAUUAUAUCCCUAGCUAGACAAAAUUCCAGCUAAGCAAGCGCAUACUUCAUGAUUUCUAAUUUCUUGGCUUCAUCUAUGCAUACAAUGCUCGGUCCCCUCUUUCACAGUUCCCUCUCCUGUGGAUUCAUGUUGUGCAAGUAUGGAUGCUAAUUAGUCUGGAUCUCUAACAAUCAUGAAUAUUUCAGUGUCCACUGUUCAUUGGAGAUGCUCUUAAUUCUUGUUUUUUUUCUUUUUUCGGUCGAGAGAGAUGCUCUGAGGUUUAGUAUGUAAAAAGAGAGUUCUAUUUUAAUUUAAGCACAUGUACCCGUAAAUCUCAUAAUAACCAGCGCUGCUAUGGGGUUUGGUGCGUUGUUAAAAGCAGUGUGUGGGAGAAGUAGGUCGGAGGUGAAGUCGUGGUCACUGCAUGGGCUCAGAUUCCCAGCCACACCAAUCACUAUAAUCAUUGCAUCUCUCUUAUCCUAAUCUGCAUGGAAAAAAGCUGUCUAUCUUUUUCUUCUCUUUUUCCUGCACAAUAGACUGUUACUAAUGGUGACACUUCUUCUUAGCUUUGCUACGACAAAAAUCUCCACAGAGAUUUUGUGCAACAACAGAAUUAAAAUCCCAUGUGCAUCUGUUCAACCUUGGUUUAGGUGAAUAUUUGAAAAUUAUUAUUUAUUACAAUACAAUUUACAUGGACGGACCCGACAUAGCUAGAACCUGGACCACUUUAUAACGUGGAUUUAUCACUAAACUGUUUUGUUUUCCUAUUUAGUUUUACUUUUCUUUUUCUAAAAAAAAAAAAAAGAAGAAAAAACCACGUUCACCUGGUUUUAACUUACUUAUUUUUUCUGUAAAAGAAAAAAACAAACUCGUAUUCUUACCUUGUCACAAAUCCUUUAUUUUUUCCUCAAUUACUAAGAUAAAGGAAACGAGAGAAAAUUCUAAAGCCGCCAUCCCCCUUUGGGUCGAUGGCCUCCAUACCCUCUACUGCUCCGCUUUCCUCCCCUCUUCCCCUCUCAUCUCCUUCCUUCCCCUUUAUUCCCCUUUUCUCUACCCCUCUCCUUUUUGGGGCUUUUACUAGCUUUAGGCUGGAUUUUGGUAUUUUGCCUUGUUGGCUGCUUGACUGUCUUGAGGACGACGUGGUGACAUAUAAAUUUUUUAAAAUUUUUUUGUUGGUGUUGUGUGUUGCAGUUUUUUGAGUUUUAGUAAGUGUAUCAACUUUUUUUGAAUUUGUUGCGUGUUUUUAGUAGUUUUACUUGUAAGAAUUUAAAGGUUGUAGUUGCAGUUGUGGUUUUGUGCUAAAAGGUCUUUGCCUGGUUUUUCUACGCUUGUGACUUUAUGUAGGAAUUUCUUUGGCUUGUGUGGCUAUGAUUAGAGAUACACCUUGUGCUUGUUGUUGCCGGUGAAUUCUUUCGUAGUUGGAUUAACCUAGUGUGAUUAAUGUGCUUUUGUAUUUGUAUUAACUUUAUGGGGUUAUUUGUAUCGGGUCUUGUGGCUAACAGCCUUUAGUCUUGAAUUAUGAAUACGGUCUAUUGUCUUUCUCUAAAAAGCCAAAAACCUAGUUAAUUUUUCAAGAUGCAUAAAGAAUAUAUUAGUACAUUCUUCUAAUUUCUUAUUGAUUACCGGUCAUAACACACUUUUACGCUUGACAAUAUGUGAUCCAAAAUGACCAUAUGUUGUUAUUUGUAUACAACAAUAUCUUAUGCAGUACUUAAAUUAGCCUCCCCAACCCCCACCCAAAUUUUCAAACUCUUACGCAUGGAAAAUGAUCGAAAGUAGGAGUGGACACGGUCCAGUUCUCACCCAAAAUUGAAACUUAAAACGGCAUUCAUUUGGUCUUGUUCUUAGCUAAAUUGGCUCGGGAAAUCAAACCAAUCUGGACUUGUUUGGUUAUUGCCGAAGGUCUUCUCAUUAUGUCAAAACUGUUUGACUAUUUUCAAGGGGCUUCUCAUUCCGUCGUAAUUGUUUAACUAUUUUCGAGAGGCUUCUCAUUUUGCUGGAAUGGUUUAACUAUUUCUGUUGAGAAAUAUGUCCUCUCGGUAAUGUCAUUAUAUUUUCGAGGGCACAUGUGUUAUUGGUAUGUUCUUGGAAAAAGUUGGAAGGUCAAUUAAAAAAAAUUAAAUACUAUGUUGUUAGAGAAACUUUAUGUUAGUGACUAAUGAUUGUUAUCCAAUUAAAUAUGGAGGUAAUUUUUGGGCGUGUUUUCCUCGCCCCCGCUCUUUUUUUUGGACUGACUAGUAAUAAUUUUUUUAAAAUAUAUUUUUUUUAGGGGGCUUGAUAAGCUUAAUUGUGGGAAGAAUAGAAAUAAGUAUAAUUUCUUGUUUUAGUAAUAAUAUUAUUUGAACAAAUGCGAUUGUCAUAAAACCAAGAAGCUAAUUAAUUCUUUGAUAAUAAAUAUUUAAAAAGCUAAGUAAUUAUUUCCUCUCACAAAAGGAAAAAUAAUUGAAUUUGUUAACAUGGUGAGAUGGGAAACAAGACUUUUGACUUCAUGCCUUGGGAUGUCUUUUUUUUAUGCGAUCAUGCCUUGGUAUGUCGCAAUAAUCAAAAGUAUAUUUUCUUUUAUACAACCAAUUUCAAAUGGGUAAACAAGGAGAACAAGCUAAUGGCCAAUAAAUAUAUAAUAUAAUCCAACAACAAAUUGGUUUCCAAUAUAGUCAUGUCAAUAACCUACUUUGGUUGUAAAAUCUCUGCAUUGGACUUGCAAAAUUGCAACUUUUAGACAUCCAAUAGAUAAAGUAAAAUUAGUAAAGGUUAACUAGUGAUUUGUCCCAUGAACUUGUACCUAGCUUUCGAUUCACUCCUAUCUUUUUUUAUUUAUUUAUAAAAAAUUAAGGAUAUGAACCUUUUUUAUUCUCCAAUUUCCCCCCUAUCGUCUAAAUCCUCAAUAUGUCAUCCCAUUUUCAAUUAAAUCAUUUUUAAAAAAAUUAUUUUUUGGAAAAAUUUGAAGAAAAAGAGGAAAAUUGACCCAAAAAGAAGAAGAAGAAAAUACACUUAACCAAACCUAUCGCCAACCCCCCUCCCCCAACUCUAUCUCCUCCAGCACCCUAUCAACCCCUCAUCGUCCCCCCGCUUCCUCCUAUCCCCACGUGAGGUCCAUCCUCAGCCCCGGUUGAAACCCAUCCCUAGCCCUUGCCACCAAGACCUAGACCCAUCCUCUUCCCCAACCUUGCCCCCAAGGUGCAUACCCAUCAUAUGCCCCAGCAAUGCCCUCUUGAGAUCCAACCCUAGACCCAGACUCAUCCCUUUCCUCCUCUUGGACGGCGGCAACUUACCUACCCCCACCCAUAGAAUCCAGCCUGAACCCUCCUUCCCUCCAACCCGAAGAACCCAGUCCUCCUUCCCUUUCCGUCUCCUCCCUUGCUCCUCAUUCUCCUCCUCUUUCCUUCUGUCCCCUUCCAUUUCCCCCACCCUGCCCCUCUGAUCUCUUUGUCACCACCCUUAAAUAUAUAUAUAUAUAUAUAUAUAUAUAUCUAUCCAUGUUCUCUCUCCCCAGCCGAGACCCAUACCAAGUGAGAUCCACCCCUAGACCAUCGCCCAACGCCACCAUACAACCACCCCCAUCCCCAAGCAAGGUCCACCCCCAGCUGAGACCCAUCCCCUAACCUUUGCCCCCCAAAAUCCAGACCUAGACCCAUCCCUCACCUCUCUCUCCUCAUCCCCCCGGCGGUGGCAAUAGAUCCCUCCUCCAACCCCCCACCCACAGAACCCAGUUUGCACCUAAAAGAGAGAGAGAGAGAGAGAGUAUUUCAAUUUUAUGUUUUUUAUAUAUUUAUUUUCCAUUUAUUAUUUAUUUUAAAUGUGCAAAAUGACCAUUUUGACCUCAUAUUUAAUGGAAAAUUGGAUGAAAUGUUGCGGAUUUAGAUGGAAGGGAGAAAUUGGCAGGAAAAAAAAAUUUAUAUCCUUAAUUUUCUUAAAAAACACAAGGAUAUGGGUAAAUCAAAAUUUAAGUACAAGUUCAGGGGGCAAAUCACCAGUUAACCCAAUUAGUAAUGUAUUAAGGCAUCUUGUAGACUUGUAAACAAAUCGAAUUUUGAUUGACUAGCCUAAUUCGAAUUAACGUAUUUAACAUGCCAAUCCAUAUCCAAUGAGAAACAUACAAGUUUAUCUGAUUUUUGAUCAAUCAAUGGUUAUUUUAGAUUCUCAAAUACUAUUGCACUUAUGAAAGUUUGUAGAUCGUUACCUUAAAAAAGAAUUGAUUGAUAAAGAUAUCGAAUUAUCAAAUAACAUAAAAUAGUUUGAUUUCCCCCAUCAUCAUAUUAUAAAAAUUAAGUGAAAUUAGUAAUGUAAACAAAUUGGAUUUGGAUUACAUUCGCCUAGUGCAAUACCAUAUCAAAUUUGGAUUGUAUUUGAAUUAUCAUAUUUAACACGUCAAUGGUUUGUCUAAAUUCUCAAAUGCUCUUUGACGCUGAACAUAAAGCGGAACUUGUAGACAUUGAAUCCGCCCUACACAAAUCGAACUAUCAAAUAGUAUAAUAGUUCGAUUCUUUUAAUUGACAUGUCUAUCCAUAUCAAAUGAUAAUCAUUCAAGUUCAUUCGGUUUUGAUCUAUUAAAAUGGUUUCUUUAGAUUAUUAUAAAAGUAAAAAUAAACGUAUAAAACAAAAACUUUUUCUUAUUUUCUAUAAAAUCAAUUUAUGUAUAUAACAAAAUAUAUGUUUAAAAAAGUAUGCAAUUCAACUCCCGCCUAAAAAAAAGGCGGGGAAAGCCUAAAUUUCCGCUCAAGCCUCUCUUUUCCUUUGGGUGUUUUGCCAACCCUAACACUCCAUAUACGGUAUCAGUCUUCAGCAAAAGCACAAAAAGAAAAAAAAAAAAAAACCUCCAUAUGUCUUCAACAACAGCAGUAAAGAAGCGCAUACCGAUAACCCAGCCAAUAGACUACUGCUCUCUUCUUUUUCUUUUUCCAUACAAUUAGUUGUUUUCUUAUUUGGUUACUUGUUGUCUAUGAGUGUAAGGUGAAUCUUUGAAUUCUCUGUAUGCUUGUGGAUUGUUUUUGGUGUUUAAAGAAUAUGUUCCUAUUCUUUGGUUCUGAAUUCUCUUUGCUUUUAUAUUGUUUUAGAUAUGUUAUUCUUUAUCAAUCCAAAACUGUUCUUUUUGCUUUUUGGUGAAUGACGUUGGAUUCCUAUACGAAUUUGUCAUACUAUUAUAUAUUGUUAAUGGCUUUGUAAAUCUGAAAUUUUUUAUUUUUUUUCCUUUUUGGAUAAAUCAAUUUUUCAAGUACUAUAUGUGGUUUCUAUGUUUUUUUUUUAGUAUGACCUUGGUACUCUUUGAUAAUAAAUGGCAGUUAUGGCAAAAAAGAGAACGGACAAUAAUAAAGCAUCACAUGAUCGCGAAAUGCAAGAGACAAAUCAAGAAUGUAUGAGUUAUUUGCUUGUAAUUAUCGAUGAAAUUCUUACUAUUAUUAUUUUUAUAGAGUUUAGUUGCCAUUAUAUAAGUUCUCAAAUUUUCAAUUAUGUUUUGUCUUUGUAUUUCUGUUACAAAUGAUAGUUAUGAAAAGAAAGGGAAAGAGUCAAGAUAGGUUGCAUUCGAACUACAUAUUAAAUUGUGAUAUUCUGAUUGGCUGUCCGAAUUAAGAAAUAGCAUUUUUGAGAAGUACAUGACUACUGGUAAGAGAUACACUCACUGACCAUCAAGGAUAUCUCAAGAAAUUUGGUGUGAAAUGGUUGAUUAUUGGUUGCCUCCUAAAUAAGGGAAAACAACUCAAAUACUUCGAAAUUUAUUCAGAUGCCUCAUAUAUAGUUGGUUGAUCCUUUUUAUUUUGCUACAUAUAAGUAUUCUGAAUUUCAAUGUUUGGAAUAUUUGCUGGUUGGUUAUAUGUUUUAAGGAUGAUGGGGAUUGUUUAUGUUUUAACUAUCUAUGAAUAAUUUUAUUUGUAUGCGUAAAAUUUUAGUAUAGUAUGGUGUCAUAUUAUUUUUUUUCUUUUGUACCAAUUAAUUACUGAUUAUUAGAAACUAUUUCUAACAAAUAUUGUAAUUUGAAUUUUUUUUAAUAAAAUAAUUACUUUUUUCAACCACAUUUCCCUCUCGAUAAUGCAUAUUUCCAAGAAACACUUCAUCAUUGGAAAUACUUUCCAACAACAUUACUCACGACAAAAAUGGAUCGGAAAAUUUUACAUUUCCAACUACUUAUUGGUCCAAAAUAUUUUCUGAUAAGAUUAAUCUAUUUUUAACAAACUUUCCGACGACUAAAUUAGAAGGGAACCACCGUAGUAAAUGCAAAUCAAUGCCCCAUCUCCAGCAAUCUUGCCGCCGCCAAAUAAGGCUCUUCUAGUAACUCCACAGUCAAUGCAAAUCAAUGCUCCAUCUCCAACAAUCUUGCUACUACCAAAUAAAGCUCUUCCAGCAACUCCAUCUUCAACUCCUCAUAAUCAAUCAAGGGCUUCCCUUCCUAAUCUAUCUUUAUGUUGACUUUGUAUAUUACCUCUAAUUGAUUUUGUAUUCAAUCACAUAUCUACUUACUCUAGUUAGCAUCAUCAACUCAGUUAUAAUCGUGUACUGCUCAUUGUAUUGAUCAUCGAGUAAAUACAAAAACCUCCUUCCAAUACAAUUAUUUACAUAAAUGUGGUUGGAAAUAUGUAUUUCCAACACAACUUACCCAUCGGAAAUAUUUUAUUAUACUAAUUUUAAACGAGAUAUUAUAUAUUUCCCACAACCUCUUUCGGUCAGUAAGGCUAAUUGCGAAGAAAUAUAGCCCUCGUAAAAAAUUAUAUCAUUGCUGGAAAAACUAUUUUCGACAACAAUUAUUGGUCGAAAAUAUGAAUUUGCAAAAACAAGAAAUCUCGGUCAAAAACUAUUUAUGACAGUUAUAUAAAUAUUUGCGGCUACCUUUAUGGGUCGAAAAUAAAGUUGCAUAGUAGUUUUGAAAGCUCAUUGCUGACAGACAUUUAAUCAAUAACGAUGGUCAGGAAAGAAGUAUUUCCAACCAGACAAUUACCGAUGACUUUCGAAGGAAGUUUGUAGUUGUAAAAGCGUAUUUCCGACGAAAAAAUGCCUUUACAGACCACAAAGUGCCCUCACUAAAGGCAUUUGGUUUUGUAGUGACUCACCAUUAAUAAAGUAUGUCAUUAUCACCAUGUAGUUUGUGUUUUGAACACUUAUCCAAGUGUUCGUUGUAAGGCAUACUCUAUAUGGUGUUAAAUCUCCCUUCAAUAUUUAUUUCAUGGCAUCACACAUGGUCAUAAAAUACCUCACAAGUGUCCUACGAUAUGACACUUGGAAAUGGGGGUUUAACGAAUCACAAAACUUCCUAAGCCUUCUAUGGCUCGUUGAUGUAAAAGCCCCAAAUGCUUGGUCGAAAUACAAAGUCCUUUGCUUUUUAUCCUUACCAACCAUCCCCAAGUACUUCUUACAUUAAGACUAAAUAUGCUUUCUUAAAUUUGAAGUCCCAUUUAAAAUGGGGCCAGCGACAUAAUGACGGGAGCAAUUUUUGCUACUAGCUCUCUUUUUAGAGAUUGAAGAUUUGGUCUCAUAUUCCUUGACAAACUCUACUACAUCCUCAUACUUCUCAAAGUGAUCCCAACAUUCGAUUUUUCUUUGAUUGAUUUUCUCCCUCCAGAAGGAGGUAAUGGUAGAAAACCACUAGGUUAAGGUGGUGUUUGUUCUUGAGGUUGUUGAGUUGGUAUUGGGACUGAGGUGCAAGAUUAGGUAUAGUAGGUGACAGUGAUGAUGCGUGUGCAAGUAACAUAUUGAAAGCAACCCACCACACUAAGAAAUUAUUAAGGAUCAUACAAAGAAUCACCAUUCAGAGCACUUAAACGGUGACCCCACGACGAAUGUGGAGACAAGCUUAGAUUUCUGCAUGAGAGUUUGACGUAAGAGAUCUGAAGUGUAUUUUGUUUGAGUCGAAGACAAACUAAAUAAGGACUACUGAAGUUCCGUGCCUAAACAAUAAUUAGCCUGAAUCAAAUCUUUUAUGGAGAAGAGGCGUUGUAAGUCAAAAAUAAGAGAAGUAAAAUACUUGGAAUCAUUAGUGUAAUUUGAAUGUCAUCCACAUAGAUUAGUAAAUAAAUCUGAUUCGCUAAGAGAGGCGAUGAAGCCCAAAUGUUCCAAAUGUGAAGAAAAUUAGUGAAACCAAGUGCACAAGCUUGUUUAGGCCUAUCCAAAUAGCGGUGCAACUUACUAACAUGGUAAGGAAAUUGAGAGUCAGCAAACAUGGUCAAAAAUUAGAAAAGUCAUUUUCUCAGAAUCAAUAGUAGGUCCCAUUAUAUUUUAUUGUAUUAAUUAUAACAAACCACUUAAAAAUUUAAUGGUCUUCAAUCAUAUAAACCUAACGCAGCAAACAAUUUGAUUUUUACACAUGUGCAUGCCUGUGAACUUGUGUCAUAAACCAAGAGGAGAAGAAUUUAGUGUCUUACUGAAGAGCACUAGUUGCGACCUUAGGAACAAACUUUGUCAUAGCCACAGCUACUAGCCCAAUUCUGUGAAUAGAGUAAAAAAAUCAAAGAUUUGGAAUGAUAGUCGAUCAGUGUGAAACUGAGAAAAAAAUAAGGAAAUAAAAGAAAACUUGAUAUGCUUGUUCUAACUAUGUAUAGACCAUCUUCCAAUCCCACAGCUUAACAUCCAUCUACAUAUAUAGUACCUUGUUGGAUGAAGUUCAUGUGGCAUGUCUAUAUUUCUAAUCAUGUUUCUCUUAGAGCAAUUACUUCAAGGGUGUCAACUAGCACUACUGGGAUUGAAAGCAAGAAAGCAAAAAAGAAACUAACAGAGGUUCAAUUUAGCACAAAUUUGAAACACCUAAUGGGGGCAAAAAGCAAAAAAGUAACUAACAAACAUAUUGAUUAAUUUUUGUGAAAUAUAUUAAAUAAUUUCGAUAUGACACCUUAUCAAGCACAAUGACCAAUGAGAUACAACUUUUCAAACACGUGUAUAACAAUAUUGUAUAGAGAUAUAAAAGGUCAUGAUGUUCGUUCCGUAAUUGGAGUGGUUGGUGUACUGCAUAGUUUUAGCUAUUGGAUUUCACUAAAAACUUACCAAAUGACUCUUCCCACCAUAUUAUGAUGUUGACCAAGUUUUGGGCUCAAUCCGAUAUUGAUUGAACCAAGAAAUUGGACAAUUCAAGUUUGUACGAAGUUUGUUCCGUAAAUAGAGUGGUUGGUGUAUUGCAUAGUUUUAGCGAUUGGAUCUCACUCAAAACUCACCAAAUGACUCCUCCCACCAUAUUAUGAUGUUGACCAAGUUUUGGGCUCAAUCCGAUAUUGAUUGGCCAAUGAAAUUGGACACUUCAAGUUCAUACGAGGUUCAUUCCGUAAAUGGAUUGGUUGGUAUAUUGCAUAGUUUUAGUGAUUGGAUUUCACUCAAAACACACCAAUUCACUCCUCCCACCAUAUUAUGACGUGAUGAAUUUAUUGAAAGAAAGGUAGUUGCUUUAGUCGUUAGUUUGACAUAUUUGAGUGAAAGAAGUGUUUCUACUAAAUUACUCUCAAAAGCUUGAGUGUGAUUCAAUGGGUAGCCUAAGAUACGUUCUAAAUACUCAGGAUAUAUAGGGCCUAUCUUGUACUGUCUAACCCAUACAAGAUUUAAUGAGUGACAUUAAUGAAGAAUGUUUCUUUACUGUUCAAAUAACAGUAGUUCAUGAGAAUCAAAAAGUACCCUUCCAAUCCUAUCACAAAGUUGAGAUACGUCGUUGGUUUCAGAACUAAUGUCGGUCAAUUGCUUUAUUGUAUCCCAUAAAGCUUACCAUUUCUUUGUAAGUGGUAUAGCAUUCUCAAUGGUCAUUGGUUGCUCUAGCCUUCCCUUCUAUUUAAGGCCGAGAAGAAUUGAGUAUUCAUGUAUUUAGCCUUCCAUUUUAUUCGAGGCAUACAAGAACUGAGAAUGUUUUGCCUCAAAAAUCAUAUGCUAAAUUCACAAUAUUUCCAUAAAAGAAAUAUGGAGGUUUAGCCACCAUUCGAUUCACUCUUGAAAGGAUUGCUUUUGAAAAGUUCUCGCAUUUCAACAUUACCAAUUUUAGUGUCACCUUUUUCUUACAUCCAUGUUGGGUCAAGUAAAGAGCUUGAAUCAUCAACAUACUCUUGUUUUGGCCUUUUCCUUUUACGUCUUUCUUUGAAAACAGCAUGUCUGAAUGCCCUGAAUUGACAAAUAAUGGUUAGAACAACAUUUGAAUCAUCAUCAUUAUACUUUUGUUCAGACCUUUCCCCUAAAUAUUUGUUUGCUAAGUUACAAUCCCUUGAUUGAGAAAUUAUAUGUGGAUGGAACACCCCACUUUCAACUUUAAUUGAAUCAUACAAUCUUGUAGCAAAAAACUUGGACUUCGCUCUAGUGUGUGAAUUGUUUAAAUGGGCCGAGUACUACACUAGAUAUCAAGCAUAUCACAAAGUUGAGAUAUGUCAUUGGUUUCAGAAUUGAUGUCAGUAAAUUGCUUCCUUGUAUCCCACGAAGACCAUCAUUUCUUUGUAUGUGGUAUUGCAUCCUCAACGGUCAUUUGUGGCAACAGAAAAAUAUGAGACAUGUUCUCAGUUGGGAGAUUGUGUACAUACCCUUUUAUUCAAGACAUUAAAAGAAGUGAGUAUUCAUGUAUUCAGGCUCCAGUCCAUACAUGAACUGAGAAAUUUGUCUUGGAAUCAAUACUAAAUUCACAAUAUUUCCAUAAAAACAACUAUGGGGUUUAGUUGUCAUUUGAUUCACACUAUUGAAAUGAUUGCUUUUGAAGAUUUUUAGCAUUCCAACAUUGCUAAUUGUAGAGUCAAAUUUUUCUUCCAUCCAUGUUCGGUCAGGGAAAGAGCUUAAAUCAUCAACAUACUCUUGUUUUGGCCUUUCUCCUUUACAUUUUGCUUCAAAAGCAGUAUGUCUGAAUACCAUGAACUAAGGAGUAAUAGUUGGAGCAUUAUUUGAAUUAGCAUCAUUAUACUCUUGCUUGGCCUCUUCCCUAAAAAUUGUUUGGUAAGUUGCAAUCCUUGAUUGAGAAAUUGUAUGUGGAUGAAACUUACACUUUAAACUUUAUGAUUUUGUAGAACAAAAACCUGGAACUCACUCUAGUGUGCGAAUGGUUUGAAUCAGCCGAAUAGUAUACUCUAGAUACAUUAUUCCAUACAUUAGUAAACGAAUCUAAAUAAUGAAUGAGAAGACUACACAUAUUUAUAAAUUACUAUGAAUUAGAGAAGCAACAACUUACUUGUAAGAAUAAAUUAGUAUAAAACAAUACAUAAAAAUAAUUAAACAUAUGUUCUGAAAUCUUCCCUAACAUAGCCCAUAAAAACAUCCCUUGAAAAAACAACUAAACAUUUUGACUACCAACACAUAAUAAUCAAAUAUACUAACUUAACAUAAGCUACCCAAUAGUGUGUUAAAUAGAAGACAAUGCCUAACAACACUAGAAUCCAUCAAACUCCACAAAGCUUGCAUAUCUUCACUCAUUAGAUACUCAUGUUACGCGUGCCAACAUUACAGACACUGUCAAUUGGGGGUUGGAUAACAAAGAUUUGAUUGGAUGCAAUGAACUAAUCAAAUCCCAAUCAGCACAUUGCGUGGGCUCCUGACAUUAGACCUUGUACUGAUACCAGAACAUUGUUGUUAUCCAUUAGAGUCACAGUUACACCAAGGUCGUGGAAUCCUUGGAUCACCAAGUCUCUCCUCUCUAGUAGUUUACGCUACACAACAUUAGCAUUGUUGGACGCUAUGAGGGGCAAAAUUUUUUGCUCUCCCCAAAUAACAGCAUUACUUGGACGUAGAGUCAUGAUAAAAACAAACAUAGAUAUAUACUCUUCAAACCAAAAAGUAUGAAAAAGUGAUAGAAUAAGGGAUAGAAAGAGUGAGCUGAUGGAAAAAGUAGUUACACUGCAUGAGGGAUAGGGUUCACAGUGUUCUGGCCAAAUAUGAAUUUAGCGAAGAUGUGGCCGGAAGAUGCUAUCACACUAGCAAACAUAAUGGUGUCGAAGAGGUGCAUGUACUCUUUCACUAUAUCCUCAACUGUUGAUGCUGGAUGCAAAACAAGUGUUAUGUUGCAGAGUGAGAGUGGGGAUAAAAAAGAGAUUAUGAGAGAAGAUGUGUGUGUAGUGCGCUUUGAGAUAAAGAGUGCAAGAGAAUUUGAGAGUAUUCCAUUAAAAAUACAUAUACUGUCAAUAAUAUGGUCAUAACAAAAAUUAAACUAGUCAUAAACAAGUAAUCAUAUACAUUUUUAAGUAAAUGAACUUAUUAAACUUGCAGCUAUAUAAUUUCUCAAUGUCUGCAUUUCUUGUGUCACAGAACCAUCUUCUUGUUGUGCAUCAACCUCUCUCUCAAUCUCUUCACACCUAAAACCAUUUGGAGGUUUACAAAAUUUAAUUGUAUUCACAAUGUAAAAAACUAAAUUAUAAAUUAUAUGAAUUUUUUUCUUUAGAUAGAAAUAGUACCAUUUGGAAGUUUAGGAAAAUUCAAACUUUGAUCACGUAAAUCCAAUAGAAAUAUCCUUAUGUCAUGGACCGUGUCUUCCCAUCUGGCACAUGCAAAUAUAAAUUGCAUGCAGCCAUCACAUUUUGGUUAGGUAUCCCCUUUCUACCAAUAAAUGCUAUUUAAUUAGAAGGAGAUACUAUAACUUGCACAUGAACACCAUCUAUAGCACCCACACAAUCCUACAAGUGAUAGAAAGAAAAACAUAAAAUUAAGGACUAACGAUAAAAAGACACCCUGCAGGUUUGGGGUGGUUCUCAAUUGGAACCCAGGGUAUCAAUUUUUUUAAUUUACACCUUUACGUUUGCAACAUCGUCCAAUUUCAUCCUUUCGUUAAGUUAACAGUGUGGUCAAUCGUUAAAUGCUGAGGUGUCUACUGUGAGACCUGCCCACUAACCAGUCAAUUCCUAAAUUUUUUUUAUAUAAAAUGAUAAAAUAACAUAAAGUUUUAAAAAACAUCGUCUUCCUUUCCCAGGCCAACAACCCCAACGCCCCAUGUUCACCCCCUCUGGCCCAGCACCCUCCUCCAUUUUCGAGCUCGAAGGUCUACAAGAUUGCUAGUCUGAAGUGACGGCUUUGGGACCCUGGUUCUUUUGCGCUCCAGAUCAGGACUGGUUUUUACUGUUAUUGGGUUUUGGUGUUCCAUCGCUGAGCCAACCCCAGAAAGAGAGAGCGAGGGAUGGGGUUUGGGGUUGGUGCAUUCAGAUCUACCAAUAAUAGUAACAAACGUAGAUGGAGAAGCAAGCAAACCUUUCUUGCAUUCAGAUUUAGGAACCGGUAUCGCCACUUGCAUUGAAUCCUGAAAACUAGCCGAACCCUCUUCAACUAUCACAGAGUCUUCCAUUUGCUUGUCCACCAAAUUAGAAUCAACCCUAUCUUUCACAACCAUCCAGAGUCUCUGUAGUAUCACAUACACCAAACCCAUAACCUAAAUUGCAAGCUUUGGUCUUUUCUAAUACCGAAAAGUGAGGAAAUUUCAUCUUGAUAUAAGGUUGACAAGGCAGUUACCAAACACAAACACAAAACUAAUCUAUCCAAUCCAGAAGAGAUUUGAGUUUGAAAAACUUGCAUCAGCCCCAGUAUCAUACUUGUUCAACUGAUCACACCUACAAAAUGACAAGGAGAUCACAAGUUUCAGACCACGAGCCGACGCAAAUUUAUUCAUCAGCCCUUCUCCAUCAGAGCAGUCUCCCUCUCUUCGUCCCGCUCUUUAUCUCUAUCCCACUCUCCUUCCAGCUCUCCAUCCUUAUCAAUAUAUACAAAUUAUGCUAGGAAGGAAGGAGGUCUGGAAGGAGAGGCCAAGUGAGAGAGUUGUGCUUGGAGGCUCGUUUUCUCGCAUAACGAUUAGCAGCCUCGAGGUGCACAUAGCCCAUUGGAGAGCGCGAUCAAUGAGCUUGGUCUGAUCGGCAUUCUAGCACCUAGACUCGAGAAGCCUCUCGAAGGAGAGGUCGAUGGCGAAGGGGGAUGAGGGAAUCGGAUAAUUCGAGAAAAUGGCAUGAGGGAGAAAAGGACGGAGUACGGCUGUGCGUCUGGUUUUUUUUUUUCUUUUAUAUUUAGUUUUUUGUUUAAUAUAUGUUAUUUUAUCAUUUUAUCUAAUAAAAAUUUGAGAAUUAAUUAGUAGGUGAGUCCUACAGUAGACACGUCAACAUUUAACGAGUGACCACAUGGUCAACUUAACGGAAUGAUAAAAUUAGACGAUGUUGCAAACGUAAGGGUGUAAAUUGAUAAAAUUGAUAUCCUGGGGUCCAUAUUAAGAACCACCCAUACCUGCAGGGUGUCUUUUAUCGUUACCCCUAAAAUUAAUUAUAACAUAAUAAAGCAUAGACAAAUAUUUAAGAGCAGUAAAUGCAAUANNNNNNNNNNNNNNNNNNNNNNNNNNNNNNNNNNNNNNNNNNNNNNNNNNNNNNNNNNNNNNNNNNNNNNNNNNNNNNNNNNNNNNNNNNNNNNNNNNNNNNNNNNNNNNNNNNNNNNNNNNNNNNNNNNNNNNNNNNNNNNNNNNNNNNNNNNNNNNNNNNNNNNNNNNNNNNNNNNNNNNNNNNNNNNNNNNNNNNNNNNNNNNNNNNNNNNNNNNNNNNNNNNNNNNNNNNNNNNNNNNNNNNNNNNNNNNNNNNNNNNNNNNNNNNNNNNNNNNNNNNNNNNNNNNNNNNNNNNNNNNNNNNNNNNNNNNNNNNNNNNNNNNNNNNNNNNNNNNNNNNNNNNNNNNNNNNNNNNNNNNNNNNNNNNNNNNNNNNNNNNNNNNNNNNNNNNNNNNNNNNNNNNNNNNNNNNNNNNNNNNNNNNNNNNNNNNNNNNNNNNNNNNNNNNNNNNNNNNNNNNNNNNNNNNNNNNNNNNNNNNNNNNNNNNNNNNNNNNNNNNNNNNNNNNNNNNNNNNNNNNNNNNNNNNNNNNNNNNNNNNNNNNNNNNNNNNNNNNNNNNNNNNNNNNNNNNNNNNNNNNNNNNNNNNNNNNNNNNNNNNNNNNNNNNNNNNNNNNNNNNNNNNNNNNNNNNNNNNNNNNNNNNNNNNNNNNNNNNNNNNNNNNNNNNNNNNNNNNNNNNNNNNNNNNNNNNNNNNNNNNNNNNNNNNNNNNNNNNNNNNNNNNNNNNNNNNNNNNNNNNNNNNNNNNNNNNNNNNNNNNNNNNNNNNNNNNNNNNNNNNNNNNNNNNNNNNNNNNNNNNNNNNNNNNNNNNNNNNNNNNNNNNNNNNNNNNNNNNNNNNNNNNNNNNNNNNNNNNNNNNNNNNNNNNNNNNNNNNNNNNNNNNNNNNNNNNNNNNNNNNNNNNNNNNNNNNNNNNNNNNNNNNNNNNNNNNNNNNNNNNNNNNNNNNNNNNNNNNNUUUAUACUAUAUGUAUAUAUAUUAUUUACAGAGAGCUUCCCAUUGAGGGAUCCCUCAAAUAAAUUUGAGGGACACUCCUUGUAGGCCCCACUCCGGAUUGUAUUUCACUAAUACAAACCUUCUAUUUUGUAGAUACUCAUUCAAAGAUCAUCUCUACAAAAAAUCACUUGAAUCCGAUAUCAUUUGACCACUCAAUUAAGUUAUUGAAAUUUUAGCAUUUUCUUGAAGCACCGUGUUCAUUGAUUUUGUAAGACACAAUUGGAUGUCGAAACGGUUUCCGAUUUGUCUAAUUUUUUGUAAGGAUGAUCUAUGAAUGAAGACCUAAAAGAUAGAUAGUUUGGAUCAUUGAGAAAAAAAUUGUAGGGUACCCUAAAGGGCGUCCCUCAAAUAAAAUUAUUUGAGGGAUCCCUCAAUAGAAGGGGAAGAACCAAAAAAAAAAAAAAUUCAAAUACCUAAAUUUUAUCUUGCCCCCAUUCCUCAAAUGCAUCAACAGUAUUCUUAGCGACAUUCCACUCAAGACCAGUUUCCUUCCCUUUUAGAUCUUUCCAUAAUUUCCAUUCUUUUUUUUAGUAAAUCCCUCUUGUUUUUCAAUUGUAAUUUUUCAUACGGUCUUCCGAUCUCUUUACUAAUAUUUGUAACCAACUUUGUCCAUCCAACUUUAUUAAAGUGAGUAACGGGACAAUUGCCUAGAUCCACCUCCUUGAUACAAAGGUCAAUGAAGAUGGCUAUAGUUUGAGCAUUCCACAAUGCUGACACGUUUUAAGAUCCACUUGCAACAUUUUCAGUUAUGGUGAAGUUACUAUUAUUCUUUGGCAUCUUAUUGCAAAGCACACAAGAAACUAAUGGGUCUACAAGUGAAUUACAAAACAAGCCAAACUAGCCACAACUCAAAUGCAAUGCAUAGAUGUUUAUCUAAUCUGAACAAUGCAUAGAUCUAUCUCAAAUGCAAGGAAAGGUAACUUAACUAACUGCUUACAAUCAUGGAUCAAAAAACAAGGCUAAUAGGGCAGGUUGUGUUAUAAUAUGUUGUUGUAUAAUUAUAAAGUAAAAUCUUUAUCAACAGUUCAAACUAGCAAAAUAUAUAUAUAUAUAUAUAUUCUAACAUCAGUUCAUCGCAGUAUUUAACAGUACAAUGUAAAGGAUAUUGUGCUAGCAGAACUAUGAAUACAACUUUACAGAUAAAAAUUAAAGAGAAAAUUUUCAUACCAUGAAAUAUGCAGGAAUUUUAAGAAUCACAUUCUUGAAUUGCUCAGGAGACAGACCCUAUCACAUAAUUAAAGUAAAAAUUGUGUAAGGCACAUUGUCAAAAGAAAUCUUGCCACAAACUAUAAUAAAGUCUAAAUUUAUAUAAUUCGGGAAUAAUCAUAAAAGGUUUUUGUUUUUGGCAGGAAUCAUUAAAGGUUUGCAAAAAAAUUAGUACAAAAAACAAAUCAUUUAGAAGCUUUUGGCAUACAAGAAAAGAAUCAAUCUUCCCUUAUUUUUGUGGAAGAAUAAAUAAUAAAGGGCACAACAAUGUCAUAUCUAACUAAGCAUUCAAAUAAGAAGCAUAAUUUGACAAGUAAAUGUAUUCCAGCAAUAAAAAUCCCCUAAACAGUGACCGCAUUUUGAAAAUUCUAGAAUAAACAUCUUAUAUAUAUAUAUAUAUAUAUAUAUAACACUAGAAUGACCAACUUUUAAGCCCAACUAAAAAAUCACAAACCUUAAGUGUAAUUUCAUUUGUAGACAAGAACUCACCUUUUCCUUUUGAUGGCUACCAAUUAGAAGAAGAUUACCAUCGAUAUUUAUACUUAUAACCACAACCUACAAUAUAUCAAAUCAAACUAACAUUAUAAUAGGGGAGAGAGAGAGAGAGAGAGAGAGAGAGAGAGAGAGAGAGAGAGAACAUUAAAUAGAACUGCACAAACAAGUUUCCAUGUGUACAACAAGCAAAACAGAUGUAACAUUAAAUAGAAACGUACAAACAAGUUUCCACAUGUACACCAAGCAAGUACCCUUUAAUAAAUGCCAAUUAGGAAAGAUUACGAUCUAUAUUUAUGCUUGUAAUCACAACCUAAGAUAGAUCAAAUUUACUAAUUAUAAUAAGAAACUGAGAGAGAGGCCAGGACAGAGACAGAUCUAACAUUAACUAGAAGUGCACAAUCAAGUCAGAUUUAUAGUACUUUUCUCUAGCUUAAUGAAACCUUAAAUAUUUUUUUUUUCUUUUCGACAUAAGUAUUUUUAGAUAGAUUAUGCGUCUAUUUUUUGGGUACUGAGUUUUGCCAUAUGAAGUACAAGUUCUCCAACCCUUCGUUUGGAUGAGGGAAAAUAACUAGGAAUUUAGCUAAAAGUAGGGAAUUUAAGAGAAGAAAUUGACAAUUCCUUUGUUUGGCAAGUUAAGCGCGUAAUUUAUUAAAUGACGCGUGAAAAAAAUGGUGGAAAUUGGAGCAUCAAAUUUUCGAGUUUAAUUUCCAUCAAAAUAGACAUCAUUUCACAAUUUCCAUAGUGACAUUUACAAAAUUUGACAUAUAUAAAUCCAAAUACUGAAAUCUUCAAUUGCCAGAAAUUGAAAUUCAUUCAUUUUAAAAUUCUAUGUAAUUUUUAAUUUCUUCAUCUAGACGGAGGGUAAAGUAUGCGUCAAAAUUUAACAUUUUCUUAUAAAAAAAAGGGAUUUUUUUUUUUUUUGGAGCUUUAGACUUUUAAAUAUUGCCCAUUCCUUGAAAAAUUCUUGGAUCCGCCAUUGUGGACAUCAAUUCGGCCAAACCGACUAAAUCGGCUGAUCUAAUCUGUAAUUAUCGAUUUGGUUUGGUUUUGAUUAAGAAAAAAUCAAACAGUUAAAAAUCUGAACCAAACCAUAUAUUAUUUAGUUUGAUUUAAUUUUGAGCUUUUAUAAAUCAGCAUAAACCGAACCAGACCGUCUACUUAUAUAUUUAUUUAUUUGUAUUUAAUUUUACACGUGUAGUCCUCUAAUUAGAAAAUAACUAGAUAUGAAUGUUGAAUUGUAACUAUAUUAGUUAUUGAAAUUUGAUGUUUUACGGUUUGUUGAGUUUUAGGAUGGUUUGAUGCUAGAAAAUGAAAAAGGUAUGUAGCAAGUUUUUUUUUUUUUUUUUUUUGGGUAAUUGGGCUAACAAUGUUGAAAAACUAGAAAAAAAAAAGAGAAUUGAACUUAAGCCAAAACUAGCCGAAGUAAAACAAAUCAAAUUGUUUUAAAUUAAUUUGGUUUUGCUAAAAUAUGAAAAUUAUGAGAGAAAUAUUUGUUUGUGGGAAUUUUCUGUGUAUUCUUCUCCUUGUAGGAGGUCAUAUUUAUAAUACAACGAAACCUGAAUGGGCAAGUAAAUAAUAAAUUCCUAAAUCUAUUUACAGUAGGAAAUCAGGAAUUAAAGUAAAUCAAUUACAAUUAUAAUAGGAAUUCUUGGUGUGUAAGGAAAGUAAGUCAAUAUCCACAAGUCACGCCAACACUCCCCCUCACGUUGGUGCAUAGAUGUCGCCAAUGCCCAACUGAUCCAGUGAAUUGUGGAAUGCUUUACUGGAAAUCGCCUUUGUCAAAAUAUCCGCCAAUUGAUCUUCGGAUUUCACAAAAGGAAACUGAAACAUUUUAGCCUCAAGCUUCUGUUUGAUGAAGUGUCGAUCUACCUCAACAUGUUUAGUACGAUCAUGCUGAACCGGAUUCUGUGCAAUGGCUAUAGCAGCCUUGUUGUCACAAAAGAGAUUCAUUGUGGAUGUAGGUUUAUACCCGAGUUCAAUAAGCAACUUUCUUAACCAAAGAAGUUCACAAAUCCCUUUAGUCAUGCCUCUGAACUCGGCUUCUGCACUGGAUAAAGCUACUACAUUUUGUUUCUUGCUCCUCCAUGUCACCAAAUUACCUCCCACGAAUGUGAAGUAACCCGAUGUGGAUUUUCUAUCUGUUACAUUACCUGCCCAAUCUGCAUCUGAAUAACCAUCAAUAUUUGGAUGACCAUGCUUUGAGAACAUAAGUCCUUUUCCAGGUGCAGACUUCAAAUAUCUAAGUAUCCGAAGAACUGCAUUCAUGUGGUCUUCACUUGGAGAGUGCAUAAAUUGACUGACAACGCUCACCGCAUAAGCAAUGUCUGGUCGAGUAUGUGACAAAUAGAUCAAUCUUCCCACUAACCUUUGGUAUCUUUCUUUGUUAGUUGGAACUUGAUCCGGAUAUUCUCCAAGAUGAUGAUUCUGAACAAUAGGAGUGUCCGCAGGUUUACAAUCUAGCAUUCCUGUGUCUGUCAACAAGUCUAAGACAUAUUUCCUUUGAGAGAGAAAUAUGCCUUGCUGCGAUCGAGCCACCUCAAUUCCCAAGAAAUACUUGAGUCCACCUAGAUCCUUCAUCUCAAACUCCGUAGCCAGAUAGUCUUGUAGCUGUGAUAUUUCCUGUUUAUCAUUCCCAGUAAUAAUCAUAUCAUCAACAUAGAUUAUUAAUGCUGUUACCUUCCCUUUUUGAUGUUUCAAGAACAGAGUAUGAUCUGAGUUGCACUGUUUGAAACCAUUGUUCUUCAUUGCCAUGGUGAACCGUCCAAACCAUGCACGUGGUGACUGUUUCAAUCCAUACAAUGCUUUUCGUAACCUGCAAACUGUUCCAGUCUGAGUAGUAUUAUAUCCAGGAGGAAUAUCCAUGUACACCUCCUCUGUGAGUUCACCAUGUAGAAAAGCAUUCUUUACAUCAAACUGGUGUAGUGGCCAAUCCAAAUUAGCUGCAAGGGACAAUAAGACUCUGACGGUGUUUAACUUUGCAACUGGUGCAAAAGUUUCUUCAUAGUCUAUACCAUAGGUCUGUGUGUACCCUUUUGCCACAAGUCUUGCCUUGUAUCGCUCGAUAGAUCCAUCUGCAUUGUGUUUUAUAGUAAACACCCAUCUACAUCCGAUAGUCUUUUUUCCUCGUGGUAUAGUCUCUAAUGUCCAAGUCUGAUUUUUCUCAAGAGCUUUCAUCUCCUCUUUUAUAGCUUGGACCCACUUAGGAUCUUUCAAUGCUUCAGAAACCUUGGUUGGAAUAUGGAUAGCAGACAACUGAUGCACAAAAGCCUUGAGUGGUUCAGACAGCUUCUCAGUGGAUACAUGAUUUGCAAUUGGAUACUUGGAUGUCUUGCCAAUAUCCGGUGAAUAACGGUUUGGUGGCUUCCCACGAUUUUGCCUGAAAGGUAAUUGAUAUCCAAUAGUUUUAUCAUCUAAAUGCACAAGUCUAGUAGGAGUAGUUACCUCAAGGAUAUUCUCAGGAGAUUGGUCUGUUGGUACUGUUGAGUUAGAAGGGGGGUCUUCAUCUUGUUGUUUUGUAUUGUCUGUAGGUGUGGGACUCAGAUAAGAAAUAUCUUCGCAUGGAUCAGGUGGGUCAGGCAAUUGAUCGCUAUGAAUGGGCGAUUGGUCACUUUUCAACAGAGAGUAAUCUCGUGCUCCAGACUCGGGAUGAUCAAUCAUUUCUGUACAUGGGAGAAUUUCUUUGUUUGCCAAGUUGCUCCAAUUCUGUUCUUCACUUCGUAUCUCCCCCUGAAGCGCAGAAUUGGAUGAUGGGUCAUGAAAGAACAGCUCAGAUUCCAGAAAAGUCACAUCCAAAGUGACAUAGGUUCGUUGGGUAGGAGGGUGAUAACAGCGGUAACCUUUCUGAUGAGUGGCAUAACCCACAAAAACACAACGAAGCGCACAGGGAUCAAGUUUGCUACGUUGAUUUUUGUGGAGAUGAACGAAAGCCACGCAUCCAAAGAUUCGGGGUGUGAGUACCAAAACAGAGGGUAGAGGUCUGUGUUGCGCAAGCACCUGUAAAGGAGUUUUAAAGGUCAAUACACCAGAAGGCAUGCGGUUGAUCAGGUGAACUGCAGUGACAAUAGCAUCAUCCCAGUGAUGGCGAGGAACAUGAGCGCCAAUCAGAAGUGCUCGGGCGGUUUCAAGAAGAUGUCGAUUCUUUCGUUCAGCAACACCAUUUUGUUGCGGUGUCUGAGGACAAGUCGUCUCAUGGAUAAUUCCAUGUUGUUGGAAGUAAGUCUGAAAGUCAUGAUUGACAAAUUCUCCACCAUUGUCGGAGCGAAGAAUCUGGAUUUGAGCAUUAAAUUGAGUUUUCAUCUGUUUGUGGAAGGACUGAAAACGGGAAAACACCUCGUUUUUAUUCUUCAGCAAAUAAAGCCAUGUCAUCCGUGUACAAUCAUCGAUGAAUGUGACAAACCAUCGAACACCAGAAGGAGCAGUGAUAGGCGAAGGUCCCCAGACAUCAGAGUGAAUUAAUGUAAAUGGAGUAGUACACUUGUUCGUACUCAACGGGUAGGGCACACGGUGACUCUUGGUCAAAAUACAAGUAUCACAUGUGAAGUCGGAGUCUUUGAAACCUGAGAAUAAAUCUGGUAUAAGAUGCUUCAUAUAACUAAAAGACGGAUGUCCCAAUCGACGAUGCCACAACCAAAUUUGCUUUUGUUUGCUAUCAAAGGAAUGUGUCACACUGUUAGCCACGCCGGGACUGAAGUCAUCGACAUAAUAUAGCCCCCCUCUCUUAGUACCACGACCAAGAAUCUCCUUAGUGUGAAUAUCCUGAAGCAAACAAAAACUCGGGUAAAUGAGUACACAACAAUUCAAUUGUUCAGUAAGCUGACUAACUGACAACAAUUUAGUGGAUAAAGAUGGAACAAGUAAAGUAUUAGACAGUGUGAGAGAGGAUGAGAGUGCAACAGUGCCAGCCCCUGUCACAGGAUAAGUAACACCAUUGGCAUUUGCAAUACAGGUUCGUCGAGGUUGUGUAGUAUUCAGAAAAUCAUCAGGAUCAAAUGUCAUAUGAUCAGUUGCACCAGAAUCAAUUAUCCAACUCUUGGAAUCAAUCUUAUCGGAAGUAUGGAAUCCAUAACCAGUACCAUUACUGGUCAUAUUGCAUUGUCCUCGAUCUGUAAGAGUAGCCCACCAAUCGGGGUAGCCAUGCGAUGUAAAACAAGUCUCACAAGUGUGUCUCGGAUCACCACAAUAUGCGCAAUUUGGUCCAUGUGUCGGGGUCGUUAGUCUAGAAGUCAUAAGCUGUGCAGCAGAAGAAGCAUAGGAUACAGGUUGAGUAGGAAUUUGGAUCGGAAUCUGAGCAUGAGUCGGGGCCGGAGUCGGAGUCGAAAUCGGAAUCGGGGUCUGAAUCAUAGACAAAUUCGAGGUUGGGGUCAUCAUCGGAGUAGGGGUCGUGGUCGUCUUCGGAGUCGGGGUCAGGGUCGUCGUCGUCAUAGUCGGGGUCGGGGUCGGGGUCGUCAAAAGAGGAUCCUGAUUUUGGAUCGGGGUCUGAAUCAUAGACAAAUUCGAGGUUGGGGUCAUCAUCGGAGUGCGGGUCGGGGUCGUCUUCGGAGUCGGGGUCGGGGUCGUCGUCGUCAUAGUCGGGGUCGGGGUCGUCGUCGUCAAAAAAGGAUCCUGAUUCUGGAUCGGGUUCGGGGUCAAAGUCUGCAUCUGUAGGGGCGGAGCCAUCUGGGCACUCAACUCAACGAUGGUUGGUUGAGGAUGAGAGAAGGAGUCGGUGGUGCUACCUCCAUGAGGGUUGAAAAAAUCAUCAACCCUCAUAGCGGCGGCGGAGUUUUGAAACUAGAGUCAGCAAUUCCAAGAUCGCCGCUCUGAUACCAUGCUAAAAUAUGAAAAUUAUGAGAGAAAUAUUUGUUUGUGGGAAUUUUCUGUGUAUUCUUCUCCUUGUAGGAGGUCAUAUUUAUAAUACAACGAAACCUGAAUGGGCAAGUAAAUAAUAAAUUCCUAAAUCUAUUUACAGUAGGAAAUCAGGAAUUAAAGUAAAUCAAUUACAAUUAUAAUAGCAAUUCUUGGUGUGUAAGGAAAGUAAGUCAAUAUCCACAAGUCACGCCAACAGGUUUGAUUCUGUUUCCUCCAUGAGUAUUAUCAAAAUUCAACUAAUUAAAUUAUUAUAUUAUAAUUAGUUUGACGACGGUUUUAAAAUAAAACCGAUUCAAUUUGGACCGUGACGGCCCUCUCCUAAGAAAACCUAUCCAUUAACGAAAACUGAAAAGUGGCUCAAACAGUGGGACCAAAGUUGUAAUUCUGCCUUUUGCAAUUCCCACUGCCGUUUUCCAAGUCGUCAGCCACACUCCACCCUGCAACUGUUUCUCUCUCUCUCUCCCCCUCUUUAUACCGGUCGACUUCGAAAGCCAAAACCCACAAAAGAAAAAAAAAAGAUUUCUCAUUUCACAGCCAUGGCUUCCUCAACCGACCUGAAGAAAAUACUAGGUGACCUCAACAAGGAAUCCUUCAUAUCCCUUCUCUCCAAGCUCAUUGGGGAGUCCAAGUACCUCCAAAACAACCCACCCGAACUGAUCCCUCAGGAGGACCGAGCGGUCAAGCACGUGCUUGAUUCCCUCCUGCCCCUAAGCACCACCACUGGCGGUGGACCCUUGGUGAUCAACCAUGUAACCUACUUUCCUGGCAGAGGAAACGUUAUUGUAGAAUACCCAGGAACUGUGCCUGGGAAGACCUUGUCCUUUGUGGGGUGUCACAUGGACGUGGUCACUGCAAAUCCUAAUGACUGGGUUUGUUUCUUAUAUCUAAUCUUUGGCUUUUGCUCUGUUCUUGUUAUCUUGGGUUGGCUUGUAUUCGUUCAAGAACAUUAGAGUUUGGCAGUCUAUCUUCAACAUAUAAAUAGCUGUUCAAUUCAAUUUGUAUUUUUGUUGAUUGUGCCUGUAUGCUGAUUCUUUUGGCAUUUCUGUUAUGGGGUUUGUCUAAAUUAGCUGGAGCCUCAUUUUGAUGAUUACUUGUUUCGAGUUGUGUGUAAACUAAUCUGGGUUCGUGUGGUUAUUGCAUUAGUGGUUUCAUGGCUAUCUAUUCACAUCAGUAUUUUCUGAAUGUUUAUUUUUUAUUUACUUAUGCUCCUGAUAUUUUUCAGGUUAGCGUUUCCCCUUUGGAGAUAAAUAUUUAUGUUUCUCUGAUUCUAUCUGGGAUUUUAUGCGUCCAAUUCAAGGUUGAACUCGAUUGGCUAAAAAAUUUAAGAACUCACGAUUUUUGACAAAAUUCAUUGGUUUUGAACUGAAAAUCCCCUUUAUUCGUCUCUGGCCUAAAUUAAAUUCAGAAGUUCUCAUUUUUUCUGUGUGCCCUUACCUUUUUCAAAUCAUUGAUAACUAUGGUUUGGUUUCGGCUAGCUUAUCCUUCCUCCAUAUCUUACCAACUCCUUAUCUAGUGUUUAUUUCAAUUGGAAUCAGAUGUUUGAUAUAUUUCUAGUUCACCGUGAUGCAUCUAAAAUCAAUUGUGAAUUUUAACCAGAGUUUCGAUGAUUUUCUUUGAUAAAUGUUUUGUUUUCUAUUGUGUUCUUGUUUGGUCUUUCAGUUUGCAUAAUUUGACAGUAAGCUGUAGUUCAAGACAACCAUAAAAUGUCGUAACUGUGGCCUAUUAAUUUUUUUUUUUUUUUUCUCUUCACAGCUUAGGCUCUGAAGCUCUUUGAAUGUUCCAUAUGCAAUGAUAGUUUAGUCUUUCAUUACAGGAGCUUGCUUUUGUCGUUUGCAUUGUGUACAAAUAAUGGAUCACUACUGGGAUGUAGUUAAAAUGAUCAUCAUUAUUUUAUUUUCUCAAUUUUGUUAGGUAGUGAUGAUUCAUUGUGCAUCAAAUAUGAUUCUUGUAUUUGCAGGAGUUUGAUCCAUUCUCAUUGAGCAUUGAUGGUGAUAAGCUUCGUGGCCGUGGAACCACUGAUUGCUUGGGCCAUGUUGCACUUGUAGCUGAGCUCAUGAGACGGCUCGCAGAGACAAAGCCAAAAUUGAAGUCCACUGUGGUUGCAGUCUUUAUAGCAAAUGAAGAAAAUUCUGCCAUUUCAGGUGUUGGUGUGGAUGCACUCGUGAAGGAUGGGCUACUCAGUAAGCUAAGGGAAGGUCCUCUGUAAGUAAUUUGCAUUUCUUGUAAAACUGAAGGAAAACUAAGAAACAUCUUUCUGAUUCAUGUUUAUGAUUAUGACUUUUGGGGUUCAACUCAGGUUUUGGAUUGACACGGCAGAUAAACAACCUUGCGUUGGUACUGGUGGUAUGAUACCUUGGAAGCUUCAUGUGACUGGGAAGCUUUUCCACAGUGGUUUAGCACACAAGGUAUAGCACUAUGUUGUGUAAUUCAUUGACUUGUCAGUGCACAGUUUCUUUUCAGGAGAUUGUCAGGUACAUCUUUUGCAAUGACAUUAUGGAAAUUAGUUAGACUGGUUUUGUAGUUAUAUUUUUUUAUCUCUACCCGAGAUAUGAGAGGGUGAGGAAAAAGCCUAUAUUCUUUUUAAUAACUGGGAAUAGAAAUGGGGACUUCUGGAGUGGCUGAGGUAUUAAGUUGGUUAGCAAAGAAAAAUGUUACAGGUUGAGACAAACUUGACUGGUAAAAGUUGAAGGUGCUACUUAGAUGGAUGUGGCUGAGUUCUUAAGAGAAGGCGUGAUAAACAUUUCCUCGAUAAAACAUAAAACAAUAUAAGAUACUUCUAUCCCUUAUUCGGCAAAUCCUAGGACUGGAGCUGCUGGGCAAGGGGGACAAACAAAAUAAAUAAUUAAAAAUGGAUAAACUCUUCAAGGAGAGUAAAACAACAAAUUUUAUCCAUACUAGAAUGGAUAAACUCUUUUUUAUAUAAACAUGAUAUGUACCAGUACCGGUUUUAACUAAAUCUGGACCGUUGGACCCCUUUCCUUUGUCUCAUUCUAUAAAUCGUAAUCAUUUCCAUGAUCAAUACAGUUAUUGGAUUUGUUGUUUGGGUUCAGCAUUUUCUUACUAUUGGCUUAGAUGCAUACCCCAGUGCCUACUUUGCAGCUACCAUGUCACUACCAUGUAUGCUGGUGGGGGUCUCGGUCAGCAGAAUACCAAACAGUGAUGUUAUUUUUUUGUUGACCCUAGGAGGAGCAAGAACGUUUAACAACUUAGGUUUCAGGUAAUAAUAAGAGAGGGCAUGAUGGUUUCCAUAUAAUAGAAAAUGCCUUCAAUGAAGUGCAAUAUAGGGUUUCAGUAGCUGUGCCCAAACUAUUAUGGAUAGGGAAGUAUUGAUUUUAUAUGGGCUUUUUAUGAAUAUCAUUGCUUUAAAAUGGUUUAAAAUGAUUUUUUUUAUUACUUCCAAAGAAGGUAAAAAGUUAUCUUGGUUCAAACUCAAUUUUAUUUUCUUUGACCCACAAAUGGCUCCUAUAUUUCGUUAGGAUAAAAACUUGUUAGGAGCAAGUGAAUCAGAGCCUGAACUUGUAUCUAGUUGGACAAUUGAGCAUUUUUACAAUAAGUUAAGAAUCAAAGCAGAAAUGACAUCCUGUUUCUACUUAUUUAUCUCUUGAGGCUGAUGUUGAAUAUCUGCAGGCUAUUAACCCUUUGGAGCUAGCUAUGGAAGCACUGAAAGAGAUCCAGUUGCGGUUCUAUAGAGACUUUCCUCCCCAUCCCAAGGAAGAGGUCUAUGGAUUUGCAACACCUUCAACCAUGAAACCAACUCAAUGGAGUUGUAAGUUUUAAGGUUUCAAUCUUAUGGUGAAAAUGUUGGAAAAAUGCUUGUACAUUACAUUGACCUUUUUCCGGUUGCAGAUCCUGGGGGCGGAAUAAAUCAAAUUCCAGCAGAGUGCACAAUUUCAGGAGAUGUCAGGUGUAUAAUCUUCUCGAUGACUUUUGUUUGAGGCCUUUAUGGUAAAAUGAUAUCUCUUUUCUUUUCUUGGUCGUAAGAGAAAUGACAUCUCCAGAGGAUUUGUCUUUAAUCUUUUUCUUUUCUAGGAGUUGCUCUUAAUUCCUUUUUUUUUUUUUUUUUUUUUUUUUUUGGUGCAGGUUAACUCCCUUCUACAAGUAAGCAACCUGCUUUGUUUGGCUAAGUUCCAUCUCUUAUAGUUUCAUUGUAAAAAUUUCAUAUGGGCUCCAUUUUUAACUUGGGAAACACUAUAACCUGCUACAGUGUUAAGGACGUGAUGGAAAAGCUUCAAGAAUAUGUGGAUGACAUUAAUGAAAACAUUGGAAAGCUUGACUCACGAGGUCCGGUGUCAAAGUAUGUCCUACCAGAUGAAAACUUAAGGGGAAGGUGAUCUCUCUCUCUCUCUCUCUCGUGUAAUUCUUAUAAGAUAUUCAUUUAGUUAACAUGUAAUUACUCAAUCAUGUGAGCUUUCUUAAUUUUAACAUUAGUCAAAUGCAUGCCAUAAACCUUUCCCUAUGCUUUCACAAUCUCUCUUACCCUUAGAUGAUCCUUUGUUUUCUCUGCAUUUUAAAUAGCUACCAUCAGAUAUGUCAAUUUCCUAAACAAACAAACAAACAAACUUACUUUUAGGGCAUGCUAAUUAUUAAAAUAAAAAAAGUAGCUUUUAGGGCAUGCUAAUUAUUAAAAUAAAAAAAGUAGUUUUACUUUUCUUUUUCUCUACAGCCUCACAUUAAGUUUUGAUGAGACGUCGUCUGGAGUUGCUUGUGAUCUCAACUCCCGUGGCUUUCACGUAUUAUGUAAAGCUACUGAAGAGGUUGUUGGGCAUGUAAAGCCUUACUCAAUUACUGGAAGUUUGCCUCUCAUUCGAGAACUGCAGGUACAAUUAAAAAUAAAUAAAAAAUCUUGCUUCCAAGGCUUUUUUUUUCCCUUUUCUUUCACUUGUAUUUUUCCUUAACUAUAUCAUUUUAUUGUGUGCUAGGAUGAAGGAUUUGAUGUUCAAACGUCUGGCUACGGUAAUGAUACUAUUUCUUUUGGCGUUUUGGAUUUAGUUCACAAAAGUUAUAGAUACUUUAGAACUUAGAAACAACCAUAAUGCUAUGAUGGCAUCAAAGGUUGUAUUACUUAGUGUAUGUUGUGAUGGUAAUUAGUUUAAGAAAAUAGACUUUGUGCGUAUGAAGCUUUGAAUUAUUAGUGAGAUGAGUUCUUGAGCCUAUUGGCUGUCAAUUGUGAGAGGAUGAGAGCAUAAGGGAAACUGAGCUGAGAAAGAGGAAACCUAAUUUGUAUGACUGUUUAUACUGCGUAAGUGGUAAACAGAUAUGAAGGUCACCUGGUUAGUCUUGGUUAAAGGGCACACAACCUUUCGAAGUAAAGGACAAUACUUCUCAUGAUAAGCAUACUUAUUUGUGCAUGGUGUGAUGGUAGUUAGUUUAAGAUGCUGGUAUAAAAAUAUACUUGUGGAUGAAGCUUUGAAUUACAAAUGAGAUGAGUUCUGGGCCUAGUGGCUGUCAAUUGUGAGAGGAUGUGAAGAUAAGGGAAGCUGAGCUAAAAAAGAACGAACUUCAUUUGUAUGACUGUUUAUACUGGGUAAGUGGUAAAACUGACAUGAAGGUGAGCUGAUUAGUCGUAUAAAAAGGUAUUCUCCACAACCUUUCAAAGUAGAGGAGAAUACUACUCAUGAUAUGCAUAGCAGUUGUUUCUGAGAGUGCGUAGGUUAUUAUAUCUUAGUUGAUGAUGUUCUGAUUCUUUGCCGUUUUGCAUGCAUGUACAGGCUUGAUGGCCACAUACCAUGCCAAGAAUGAGUACUGCCUUUUUUCGGAUAUGCACCAAGGCUACCAGGUUUUUGUCAGUAUUAUCUCUCAACUAGAAGACUGAGAAUCAGCAAAGAGAAAAGAAGAAAACUAGAAGACUGAGAAUAACAAGUUGCAAUGAUACUACCAAAUCACACCAAAAAUGAGUACUGCCUUUUUCUGAUGUGUGCCAAGGCUUGACUAGUCUUGACUAGAAGAAUGAGAAUCGAGGGGAAAAUAAAGGGAAGUGUAGAAGAUUGAGAAUAAUGAGAAAUUGCAAAUGAUACCUACCGAACCAUGGCUGAUAGGUAUUGUUCAGAAUUUCCAAUAGUCAUAGAUAAGCAAAAUGUUAAUUUUAAACUCUGGUUACGUGAAUGGCUUGUGUUUUUUCGUUGAGCUGAGUACAUGUGGAGUGUUUAUGGUGUACAUCUGAAGUGUUUAUGAUUGUUAUCCCUAUUUUCAUAUAUGUUUGAAGGUGAAAUUCUAUAAUGAGGGUAUGGACUCUUCAUGUGGAUCAUUUAAUUAAACUUAAAUGAAGUUACUAUUUAGAUUAAUUAUGUAGCUAAUAUGAAGUCCACAUUUAUUUAGCUACAUAUCUUAUUUUGGGCUUCUAGCCAUCCCCAUUGAUCAGGGCCACUCAAACAUGGUUUGGCCCAAAUGGUGAUCCAUUUAUCGGAUGUUGGGCUUGGACUAGUCAAAUUUCAACUAGGCUCAAACAACUAACUAAUUAAAUUAUUUUAGGGGAAAAAAAAAAAUCAAUUACAUCAUGUGUAGUUGUAUCUUUGGAUGUAUCCAAUGGUGAAAAGAAAAAAAAUCAGCCACCAAGUAUAACAUGAUAUAAUCAUGUUUGAAAAGAAAUUUGGUUAAUCCAAAGAGUGAGGAAUGACUUAUAUCAUGCAAAGCAAAAGAGAGAAUAUUAAUAUCCUCCUAAUUUAUUGAAUGGCUAGCCGCACAAGACAAGGAGUAGCAAGAGCAUAGCUAGCAUGGCUUUUAAUUAUUCAUUUUAGGGAAAUAGCUCUAAAUGCCACCUUUCUUAUAAUUUUAACUGAAAAUACCACCUCUCUCCAAAAAAUUUGCAACUAUCACCUAUAAAUAUAUAUUUAUUGACCACUUAUUGCACACAUAUCACUUUUGCUGAAAUUUUGUUUUCUCUAUAUCGCGCCCUCACUCUCUCUGUCGCUCAGCUCUUUCUGUCUCUGUUGUUCAGGUCUCACUCUCUCUUCGGUCAACUCUCACUCUCUCUUCUCUAUUUCACCGUCACAGGAAGCUCUCGGCCUCUCUUGCGCAGCUCUUUCUCGUGUAGCUCUCUCUCUCUCUCUCUCUCUCUCUAACGCAGUGGUCUUCCUCUUUCAUCGUUCACCUGCAAAAGGUACUGUUCAUCGUCAAUUUGAAUUGAUUUAGGGGUUUCUCUGAAGUUGUUUUAAGGUUUAUGGGUUUCUAUGAAAUUGGUUUAGGGUUUACGAGUAUCUCUAAAAUUGGAUUAUGGGUUUCUCUGAAAUUGGUUUAGGGUUAGGGGUUUCUCUAAAAUUGGUUUAGGGUUGAGGGGUUUCUUUGAAAUUGUCUGAUUCUGAUGAUUCCUUGUUUGAAACAUUGAAUGGGUUUGUUGUUUGUGGAUUGAUUUUUGCAUUUGAUUUGGGAUUCUGUUGUUUUGUUGCUGUUUCUGUUGUUUUGUUGCUGUUUUAGUGUUGUUAUUGAUGUUUUAUUGAUGUUUUAGUGUUGUUUUUGCUAUCUUAUUGCCAAUUUAGUAGUUUUGUAUUGGCAUUUUAGUGCUGGUGUAUUGCUAGUUUAUUAUGGUUUUAUUCUCGUUCCAUUAUGGUUUUAAUGAUUUUGGCGAUUUAUGUAAUUGAAGUCUGUGUUUCCUAUUAUUUUUUUUUUUCAUCCAAAGAAGGGAAAUUGUAGGUGUUAUUUAUAGUCUCUACAUUACCUGUUUUGUGGCAUCCAAUGCUUAGAAAUUCUAGUAGGUCAUUCUUCAAGAUAUUGAAAUAUAUCAGAAUGACAACACAUACAUUUGUGUAUAUAUGUUUAUUGUGAAAUUACAUAUGAAGUAGGAAGCCAUUAUUUGGAUAUGUAAAAGUUGUAUAAAGGCAAGUAUCAAAACAUUGAGGCAAGUGGAAUUUGACAGGGGCCUCAACGUUUGCACUUCAUAUUAUGCUUAAAGUAUUUAUGUUCCUUGCCACUGCAGUUAUAGUAUUCAAGGAAUCUGACGAAAUGGCCCAGUUGAAGCAACAACAAGUGGAAACUGGAUUCAAACUAUUUCACAAGUUUGCAAAAUAGUGGAUCCAUAAGGAAAUGGGGACAACAUCACUGUGGGCAGGGUCAUGAAUUUCAUGGGUUGCAGUCUCCACAUUUGAAGAGUAUGCAACUUCGAAUGUGUCAACAGAACUUGUGACACUUUAAUAUGACUUUGGAUAUUGUAAAAUACAGUGGAAACUACCUGUAAAAUGGAACUAUGAGGUGGCCUCUUUUUGUAUUAUGUAACUAUGGGGUGGCCUCUUGUUGUAUUAUGUAAGUUUUGAAAUUAGAUUUAAUGGAAUUAUGAUGCCUCUGUUUGCAUUUGUGCAUAUACAGUUUCCUUUAUCCGUGUCCAGUUCAAACAAUUAUAGUGGCAAUAACUCCACAAUACACAUGCUUAUUAUGGCAAUAUAAUAGCAAUAAAAGCACAAUAUAGUUACAAUACGAUCCUAUUGCAGUAGGUACUGCAUCAAACUUUGUGUUUUGUUAUUAUUUGGUCAAAAAUAAAUUAAAAAUUGGAAAAAUGAUGAAGUAUACAUCCCUUAAAAGACAUAUGGCCUACACACCUUCAAUAUGGACUCCAUAUAUACAAUUCAAGCCUUGCACCACCAUCACAUCCCCCCUAAAUUACAAAAACAUGACACCACAAAACCUCAUGCUCCUUCCUCUUUCAACCCCGGUGGGAUACCCUGCAACUCAAUCUUUAUGUGUUUCCACUCAUUCGAGGCCACCAAAACUGAGAACUUUAAGCAAACCUUGGCUUCCCUACUGUUUGUAUUACCAAUCUGAUGCAUACGAUUCAACAGUUCAGCAAACGUGCUGGUUCGUGGAACUAUUAAGCCUUUUGAGUCAUCCCCUUUCAUAUUUGCGCAUCUGCUUUAAGGUUACCCAUUUUCCAUUGUAGCAAACCAGAAUAACAAUUGUCUCCAUUUCUGACCAUGAUAAAACAACAUUUCAUUUACACAAUACAACCAUAAUAACCAGGCAAUACAAUGACAAUAUAACAACACCAUAAUAGCAAUACGACAGCAAAAUAACAUGAACACAACAGCAAUACAACACUAACACAGCAGUGAACAAGGAUUCAUCACAAUCACACUAUACAAAUCUACUACAUUAAAUGGAAAAUCCCAAGUUUCAAGAUUCACAUAUCCAUAAUCUAAAUGCAAUUGAUAAAAACCCAAAUGGAUGAGCAUGAAGAUUCAAAAAACCUAACCGAAAGCAAUUAAAGCCAAAACCAAUUUUACAGAAACCCAAGCAAUCAAAAUAAAACCAAUUUCACAGAAUUCCACAGAUAUUAAGAAAAUAACCAUCAACACUACCUAUUCAAGGUCAGCGAUCCAGUAGAGCUUCAAGGUUGCAAGUAGCUAUUCAGAAGACAUACCUAAAAGAUGGGGUCGAGUGAGGGUUUCGCGAUUCAGAAGAGAGAGCUGCGCGAGAAAGCAAAUAGGGGGGGGGAGAGAGAGAGAGAGAGAGAGAGAGAGAGAGAGAGAGAGCAACCAAACACAGAGAGAGAACAAAAUUUCAGCAAAAGUGAUAUGUGUGCAAUAAGUGGACAAUAAAUAUAUAUUUAUAGGUGAUAGUUGUAAAAUUUUUGGGGAGAGGUAGUAUUUUCAGUUAAAAUUAUAAAAAGGGUGGCAUUUAGAACUAUUUCCCUUUAUUUUACAACAAAUCUAGCAAGGCAAGAUGCAUAUACAAAAGAAUUAACUAUAUUUCACCCCCUUAAGUUUGGGCUCAUUAUCGAAAUGAGCCGGGAGAUUUCAAGUGGUUAAGAGCAUUAGUCCUGUACAUUAAAUCAUAGGUUCGAUUUCCCCCUCCUCCAGUAUCCAAUAUUGAAGAUUUCUCAUACACACACAACUAUGAUGUCGUAGGAAUUCAAACUUAAGACAUCUGGUCGAUCUUUUUUCUACUGGACUAGACCUCGUUGAUAGUAGCAUGAGGCCAACAAAACUUAAAUACAAGUUAUGAAGUGUACCGGAUUUGAUGAAAUGCACCAAAAUGCAUGAUAGCUAAAUGCAGAGGCUCGGAAUCCGUUCAUCAUAUACCAUAUGCACACAUAUGAGAUGUCAAUUUUAACAUAACCAAAUUGAAGCUCUGAAAGUUCCUAGACUUGAUGGGUUACAUUACAUGCAAUUUUUAUUGGGAGACUUUGGAAAAGCCCAAAGGAGAGAGAAAAAUUUUAAAAGAAGCCAAAAUGGACAAAAUUACCCUUAUUUAUUUUUUGAUUUCCUAAGGAAUCCUUUACAUUUGCAUGUCUUUUGUUUGAAAGUUGAGAGGUUUUUCUGUCUUUUUUGAAAAAACUUUGGCUUUUUCCAAAAGUGAAAGUUUUUUUAUGGGUAAAACCUAAAUUUACUAUUUUUAUUUCAUUUUAUCCUACUUCCUAGGAAAGAAUUAAAUUGUAAGUUUAUGGCAUGGUCCAGUUUUGUUUAAUAAUCAUGAAUCCAUUAGAGAUAUUAACGAUACUAAGAAAAGAACAAAGAAAUUAAAUCCCAUUAACUAAAUUGAGUAGCCAAACAAGUUAAUUUUCAGCUUUGCAUCAAUUUUCAAUUUCAAUGUUUAAUUGCAUUAACAAACUCUUCCACUGUUUAAUUACCAACUACUGUUAAUUGGAUAACAAAUGUAUGCCAACAUCUACGUACAUCCAGACAAUAGAUAUCCAUGACCUCCACUGAGCUCUAGAACGCAACUGUGUCGAGUACGGUUCCCAAGGUGGUCUGGGCUAUGUUUGAGGACAUCAUGUUGUAGACAUGUUCUUCCAGGUGUUUCUUGGCAUCUGCCCUUCCCACAUUUGCAAUUGCAAGCUUCUCCGGCUGUGCAUCGCCAUCCUCUUGCAGUGCAUUAUUGUACUUAAUAGCUAAGUUGGACAUCUUCUACAAAACCCAAAUGAAAAGGUAUCAAGACUUCAGCACUAAAUGACACCUGAAUCAAAAUCUGCUCACAUUCUAAAACAUGCUGGAAAUUUUUUCCAACGGUCCCAUUGUUAAAUGGCAGCAUAUAACCUAUUUUUCCUUCCGUUAGAUAAAUUUAGUUUUCAUUUGGUCACAAAAUUAUAACUAUUCUUAAGCAGUUUUUAUAAAAUCAUUAGAGUUUAUGGACAGUGAUAGAACAUUGAGACCUGCCUAUCAAUCAAAAUCAGAUUUCAAGGUUUCAAAAUAGCAUAAUUUUUCCUAUGAGCAGUUUAGCGCAAGAAAUCCGUUACAACAAAAUUUCAGGUCUGUGCUGGCCUAGAAUUACUUUGCUUAGAACUCUGCCCCCUGUCAACCUCCACACUUAACCAUAACCAGCGAUAACCUCCUAAUGAUCCAGAAAGAAAGUGAAGCAUACGCGAAGCCAAAGAGGAAACAUGCUUCUAUAUUGAAAAAUGUAACUAAUAUUUCCUUCAGCUAUACAUGCCGAACUAAACAAGAAUAACCAUAACGGGGGCUUCAUGAAACCUUGUCUUACCUGAAGAGUCUGCUCGCUUGUUUUUGAAUGAGCAUCAAAUUGCCUCAUCGUCAGCCCAUCAGUCCAUUUCUUCUUAUGAAGGUUAAGCAACAUUUUCUCCUCAACUCCAUUCAUCCUGAAAUUUACUGCUAGGGAGUAAUAAUUCCGGUUUAACCCAUGGAUCAAUGCCUGAAGAAGGAAAUUACAUAAGCGGUCAAAAAAUUUAAUUGCAAAGAAAAAGGUUUAAAAUUUACUUGUUGAGAAACUCACUUGACAGGAUUGAUAACAGAAGAGAGAUUUGGAAAAUAAGGGAAGAAGAAGACUGAGAAACAGAGAGAAUGUAUUAAGAAUUUCUGUAUGAUUAUUCACUGAAUCAAUAUUACAAUGCAUAGUUCAGCUUAUAUACAAUUGUAACUAACAGCCAAUGCUUAACAAACUAACACGUGAAUAGCACGUGGGUAUUCUAACAAUACUAAGCUAAUGUAUUCAUCUAUCAUUCCCCCUCAAAUCCAGCUGGGUUCCCAAGCCGCAAAUUACCACAAUGCUUUGUGAAGAGUGGACUGUGUAACCCUUUUGUAAAUAUGUCUGCAACCUGUUCAUCUGUUGGAAUAUACUGCAUGGAGAGAUCUCUUCUUUGUACUCUUUCUCUAACAAAAUGAAAGUCUAUAUCAAGAUGUUUAAUCCGUGAGUGAUAUACAGGAUUAGAACUCAAUGCUAGAGCAGAAAGGUUGUCACAAUGUAUAGUAGGAGGCUGAGGGAGAAACACUUUCAAAUCAAGCAAAACUUGUCUGAUCCAUGCCAAAUCUGCUGCUGUAUGAGCUAAUGCUCUGUAUUCUGCUUCGGUUGAACUCCUGGAGACUGAGUUCUGUUUCUUAGAUUGCCAAGAGAUAGGAUUAUGGCCUAAGAAAGCCACAAAACCAGUGGUGGAUCGUCUAGUGUUAAUAUCUGCUGCCCAAUCUGCAUCACUGUAGGCAUUAAGUUCCCAAGCACCACUAGUAAAGGUAAGUCCAUGAUCCAAGGUACCUUGAAGAUAGCGUAAAAUCCUCUUAACUAACUGAAAAUGUAGCUCUGAAGGAGUUGUCAUAAACUGACAUACUGUGUUAACAGCAUAAGAGAUUUCAGGUCUGGUAAAUGUUAAAUACUGUAAUGCACCAACAAUGCUUCUGUAGAUUGUAGGAUCAGCCAAAGCAUCACCUUCAGUCUGUAACAAUUGACCAUGUGGUUUACAAGGGGUAGGACAAGAUCGGCAUGAACUCAGACCAGCCUUAGCAAGCAAAUCUUUUGCAUAUUUAGCCUGGUUAACAAAAAUAUCUCCAGCUGUAUUAUAAGAAAUCUGUAAUCCUAAGAAAUAUUUCAACUUCCCCAUAUCUUUCAUAUCAAAAGCUGAGCUUAACUCAUCAACAACUUCUUGCACCAAAGCCACCUUUGAACCAGUCAAUAUUAUAUCAUCCACAUAUAAGAGAAGGAUCACAAUAUCUGAACCUAGAUGCUUCACAAAUAAGCUAGGGUCAGAAUGAGAUGAUGCAAAACCAAUGGCUGGAAGAUAACCUGUGAAUUUGGCAUUCCAAGCCCUUGGAGCUUGCCUAAGACCAUAAAGAGACUUUCGUAACUUGCAAACAUAACUGAGAUGUGUUGGAUCCUCAAAACCUUGUGGCUGACGCAUAUAGACUUCUUCCUCAAGAUCACCGUGUAAAAACGCGUUCUUAACAUCAAGUUGACGAAGUGACCAUCGAUUCAUCGCUGCAAUACUUAAUAUCAACCUUACUGUGGUGUGUCUGACCACAGGGCUAAAAGUUUCACUGAAAUCCAGUCCAGGAGCUUGGCUAAAGCCUUGGGCAACUAAUCUGGCCUUAUAUCUAGCCAAAGUACCAUCUGAGUUUUUCUUAAUUCGAUAUACCCAUCGACAUCCGACAAUAUUUUUAUGAACUGGCUUAGGAACUAACUCCCAAGUACCCUGAGCAUGUAAUGCCUCAAUUUCGUCCUUCAUAGCUUGAAUCCAAAGAACAGAUUGAGAAGCAACCUUAUAAGUGGCUGGUUCAAUAACAUCAUGUAUAACAGGAAGAGUGGUAUAAUAACACUGAUAAUCUUCAAACUGUUUAGACUUAACAAUACCUGCCUUUGAUCUAGUCUGCAUAGUAUGAGUGUUAAAAGGAGGAGACACAGAACUAGAGACAACAGGGGAGACAGGCAAGAGAACUUGUAGUUGCUGAUCAUUAAUCACAGAUAAGACAGAAUCACUGGAAGACAAAGCAGGAUUCUCAGGAGAUUCUAAAGAAGGAAUAGAAACAUUCUGUAAGCUAUGAUUUUGUGAAGAAACAGGUGGAGGAGAUACAGAACCGGAUAUAGCACUAGGAUUUAAAGCAUGUAUACAUGGAGGAAGUGAAACACAAACUGGUAAAAACUGGGGCUUGGAAGAGCAUGAAACUGGAACGGAAUCUGCUGAGAUGGAAUGAGACUUAAAAGGAAAAACAGAUUCAUCAUGAAUGACAUGUCUGGAAACAACAAACCUUGAGGUGGAUCUAUUGUAACAAAUGACCCCUUUAUAACCUGGAGAAUAUCCCACAAAAACACAUUGAGCUGUUCUUGGCUGAAGCUUAUGUUCAUUAUAAGGUCUGAUAUAUGGGUAAACUGCAGUACCAAAAAUCCUAAGAGACUUGAUAUCAGGAGCCUUGCCAUACAAGCUUUGAAAAGGAGACUGGUAUCUUAAAACCGAACUAGGCAUAAGAUUGAUGAGAUAAGCAGCAUGAGCAACCGAAUGAAACCAGAACUGAUCAGGAAGAGCAGAAGCAACAAGUAAAGUAAGAGCAGUUUCAAUAAUAUGGCGAUUCUUCCUCUCUGCCAAACCAUUUUGCUGAGGGGUGUAUGGACAAGAGACCCGAUGAAUUAUCCCUUUUGAAUCCAAAAAAGAAGAAAAUUGCCUACUAAUGAACUCACCACCCCCAUCACUUUGAAAAUACUGAAUAGUAGCUUUAAACUGAUUAGUGACAAGAGCAUAGAACUUGAGAAACUCUUCAAACACUCCAGAUUUAUUAAACAGUGGAUAAAGCCACAAGUAACCAGUACACUCAUCAAUGAAACUAACAUAGUAUCUAAAACCAUCUAUGGAUUUUUGUCGGGAAGGACCCCAUACAUCACUGUGUAUCCUCUGAAAGGGAACAGUAGACUUAACAUGAUCCUUAGGAAAAGACAGCUUGUGCAUUUUACCAUGUAAACAAGCAGUACAUAAUGCUUGAGAACUAUCAAUAGAAACAGAUAAAGCAGAAUCUUGAAGCAUUCUUUGCACAACGGUAUUUGUUGGAUGUCCUAACCUUUGAUGCCAGAUAGAGACGUUGACAUGUUGUCCAAGAUAUGCAACUGGAGCCGAAGAAAUAGAAGAAACACCUCGAGAUCUUUGAGAAGCAGAAAAAGGAAUGGAAUAUAAACCUUGAUUACUCUUGCCUUGAAGAAGAAUUGCCUUGGUUACCUUGUCCUGUAUAUAAAAGCCAGAGACGUCAAAUGUGAUAAAACAAUUAUUGUCUUUACACAAUUGAUGGACGGAUAAUAGAUUCGCUUUGAGCUUAGGAACAUGCAAAACAGACGGAAGAUGUAGUGAAGGAGAUUGGGCACAAGAAAUAGUAGCAGUGCCAAGAUUCUGAAUAGUCAAACCUGCCCCAUUGCCAACAGUAACAUUCUCAUCAACAUUACAAGGAGUCACAUGAUCCAAUCGAGAGGAAUCGCCAACCAUAUGAUGAGAAGCACCACUAUCAGCAAUCCAGACAUGCUCAGGAGAGAAAGAAGUCUGAGCAGUCAUAGCAGUCAGAGAAGAAGGAGGUGCGUGGCCCUGAAAUGAGUAGUUUGACCUGUGGAAACAAUCAAGUGCACCAUGUCCACGUUUGCCACAGAUUUGGCAUUCAACAACAUUAGGAGUAGAAGAAGAGGAAUUGGCAUUGGCAUGACGAAAAUAGCAAUUAGCAGCUGUAUGUCCACGCUUGCUACAAAUUUGACACUCAGGCACCACAUGAGAUCGAUAGGAAGGAGAACCUCCAGGAAAACCAGAAGUACUACCGCCCCGAAACUGAGAAGAGGCAUGGCGACCACCAUUAAACCUUCCAUGACCAGAGGUAUGUGCAGAAAAACCUCGAGAACCAGAGGCACGAGAAAAAAAACUUUGCUGACCACCAAAAGACUGAACAUGUGGCAAAGGCUGAGAAGGUGUACGUAAAAUACCCUGUCCAGAUGACACAGAGGAACCUUGAGCACAAGAGGAAUUAACCGCAUAUAACGCAGUAUGAUGAACAAUACGAGCCUCCGCAGUUUGUUCUGCAGCAAGAAGCUGUGCUCUGAAAUCCUUGAGAGACAAAGGAGUAUCGCGUGCAAUCAAGACAGUCUUGAUUAUGUCAUAUUCAGGAGGUAAGCCAUUCAAAGCAGUAAUAACGAAAUCAUCAUCAGAAAUCUUGAUACCAGCAGCAUUCAGUUGAUCUCGAAGAUGUUUGAGACGAAGCAAGAAUCGCUCGAUGGAAUCUCCACCUUUCUGCGCAGUUUGCAACUCAGUUUUGAGAUGGUUGAUCCGAGCGCGAGAAACUGAAGCAUAGCGAUCAGAGAGAUUAAUCCAAGCAUCGCGAGCCGUUUUGCAGCCAAUGACGUAUUCAAGCGCCUCGUCAGACAGAGAAGCAAUGAGUAAACUCAAAAGUGCCUUAUCAGUACGAAUCCACUCCUUAUAAGCAGUGGUAAGCUCAGAAGUUUCGCCUUCCUCAUCAACAAUGGCGAAUUUAGGAGGUGUAAUCGAAGAACCAUCGAAAUGCCCAAAAAGCUCGUAGCCUUGAAGCACAGAUUCAAUCUGAUAACUCCACUUCAAGAAGUUAUCAUCAGCAAGACGAAUUGUAAGGAGGCCAAGAAGACUCUCAAUUUUGAGAAAAGAAGAAGAAGCCAUGAAGAAAUUAGGGUUUUAGAAAAAAUGUGGAUUCGAAGAAAUGAAAAACUGAGAAAUCUGAGAAAUCGGAGAAAGCUGAGAAUUAGGAAUUGCAGAGAGAGAAGAACAAGACAGAGGAAGGAAGCGAAGAGAGAGAAGCGGAAUAGCAGAUCUGGAUCACCACCAUGGGCGCUGAUACCAUGAUAACAGAAGAGAGAUUUGGAAAAUAAGGGAAGAAGAAGACUGAGAAACAGAGAGAAUGUAUUAAGAAUUUCUGUAUGAUUAUUCACUGAAUCAAUAUUACAAUGCAUAGUUCAGCUUAUAUACAAUUGUAACUAACAGCCAAUGCUUAACAAACUAACACGUGAAUAGCACGUGGGUAUUCUAACAAUACUAAGCUAAUGUAUUCAUCUAUCAAGGAUGGUUUGUUAAGAUGGCCAAGAUUGGAUGUGCUUCUUGGCCAAGCAUCACAGUAUUUGGGUUAAUAAGGCGGAAAGCAUCGAUAACCACCUUACCCUUGACACUCUGAAUGGGGUCCACCACCACAGCCACAGCACGUCGAUUUAAGGCUUCAAAUCCCUGCAAAAGAUUACCGGUAUAAGAACAUAAGUAUGCUAACCAAUGAUGCAUUAAAAAAAUUCCAGUCAAGGGUAUCAUCAACAGAAGUAGAACAUAAACAAAUUGAGAAGAGUCAAUAAAUGCUUCCCUACAGAAGACCCAAUCUUGGGUGAUAGGCAGAGGAACAACAUGGAAUUUUUGCACAUCAAUGGGGUAACAAUACUCCCUUGAAAGGUAAAAAUUUGGAAUAGGACCUAGUGAACUUUGGGUCUAGAGGUUGUUGCCACAUUUGGGGGACACACAAGAAAAGAACGAGAGUAGAGUAGGCUGAGGUGAUCAAGCAACAUGGACAAGAUGUCAAGGGAAAAGAGUUCUAAAAGCAGCAACGAUUUUUUAACAAAGCCGUCAGAAGCUGGUAAUGCACAGUCCAUGCAUGGCUAGAAUAGAGACAAAAUUAAAAACGACAUAUAGAAUAGAGAGAAGCUGGUAAUGAACAGUCAAUGCAUAGCUAGAAAUUUAUACAAUACAGAGAUUUCUUUUGUUUUAAACCAAAAAAACAAAGAGUAAACUUGUGCUACAUGAGAAGCAGGAAAAUUGGAAUUUUUUGAUAAAAAAAGCACAACCUGUUGCGUAGUCAUGUCCACGCCAUAUAACCAACAGCCAAAUCCAGGAUGCGAAUGGUACCAGCCUACGACCAUCUCAUGUCUGCAAUUUCAGUCAAAAGAAGAUAAAUUACGACAAGAACAAGACAGAGCAACAUGGAGAAGCAUGACAAAAAUAAAAAGAUCACGUACAAGUAUCAUCUGUUAGGAUAGUAAGAAUGAAGGUGUGCAGCAUACAUUAACAUUAUAAGAACACAGAUGGGUAACAUGGAGAGGAAACUAUGACACUAAAAAUAAAAUGAAAGUAUUGAAUGUAAUUUUAUCAUCUUUCAAUUGAAUGUGAAUUAUGCAAGGGACACUAGUAGGAAUCACAUAUUAAUAUCAGGGCAAGCUAAUGUGAAUACCAUAAGGAAUAAUGUAUGAUGAAUUAUAAAUUAUAAAUUUAGGUUUUAAAGAGAUGCAAUCGAGUACACAACUACCCUAACAGCUACAAAUUUAGUUGGUUUAAUCAAAGUGAAAGAAGAGGAGUAGCGACCGUUGAGUUUGCUUACGCAUAUCGAGCAUAUCAGUCUGGAAGACAUGAUCUAUGGCCUCGACACUGACACCAGUACCACGCUGCGGCAUCGCAACGACGUCCACAACAUGAGUUGUGUAUUCGUCGGGGAAGCUUCCGAGCAACAAGCCCAUGACCUCCAAAGGGACCCCGGCUCUCCCUAUUAAUGAUCAAAAUUGCUAGAAUGAGUACUGAGUUGUGAACAAAAAUUAAAUUGCAUAGGCAUGAAAGGAAAAACAACAACAAUAGAAAAAAAAAAAAAAAAAAAAAAAAAAAAAAAAAAAAAAGGGGUCCAAUCCAAUCAUCAGAAUCAGGGCAACUCAAAAUCCUCCCAGAAACCCUAGUUAGUAUCUGUAAGUAAGGCAAUAUUUGGAUAAGAUUCAUUUCAUAAAGGCAACAAUAACUUAGUUAUGGUUUUGAAGUCCAACCCAUAGAUAAACCGAAUGUAAGCAGCUAAGAAAACAAUGUAAAAACCCUAAACCAGAAAGUUGGGAAGCCUAUCGUGAUUGAGCAUUUUGAGAAGGGAGACUAGGGAGAUGUUGACCUUCUCUGAGGAAUCAGGAGUUGGCUGGCCCAAACCCUCUCCGGCAUUGGCGUCGAAAAUUGUCCGAAACAUCACUCACUCACUCACUCUCUCUCUCUCUCUCUCUCUCAGCCCCAAACUAUAUUAGAAAUGUUGAAAUAUAAUCCUUCUACAGAUUUCUUAGAGCUGAAGUCAUUUUCUAUUUUCUGCUAAGUCUAUUUUAAAUGAUGUAAUGAGAACCAUUAGAUCAUAGUCUAGGUGGAUUCUCUAGCUUAGAUUUGGUAUGACACGUGUAAGCACCUAAUAGGGUGACAGUUGUAAUUCUGUUAGGAGAGAAUCACAUUUCUCUCUCUGUCAGACACACUAUGUAAGCUGCAGAUUGUAAGAAUUCAAUAGAACAGUGCCUUCCUCAUUUCUCUUCAUUCUCUCUAACUAAAAUCUCCAGAAUAUACACCUCUUCCUAAUCUGAAAAUACAUAUACAAACAGAGAAUUCUAACAUGGCCUCAGAGCCAGGUUCGAUUGUUUGUUGGGCGUGAAUCUGUGAGAAUCGAGCUGGUGUUUAGCUGAGCUGACGUUGAGCUCACUCAAAAUUUCACGAAGCUUUUCUAGCUGCGUCUGAUGUCUAACAUGGCAGGAUCAAGCUCUUCUGAGCUUCGUACACCAGUUUUCAAUGGAGAAAACUAUGAGUUUUGGAGCAUUCGAAUGAAGACCAUUCUGAAAUCUCAUGGACUGUGGGAUUUGGUUGAAAAUGGUUUUGAUGCUUCAGAUCCAAAGAAGGAAAAAUGAGAGGAAGAAGGAUCUAAAGCUGCUGAAGAAGAGAAGUCUACAUCGGCUGAGACUUUGAUGAAAGAUGCUCGUGCACUUGGACUGAUCCAAGGUGCAGUCUCAGACCAAAUUUUUUCCAGAAUAGUGAAUGAAGAAACCUCAAAAGGUGCAUGGGAUAUUCUGAAGCAGGAGUUUAGAGGCGAUAAACAGGUACGAAGUGUGAAGCUACAAGGCUUACGUAGAGAGUUUGAAUACACUCGUAUGAAGGAUAGUGAGUCAUUCUCUGGUUAUGUUGCUAAACUGUUUGAUCUAAUUAAUCAAAUGAAAAGUUAUGGUGAAGAGUUACCUAGAGAAAGAGUUGUGCAGUAGCUUGCCUAGAUCUUAUGACUCUAUAUGUUCUGUGAUUGAGCAUUCAAAGGAUCUUGACACUCUUGAAAUUCAAGAAGUGGUUGCGUCUCUCAAGAACUUUGAGCUCAGAUUGGAUAGGCACACUGAAAAUUCCACAGAAAAGGCUUUUACUAGCCUGAACAUAGAGAGUAAAAGCUCUAAGAAUAGAAGUUCUUCUGGAGGUAACAAGUCUCAGAGGAACUGGAAGGAAAAUGGGAAGAAUUGGAAUAACAAGUCCAAUUCUAAUCCCAAACCAAAUGCAUCAAAUGAUGGAACUAAAACACCUUGCAAGCACUGUGAAAAACUGCACUAUGGCAAGUGCUGGUUUGAAGGAAAACCAAAAUGCAGAGGAUGUGGAAAGUUUGGUCACAUGGUUAGAAAUUGCCAUGGAAAUCAACCUGUGCAGAAGGUGAAUUAUGCCAAUCAGGUUGAAGUAACUGGAACAUUGUUUUAUGCAUGCAAUGCCGUGACAGGUGUGAAAUUGAACAAUUCUUGGUAUGUGGACAGUGGUUGUAGUAACCACAUGACUGGAGAUGAAAGGCUACUGAUAGAUAUUCGAAGGGAUGUAACUUCCAAGGUGAAAAUGGGGACUGGAGAGACAGUUCAAGUUGCAGGAAAAGGCACACUUGUGAUAGAAACCAAGAUAGGCAGAAAACACAUUCAAGAAGUGAUGUUGGUGCCUGGUUUAGAAGAGAACUUGCUCAGUGUUGGUCAGAUGAUGGAACAUGGGUAUUGUUUAGUAUUUGGAAAGGGAAUGGUGACAAUUUUUGAUGAUUGGUCACUGCAAAAUCCUAUAGCUAAGGUUCCAAUGACUAGCAAUAGGUGUUUCUCUCUCACAAUGGUACCUGCUACUCAGUUGGUGCUGAGAGCAAGUGUGACUCACAGUUUGCAGACUUGGCAUAAAAGGCUGGGCCAUCUUAUGAUCAAAGCAUCAGGAUGCUGGCAAAUCAAGACAUGGUUCAUGGACUGCCUAGUCUGGAGAAGGAUUUUGCAGUUUGUGAAGGCUGCAAGCUGGGAAAGCAGCAUAGAGACUCAUUUCCUGCAUAAUCUACUUGGAGAGCUCAGUUUCCACUUGAAUUAGUUCACACUGACAUCUGUGGUCCAAUGCAGAUUGCAUCAAUGUCAGAAAACAGAUAUUUCCUGUUAUUCAUUGAUGACUAUACAAGAAUGGCUUGGGUUUAUUUUCUCAGAAAUAAAUCUAAUGCUUUUGAAUGUUUCAAGAAGUUCAAAGCAAUGACAGAAUUGCAGAGUGGACACAAGGUGAAAUCACUUAGAAGUGACAGAGGUGGAGAAUUCAUGUCAAAUGAAUUUCUUGCAUACUGCAAUGAGGCUGGAAUACAAAGGCAGCUGACUGUAGCAUAUUCCCCUCAGCAAAAUGGAGUUGUUGAGAGGAAGAACAGGACUGUAAUUGAGAUGGCAAAGUCUAUGCUACAUGAAAAGAGUCUUCCAUAUGAGUUUUGGGCAGAAGCUGUUCAUACAGCAGUCUACCUUCUCAACAGGUGUCCUUCUAAGUCUCUUAAGAAAAUGACACCAUUUGAGGCCUACACAGGAAGAAAGCCAGGUAUUGCACACUUGAAAGUGUUUGGAUGCCUAUGUCAUGUGCUUAUUCCUUCUGUUUUGAGACACAAGUUGGAAGAAAACAGUCACAAAUGCAUUUUUGUGGGCUAUGGAUUGUGUGAAAAAGGCUAUAGACUGUAUGAUCCUAAGACUAGAAAGAUUAUCUUGUCUAGGGAUGUCUAUUUUGAUGAAGAAGCCUCAUGGAAAUGGGAGAAUCCUAGCAAUGCAGAUGUGAGAAUGCCUAUGCCAGAUGGAAAUCAAGGUACUGCAGAAACUGAACAGAGGGUAUUAGAUGAACAAUCUCAGUUUUUGGAUACUCAAAUGCAGAUGGAAGAAGAAAUUGCACCUCAAGGGGAAGAAAUGCUUGAUGAGACUCAAAGGUUUGAUCACACACCUCACAAGUGGAGGAGUAUUAAUGACAUCAUGACACAAUGCAACAUGUGCAUUGUAGAACCUGACAGCUUUGAAGAAGCAGAUUUGGAUGAAUCAUGGAGAAGUGCAAUGGAGGCUGAAUUCGAGAUGAUUGAGAAGAACAAUACAUGGAAAUUAGUUGACAGGCCAUUUGACAAACCAGUAAUUGGUGUUAAGUGGGUCUACAAGGUCAAACUGAACCUAGAUGGUACUGUGCAGAAGAAUAAAGCUAGGCUUGUGGCUAAAGGCUAUUCACAGAAGCCUGGAAUCGACUAUAAUGAGACAUUUGCCCCUGUGACAAGACUUGACACCAUCAGAACCUUGAUAGCCUUUGCAGCACAAAAGGAAUGGAACCUAUUUCAACUGGAUGUGAAGUCUGCCUUUCUCAAUGGCAUCCUAAAGGAGGAAGUUUAUGUUGAACAACCUCAAGGAUAUGUUCAAGAGAGCAAGGAAACCAAGGUGUACAGGUUGAACAAGGCUCUAUAUGGACUGAAACAAGCCCCAAGGGCCUGGUAUGAUGAAAUAGAUGCCUAUUUCAACACUGCAGGUUUUAAGAAGAGCUUAAGUGAAGCUACUCUCUAUAUCAAAACAAGUGACACCUCAGGUAUUAUCAUUGUCUCACUCUAUGUAGAUGACAUUAUAUAUACUGGAAGCUAUCCUAAAAUGCUUGAAGAGUUUAAACAAGAUAUGAUGCAACAAUAUGAGAUGACAGACUUGGGUCUGUUGCACCAUUUUCUUGGCAUGGGAGUGGAACAAACUGAUAAGCAUAUUUUCAUUCAUCAAAAGAAAUAUGCCAUGAAAAUUCUUGAGAAGUUUGGAAUGAGAGACUGCAAGUCAGUGGCAAUUCCAUUAGUGGUGAAUGAGAAAUUGUGUAGAGAAGAUGGAAGUGAAGCAGCAGAUGAAAAUGAAUUCAGACAGAUUGUAGGAAGUCUGCUUUAUCUGACUGCCACAAGACCAGAUGUCAUGUUUGCAUCUAGCUUGCUUGCUAGGUUUAUGCACAAUCCCUCAAAGAAACACAUGGGAACUGCUAAAAGGGUGCUGAGAUACAUACAAGGCACAUUAGAUUUUGGAAUUGAGUUUGCAAAGGGGAAAACAGCUACUCUAAUUGGGUAUUGUGACAGUGACUGGGCUGGGAGUGAGGAUGAUAUGAGGAGCACCUCAGGAUAUGCCUUCACACUAGGCUCAGGCAUGUUCUCUUGGGCUUCCAUCAAGCAAAACACAGUUGCUUUAUCUACAGCCGAAGCUGAGUAUGUGAGUGCUGCAGAAGCAACUUCACAAGCUAAGUGGCCCAUAUUUGUGCUUGAAGAUUUUGGUGAAGAACAGGUAGAAGGGACUCCAAUUCUAUGUGACAACACCUCUGCAAUUGCAGUGGCAAGGAAUCCAGUUCAUCACCAAAAGACAAGACACAUCAGCAGGAAAUUUCAUUUUAUAAGGGAAGCCAUUCAAGCAAAAGAAAUUGAACUGGUGUACUGCAAGACAGAAGAUCAGAUAGCAGACAUUUUGACUAAGGCUCUGCCUAAGGAUCGGUUUGUGAGGUUGAGAAGCUUGCUUGGAGUGAAAUCAGCUAAAGGAUUAGAAGGGAGUGUUGAAAUAUAAUCCUUCUACAGAUUUCUUAGAGCUGAAGUCAUUUUCUAUUUUCUGUUAAGUCUAUUUUAAAUGAUGUAAUGAGAACCAUUAGAUCAUAGUCUAGGUGGAUUCUCUAGCUUAGAUUUGGUAUGACACGUGUAAGCACCUAAUAGGGUGACAGUUGUAAUUUUGUUAGGAGAGAAUCACAUUUCUCUCUCUGUCAGACACACUAUGUAAGCUGCAGAUUGUAAGAAUUCAAUAGAACAGUGCCUUCCCCAUUUCUCUUCAUUCUCUCUAACUAAAAUCUCCAGAAUAUACACCUCUUCCUAAUCUGAAAAUACAUAUACAAACAGAGAAUUCUAACAAGAAAUAUGUAAGCUAUCUAUCUAGCGUGUCCGCAAAGAAACCAAAACGGAAAAGGAAACACCUCUGCUAUGCUAUCAGAGUAUUUUUGAACUCACCAUAAUGUCCUUGCCUUCUAAAUGUCCAUUCAUACUCUUUUCACCAUCUCUAAAGGACAAAUUUGGUAUUUCAUCCAUAUUCUUUCUAGAGAUUUUUAUUCAAAAACCCACUUUAACAUGACAUUUAUACUAAAAUAUAGAGAACCAAUUAGAAAAUAAUAAGUGGCUAGUUUUGGAUUUUUCACUCCAAAUAAGCUUUAUAAGGGCUUUUGUAUAUUAUGUCGUGCUAAAAUGAGUUUAUUAGUGAAAUUGUCAUCUUUCUAUAUCACAUCAUCAUCUUCCCAUUUAAAUGAGGUCUAGAGAUUCUCUUUCCAUUCUUUCCCCUUCUGUUUGGAUGAAGGAAUUGAAAAUUGCAUAGAAUUCUUAAACAACAAAAUUUAAAUCUCCAGCGUUUAAAUUUCUAACAAUUAAUCAUUUCAUUGUUUGGAUUUAUGUAUAUUGAAUUUUGUAAAUGACAUAAACUAUUUUGAAAACAAAUUCUACACAAUUGAAUUUGCAAAAUGACGACUCUUUUAGCUGAACUUAAACUCGAGCAUCUCCCUAAUUUCCCUGAUUUUUCCUGCUCAUCAUUUAAUAUGUUCCUUCUUUUUUUCUUUUUUCUUUUUGAAAAUUAGCGAUAGUAUAUUAUUGAUAAGUUCCAUGUUUAAGUUGCCAAACAAACCACAACCAGAAUAUUAAAAAGAAGUUAAUGACAGGACGUACGUUCAUGAAACUAACAUUUUUAUCACAAAUAUGUUUACAAAAACUCUCCAUCUACAAAUUGCAUUGAUAUUACAACAUUUACAGACUUCCCAUUUUCAACUUCAUAUUAGUAUACAGUAUUGAGAAUAUUUGCUCUUCUAAGUAAUUUACAAAUUUCCCCCCAAGUUGGGAUAGUUCCCCCGCAGUGUGAAGCUCCAUAACUUGUUUUACUUUUUGCCAUCUACUUUAAGGUGUUCAAUUCUCUGGCGUAGUCUUCUCCGAUGAUCAUGUAUCUUCAAGAGGCCAUGACCCAAUACCACAGCAGAGUAUAUGCCAUGUGUGAUCAUGGGCGCAAGAAUAUUAUUUGUCUGCCAAAUUUUUCAUAAAACAUAAGGAAAUUCGAUUAUUGAGUUUCAUCCUCUUCCGUGUAUGGUAGUUACUCAAUGAACAACAAAUUUGCAACAAAGAAACAAAAGUACCUGCAUCCACUCAAAACCAAGAUAUAGGGCCAGAUGUCCUUCAAGCAGGGGAGAGUAGAUCUUCUUCAUUUGCCUCCUCUGAUACCAAGCUGCAGAACGACCACGGAAAAAAAAUGGUGAAAUGAUAAUUCAGAUGUACAUGCUACAGUUAGAAGAUUUAGAGACGUUAUUUUGUUUUCUCCAUCUUCUUGGAAUAAGAUGGAGUAUAACUAUUGUAGUAAAGACAGUUUUCUAGGCACUUCGUUGUGGAGAACUUGUAACUUUUGUAGAUAUCACAUUGAAAUAUAAGCAUGAAUUAACUGUAUAAAAUGGAAUGAUACGUUGAUAACCAUAAUUGCAAAUACCAGCGAUCUGUUGAAAGUUUUAAUCAUCUAAUUUGGUUCCACAAACAUUAACUAGCUUAUUAUGUGAAACAAGCUGGAAGCACCGAAAAACCCAUGCUCAAGUAAGGAGUUAAACCUGCAAACAGCUUUUUCAUCUCUUCACGGCCAGAGCGAGAUGGUAAAACUGGUGCAACUACAUAAUCAGGAUCUGCAAGAAUAAUUAGCAACUGAUCAUUAAACUUGCACAAACAAAUUUCACCGAAGUUACUUAAAAUGUCAUUCAGAGAAUCAACCUUUUGGAGAGGCUGCUACAUAGUACAGAGAACCUGUAAGAGCAGCUGUAAUCACCGCUGCAAAUGCCUGAGCAAAAGGGACAAAUGGGGGAAAAAAUCCGGUCUACAAAUAGAGCGAAUUCAGUCGUCAGAAAAUGUUCAUUACUGCUGAUUAUAGUAAAGAAAAGUGAAGAAAACUGCAAUACCAGAGACGCCAUUCCUCGAGCAUCUGUGACCAGAUCUGUGCCCCUUAGAAAUAUAUCGGUCAACGAUCCCUACAAAGUCAUAAAUGAUUGGGAAAAAAAUCAUAAUGAUUUACUUCUCCUACAGAACACUGAUUCUUCCGCUCAUAUUGACAAAUCGGGAAGAUUAUAAUUUGCAAUGAUAGUUAGUAACUCCAACAUUUAAAAUUAAGUGAGAUUUUUUAACAUAUACUAAAGGCUAAAUAUAUUCAAGGAUACCACACCUGAACAGCAGCCCUGUAGAAAAGUUCCUCACCCACGGAGCUUGCAGCAACAAUUAGUAUAAACUGCGACAUUGAAGGAGCAACAUGUCACUUGUUUCUUGCUUUGUCCAAUCAGCACACCAUAAAGUGCUUUACAAUAACAUUAUUAAAGAUGGUAAACCUGCAAAGGUGACAUUCCAUAAAAGAAGCUGCGGAGCUCCUCAUCCUCUACAUCUCUAAUAGCACGAGCAUGUGGCGAUAACUUUACAACUUCAUCCUAUAACCAUUUUCACAUUCGUUAGUCACAAAAGGGGCUGAAUACAAGCUUAAACCAAUUCCUUAAAUCUCCCAUUCUCUUCUUCUUUCUCUAUAAAUCUAAUCUUUUGCAAUACACAACUUAACUUGGUAUUAGAGCAGCCAAUCCAAUCCUAGAGGUCUUAAAAAAAAUUUAAAAGGGUGAAGGACAUCAGCGUCCAUAUGAACAUAUGGAGGGUUAAUUACUAGGAACUGAUGUUGGGUGUGGACUUUUGUGCUCUAUUCAGUUGCCAAUGAGAAAUACUGAUCCUCUUCUCUCUUUUCUAUUUUAUCUUUCUAAAGUUUCUCUUUACCAAAUAAUGAAAAAUCAUUCGUAAUCCGUAUCAUUGCGUGAAAUUUCAAAAUCAAUCAAUCAAUCAACUUACAUCUAGUAUAAAGAGAAGGGCCAUGAUUGGUGGAGCUGCAUAUCCAAGCCCUUGUACAAUUGCAUCUAAAGAUACUUGGAAACCUCCCAUGCUAUCGAUCCCCGUGACAGAGCAUAUAAAUCUUCCUACCACAGCCAUUGCACCAUAUAUACCUGUUCACAGAAACCCAAUAAAAAUUCAUCGCAAGAAGUAUACAUAAUUCAAGAAUUCUCUAUAUAAAAACAAGUAACAAAAAUGGAAAAUCAAAUCAAAUUGUGUAUCAAAAUUAAAUCUUUUAUUGGUGAAAUUGACAGGAUAAGGAUUCGUUAUCCACAACACACAGGGUGUGAAAAAUUAGUAACUACGUGAAUUAUGAAGCAAGUCAGGGUAAUUAGUGUUUAAUUAUGGUAAUUAUGGUAGAGCUCACUUACCUAUUCCAUAGCUAAGUCUAACAACAGCACCAAUCUUUUCCCAAACAGGGAACUCAGCUUCGCCGAAGCUCGAAUUAAAUGUGGUGACCUCCAUGGCAGGGCUCGUGAACCCUCCUCCCCGACUCUCUCCGUCUCUUCCAUCAAUGCCUUCUCUGCUGCGUUGCUCCCCCGAGCCCCUAACCGCCGGUACCGAAACCUUAGAAGCUCCGUCGAACAGCGCCGUCCUCCUCUUUCUCGUCGCCGGAAAAUGGCAGAGGCCGAGUUUGCCACACAACGACGUCGUUGGAGGAUUAGGAGCUGUAAACGAUGUGAAAGGAAGCUCCAUUUGGUUAAACAAGUAAGGAAAUGCCGAAAACCGGUUUGUUCAGACCGAGAUAUUGGGCCGAGACAAAGUCUUCGUCGUCUUCAUUGAGCAUACUUCAGCUGUUGCUUGGUUCAGGUUUGAGCUUCGCAGCUUUUAGUAGUUGUCUGAACGGAUUUGGACCGUUGGAUUCGGGUCAGAGAGAUCUGACGGUGGGGCCCGUGCUUGAAUUUUGUAUUAUCAGGUGCAGUAGGAUGUGGGAAUAUCCUAACUGUCUAUGGGAAAUUGACACGUGGAGAUAACGCUGGCAUGUCCAAAUGCCUUGUUGUGGCCAUCACGCUAAAGGGCCCGAUAGUAUUUUCAGAGAACCGCGAAAUAAAAAAAACAAAGUGAAUUUAGGUUUUAAUUAUUAAAAAAAAAUUUCACUUUUGAAAAAAAUCAAAAAAUUUUCAAAAAAAACAAAAAAAUCUCUCGACUUUCAAAUCAAAGCCAUGCAAAUGUAAAGGAUUCCUUAAUAAAUUCAAAAAUAAAUAAAAAUAAUUUUGUUUAUUUUAAUUUCUUUUAAAAAAUUUCUCUCUUCUUUGGAGUUUUUCGAAGACUUCCUAAAAACAAAUAUAUAAAAAGAAAAGAGAGGAAUUCCACCUCAUACGGAAAAAGAGAGGAUAAUGUGGAUCGUUAAAAGAUUCCAUGCGCUUAUGAACAAGGUCAAAAGAUAACAUUUUGUUGCCCAAACUUAAUCAAUUUUUUAGUUAAUUACACUAUGUACUUACGUGGUGGUAUGUAUGAUACAUGUAAGUGUAACAGUUUGACUAAUACUUAUUAUGAUUUGACAAAAAUAACCUUCAAAAUUGCAAAUUAUUACACCAUUGACCAUUGAGUCAGUUAACCAUUUUCUUUCCACCUUCGUUCAGUUUCUAAGACACAAUUACAAUAUAAAAAUAUGGGUCAAUUUUGGUUCAACAUGCCAAGACACAUUAAUAAAUAGGUAGGUUUUAUUAAUGGGGUAUUAGUUGGAUGGAUCUAGACUUUGAUGUGCUCUUAAGUGGUUCUAGCCCUUGGUUCAAGCCCCCAUGAUACCUGUGUGUGUGAGUUUUCCUCCCUCUCCUUUCCUAACUUUGGCAACAAAAAAAUGUAGGUUUUGAAUCAAUUUGCCAACUCAAAAAUAACCCGCUCAACUAGUUUAAUAAAUGUGUCGUUUUUAACUGCAAACUACAAUCUUUAAACUCUCACAAGUAGAGACUACAAACAUGCAAAAAACUCAAAAAAAGAGUUGAUGCACUUAUUACAAACAAAAACUAAAAGGCACCAAGUAAAUCACAAGGUGAAACCCAAUAUCUGCAAAAAGACUAAAAAAAACCAAAAAAGGCAGCCACGUCAUCCCCAAGCAAAUAAAAUCCCGAACCCUAUAUGAAAAGAGAGAGAGAGAGAGAGAGAGAGAGAGAGAGAGAGAGAGAGAGAGAGAGAGUAAGGAGUGGUAAGGUGAGGGGAGGGGAAGGGAGGGGAGGUGGGAAGGAGAUGAAAGGACAAGAGAAGGAAAAGUAAGGGAGAUGAGGAGGAGGAAGACAGAUGAGGGGAGUAUGAGGAAUAGUGACCUCUUCCCCCCUCAAGAUAUGUACGGUUAGAGAGUGUUUCUCUGAGUAAAAGUGAGGAUUUUCGUCGACAGAAUAUAGAUUCACAUUUAACCCACUUAAUUAUAUUAGUUUAACUAUAAAGUUAAAUUUAUCCUUGGUAAAGCUGAAUUAAUAUCAUCAUAAGUUCGUCAGUAUUUAUGAGUAACAUUUUUUAAAAAAAAGAAAAGAAAUUUUAAUAGGUAAAAUGGGUAGAUAUUUCAAAUUCGUAGCAGUCAAUUAUUAUAUUUCACAAAAUAAAACAAUAAUAACAUUUUGUUUUUCAUAUUAUAUUGUUAAAUAAUUAGAAAGCAAGGGAAAGGCCGCGAAAGAAAAUAUGACCGUUGGAACGCUUACACGCUCUCUCUAUAUAAUGGAAACCCAACACCACCAGGAAAAGGAAGUCACGAACUUCAAUCACCGCGUCAAAGUUAAGCAGAGAGAAAACCGUAAAACGUUCGCUUCGAUCUCUGUUUUCCUUAUCAACGACAUCGUCGUCUUCGUUGAUCACCCACUUCUCUGCUUUGUCUCUUUUUCUCUUACCCAUUUCCAUUUGAUCGAUCGUUUUCUCCAUCUCUUCGCUUUUGUGAGACCCAGACCAAGAAUUAAAGGCUUUAAUUUUGUUUCUGCAAAGUACGAAAAACAAUGGCUUCAUUGAAGCAGAAAAGAGAAACCCUAAAGGAAGACGAACCAUGGCUUGUAGAGAAGAGUUUUUUAGUUGCUGGGCGUGAGUGGGUUCGAGGGCGGAUUCUCGGCCAAGGCGGAUUUGGGUCGGUUUAUUUGGCCUCUGUGAAAAAACCCAAAUUGGGUAGGGAGGGUUUUCCGGCGAUCAUGGCUGUGAAAUCGGCAUUGAUGGCUAAAUCGUUUGAGCUGGUGAGCGAAAGGUCACUUCUUGGCGAGUUUCGUGGGUGCCCUUUUGUUAUCGACUGUUAUGGAGAAGAUUUCACGGCUGGGAUUGGAUAUAAUUUGGUAUACAAUGUGUUCUUGGAAUAUGCUGAUGGAGGAACAAUAGGGGAUUUGAUAAAGCAAUCUGGGGGCUCCGGGCUCUGUGAAUUACAAGUGAGGAAGUAUACAGAGUCGAUUUUGAAAGGAAUUCAGUACAUUCACGAAAGGGGUUUUGUGCACUGUGAUUUGAAGCCUGAAAACAUCUUACUUGUGACCUCUGGUUCUGGUUUUGUGCCCAAAAUUGGGGACUUGGGACUGGCAAAGAGGGCUGCGGGUGAGCGUUCUUGUAGAGGCACUGCAAUGUACUUAUCUCCUGAAACUGUGCUUGAUAGCAUUCAGGAGAAGCCUUCCGAUAUUUGGGCAUUGGGCUGUGUUGUGCUCAAGAUGCUCACUGGGAGGCACCCAUGGGAUGCAAAAGCCGGCUUGAAACUUCAUGACCUAAAGCCUCUGAUUGCUUCUGGAGUUCCUAAGGUUCCUGGUGGGUUAUCAAAAGAUGCUAGAGAUUUCUUGAAGAAUUGCUUUGCGAGGAACCCUUCACAGAGGCUUACAGCAGCUAAGCUAUUGGAACACCCCUUUGUGACUAAAGUUGAUGAGAUUGCACAGGUUAAAGCUGAACCAAUAAAGGAAGUUUCUUCAGUGUCAUCUUCUUCGAAUUGCAGUCUUGAUUAUGGUAGUUUCAUACCACUUGGAAGUUGGAGCUCUGAAAAUGCAGAGGAGAUGGAGCAACAGAUUCUUCCUUUGGCCAUCUUGUACCCUAGAGAUUCAAGGCCUGUGAUCCCAAACACCGGGUGCCAAAAGCCAUCAGCUUUUGCUAUAAUGGGUGCAGCUUAGUUUAAUUUUUUUUGAAAGCCUUCUCAUGAAUUUGAUGUAAUAUUUCAUUAUUCAGUGUUUGUGAUUGUAAGGCUUGACAUUAUGUAAAUUCUUUUCUCACGGUUGUAUUGGGUUCAUUGUUAAUAGAGAGCUAACAGUUCCACUUUGAUCUCUUUCUCUUGGUUCUCCCAUUGUGUGUUGGUGUUAUGUUUUACUGAUGUAGAUAAUCUCACUAAUCAUUGCAUUUGAUCCAUUAGGUUCACAUAAGAUUAGUAGUUUACAAGUUACGAUUAAAUCAGCAUGUAAAACUUCUAAUCAAUAAUGUCAACUUUCAAAGGAUAUUUGUAAUAGAUUCUCAGCGAUGGCUUUGUACCAUCAUUUUGUUGAUGACUACUAUUUUCUGCAGUAUGCCCUAGAAGUUGUAGCAAAAACUAAUGACCAACAUUUAUUCAGGAAUGGUGUCAAUUAUUCGACAAUUUGCAUCGUAACUUUGUAUCUCCUGGUUAACAAUAUGUACACAGAAACUAUGAGUAGCCCAAAAUACAACCGCACAAAAAUAUACAAAGAUUCAUUGUACAUGGAGGUUGCAGAAAACAUAAGCUACAACAGAGUAUCUUGCUCUGUAGCAUCUUCCUGGGCUAGAUCAUUCGUUCUCCUCAGAAAUCGAGAUAAACAUGCACUGACUGUUCUCGGCUAAGAUAUAAAGGCAAAACAAGCAUAAUCCUGUUUCAGGAGCAGACAGAUUCAAUGAAAAAGAAAAUUUUACACGAAUGCAUUCAAAUAGUAAAAGACUUUGUAUCAAUUAAAAACAAAAGAACAAAAGCAAGUUGCAAAUCAGACAGUGGCUACUGAAUCUGACAAAACACCAUGUAAGUUGUCACCCUGCUUUUUAUCUUAAAUGGCCAAACUACAAAAACUAUCGCAGCUACAAAGAGGUAACAGAUUUAAGCAAAAAACAUACCAGCAUAGGCAACUGUAAGACCUGACACCAACCGUCCCAAAGCUGAAAGCUUGUAAAGACAAAACACCACUCGGAGAAGAUUUAAAUACGAAGUUAUCUGGUGAGCUGUCUGCAAGAAUGACUUAUUAUCAUUGUUGACAAAUUUGCAUAACUUUACUCUACAUGACAACAUGCUAUCACGAAAAUGAUAAGCCACAUCUGCAACCAUCCCAACGGAAAGGAAAAAGAAGAUCAAUUUGAUAGACUAGCACAGCCAAGAUUUGUUCUUCAAGCAGACUGCUUUAAUAACAUAUGAUGGCCUGUGAGCCAAGGGACCAGCCACCGCAAGAUGCCUUUACUCAGGACAAAAGUUUCAUGGUUAGAAUAGAUAGCUAGAAAUAUAUAGUGAGGGCUCAGUGCAAAACAUUAAUUCUCUACUAUAGCAAAGCCACAGAUCUGGUAACACAAAGAUAUUUUUUAUUCUCUUGGGAACUGUUAGUACAAGUACGUUUUAGCUUCCAUUCUAUUCUUCUAAAAUACUAUGCAGUAGAAGAGAAGGUACAUUAUGGAGUGCCCUCCAAGUGGCAUCCAAGUCUUCCCAGUGAGAAACACAAUUGCAAGCAUGAAAACACACGUGCACACAUAACAACUUGCAUAUGCAACUCAAUACCAUAAAAAAAGAUCCAAAUUUUGAAGAUAUCCAAGUUCAAAAUAUGUCCUGACUUGGGCCAUUUUAUAAUUCUUAAGACAGUUAUUAGGACCUCUCCUUAAUACUUAAAUUUUCCAGCAGCAUACGUAUAGAUGUUAGCUAUUGAAAAUUUUCAUCCAUAGACACCGAAUUAUAUAGACUGUGCAAAAGCUUGAUACCAAAAAAAAAAAAAAAAAAUUCCUUGCAGUCAUCAAGCAUUAUUACCUUGAAAAACAACCUCUUGUCAGGUCCUAUGGCUGCAACCCUCAGUAGAGACUCAGCUCUUCCUAUGAUCUUCGCAAAAAGGGCAACAAUGCUAUUAGCAGUGUCCUACGAAAUCUGCCACUGGAGUGGAUCAACGAAUACCCUAGUCAACAAUAAAACUAGAUACUUCAAUACAAAGAUCUCCAUUCACCACAACAAUAGUAUCAAAUCUGUAAAUUCAUAAUUUGACACAGAAACCGCAUAUCAAGUGAUACCAUUCACGCAAUUACAAUUUGAAACAAAGGCAUUUUAUUUCAAGAACCACAAAUUUCAGUUCAUCUAUCAAGGAAGCAACUCCAAUUUUUCUUCAAUGCCCUAUAACCUUAUAAAAAUUCCAAUGCAUCCAUUCAUAAACCUAAACGAAACCCAAAUUUCUCAAAAAUGAUUCUUAAUCAAACUCAAUUAAAGCACAACAAAUUUGCAUUCAAUCUCAACCAUUAUCAGAUAAAACCAAACUCCAAAUUCAUCCAUCAGCCCAAUAACAAGCCCUUAGAAACCCAAAUUCCUCAAAACCCAGAAAAAUAAAGCAAAAACAGAAAGAAAAGUAAUCACUUUCCCGCAUUUCAUGGGCAGACAAAACAAAAUGGGGAAUCUGGACUUACGAGAUGUUCAUUUGGCGAAGAGAAUGGCGAGCGAGCAGAGGAGGACGAUGAGGACAGCGGAGACGAAGCUGGAGUUGAUGAAAAAUUUUCCAGUCUUGAUAAGAUUAUUAUUUAAAGCUUGCACCUUUUCUUCUUCUAAGGAUUAAAGAACUUGUUGGCCGGAGGUUUCUUUACGGAUACACUAACCGAACAAAAAUCCCCAAAUUUUCAUCUAUUUUUCUUUUUCUAUAUGUUUCCAUAACAAUACAUUUUAAUCUUCUCGGAAGAAAAAUCAUGGGUAUGUUGCUCUCCCUCAAAAUCUAUUUCUCUCAGUCGAGAUUUUACAGAAUUCUCAUUGGCCAUAGGAAAGAUGAACGAUUUCGGUUGGUUACAAAGGGAUUCGCAUUGUGGUGGUUCAGAGAGAAGCCUCAUCUUCCUUGAGAUAAUCUGGAUCUGUUUGCCUGUGAAGGAAAUAAAUAAAUAAAUAAAUUUUGGACGGAAAAAGGAAAACGCUGUUGCCUGUGAAGGAAAUAUUAAACGUGAAGAAGAAGAGCUAUUACGAUGUUUUAUUAUUAUUUUUAACUAGCCAAUUGGUUUUUUUUUUUUUUUUUUUUUUUUAUUUUUAUCAAUAUAUAUAUGGUUAAUGUAAAUAUUAAGAAUUGAAAUUAUUAAUUAAAUUGGUAUAAUAUGAUAAAUUCAUAUGUUUUCAUAUUUAAAAAAAUUAAAAUAAAAAGAAAAAUCAGAUAAUAAAUCAUAUUUUUAUGGAACGCAACUACCCAUUAUCUUUUUAAAUUCUAAAAUAAAUUUAAAAAAAAAUUUAAAAAGCCUCUCGCAAGCGCAUGCGUAGAAGCUAGUAAUUAAGAAAAAACUAGCCUCUCCGCACGCGCUUCCGCGCUUGCAAGAGGCUUUUUAAAAAAAAUAAAUUUAUUUAUUUUAGAAUUAAAAAAGAUAAUGGGUAGUUGUGUUCCAUAAAAAUAGGAUCCAUUAUUUGCUUUAUCUUUUUCUUUUAAUUUUUUUAAAUAUGAAAAAGUGUGAAUUUACCAUAUUAUCCUCAUUUAAUUAAUAAUUUGAAUUCUUAACGUUUGCAUUAAUCAAGGACAUUUUUUGGUAUUUUGAAUGUUUCACCAUUCUCUGCCUCUUAGUUAAUAUAAAUAUUAGCCUCUCUGCACGCGCUUCCGCGCUUGCGAGAGGUUUUUUAAAAAAAAUAAGUAAAUUUAUUUUAGAAUUAAAAAAGAUAAUGGGUAGUUGUGUUCUAUAAAAAUAGGAUCCAUUAUCUACUUUUUCUUUUUCUUUUAAUUUUUUUAAAUAUAAAAAAGUGUGAAUUUACCAUAUUAUCCUCAUUUAAUUAAUAAUUUGAAUUCUUAAUGUUUGCAUUAACCAAGGGCAUUUUCUGGUAUUUUGAAUGUUUCACCAUUCUCUGCCUUUUGCUUUAUAUUAAGAAAAAAUAACAUGAAUAGUUAUGUUCCAUAAAAGUAGGACAUAUUAUCUUAUUUGUUUUUAAUUUUAAUUUUUUUAAUACGAAAAUGUGAAUUUACUAUAAUAUCCUUAUUUAAUUAAUAAUUUCAAUUCUCCAGUUUGGCAUUGCUGUGCUGUAAAAUAAUUGCUGUCAGAUUUGCUGUAAGAAAAAUCAGCUGUGGGAGAAAGCAGUUUGGUGUUCGGUAAAAUUUUUGUUAAAAGUGUUGUUGGUAUUGAUUUUCGCAUAAUCAGAAAAUGAUUGCUGCAUAAUCAUUAAACUUAGUGCCUCUACAAAACUGAUUCUUGCAUAAUCAGAAAAUGAAAGCAUCUUAUUAGCUGCUUUCCCUUAUAGCUUUCUCUCACAACAAUUUUUAACAAUAAGUAAUUUUAUCACAGUUUACCAAAUGGGUUAGGCUUUCCAAAAAAAUUUAAAAAUCACUUAUCACCUCAAAUAAGUAAUGCCAAACUGGCAUGUUUGAAUUAACCAAAGGUAUUUUCUAGUAUUUUGAAUGUUUCACCAUUCUCUGCCUUUUGCUUUAUAUAUAUAAAUAAAAGUUGACGGUUUUAAAGUUCUGUCAACUAUUUCGACAGGUAUCAAAAUUUUAGAAAAGAGAGACACAAGGAUCCCGUCCCCCAUGGGAACCCUCGCCACCACUACCACACUACUCGCAACAUCGUCUACAAACCACCUUAUUCACAGAACAAUUUGUAUGACAACAUGAUUAACGUGUAUGUAAUUUUUGUUUUUGUUUUGGAGUAGAUGCUUCUAUUGUAUAAAGGAUAGCAAAAUCAUCUGUAACCCAAAUGUGAGAGAAGAGAAAACAAAAAGAGGAAUCUUUGAAACCUCUUUAAUCGACCACACCAAAUAGCAAUUAAGCGACUAAAAACAAAGCCUACAAGUGAAAAAGAAAAUUAACAAAAAAAUUAACAAAAUAAAACUAGAAAAAGAAAUUACAUUUGAAAGAACUCAAAAAUAAGAAUGAAAACAAAACAAUGGGUGAUAAGCAAUUACAUUUAAAAGAAUACAUGAAAAUAAAAGUAAAAGUAAAGCUUAAAAAAAUAAAAAAUAAAAGUAAAUUUAGGUUUUAGCCACAAAAAAACUUUUACUUUUGGAAAAAGUCAAAGCUUUUUCAAAAUAGACAGAAAAACCUCUCAACUUUUAAAUAAAAGACAUACAAAUGUAAAUGAUGCCUUAAAAAAUCUAAAAAUAAAUAAGGGCAAAUUUGUCCAUUUUGACUUCUUUUAAAAAAUUUCUCUCUCCUUUGGGUUUUUCCAAAGUCUCCCAAAAAUAAACAACAACACAUGGGCUAAAUCGAAAGCACAACCCAUCGACUCCGUUUGGUUCAUGGGAAAGGAGACUUGGGGAUGAGAAAUCAAUUAUUUUCUUAUGUUUAGUAAGUCCAUGCAUGGAAAAUCGUUGUCUGGCCCAUGAGAAAAUAAGAGGGAAAGUGAAGUCAUCCUCCCAACUUGGGUUUUGUUUUCCCUCAUCACGGAAAAGUUUGGUGAAAUGAACCAAUAUUAUGACCAUUUUGUUUCCAUUAACAAUUUAGAAUUACAAUAUAUCAUUAAAUGCAUUCUUUUUUUAUUUAAUUUAAUAUGGGUAUAAUUGAAAAUUUAUACAAACUUUGUUUUCCAUUCCUACUCAGAACAAACAUGGGAAAGAUAAUAAAGUGUUAUCUCCUGGUUACUUUCCCAGCAUUACCGAACAUUUAAAAUGAAUCUUCCAUUUCUCAUCACGUGGGAAAUGAUAUGGGAAGUGAUUUCCCCUCAAAUUCAUUCCGUGAACCAAACAAUGCCUGAAGGUAAGGAAGAAAAAUAAAAUACUCCAUAGGACCAAGUCCGGCUGAUGUAGCUAUGAGGCAGUUAAUGAUAACAAGUCAAACUUAUCUAGUGUUGCAGUAAUCGUGAAACCGCAAAUAACUUCUCCGAACUGAUAUACAGAAUGUGUAACCGUCAACAAUAGCUCCAGUCAAGUGUAGACAUCGGAAAACCUCCAAAAUUUCAACGAGAAUGAUCGGAAAUGUAUGCGAUGUGUAUAGGUGUGGCUGUGAUUGUAUCAUUGCACAAAAAAAACCCAUCAAUAACUGCUCCAAGACCGAUCAUGCUUUCGUAUCACAGCCACCAUCUCUUGUAGAAAUGUCAACCGGCCGGUGCCACCAAAAAAGAACACAACAAAACGAAUCGACACUAAAAUUGUGACAGACCAAAAGGAACCGCAGUUUAGCGGAAAUCAAGUUUGGGGAGGCGCUGUAAAGACAUGUUUUAAAAAAUAUAUAUAUAUAUAAAUUCUCUUAUGCAGAUGUCCGGACGUUAUUAUCGUGCGAACGCCAUAUAUUUUCUACUAUCCCUCCCUGCUUUCCUCCCUAUUUACAAUGACAUCUACAGAAUAAUAACAUGCGGACAUCCGGAUAAAAAAAUACAUAAAUAAACAUUUUGGUCCUUUAAGUUCAGCUCAAGUCUUUAGGUCUAAGCAAACCCAUUUAUUUUCUUUUAAGCCUAAAACAAUGAGCCUAAUGUUUUGUCUCAUAUGUAACUUGAGAUACAGCAGCUUUUUCUCAACGAAAAAAAAUCCUACAGCCAAAUAUUUCAUUCUUCCUCGUCUUCUUCAUUCUCUCUUGCUUUGUUUCUUUCAAAAAAUAUCCUCAUGCCUUGUAAGCACUCUAGGGUGCUUAUUAGUGAAGGCUGUAUAAGCUGGUGGAGAGUCUAUAGGAGGAGGUGGCUGUUGGUGAUGAACUUAGAUUGCUCUGUAAGCAAUCUAUAUGGUUGACUAAUCCCAGUUAGAGUGCUGAAUAAUCCCAGCUAUAAAGAGGAGGUGGAAAUAGGUUUUAAUCAUGACUUUUCCACCUAAAUAGUUGAAGUUAGAGAAGGAUUUUUCAUAUAUGUUUUUAGCUCACUUCACUAAUAGAAAGAAAGAGACGGAGAGGAAGAAUUCUGAAAGAGAAAAAGAAGAAAGAAGGAAGGCUUAAGGGUAAAGAGUUUUUAUAGUUUUGGGUGUCUUCAGUAAAUUCUUUAGUUUUCAAUUGGAAGUUUUAUGCUUUUAUCAUGUUUUAAUCUGGAAAUAAAAUGCAUGUAUAUUUUAUCGUCUCUCACUUAAAAAUUAACAUAUAGCAGAUAUUGUUCUUUCAAGACCAUCGUUCUCAAACUGCACCAUAAUUUGGACUUGCCAUGUUGAGGCUCAAUCAAUGGUUUUAAUUUUAAUUUUUCUCUAUGUACUGAUAUGGAGACUCUAGAGAGAGAGAGAGACAGAGAGAGAGAGAGAGAGAGACAGAGAGCCGUCCCGAUCAUAUUGUGCAAAGAUGAGCCAUGUCCUACGAAGUAUAUAACAAAAGAAUUCUUGCCAAAUUUUUUCAAAUUUUUAUAUGGUUGAAAGGCUGAUUCUUCAAACUUUAAAAUGACUAUUCAUUUGUAAAAUUUCGUUGAGAUUUGGUAAGCCAUAAUGCUGUUCAAAGUGGUCCAUUUAAACCAUUUAAAGCCCAGUUUUUAUAUAAAAUAGUGAGCAGUCAUCUUUUAUUUCACUAUUCUAAAUAUUUUCUUUUUGUGUUUUUACGCUUAGACUCAAGGACUUUGUUAGGGCCUGACAAAGCUUAAGGAAAGAGUUUGCUAGCUGGGAAGUAAGGUAGGGGAAUUCUGGGGAUUAAUUACAUGGAAUUAUAUUUAAAUUGAAUAUUCUUGUUUAUGUUCUUAUUGUUGAAACUUCGUUAAUUCUUUUACAUUUGUUUUUAUUUAUGAAAUUGGGUUAUGAAUAUUGCUAUUACAUAAUGCUUUCCAUUAUCAUGACUUGCUUAUCAUUGGUUGUUGGAGUAAAGGAAUUCAUUACACUUGGGUUAUGAGAAAGGAAAAUAGCUUUUGUGUAGUUGAGUCUAACCAUUGUAGGAACCAAGUUCAAGCGAGUCUGUGUGACAGUAAAAUAGGAUAUCAGUGAUAUAAUUAUCGAUUGGGUGAUUUGGGCUUGGAAAUCAAUGGUUUAGGCAAGACGACUAGCAAAAAGGGAAUAUGAAAUUGGGAAUGUUACGGGUGUUAGUUUAUGUAAUAGGGCAUUUAGAAUCACAGUCGUAAAAUGCAUGAUAUGGGACAUGCAAAUUUGUUUGCUUGCAUAAUUUUAUAAAUCUCACUAAUCACAUAAGACAUAGGACCGUUACUGAGCUUGUAGUGCUCACCCCUUAUUAAAUAUGUUGCAGGUUUUGAAUCUGAGGUUUAGUUUGUGACUUGGAAACAAGAAGAACGAGUUGUAGAUAGUUUUGGACGUUUGUUGUAAAAAAAUAAAUUAAGAGAGUGUUUCUUUCCUGUUAUUUUGCUUGUAAAAUCAUAAUGUAAAUUACUUUGGUUAAAAUAAAGAUUUAUGUUCAGUUUUCAUGUUUCUUGUUAUUUAAAGUUUUAGUUUUAGUUUUUCUUUUACCUCACACUUCCAUAAGAAGGGGGAAAAAAAAUUGGUGUAUGACAAGCUCUAAAGUUUAAUGAAAUUUACAAAAUUCUGAAAAUAACCCGAAAUAUUUUCACGCUAUUUCUUCUCGGAAGUCUUUAUCCUCCCUCGAGUCUUCACGCUCUCUCCAAGCCAAAAGUCACUCUUCUCCUUCUCUUCCUUUUUGUUCUUCAAUUUUUGUUGCUCUUCACUUGGAUGUGAACCUUGCAGACCUCAUUGGUUUCAUUUAGUUAGUUAGCUGUUUUCAACUUCUUUUUUUUCAGUAAUUUCGACUCUCCUAAUUUGCUUUCAAGACACUAGAAAUUUUUUGGCAAGAAUUCUUUUGUUAUAUACCUUGUAGGACAUGGCUGAUCUUUGCACAAUAUGAUCGGGACGGUCUCUCUCUCUCUCUCUCUCUCUCUCUCUCUCUCUCUCUCUCUCUCUCUCUCUCUCUCUCUCUCUCUCUCUCUCUCCAUAUCAGUAUCAUAGAGAAAAAUUAAAAUUAAAACCAUUGAUUGAACCUCAACAUGGCAAGUCCAAAUUAUGGUGCAGUUUGAGAAAGAUGGUCUUGAAAGAACAAUAUCUGCUAUAUGUUAAUUUUUCAAGUGAGAGACGAUAAAAUAUACAUGCAUUUUAUGCAAUUAUAAGAUUAGAUAUAUUUAUGAUUUCAUUCUUUUGUGCUUAUAUCUAUUAUAAGAAAAUAUGCUCUAACAUAAGAAGAAAAAAAAAGCAGUUUAUUAUUAAAUAUUUAUUGCAAGAGGAAGCGAUCUUCAAGGAAGAAUAAGAAGGUAAUAAACCACAAGAAUAUUGCUUAUAUUUUCUAUUGAAAAAGUCUUGGUAGAAAAACUUGAUUAUGCAAAGUUAAUUGAUACUUUGCCAUUGAAAAAUGCAAGACGAGUGAUGUUUUAAUGCAUUUUAUAAAGUUGUUAUGUGAAUUACAUUUUGUUUAUUUUUUUUUAGGUUACAAUUCUGACUUUGAGUUCAUAUAAUUUUUUUUUUAACUUAUCGAAGUAGAAGACCACAUUUUGGUAGUUCGCCUAGGGCCUCCAAAACCUUAGGACCACUAUUGUAUUAAGGAGAAGUAGCAAAUUAGUUGACCUGCCAGCUACCAUUAGGUCCAAGCAUUAGUAUUUUGUGAGGACGAAUGAGAGAUUAUAUAUUAAUUCAGUUUAUAAAGCCUUGUAUUUCUAACAUUAUUCAUAAGAGAUUGAAUUUUCGUUCAUGGUUAUAUUUUAUGUACUAUUUAUUCUUGAUAACACCUAAAUAUUGCAAUGAUUUAACAAUUUUAACAUAAUAUUUUAUUUAUUUUAUGAUUAAAAUAAUUUUUAGGUGUGAAAGUUAGAAAACACAUUAAACACAUUAAACACAAGAAUUAUAUAAGUGAAAGUAAAAAUAAAAUUGCUUUGCUUUUUACUAUACAAUUGAAUAGAAUCCCAAAUAAUUUUAACAUAUGCCCUUAAUAUCGUUUUUAUAGAAAAUUUAUCAAACACUUAUAAACUGAUUAUUGUACCAACACUUUUAACAAGAAGUUUAUCAAAUACCAAAUUGCUUUUUUUAAAAAUAAAAAAAAAUCUGACAGAGAUUAUUUUCACAUCACAACAAUCACAAACUAACCCUCCAUCAUGUCUCGUGUUUAGACAUCCAAGUAAAAGAAGCACGCAUUUUACAACCGAAAAAAACGGGAAGCACGCAUCAUUUAUAAGGACAAGCCAUGCAUUUUAGUAUGACAUUACGGGAAGGAAAAAAACACGUGUGAGUUUGUGUUUGAGUCACACAUUACUUAGCAAAGAGGACCUGUUUUCUUUUAUUUCUUUUAUUUCUUUUAUUUAUUUAUUUAUAUAAAAAAAGAGAAAAACUACAAACGCAAACCACGGGACACACAGGCCCAACGAGUCAAAAUAAAAAGGAACAGAGCAACACAAAGGAAGACCCUGCUCCUACAGACGGGUUCAUUCCCUUAUUUUCCUUUCUUUUUAACUCAUAUAUAUGAUUUUUGUUGGAUAUGAAACCCAGCUGUUCCCUUUUAUGGUAUUUUCUUACUUAUUUGCUCAAAUUUGACGGUUAUGUGUGACAAAUUUAAGAAAAGUAGAGGAGAAGCUAGGACAUGCAAUGUGUGCAGCAGCACUUCACUUUCGUCUUGUAUGCAUAUCAAACCAGUGGCUUCACUUUCACAAGCGGCUACAGAGACCGACGGGUUUUCAGACGAAAUCUCCAUGGGAAAGGCAGCUCCUACUUCUCAAGAUUUUGAGUCAAAUUCAAAGGUAAGACUUUUGAGAAAUCAGUUGUUCAUGGUAGUAAUCAGUUUAAGAGAAGAAGAAAUUGAAUGCCCAGUAGUAAUUUUUACCAAAAUAAUCUUCACAGGCAUUAGUGUUUCUUUCAAACAAAGCAAAUUCGUCAGAAAUUUCAUCUUUGACUGACAUUGACCCCAAUCGUGGUUUCCUAAAGGUGGGUAAUUUAAAUUAAUUUUCUUUAAUCAGAAAAAAAUUGUUCCUUUUUGAAGAAAUUAUUUAAGGUUGAAAUUUAAUUCCUGGGUUCUUCUUCAGUUUCCUUCAAAGUGGCCUGAGGAGCAAGCAGAAACAUUGUCAAACAGCAUGGCAACCUUUAGGGUUGAGGAUCAAAUUGGUGGUAUGUAUAGUUAUGCUGAACCUCUGAAAACUCACUCUGAAUUGAAUGAUGGAGGCCCAGCGAUUGAAGUUGGAAUUUUUUCAGGUAAAAAAGAAGAUGAUGUAAAGUGUGAUGCAGUAGUUGAGGAACAGGAAGCUCCUUCGCAGUCUAAGCCUGUUAACUGUGAUGAUGGAUCAGAUGUCGGGGAGGAUGAUGUAUGUACUUUUUCUUUCUGGUAAAAUUUACUGCUAAACUUGCUUCUUGUGUCCUGUCUAUCUUACCGGAAUGGAACCAUGAAAUUUCCUUAAAUGUUGAUAUGCAAACUUUGGAAUUCCUGAGAUGAUGAGGAACAAGUUGUUGUGAACCUCGACAUCAUACUUUCCUCUCAUAAAUGGAGCAUUGUCCCAAGAAGACAAAUGAUAGUAGUACUGCACAUGGACACAUAGACACAGAGAUAGACAUCCAUGCACACACUUGCAACCACAGAAAGCCAUGCACCGCCACCACUGUUGCAUAGCCAUACAAACUUGUUUUUGAAAGGAAACGGUGCACAGGUGUAUAGUGGUUAUCAAGUACUGAAGGUGGUGGUGCCUAAUGUGUUCUCAUAGAUUUUUGUACUUCAGAUAAAUAUUCCUUUCUUUUUAUAAUCUGAUCCACUGUGCAUUUGGCUGAAAACUGUAUUUUAUUGCUGGUCUUAUGUCAUAAUAUGAUUUACACUAAGUCUGUGUUUAGCCCAUUCUAUGCAAACCUGCACAGGCAGGGAGGAAGUGGAUGGGUUGGUGGUGGUGGGGGGAUUAUUUUGGUAGACAAUCUCGUUUAGUCCAGCUAAGCCGCCUUAUUUGAGUAGAUUGGCAUUGACCAGCAAUGCUUGUCCUAUAUUGAGAUGAUUACAGGGUUGAUUAGUAUUGCCCAGUUGAUAAUGCCUUUAUUCUUUUGUUUCAAGAAAAGAGAUUGUUACUUAAGUUGUCUGGGUACACGCACACAUGAACACAUGCUAAAUUUAGUUAUUGUCAUCAUAAGGUGGUAAAUAAGGGAAAGAAAUUGGCAGUUCUGUUUGAUUUUAGCUUUGUUGGAAUGCAAGUAACAGUUACUAAUUUGGAUGCAAAGGUUUGAUAGAUAAUAUGGCACAUGGCUAUCUUGUUGAAUCCUCACCCUAUAUUAUUCUCCUGUUUCCUUCUAUUGCUUCCUGUAUGUAUGGCCUUUAAAUAAAACUGCACUGUUGAUGUAGGAAACUAUUCUUUCUUUGUUGCUAUUGCAUCAAUUACCCUUUUUCAAUUAAAUAGGGCAACAAUUAUCUUAGUGAUUCCAUUUUCCUGGUCCUUCUUUGGGUCAUGCAAAAACAGGUGAAAGUUUGUGAUAUCUGUGGGGAUACAGGUCGUGAGGAGUUGCUUGCUACAUGUAGCAGGUGCAUUGAUGGGGCAGAGCACAUGUAUGUAGCUCAUCUUUUCUGGAUCUUUUUGUUUUUGUGUGCUUUCCUUUGUUUAUUUAUUUUUUUCCCUAUAGAACUUGAAAGCCUAUGGUUUUCCUUAACUUAUCUUCUUGUGUCAACCAGAUACUGCAUGCAGGUAAUGAUGGAAAAAGUUCCUGGAGAUGACUGGAUGUGUGAAGAUUGUAUGCGUAUGGAAGAAUCUGAGAAACAAAAUCACAACUAUGUAAAAGCUGAAAGGGUCGUAAAAGGAUCAUCUUUGAGCGGUAUAAGGAAAAACUAUAAAAACGUGGAUGCUUCAGAGUUCAAGAACAGAUUGUCAAUGAAAAGUAAAUGUGCUAGAGUUGAGAUCAAAACAGGCAAAGCUGGUUCUACUCCUAGCAUUGCUGGCAAAGGACCUACAGUCAAUGCAGAAGCUGUGUCUGUCAGUAAAAGAAGGGCUCUUGAAACAAGUGUGAAAUUGCCCAGGGUUCCUAGUUUCUGCAGCAAAACUGUACUGCAUAAGGAUGCUUCCAAAAAGGAAUUAGAUAAGAAGAAAAUAAAGGCAACCACGGAUGUCAUUUCUGGUGACCGAUCUUCGAGCAGUUAUCUGAAAAAUGCGUACUUGCCUAUUACAUCAGACAAAUCAGACAAAUUUCGAUUGCAGAUGCAAUUGAGAAAAGGUAUACUUGUUAUGCAGCUUAGAGGCCAUAGAUAUUUUUUGACAACAUUUUGUAUGAAUUGUAACUGCAUAUGAUAAAUUCUCAAUCAUGACUUUACAGGUGCUCUAUUGAAGUCAAAAUCAUUCAACAUCAUUGAUUCAAAAGUGAAGGGCAAACUGUCAGAUGAAGGUGGUGUCCAAAAGCAUAAAUUUGUCGACAACAAUGCUACUGAUGACAACAAAAAGAAAAAUAUCGCCGGCACAAUGUGUAAAUCUUUGUCCUUUGAUAAUGCCAGGUCAAACUGCUCAAAUUGUUCCGAUACAAAAGUUAAAGUGCCGUACCAUCUCAAGGACUCGAAGAAAUCGACGUUUACAAAUCAAGAGAACUCUACUCAGGUGAAGCAUGAAGCCAAGCUACUUAACCCUUUAGUGAAUAGUUCUGGGCUUCUCGUGCCACAGAGUGACAAAAAAAUUGCAUCUAGUGGUCAAACUAGUUUACUCCCUGUUGGUCAUGAUCUGGAGACUGGCCAUAGGAAAUCGAAAAACUUAUCAGAAGCAAGUAAUCAUCUUGCUCAUGAAGGCUCAAGGUAUGUAAAUGAGAAAGAGAAUAGAGUGGUUGGUGAUGCGAAACAGCAUGCUGAUCAUUACAUAGAAGCAGCAGUUGCUAUCAGAGAAAAUAAUUCUAAUGUCAAUUUGCAUUCGGAAGGAAGGCCUCAUGUGAGAAACGCUUCAAACGCUUUUUCUCUGGCUUUUGCUGUCCCACAGCUUGAUUACAUAUGGAAGUAUGGCCUUUUUCUCCUUUAGUAGAUCUUUUCUUGUACACUGGUCUUUGGCUUGCCUUUUGAGUAUGUUCUGAUGCAUGUGCUUCUGGCAUUUCAUGCAGAGGUGGAUUUGAAAUGUGGAGAAAUGGAAGAGUCCUUGGUUCUUGUGAUGGAAUGCAAGCACAUUUGUCUACUGUUGCUUCACCCAAAGUUCUUGAAGUAGUACCCAAGCUUCCUCAGAAAAUGCUGGUGGAGGAAGUUCCUCGCUUGAGCACAUGGCCAACUCAAUUCGUACGAAAUCAUCCAACAGAAGAUAAUAUUGCUCUCUACUUUUUCGCAGAAGAUCUUGAGAGGUUUUGUUUAUGUUAUUCCUUAAAUUAAAUAAUAAAUUAAAUAAAUUAAAUAAUGAAUUAAAGUUUUCUCUCAUGCUGGCCAUCUGUCUAAUUCUGUAUGCUAUUUAUCCAGCUAUAGAAGAAACUACAAAGUUUUGGUGGAAUGCAUGGUUAGGGAUGACUUGGCUCUUAGGGCAAAUGUUGAUGGGGUUGAACUGUUAAUAUUCCCAUCUAACAUGCUUCCUGAGGAUUUGCAAUGUAAGGAUUGACCAUUGUGCAUGCAUAUUUUAAAGAUGGUUUUCGACACACAAUUUAAUCAAAUAUAUAUAUAUAUAUUCUUUUUUCCCCUGUAAAUGUAAUCUUAUUCUUUGGCAGGUUGGAAUAGGAUGUUAUUUCUGUGGGGUGUGUUUAGAGGAAGGAGGGUUUCUUGCUCUGAACUCAUGCAGCCUUCAAGAGAUGUGAAUCAAGUUGACUCUAUCCUGGUAUGUAUAUUUAGUUAGUGAUUAAUUGCCUUAUUAAUGCAUUCUCCUUUCUUUUAUAUAUAUAUAUACUUCUCCAAAGCUUUAGCUGUUAGUUCAUGUUUAGCUGUCAAUCAUAUGGCGAGGAUAAUAACUUUAUUACAAUUUUUAAGUAUAGAAUGAAGAAACAAAAAUAAUAAUUAAGGAAAAACACUAAGGAUCGAUGAAUUAUGACACUUUUAGCAUCAUGGAACAUGGAGGUCUUUGAAUAUCCUUCAGAGUCAUCAGCAACUGUAUAGUUAGUUGUUUGCAGAACAGGGUUUGUAGUUAAGAGUAUCAUCCCUUCACUUAUAACUAUAUAUGUAUGAAUAUAUAGAUAAACAAAUAAAUUUAAACUUUUCUUUUAUGAUGAACAUGCACUAAAGAAAUAAUAACUUUACCUCACAUUUAUAGUUUGUCAAACCCAAAACACGAAAUUGUCGAUGAUUAUAAUGAGAAGACAUUGAAUUAAUGUGACUCCAAUUGAGAAGUUUUUGGUGUAGGCCCUACAGAAAAAGAAAGAUGAUUAAUCUAACGUGAUUGCUGAUAAUGUUGCUAAUCUACCAUGGCUUUGUGUUCUGUUCAAGAUUACAAGAACCUAAAGCUUUUAUAAAGAAUAAAAUUUGGUUUAUGUGGUUUAGUCUUCAUAUGCUCUAACUACUAGAAUUUGGAUCCUUAUUUGGCAAUUUUGAUGAUUGGAUUCAGAUCCUUGUAAGCUCCAUAGGCAUUCCAUUUUAUUUAUUUUAUUUUAUUUUUAUUUUUUUGUAAUCUCAGUCCUCCUUCAUGACAUGAAUAUGAGCACUUUACGUAGUUUGACACACAUAUCAUUCAAACUUGUCCCAUGAAUAUGUAAUGCAUGGAGCAUUGCCCCAAUGACAAGCUACAUCAUGUCAUGGAGCCAAUAAUGUGACAUAGUCUUUUUUAUUUUUAAAAGAGAAUGGUUAAGAUUUAGCAAACAACAUUUUUCUUAAAAAAUAUAAAGAAAACCCCAUUUUAUCGAAACCAUUAAAAAGUGCAAAGUCCAAACAAUACAACAAAAGAAACAAAAUAUUAUCAUAUAGAAAUAUUGUAUAAAAAAAUCACUCUAGAAACUUAAAUAACAACAGAGCUCUCCAAUCUGCAAAAAUAGAGAAAAUUUGUAUUUUCCGAAACUCAGAUGACUGAGGCCAAUAAUGAUCUCUAGAGCUUGACUUUAUCCCAUAUUACUUCCAUGGUUCCCUCCUCUCAAGUACAGAACUCCAUGUGGUGUUACAGUAAUCUAGGGAGAAUGCUAGGGGAUCUUAAUCCUUGAUAGCCCACUUUUGGGAUACCUCAAUAAUUGUCGUGAAAUCAUGAGUAGAUAGUAAUGGUUGUCAAAUGGACCCCUUGGAUUUGCACUUAGUGGGCGAAGGAUCCUACUCUGUACUAUUUUGUGCUAUGUAGCCAGGAUCAGGUGAUUUCGAUGCUUCAUAGGAAUUUUGAUAAACUGCUUUGUUUUCUUUGUGCUCUUUUGUUCCUUUCCAUUUUCUUGCUUGUGGAUCGUUAGUUCAUUUAACUUUUAUGAAAUCUUUUUGGUACCUUUAUCAUUAUAUUUUUUCCUGUGAUAAGCAUUCAGAGACAGAUAAAUUAACUUUUUUUGAGAAAGAUUCAAAAGUGUAAUAUUAGAGCAACUCUGUAACCUAUGUUGGGUGACUUGACAUCUGGGCUGGUGUUCAAUUGGUCAAUGGGCCAAUUGCGAACAUUGGUGAGUGGGUUUCUAGGCAAUAACAAGACCAUUCAUUUGGUCUGCUCAGGUUUUUACUUAUAAUGUGCUUGGUAAAUCUUGGCAAAGAGUGCCAACUUUGGUGCAUUCAAUUUUUGAGUUGGUAAAUAUAUCAGAGUUUGUGGUACUUGAUGAUUGGUAUAUAUGUAUAACUGGUAUUGUCUUCAUUGAUUUCUAUUCCUCUAUUUUGUAAAUUGUGUUCUAUAAAAGUACAUGAGGUUUCUCUAGCACAAGCAAAACAUCAGUCUCUAGUCAAAUUAGCUGUGACAUCCAAAUUUGGCCUGCAGAAAGGAGGACAAUCCAAGCAAAGGCAGGAGAUGGACUUCAGAUUUUUUCUUCAAGGUAGUAGAAGAUAUAGCAUCGACAGUGUGAGCGUUGAUGAAGAGCCUGAUCUCAAGAGGGUCAAGACAGAUGAGUCAAAGUAUUCAGAUAAAGGAUUUCCAUUCCAAACAGAUGUGUGUGGUUCUGGUUUUUCUGGGGAUCAUCUUGGAUGUGGUAAACCCUAUGAUAUGCCUGUCUCUUCAACGGAGAUGCAAGUUCGUACAACUAUAGGAAAGGAUCAGACAGAAUCUCAAGUUCCAGGUAUUGAGCUAUCAUUAGGGGCACCAUUUAUUGAUUUUGAACACCAAAAAGAAGAUCGAACUUCUAAUCCCAAGCUGGUGAACAACAUUAACGACGAGGACAAUGAAGUCUCAACAUCCCUUUCUCUUUCCCUUGCGCUGCCAUCACCUCUAGGAAACAAGUACUGAAGAUUGGAUCGAAACAAAGCAGCUGUUGGAUGAGAGGCAUCCACAUCUAGAAUGAAACCCUGUAGACUGUAGAUUAAUAGUACCGUAGCAUAACAUGGAUGUUUUGAUGUACAUGGAUCGUAGCAACCAUCGUGAUCCUUUCCAGUUCAUAACAAACCAAUUUCCGUUGUUCACAAUUAAAGGUUUGUUAGUUUUCUCAGUAAUUUAUUUCUUCCUGCUAUGUUCUUGUGUGCAAAAAAAAAAGAAAAAAGAAAAAAAGGAGCUAUUAUACCUGUGGAGAAAUGAUAAAGUUAAAUGCUGCUAGAACCUUGAAGUUAAAUACCUACUGUUAACUUCUUCAAUGGCGUCUGCAGAGUUUAUUUUAUUUACUGGUCAUGUGGGUUCGCUUGAUAGUGUGGCCAGAUGUGGUAACUUUAGCAAGUUGGUUGGUCGCGGCUUCUUUUUUAUUUUAUAUUUUGAAAGAACAAUAUUUUCAUUAAUAAUAAACUCAAAUCUCCAGGGUCCAUAGUUCAGUAGUAAGAGCAUUUGCGUGCAGAUAAGUUGUUUCUAGUUGGAACUCCAAUGUCAACUUCAUGAUUUUUUUAGUACAAGGGAUGAUCUAAAUUAGAGGGGGGAGCGUGAUUUCUCACAUGCACACGACUAUAAUGUCGUGGGGAUUCAAACUUGAGACCUCUGAUCUACAAGUCAAGACUCUUUUUCAUUGGACUAGGCCUUGUUGGCAUGUCAACUUCAUAAUUUUUUUAUUGGGUCAAAUACCAACCUUCAUAUUUGGGAUAGAAGGCAAAACCCAAAAGGUGGUUCUUGCAAUGACAAAACUAAACCAAUAAGCAAGGACAUGUAAUUUGAGCAUGUGCGUGACUAUGAGUGACGCGGGGAUGGUAUUUUUUGCUAUUCUCAGUCAAUAACGAUGCACAGAAUAAUUUUUUUACGUGUCAUUGCAUUAUUGACCAGAAAUAACAAAACAGUAUAAUUCCUGUUAUAAGUUUUUACGCUCAUAGGGACACACCUAUUGAUUGCUUCUACUUAGGGAUGGGGGGACCACCAAUAUGGACUACAAUGGUAGAGUCAUAACAACUAAUUACAUGGCUUGAUUAUUGGCUUUUCUUAGAGUGAUGGGAGUUUUAAGUAGACAUAAUAUUAUUUGACACCUCACCAUGUACGACUAAAUUAAGAUCCAAAACUUUGCAUAUCAUGAAGAUUGAAGAUUGAAGAGGGUUAAUCAGUAGAUCGACUAAACCUAGGUCUAGGUUUGGCACCUCUCUCUAAUCAUAAUUACUUUCAAAGCCAUGCAGCACAGCACAUAUCCACUAAUUACAUUACACCACAUAUUAAUUCAAUAUCACCAAUGCCCAUCAAUUGAGGAAAAAAAUUUGAGGGAUGGGUGGGGUGAAACACUUUGAAGUACUUAUCAAAAUCAUAUGUCACUAAUUAUUUCCCCAUUUUAGAACAAAGUCAAGCCACAAUAAUAAUGAAAUUGAAGUAUAGGCUAAAUAGCCGAACAAACACAUGCGUAAUCAUAUAUCGGGCCAAACCCAAUAUUGGUUUAUUAAUUCCCAAAACCAGCCCUAAAAGUAGGUUGAAUUGUAGUCAUUAAAGGUUAGUUGGACUAUAGCGUAGUUAUGAGAACCGAAUUAAAUCAAAACCCUAGGUCAAAUGAUUCUUGCCAUUUGGGGAUUAUUUGACCUAAUUGGGAAUUACUCAACCUAAUUGGGAGUUACUCAAUUUAAUUGGGAGUUACCUAAUUAAAUUGAGAGUUACCUAAUUAAUUAGAGAAUUGAUUUGAUUCCUACCACAAUUCCCAAUUAAAUGAGGAGUUACCUAAUCAAAUUAGGAAUUAAUUUGAUACCUACCACAAUUAGGGAUUUGAUUUACCUUAAUAAAUCAAAUCCCUAAUUAAUCAAAUCAAUUCCAAGUCAGGGAGGAAUAAUUCCCUUCCAUCUACGGAAUUAUUCCUCUGAAACUCUAGCCUCCAAGACCACUAUAAAAGGAUGGCCACACACAAGGGUUGAGGUACGUCUGAAAUCUCUACUGAAACUCUAUAGAAAAUUCCUCUCAAACCCUAGCCACCUCCUUUCUCUCUCUCUUUUACAUAAGGCUCCGGCCGCCCUAUUUACACAUUAAACACAUCCCGUACCCUAUUUUAGCUAUUGUUUCUAUACAGAUCGAUUGAACUGACUUAGGCAUCGGAGGGCCUUUGGCCAACACCCCCCGGGUGUGGUCCUUUUAUUUGUUCUAUUUUGCAGGGAGAAAAAGGCGGGGAAGAAGAAAGGGGAAUCUUUCAAACCGAAUAUUCUUGUGGGGAAAUUUGCUCCCACAGUAGUUGGUUGAGAUAUUUCACCGUUACUUAUGUGGGCAGAGGUUCGAAACCCCAGACACCCAAUGAAUUCAGAUCAAUUCAACUUGUUGUUGCAUUUGGUCACUGGAGAAGUUGUAUUAUAUGCAGCACCUUAGUUGGCUUCCGCGUCUGCGAGAGGUUGAUAAUGGGCAGUUGUGUUCCAUAAAAAUAGGAUCCAUUAUCUACAAAACUGCCAUCGAUUUCUUAAAACAAGCUUAACCCUAAAAUCUCAUUAAAAAAACCCAAAACACUCAAUAGAGCAUCAAAGUAAUUUAAUAAUCAAAAUUAAAUUCAAUAGGGCAAGCUAUCAUUUUUUGGGGUGUUUAUAGAAAUUAAAUGGUAUUGGGUUUAUCUAUAUCAUUAGUGCUAAGAAUUAGUAUAAAAUAUCUUGUUAUUUUAUUCCUAGGGUUAUUGACCAAAAUGGUCUCCCAACUAUUGCUCCAGUAUCAUUUUGUUUCACCAACUAAAAUUUUCAUUUCAGUAGUCCUUCAACUCUUCAUUUGGUAUCAAGAUGGUCAUACCGUCAAAGUCUGUCUAUUUUAUUGUUAAAUUGAGGGGUAAAACCGUCCAUAUACAAUUACCAAACUCAUUCCCCAUCUCACGACUCCAGCCCACAUGCAGCCGUCUUAUGACUCCAACCCACAUAUCAGCCUCCCCAUCUCAACCCAGCCCCCUUGAUCUCUCGCAUAAAGUAGCAAUUCUAGCCCAAAGUAGCCCCGCAAAUCAAGCCAACCCAAUUUAAAUAUAAGCCAUACCCAAUAUAAACAUCCCCAGAUCAGAUCUGAGUUGGUGUACAAAUACAAUAGUAGGGAGGGAGGGAGACAGAGAGAGAGAGAGAGAGAGAGAGAGAGAGAGAGAGAGAGAGAGAGAGAGACCCCCAUUCAUAGGUUUUCAUUUUUGUAGCUUUUGAGUGGUAAUGGAUUUGGGAGAGAGGGAGGGUGCGGGUCACGGUGAGAGCGACUGGGAGUGGUGAAGUAACGGUGGGUGGAGGUUGAUAGGGGGGAGGUUGAGAGGUUGGAGGUGAGGGGAGGUUGCGGAGUUGGAGAGGUGGGGUUGGGUAAUGUUGGGUUUGUUUACUUUUUUUAAUUUUUUGUUAUUUAUUUUUGUAUUUAUCUGAUUUAAAUUUUUUUUAAAAUUAAUUUAAACAAUAGAGAAAAAAAUUAUUACUUUUUAAGUCCAUGUCAGCCAAAAAAAAGCAAUGUUGGUGGUGAGAUUCAAUUUUUUCAAAUUUAAAAUUAGGUACAAGUUCUUAUAAUAGUUUCCUUUAAUUUUUAAUUAUUGUAUUAAUAUGGAUAAUUUUACCUCUAAAUUUAACAGCAAUAUUAACAGACUUUGACGAUGGGACCGUUUUGAUACCAAAUGAAGAAUUAAGGGACCAUUGAAAUACAAAAUUUAGUUGUGGAGCAAAAGUUGAGGGACCAUUUCGGUCAAUAACCCUUAUUCCUAAUUACUGCAAACGAGAUUUUCUUACCAACAAGCGAAAUGGUAAUAAAUUUUGUACUCCUUGUACAUAGCAAUUGUUUUAGAAGUAUUCACAUCACUUGCAUCUGUCCAAGAAAUAUAUAGAUGGUAAAAAUCUAAGGUAUAAAUGCCCAUACAAAUCACAUUUGUCGAACAAAUUUCUAAGGUACACUAUAAAAAAAAAAAGUGAGUGAAUAUAAGUUAAGUCAAUUGGCCAAAACAGAGAUUGCUUUUAUAUAUAUAUAUUUUUUUUAAGAAGAUAAAAAAAUAUUUAAAAAAAACCUACUUCAACAUAUUAUAUGCGACUAUUUAUGUUAUUUAUAAUAGUAAUAAUGUUAUAGAAAAAAUAACUUUGACAUAAAAUAUGGGAAGUGUUCUAUUUUCGAGAGAAAGAUGCCACUUUGUGUGGUAGAAUUUGAACUACCUUCAAAAUAUGCAAUUUCUUUUAAUUAACAAAGAAUGAGAAUUCGAACUUUAAAAGUGCUUCUAAGAUUUGAGAAGAGAGAUUCUAUUAGAUUAAAAGUUAGUUGGUUCAAAAUAUGCAAUUUUAGGAAUGAUAGGGAUUAUGGAAAUGUAUUCAUGUUUAUAUGUGUUGUAAUUGUGCUAAUGAAAAGAGGGUAAGGUAAAAUUAUUUUUACCAAAUUCAUAAUUUGCCACCAUAUAUAGAUUUCAUAAUUCCACAAUUACACUAAUUUUUUUUUCACUUCCAUGGUUUUUAAUGUAGUCUUCAACAUGAGCUUCAAAACAUGAGAGGGGAAUGCAGGAGAGAUGGAGGAAGAGGCGACAUUUUUUGUUCGCACUACAACCUGGAUAACGACUAUCCAUCCCAAUAUGCAUUAAUUAAUAGAAAAGCAAGUAAUUUAUAAAAAUUAUAGUGUCUUUUGAUUAAUCACAAUAGUUUACUGUGCUUAACACUCAUUUCUGGCUUUUAUUUGCAUCUCUCUCUAUUGAUUUUUCAUUUUAAAACUGAAUUUUUGAAUUUAUUGAACAACUUUAGCUUUUUUCUAUUAAUUUUUAAAAAGUUUACAAAUUUUUUUUCAACGGAAAUUAGAUGGAGAUGACUACAUUGAUUAACAAAGUCAAAUAAAUGGAAGAAAUUGCAAACUUACUUAAGAUGUACUCUUUUUUUUUCUUUUUUUUUUUUGAUAAAAAGAUGUACUUUUAUUUUUUUUAGUACAAAUGAUAGUCUAAACUGUAAGGAAAGGGGUAAUUUCUCACAUACACUACUAUGAUGUCAUGGAGGUUCAAACUUAAAACCACUAAUCCGCAAAUUAAGGUCCUUUUUAACUGGGCUAUCCCCGUUGACUAUAAAGACGUACUCUUAUAUGAACUAGUUAUGUUCAUCUUUGCUAAAAGAAUUCCCAUGUUUUCUCAUUUAAUAUACCUUGAGGAAACUAUUAUGUAUGUAUGAAAAACUCAUUUAAGCUAAUAUGGUCUAGCUGAAUGGAAAAAUGGCAUUGAUUUGCAGAUAAGUUGUCUCAGGUUCAAAUCAUCAUGACACCUUAAUAGUGUGUGUAUGAAAAAACCUCCUCCCCUUGUAGUUUAGACUAUCACUUGUGUUUUAUAUUUUUUUAAAAGAACUUAUUGUAUGUAUUGAAAAAUUGUUCAUGAGAGUUUAAAACAACAUCUCUCUCUCUCUCUCUCUUUCAUUUUUGCACGUUAAGAAUCCUAAUACGUCUUGUAGUUUAAUGUACACAUCAGAAGAGUAUGUGCACUUCUAUGCCUAGAGAGAGGACCAACUUUCUAGAGUAAAACCUUAAGGGGUCGUUUGGUACGACGGACUGUUAUGGACUGGACUAAAUCCUGGGACUGUCUUGGAUUAGCUCGGAUUGGCUUAAGUUGGAUUAAGUACUGACCUACGUUUGGUGCUGCAUCAGAUUAAGAAGCUGGAUUGUAAAAAUAGUUAAGACCUAUGUUUAGUGCUGUGUCGAACUAAAAAAUAAUUAUUUUAAUAUUUAAUUUUAAUUAGAAAUUUUAACUUAAAAAUAGAUACAUAUAAAACUAUAUAUAACUUUAAAAUAAAAAAUUGAAAAUUAUAAAUAUAUUAUAGCAUUUUGUGCUUUCUUUUUUUAUUCUUAAUAUUUUUAGGCAUUUAUAGCUUUUUUCACCCCAAACAUAUCAUUACCCAAAGCCCAUUUUAAUACCAUUGCUUAAGACCCAAACCCAUAAACAGAUCUAUGAAAAAAAAAUUAGGAAACGACGUCGUCACCCAAACAUAUCUUCUUCUUCCUCAUGAGCGCCUCUCUCUUUCUCUCUCUCUCUCUCUCUCUCUCUUCUAUCCCUCCCUCUCUCUUUCUCUCUCUCAGCUGGAUAUAUUAGGUUUUAAAUCAAAACAAUCUCAUCAUCAUUGUUUCUUCAUGGAAAGAUAGUUAAGGAUUGGGAGAGACAUUGAUGGGUGCAUAUCCUGGACGUGCCAUGAGCUUUAAUAUCAAAGAUCCAAUCUAGAUGCUCCGACGGUAAGGCCAACUAUUAAUUUUAUGAAAGGACAAUUUUUGCAUCAAGAUUCAGCUAUUUUUACCAGAUCCAUGCUUCUUAGGAGAUGAAUCUGUGGGUGGCUUGGGAUUCUCGGUGCUGGGUUUGUAUGCGUGGCUUGAAGGUGGUGGUUAUGGAAGAAGAAAUUUGGGGGCAACACUAGGCUUUGGGUUCUGCCACAGUCAAUUGCGUCUAUGGUGGUGUGGUUUUGAUUCAAGCUAAGGAAAUCCAUCGGACUCGCGUGUUCAAAAUAACAUGCUAGCUAUUUUGCGAUCCCAAUUUCGGGCUCUCUAUAUUAGACACACGAGUCCCCCUUUUUUUUUUUUUAACUGUUGGACAAUAUAGUCUCAUUUAAGGUAAUCCAUUCCUUUGCCAAACAUGGGUUUCAAGUGCUAUUUAACAUAGUCCAGUCCAAUGAGACACAAUGAGACAUACCAAACACGCCCUAAUAGAUUACCACAUGCCACCACACCAUAACUUAAACAAAUUCUUCAACAACCAAUCUAACCACCUAAUAAUAUUACACCAAUUUUCGAAAGGUGCGUGUACUUAGAUGUUAAAAGUGUAAUAAACUAAAGUUAACCCUUACUAUUAUUAUUAUGGAUUUUUACUAUGAAUGAUCCUUACACUUGUUAAGGAAAAAAACUUUCUUGUAACGGGUAUAACACUAUUUUGUUAUCCUUGACCAAUAACACAUAGAAAAAUUAUCCCACUUGUCAUUUUGUUAUCAGGUGGAGAUUAACACUUUUUACUAUCCCCGUUGCAUGAGAGUUUUUUUAACAAGAGUCCUUAUUUCGGUGCUUAAACUUCCAAAUCAAUCAAUGUAAUCCACAUAUUAAUUUAGUCCAUUUUAUCGUAUACCAUCAAAACUUCAUGUGAAAUUAGUCAUGCGUCAAAUUUUUAAACGGUAACUUUUGUCAAAACAACCUAUUCAAUAAACAAACAAAAUGAAGCUAACAUAUUUUUACCCAAAUUUGAGCUCAUUGCUUUGGUCAACUGCCGAAAUCCACUUAAGCUAGGUUAUAUGAUUUUUGAAUUUUAAUUUAUUGUUUCAUGUCUGCUAGGAUAUAUGGUUUUUAAGUUUUCAACAAAUGCUAGCUGCCGCGCGUGAAAUCCAAAUAUGCAAAACUAGAAGGCAAUACCAACUUCUCUGAUUGCAACUCCGCGACUUGUUGAUCUUGAAAACACAAAACUUCUCUUAUUUCACGUUCUUCGUUUUCAGUCUACAAUUGUUUACAUUGCUCACCGACGAAAUUCACAAACUAUCAGUUGACACCACCAACCAACGGACCAUUGGAAUUGCCUUCGUCUGGCAAUCACCGCCGUCCCUUUUCAAAUCUCGCAGAUCUGACAGCUGACCCAGUCCCGUCACCGUCCCAUUUCAUCAGUUGAUUUGGGUCUUGAUCCACUGGAUCAGAGAUGCCGGUGGCUGCUUCCGCCAUUUACUUCUUGAACCUCCGAGGUGAUGUUCUCAUCAACCGCCUCUAUCGUGACGAUGUUGGGUAAUCUCUCUCUCUCAGCUUUUGGGUACUGUGAAUUGGUCUGUAUAAUAUCGUUAAGAAAUGGGUUGUAUGUAUAUAUCUCUGUAUAAUUGCAUCUGGGUUACAUUUAUAUAUUUGUGGAUUAUUGUAUCUGGGUAUGGCCCGAAAGUUACUUUUAUGUAUUGCGACAAGGUUUUUGGUCAAUGGGUAUUCUGUUUGUGCUUUUAAGGUGUCUGGGUUUGUGUCAAUUGUUGAAAUUUGUAAGGGACAGGUGCUUUUGUCAUUCUGAGAUGUAGAGAAAUGAAAUUUAGAUCGAAAGUGGGAAAUGGUGCAUAGUUCUAUUUUGUUAUUCUUCAUACAAAUGUUGGCCUAGCUGCUGCUGUUCUCAAUACUUUUGCAGUUAACUGGUGGUUCUGUGAGUUUUGCUAUUUAUUUAGGUGUUGUAAGACUUAGAUGAAACUACUUAAAGCUUAAGCUUGUCUAUUGCUUUUGGUGUAAAAUGUUCCUUAUGGACGGGGCUGAGGCUUGUUAGGUACUCAUUAAAUAAUUGAUUGUGUUAUGGAUUUAGGUAAAUAUGACGCUCACUUCUUGUGUAUUUAUGAAAAUUGAAUCACAGGCAUUCGGGAAGGGAUUUUUCUUUCUUUUAAUUCUUUUUUGCAGGUUUUUGUUAACAAGUUAUCUAGUUAUUUGUUCAUGUAUAUGUAGUAGGCAACAGUGUAAGAGUGAGGCCUUCUGAGUCAGCUUGUACAAUUUCUUUGAGAUCCAAUGAUUUUCCAUAGGAUCAGUUCUGUGUGUCUUAUGAAAUGAUCCUAAGAGCUACUUUCAACCACAGCACACUCAUUACCUUAUGGACUAAGGCCCGGGCAGGCAGGCACUACCAUGUUUUUUCUGUUAAUGUUUAAUCUUUCUGGAUUAGUAUUUACUGCUGUUGUGGGGUAUUUUUAUUUGACCAUAUGUAGAAAGGUACUGUUCUGAAUUACUUGGCCUUCGAGAAGGCAACAUGGAGGGUUUGGGGUAGGUUCUAAGCUCACAUAAAAUGGUAUAGGGUGGUGCAAGAAAUACUAUUGUCAGGUCUGAACUUCUGUUUGCAUGUGUUUAGACCAUACAUGCUGGUGCUCGUUGUUCUGUUGUCGGCUGCAUUUUUCGUAAGUAAAAGUUCAUUAAAGUUUUAGUGUGUAAUAACAAUUCAUUUCUCUCAGGGGAAAUAUGGUGGAUGCUUUCCGAAUGCACAUAAUGCAAACAAAAGAACUUGGAACAUGUCCUGUUCGGCAGAUUGGUGGAUGCUCUUUCUUUUACAUGAGAAUCAGCAAUGUUUAUAUUGUUAUUGUAGUCAGCAGCAAUGCAAAUGUAGCCUGUGCAUUCAAGUUCGUUGUUGAGGUAAUGACGAUGUUAUCAUCUAAAGUCUAUGUAGAUUUCCUUUUCCUGUUUGGAUUUCAAGACUUUCUAUAUUGAUGAUCUGAUGCAAGGAUCUUCUCUACCCUUGGUUACGUGGUAGCUGAACAAGUUCAAGUUAUCUGUUAGCUAAACAUGUUCAAGAAGCUUGCAUCGUAUUCUGAAUUCUAAGUUUUUAUUCAGAAAAAUUUGACAGGACCAAAGCUGUUAAAGGGUUCUCUUACAGCUUUAUUGUUUUAAUGUUUUUAUGGAACGGGUCCGUGAAAUCUUUAUUGGUUAUCUUUCACCAGUCAGUAGAGAAAUAUCUUGUGUUGUUUAUCAAUCCAAAGGGGGGUUGGACCAAGUAAAUUAAUUUCAUUUUCAUUGCACAGUAAUGCUAAAAAGAUUUCCAUAUUAUGUAACAAGUAUACAGGUCUGCCCAUAAAGGUUUUUAACUUACCUUAGACAAGUUUAUAAUAGUAAGACCCACCUUGUGAGCUGAGGUUGGAGAACUUGGAUCUGUAAUGUGUUUUUACAGUUUGUUAUGUGAACCUGUGAAAAGUAGUCUUAACUGUGGUAGAUGAUUAUGGUACUCUAUUCUGCUUGCAGGCUGUUGCACUGUUCAAAUCUUAUUUUGGUGGGGCUUUUGAUGAAGAUGCAAUUCGUAAUAAUUUUGUUCUGAUUUAUGAGCUGUUGGACGGUAUGUCAUUGAACAAAAUUUUAACUAUACUGUGUCCAUGCAUGUACAGAAGCUAUUGUGUGGUAGACAAAACUGUAUCCUACACAUGCUUUGCACUUUAAAAAAGGAAAAAAGUUGAAAAAUAGAAGAGAAAUUGGGUUUGCUACACAUAGUUCAACCAUACACAACAUCCUCUUACAAUAUGACAGGGUUUGCUAGUCAUAAUAUUUGUUGUGCACAAGAAUAUGCGACUGUUGUUAGUUUUGUUCUCAACACAUCCAACGCAGUAUGGUGUGGCUUUGUAAAAUGGCGUAACAUAACAAUUGUUGUGCAAUUUGAACACAUGGCUCGGUGCAAUGAGUUUUUUUUAGUAGAUGAUGUAUAUUUCACUUGAUGCCCUCCAUUCUGGACCCGUUAUCUUUAUCUGAGAAUAUCAUGAAUUUCAAACUUAAAGAAGUUUAAGAGAAAUGGUCCACAAUAAUGAUUCACUUGGUUCUCUGUUUGCCUUUUCCCCGCACGGAAACUACUACACCAACAAUCCUGGAUAAGAACUCUAAUUAUUUGUGAUCUUGGUUAUUAUAUUCAGCUGUAUGGAAUACGAUGAUGUUGAAAUGAGUAACAUUAAGUUAAAUUUGCAUUAUUUUGUCUCUGGUCUAUAAAUUCAUGUGCUGCAGCAUGCACUGACCAUGCCUGAAUUCAUGUAAGCAUCCAUUAUGUUAUUUGUUGAUAUGAAAAUGCAUGCAUGUUUUUUUUAUAUCUUUUUCAGCUAUUUUUGUUGUUUCUAAUUACACUUAUCUUUAGUCAACCAAUGUUCUACAAUAGAAGGUCAAAUAUAUCAUUUAUAUUGAGAGUUCAUCAUAUAAAUGUCUGAAUAGUAUGUACCCUUAAAUUGCAGAAAUUAUGGAUUUUGGUUAUCCACAGAAUCUUUCUCCAGAAAUUUUAAAGCUUUACAUCACUCAAGAAGGAGUGCGCUCGCCAUUCUCUUCUAAGGUAAGAUGAUUCUAAUGGUUCAGGUUCAGGAUAUGGUAGGGCUAAUGUGUAUGAAGUCUCAUAGGACUUUUUUUUUCUGAUAAUAUACAGAAGUUUGUAGCUGUUUCAUGUGUAUAUCAUGAUAUUAGUUUCUGAUCAAUUUUUUCUUUUCAACUGUGUUCCAAAAAACAAAAGCCUACAGAUAAACCAGUCCCAAAUGCAACUCUACAAGUUACAGGUGCUGUUGGUUGGCGCAGAGAGGGCCUUGUUUAUAAAAAGAAUGAGGUGAUUUAAAUUUUUGUACUUCUUUUUUACAUUCAUUAUUGUAUGUUCUAUUAGAUUGUUAACAUUUUUUCAAUGCAGGUCUUCUUGGAUAUUGUGGAAAGUGUAAAUCUUCUUAUGUCUUCCAAAGGUGGGGAAGGUGUUUUUGAAUGAGUUGCAUGAACAAUGUCUAUUUGGUUACUCAUAGGCGAUUUUGGUGACUAUAGGUAGUGUGCUGCGUUGUGAUGUAACCGGGAAAAUUCUUAUGAAAUGCUUCCUCUCUGGAAUGCCAGACUUGAAGUUGGGCUUGAAUGAUAAAAUUGGCCUUGAGAAAGAGUCACAACUCAAAUCCCGUCCGACUAAAAGGUAUUCAAUGGCUGACAGUUCUGUUCUGUUAUUUUGAUUCUAUCUUAUCUUUUUAAUCAUCAACUUUCUUAGCUUAGUAUCUCGUUUCCAAAUUACUGUUCCCUUUGACAUUGUUUAUAGUCACUUUUCCUUUGAAAACAAAUGUUGCUCGUUUUAUUAGAGUAGCACAAGGGAAUACGUCCUUACCAGCUUUUGGCAUUCGGGUAAUUUCUAUACUCAACUACCCAGCCAAACAUUGCAAACCUAGCACAGGAAGGAGAAUCAUGGAAGAGGAAAAGUAAAGUACAUAAGCACAGGAUCACAAAAUUUAGGAUGGUUCACUCUAAACUUGACAAUGCACAUGUGGGUGAAGACUACGAUAAUCCAGUAGACCAAAAGAGUAAAUAUAAUUACAAUGAGAAACUGAUAGGUCCGUCCAAUCAACUAAAGUAAGCUCUCUUAUGCUGUCUCAGUUCUCAAUGGAGAAUACCAAUUGCACCUGAAGCUCAUAGGUUCUCUCUUAAUUGUGGCGAUCAUUCACUCUUAGAAAACCUCAACAAUCCUAUUUGUAGGAAGCGUUGCGAGGGAAGGUGCUGUCCAAGUAAAUUGCUUUCCUCAUAUUGAGUCGCACUACAUCAAUCUCCACCUCGUUGAAAAUUAAGUCUCUAGCCUUCCCCACAAAUCAAGCUCCUGGGAUCAAACUCACUUACCAAAACAUGCUCUAUGUAGCCACAACAAGUAUGUAAUCUAAGGUCUUAAAGAACUUGACAAAACCAAUUGAUGCCUUUGAACAGUUUGCCCAAUUUCCUCAUAAAUACCUCAGAACUAACCAAUUUCCAUAUAAACUCUUAUUUUUACCGGUCAGUGAUUUUUGUUCUCUUUUUGUUUUGUUAAAUUUUAAAUCUGUCUUUGCAGUGUCCUUUUUUUUUUUUUUUGCCUUUAUAGUUGAUCUGUUCUGUAUUUCGAGCAUUGCAUCUUGCCUUCAUCAAGAUAUUGCAAAUCACUCUCAAUGAGUGAUGUCAGUUUUUGACAGUACAUGAUUUUAUUUCUUUUUAUUUUCUAUUUUAAACUUGGUUAUUAUGCAGUGGUAAAACCAUUGAGCUCGACGAUGUUACUUUCCAUCAAUGUGUAAACUUGACAAGGUUCAACUCAGAGAAGACAGUUAGUUUUGUGCCACCUGAUGGUGAAUUUGAAUUAAUGAAGUAAGCCCCUACUUCCUUUAAUGUUGUCCUUUAUGGUGUGAAUUUAACUGUUUUCUUAGGGUGCUCGGACCAGCUCACUUCACGAUAAUGUUGUUUUUACAUUGUGCAUUAUGACAAAUUAAAUGGUCCCUUAAAUGGAUGUCACAACUCGAGGGAACUUGAUUUUAAUAUGAGCUUGCCAUAUAACCUUGUCUGUGAUUGCGAGGAGUUUCAAUUGUGCCGCUACUUUGUAUCAUCUGAUGUUCUGGUUUAUAUCUUGUAUGCUUUCAUAUCAAGGGGAGGUGGUUUGUGACUCAUGCUUCCUAACUUCACUCAUUCAUCUUUCGUUCUUUUGACAGAAGAAUUUUAUUGGGUGUUAAAGUUAUAAUCCAACAAAAGUCCUAGAUAGCUUUUAUAGGGUUGUACUCAAUUUUUGGUACUCUUUACUAGUACCUUCUCUGCAGUUAGCAAUCUUAUACAUGCGGAAUGCAUGUGAAACUACUAGUAUUAUUUACAGCCUGAUAUCACUGUUAUAAAUCUUAAUGAUAGGUAGAGUUUCUUUUAAUACCAGAUAAAUUGUUGUAGUGCGUAGCAGAGUUGUAUACAUUUAAUUGUAUUCAUAAGGCCUACUUCUGUGAUUGGUUAUAUGUGCAAUAGGUACCGUAUUACUGAGGGCGUGAACCUUCCCUUCCGAGUAUUGCCUACAAUUAAGGAACUUGGUAGAACUCGCAUUGAAGUAAAUGUUAAGGUUUGCUACUUUUCAUGUUAAAGGUUGCUAUUUUUGGAUGUUUGUUGCUUGGAAAAUAACUUAUAUGCGCUACUUCUCUUCAGGUAAAGAGUGUAUUUGGUGCAAAAAUGUUUGCUCUUGGGGUUGUCAUCAAAAUUCCUGUGCCAAAACAAACAGCGAAGACAAAUUUUCAAGUGACUUCGGGUCGAGCAAAAUACAAUGCUGCUAUUGAUUGUUUGGUUUGGAAGUGAGUGUUUGUAGUAUGUUUAUUCAUUGAGUUCUAAUUCUAUGGACUAUUUAAUUUGUUAAGAUUUGCAAUAUUAAUUUUCUGUUGAAAAAACUGCAAUAUUGUUUUAAUUCAGUAGCUCCUGAACGCUGGCUUAGGUGGUAAAAAAGGUGGGAUUAGAUAUGGGGUUGGGGUAGGUACCAUUCUAGGUUCAAAGUAUGCAAAUCUGCCUGGCAUAUAUGAAACUUAUAGGAGCCUUUUUGACUGCCUGAAAUGCGUGCAUUAUUUUCACUGUAUUCAACUUUCUUGUGACUUUGUAGGAUAAGAAAAUUUCCGGGACAAACUGAGCCAACCUUGAGUGCAGAAGUUGAGCUGAUUUCGACGAUGACAGAAAAGAAAUCUUGGACAAGACCACCAAUUCAGAUGGAGUUCCAGGUGCCUAACUAAUCAUUGCUGCUAACUCCAGUAUUCUUAUGACAAUUGUUUCAUCUAUUUGUUAAUCCCAGCAGCUCAUCUCCACUUUAGUAGGUAGUGCAUCAUUAGAGAAAAAAUUAAAAAUUAAAAAAUGUGACCAAAACCCAAACAAUCAGCAGCUAGGUUUAUGCAUUUCAAAACUAAUACUUUUUAGUUUUUAGGUUUUAAUUUUUGCUCUAUCUUCUGAAGUUUUCUUUACCGUCUAAAAUUUUGAUCCCUAUGUUACUUGGAUGCUGUUCAUGUGUGAAAACGAAAUAUUGCUUGCGUGUUCAUGUUUUUUGCACAGUAAGUCUCUAGUAUAUUGCCUAUUAUCAGUGGUGGACCUAGGAUUUCCUGAUAGAUGAACAGUUUCCCAACCUAUCGUUUAAAAUUUCUGUUUUCAUGUAUGUCUUUAUGGCAUUUGAUCUUGUUUCUUCUCCCCGUCCACCUCUUUAAAGAAGGUGAUUCAUUGAGUUAUUGUGUACACAGGUUCCAAUGUUCACAGCAUCUGGUUUACGUGUCCGUUUUCUCAAGGUACUGGCUUUGCCCUGUCAACACUAGUAUGCAUUCUGUAAAAAAUGAUGUAUUUAUUCAUCGAUUUUCUGCAGGUAUGGGAAAAGAGUGGGUACAACACUGUUGAGUGGGUCCGCUAUAUCACCAAAGCCGGUUCAUACGAGAUUAGGUGCUAGAGACAUGGGAUUGCUGUUGUGAAGACUUGAGAGGAUUUUAGGGUGGAUGCUGGAAUUUUAUACAAUUGAUUUGAGUGGGAAUUAUUCAGGAGUUAUGUUUUGACAAGCAUAAAUCAUAGGGAUUUUAAUUGCUCAUGUUAUAAUUUGUGUCAAUAUGAUUGUUUGUGGUCUUGUAUCCUGUUGUAAAUGCUAGCUUACUCUAGAACUGGUAAAUUGAGCCUUCAACUUUUUAUUUUAUUUUUCUACUUUCCUUUUUAUGAUCAAUCAUUUGUUGCGGUUUGGCACCACUUUUAUUUGUUGAGAUGAAGAGAUUGUAAGUGGGAUUUGUGAUGGUUUGGAUGAGUUAGUUAUAUUUGACAUCAGACUACAAAUAAAUUAUACUUGUACCCUGAUAAUAAAUUAUAAUUGUAAAAAUGACACGAUGUGCAACACAAAUUGAGCCCAAGGAGGGGUGUAUUCAAUCGGGGUGUAUUCAAUCAAUACUUACAAACUUCCAACGAACAAUAGAAUGAGAUAGAAAUGUUGACCAUUUAACCCCUUAUCCCCUUAAUAAUCUAAUUUUUCGAAAACCCAGUAAACAAAGUCAGCAUCUAAUGCAUUCACGUGUUAUAAUAUAAGUCACGUGUUAUAAUAUAAGUCGAAGUUGAUGGGUUGAUGGCAUGGUUAAAAUUUCUGACCUUUAUAAUCUGUCCAAGUUGGCGUCUCAUUUGAUUAGCUCAUGUUAUGCUUAUUGUUUGGUUUCUAAUUUCCGAAGUUGGAUACUCUUUUACAUGUUCUCUGCAUUUGAUUGUACACGAGAGGCCAAGUUAGCAUCUCAUUUAAUUAGCACACAAAACCAAUUCCAAUCCAAAAUUUUAAUUGCACGUCCUAAGUACGGGCAAAAUUGUACAUCCAUAAUUUAAACCAUUAAUAAAUAAAAUGAAAACUAAAAAAACUAAAAAGUUCCAAAAAAAAACCCAGCCACCAUCCCCGUUUCUGCCACCCCCAUCCACCAUCUCUAUCCCCAAAGAAUGCCCUCAUCCUUCCUCCUUUCUUUCUCUUCUCUCAGCAACCGACCACCGCACCAUCAUCCAUAACCACCCAAACCCACCCACACCCCCAACUAGCCAAAAGGCCUCCAAGUCUGGUGGUUGCUUCAGGGUCUAGCUUGCUUGCAGCAUUUGCAGCAAACAACAAUACCUAAAAACACAAUUUCACGCCAAAAAGAUCAAAACCCAUAGAAAUAAGAAAUUUCAAUAAAAUUCAAUUCAAUCAAAACCUCCAAUACCAAUAAGAUAUAAAACUUCAAUUCAUUUCUCCAAAAGAGCCGAACCCAAAUACCAAAAUCAAUUUCAAAUCCAAAUAACACACCAACCAAAAAUUCGAUUUAAAUGUUCAUCAAUCCUAUUAAACCCAAAAAAAUAAAACCCUAACCAAAUCCAACCAAGGCCUUGAACACGAAAUCCCAUUACACAAACAAAAUCAAAACCAAAAUCCCAAUUAAUCACUAGCAACCCAUAACAGCAUAAACACAAAAACCCAUAUCGCCAAUGUUCAACUUGAAAUUAGAAUGGGAAUUCUAGCUGACAGUGCAAGACCCAAGUGGUUUAAUUUGAUUUCUGAACUUGCAUGUCAAUUUUCGAGCAAAUAAACUCAGGAUUUAUUCCGGUAAUUCUACUCUCUUUCAACCUCUCGGCAGCAAGUUGAUAAGAAUGGUGGCUUGAGUUCGUCGGAAUUCAAAUCGAAGAGAGAGAGGGGGGAAGAGACAGAGAGGGAAUAGUGAGGGGGAAGAGACAAAAAGGGCAGAUGCAGAAAGAGUGAGAGAGAGAGGAGAGAGAAAGGUAAGAUGCAUGGAAGGGCGAAAUGGCAAAAGGGUUUUUGGGGUUUGGAUGGGAGGAGAAGUUCGGGAGAGAACUCGUAUGUUUGGAAGAAAUGGCAAUAUUGCCCAUGCACUUAUACACAUCACGUUGUUAUUAAUUGAUGGAAUUGACCAAUUGGAUUUAAUUUGCUGACAAUUUAAAGUCUGAUGAUUAAAAUUAAAAAAAUUAAAAGUUCAAAGACCAAAAUUAAAUUCAACCUAACUUCUAAUUAGACUUAAUUUGCUGACGACUUAAAAUUUGAUGAUCAAAAUUAAAAAAUUAAAACUUCAAUGACCAAAAUGAAAUUCAACCUUAACUCCUAAUGACCAAAAAUGUAAUUACUCUCCAAUUGAACAAGAAUUCUGAAAGGCGAUUUCGAGUUUCAAUUUUCUUCUUUAAUCACAUUUUGAAUUUUAAAUUGAUAUCGAGAGUCGUGUGUACUGAUGCACAUGCAAAAAAUAAAUUUAAAAAAAAAAAAGAAAAAGAAAAAAUUUAUAAUAACAGCGCACACACAACAAAUUAGAGCAUCAGCAAACCAUCGACCGGCACUCAACUGUACGGGAUCUUCUCUCUCAGGGUUUCACAUUUGUAGAAUUUUCAAUACCUGCUAACCCCAUUUUGCAACCGUUGCCGGCUCCAAUACGCCGUCGUUUGGAGUUGCGAUUGUUCAGCAGAUGGGGUUUCUUAGGAAGAUGGCGGGGAUGCUAGGGUUUACGAAGGACGACGGCCACGAAGUCAAAGACAACGGGGAAGAGGACGAAGACGAUAACCAGGCCCAGAACCGAGCCAAUUUCCAAGAAACUGGGCUUCCCCGUAAAGGCUUCAGCGUUCCGGUUCAAGUCGCCGUUGACCGGAAUCUUCCCGGCCCCGUUCUCGUUCCUUGUCGUUCCGGCGACGGUGGUGUCCAGGUAAAUCAUCUCUCUCUCUAUCUCUCAAAACCUUCAUUUCCAUUGAUGAAUUGAAUUGUUGGAUCAGCAUUAGAUUAAUCUACAACGUUUGCCCAAAAGUUGAAGUAUGCGUUAGUAGGGUUUUGUUUAUGAAUAAUUGGUAGAGUUCGAUUGCUUGGCAUCUAUGAAUUUAGCCUUAACUGUCAUCCACUAUGAUUGCUUAGUAAAAUGUGAGAAAUAUUGUAAUGGGAUGGGCACAUGACUUGUAGGUGAGCUGAAUUUAGAAUAUCAGUUAUUGGAUAGCAAUUGAGGGACUUGAGUGUAGUGGGUGGUAUUUCAAAUUUGGGAACAAAAGUUUGGAGCUUGAAGAUUCGAUCAUAGGAUGAGUGAGUGGGCAUCUAAUCUUCAUUUCCAGUUUGUUCAUUGUAGGACUCAAUUGAACCCAUUUGGAAUUAUUUUCCGUAUAAUGUUAAGAGGUCAUGCAACAUGAAGACAUUGAAAGUGAAUAGCACGAUAUGGGGGAAGUUCCCAUCAGGCAGCAAUGGCUGCCUGACCCUACUUAAGCAAACCCUACUUAAGCAUGCAUAUUCCGUCAGUGAGGACUUGGUGCUUGGAGCUUACAUUAGAAGAAGUCAGCUGAAGGGGACUGCAUAAGUGUCUAAAUGUGCGUAAGCCCAGUCGAACUUGACUAUUCUAAGCAGGGCUGGCCACCCUUUCCGAAUGGCAUUGGUCCCUAGAACUGUUUCUAUUGUUUCCCCUUCUUUUGCCUUUGGAAUGGUCAAGUGUUAUGCCACCAGAGUUCUAUUCUUCUUUCGGAAGCAGUCUGUGUUUGAUAGAGGCAUACAGGUGAUGAUUCUUGGAAUGUGCAACCUCUCUCUAGACGGUCUUUUAUCUUUCUUUUCUUUUUUUAAGUCUAGAAAUGUCCUUUACCUAUUGGGUUGUUUGUACUUGGGACAAUUUGUUUCUGCCUAUAGCUUUCCUUUGAGGAUCACAGUAUCCCUUAGGCCUUCUCCAACCAUGGUUGACUGAAAAAUGGGGCGGUAUUUGGCCCCAGAUUCCACUCCAGUUGGAAUUUUUGUGAUGCCCAAUUCGCAGCAAACAAGAGCCACGCGGGGCCUCAUUCGAAGCAAAUGAUGGGCUGUUGCCCACUACCCCAAGUUGCUGGCCGCGUGUCAAAGCCUAGGCAACUUAAAAAUUGCACUUUAAUGGCUGCAUUUCAAAUGGGCUGCUUUCAAAUUAUUUUUUUCAAACCUAAAGGCUUGAAAUCAGCGGCUGAUAUUAAAAUUUGUCUCGAUCAAUGGGAAAAAUAAAAAUAAAAAUCCAACAUCUGAAAUUUAAAUCCAAAGGUAGAAAUAAGUAAAUAUAUUAUUCUAAGUUGGAUGUAACCUCAAAACAUAUGGGUUUGAGUCCUCUAGGGUUGGAGAUGGCCUUGGUAGAAAGUGCAUAUUUAGCUGUCUAGUCAGCUUUCCUUUUCUCUUUGCAGAAUUGCUUGUUUCUCAUUAGGGUGGGAGAUCUGAAGUCAGGGAUCCAUUUUGAAGUUGACUAUCAUAGACCAGCGACAUAACCUUUAAAAUUGUUGUAUGAGGCAUCAGUCUUCCCUGAUUUGCUGAUUUGUAUAUUGAAAUGUAGGGAUUAGAAUUUCUUCCCCUAGCCCGCUGUCCUUGGUUCUGUCAUGAGCAUGGUUUCCUCAGCUUUUUGUAAUGAAUUCUCUUAUCAAACAAACCGAUGUUUUUUUAUUGGUUAAAUUUUAUUGUUUUCUUAUGCUUUAGACUUACUAUGUUGAAUGAGAUGCCUAAUGCUCAAAUAGUCCUUCAGUCUUUAUGUAUAAUCCCAGAUUCACGGAGAUCGUAUACUGUUUUUUAUUCAAGGAAAUGUAUUUUGCAGGUGUUAGUGCCUUUUGGGAAUCGUUUUAUGUGGGUGGUUGUUUGCUUCAUAAGUUUGUAGUUUGUUGGUUGCACGUUGUGUAGUUUAUCCUGUGGUAAUUUGAAUCUUUAGUAUUCCUUAUGUUAUUGAUCUGGAUGGGUCUGUUAUGCUGUAGAGCAGGGAGAUGAAAAGGUAAUACAGAACCAGAAGUUAGGAGAUAAUCCAGUUGCCAAGUUGCUUUUGAAAUGAAGUGUCGUCUAACGACUGGUUGAGUGUUAUGCCUUCCUGCCUUGUCCUGUUAAUAGUAUGUUGCUGGUUGGGUUUUUGGUUUUCCAUCUAUUAAAGAAUUAAAGAGAAGAUAAUGGUUUGCUGUUUUCCAAGUUUGAAAAUGUUCUCCCUUAUUGUAACAAUAACACUUUAGCGUUUUGUUGUUGUUGUUUUUGGUACGAGCACUUACUUUGGAUCAUAUUUAUCUCCAUCGCUAGAGCAAAGCAGGUAAAAUUUUUUGAUCUCCUAUUUGUUCUGCAACCAGGGUCUAAGAUGGCAUGCAAAGCGACUCAGGAUAGAUGAGGAUGGAGAUGUAGCAGAUGAGUUUCUUGAUGAGGUUUUUCCACAGAUGUCAGUUAGUACAGAAAAUAGUAGGGCAUUGGCAAGGUUUGAAGUGAAAUACAGUACCAAGCCAGCUAAAGUGAGGACUCAGGUCUUAUCGCCUGACGGGAAAAUCCAACAGCGUGUGGAAUACCGGGGCAGAUCACAGUGGAUAUGAAUACACCUAGAAGAAUUUAGGUUUACGUCUUUGGGUUUUUGAUUUCCUUUUUGUGGUCAGUUUAAAUUUUUGAGUGUCAUCCGAUUUCUGUUCUGCGAAUCAGAACUGUGGAACACUAGAUCCCAUUGUAUUAGUACUUAAGGUCUAGGGGUUGUCUAAAUAUAUCUGUUCCUUCAAGGAUUUGAACUGCGUUUGUGGAUUUACAACUAGGAGUCGAAUUUAAAUAGUUUCAUAUAAUUCAGUAAUAUACACAGGUAGUGGAAACACUAAUUCUAUGUUUUCCUGCGUUUUCUGUGAUCAGAUUCAAUAUCUUGUUUGAUUUCCACCAUUAUGUGCGAAUGUGCGCAUUACCGGUGGUGGGUGCAUUUUACCGGUUGAGUGGGUGCAUUUUACCGGUGAGAUCAACCGGUAACAGCACCGCACUGGUAAUGACACUUUCUGUGCUGGAAGAUUUCAGCUAGUGGGUAGUGAAUAUUCAGACAUAAACCGAAGUGAUUUUGUAUUGUACGAGGGAGUAUUAUUCAACAAAAUCAGUAGGGAUGCAUAAAACUACAGAAAGAAACGCUACCACUUUGUUAUAUAACAGCACCUUUUAUUUCAAUAUACACGUGCAUUUGUAGAUGGAAAUUAGUGCGUCCCAGCCAUGGGAUACCCAGCAGUUCCCAGAUGCUGGUGGCCAUGCAUAUGGCGAGUGCCGGCAGAAAGCAGUUGGUGGUGGUGGCGGCCGCCGCCGACGCCAUGAACAUGGGGUUGCCUGGAGCUCAAUUUCUUCUCCGCAUGCCUAGCUUUGGCUUUAUGCAGCUCCAUCUUUGCCCUAGCUUCCUUCUCCGCACUUUGGCCAUCUUUUUCUCCUCCUUCGUCCUUGCCGCUACUGCCUCUAACUCAAACAAAUAUAACCUCAUCACUCUUUGAUCUCAUCCUGCAAACAAAAACACAGUGUUUUUUAAGUAAACAUGCAUGCAAAAUGUACCUUUUCUUCUACUUCGGCUUUGUAAAUAUUUACGUGCUCCUUGGCUGAACUGGCCAUGUUGCUCAACUUCUCCUUUGCUUACUGCAUUUCUCUCUUGAUUUGUCCUGCACAAAGAAACCACAAAAGCAAUUUCCGUUGUUUGUUAUGAAACUUAAAACUUUAACAAGCCAGCCAAUUGAAUCUUGAUUUCCAAGAAGACAAGGACGUGUACGUAGGGAGUGAAAAGCUGAAGAAGAAUAAAAAAACCAAGGAUUUUAGUUGGACGUGGGUAAGAAGCUCAGAACUCUCCAACAAGGCAAAUGAAUUUUAUGUAUCGGAAAAACAAAAGGAAAGGACUGUCAAAGAUCCUGGGAUACGCCCAGAUGACCGACACGUGGCGAGCAUGCAGGUACUUCCUUUCAUAUGCUGCCACGUUGGAAACAAAAGGUCUGGAGCUUGCACAUAGAUCCUUAAUAAUUUUUUAAAGUACAUAUGGGCAUCUUCAAAUGGGCAACCUUUUUUUUCAGUAUUUUUAUUUGGUUGAGAAAGGAGGAUAUAUCAUUAGAUAAUCAAAUCAGUACAAUUGGGACAACAUGUAUUUGGCGGCCUCGUUGAAACCUCUCUAGAGAAAGCUCUGUGGGACAAAAUUUUGUAAGAGAAAAGAGUAUCACACAUGCCAGACACUACAAAAGAGUCAAACAUCAUGACUAACAGAAGAGUCCUCAUAUAGACAAUCUUGUAACCAAAGUGGUGGAUCAGUAAACCAAAAGGAUAAAAUCCUCUUGGCAAAGACUGAAACGAGCGAGACGAUUUGCAACUCCAUUGGGAACAAAAUGAACAGAGAGGGACGACGAUGAAACAAGGAGCUGUCAGACGUCAUCAACAAGAAGCAAUUGGAUAACACUAAGGAAUCAGACUCAACUAGGAGUGGAGAAAAGGAAGCAUCCACCGCAAAAGAUAUUCCAAUUUUUAGAGCAUAAAAUUCAGUAGCCAGUACCGAUAUCAGACUAGGAGCACGCAUUGCCACCACGCCGCAGAGACGACCAUAGGAGUCCCUUAUCACUGCUCUAACGCCAUGCAAGCCAUAAUUCAAACUAAGUGCACCGUCAACAUUGAGUUUAAAAGAAUCUGAAGGAGGAGGUUGCCACCGUUUCCAGGAAACUGGCAAAGAAGACCUUCAACGAUGAAGAAAGAAGUAGAAUCUUUUGAAACUUGGCAUCAUAGUUCUUUGCACAAAAAAACAAUUUGUUCAAGGGCAAAACAAUAGAAUCAAAUAAGACAGCAUUACGAGCAUUCCAGAGAGACCAAAGAACCAACGUAAACAGAUAGUGUUGGGUACUAGAGAGAACAUCCCAGGCCACCAAUAGCCAGCUUAAGGCAUCAUGACCAGGUAAUGUAGCAAGAGAGGAGGACCAACCCAAAUUUUCCCAUACCAAAGAACUAGCCGUGCAGUCAUGGAGGGCGUGGAGAGCUGUUUCAACCGACCUAUGGCAGCGGAAACAAAGGCAUCUUGAGUAAUUUUGUGUCGAUAAAGUACAUCUGGGGUAGGAAGAAUAUUCUGGGCCAAACGCCAUAAGAAAUGCUGAACUUUUAGAGGCACUUUUAAUUUCCAAAGGUGCUUCCACAGUUUCUAAAAGGGAGAAGAUAAAGACCUAGAGAUAGCCAAAGAAGCUUCCUGUUUUUGGAAUUCCAAAGCAGUCUAAUAACCCCUCUUUACCGUAUAGAGAUCGUUGCGAGUAAAAUGCCAAAUACGGCAAUCGCCAUUGUCGCACAUCAAUGGGAUAGAGAGAAUGAGCUCCACUUAGGAAAAAGUAAAGAGACGAUAAAUUUCAGAAACAUUCUAGCGUCUGCUGGUAGUAAUAAGAUCACUAACUCUAGAAUCUAUAGAGAGGUGGGGGACAGAUUGAACCGUGAAAUUAAGAUGGCGAGGGAUCCAGAGAUCUCCAUAAAUUUUAACUAAUUGUCCAUCCCCAAUGCACCAGCGGAGUCCACGAGAGAGUAGUUCCCGACCCCAUAAAAUAGAUUGCCAGGUGAAGGAUGGUGCGGCACCGGCCUGAGCAUGUAGAAAAUUAGUUUAAGAGAAAUAACGGGCCUUAAAUCACAUUGUCAGACAAAAUUCAGAGAGGAAUUAAACAAAUAUAACUCCAAUCAUACUCCCUAUCCACCUCUUAAAAUAAGGAGACAUUUAGGAGCUUUUAAAUCUGAAGAGAGAGAAAAGACUCGUAGUGACUCCCUAUAAUUAAAUGAUGCUUUACUUUAAUAAAUAUUUUUAACAUUUGUUUAAUGAGCAAGGGGCUUGUAGCUCAAGUAGUUAAGAGCAUUUACCACUGUACUUCUGAUUCCCCGCUCCUCCAAUAUUUAUAAUUCCUAAACUAGGAGUUUUUUAGUGUUCUUAGCUAAAUUCUAACUAAAAAAUAAGGAGUAUGAUUGUAGUGCAAAGUGUAGACACACGCCCUUCGCUGGCCAAACACAUAUAUGUCUGCAGUCAGUUUUACCAGCUUCUUGAACGGAGUCGGCGAUCAAGUCGAAUAUGCACAAACUAAGCUGCAAUUGAUGCAGUGCUACUUAGAAAGAUGCAGAUGAAAGACAAGGAGACAACGAAGUCAUACGUUUUUGUAUCGCAAAUAUUAGAGACGCUGCCUAUGAUUUGGAGGAUGUCGUUUGAAACUUUUGCCUUGAAGGUGGCUUCCCAGAGGAGAGGAAGCAUGAAGAUUGUUCGAAAGCGGUUCCCUGGACACAUCAUGAGAGAACUUUACAAGAUCGGUUCGGAAAUUGAUAAGAUUACCGGACGAAUUUCUGAAUUGAGGGACACUUUGCAUAAUUAUAAUAUUCAGCCAAUAACUUGGAAUGGAGGUGCCACUUCUUCUUCUUCUUUUGAAAGGCAACAAGAUCAGAGGCUAACUUAUCCUCAUGUUAUAAUCACAAGCUGACAAUAUUCCCCCUUGUUCUUCACGUUGCAUCACUUUGAAAUUACAACCAAAAUGCAUAGCAAUUGUGUUGUCAACGCCUUAUUUUAUUUUUAUUGCAUUGUCAACCCUUGCAACUGGUUUGAGUAAGUUACGCAUACAACCACUGGUUUUAGAUCUUUUUUCAAUUGUAUUUUACUUUUUUUUUCUUCUUCUCAAAAUAAGCAUUUCUUUUCAAAAGUUACAACACAUGUCUACCAUAUUAUUAUUAGAAUAGUUUCAUUCAUCGUCUGUGUCCUUUGUACUCUUUACUAUUGAUCUAAUAAAUUUUUAUCGUCUUUUUAUAUUAACAAAAUUGAACUAAGGUUUAAAUGGGUUUGUUGGUGCUGCUACUCCAGUUCCUAUAGUGGUGAUAACCUAUAAUAAUUCCUGAUUAUUACAUUAAUUAUUAAUAGAGAUCCUGAAUUUGAUUUUUAACUACCGGUGUAGUGUGUAAGUUUAAUAUAUUAUCACCCCUCUCCUAUUGAGAUCUUAAAAAAAAUUGAACCGAAGGAAAACUUUAUUACUUGGCAAUUUGAUGGAUAUGUGGCAUGUGAAGAAUUGGAAUUCAAAUUAGAAUAUGACCAUUUGCAUAUGAGAUUCAUCAGCAACACAAAAGCAAACAACUCUCCCUUAACAAAACAGCAAGCAAGUUGAUAUGUUCAACAAAAAGCAACUCACAAAAGCUAAACCUACACGUACACUUUGGUCCUCUUUUUCACAGAGCCAAGCAUUAUUAUUACAAGGGGAACUUGUGGGUGCCGUAACCUCCAAAGGGGAUACGCUGGAACUGUGGUCUUAUGAAGACGAGCCCCAUCAUGAUCAAGACCAUGGAGAUGACGCGCGAUCACCAACCGCAGGAUCACUCUGUCCAUGGAUGACAUGGGAUUUCUUAGCACUAGCAGUCAAUUUUUCAGCUGCGUGCUCAGCUUUCGCCUCAUGAAGCUCCAUCUUUGCUUUUGCUUCUUUUGCUUUUCUUACUUCGCUAGCUAUUUCCCUUUGUUCUUCUGUUCUCGCCGUCGCCUUCUCCACCUACAAUUUUAAUACGUUACGUAUUUUCGAUUAAACGACGAAAAUCAAUAGAGAAACAAAAUUCUAAUACCUGAUCAAGAAGUGAAACACCAUAUCCAAUUAAAAUUUGCCCUAAACCCUAUGUGCAUCCGUAAAUAUUUGCUGCAUGGCUUACUUAGUGUAAUUUUAAUAAUAUGAAAAAAAAAAAAAAAAAAAAA